This 499657-nucleotide long non-coding RNA is filed under the name Theobroma cacao (cacao). RNAcentral's name for it is "long non-coding RNA (TCAC_LNC003839)". The record is from RNAcentral. Lineage: Eukaryota; Viridiplantae; Streptophyta; Magnoliopsida; Malvales; Malvaceae.
AGAGAAAGAUAGGAAGAACAAACCCUAGGUGAGGAAUUUCAAGAGAAAAAGUGUGGAAAAUCAAGGAAAAUAAGUGAAAAAGGUAGGAUUUUUCAACUUAAGCUUGAAAUCUAUUUUCCUUAAGCAUUUCUCCUUAUUNNNNNNNNNNNNNNNNNNNNNNNNNNNNNNNNNNNNNNNNNNNNNNNNNNNNNNNNNNNNNNNNNNNNNNNNNNNNNNNNNNNNNNNNNNNNNNNNNNNNNNNNNNNNNNNNNNNNNNNNNNNNNNNNNNNNNNNNNNNNNNNNNNNNNNNNNNNNNNNNNNNNNNNNNNNNNNNNNNNNNNNNNNNNNNNNNNNNNNNNNNNNNNNNNNNNNNNNNNNNNNNNNNNNNNNNNNNNNNNNNNNNNNNNNNNNNNNNNNNNNNNNNNNNNNNNNNNNNNNNNNNNNNNNNNNNNNNNNNNNNNNNNNNNNNNNNNNNNNNNNNNNNNNNNNNNNNNNNNNNNNNNNNNNNNNNNNNNNNNNNNNNNNNNNNNNNNNNNNNNNNNNNNNNNNNNNNNNNNNNNNNNNNNNNNNNNNNNNNNNNNNNNNNNNNNNNNNNNNNNNNNNNNNNNNNAAAGUGAGAAGAAUUGAUUUGGAGUUAAAUUGGAGAUAAUAGGUCGAAUUAGGUCAGCACCGCAUUUAAGCGGUAGUCGGAUAAGUUGUAUAUCAUAUCAUGCAUAUAUACCGAGCCUGAAUUGAUUUUAUAAUGGUCAAGCAUUGAUGUGGUGAAUUAUGUAUUCUACAUUGUGGAUAGGUGGUGAGCAAAGUACGCUAGUAAAAGUACAGAAAUUGUGCUUGGAGACUGAGAUUAGGAGUACAUCGACUCCUAAAACUGUGAGUGAACUUAUUAUCGUCUUAAUUAUCUAGAGUAGUUUUAUUCAAUUGUGUGUUUUUAUGAAAAAUGGGUUUAAAUGGUAAAUUGCUAUGUUUUAGGAGAAAUUACAAUUUUAUAAAAUGAUUUUAUAAAUUUUCUGAAAAAUCAAAUACUGGUUAUGAAAAUAGAGUAAUUGAAGACUGUCUGCUUGUGUUCUAAAUUUAUGGUUUUAAAUUGAAUGGCUUAUGACAAUAAAUGAGCAUGAAUGGCUAAACUGAUUUUGGUGUUAGAAUUAUUUAUAUUGUGUAUUCAGCCUUGAGAGGUUAGGUUUCGAUAAAUUGCCAUGUCAUGUUAGAAUAAAUUUUAUUGAUUGGUGGAGUAUAUAUUAAUUAUUCACUGCAGAGGGGGUUCCGUGGACCAUCCUAUUAGAGGGGCACGAUAAACUCCAUUAUAUUCUUAUCUCGAACGGAGAGGCACGUAAGGUAUUUCCUAGGGUAAAGCUUAGGGUUCAGUUCACGCCAAACCACCACGUGAAGGGGAACUUAGCCAAUGCCAAGGAACGACUGUAUUUUUCUCAAACUAAAAAUACAUUUUAAGUGUAUACAAAAAUUUUAACAGUCUUGGCGGACUCGGUUGGAUGCCCUGCGCAAGGUAUCGUCGAGUAUGAGUUUUGGCACGAGCCAAAGUUUUAAGAAAUUCAUAAGCCAAGUUGAUUACUCGAUUUAUAUGGAUUGAUUUUAUUUGGUUGAAAUGAGUUGAAAGGUAAUGAAAUUACAGUAUGAUGACUUAUUUCAAUUGUCUCCAUUUACUCGACUUUAGAUAGUUUAGAAGGUAUUUGUUUACUCACUGGGAUUUUAUAAUCUCACCACCCUCAUUUCCUCACAUUUCAGGCUCAGAGAAUUCCAUAGUUAGCUGACUUUGACAAGGACCUUCAUUUGGACUCGAAUCGGUAAAAGCUGUAGGUUUCCAGCUUCUGAUGCAUUUUAGUUAGAUGUGGGUCCACGUGUCACUGUAAAAGAGAUUUUAUGCUUUGGUUAUUUGCUUUAUAGUAUAUAUGAAUAUAAUUAACUUUUAUACUAUAAGAAUUAUGUACCGAUAGUUUUAUGAAAAUUAUUUUACAAGAAAAUAGUUUAUUUUAUUAAAUAUUUUUAUUAUAUUCAAAUGGUCAAAUUUUCACUUUAAAUGAACAUUUUAGAUACUUAAUUUGUUUUUAAAUCAUUAAAUAUAUAUUUUCUGCUUACCUACUAUAUUUUUAGCAAGUUUUGAGAUUUUCAACAAAAAUGACGAAAAUGCCUCUGUGAGCCAAAAAACAAUAUGUUAUGUUCUGAUUUGGAAAUGAUUUGUAAUCCUUCGGAUUUUGAUAUUUGAUAACUAUUGCUCACCGAGGAAGUGUAAAAGCUGAUAUGAGAGCCUUGCGAGGUGUCGAUCGACAUUUGGGGUGAAGAAUGUUUUUCGAGGCCUCGUGACAGUUGUCACGGGCCUGAUGGGGAGUUCCGGGUCGUGACAAUAAGACUUUGAAGUUAAGCCAAGUAGGGUGAAGAAAGAAGUCAAUUCCAAUCAAGAUUUCCUCAUCAGACUAAGUGAGUCGUGGCCUUGACUAAUUAAUUAUCAGAAAUUGUAAUUCCUUUAAGAUUGCUGUAGUGCUUCAACUUCGUCAAGAUGUUUAACCACUUUCUAGGUCGACCUGGGCAAAGUGGUAACAUGAAAGUUGUAGCUUUUUCUCUUAGCUUUCCAAUGGUCCAAGAAUUAUCUCAUUUAGAUUUAUGUAGAGAGAGUUAUGGUCAAAAUAUCGAAACAUGUGUAAUGGAAGUCUACACCUUGAAGUUGCUCUCCUUCUUCUAUUAAAAUUCUUCGUUCAUUAAACCCUUACAAAAUCACGAAUAAAUCAAUAACAACCUUACUUAAUUACAUUAAUAACAAUUUACUGAUAAAAUUAACUAAGACUAAAUUGACUCAUCUCAAUUAAUUAACUUAAAAUAAUUUAGAUAAAACUUACUAAUGUCUAUGCAUUACUACAAGAACUAAGGUAAAUUACUAUCAAAAUUAAAUCCAAAUAACCUUAUAUCAUAGAGUUAUCACACCCCUAAACUUAAUUUGUUUUAGUCCUGGAGCAAAACAUCUAUAAGAAACUAACCUACGAAAAUCAAUUUCAGAUGGUGAAAACAAAAUAAAUGUAGCAAUUACUAUAGAUAAAGUGCAUCAACUCAAUGAUUCCCCAUAAUUUCCUUAAAAACAUGUCUAUCAAUCUUCAAGUUAUGGAAAAAUAUAGGCAUCAUUCAAAUUCAUUUUCAAUUCUAAUGCAAGCACAUUUUUUAAUGGAUUUUCGUGUGUGUGUGUGAAAUCUUCUACCAAGAAUAUCAUGACAUUCGGAUGAGUUUAUGCUAAUACAAAAUUUAAAUUACUACUAGAAUUCCAUAGGUUUACCUUUCAAUAGAACUUAAUAAAGCUUGUAAUGUAUGGCUAAGGUCAAGAUAGGAUAAAAGAUAUAAUGUGGCUAGAAUCACCCUAAGCACAUAAUUAGUCUAGAACCUAUAUAUAGAGCUUUAUUUUCAUUUUCCAAGUACACAUUUUCUUCCACAUUUGAACCUUUUUUUUUAACAUAUUUUCAUUUUUUUCGUUUCUUCUUCUUUGUUUUUUUUUCACAAUUUCAUAAUUUUACACCCCAAACUUAUUUUCUUUGUAUUGUAAGUAGUGGGGUGGUUUUUAAUGUUUUGAAUUUUUUUUUCACAUCAACAUCACCUUUCCACCUUUUUCAACAUUUAGCUCAAUCUAUAUUUUCUAAAACACUAUACAUGCUCAGGAGUGAGAGUUGCAAAAUUGAAAAUUUAUUUUAAAGCUAAGCUUAUUAUUAUUUAGUUAAACAAAGAAAAGGGAAAUUAGGCUCAAAGGGGUAAACUAGGGAUAAAGAUUUUAACAAGGUUGGCUUUUUAAGCUCAAACGGUCCAAAGAUGGUUUAAAUCAUGUCCCUAACUUAAAUAUUGCCUAGGAUUUUGCCUUGAGAGAGAAUCAAGCAAAUUCUAGAAUUCUUAACAUAAUCCAAAAUUCACAUCAGUAUAAACCUUCUCUAUAUAUGUACAAUAAUCCAAAGCAAAACAUAUAAUGCUCAAAAUUGUGGAAAUCAUAUCCUAGCAAUGACACUUAUCAAAAGAAUUUAGCAUAAAUCGAAACAAAAACCUUAUUCAUCAAAAGCUAAAAAUUCAAGACAACUAGUUAUCAUUAUUAGAUAAGGAAAUCAUCGAAAAAAAUUGGCACAACUUUACUCUAAAUUCCUUAAAUUUGAGCAAGUAAUAAAUUAAAUUACCAGCUAAUCCUAAUUAUUUAAAAUCUAGAUAAACAUGAAAAUUAAAUUAAAUAUAAAACUUCAACAGAAUAUUCACAACUAGAAAAAUAAAUUCACCCCUUAAAUUUAAACUAAACAUUGUCCUUAAUGUUAGAAAAAUUAAAGGAAAGGUAACAAAUACUUCCGUGAUGGUUGAAUGAAUCCGGUGAAGCUCUAGACCUCAUCUUCAUCCCCAUCAUCCUCUUUCGUAUUGUCCUCUACCUCAUUGGCACCCUUAAGAGGAUUAGGUGCUAGUGGAAAAGUAGUCAUGUCCAUUCCCAUAAAAGCACCAUAAGCUUAAAAUAUUUGGUCCAUAUGUUGAUUACAUUGGGUUUAAUAAGUCAUGUGUUGCUCAAACUAGUGCUUAAGUUGCUCAACUAGGUGCUCAAGGUUCUCAAUUCUCUAAGUCAUUGUCAAUUGUCGAUGUUGUGAUCGAGGGGGUGCAGGAUGGUGUGUAGAAGAAGAACUACCUUAAAUAAAAUGUUGAGGUUGUCUGAGGAUGAAAUUGAGAUCAAUUGGGAGUUUAAGGUGCAACAACUCCUCACUAGCAUCCCAAUUUACCCCAACUUCCUUGCAUAUAACCAUAAUCAGAGAAGGGAACCCCAAGCCAUCGCACUUAGUUUGUGCAGUGUGAGUCAUGGCUUUGUAAAUUACACAACCAAUAUCAAUUGUGCAUCCCGUCAUGAUGGAACGAAUAAGGAUGGCUUGAUCUUUUGUGACAUCAUUGAGAUAUGUUGUAGGAAGUAAUUGGAAAGCCAUAAAAUAUAACCAUAUAUUAGAAGUUGGUUUCAUCACAUUCCUCUUGAAUGAAACUCGUGCAUUAUUGAAGAAUCACCAUUGAGCACCUUCCUCACAAAGUAUAUAAAGGAUAUCAUCCCAAUCCUCAUGCUUAGCCAAAUAUUGACCAUAGUCAUCGUUUUCAAUAUCAGGAGCUACAUAAUAUUCAUUGAUGGCAUGGCUUGAGAAUGGAACUAAUUUAUCUUACACAAAAACAAAAUCAUUAGUAGCUUCAAUAGCGUUAGCGUAAAAUUUUCUUACUAGAGGGAUAAUCACAGCUGCUAGCGAGGCACAAAAUUUUUGCCAGUGGUGUUCAUUAAUCAUUGGUUGAAGGUUAAGGUGUGUGAUAAACCCUUGAUCUAGGCCUCGUUUGGGUAUUGCAAUUUUGUUGAUGAGAAAACUAGCAUGUCUAGCCACAACGUCAGUUGACACAAAUUUAGUGUGAUCAAACGAAUCACUGGAAUUUAGGCUUGCUCGUUUAGGUGCCAUUCUCAAAUUUUCAGUAAUUAAUUCUCAACCAAAAGAAAAGUACCAACAAAAUACAAUAGACCACCAACAAUAUCAGCCAAUAUGUCUUAACAUCAAAAUAAAUUAAUGCCCAUAGUAUCAAGUAAAACUACAAAGAAUAAAAAAUAAUUUGAAAUCAAUAAACUUACACAUAUUCCCAAUUUCAACUUACCCAAGAAAUUUAAAGCACAAAUCCAAACCAGCUAUCAUACCUAAAAAAUAACUAAGCACAUUGUCUCAAGAAUCAUCAAUAUCCAUCACAAACGUCCAAUAAAAUAAAUAAUGUGAAGCAAGACGACAAUAUUUCUUAAAAGAAAAUGUAUAUAUAUAUAUAUAUAUAUAUGUAUAUGUGAUGAGUGCAUCAAAUACAUAUAUUUAAUGGGAGAUUAAAUACCUAAUUAGUCUAAGUUAGACUAGAUUUAGGAUCAGAUUUAAGUGUUUUUAGUUAUUUUAUUAGUUUAGUCUAAUUUAUAUUUAAAUGUUUAUUUUAAGUUAGUAAUGUUAGUUUUAUGUUAUUUAUAUUUAUUUUUAUGUUUUUGUAGGAGUGGGAUCAAAAAUAAUUGCAAUUGGUGAAGAAAUGUGCAUAACGAAUUGGUGCUUUGUUUGCAUAUGUUUUGGUUUUUGAGCAUAUCUCCCACUACUGAAGUCCAAAUGACAUGAGUUUUAGACCAUUAGAAAGCUAAUAGGUAGGACUACAACUUUUAUGCUUACCACUUUGCCCAAUUCUGAUCGAAAGGUGGUCGAAUCUUUAUCGAAGUGAAAGUACUACACCAGAAGAACAAAAUUGAGACAAAAUCUUUGAGAACCGCGGCUCUGGGAAAUGAAAGCCGCGACACUCAACGUAUUUUUCAAAAAUAAUAAGCUUACGGGAUUUUGGAAGCUAGGGCUUUUAGAGGCUAUUUAAGGGGCUUUUUUUAGAGGUUUCUUGGAUGAGGCAACAAGCAAUUUCUCUGGAGAAAAAAAGCCAAAAACAAAGCAAGAAAGUAAGAGAAUUGAAGGGAGAAUCAAGAUCACAAAGCUUCAACUAUUAGUUUUCUCUCUCUGCUUUUGUGUUUUUCUUAUUUUCUUUGACUUGGAUUAACGACUAAUUUUCUUUGGAUGAAGUUUUUAUUAAAUAUUAUGAACUCAACUAUUUUUCUAGAAUUGCAAUUGAACUCACAUGUAAUCUAAAUUUCUAAUCUCUUUCUUGCUUAUUUUUAAUAUAUUUGAGUUGUUUAUUCCAAUUUGUUCUUAAUGCUUUUAAUUGCCUAAUCACCAAUUAAAUUGAUUUAGGAACCUAAACAAACUUGGGAAAGGAAGUUUAGAGUAGACUGAAAUUGGGAUAAAAUAUGAUCAUAUUAAUUGAUUUGCGUAUAGGAUAGGGAUAUGCAUAUAGGCCAUAUGUAGCCAGAUUAGAGCCUAAACUUAAUGAGUCUAAUUUAAUUUCAAUUCACAUAGGGAUAUAGUGUUUUGGUUAAAAUAGAUAUUUUUAUAAGACGAGUCGGGAGAGUCUUAUAAAUAAUUGAGGACUCUAGGUUAGCAAUUCAACCCAUUGAAAUAAGUUAAAGAAGAGAGGUAAGAUUUAGAUGAAGUGUGAGGGAUAUUGUAAUCCUAGGCUUGUUUGAUUUGCUAUUUACCCAAUUAUCUUGUUGCUUUAAUUUUUAAUUAAAUUAGUUUUAGUUGAGUAGUUUUUAGUUUAAUAGAACUCAGAUAUUAAUUAUUUGAAUAAAACUAAAUUGUUCUAAUUUUAGUACUUAGUAAAAUUUUAGAUCAAUUCUCUGUGGGAUCGAUACUCUACUUGCUUAUAUACUAUCUAUUCGAUAUGUAUACUUGCGUAGUAGAAUUUCAACUGACAAUAUGAAAAAGAAAUAAAAAAGAAAUAUUGAAACUUACUUAAAAUCUUGAGCUAAGAUGUUGAAAAUAAGUGUGGACAGAAAGAUAUUGACAUGGGUAAUUGGUAUGCAGGAAGAUAGAUGAAAGGUGAAUAGUGGUGAGAGGAAGAGUAGAGGAGAGACAGAGAGUAAUAAGUAGGAAAAGAUGAGUGAAAAGUGUAGAAAAUUGCACUAAGAAUGAGUGGUAAGGUUGUUGGAGUGAAGGGGAUUUAAAUAAAAGGGUGAGAUAAGGGGGAAUGAUUGGUUUAGUGGGUUAAGUAGAUUGUUGGCUGCCCAUUUUUGAUAACCCAUAAAAACAAGGGGAGGGAGGGGUCUAAUUAAAUUGUGGGUGGCUCAAAAUAAGCAGCCCACAUGAAGGGGGGCCGAGGCUUACCGUGACCCACAUGGUUCAAUUUCGCGUGGCCGUGACCACACUAUGCAAGUGCCACAGCUCGCGUUAGUUUAAAAGUCCUAGGCAAUGCUCCUCCUUUUUAAAAAAAAAAAUGGGCCACUACUUGGGACCUAAUGAGUUGUAGCCUACAUUAUAAUGAGUUUGGGAGGCCACGACCUACACCCUAUCUCUUAAAUUUUUUUCUUUUUUUUAUUUUUUAAGGGGAGCUUUAAUCAUACUUGCAAGAAUUUCUUCUUUUUUUGAGAAUUAAAUUCAAGAAGGAAAAUUACUCACAAGACAGUUCACAAAAUCAACAUACCAUGGCAAAUUUUUCUACUUCUCAACAUGAACCAAUUGCUCAUAAGGAAAAGUCUCAUUGAUCGUUGUUGAAUUCCUAACUUGUUUUGCAUCCUUUUUCUCGAUCAAAUUUUUGAUAGCUGCAUGAUUAGUGUAAACAAUGACUUUAGUACAAACAAGAUAGGAACGAAAUUUAUCAAAAGCAAAAACAAUAGCAAGCAACUCCUUUUCCAUUGUGGUGUAAUUUGCUUGAGCCUCAUUCAAUGUGUUGUUGGCAUAAUAAAUAGGAUGCAAAAUCUUCGCUUUUUGUUGGCCCAAGAUUGCGCCAAAUACAUAAUCACUAACAUCACACAUUAGUUCGAAAAGAAGUUCCAAUUAGGAAUAGUGAUAAUAUGAGUAGAAAUUAAUCUCUUUUUCAAUUCAACAAAAGCAUCAUGGCAAGCAUCAUCAAAAUUAAAAAGGAUAUCCUUUUCUAAUAAAUUGCAAAGUGGUUUAGAAAUUUUAGAAAAGUCUUUAAUGAAUCUCCUAUAAAAUCCAGCAUGUCCUAAAAAACUACGAAUGCCUUUAAUAGAGGUGGGGGUGGAAGUUUUUCAAUUGUUUCAAUUUUUGCUUUGUCUACUUCUAAACCCUUACUAAAGACUUGAUGGCCUAAAACUAUGCCUUCUUGCACUAUACAGUGACAUUUUUUCCAAUUUAAAACUAAAUUAGUUUCUUCACAUCUCUUAAGUACUCUAGCAAGAUUAAAUAGACAAUCAUCAAAAUUAUCCCCAAAAACUGAAAAAUCAUCUAUAAAUAUUUCCAAACACUUUUCAACCAUAUAAAAAAAAUUACCAUCAUACAUCUCUGAAAAGUGGUUGGAGCAUUGCAAAGUACAAAAGGCAUUCUACAAAAAGCAAAAGUUCCAUAAAAACAAGUAAAGGUGGUGUUUUCUUGGUCUCCAAGAGUAAUGGCAAUUUAAUUAUAACCAGAAUAACCAUCCAAAAGGCAAUAAAAGUCCUUACCUAUUAGUCUAUCACGCAUUUGAUCAAUAAAAGGGAGUGGAAAGGGAUCUUUUCUAGUGGUGUUAUUCAAUUUUCUAUAAUUCAUACAUACCCACCAUCUAGUCAUAGUUCUAGUGAGCAUGAGCUCAUAUUUUCAUAAGAAACUAUAAUCAUACCUCUUUUCUUUAGGACAUAUUAAACUGGACUUACCUACAAACUAUCAAAAAUAAGAUAGAUAAUACAUGCAUCUAGCCACUUGAUAAUUUCUUUCUUUACCACCUCUUUCAUGAUUAGAUUUAACCUCCGUUGAUGCUCAAUGGUUGCCUUAUGAUUUUCUUCCAAAAGAAUUUUGUGCAUGCAAAUUGAUAGACUAAUUUCUUUGAUGUCUUGAAUGGUCCACCCAAUUGCGUUUUGGUAAUCUCUUAAAACUCGAAGGAGUUUAUUUUCCUAUUCAUCAAAAAGAUAAAGAAACUAUUUCUAGUAGUGUAGAAGAAUUUCCCAAAAUGGCAUACCUUAAACGGUUAGGCAGUGGUCUGAGCUCAAGUGAAGGAGGUUUUUCAAUGGAAGGCUUGAAUGGUGAAGUUGUAAUUGAUAAUUCUAAAUACUCAAAUUAGGAUUUUGAAAGACGUGAUGGCGCAUCAAGCUGGUUAGCAAAUUCAUGAACUUUUUCAUCCAUAAUAUCACAUGAAGAAAUUAAAGAUGUUUCCAAUGGAUCAUCAUAAUAAUUCUCAGUAAACAUAUUAUUAGUAAUGUUAUCCACCACAUUAAUUGAAAAACAUUCAUCAUGUUCAUUGGAAAAUUUUAAAGCUUUAAAAAUACUAAAUGUUACCUAUUGAUCUUCAACCCUUAAGGUAAGCUCACCUUUUUCUACAUCAAUUAGAGCUCAAGUAGUUCUCAAGAAUGGUCUCUCAAGAAUGAUUGGAAUUUCACGAUCUUCUUUCAUAUCAAGAACAAUAAAUUCUACUGAAAAAAAUAAACUUACCAAUUGUUACCAAAACAUCUUCCACAAUACCAUAAAGUUAAAUGAUGGAUCAAUCAACAAGUUGUAAAGUCACAGAAGUUGGCUUAAUCUCUUCCAAACCCAAUUUUUUAUAAAUGGACAAUGGCAUCAAAUUUAUACUUGCACCCAAAUCACAUAAAGCUUUAGCAAAAUAAAAAGCACCAAUAGUGCAAGGAAUAGUUAAACUACCUAGAUCUUUAAGCUUUGGUGAAAGUUUACUCUGAAUAAUGGCACUCCACUCUUCAGUAUGUGCAACAGUUUCAAUCUUACCUAAUUUUUCCUUUUUAGAUAGGAUGUUUUUCAAGAAUUUAACAUAUCUUGGUCUUUAUUCCAUAGCUUCAACAAAAGGAAUAUUAAUAAGUAACUUUUUAAACACAUCAAUAAAACUUUGGAAUUGUUUGUAAAGUUUUUCUUUUUGAAAUCUUUUUCAGAAAAGGUGGUGGAGGUGUGGGAGCAAAUUUAAGUGUGAUGUUUCUUUUUUUGAAUUUUUAGUAGAUUGUUCAACCACAAUUUUUUUUAGUAUCUUUUUAAUUUCUUUCUCAUCAAAUUUAAUUGAAAUUUUAUAAUUUAAAGUUUUAUUGUUUACCUCUUUUAUUGCUAAGAUUGAUUGCCUUACAAGGUUCCUCACCUUUUUUUCUUGGGUUAGGUUUAGUAUCACUUGGUAAGGUACCAUGAGGUUUAGAAUUUAGAGCACUGGCAAGUUGUCUCAUGUGUGUCUCAAGAUUUCAAACUGAUAUUGCUUGACUUUGAAUGGAAGCAUCAAUCUUUGUCAUGAAUGCAUUAGUUUUUGUCAUGAAUUGCAUGAACAUAUCCUCCAUUAAAGGCUUUUUCUUUAGCAUGGGAGCUCUAAAUGGAAAUUUAGGUGGAAAGUUUAACUUAGAUGCUAAUAAAAACCCUUGGUUGUUGCUCCAUGAGAAAUUAAGAUGAUUUCUCCAACCGAGAGUAUAAAUGUUGGAAUAGGGAUUGUUCUGUUACUUAUUUUCAACAAAUUGACAAGAUUUAAUAUAAAUGGGACAAUUGUCAGUGGAAUGUCCUUCUCCACAAAAUUCACAAGUCACAAAGGGCCUCAAAACAUCAUUAACACUCAAUUUAUUUAUUUUCUUUGUGAGAGAAGCCAAUCGUGUAGAUAAAGAAUUCAUCACAUCUAAUUCACGAACUCUAGCAAUUUUUCUUGUACCCAAUCUUUCAUAUGGCCAUUGAUAGUUAUUGGAAGCCAUUUCUUCAAGCAAAUCAUAAGCCUCGUCAAUGGAUUUACCCAUAAGUGCACCUUCAGCUGCAAAAUCAAUGGUAGUUCUAAUACAUCCCAGAAAAAACAAUUAUAAAAAGUCUGAACUAGUAGCCACUUAGAUAAUCAAUGGUGAAGACACCAUUUUAACAAAUCCUAAUACCUCUCCUGAAUCAAAUUGCAUGAACAAAGUGAUAUCAUUUCGCAUCUUUGUUGUCUUGGUAGGUGGAAAGAAUUUUGCUAAGAAUUUCUAAGCCAAAUCAUCCCAAGUAUUAAUGGAACUAGCAAGAAGCGAAUUUAACCAACUCUUUGCUUUAUCUUUCAGUGAAAAAAGGAAAAGCUUCAAUCUUAUGACAUCAUCAUUAACACCAUUAGCCUUGAAUGUGUUACAAAUUUCCAAGAAAUUCAUAAUAUGAGCAUUAGGAUCAUCAUUAGGCAAACCCCUAAACUAAACAAAAGUUUGAAUCAUCUGAAUGAUUGCUAGUUUAAUUUUAAAGUUGUUGGCUUGAAUAAGAGGUCUUCGAAUACUAGAGUGGAGACCUUGUGCUAAUGGGAUAGCAUAUUCCCUCAAAGACAUGGUUUCUUCCCCUUGAUGUUCAACCAUUGUUUUACUUGUAGCAUAAAUUUUUUUAUUUUUUUUUCUCUAAAGCCUUUAAAAAGUCUUUUGAAUUUCUAGAUCAAAAGGAACAAUUUUCAAAUUUUGGGUUCUUCGCAUACAACGAUCAAAAGUACUUGAAAAAUUAAAGAAAAUAGAAGCUUGUAUUAAGAAUAAAAAUGCUUGGUAUUAAUAUUAACAACAAAGAUUUAAAAAUCAAUUCCCUGGCAACGUUGCCAAAAACUUGUUGUUAAUUUCUCAUGUAACUACACGUAUCGUUAACAAGUGAUAUAAUAGAAAGUAGAAUUCGUUCCCAUGAAGAAUUGAAGUAAUUCCUAAUGUUAACUAUUAAAAUUAACACAUCUUAAUCUUAUUCAAACAACCUAAUUAUUAAAAAAAAAAUUAAAACUAAUAACUAAAACUAGUCUAAAAUCUAUCAGCAAAAUUACUUUAUUAAAUUUGAGUAACUACCCGACCUAAGAUUAUGAUGUUCCUCAAUACUUCUAAAUAUUUUCUCUCUCUCUCUCUCUCUCUCUCUCUCUCUCUCUCUCUCUCUNNNNNNNNNNNNNNNNNNNNNNNNNNNNNNNNNNNNNNNNNNNNNNNNNNNNNNNNNNNNNNNNNNNNNNNNNNNNNNNNNNNNNNNNNNNNNNNNNNNNNNNNNNNNNNNNNNNNNNNNNNNNNNNNNNNNNNNNNNNNNNNNNNNNNNNNNNNNNNNNNNNNNNNNNNNNNNNNNNNNNNNNNNNNNNNNNNNNNNNNNNNNNNNNNNNNNNNNNNNNNNNNNNNNNNNNNNNNNNNNNNNNNNNNNNNNNNNNNNNNNNNNNNNNNNNNNNNNNNNNNNNNNNNNNNNNNNNNNNNNNNNNNNNNNNNNNNNNNNNNNNNNNNNNNNNNNNNNNNNNNNNNNNNNNNNNNNNNNNNNNNNNNNNNNNNNNNNNNNNNNNNNNNNNNNNNNNNNNNNNNNNNNNNNNNNNNNNNNNNNNNNNNNNNNNNNNNNNNNNNNNNNNNNNNNNNNNNNNNNNNNNNNNNNNNNNNNNNNNNNNNNNNNNNNNNNNNNNNNNNNNNNNNNNNNNNNNNNNNNNNNNNNNNNNNNNNNNNNNNNNNNNNNNNNNNNNNNNNNNNNNNNNNNNNNNNNNNNNNNNNNNNNNNNNNNNNNNNNNNNNNNNNNNNNNNNNNNNNNNNNNNNNNNNNNNNNNNNNNNNNNNNNNNNNNNNNNNNNNNNNNNNNNNNNNNNNNNNNNNNNNNNNNNNNNNNNNNNNNNNNNNNNNNNNNNNNNNNNNNNNNNNNNNNNNNNNNNNNNNNNNNNNNNNNNNNNNNNNNNNNNNNNNNNNNNNNNNNNNNNNNNNNNNNNNNNNNNNNNNNNNNNNNNNNNNNNNNNNNNNNNNNNNNNNNNNNNNNNNNNNNNNNNNNNNNNNNNNNNNNNNNNNNNNNNNNNNNNNNNNNNNNNNNNNNNNNNNNNNNNNNNNNNNNNNNNNNNNNNNNNNNNNNNNNNNNNNNNNNNNNNNNNNNNNNNNNNNNNNNNNNNNNNNNNNNNNNNNNNNNNNNNNNNNNNNNNNNNNNNNNNNNNNNNNNNNNNNNNNNNNNNNNNNNNNNNNNNNNNNNNNNNNNNNNNNNNNNNNNNNNNNNNNNNNNNNNNNNNNNNNNNNNNNNNNNNNNNNNNNNNNNNNNNNNNNNNNNNNNNNNNNNNNNNNNNNNNNNNNNNNNNNNNNNNNNNNNNNNNNNNNNNNNNNNNNNNNNNNNNNNNNNNNNNNNNNNNNNNNNNNNNNNNNNNNNNNNNNNNNNNNNNNNNNNNNNNNNNNNNNNNNNNNNNNNNNNNNNNNNNNNNNNNNNNNNNNNNNNNNNNNNNNNNNNNNNNNNNNNNNNNNNNNNNNNNNNNNNNNNNNNNNNNNNNNNNNNNNNNNNNNNNNNNNNNNNNNNNNNNNNNNNNNNNNNNNNNNNNNNNNNNNNNNNNNNNNNNNNNNNNNNNNNNNNNNNNNNNNNNNNNNNNNNNNNNNNNNNNNNNNNNNNNNNNNNNNNNNNNNNNNNNNNNNNNNNNNNNNNNNNNNNNNNNNNNNNNNNNNNNNNNNNNNNNNNNNNNNNNNNNNNNNNNNNNNNNNNNNNNNNNNNNNNNNNNNNNNNNNNNNNNNNNNNNNNNNNNNNNNNNNNNNNNNNNNNNNNNNNNNNNNNNNNNNNNNNNNNNNNNNNNNNNNNNNNNNNNNNNNNNNNNNNNNNNNNNNNNNNNNNNNNNNNNNNNNNNNNNNNNNNNNNNNNNNNNNNNNNNNNNNNNNNNNNNNNNNNNNNNNNNNNNNNNNNNNNNNNNNNNNNNNNNNNNNNNNNNNNNNNNNNNNNNNNNNNNNNNNNNNNNNNNNNNNNNNNNNNNNNNNNNNNNNNNNNNNNNNNNNNNNNNNNNNNNNNNNNNNNNNNNNNNNNNNNNNNNNNNNNNNNNNNNNNNNNNNNNNNNNNNNNNNNNNNNNNNNNNNNNNNNNNNNNNNNNNNNNNNNNNNNNNNNNNNNNNNNNNNNNNNNNNNNNNNNNNNNNNNNNNNNNNNNNNNNNNNNNNNNNNNNNNNNNNNNNNNNNNNNNNNNNNNNNNNNNNNNNNNNNNNNNNNNNNNNNNNNNNNNNNNNNNNNNNNNNNNNNNNNNNNNNNNNNNNNNNNNNNNNNNNNNNNNNNNNNNNNNNNNNNNNNNNNNNNNNNNNNNNNNNNNNNNNNNNNNNNNNNNNNNNNNNNNNNNNNNNNNNNNNNNNNNNNNNNNNNNNNNNNNNNNNNNNNNNNNNNNNNNNNNNNNNNNNNNNNNNNNNNNNNNNNNNNNNNNNNNNNNNNNNNNNNNNNNNNNNNNNNNNNNNNNNNNNNNNNNNNNNNNNNNNNNNNNNNNNNNNNNNNNNNNNNNNNNNNNNNNNNNNNNNNNNNNNNNNNNNNNNNNNNNNNNNNNNNNNNNNNNNNNNNNNNNNNNNNNNNNNNNNNNNNNNNNNNNNNNNNNNNNNNNNNNNNNNNNNNNNNNNNNNNNNNNNNNNNNNNNNNNNNNNNNNNNNNNNNNNNNNNNNNNNNNNNNNNNNNNNNNNNNNNNNNNNNNNNNNNNNNNNNNNNNNNNNNNNNNNNNNNNNNNNNNNNNNNNNNNNNNNNNNNNNNNNNNNNNNNNNNNNNNNNNNNNNNNNNNNNNNNNNNNNNNNNNNNNNNNNNNNNNNNNNNNNNNNNNNNNNNNNNNNNNNNNNNNNNNNNNNNNNNNNNNNNNNNNNNNNNNNNNNNNNNNAACUUAUUAUCGUCUUAAUUAUCUAGAGUAGUUUUAUACAAUUGUGUGAUUUUAUGAAAAAUGGGUUUAAAUGGUAAAUUGCUAUGUUUUAAGAGAAAUUGUGAUUUUAUAAAAUGAUUUUAUAAAUUUUCUGAAAAAUUGAAUACUAGUUUUGAAAAUAGAGUAAUUGGAGACUACUUGCUUGUGUUGUAAAUUUAUGGUUUUAAAUUGAAUGGCUUACGACAAUAUAUGAGCAUGAAUGGCUAAACUGAUUUUGGUGAUAGAAUUAUUUGUACUGUGUAUUCAGUCUUGAGAGGCUAGGUUGCGAUAAAUUGCCAUGUCAUGCUAGAAUGAAUUUUAUUGAUUGGUGGAUUAUAUAGUAAUUAUUCACUGCAGAAGGGGUUUCAUGAACCAGCCUAUUAGAGGGGCACGGUAAACUCCAAUAUAUUCUUACCCCGAACGAAGAGGCACAUAGGGUAUCUCCUGAGGUAAAGCUUAGGGUUCACUUCACCCUAAACCACCACGUGAAGGGGAACUCAUCCAACGCCAAGGAACGACUGUAUUUUCUCAAACUAAAAAUAUAUUUUAAGUGUAUACGAAAUUUUAACAGCCUGGGCGGGCUCAGUUGGAUGCCCUGUGCAAGGUAUCACCGAGUAUGAGUUUUGGCACUAGCCAAAGUUUUAAGAAAUUCAUAAGCCAAGUUGAUUUCUCGAUUUAUAUGGAUUGAUUUUAUUUGGUUGAAAUGAGUUGAAAGGUAAUGAAAUUACAGUAUGAUGACUUAUUUUAAUUGUCUCCAUUUACUCGACUUUAGAUAGUUUAGAUGGCAUCUGUUUACUCACUGGGAUUUUAUAAUCUCACCACCCUCAUUUCCUCACAUUUCAGGCUCGGAGAAUUCCGUAGUUAGCUGACUUUGACAAGGACCUUCAUUUGGACUCGAAUCGGUAAAAGUUGUACGUUUCCAGCUUCCGAUGUAUUUUGGUUAGAUGUGGGCCCACGUGUCACUGUAAAAGAAAUUUUAUGCUUUGGUUAUUUGCUUUAUAGUAUAUCUGAUUAUAAUUAACUUUUACGCUAUAAGAAUUAUGUAUCGAUAGUUUUAUGAAAAUUAUUUUACAAGAAAAUAUUUAUUUUAUUAAAUAUUUUUAUUAUAUUCAAAUGGUUAAAUUUUCAUUUCAAAUGAACGUUUUAGAUACUUAAUUUGUUUUUAAAUCAUUAAAUAUAUAUUUUCUGCUUACCUACUAUAUUUUUAGUAAGUUUUGAGAUUUUCAAAAAAAAAUGAAAUGACGAAAAUGCCCUUGUGAGCCAGAAAACAAAAUGUUAUGUUCUGAUUUGGAAAUGAUUUGUAAUCCCUUGAAUUUUGAUAUUUGAUAACUAUUGCUCACCGGGGAAGUGCGAAAGCUGAUACGAGAGCCUUACGGGGUUUCGAUCGGCAUUCGGGGUGAAAAAUAUAUGUCGAGGCUUCGCAGCGGUUGUCACGGACCCGAUGGGGAGUUCCGGGUCGUGACACCAUGGCCUCGACCAAUUAAUUAGUAGAAGUUGUAAUUGCUUUAAGACUACUAUAGUGCUUCAAUUUCGACAAGAUUGUUUACCACCUUCUAGGCUAAGCUAGGCAAAGUCGCGAACAUGAAAGUUGUAGAUUGUUCUCUUAGCUUUUUAAUGAUUUAAGAAUCAUUUCAUUUGGAGUUCUAUAUAAAGAGUUGUGGUUAAAAUAUCGAAACAUGUGCAAUGGAAGUCUCCACUUUGAAAUUGCUCUCCUUCUGUGAAAUCCCACCUUGAGUAAGAUGAUAAGUUAGAAAAUCCUUAUGAGAGCAUAUAGAGUACAUGUUUUGAACAUCAAACUUAGAUUGAACCUUUAAAAGAAUUAUUGACACUUUUUGUUGUCUAUCACUUUUAAAGCAGAAAAUUUUCUAAGUUUGGAAAUGGUCAAAAUAUGUGAUUUUAAUAGAACAAUCUUUUGGAAAUAAAAAAUAGUGGUACUGAUUCCUUUGAUUUUCAAAUGAUCAAAAAUGAUUUUUUUCAAAAUUUUUGGAGCACGUUUGCUAGGGUAAAUGGGAAUUACAAAUUUAAUUUCAAUCAAACUUUUUCGACUUUGUUCUUGAAAGCAAAAUUUAAAUUUUGAUUCUUUUGGAUUUUUAUUUUUUUGAUAUUUUUAUUGAAUCCAAAUGGGUGGUUGUUUACUUAUUUACAUUAAAUAUCUUAAGUAAAUGGAAAGUAAAAAGUAAAGAGGAUAAAUGGAAAGUAAAAAGUAAAGAGGAUAUUUACUUAAAUGGUAUUUAAUGUAAAUAAGUUGGGCAGAUUUUAUAGGCAAUCUAUCUCAAAAAACUACAUUCUAUCUCAAAAGGAAUCGUAGUUUCUUAUCAUCACUUUUUUUACACUCUAGCUUAUAAAUAUAUCACAUUUUUAAUGUUACUGAAAUGAUUAUGGUUGUUAUAUUUAUGGUAUGUUGUAUGUUAAGUUCAUUUGAGUAGUGUUUAUGGUUUAUACCUUAUGAUGGCAUGAGAAUGUGCUUAGUGAGAAGAAUUGAGCCUUAAAGAUAGUUCUUGAGAUGUAAACGGGCUUAAGGAAUGACAAAAAUGCUGAAAUUGUUUAGAAACUAGGUCUCUGUGUUUAAAGUAUCGAUACAUACAGAACAUGUAUCGAUACAUUCUAAAUAGAUUGCCAUAGGACGUUUUCUAUGUGAAAUGUAUUGAUACAUUUUACCAAUGUAUCGAUAAUUGCUUGAAAGUAUCAAUACAUUCAAUAAUGUAUAGAUAGAUAUGGUACGGAAAAGGAUAUUUGAGUGAAUUUGAUAAGGAUUUUAAAGGUAAAGGAUUUCUAAAGGUUUAUAUAAGUUUGUUUUCAUACGAAAAGUAUUUAAAUGAGUUUAAAUGACAUGUAUAAUGAAUUUUAUGAUUCGAAAGUUAUGGACGACAUGAGUUAUAAAUGCAUGGUUACAAAAUACUUUUAUCCCCUGGCUUGUCCCUUUCCUGUAUCCACUCAUGAAGUCUUUAUGACUCACACGUUAUUUUUCCCCAUUUAUUUUGUUGCAGAUCAGUGAUAGCGUCUAAUAGUAGCUAGUGUCGCGGAUACCAACGUCCGGUCUUCAUUCCUUGGUAGGUGUUUAGCAGCCACUAGAUGCCUAGAGGGUCGAUCACAUUUCGCCGAUGGGUCGGUCUUUACUUUAUGUUAUGUUUACAGACUAUGAAUAUGUUUAUGUUGAUAUUGCCAGUGUUUGGGCAUCUUAUAUGAAUAAUGUUAUGUAUGAUAUCAUGAGGAUGGCUCGAGAGCCUAUAUGGACACCCGAGGUUGCUGAUGAUGUUUAAUAUUUGUAUUAGUGUGCACUGUGAUGAUGGCACUUGUUAAUACACAUAUAGAUGUAUUAAGUUGAGAACUUCCUUUAUUGUGUAUUAAGUUUUAAGAAUGUAUGUAUUACGAUUAUGUACGUUAAUGGAUGUGAUAUAACGCUUCCGCAUGUGAUGAUAAACGUUUGAUGAUGCUAUGAUAAAAGGCUUACUUGGGCCUAACGGGUUAUGCUCGUUUGGGUGCACGCUCCGAUCACAAUCCCUCCAAGAAAUGGGAUGUGAUACCUUCGUCCAUUAAAAUUUUUCCUUCAUUAAACACCUAUAAAAGCACAAAUAAAUCAAUAACAAUCUCUCUUAAUUACAUUAACACCAAUUACAUUAAAUUGACUCACCUAAAUUAAUUAACUUAAAAUAAUUUAGAUAAAACUUACUAAUUUAUAUGCAUUAUUACAUGAACUAAGCUAAAUUAUUAUCAAAAUUAAGUCCAAAUAACUCUAUACCAUAGAGUUAUUUGUGUUUUAAUUGCAAACUAUGAACAAAAUUCUACACUAAUCCUGAUACUAAGUUGACCGACAUAAACAGACUUAGGAUGCUCUAGAACUUAAGUGCUCUAAUACCAAGUUUGUUAUAACCCAAAUCAUGGAGUCAUGACAGACACAGACAAGCCUGACAAGUAAUGCUCAUGAGACUCAAAGAAGCCUUAUAAUUCCUAUUCAUUAUUCAAUUCAUGGUAUCAUACACAAAUACAUAAUCCAUCUCAUUUCAUAAAUCCUUAAUACAAAGUUCAUAAGGCCACACAUAGGCCAAUCAUCGAGUUCAUUCAUACAACCCUUUUUCAAAUUAAUAUAUGGCACUUAGUUCCUACAAUAUCCUUAAUACAAAGUUUCAAAGCUUAGUGCUGAAGCAUUUCAUGACUUGGACUCAGCGGAGUGGACAUAUUGUAAGUGUACCUAUCAGGUGUCAAAAUCUAGUCCGUCCAAUGACGACACUAAGCCACAUAUAAUAGGUGGCAUCACUUAUCUACACAUGGUACACAAAAAGGGGUGAGUCAUUCUAAAACUUAGUGAAAUGGGGAUGCUAAACAUACAUAUUAUAACACAUUAAUAACAAUAAAGGAGACACAUUUAUUAUAUAAAAGCCUACACGACUAUUUAUCAAACAUCUCUAAAUAUAAGUGUGAGGAUCGUGCCAACAUCUUACAUACUCUUCAUAUCAAAUUUUACCUUCCCGAAAUCACACCUUAAUGGCAUUCUGAUUCUUAGAAAUAGAUUUUACAAUUGAAGAGUGUUCUUCCCCAAAACAUACACAAAUCAUGCACGGUGGCCAAUUGGCAGAAUCAAAUCGCUCAUCCGGAGUAAUCUCCCAAUGGAUGGCAUUACAAUCUUAGUCUUCACCUAGAGUAAUCUCCCGACAAGUGGUAUCACAAGCAUAAUCAUCAUUUGGAGUAAUCUCUCAAUGAAUAGUAUCACAAUCAUAGUCAUCACCUGGAGUAAUCUCCUGAAGGGUGGCGUCACAAGCAUAAUCAUCACCUAGAGUAAUGUCUCAACAGGUGGUAUCACAACACUGCAGGUGGGAAUCACAAGCGAGACUAAACCAUAUCCCCUAUUUACCACCAACCCUGCAGGCAUACUCAUAAUCAUGGGGAAAACGCCACUCAACACUAGUCAUUUCAACAUCCAGAAUUACUCCUCGGACGGAAUAUAAUCACAAUCAGGCCAUCAAUGCCUCUAUUACUCAUAUAUAUUUCUUAAUCACAUUUUCCAUCAAUAAUCUUGGCCUUCUGGCCUCACAAGUAUCAACAUUCAUAUUCUAACUUAGUCAUGGCCUAGUAGCCAUAUACAAAUAAACAAUUCGUGUCACAUACGAGAAUUCAAUAACUUCAUAUAUUUAAGCAAUCUCACUUCAUAAUUCACACACUUACGAGCAUCACAUAUGCAUAUCAAUAAUACAUUGGUCUAAGCAUCCUCAACUAGACACAAGCACAUCAAAUUAUCUAUUAGCUUAUGCUUCCCAAUUACAUAGUAUUGCAAUAUCUCACUGCCACUAUGUGGCUUACAAUAUAAUAUAUCACAUAUAUAUAAUCUAUAUACAAGUCUAGGCAUACUCAACUAGGCAUAAACACAUUAACUAUCUAAGUAGCUCAUGCUUGUUGAUGCCACAACAUAUACACAUUCUUUAACACGCAUAAUUAACAUAUCAGCCCAAGCAUGCUCAUCUAGGCCUAUCAUAGAAAUACAUUGUACCAUGGCAGUGCAUAACAAUAUACAUAAUGCAUCCACAUGCAUUUAAUCAUAAAGCCCCACUCACCUCGACAAUCGGGCACUCUUGUAGCUUAAUUCGACACUUGUUGCUCACUUGUGCCUUAACUCUAACUCGGUCAACUUCACCACUUAGCAAAUGGGUUGAAUUCUCACUCCUAGUUGUAGUCUAGCAUUCAUCAAUUACAUAUUUAUCAAUAUUCAUGCAUUAUUCACUAUCUCUAAGCCAAAUCAUAGCGUUCAAAUUAAUUUUAGCUUUCAAAAUAUGACAAAUUCUACACUACACUCUCAAAUCUUCAUAAUUCCUCAAUUUCAACUUCAAAUGCACAUAAAUUCUUACCUUAGAUGAGUUUCAACCAAUUUCCAACUCUUAAUCCUUAACAACUCAAAGGAAGAUAUAGCCCUUCUACUGCAUCAUGGAUUUCACAUUAUAAUCAUUUAAGUCGAAAAACAAUCGGUCAAAAGCUUUAAAUUUACCUCUACAAUGAUUUCCCAAGCUCAAAAUCACUUCUCCAAAUUCCAAAAUUUGAAUGAAGGAUAAGGAGUUUGAGAGAGAGACGUGAGAUAGUGUUUUUGGGCUAUUUUGGCAAUGGGCGGAUUGCCCAAUGCCUUUUUUUUUUUUUUGCCAAUCUACAUGCAUGUAUCAAUACAUUUGGCUAUGUAUCGAUACAUCUCCACGGGUUCCCUUUAAUUAUAUCGAUACAUGAGGCAUUAUAUCAAUACAUUUCUUUGAAUCAACCUAAAAUCUGUCGAUACAUUUGGACAAUGUAUCGAUACUUUUUAAAUCAAAUGCUCUCUACCGUAAAUUUAUUGAUACAUUUAGACAAUGAAUCGAUAGAUAUAACACAGAAUACUUCCCCAUUCAAAUCUAUUGAUACAUUUGAACAAUGUAUCCAAGAGUACGGGCUACAACUUUCAUGUUUACCACUUCAUCCAGUUCAGAUCCGAUCAUGGUGAAAUUGAGUUAGAAGACAAUGGACAGUUGUAGUUCUACACAGCAUGUUGAUUAAAGGUCGCGACUCUAAGUUACUCAUGGCCACAGUGUUGAGGGAGCUAGGGCCGUAGCGUUGGGAAGAUCAUAGCCUCGGUGUUGGACAGUUUAUGUGCAUCAUACUUUGGCCUAAGACCAGAGCGUCGUGGUGCUGAAUAAGCAAUGUCAUGACGCCACCAAAGACAGCCACAACACCACAACGCCAAGGAGUUAUGGCUGCAACACCACACCAAUUUUCAAAAAUAAAAUGUUUGACUGUAAUUUGGAAAUUAAGGCACCUUGCGCAUAUUUAAGGGACUUUUUCAUAGAAGAGAAGGGGGCAGCAACUAUUCUAAAGAUUUGGAGCCAAGAAUAAAGCAAGAAAGCAAGAUAAUUUGAGAAAGAUUCAAGAUCAAAAGCUUCAAUUAUUAGUUUCUUUCUUUACUUUUAUAUUUCUCUUAUUUUCUUUGACUUGGAUUCAUGGCUAAAUUUCUUUGGAUGAUGUUUUAUUUGAAUAUUAUGAGCUAAAUUAUUUUUUUAGGAUUGUAGUGGAUUUUAACAUGUAGUCUGAAUAUUUGUUUCUCUUUUAUUUAUCAUGAAUGGGUAUAGUUUUGCUUAUUCAAAUAUUUUCUUAAUAACUUUAAUUGCCUGAUCAAAAAUUAAUUGAUUUGUGAAUCUAAUUAAAACUCAAUAGAGAGAUUUUAGCUUGGACUAAGAUUUAAAUAGUGUAUACAUCACUUAGGUUAUCUGAUUCGCAUUUCGAGUAGACAUAUGCCAAUUGCCAUACAUAGCCAAAUUAGGACACUAGCUUAAUGAACUUAAUUUAAUUGAUUUCUAUAGACAUAUAGUGAACUAAUUAAGUUAGGUAUUUGUGCAAGCAUCUCGACAGAGACUUAUAUAUAGUCUUGGAUCAUAGGUUAGUAAAACCACCCAGGAAGAUAAAUAAUAAAAAAAGCUGGUAUUUGAUGAAGUGCUGAAUGUACCCAUAAUCCUAAGUCUUUAGUCUAUUGUCUUUCAUAAUUAUAUUUUAUUGUUGCUAGUUAUUUUAGUAUUUAUUUUCAUUUCGUUAUUUGUUAGUUUUUCUUUAAUUUUCGAUUACUUAAAUAAGAUUAAAUUGUUAUAAAAUUUUGGUACUUAAAGAAAAUUUAAAAACAAAUCCCUACAGGAAUGAUACUCUACUUUUACUAUAUUACUUGUUUACAAUAACAUGCACUUUCGUGAAAAUUCGACAAUAAUAUCAAGCAGCAAGAAAGAUCUAAGAAAAAAAUAACAAAACAAAAUACUAUUUAAAGAGAAUAAACAAACAUAUGGCUCACAAAACUUUAUGAUAAAAAAUGUGAUAUUUUAAGAAAAAAUCAGUAUAUAUAAUAGCAUAAAAUUAUUAGAAAUUACAAAGAACAAAAAUAGUAUACAUACUAAAAACCUAGUGCUUCACAAAACAUUAUGACAAAAAUGCCAAGAUUUUUUUAAAAAAAAAGUAAGCAUACAUUAAGGAUAAAAUAAUAAUAGCACAAAGAGUAGCAAAAUAAUUGAGAAAACAUUCAUCUGGUUGUUUUGAGUUAACCAUAAUUGCACUAUCAUUGGAUGGUUUGAAUUUUGACUAGAGGAAACAUCUUUCUCAUUGCUAAAGGAAAAAAAGGCCAUACUACAGCUUGUCGAUCUUGUUUAAUGAUCAAUCAUUCCCUUAACAAUGAGAUGAAUUUUAUUCUUUUCAAAAUUGAACCAUCAACAACAAUACAAAACAUUGCAACUCUAAGCCAAUAAAAUAAUCAAAUAUGAUACAUGAAAGAACACUUUUCAUUUCAUAAGAACACAUAUAGCAUUUAAUAAGUAGUAGUAAGCAUGAAUUAAGGCUACAAUAACAAUAGUACAAACAGUCACAAAAUUAACUGGAAAGCAAGUACUUUAUAAAGCUUUAUAAUUAUAACCAAUCACUUAAUAUAAUGGUUUUAUCAAUAACAAACUUAAGUAACCUAUCAAGUAAGGUUGACAAAUACUUACACUUACUUGGUUAAUUAGCAAAUUCACCCAAAUUUUGCUUUACAUUAGACGCAAAAAUAAAAUUCAAUAAGAAAAAAGUAUAAUAAUUUCAAACAAAAAUUGUAAAAAUCAGAUGACAAAUAUCACAUAGAAACAAAAAUUGUACAAAUUAGAUAAAAAAAAUCAAACUCUUACAGUUAGUUACAUCAAAAUCUCAAAAAAAAAUUAUGAAAAUAAUAAGGCAUAUAUAAGAAACAUGAUUGAUUGCAUGUAAUAACAUAUUAACAUAUCAUACAAAAAAAGCAUAAAGAAGUGCAGGCAAACGAUAAAACAGUAUCGUGGUGUAGGGAAAGCAUGCAACAGUAGAGCAAGUAUUAAUUACUAUUAGCAUGGUUACCUUCAUCAAACCAUCAAGUACAAUAGAAAACAAAGUUAAAAAAACAUAAAAACAAAAAAAAUAAUGUACACAAAAACAUAUAGUUAUUUACUCAAUAUUUAUUACUAUAUCGACAUGCAAGCUAUGACAGAUUUUAACCUAAAAUUGUACUUUUGUUUUGUUUUCCAAUUCAAAAAACUUAAGGCAUAAUAAAACUAUGAUGUUCUUUACCAACAACCAAUUCUCAACUAGAUAAUUACACUUUUGAUUCAAAUCUUUCUUACAUGUAAACAGUGCAAAAAAUCAAUAAUAAAACAGAACAAUAAUAGCAAACAAAAUAGUAAAAAUCACAACUACAAAAUUAAGUUGCAUCAACAAUUAAAUUUAAAGAGAUUAUUUUUUGAAAGCAAACAUAAUAAUAACACAUUUCAACCAAAAUGGUAAAACAAUAAUGAUAGCAAAUGAUUAAAAACGGUGUUUCCCUCAAAACAAAACAUUCAUUGAUUGAUGAAUGUUGUUUCCAUCAAAACAAAAUAGUUUGGGAACCAAAAUACAACACAAAAACUCAAACAUCAUCUAUGUCUAACAUUAUUUGUGAAACAAAAAAACUACAAACUUUAUAUAUACACCACACUAGAAAAAUGACAUUUUUUUUAUUCAGUUUAAGUUAAGCUGCAAACUAAGAGAAAAACUCAGUAAAAGACUGUUACAAUAGUUGUAAUCAAAAUAAUAAAAAUCACACAAAAAAGUGACACUUUUGUCCAGUUUAAUUUAAACAAUGCAUUUUUUAUCAACAUUAAUAUAAAGUAAACAAAAUACAAAAGUGAUGAACAGCUGUUACGCAAAUUAUUAUCAUUAUAUUAAUGAUUAAGAACGGUAUAAAAAAUCAGUAAGAGAAUGUAAUUUCUCUAACAAUAAUUGUAAUCUAAACAAUAAAAAUCACACCAAGAAAAUGACACAUUUUUCAGUUUAAUUUAAACAGAGUAUUGUUUACAAACAUUAAAACCCUUAAUUGAACCCUUGGUUGAUAAAUCAUGUGACGAUAGAGAAUUCAUAUCCAACAUGAAAUUGGAGAAGUGGAAAAUAUGGCAAAAACCAGCCAAAUGAUAAGCGAAAUAGAAAGUUUCAUUCUCGCUGCAGCGAGAAACAGAGCAACAAGAAAGACUUCCUUUCAUCCCAAAUAAACCAUUUCACUACAAUGCAAAUCAAUUUGGAUUACAAAAAAAUGCUCAAGGCUCAGCAAGCAAAAUUCCACAUACAUUAUAGUCACACAUGUUAUUCAUAAAAUCUUUAUUGCAUUAAUACAUGUGAAGAUAUGCAAACAUAUAUGUAUAUAUAUACAUCCAUCGCCUCCCCAACUCUUGUGCAUCCCCCCACAUCGUGCACAUAACUGGAGUCAUCGUGUGCAUCCCCCCACAUCAUGCACAUCUAAUGCCGUCGUGUACAUCCCCCACAUCGUGCACACGAGCAAUGCCAUCAUCCGCCUACGUCACCACCGUCAUUACCGAUAUGUGCAUCCCCACACGGUUAUAUCCAUUACACAAUAUUAUCUACCAAUGUACUAUACAUAUAUAUAUAUAUAUCAACAUUAUACCGAAAACACAUGGAUUCAUCACACUUUCCAUCUCACAACACAAAGACAUUUCAUAAGGGCUUGUUCCCAGGCACUUUUUUUUUUAAAAGAGAAUUGGAUAAAUCAUUCAAAAUAUUUGUCCAAAUACAUUCACAUAUCCCAAAACAGUUUUGAAAUGCAAGUUCAUUCACUUGUUUUUGUUGAUUCUUAAAGCAGCUUUAACUUCCACUAAUGCCCCAAAUGGUGACGUAGGGUUUCGGUGGAGCCUAUCAUACGUUAGCAUCACAAUCAACUCAAUCACAUAACCAUAAUUCUAAAAGCUAUCUCCUAAAUCAUGUUCCACCAGUUAUUCCUAACUAGCUUCUAACUACCAUCAAGUGGCUAUUUAUUUGCACUAUUAUAAUCGCACCAAAAUGAAUAAACUACCUUAACUACACAACACUCAUAAAUCUAACUAUUAAUCAUUCUCAACAACUAAAAUAUCAACUCAAUUUCAAUGCUCACCUUGNNNNNNNNNNNNNNNNNNNNNNNNNNNNNNNNNNNNNNNNNNNNNNNNNNNNNNNNNNNNNNNNNNNNNNNNNNNNNNNNNNNNNNNNNNNNNNNNNNNNNNNNNNNNNNNNNNNNNNNNNNNNNNNNNNNNNNNNNNNNNNNNNNNNNNNNNNNNNNNNNNNNNNNNNNNNNNNNNNNNNNNNNNNNNNNNNNNNNNNNNNNNNNNNNNNNNNNNNNNNNNNNNNNNNNNNNNNNNNNNNNNNNNNNNNNNNNNNNNNNNNNNNNNNNNNNNNNNNNNNNNNNNNNNNNNNNNNNNNNNNNNNNNNNNNNNNNNNNNNNNNNNNNNNNNNNNNNNNNNNNNNNNNNNNNNNNNNNNNNNNNNNNNNNNNNNNNNNNNNNNNNNNNNNNNNNNNNNNNNNNNNNNNNNNNNNNNNNNNNNNNNNNNNNNNNNNNNNNNNNNNNNNNNNNNNNNNNNNNNNNNNNNNNNNNNNNNNNNNNNNNNNNNNNNNNNNNNNNNNNNNNNNNNNNNNNNNNNNNNNNNNNNNNNNNNNNNNNNNNNNNNNNNNNNNNNNNNNNNNNNNNNNNNNNNNNNNNNNNNNNNNNNNNNNNNNNNNNNNNNNNNNNNNNNNNNNNNNNNNNNNNNNNNNNNNNNNNNNNNNNNNNNNNNNNNNNNNNNNNNNNNNNNNNNNNNNNNNNNNNNNNNNNNNNNNNNNNNNNNNNNNNNNNNNNNNNNNNNNNNNNNNNNNNNNNNNNNNNNNNNNNNNNNNNNNNNNNNNNNNNNNNNNNNNNNNNNNNNNNNNNNNNNNNNNNNNNNNNNNNNNNNNNNNNNNNNNNNNNNNNNNNNNNNNNNNNNNNNNNNNNNNNNNNNNNNNNNNNNNNNNNNNNNNNNNNNNNNNNNNNNNNNNNNNNNNNNNNNNNNNNNNNNNNNNNNNNNNNNNNNNNNNNNNNNNNNNNNNNNNNNNNNNNNNNNNNNNNNNNNNNNNNNNNNNNNNNNNNNNNNNNNNNNNNNNNNNNNNNNNNNNNNNNNNNNNNNNNNNNNNNNNNNNNNNNNNNNNNNNNNNNNNNNNNNNNNNNNNNNNNNNNNNNNNNNNNNNNNNNNNNNNNNNNNNNNNNNNNNNNNNNNNNNNNNNNNNNNNNNNNNNNNNNNNNNNNNNNNNNNNNNNNNNNNNNNNNNNNNNNNNNNNNNNNNNNNNNNNNNNNNNNNNNNNNNNNNNNNNNNNNNNNNNNNNNNNNNNNNNNNNNNNNNNNNNNNNNNNNNNNNNNNNNNNNNNNNNNNNNNNNNNNNNNNNNNNNNNNNNNNNNNNNNNNNNNNNNNNNNNNNNNNNNNNNNNNNNNNNNNNNNNNNNNNNNNNNNNNNNNNNNNNNNNNNNNNNNNNNNNNNNNNNNNNNNNNNNNNNNNNNNNNNNNNNNNNNNNNNNNNNNNNNNNNNNNNNNNNNNNNNNNNNNNNNNNNNNNNNNNNNNNNNNNNNNNNNNNNNNNNNNNNNNNNNNNNNNNNNNNNNNNNNNNNNNNNNNNNNNNNNNNNNNNNNNNNNNNNNNNNNNNNNNNNNNNNNNNNNNNNNNNNNNNNNNNNNNNNNNNNNNNNNNNNNNNNNNNNNNNNNNNNNNNNNNNNNNNNNNNNNNNNNNNNNNNNNNNNNNNNNNNNNNNNNNNNNNNNNNNNNNNNNNNNNNNNNNNNNNNNNNNNNNNNNNNNNNNNNNNNNNNNNNNNNNNNNNNNNNNNNNNNNNNNNNNNNNNNNNNNNNNNNNNNNNNNNNNNNNNNNNNNNNNNNNNNNNNNNNNNNNNNNNNNNNNNNNNNNNNNNNNNNNNNNNNNNNNNNNNNNNNNNNNNNNNNNNNNNNNNNNNNNNNNNNNNNNNNNNNNNNNNNNNNNNNNNNNNNNNNNNNNNNNNNNNNNNNNNNNNNNNNNNNNNNNNNNNNNNNNNNNNNNNNNNNNNNNNNNNNNNNNNNNNNNNNNNNNNNNNNNNNNNNNNNNNNNNNNNNNNNNNNNNNNNNNNNNNNNNNNNNNNNNNNNNNNNNNNNNNNNNNNNNNNNNNNNNNNNNNNNNNNNNNNNNNNNNNNNNNNNNNNNNNNNNNNNNNNNNNNNNNNNNNNNNNNNNNNNNNNNNNNNNNNNNNNNNNNNNNNNNNNNNNNNNNNNNNNNNNNNNNNNNNNNNNNNNNNNNNNNNNNNNNNNNNNNNNNNNNNNNNNNNNNNNNNNNNNNNNNNNNNNNNNNNNNNNNNNNNNNNNNNNNNNNNNNNNNNNNNNNNNNNNNNNNNNNNNNNNNNNNNNUAUAUAUAUAUAUAUAUAUAUAUAUAUAUUAACUUAAAAAAUUAUAUCAUUUAAAAUAGAUAACCUGUAAUUUCAUAUUAAUACAAGUAUAAAUAAAUAUACAUAUAUACAUAUAUAUUCCAUUGCUAUGAUUCAAAAUUUGUAUACAUAUAAUAAAUUAAUAUAUUUUAGAUAUAUUAUAUAAUAAGUUUACUAUAUAUAUUAGUUUUUUUAAUUUAUAUUAACUAAUAUUAGUACGUACCUAAAGUAUUAUUAGUUUUUGUUUAAUAAAUUAUUAGAUUUUAUCAUUUUUAUAAAAUUAAAAUGUUAUUAUGUUAUUUUUAUAAUUUUUUUAAUUUUAUAACAUUAUUGAAUUUGAAAUUAUUAAUUUAUAAUUUAUAAUUCAUGUUUUGAAAAUAUAUAAAAAUAAUAAGAAAAGAAAAACAUAUUAAGAUUUUUAAUAUUAUAAAACUCUUUAUGUCACGACCCGAAACUCUCAUCGAGCCCGAGACAACCGUCGCGACGUCCCGAUAGGCACUCAUUACCCCGAAUGCCGAUCAAAACCCCGCAAGGCUUAGCAUCAGCUUCCGCAUUUCCCUGGUGAGCGACAGUUAUUAAAUCUCGCAUUUCAAGAAAUCAUAAGUCGUUUCCAAAUUAAAAUAAUAAAAUAUUAUUUUCUAGCUCACAGAGGGAUUUUCGUCAUUUUUUUUCGAAAAUAUCGAAACCUGCCAAAAACAUGGUGUAAAAUCUAAAUAUGUUCAUACAUACUUUAAAUCAGAUAACUGAAGUAUAAAAUUACUUUUACAAUGACACGUGGGCCCCCAACUGACCAAGAAGGUGUAGGGCUACGAACCCUUACUUUCUAGGAUGCAACUCCGAGAUUAAUUCUCGUCUUAAUCAACUAUCAACAAACUGUCUUGAGCCUAAAAAAUGGAUAGGAAGAGGGGUGAGAUUACAUAAUCCCAGUGAGUAAACAAUUACCAUAAAAAACAUCUCAAGCCGAGUAGAUGGAGAUAAUAUAAAAACGUUAUAUCUCAAGAAUGUUAAUAACGUAAAAUUCGUUUCAAUCUAUACCAAACAUUUUCUUUUCAUCAAAAUUUCUCGGGUUAUGAAUUUCUUAAACUUGGUCUCUACCAGAAUCAUUCUCAUGAGUACCUUCGUCAAGGUAUCCCACUGAGACUGCCAAGGUUGUUAAAUGUCCCACACCCAUAAACAUAUUUUCGCAUCUGACACACAACCGUUCCUCGGCAUUGGCUGAGUCUCACUCUCACUUGGUGGCCCGAACGUAAGGUGCACUCAAAUCUUACCUCAGGAGAUACUUCAUCCAACAUCUCCCCCCGGAGGUAAAUAUAUAAUUAGGUUACCGUGCCCUUCUCAUAGGUAGUCCACGGAAACCCCCACCACUGUAGUGACCAUUUAACAUACCACUAGACCCAUAAAAUUUUCAGUAGCAUAAUAUGGUAAAUAAAAUUUAAUCCAGUCUACCGAGACCAAUCCAAAACUGUUCAUAUAUUUGAUCCAACCCCAAAAAUUUAGCCAUCAUGCUAUCAUAGUGUCAUAAGCCACAAUUUCAAUAACAUAUAAAAUCAUAAAUUCAACACAGUCUCCAUAUACUCAAUUUUUCCAAAAUAAUAUUUGAUUUCAAAACCAGUAUAAAUCUCAUUUUUAUUAAAAAACAUUUUAAUUGAAAAACAUAAUAUUUUAUAAUUUAAACUCACCAUUCAAUAAAAGCAUCAAACAAGUAUAAUUACUUUAGAUAUUUAAGACGAUAAAUUGUCCACUUACAGUUCUAGGAGUCGAUGUACUUCUAAUCCCAGUCUUCAAGCACAAUCUCUGUACUUUUACUAAUGUAAUUUGCUCACCACCUAUCCACAAUGUACAAUACAUAAUUCAACACAUUAAUGCUUGACCAUUAUAAAAUCAAUUCAGGCUCGAUGUAUAUGCAUGAUAUAAUAUGCAAUUUAUCCGACUACCACUUAAAUGCGGUGUUGACCUAAUUCGGCCUAUUACCCGAUUAAAUGACAAUUGUGUCUGAUUUGGCUCCAAAUUGCUCCAUUUCAUUUCUAGUACCUCAAUUCACCGAACAUUAUUCAAAUAACACCAAUUUCAGCAUCAAAACCCUCCCAUUUUUUCAAGGAAAAAUUCAGCCAUUACAGUACACUAACACUGUGAUUUUUCCUACUUAAUUUUCUCACCAUUAUUGUCAAACCCUAUUCUAUAAAAUAAUUACGACGUCAUUUACAUGCUCAAUAGAAUGUUUGCAUGUUUAGGAAGUUCGAGGAAUCGUUAAAAGACGAUAUUACCCCUAAUGGUACCAUUAAGUUGAUUAAGCCUCAAACUAGUUCAAAUAGGAAUUUUAAGGUAAAAUUAAGAGUUUCACAAUUCAGGGAUGACUCAAAAUGGUAAUUUGGAGUUCAAGGAUCAAUUUGGAGUCAAACCGAAAUUUUCACUAUCUAGAGGCAAAAUGGUCAUUUGCCACCUGAGGACAAAAUGAAAAUUUUGAGAAAAGCUUUUUUUGGCCCCAUUUAACUUAUUGGAGUAUGAUUUGAGUAUUGGAGUAUAAUUUGAGGGUUUGGCAGUGAAAUAGUUUAAUUUCGGUUAUUUCUGGAGUGUAGGGGCAAAAUUGUAAUUUUUUCAUCUACGGAUAAAAUUUGAGAUUUUGAGAGACUUUAGAUCAAAUUUGACAAAUUAGAGAAUGGUAUGAGUAUAAGGGAUGAAAAAUAUGUCUAUGGGCAAUUUUUCAGUUUUUGGGGUAAAAAUAUAAUUUUUGACUUUUACAGGGGCAAAAAUGUAAAUUUCAAAAAUUACUCCACCAAGACUUUGGAUAAGUCUGAGAAUUUUAUCUAAGCUAUGGAUAUGUGGGACAAGUGUAUGGUGAAAAUUUGGAAAUAAAUGGAUGGCUAGAAUUUAAAGAAUUAAUAAAACAAAAAAAAUGAAAAAAAUAAUAUUAUAUUAUUUUAGCCUUUAAAAAUGUCAAAAUUCCAGAAUUCUCAUCCUCUUCAGCUGUCCAAACCAGGAGAGAAAAAGGGGGAAAAGAAAUAAGAACCCUAGCUGAAAAAAUUUGUGGAAAAUCAAAAGAAAUCAAGAAAUCAAGCAUUAAAAAGGUAAAUUUCAUUGAUUUUCCUUGUGAUUUUCACUACCCAUGCAUUUUUUUCUCAUUUCCAUGCAAAAUUAGAAAGUGGGUAUGGACACCCAUGCUGGCCAAACCUCCAUGGAUGAGUUUUGAGCUUGAGUUUUGGUUGAUUUUAAUUGAAUUAAGUGAUUUUAGUUAGGUUAUAUUGAAAUAUAGCAAAAAUAAGCUAGANNNNNNNNNNNNNNNNNNNNNNNNNNNNNNNNNNNNNNNNNNNNNNNNNNNNNNNNNNNNNNNNNNNNNNNNNNNNNNNNNNNNNNNNNNNNNNNNNNNNNNNNNNNNNNNNNNNNNNNNNNNNNNNNNNNNNNNNNNNNNNNNNNNNNNNNNNNNNNNNNNNNNNNNNNNNNNNNNNNNNNNNNNNNNNNNNNNNNNNNNNNNNNNNNNNNNNNNNNNNNNNNNNNNNNNNNNNNNNNNNNNNNNNNNNNNNNNNNNNNNNNNNNNNNNNNNNNNNNNNNNNNNNNNNNNNNNNNNNNNNNNNNNNNNNNNNNNNNNNNNNNNNNNNNNNNNNNNNNNNNNNNNNNNNNNNNNNNNNNNNNNNNNNNNNNNNNNNNNNNNNNNNNNNNNNNNNNNNNNNNNNNNNNNNNNNNNNNNNNNNNNNNNNNNNNNNNNNNNNNNNNNNNNNNNNNNNNNNNNNNNNNNNNNNNNNNNNNNNNNNNNNNNNNNNNNNNNNNNNNNNNNNNNNNNNNNNNNNNNNNNNNNNNNNNNNNNNNNNNNNNNNNNNNNNNNNNNNNNNNNNNNNNNNNNNNNNNNNNNNNNNNNNNNNNNNNNNNNNNNNNNNNNNNNNNNNNNNNNNNNNNNNNNNNNNNNNNNNNNNNNNNNNNNNNNNNNNNNNNNNNNNNNNNNNNNNNNNNNNNNNNNNNNNNNNNNNNNNNNNNNNNNNNNNNNNNNNNNNNNNNNNNNNNNNNNNNNNNNNNNNNNNNNNNNNNNNNNNNNNNNNNNNNNNNNNNNNNNNNNNNNNNNNNNNNNNNNNNNNNNNNNNNNNNNNNNNNNNNNNNNNNNNNNNNNNNNNNNNNNNNNNNNNNNNNNNNNNNNNNNNNNNNNNNNNNNNNNNNNNNNNNUGCAGUGGUGGGGGGUUCCGUGGGCCAGCCUAUUAGAGGGGCAUGGUAAACUCCUUUAUAUUUUCACCUCGGUCGUAGAGGCGCAUAGGGUAUCUCCUGAGGUGGGCUUUUUGAGUGCACUUCACGUGGACCACCGCGUGAGAGUGAGACUCAGCCAAUGCCAAGGAACGGCUAUGUUUCAAAAUAAAAAUAUGAUUUAUGCGAAAUAUGAAUUUUUAACAACCUUGGUGGGCUCGGUUGGAUACCCCUGGUCCAGGUGUCACCGAGUACAGGAUUUGGCAUGAGCCAAGUUUUGAGUAAUUCACGAGCCAUAUUAAUUAUUUGGUUGAAAUGAAUAUUCGUGAUGUGAAAAAUGUACUAAAGUUAAUUAUUUUUUAAUUGUUUCCAUUUACUCGCCUUUAGAUAGUUUAGAUGGUGUCUGUUUACUCAUUGGGAUUUUAUAAUCUCACCACCCUCAAUUCCCCACACUUCAGGUUCGGGAUAACCGGUAGAUAGUCGAUUGCAUCAAGGACUUCAGUUAGCCUUGCAUCGACAAAAUUGUAGGUUCACAGACUCACAUCUUAUUAGUUAGUUGGGGGCCCACGUGUCAUUGUAAAAGUAAUUUUAUACUUUAGUUAUUUGAUUUAAAGUAUGUAUGAACAUAUUUAGCUUUUACACCAUGUUUUUGGCGGGUUUAGGUGUUUUCGAAAAAAAGAACGACGAAAAUGCCCCUGUGGCCAAAAAAUAAUAUUUUAUUGUUUUGAUUUGGAAAAGACUUAUGAUUUCUUGAAAUGCGAGAUUUAAUAACUGUAGCUCACCGAAGAGAUGCGAAAGCUGAUGCUAAGCCUUGCGGGGUUUUGAUCGGCAUUCGGGGUAAUUAGUGCCUAUCGGGACGUCGCGACGGUUGUCAUGGGCCCGAUGGGGAGUUUCGGGUCGUGACAAUUAUUCAUCAUUUUCUAAGCUAUUUCUCUUGAAAUAAUAACAAUCCAUCACCCACAUACAUCAAGGAAGAUUCGGCCAAUGAAGAUUCAUGGGAAAAAUGGAUUCUUUUCUUAUUGUUUUGCUUCUAAAUAUGCUAAACUAACCUUAAUCACUAACAUAACUUAAAAUCAAACAAUUCCAACUUCAUUCUCUCUCCAUAACCAUUUUGACCAGCCAUGAAUUCAUCAUGAAAACAUGUAAUUUAAGCAUGGAAAAUAAGAAGAAAUGCUUAAGGAAAAUAGGUUUCAAGUUUAAAUUGAAAAAUCCUACCUUUUUCACUUGUUUUCCUUGAUUUCCCACACUUUUUCUCUUGAAAUCCUCCACCUAGGGUUUGUUCUUGUUUUUCCUUUCUUUCCUUUUGUCUUGGCCGAAUAUGGAGAAGAAGAAUGGGAUAAAUAUGGGCUGAUUUUAAUAGAAAAUAAUAAAAUAUCUUUACUUGACACGUGGCAUGUUUCCAUUGGUCUAUUUUUAAAACUUUAAAAAUUUUAAACCUUUUAUCUCCAUCACAUGAUUAGUCAAAGGUCAAAAUGAGGAUAAGUGAAGACCAUGUGCUGGACAAAUGUUCUGGUGGUGAAAAAUUACUUAUUUGCCCCCGAAGUGAUAAAAUUAUCAUUUCGCCCCUAUACUCUAAAUUAUAUCGAAAAUUAAAAUUUUUCACUUCUAGUCCUCAAAUCAUACUCCAAUACUCAAAUCAUACUUCAAUAAGUCAAAUGGAGCCAAAAAUCUUUUCUAAAAUUCUCAUUUUGUCCCUAGGUGGCAAAUGACCAUUUUACUCGUAGAUAGUGAAAAUUUCGGUUUGACUCCAAAUUGAUCCACGAACUCCGAAUCACCAUUUUGAGUUAUCCCUGAACUGUGAAACUCUUAAUUUCACCUUAAAAUUCCUAUUUGAACUAGUUCGAGGCUUAAUCGGCUUAAUAGUACCAUUAGGGGCAAUAUCGUCUUUUAACAAUUUCUCGAACUUCCUAAAGAUGCAAACAUUCUAUGAAGCAUGUAAAUGACGUCGUAAUUAUUUUAUAGAACAGGGUUUGACAUUAUAUAUAUAUAUAUAUUUAAUUUUAUUAAUAUAUUUCUUAUAAAAGAUUAAUAAAUUUUUUAAUAUAUUUUCAAUAAAAAAUUUAACAAAUAGUAAUACCGACAGAAUUUUCCAACGAAAAAUUCAGUUAGAAUAUUUAGUGGGUUUUAAUUUUUUUUGGCACCAUAAACUUUUUGACGGAUUUUCAACAGAUUAUUUUCCCGUUGGAAAAUUUCGAUUAAAAUCUGUUGGAAAUUUCGUCAUAAAGUUUUGCAAGAUUAAAGUUUUAUUGCACUAAAAAAAUUUCUAUCAGAUUUCCAACGAAAAUAUUUCGUUGGAAAAAUUCUAUUGGAAAUCUAUUGAAAAUCCAUCGAAAAAAAUCAAAUUAAAGUUUUGUUGGAAAUUUGUUGGAAAUUGCCAACGAAAAUUUCCAAUGAAAUUUUUUCAAUCGGAAAACCCUAUUUUCUUGUAAUGUGAUUGCGUCAAAUUCAUAAUCACUAGUAACUCUUCUAGACGCAAAUUAUUCAGAUGACCACUGAUAAGUAUAAUUAUUCAUCAACCAAAAGUACUUGAAAAUAAAGAAAAUAAAGCUUGAAUUAAGGCUAGCUUGAUUAGUAUUAAUAUUAUCAAACAAAAAUAAAAACACAACUCUUUGGCAACGACGCCAAAAACUUGUUAUGCUUGCUAAUUUAUCUAGAUAAUUUGCUUUAAAACUUUUAUCAAAUUAGCAAAAUAUCAUGCAAGUGUACAUGGUUAACAGGUAAUAUAAUAGUGAGUGAGUUAUCAUCUCCAUAGGGAAUUGUAUCUAAAUUCUUGCUAAUUACUAAAAUUAGACAAUCUAAUCUUAUCUAAGGAAAUCUAAUAUGGAAAUUAAUUGAAAAUGAAAAAAAAUUAAAGUAGCAAGGCUAAAUUAGUGAACUAAGCUAAAAAAAAUGCAAGUAAAUUGAGUUUGAAAGCACUAGGGAAGUUGUCAUGACUCGGUACUCCCCUAGAGCCAGUGACAACAGUCGCGGUAUCUCGAUAGACACUUAUUGUCCGGAAUAUCAACCCGAAACCCCGCAAGGCUUUACUAUCAGUUUCUCUGUUCCCUUGUGAGCAACCAUUGUCAAAUAUCGUGUUCUAAAAGAUUUUAAGCUAUUUCCAACUUUAAACAAAUAAAAUAUUAAUUUUUCGUCUCGCAGGGGUAUUUUGAUCAUUUUUCUCAAAAAAUUUGAAACUGGCUAAAACGUAAUAUAUAAGUACAAAACACAUAAUUCAUAUUCAAAAUGAGUUUAAAAGUCUAAAAUCUUCAUUUAAAACGAAAUUAUGGUUAUUUGAAUAUAAUAAGAAAAUAAAAAAAAUAUUAAGUAAAAUAUUCUAUUUUCUUAUAAAACAAUAUUUAUAGAGUUAUACGUGAAUAAUUUUUAUAACGUAAAAGCUAAAUAAAUUUAUACAUACUUAAAUACAGUAAGCCAAAAUAUUUAAUUUAAUUUACAAUAACAAGAGUGCCCCCGAAUAAACAAAAGUAAAGAGGACUGUGAACCUACGGUUUGGAAAAUGCAGAUCCCACUGUAGUCCUCGAUGAGAUCAGCUAUCUACAGUCUAUACUGAACCUGAAAUGGGUGGAAAGGAGGGUGGUGAGAUUAUAAAAUCCCAAUGAGUAAACAAACAUCAUCAUAAACAUCUAGAGUUGAGUACAUGGAGACAAUAAAGUAAAUCAUCAUAAACUGGGUUAUAGCAUUAGAACACAUUUUGUUCAAAACACGUAAAGAGGCUUAUGAAUCUCAUAAAAAUCUAGGCUUGUGCCAUAAAUCCAUUCUCGGGGACACCUUGGCCGAGGCAUCCUACCGAGACCGCCAAGGCUAUUAAAAUUCACAUUUCACAUAAAUCAUGUUUUUGUUUUGAAAACAUAGCCGUUCCUUGGCGUUGGCUGAGUUCCCCCUCACGUGGUGGUUUAGCGUGAAGUGAACCCUAAACUUUACCCCAGGAGAUACCCUACGCGCCUCUCCGUUCGAGGUAAGAAUAUAAUGGGGUUUACCGUGCCCCUCUAAAAGGCUGGUCCACAGAAACCCCCUACUGCAGUGAUUAAUUAAUAUAUAAUCCACCAUAUAAUAAAACUCAAUAACAUGAUAUGGCAAUUUUGUAAUUCGUAGUUUUUCAAGGUAACCAAACAAUUCGCAUUUCAAUACAAUUGCCAACUAGCCAAUCAUGCUCGAUUUAUCAUAAGCCAGUUAAUUUAAACAAUCAAAUUGCCACAAUUAACAGUCUCCGUGUACUCUAUUUUUCAAAAUCACUAUUAAUUUCAAAACAAUUUAUAAUUUAAUUUCAUUGAAACUCAUUUAUUCAUAAAACAUGAAAAUUUAUCUUUUUAAAUUCCUUUUUCCAUAGAAUUCAUGAAAGCAUUUAAAAACCACCCUAGAUAAUUAAAAUGACAGUAAGUUUACUCACAAUGUCUAGAAUGCAGACUUUCGAAGCACUCUGUCUACUGGUCCUCGGAUGCAAUUUCCUUGCCUUUAUCGGAGGACUCACCACCUUGACACAGUACAAAAUCGAGAGUUUCACCAAGUUGGUACUAAAUCAAAAUUAAACUAAUUUAGACUACCAAUGCAUGAUAUGGAAUGCAAAAAUGCACUGGUAACUAUCUAAACCCGGUAUUGGCCUAAUUCGUCUUAUCACCCGAUUAAAUUCCUAACGGGUCCGUUUAAACUCCAAUUUAAUUCUUUUCAGUUUCUAUACCUCAAUUGCACCCAAAUUAACUUAAUGUCCCUCAGUGUGGUGCAAAUUAUCAGUCUCAACAGUAAAUUACGAAAAUACCCCUAGUGGGUAAAAAUUCGUAUUUUUGCUCCGAAAAUUCCCAUUAUUUUUCUAGGCUCAUAAUUCAUCAUUCCUUAACCAAUUCUCCUAGAAUAAAAUCAAACUCAUCCUCACUCACUACAUGGUUAAUUCAGCCAUUAAUGGUUGGGGGAGAAAAUAAUUUCUUUUCUUGUUGUUUUCUUUCUAAAUAUGCUAAACUAAAUAAAAACACUAACAUAAAUUAAAAUCAAAUAAAACCAACAACUUUCUCUCUCCUAACCCAUUUUUUUCAGAAUUUAAUUCAUCAUGAAAACAUGUAAUUUAAUCAUGGAUAAUAAAGAGAAAUGCUUGGGAAUAAGAAAACUCAAAGCUUAAUAGAAAAAAUCUCACCCUUUUCACUUAAUUUCCUUGAAAAUUCACACUUUUUCUUUGAUUUUCUCUCUCUAGGGUUUUAUUUUUAUUUUCUCUCUCUUCUUGCUGGUUUGGGCAGCCAUGGGGUGGAAGAUGAGCUGAUUUUGUGCCUUUUAAAAAGGAAAAAAAUAAAUUAAUAAAGGCAUGACACGUGGCAUCAUGUCAUUGGUCUAUUUUUAAAAUUUUAAAAAUUUAAACAUUUUAUCUCCACCAAAUGAUUAGUCAAAGGUCAAAAAAUGAGGAUAAAGGAAGACCAUGUGCUGGAAAAAUAUCCUGGUGGUGAAAAUUACAAUUUUGCCCCUGAUGUGCCAAAAUUACCAUUUUACCUUUUUACUCCCAAAAUUAUACCGAAAUUAAAAAUUUUCACCUUCUAAACCUCAAAUCAUACUCCCAUAAGUCAAAUUAUACUCCAAUAACCAAAUGAGGCCAAAAAUCUUUUCUAAAAAUUCUCAUUUUGUCCUCAGGUGGCAAAUGAUCAUUUUGCCCCUCGUUAGUGAAAAUUCCGAUUUGACUCCAAAUUGAUCCUCAAACUCCAAAUUACCAUUUUAAGUCAUCCAUGAACUGUGAAACCCUUAAUCUCACCUUAAAUUCCUAUUUGAUCUAGUUCGAGGAUUAAAUAAACUUUGUUGUACCUCUAGGUACAAUACAGACUUUUGUAAAUUUUUCGGGACUCUCCUAGCAUGCAUACAUGCUAUUCAUCACAUGAAUGUCAUGAAUAGUAUUUUAUAAGGCUCGGGCUUUACAGAAGUACUUAGGAUUAUGGUUUCAAUUAAUGCUUCAUUUGGACUUAAGAUUGACUAAUUACCUACUUUUAUGGAAAACUAAUGCGAGCCUAGGAUCCUUAAGCAUGUACAAUUCUCCAUCUAGCUAUUGUACAAUGGCCUAACUUAAUUUAAUUCUCUAUAUGUCUAUAGCUAAUUAAUUAAGCUAAGUUCUUUAAGUAUAAGUCUUAUAAAUUGACUGUAUAUGGUUAACAGGUGUAUGUCUACCCUAUUAACAAAUCACCCAACUAAUUCCUACUUGCAAUGAUCAUAUACUACCCAAACCAUGAUCUUUUUAGACUAACUUUAUCAAGUAUUAUCUAAAAACUCAUACACAUCCUAUUGGUGAUCAGUCAAUAAAAUGAGAAAUAAGUACAAAUUUGAAUAAACACUAAAUAUUCCAUCAAAACAAGUAAUAGUCAAUCAAGCAUCCAAACUAUAUAGUAAUAUUCACCAUAAUCCUAGAAAAAAAAGUUUAGCUUAACAUUUCAAUAGCUCAUAAUAAAUUUAAGCAAAACUAAGCAUUUACACAAGGAGAUUUAAAGAGAGAAAAAUAAAGAUAGUGAGAGAAAACUCUUUUGGUGUAGCUUUGUCAAGCUUUUCUUCAAGAUUUUUCCUUUUCUUUUCUCCUUGUGGAAAGCUCCUUUUUGCCUCUGAAGUUGCUCCUCCAAAUGCACCUUUUCAGCCCUAAAAAUUUAUUGUGUUUAUGCCCAUUUUGAUGAUUAUUUGAUGUAAAAUCGAAUGCCCAAAAACGUGCAGAAUUAUGUGUCGACAUCUAGGUGCCCAAGGGCUGAUGCCUAGGCACCCAAGGUUUUGUUUUGUGGCUUGUUUUAACAUGUUGGAUAGUACAUUUGGCACCUAGGCACCGAAGCUUCUGAAAACACUGACUGUAGUCUAUUACAAUUAGUUAACUUCAUCUACAUUUUUUACCAUGAUCCCUUUUGAAUUAAGUGAAGUACUAAACAUCAAAGUUGUAGCUCUUCCUCUUAGCUUUUCAUAGGUCCAAGAAUCGCGUUGAUUAGAAUUUUGUAGCUCAAGUUAUACCAAAAUAUUGCAGUAUGUUCGAAGGCCUUACUUAAGUUAGUUGCACCAUCCUUUGCCAUUUAAGUUUCAAGUCCUUGCACAUCCUUCAAUAUCAAAAAAUCAAUUAAUUAGAGGCUGAAAUGAGAGAUUUUAACAAGAAAUUCAUUGAAAUAGCAUAAAUGAUAAAUGUCAUUACAUAAAUUAAAUUACCACUACUAAGCAUAAAAUUACCUAUGGAUUACUUAAAAAUAGAGGACUUAGUUCAAGUUUAGGUUCCAAAAAUGCAUAAAAUAACUCUAUAUAAUAGAGUUAUUAGUUGGCAAUAAUAUAAUCUUUGUAAACACAUUUCAAAAAACGUAACGCAUAAUAAAAGCAAAUUUAUUCUCUAACUUUGUAAGCGACAUUCUAUAAACAUUAAGAAUAAUCAAACAAAAUUUGUUAUUUUGAGCAAGAAAAUCAAAACCAAAUAUACACUCAAAAUUAAAGUAUUAACCGCUAGACUAUAACCUUAGAUUGAAACAUUACUACCAAACACAAAAGAGAAUUCUCAAAAGACAGCAGUAGAAAUGCAGAACAAUGAUAUUCUAAAACUAACCCACACCAACACGAUUCAAUAUGCACCCACAAAAAACCUUACAAGAAAAGGUAGAAAGAACGAACAAUAGAGCCGAAAGAGCAAGAUGUACUGAAAGGAUAAAACAAUGGAAGAAAAAAGCAAGGUAAAAUGAAGAAAAAAAUCAAUGCAAGAAAUUAAAAAAAAAGCAAAAAAUACAAUAGAGGCAAACAAUGGGUGAAAGACUUGGAAAAGAUAGUUCUACAUCGAACAGCAAAAAUAAAACAAGAAAACUCAUUUCAGCCACACACGUAGCCUAUUGUACAAUCAAAGGCAGUCGAAAGCUCUUUUCAUGAGCUUCAACAUUAAUAGGCAUGUUGAAAGGAUAUAAUGGAACUGAUAAAUUCACUCGAAAAAUCGAUAAGUUUAACAAUAAAAGCAUCCUCUCUCCCUAAAACUAACGGAAACAUGCAUGAUCCUUUUCAUAAAUUGCUCAUUUUUCCUUUUAGCCCUACCCCUCAUGAUAAACCCUUCGUAUUUCCUUUUAGUCCAACAAGCCUUUCAUAGUCCCUUUCAGCCAACAGGCCAAAGCUUAAAAUUCUCUCCAAAUUCAAUUAAGCCCAACAGCCCUAAACCCCGUGCAAAUCACAAUUAAUGUGGCACGCAUCGGAAUAAAAAACGUGGACUAACUUAAAGCAAAAACGUGGCUUAACAUAUGAGCUCCUUUAGACCUUCCUAGUAUAGAUUAUAGAUUUUUAUCAUAAUUUCAUAUUUAAACUUUAUUAAUUAAUUCUUAAUAUUCGAUUUAUACGAGCUAAAAUAAAUCUACAGUGGAAAUGAGCGCGACCUUAAAAUGACUGAAACCGAAACGGACCGAUCCGAACCCGCCAACACCGCCCGUUUGCAAAUCAAUCUGCAAGUUGCUAGCUUUCACUCAGUGACUACAAAAGCUGAAAUGAGAAAGGAAACGGAGCUAAUCAGCUACUGGGUCAUUUAUGGUCUCCCUUUGGAGAUGAGAAGCAUCACGCUACCACAUUGUUGCUACUCCUCCGCAAACUGUAAGCGCACGACUGUCAUCCUCAUGGGCAAAAGCAAUAAGUCCCCUUCUCCUCCUCCGGAUAAGGUUUUCCAUUUACUCCUAUGGUUCCUUUGUUCUCUCUCUUUGUUUCAGCUCUAAUUUCCAGUGCUAUUCCUUUUCUGCUCUCUCUUUGGAUUAAUGGGUUUCGUUUACCAUCACUAGGGUGGCCAAACAAAUCAUAGGCAAAUACACCUCCUUCUAAAUUGAGCCAGGAUACGUGAAUCACUUUUCACCACGCUUUUUCUCCUUUGAACUCGCUUGUUUGUUAGUAUUGGUGCAUCGAGAGCACAGAACUAUCAAAUUAUAUACCACCAAUUUUGAUUGCACAAUACCCAUAUCAUAUACAGAAUUUAAUAAAUUACGCGGGCUUGGAUGGAGAGAGAGAUACUUCUCUCAUUGUAUAUCAACUAAUUCAAGCAACUGUUAAGUCUUACCUAGCAGAACAAUUUGGGAAAAAAAGUUUUGAGUAAAUCAAGGCGUCCACUAUUUGAGCUAAAUAAAUAUGGUGAAUUUUACUCCAAAUUAUUAAGAUUAUUUUAUUUCUUUACGUUGCUUUGGACCAUUGCCCUCCAUUUUAGACUGCCUCUGACAAGCUUACCAUUGAUAGGGUCCUGAAUCAGCUGCUCCAAGAAUCACAUCCAAUGUCAAGCAGAACUUGCAGUUUUUAAAGUUGUGGAAGGUAUGUUAUUGGUUUGCUUCUAAGAUAUGUAAAAUGCUAUUUAUUCUGUAUCAUUUUAUCUUAUCUGAGAAAAAUCUCGUAGGAAUAUCAAAAGAGGAAAUCUAGUGCACCUAAGCCUGCUACUAGUUACAGGAGAAAGAAGAUGCAAAAGGAGGACCUUUCAGAUGAUACAGAACUUUAUCGUGAUCCUACAACAACUCUUUAUUAGUAAGCACUGUCUUGGUUUCUUUCUAUGGUCAUUUUUGAAUCAAUCCACUUUUCAGCUUCUUGGUGCUAAAAGUUUUUACAGUACCAACCAGGGUUUAGAUGAUGCAGUCCCUGUCUUGCUCGUUGAUGGUUACAAUGUAUGUGGCUAUUGGAUGAAGCUGAAGAAGCAUUUUAUGAAAGGAAGGCUUGACAUUGCACGCCAAAAACUAAUAGAUGAGCUUGUAAAUUUUAGUAUGCUAAGAGGUUUGUACUUUGCAUCUUCCGUUACUUGUCUGAAGUUAUGGUUGUAUCAGUUUCCUAUAAAACCUUUGGGCAGGCCUGAGUGGAAUGCUUAUAAAUAUUUUGUAUAUGUUCUACUUCUUAUUACCCCUUGGAAUUCUCUGCAUGAUCAUGAUGCUUAACUAUCUAAACACGUAUAAUUUAAAAAAAAAAAAAACUAUCUAAACAUGUAGCAAAAGUUAAUAUAUGCACCAAUUAGAAAAUGGUAAUGAUCUCACCUUUGUGCUUCAGUACCUUAUAACUUAUUAAGGAGUUAAUCAAGUUUGUUAGAAUUGAAACUGAACCUUGGAUCUGAAUAUAGAGUUACUUGAUUAAUGUAAGAUGUUUUUGUGUAUCCAUUGUUGUUUUCUGAUUUAAUGUCCUAACUCUGUUAUUUCUGAAAUAUUUUCAGAGGUUAAAGUUGUUGUUGUGUUUGAUGCCAUGAUGUCUGGACUUCCUACACACAAGGAAAAUUUUUCUGGGUACUGUAUAAUUCUGAUUCUGUUAUUGUCUAAAUUAAUUUCCAUCUUUUUUUAUUCUUUAUGUUCAUGACCAAGAAUAUAUAUAUAUGUAUAUAUUAUUUAUGCUUAAACUUGCUUGUUUUGACUAGACUUGACAAUUUUGGACAAGACCUGUUAACACUACAUGAGAACGAUAUGGAGUUAAGCAAGUUUUGAUUUAGGGUUACCAUAUUUUGUGUUUUAAAUGUGUUGACAUGUGUAAGGCUUGGCCAUUUCGUGUCUUAAAUGGGUUAAACCCGCUUAACUUGACAUGUUUAGCCCAUUUAAUUAGUCAUGUUAUUGUGUCAAUUCCUGUAAUAUGACCUGUUUAAUCCAUUUUUGAUAUUUAUUUAAACAGGUUAAUCGUGUUUAAAUGGGUUUUACAUGUCAUAUUCAUGUUCAACAAUCAUGUUAAUCAUGUCAUGUUGUGUAACAUGUGUAAUAAACAUAUCUGUGUACUUGUUUAGAAUUUUGACCCGGUUAAUUAAUCAUCUCGUGUUUGCGUUUACCCAUAUAACUGUUAAUACUCUACUUAAACACGACAUGAUUAUGACACAACAACACAAAUUGCCAGGUCUGGUUUUGAUAAACCAGUGAAUCUUCCCCUUACAUAUGGAUGAAUUGUUAUUUAUUGACAGAGCUAGGUGAGCUAUUAUUUGAACCAUUAUAAUUGCAAUGAUUUACUUGCUUGUUUCUACUGGAAAACUUCAUUCUGGUUUUUUUUAAAAUUAGGCCAACAUAUAUUGUUUUCUACUUAUUUGAUCUUGCUGAAAACUCCAUGCUUGAAUGAUGAUGAAUUACUUUGUUGCUAAAUCCACAAUGCUGCAUGCUUACUAACUUUUUAAGUUUAUCCUUGGUUAGUUUACCUUUCCUUCUGGUUUACUUCAGACUCCUAGCAAAAUAUUUUUUUAAUUUAUUGUACAAUUUGUCCUAUACUAAUCCUAUUCGAACAUUGGCAUGUCAGAUGCUUUACAUCAUGUCUUGGGUCUACCUGUAUUUCAUUUUAAUUUGGUGGCUGUACAAGAAUUCAUUACUCCACUUACUCCACCUUAAAGCUGAAAUUGUAUGCAUAACUCCACCUUUUUCUUGUUUUUUAUUUAAAAGAGAUAUUGAGACGACUCAAAAACUUGAACUUGCAGUCACUCAUGUGAUAGAGGUGUUACUCAGCCAUUUAACUGAAGGAAUUUGACAUUCAGUCAUUGAUCAGUUAGCAGUUAUAUAUUUCUACUAUUGGUUAUGCUAAUCUUUUUCCUCUGUAUUUGUGUUAGUAUGACAAGUCAGGCAUUGGGUAUGGCCUAUGAUUCAAUUUAAUGUGCAUGUGAUAUGUUAGUGGUUUCUAUAUCUUUUGCAUGAAAUGCUUAGAACGUAGGACAAUGUAUCUUUUGCAGAAGUUAAGUUUAGCAAAAAAGAAAAAGGUAAUAUGAAGAGUCAAAUGCUUGAUAUUGAUAGUAGUCAACUGCAUGAAACUUCCAUAACGAGUCAUAGUAUGCACAUAACAUCCCUUUUAAUGCUAGCAUGGUCUUAAAUACUUUAUAUUCAAAAGUCACUUAUUUAUAUAAAUGAAUUUCCUUGCUGUUGAUAAAAUUCAAAUUUAAUGUGUGAUGUUAAUAAUUUACAAUUUUCAGUGUUGAUGUAGUUUACUCAGGAGAAUCUUGUGCUGAUGCAUGGAUUGAAAAGGAGGUAAGAGAUGACAGCAAGCUGAGAAUGUUGAAUUGUUCCUUUACUAUUAAUGUAGCAUCUUUAGUUUUAUAUAUAGAAGGAUUGGAUUUCAAUAUGCCUCAUUGUGUUUUUUUUCCCUUCACAUUAUGGAGAUAGUUUUACUUUGCCUUCUUGUUUGAUGAUAAGUUAUUUUAAACUAUAAAAUUAUGUUCUUGGCCAAAAAAAAAAGGCUAUAAAACCAUGUUUUUGUUUUGCUCAAGAAACUGCAAUAUAUAUCAUGAAGGGAUUGUACAAGUAUCACCAAAAGUGGUUGGACAUGCAGCAUAUCCUCUUAGGUGUUUCCUUAAACUAUAUAAAAGACCACCACAUCUUAAUAUUUGAAGCCUCCUUGGUUAAAAUGUGUUCAGGAGUAUUAUGUAUGUAUGCUUUGGAAUAUGUUGGGGAGUAUCUGAGAAGUCUCAUAUUAAAUAAAGAUGCUGCCCCUCUGAUAGACUUUCUGCAUUGAAUAGCUCAAUAUUAGGGGACAGUUUCAGUUUUGCGUUUAGCAGAGUCAGCCUAGUCAGCUUUGUAAGUUAUUUUCUACAGCAUAUGUUUUUCAAACUGUUUUGCUUGACACCUUCAGUAUACAUCUUUGUGUAUAAUCCGAAGUAAUAUAUCUUGUCGUUGUUAUUGAUUUCUAGCAUGGCAUCUCAUAUGUAUAACAGGUUGUAGCCCUGAAGGAGGAUGGAUGCCCCAAAGUUUGGGUUGUGACUUCUGAUCAUUGUCAGCAGCAAGCGGCAUAUGGAGCGGUAAGCAUUUGCCUUCUGAUCAGGAAAUUAUUCUAUUGUAGUGAUCAUGACAUUCUGCCAGGCUAUAAUCGUCUGAUGCUAAUUUCUACUAUUGUGCUCAUAUUGUCUUAGCGGAUAAAUUUUGAAUUCUGCUUAAUAGUUAGGAUGCCUUAUAAUGUUUUUGAGUAUAUAAUUUCAUUAACUAAGUUACGGCCACUUGACUUGUGACAGUAAACUCGACAAUUGAGUAGCACAGUAGGUAAAGGAAAUUGAAGUAUGACCAAACUGUAGCAAUUACAAUAACUUUGGAGAGAUUACAGGACCUUAUGGAGUCACUCAAGUAGUAUGGCACAUCAUACUAGUUCACAGCUAGGGUUCUUUAGAGUCACACCAAAAAAGAUGAAUCACAUUGACCAGUGAAUAUCAAAGGACAUCUUUUUUCACUAUCCUUCAAGUUAGAUAUUAUAACCCUAUGUGUACGAGCAUUCGUCCACCAUUCUUUUGGCCAGAUAUUAAAUUUUAUAUGUAGGAACUAUUAGGAGGAUGCUUACUUUGUGAUAAAUAAGGAGGUGCUCUUAAUAAUAGUUGGAGUUCAUCUCCUUUGGUAUCCUUUAUGAUGAAGUGAUGUAAAAAGAAUCCUUUAUCCUCAUUUAUCAUUUAGCAUGAAGUAUUAGAAAAAAAAAGGGUUCAUUAGUCAAUAAAGCACAUAGGUGGGAAAACCAAAAUACUUGCUCAAAGUAAGAAAAUUAUUGUUAUAAAAAUCAAAUGGCUGCCUGAUUGUCUUGAUCCUUGUUGGCUACAUCACGUACUAAAAUCAUGUCGUAUAUAUUUCACUUUUCCAUUCUUACUUGUAGGGAUAUUGAAAAUUUAUUUAAGCUAGUGUUUUAGAUGUAUAAGUUUUCACAGAAGAGUUUUAGAAAGUAUAUUUAUUGUUUUUUGAGGUCUAACAACAUUUUAACCGUUGAAGAAUUUAAAGCAAACAUAAAUGGUUAGUUGGAAGCAAGGAUCUUCCUAAAUCUAUCGUGGGAAACACUCUUUGGGUCUUAGGAGUAAUAGAGUAAGGGAUAGAAAUUGGGGUCUUAUGAGUAAUAGAGUAAGGGAUAGCAAUUGGGUUUUAAUUUGAGGUAGACAGAUAAUUUAAGGUUCAUCUGUUGAGGUUUCCUAUAGGUUUUGUGAUUAGUUUAGUUUUUCUUUUCUUUUUUUUUUGUUUUCCAAUAAUUGAAAAUAGAAAAUAUGUUUGGUAUGUGAUUUUGAAAAAUAGAAUAACGUUGUUGAAAAAUAAUUAAAUUCAAUAUAGAAAUAGUAUAUUAACAAUUAAAUAAUAAAUAAUCCCCGUGAUUAUAGAAUACUAUAAAUAUUGGUGUGAUAUUUUAUUAUGUUAUGUUAUCUAUGAAAAGUUUUGUUAUGUAUGUUUCCUUUAAACAAUACAUAACUAUUUGGUAACCGGAAAAUGAUUUGCUGGGGGAAAAUUUUUUGUCUAAAAUAUUUUACAAGAAGGCUUCAUUUGGUAACCAAAAAAUAACUUGUUGAGGAAAAAUUUUUUUAGUGUAAAAUAUUUUAUAGGAAAAUUUAAUGUUUUCCAUUGUUUGGAUAAACUAUCGAAAACAUUUAUCGUUUGGAUCAUCCUGUGGAAAAUAUUUUCUGCCAUCACUAGCGGAGUAAGCAGUGGUGUCAUUUGAUUCACUAAUUGGGAUCAAAAUAAAGAAUAGAUAUGAAAAUGGGUAAAAUUACUAAUAAUAUUUUCCAAAAUAUUUAACCACGUAUCUAUAACUAUAUAUAAAAGGAAGCCAAUCCCUUAUCUUUGCAUCAUGUGGAGUGAUAAUUUUGUACCGUGUAGAGCUACAGUUGAUUGACAUGUGGGUUGGUUGAGUUUGGAUGCUUCUAGUUGACAUGUGGAUUGCUUGAGUUUGGAGGCUUCUAGGCAUGGGUUUGGUCUUUUUGGACUUCCUCAUUAAAUGUGUGGGCUUGCAGUCUCCCACGUUUGUGUUUUUUAUUUUUGAAUUAUUCUAUUUCUCAGUAUGAUCUUCCUUUAUCAAUUCUUCUAUCCUUUCUAGGUUAAUGAAUUUCUCUGUCAAUUCCGUUAUCUAAUCCUCAAUCAUUAGGUUUCAAACAAUGAUUAGAUCCUUGCCUUUUACCUUAGUCUGAUUUUUUUAUAAUUUGUGAAAUCAUAUUUGUUGGGUAAUAGGCUUUGAGGUAUGUGUUAACCAUUGUUGUUGACCCAUAAGAUUGAAAUAGUGGAAGCUAGAUGGAUGCAUGACCUGUCAACUUGGUAGUAAAUCCUACUAAUUGCCUCACACGUCUUCUGCAUGCAUGUGGGUGUAGAUCAUUUUUGCUCCCUUAUUGUUAGUAGUACUAUAGAACCGCAAUGUUUUCCUUGAGUAAAUCAUCUUCCUUUGAUGAAAAAUAUUUUACAGCAAUUAAGUUGUUUGGAUCCGAUUAAUGGGUUUGGAUCCAGUUAAUGGGUGUUUAUAGAUGCCAGUUAAGCAUGCUCAGAUCUGAAUAUUUUAUUUAAUGAAAAUAAACUCUAAUUUUCAAAAAAUUUUCAUCAUAUCACUUUUUUACCAUAACACUAUAAAAAUAUAAAUAUUAAUCAAUUGUGUAAGGCAUCGAAAACCUAUACUUAUAAAUAUGUAUUCAUUAAAUGACGAUCAUUGAAAUAUUUUUUAUUAUAAUUAUUUGUAAGAUUUAAACCUAUACUUAUAAAUGUAUAUUCAUCAAAUGAAGAUCAUUGAAAUAUUUUUUAUUAUAAUUAUUAGUAAGAUUUAUUUAAUUUAUAAUAAAAAUUUUAUUGCAUUGAAUGAUUUUAUUAAAAAAAAUAUUUUUUUAUUUUAAUUGUGUUAAAUAAUUUAAAUAUUAAUACUUUAAGUUAAAAGAAAUUUUAAAAUGUUUUUAAUGUUUAAACUUAAAAUGUUUUCACUUAAAGAUUUCAUUUAUAAUAAAAUGUUCCUGUUGACUUGUAAAAUGUUUUACAUCUGGAAUUAAUUUUCUAUCUUCCAAACAAGUAUUAACUCCUGAAAAUGGUUUUCGGAAAAUAUUUUGCUUCAAAACAAACGGACCCUAAAUUGCAAAAUGACUAAGUAAUAAUAAUAAGUUAAACAUUAAAAUGUUUGUAUAUGUAAUAUAAUGUUUAAAUAUAACAAGAAAAACAAGAUUAGAUUUAUAGACAACAUUUUAAGAGAUAUAAUAAUAUCUUAUUGAAAAGUAUUUAAAAUUAUCUUAUAUAUUUUAAUUGCUAUGACCUAACAGCAUGACAUAUUGUUGGGAAUACUAUGUUGUAUAAUUAAUGUAAUAUUUAAUUUAUUAAUAUCUUUAUAACAUGUAGUUUAAUACUUUAAUUAUGAAAAUAUUAUAAUAUGAUAUUUUUUUAAAUAUAAUAAAAUGGCAUUCAUAAAAUAUAAGAGUCAUAUCUAUUAGUUUUUUAUAUUUUGAGUUUUUUUAUUAUGUUAUUGUAAUAUUAUGUUAUAUUGAAUACAUUAUUUCUUUAUAUAUCUACUUUUUCUAUGAUUUUAUAUUAAAAGUUAAAAUAUUGUUGUAAGCAUAUAUCUUAGACAUUAUAUGUUUAAUUUGAAUUGAUAUAAUUUAUUUGUAUAUUUAUGAUUUGAUUUAGUAUAAUUUUGAAUAUUACUAAAAUAUAAUUUGAAAAUAAUAUAAUAUUUUAAUUCAGAAAGAAUUUAUAUAAUGCUUAUUAUAUUAUACAAAAAUUGUAAAUAUUUUUCCAUUUUCACUAUACUUAUAUAUUAUAAUGUUUUUUUUGAAAGACUUAUAUAUUAUAAUUUUAUUAUAAAAUAUUCAAUAUAAUAUAUUUAUAGAUCAAAGUUUUAUUUGGUUAUAUAUGUCAUAUUUUAUAUUGUUUAGCUUUUGUACGCUUCUACCCUAAUUGUACUAAAAUGGUGCUUUUGCUUCAUGUUGCAUCACUUAUUUUAUAAAAAAAGAAACUGUUUAUGAAAAAAAACAGGAAUAAUGGUAAAUUGAAGAAUAUUACAAUUAUAAUAAAAAUUAAUAAAGGUAAUUAUUCUAAAAUAUUGACUUUUUGAAUAUUUUGAAGACAAUAAUGAAAAGAUUACUUUAAUCACGUGAAGGAAAUGGAAAGAAUAAAGUGUCAUUGGCAUUUUGGUCAUUUUAUAAAAUUCGUUAACGGUGUUAUGGUUUUGGGACGGAAUGUCCAUUUUCAAUACUAAUGGACCAAAAAUGAAUUAGGGUGAAACCUUAAGGGGGUUUUAUCCUACAAUUAAUUAUAAUUAGUGCUAUUUGUAAUAUCUCUCAUUAUUGUCUUCAUUAAAAUUAUUAAGUAUUUGAAUUUUAAUAACAAGCCCCAAGUUACAAAGCAUCAAUUGUUUUCUUUUACCUUGUAAAAUACAAAUUAAUUCAUCACAAUCAUAUAAAAUAUGGGAAAAGUUAAGAGUUGUAGGUGUUUAAAGCAAGAAAAUGAACACAAUUUUGGGAUAGGUAUCUAUGGAUAAAGGUGGACAAUCUAUUUGGAAAAAAGGGAGUACGUUUUAAAUUUUUUAUUAUCAUGUUAAUUGAUACAAAAUGUUUUUAGUAUUUAUUUAUCGAAUCUUUUUUUCUUAAAAAUUAUGUAAGUAUUAUUUAAUUAACUAUAUCAUAUCCUUCAUUAUUACUUAUUUCUCACUGCAAAAUCAAAAUGCCAAACCUAUUUGCAAUAAUGAUGAGUUAAUUAUGUUAGAAUUAUUUUUAUUGAUGAAGAAACAUAUUAUUUGAAAAAUACCAAGAUUAUAACUAUUACUAUAAAAUAUUAGAGUAACAGAAAAUAAAAAUAAAGUGAGUAGGAAGAAAAGGAAAAUUAGAUUAAGUUGUAAAAAUAAAUAAUCAAGCGUUUUUUUUAAUCUAAUUUAUUGUUUAACUUUUUUUUUUAAAAAAAAAACUCCUUUUAUUUCCUAUGUUUCCAUUUUCCUUUUUUUUUCUUCCCUGCUCUAUCUCUUUUUGCUUACCUAGCCUCCUUUCCAGAGUCAUUGUUGGCUGUUGAUAUGGUUGCCAAAGACCAGAUCCAACACGAUGGCAACUUGCCUUGUUCCCUUUCCCCCUCUCUUUCCUUCACUCCUCCCUCCUUUUCUCACUAUCAAGGCCCUCUUGCUUUGGCUUGACCUCUCAUUCACUUUGCUACCUAUCUUCGUGGCACUCUCCCUAUCCUUAGUGGUGAAUCCAGAAUUUUGUAUAAGGAAUGACUAACCAAGGUGGAGAAACACAGUGAUCUUUUAAUUUCAAAAGUGAGUGGUUAUUGCCACCAAGAUGUCUGCUUAUUCUUGAAUAGCACUGUAGUUGAUAAUUGGUAGAAGGAAAUUAGAGGAAAAGGGAAAUGGUUAAGCAAGGAACAUGGGAAAGAUGGGAAGGAAAUUAUUUAACUAACUUCAUAUUUAGCCACAAGGUCUAACUCUUUACAACGUCCCGUAAAUUGGACUUAACCAAAGAACCUUCCUUCUCGUUGUGAGGUUAAACUAAAUCCAAGAUCUAAUUCUGAUAAGACGUGCUAAGGAAUAGAUGUAAAUUAGUAAAUUAAUAGUUAAUAAAAAAUCAUCUACAUUUUGGAGCAUAGGAUUUCCUUGGGAAGGGAUUUCAAUGCAUCUCUAAUAAAAUUCUAAAUAUAGUGAUCGAAAGUGUAGUACAUUUGAAGUUCUGAAAAAAAGAAAUUCCCAGUCUUUACGCUUUGCCCUUGUAUAGAAAACCCUUGCUAAUGUGUUUACAUGCACUAAACAAUAGGAGAGAGUGAAGAUAAAUAGAAAAGUAAGAACAUUCUUAGUAUUAUAACAACAGAAGUUAUUCACAAGUGUAUUCUAUUUUAUGCAUAUGUUAUAGUACUUGUUAUUGUUUGCAGAAUAUCUGGCAAAGUAUUGAAAACAGAAUAGUAAGAGAGUGACAUUUGCAACUCUCAUCAGUGCAAUGAUAAACAUAAGUUGAAAUAUGGACUUUCAGUGUACCAAAAAGACGAUAUGAGACUUUCAACAUUUAAAAGAAACAUAUAAAAAUGCGAGUUUGUCAGGACCACAAAUCUUACACAUACAUAUAAUGUGCUUUUCUCCAUUUCUGUGGUCACCAAACUCUUUAAUUCUUUUCUUUCCACCACUUUGCUAUUUGAUUGAGAUUAUAACCUUCUUCCAUAUGCCUGACAUUUGUUAACUCUUUUUCCAACUCCUCUAACUUUUUAUUCCAUUUUUCAAUUGAUGCAAAUUUUUAUGGCCAAACUUCAUUACCUAUUUCCAUGUUAGUUGUUGAGCUUUGUUUUACACAAAUUUUAUUGCAACUUGCAAGUUUCUUCCUUUAAUUUUUAUUUUCCACAAAAGAAAGUUUUCACUUUAAUCAAUUUUGCUAUUCGAUUGAGAUUAUAACCUUCUUUCAUAUGCCUGACAUUUGUUAACUCUUUUUCCAACUCCUCUAACUUUCUAUACCAUUUUUCAAUUGAUGCAAAUUUUUAUAGCCAAACUUCAUUACUUAUUUCCAUGUUAGUUAUUGAGCUUAGUUUUACACAAAUUUUAUUGCAACUUGCAAGUUUCUUCUUUUAAUUUUUAUUUUCCACGAAAGAAAGUUUUCACUUUAAUCAAUUUCGGUAUCCCAGUUUUUUCAUGAUGGUAGAUGCUACUUAUAAGUAGAAAAUUCCUAGAACUAUGACUUUUUGUAGUUAGAAAAGUGCCACUUAACUAUUAGCUAUUUAGAAAUAUCUUGCUAUUCUGCCUCUUUUAGCAAUUAAAAGGCUGCCACUUAACUAUUUGCUUUUUUCAAUUUGCUUUGUGGUGACCCAACAUGUGAUUAUCAUAAGCCAUAAGUUUCACUUUCUAUCUUAAACAAUUGAAAAAUAGUGAUAGUUACCUUCUCUUAUAUUUGGCAAUGGUUUGAUUAUGGUCUGUUAAAUUAUUCUUUGUGCGUUGGACUUAUUUAUAUAGAUGGUUAUAUUCAGGGAGCCUUUAUUUGGAGCUCCAAGGCAUUGGUUUCUGAGGUGAGGCAUAUUAAUUGAAUCACAUGCUGCAUUAUGUAUUCCACACAAAAUGGAUAUCUGUAUUAAACUUAUUUAUCAGCUGUGGCUCUUAGAAAACCUAAUUUAUCUUAUCAUGAGCAUUAUUCAUGUACUUGUUAACUAGUUACUUUGUCCUUGUUUCUUCCUUGUGAAAUAGGUUAGCAAUACUAAACCAAAACUAUCAUCCAUGAUGGACGGGGAAUAGUUGCUCAUUAAUUUGUUAAUUUUAUGAUACCAUCUUGGAGUGCUUCUAAUUUAUAACAAAUAAAUAGGAAGAAAGUGAAAAUAAGAGUUUUCUUGGGAAACUCCUUUUACUUUAAGGAAUUUCAAAGAAUUUAAAUUACAAAAUUUAACUAAAGAGUUUAGUCUUUACAUAGAGCUAAUACCCUCAAAAAAUAAUAAAAUUAAUUGAUAAUAUCAACUAGUUGAAAAUAUCUCAUCCUUAUUGAUAAAUCAUGAAGAAACAAUAAAUAAAUUUUAGUUACCCUACAUAAAUCCUAAUCACAUGAAGAUAAUAAAUAUCUAACUAAUAACAAGAUAUAAACACAAAAAUUUUUACCUCUUAGAAUGGUUGUGUCCUCAAUGUUGGAAAUCAUGGAAUCAUCUCUUGAAGUCUUCCUUGGCGCUUUGAACCUCAUCCAUGUAAUGGACCAUGUCCAUGUGGCACCUAGAAACUUUUCUCUUGUUCUCUAUCACCUUGAAGGUUUUAUUGAUGAAGCAUAAUCGUAAGCCCUCCACAUGUUUUCAUGCAGUACUUUUUGAACAUAUAUAUGCCUAUAAGAUGACACACACAAGACCACUCUUUUUCUUUGUAGGAAUUUUGUAGUCUAGCAAUUGAACUUGUGGCAAGCUGGGUAACUUUGCCAUUUCCUUGAAGUUUUCAACUAAUUCUAAUUGAGGAUGGCCUUCUUCUACUGCUUGACUCAACAAAGACUCUUUCAUAAUCUUUACCAGUCCUAAAAGAUUCACUAGAAUGAUAUGCAUGCUUAGAACUGGAUGGACAUCUACAAAUUUUCCAUCAAAAUCAACUUCACCACCCUUUGACUUUGGAGGAUCUUAGGGUUCUUUAAUUAUACUUUAACAGCUUGUCUAAGGACUCAACCAUUCCCUAAGUUUGUUCCUGGAGUGGGAGGAAUACCUUUACCAUAUCUUAGAGCUGUACACACAUUUCAGUCAAUUUUAUGGGUUCAACCUCCUCCCCCACCUUACAUUUAUCCAAUCUCUUUACUAUUUGUUUAUCUUUUGAUUUAUAAUAGAUAUUGCAUGUUCCAUAGAGUCCAUUUUACCUUCUAAGACUUCAUUUUUGCAGUUUAGCCAUCUAUUCUUCUUUAGGUAAAAUUGAGGCUAGAACAUUUUGGGGAAGAAGAUUUUAAAUCAAAGGCAUCAGAAAUUUGAGUUGUAACACCUCAUACCUUGGUAUAAUAGCCCAUAUGACCUUAUUGAUCAGAGGAAGGUCAAUUGAAGCUAAUUCAAGUGCUAACCAGUGGUGAACAGUAAAAAGAAUAUUUUAGAAUAAAAUAUUUUGUACGUGAGAAAAUAAUAUUAAAAUAAUAAAAUAAUAAUAUUUUAGUGAGUAUGAGUUAGUGGAGUUAAAAGGUGAUUUGGAAGUGAAGUGGGGCAAAGUAAGACACUUUGGAACCUGAGAAGACAAGUGAAAAAUUUCAGAAUAAAAUAAUAUUAAAAUAAUUUUGAUGCAGGAAUCUCACAGGUUAAGUCUGAAUGGGAGAGACAAAAAAAAAAAAUAAUUGGAUAAUGAGUAGAAUGAUAUUUUAUUCUUUAUAUUAUAUUAUAUUAUAUUAUAUUAUUUAAAUAGUAAAUUUUUUGGCGACAUGAAAAUGUGAAUGAAGUGAAAUUAAUUAACCAAGUAAAUGAGGUUGUGUGGGAGAAUGGAAAAAUGCAUGUGAGUUUACUAUUACAUGCAAAAGUGUAACUUAAGUGGGGAACGUGGGACUCUCACUAUGUGAAAAUCAAAUGGGAAUAAGACAAAAGGAAUAAAGAUAAAAGAUAAGAUGAGACAAAAAAAGAAGAAAUAUAAUGCAUGCAUGACAAGUGUGUAAGGUGGUAUAUGCAUGUGAAUUAUUUAGUGAAAGGAAUAAUGGGAAAAUCGUCCAUGCAUGACACAUGGCGGCAAAGGUAAAGAAAAGAAAGAAAACAAUGGUUGCAUGUAAAGACAUUGGCCAAAAGGGUGGUCAAAUAAAAUACAAAUGUGGAAGAACUUUCAUGAAAAUCUAUUGGAUGCAAAGAAGGUAAAAUCAAAUGGAAAAUAAAUUGAAGAAUGAAAGAACAUUGACCAACUUGGGUGUCCGGUUGGAUAAGAAUAACAAAGGAGGGUUUUUAGCCAAUGAUGUGGAUGGAAAUUUGGUGCAUGAAAUGUAAGUGGUCUUAGAGGUGGUCAAUGAAAUAAAAAGAAUAAGAGUGCAUGUGUUUUGAUUAGUCUAAGAGGGAGGCCAAAUAAAAAAACAAGUAGAAUAAUUAAUAAAAAGGAAAAAAGAAAAGAGAAUGGGGCUUGGAGGACUUAGGCAAAUCCGCCCAUUGAGAAAUAAGAAGUAGGAGAAUUUAGUUCUUGUAAGCUCCACCCAAAAGAGGAAAAAAAUAGAGAGGAAAGAAGAAAAAUCAAGAGGGAGCUCGGUUUUGUAGAAAACUAAAGAAAACCAUGAGGUUUCUUCCCUCCUCCUUGUUGGGUUUUUGACAUUUGAUCAUCAAAGAAAUCUUCAUUGUUAAAGAUAGAACAGUGGAGUUUUAAAGGAGAUGUAGAACUUGGUUUCAAGAUUCAAGAGAAACAAGGUAAGGAUGUGGUUUUAGUUUGAAUAUUUUUUAAAAAUGGGUUGGUAACAAUGGGAAAUGUUUUGUGGCAGCAAAGAUUACCAUGAUUUGAAGGAAUAUAGUUGCAUGCAUGCAACCAAGCCAUUGUUGAGUGAUGUAUUUGAAGUGUGAAAGAAAAAGGGUAAGUGUGAUCUUGAAUUUUAAAUCCUAUGAGUUGCUAGAAAACUUUGGGAAUUUAUUUAUGAGUUAUUGUGGCAGCUUGGGUGUUAAAGCUUUGAAAGUAUAUUGAAGUUGCAUGAGGGAUUUAAGCCAUCACCAAGGUAAGAACAUGCAACUCAACAUUACAAUGAUGUCUUGGAGAUAGCUUGUUGAAAGCUUUGAAAGUUAUUGUGAAUAAAUAUUAUUUUGAAAGAUUUAAGAGAUUAAGAAUGUGAAUGAGAAAGUUUAGCAUCUAAAUUGAUAUUGGUGCAUGUGAAUGGCAGUUGAUAUUGUGCUUAGUGGCAGCAUGCUCAAUGUGAAUAAUGGUGCAUAUAAGCUUAGAAUUAAUUGGUGAAAUGGGAUUUUUAGUUGCUGCCAUGUAUAUGAUCAAUAGUAUAGAAACAAUAGUUUGAACAUGAUGCAAAGAUUGACAUGGGCAUUUCAUGUUGGCCAUGCACCAAAUUUCUAUCCACAUCAUAGGUUAAAAACCCUCAUUUAUUAUCCUUAUUCAAUCGGCCUCCCAUGUUGGCUAAUGUUUUUCCAUUCUUCAAUUUAUUUUCCAUUUGAUUUUGCCUUUUUUGUACCUAAUAGAUUUUCAUGCGAGUUCUUCUACCUUUGUAUUUUAUUUGGCCACCUUUUUGGCCAAUGUCUUUACAUGCAACCACUUUCUCUUUUUUUUCUUUUUCACCUUUGCCGCCAUGUGUCAUAUAAAGAAGAUUUUCUCAUUCUUCUUUUUACUAAAUAAUUCACAUGCAUAUACCAGCUUAUACACUUGUCUUGCAUGCAUUAUGUUUCUUCCUCUUUUGUCUCAUCUUGUUUUUUGUUUUUAUUCCUUUUGUUUUAUUCUCAUUUGUUUUUCACAUGGUGGGAGUCCCACAUGUCCCCAACUUAAGUCACACUUUUGGAUGCAAUCAUUUGCAUGUAAUAAUAACCUCAGAUGCAAUUUUUCAUUCUCUCAUACAACCUCAUUGACUUGGUUAAUUAAUUUCACUUCAUUUGCAUUUACAUGUUACAAAAUUUUUCACUAUUUAAAUAAUAUAUAUAAUAUAAUAUAAUGAAUAAAAUAUUAUUUUAAUCAUUAUAUCCAAUAAUUUUAUUUUUUUCUCUCCCACUUAGACUUAACCUAUAUCUCACAUGAUGCAACCCAUUCUUGCAUCAAAAUUAUUUUAAUAUUAUUUUCUUAAUAAAAUAUUAUUUUAUUUUGAAAUUUUUCACUUUUCUUCUUAGGUUUCAAAGUGUCUUGCUUUGUCCUGGUUACUUUCAAAUCAUCUUCUCACUCCGCUAACUCAUCCUCAAUAAAACAUUAUUAUUUUAAUAUUAUUUUCUCACAUAUCAAAAUAUUCCUAUCACCCUUCACCACUCUUUAGCAUUUCAAUUAGCUUCAAUUGACCUUCGUCUUAUUGACAAGGUCAUAUGGGCUACUAUACCAAGGUAUGGGGUGUUACAUGAGUAGUUUCAAGAUGCUAAGGGGAAAAAAUUGCAACAAAUAAUAUGAAAUUUAAACUACAAUGAUGCAUGUAUGCAAGACUAACAAAUUCAAUGCUCAUGACAUGUCAUCUUAUGAUCAGAGGGGUUUGGUGCCAGCAUAUAAAGAUAACAACUAUUUUUUUUAUGUUUUGAAAAAGAAAUUAGGACAGCCAAAUUUAUUUGGAAAAAGCUAAUUUACUAGCUUCGCAAAUCAAAUAUAUAAUAGUCAAUCUAAUGGAGAAUUUACCAAAAGUAAAGUACUUGAGAACCUCUACUCAUUUGCUUUCGAAAUUAAGAGAGAGCCUUUCAAAUUGGACUUCAAAUUUGGAAUCUGAAGGUCGAAAUUAGCAAAGGAGGUUCCAAAAAUUGUUGAUGUGUCGUUGCAUGGUGCACACGUGGAUGCUGACAUGACAUUGGUUGGUGAAAUAGCAUUUGGUGGUGCAGUCUAGUGUGCGAAACGUGUUGAGUCCCUGACCCUUAGUGGCCACAACCUAACCCAGCAUGUGCAAUGGCUUUUGUGUAUGAAACUUCACCUGCAAGACAAUUUGUGGCUGGUGACAAAGGUGGUUGUGCCUCUAUUCAGCGGCCAGAUAGCAAUAUAUCUAGCUUCAAAGUUUCGGUUGUUAUUCCUUAAUUCUUUUCUGAUGCAUGGUGAGGCUAACAGUGAUCUCACUUAAUGGGAUUAUCAAUGAGAGACUGGCGAAGCUAGUGGCAACAAAUAUUGGUGAUUGGAUGGCCAAUGGGGGCAAACUAGUUUUCUUGUUGUUUGGGCACUUUUGUAUUUUUGAACUUCUUUUUUUUUUCCCCAUAAACAAGCCUAGAUGGAUUUUUUUUUUAAUUUAUUGAUCUAGAGGGUAGACGAAUAGUAAAAGCCAUUUUAGAGCUCUAAUACCAAAUUGAUGUAAAACGAGGGAAAGAGAUAGAAAAUAAAAAUUUAGAAGAAAAUUAGAACCAGACAAAAGCACUUAAGAAGGAACAGAGGAAAUCAGGGGAGAAAGAGAAGAAUUUAUCUGAUUAAAAAGGGUUAAAAAGGGUUACUAUUGAUAAGUGCAGCUUGAUGUUAAUAUGAUUGCCUGUACAAUUUAUCUGAUUUCAUUCAAUUAAGAGAUAAGCAUCCAUGUUAUGACACAUUGUUAUCCUUGAUGUAGCCCUUUUUUAUCGAAGUAUUGUUUGUAGAUGACAUGGAUGAUAUGACAGAUUCUUAUCCUUGUUUAACCUCUUUUUCCUGAAGUAUUGUUUGCAAACUGUCAUUUUUAUUAAUUGUUCCUCUAUAAUUAUGUGUAGAUUAAUGCUUCACAGAAGGAGUUUGAGAGGAUGCUUCAAGAACAAAGGUGUUCUCUAAUUGGAAUGAAAGCUUAUAAAACCCUACACCUAAGAAAUAAAAAAAAUUGCAUGCCAUUUCUUCAGUUUAUGUACUGCAUUUUGAAAUUACCUUACAACUAAUUAUGUUUUGCAAUAAAUUUCUUCUUAUUCACUAAUAGGGGAUCUCAAAACGUGGUCAUAAUUAAAUAGUAUUGAGUGACAUAUUCUAGGUUCUAAAUGGCACAUUAGGCAAAUAUAAUAUCAUGUUGAAGGAUGAGCCCAAGUCUGAAAUCAUAAUUCUUGUGGCCUUAUCUCCUUCACAUACGCCUGUAACAAUAAACUAAUGGCAUAUUGGUCAUUUCUGGGAGAUCUAUAACCCGUUUUGUCUGCAUAGUACUAUGUAGAGGGUCUACUAGGGAUCUCAUGGGACAUGACCUAAGGGAACCUUCUACCUAUAAAUAUGACGACAUAAGUACUCCAAGGUAAAUUUUCCCAUGCACACUUUGAAAUACUGUGCCCUGUUUCACACUUCAUCAAACCCACCAACUUUGGCAUUGCAAGUGUUGAGAAGAUGCAUAAAGAUUUGAAAUAAUUUUGAGGGAUCCAUUGUGCUGUCAUUCCUUUCCCUUUGGAAGUUUGGAAGUGGGUGGGCUCUAUGAACUAGCUCCUUAAGUAGAGUAGAGAUGUCCAUUGUUGGUCAAUCAGUCAUUUUUUUCGAGUGUACUGUACUUUCUUAGUUAAGCAGAGCUCUUUGAAAGUUGAGGCUUGUAUGUGCGUUGAUUGGCUCAUGAGGGUUAGGUGACUCGAGAUUUGGUGGAUAUGCUCAAUGUGUUACUAUUAGAUUAGCAUGGCAAGUGCUUGGAUCUAGCUUGGUAAGUGGUUGUAUUCAUCUAUUAUGAUAAAGGGGGAUUGGAUGGAAUUUGAUAUAGUACUAGGUAAUGGUCAGUGGCAGUGUAAAAGGUACAUGGAAAGUGAAAAAAACUUGCUUGGGUGAAUUGCGGUCAAGGUUGUUUGUGUGGUGGUGAUUUGGGAGAGGGAAUAGUUUAUUGUAGGUGAAGUUAACAUGGUGCAGGUGUCUAAGGUGUUGAGGAGAGGUACCAACAACGGUGGUAGUAAUGGGAGAGAGGAGACCUGAAAUUGAAGUUGAUGGGAUAGAAAGUUCCUAGUUGAAGGGAUAAGUGAAGAUUGAGGAGUAUGCUCUAGACCUUGGGGUGAUCCUAGCAAAGAAUGAUGGUAUAGAUAAUGGUGUGAUGGAGGAAAGUAGUAGAUCAAUUGCUAAGGAAGUAGGUAUGGGUAGAUGACAUGCCCCUUUCAAUCAGCCCAGAGGUGGUGUGCUGAGGAGGCCAUGCUCAGGAUGGACAGCAUGCUGAUGCUCGGGGAGUUGGCUAGGAGAACCCAGCAGAACCCAUUGACUAGGCGCCAGGAAAAGUCUUGGGUAGGCCAGGUGAGACAGCCUGCAAGCCAGAUAGGCUAGUCUGCAUGCCCUAGUGAAUUGCUAGCCCACCCAAACUGUUCAAACGGCCUGAAUAUUGUUCCAACAGGUAGGAACAGUAUACCAACAGGUUGAAAGGCUUGGAAACACAGCAGAGGCACCUCUAAAGAGCUGUUGGAGUAUGGGGACAACAUGGGGUUCAAAUUUUCCCCCUCAAGGGCAAGGGGCUAUUGAAAAGGGGAGCCCUCUAUAUAAAGGACAUCCUAGCCCUUUGUAAAUGGGUUAGGCUACUGAGAGAGAGCUUAAGGCUUUGUAAAUUUAUAGAGACAUUGUAUUAGGAAGCUAGCAAUUGUGAAUACACACUUCCUUUGCCAUCCUUUAUUGUGCUUUACUUUUCUGCACUUUACUUUCCUUUGUUGAGUGAGCCUUUCUUGAGCGUGAUCCAUUCCCUUCAAUGGAAAGGCCAUUUAGGCUAAUUUGGGUAGUGGUGAGGGUCAAGGGUUGUCCAAGGCUGCACGAGUGUUCUUAAGCAGACACCCCUUAACACCUGGUUUCAGAGUGGUGAGAGGAGAGAGCUCAGUGAUCGGAAGAGAAUGACGGCGUCAUCAUCACAACCAGAUCCUACCCUGGAGGUAUUAGAGGCUCGUGGGGCAGGUAGAGGUUGAGGGAAAAAUGUUACUUUGAGGGAGAUGAUGUCCUCUAUGGAUGCACAACUAGCCAAGGUCGAGUUGGUUGUGGGUGAAAUGAAGAAGUUCAAGGACUGAGGGAUGCAUCGAAGGGCUAGACUCCAUGAGGAAGGAGCUCUGAGGAGAGAUGCAAGGUGCCUUGAAUGAGGUGGUGGAUGGGAUGGCACAGGUCAUGGUAGUAGCCUUGAUGGAAGAGCUCAGACAGCUCAAGAGUGAGCUUGCUGCGUGUCGAGCAGCCAUCACCACCAGUUUGUUGUUGGGAUCUUGGGGGGAAAUUGCUCUGCCACGGAUAUGGAUAAUUUCGUGUGGGCCAUUGAGCAGUACUUCCAAGGGAUCGGCAUAAUAGAGGAUGCUAAGGUAAACACCGUUGUUUUUUAUUUGACUGGUAUUGCUCUUUUGUGGGACGUCGAAUGUGUGAUAGAGUGAGGCACAGAGAUUGCGUAAUCACCACAUGGGACGAAUUUGUGAGGGAACUAAGGCAGCAGUUCAAGCCCGAUCAUGCGAAGGAUGAGGCUCGAGGCAAGCUUCUCUGACUCAUGCAAAGAGGUAGAGUGAGGCAGUAUUGCAAGGAGUUCUCGGAGUUGAUGCUGAUGAUACUGGAUUUCAGUGAGAAGGAAGCAUUCUUUUCCUUGGAUGGGCUGAGACCAUGGGCAAAGAUCGAGUUGCAGCGUUGAGCAGUGUAGAAUUUGAGUCAGGCAAUGGCAGCAGCGGAAUCAUUGAUUGAGUUUGAGUGCGUUAAACCUCUUGAAUCGUGGAGUGAAUGUGAUGAGAGAGGACAGCAGCUCCUCAUCUGACAAAGAAGAGGCUGGAGAGAAGCCGAGACACCACAAGGCCAAGAUUGACGGGGCUGCCUGUGGAAGGGGCAAUGUGAAAAGGCCCAUGACUUGCCACUGGUGUAUAGGUCCACACUAAGUGAGGGACUGCCUAGUGAGAAAGAAGUUCUCAGCCAUAGAAAGGACUGAGUCAAAAAAUGAGAGUAGUGGCCAAUAGCAUGAGGAGCCCAAGAGAGUGUUGGGGCUGGGUGCCAUCAGAGAAAGGAUCCAUCGAGCAAUAGAGGAUGGGCAUGAUGAGGUGGUCGAGAAGUGUCAUAUUUCGAGACCUGGAGUACAGCCUGAUCAUUCUUGAGAGAGUGUGCCCAAAGAGAUGCACAAGGGAAGGUGGAGCCAGAGGCUCAGAAGGUUAAGGGGAUUGAUGCUGGAUGAGAGUGCCAAGAAUUCUCUCAUCAUUAGAUAGUGGUGGCAAGGUGCCAUAGCCGAAGAGUGGGUCAGAUGCAAGUGGCAGUAGAGUGCCACAAGCCCAGGCCAGAAGUGCAACUAGACAGCUCUAGAGGGUGCGCGUGGAGAUAGUUUCAAGACAGCAUUGCGUGAAGUGAGUGCGCACAAUUGGGAAGUCUGAGGAAAAGACAUACGAGACGUGCGAGGUGUGAAGCAAGGCAUGGCAAUACCCUAGCAAUGCGGGCAUUGCUCGAAUGAAUGGGUGUGUGCCACGCCCCUAUUGAUCAGCCCAAAGGUGGUGCGCUGAGGAGGCCAUCAAGCACGGCACAAGAGGAUGGGCAGCAUGCUGAUGCUCGAGGAGUUGGCCAGAAGAACCCAGCAGAACCCGCUGACCAGCUGUCAAGAAUAGUCCUGGGCAAGCCAAGUGGGCCAACUUGAGCACGGCCUGCAUGCCAGACAGGCCAGCCUGUGCGCCCUAAUGAGUAACCAACAUGCAAAUAGCACGCCCACAACUAUCCAACAGGCAAGAACAGUACUCCAACUGUUUGUAGGCUUGGAAAUUGCAUCAAAGGCUCCUCCAAAGAGCUGUUGGAGUAUACGGAUCACUUGGUGUUCAAAAUUUCCCCCCUUGAGGCGAAGGAGUUGUAAAAGGGAGCCCUCUAUAUAAUGGGCAUCCCACACUCUUGUAAAUAGGUUAGUGAGAGAAAGCUUGAGGUUUUAUAAAUUUGUAGAGGCAUUGUAUCAGGAAGCCAGUAAUUGUGAAAACACACUUCCUUUGCCAUCCGUUAUCGUGCUUUACUUUUCCGCACUUUCCUUUUGUUGAGUGAACCCAACCUCUCUUGAGCACGAUCCAUUCCCUUGAGUGGAAGGGCCAUCUAUGCUAACUUGGGUAAGUGGUGAAGGUUAAGGGCUGUCCAAGACCGCAUGAGAGUGUUCUCAAGCAAACACCCUGUGACACAGGUAUGGCUCUUUCCCGCAGACUAUUUGAAGUGAUGAUGUUGGUUCAACAAGGGGGCUUGUGGGCCGACCACUUUGAUGCUUGAUCAUUAAGUGUGAACCUGGAACUGGUAGGUCAUGUUUGUAGGUAUUAGAAAAAUGCUUGAGGUUAUGGCUUGUGAGAUCUGCUGGUGAGCCCACUUCAUCAUGUUGUGCAGAUUGAGGUGGUUAUUGGUCUAUUGGCAAUGACCAUAAUGUGCUUAGUUUGUUGGCUAUGUGCGGAAGUGUAGGAGAUAAGGUCACAUGUAUUUACAAUUUGGGCCUUGGGACCAUAUCGCAGCUAUCAUAAAGGAAGCAACCAUACUAGAUUAUUGGAGUGUUGCAGAACUUGGCAACUUAAGCUAGACUUUUUCCGUGGACUUAACUCUUAGUCUAUUUAAUUCCACAUAUCACAUCUCAUUUGAGAAUAGUUGAUACCUUCAACUGAGGGAAAGUUUCAAGGUUGUUUAACUGUUAGGAAAAGAAUGCCAGCCAGCUUCACUAACAUCUAAAUUAUGCUAGGUUUUUUUUUUUUUUUUGAAAUUUCAUGGUAUAUUGAAAACAGAGGUAAGUAAAAACUUUACCCCUGGAAAGCAACAAAGUGAUUCAUGUCUGUUACUGUCCAAAGUUAAGAAUAACAGCCUAAAUUAUGCUAGUUGAACGUACCAAAGUUAGAGCAAUAAUUGGCUCAAGAUCCAACUUAAAGUGUGGAUGUUGGGUGAUUGUUUGAUGAAGUGUGCUGUGCAGCUUUGAUACAAAAUGUUUUUGAUUCAUCUUCUUCCUUUUUCAGAUCUAGUUCAUUUCAAGGUAAAUUGUUAAAGCACAAUCUCAAUUCUGAAGUUGUUGAUGCUCUUAAGGAUCUAAGAAGACAGCUUUCUGAAAAUGAGUCCAAAUAACUAUUCUGGUUUGGUGUGAUGUUAUUGGUUCGAGCCGGAUACUGCAAAAUCAAAAAGGUAAUCUUAGUAGAUAUCUAGGUAGGUGCUAAAUUCAUAUUCAAUAUAGUUGUCUCUUUUUAAGAUUAUUGUUGUAUCUUUUUCACUUUUUUAUUGCUAUUGCUACUCAUAUCCCGCCUGGAUAGACUUUGCAGCUACAAUUCCUAGUUCUUUUUGUUUUCCAUAAAUGUUUUGAAGCCAUGAGCAAGUUAUUCCUUUUGUUUUUGGUAAUUUAUCGUCAGCUUAUGAACCUUGUCUAUUUACUACUAAGAACAUAGAUGUUACUUUUCUAUUAUAACGCUUUCUUUUUUCUUCUUUUUCUUUAUCAUUGAACUUCAUGAUUAUUGUCCUAUUAACUAUCCUAUUAUAAAUUCUAGCAGGUUUCUAGUGCAGGGGAUGUUCUUCUAUAAACAAAUGCUUCUGGUGACUUAUGAGUGGAAAGCAAGGAGUUAAAUGCAACCGCAGUCCCUAAACUUAUUGUGAGGUCAUUUUGAUUUCCUGAACUUCAAAUUGUACCAAUUUCCUCCUUAACCUUAUUAGAUGGUUUUAUUUUACUUUUUUUGUCAAUUUGCUCCAUUGAAACUAAUGAAAUUGACAUGUAAGCAUUCACGUGACACAUUGUUGCAUAUUUCAAAAUUUUCUAUAAAAGAAAAAUUAAAGAAAAAAAAUGCCACGUGGAUGCUGGCAUGUCAUGCUAUCACGUAAAUUUUGUUAAUUUUAAUGGAGCAAAUGGACGGAGUGGAUUAAAAUAGAUUCAUAUAUUAUAGGGUUGAGGAUCAGACAGAAACAAUUUGAAGUUCUGGGACCAAAAAGAUACCUUAUAAAAAAAACUUGGAGGCUAGGUAAGCAUAUUAGCUUUUGUUGACUUGCUUGUUAGCAUAAUUAUAUUUCGAUGACGCAUUGCCGGUUAGAAAAUUAAAUAAAUUGAAAGUACAUAUCUUUGCAAAAAUGUAGUAUCUUGGUAGGAUAUAAUAUUGGUGCCACUUAAAGGUAUUUCCAAUCUCUUUUUGUUUUUGUAUCAUAGUAAUAAAUUAUUAGAAUUGAAAUUGUAGGAAGAACCAUGCAUUGAAUUGUCAAAAACUUCUGAUGUAAAUAUCAAUUUUCGAAUGGUCUAUUUGCUUUUGCUGAAAAAUCUAUUGAUUGGGUUAGAAAUUAAUAUGCAACUUUUUUUUUAAUACCGAUUUUCAUCUCACUCAUGACCCAAAUCUAAUAAUUCAAACUAUUUAUUUUUAUUGUCCAUUCUCCAUUUAAAUUCUUUUCAUUUUCUAAAGUUGUUUUCCAAUUUUUAUUUUAGAAAAUAGUUAUAGUUGUGCAAGAAAAGAGAAUGUUUGUAUGAAGCAAGUUUUUGUUUAUGGAGGAAGGGGUAAUGAUUAAUUUUUUAGAGUAAAUUUUACCCACAUUCUUUAUAAUUUUAACUUUUUUCGCAUAACAUCUUCUAAUUUGUUAUUUUUUUUUUCAAUUAGUACCUUGUUGAGUUGUAACAAGAGAUUUACUUGUUAGUUUCACUCAAUAAAAUUAUCAAAAUAUACUCAAUUCAAUAAUUAUCUUAUUAAGGGAUAUAAUUAAUUGCCUUAGUUCUCAUGAGAACAAAGUCUAAACCACAUGGGCAAAUUUUGCAGUAAGGUUGUCAUUUUUGACCUUAUUGUAAAGUCAUCAUUUUUGACCUUACUGUAAGGUCAAUUAAUAAAGACCAUAUGAUCUAUGAGAUUAAAUUACAGUCAUUGAUUUAAAACUCAUAAAGAAACUGGUAAACCAAUUCAACUGGUAAACAAAAAAUCUUCCUUUUGAUGGACUCUUUUUAUGCCUUAUUAAAAGAAAUUAUUUAUUUUUAUUUUUUUAUUUAAUGGUUGAAAUUUCAUAUUAUAAGUAAGAUUAUCACUAUAAUAAAUCAAAAAGUCAAAAUUAAAAAUGUAUAAUAAAAAAAAACACAUGUAAUUUAAAAUUGUCAUUAAAAAACCUAGACAGUUUUUAAAAGUUAUGAUUAAAAAUCUUCAACGUAAAGCAAUAAGAAUUGACAUAAAAACUCAUAUAGGUAGAGUAAUUAAAUUUAAAAUCUUAACGUAAAUGUAUAAAAGUUAACGUAACAACUCAAUUAAAGAAAAAAAUUUAAUUUUAAUGAAAAAUAAAUAUUUAAAUUUAUACUCUCGAAUUAAAAUUGUUUAAUGAUAUAUAAAUUUUAAUUUUUAAAUAAAUAAUAAAAAAAAUAAUUAUAGUUCAAAAUUGACAUAGAUAAGUCUUGACGUAAAACUGUAAUAAUUUACGUAAAAACUUAUAAAGGUGAAAUAAUUAAAUUUUAAAUCUUAACUUAAAUAUGUGAAAGUUAACAUAACAAGUCAAUUAAGUAAAAAAAAUCUAAUUUUAGUGAAAAAUAAACAUUUAUAUUUAUAUUCUCAGAUUAAAAGUGUUUAACAAUAUACAAAUUUUAAUUUUUAAAUAAACAAUAAUAAAGAUAAAAAUCAUUAUAAUUCAAAAUUGAUAUAAAAAAGCUUUGACGUUAAAUUGUGAGAAUUGACGUAAAAACAUAUAAAUGUGAAAUAAUUAAAUUUUUAAUCUCAACGUAAACGUGUGAAAGUUAACGUAAUAAAUCAAUUAAGUAAAAAAAAUCUAAUUUUAGUGAAAAAUAAAUAUUUAAAUUUAUAUUUUCGGAUUAAAAGUGUUUAACGAUAUAUAAAUUUUAAUUUUUAAGUUUUGAUGUAAAACUGUAACAAUUGACGUAAAAACUUAUAAAGAUGAAAUAACUAAAUUUUAAAUUUUAACGUAAAUGUGUGAGAGCUAACGUAACAAGUCAAUUAAGUAAAAAAAAUUAAUUUUAGUGAAAAAAAAUUUAAAUUUAUAUUUUUAGGCUAAAAAUGGUUAAUGAUAUAUAAAUUAUAAUUUUAAAAUAAAAAAUAAUAAUGAAAAAAAUUAUAAUUCAAAAUUAACAUAAAUAAGCCUUGACGUAAAACUGCAAGAAUUAACGUAAAAGCUUAUAAAGGUAGAUUAACUAAAUUUUAAAUCUUAACGUAAAUAUUUGAAAGUUAACAUAAUAAGUUAAUUAAGUAAAAAAAAUUAAUUUUAAUAAAAAAUAAGCAUUUAUAUUUAUAUUAUCGGACUAAAAGUAUGUAAUGAUAUUCAAGGUUUUACUUUUAAAUAAAGAAUAAUAAGGAUAAAAAUAAUUAUAGUUCAAAAUUGACAUAAAAAAGUCUUGACGUAAAACUGUAACAAUUGACGUAAAAAAUUAUAAAAGUGAAAUAAUUAAAUUUUAAAUCUUAACGUAAAUGUGUGAGAGUUAACAUAAUAAGUUAAUUAAAUAAAAAGGUCUAAUUUUAAUGAAAAAUAAGUAUUUAUAUUUAUAUUAUCGGGUUAAAAGUCUGUAACGAUAUACAAAUUUUAAUUUUUAAAUAAAAAUAAUAAAGACAAAAAUAAUUAUAGUUUAAAAUUGAGAUAGAUGUCUUAACGUAAAAUUGUAAGAAUUGAUAUAAAAAUUUAUAAAAGUAGAAUAAUUAAAUUUUAAAUCUUAAUGUAAAUCUGUGAGAGUUAACGUAACAAAUCAAUUAAGUAAAAAAAAAUUAAUUUUAGUGAAAAAUAUAUAUUUAAAUUUAUAUUUUUAGACUAAAAGUGUUUAACGAUAUACAAAUUUUAAUUUUUAAAUAAAGAAUAAUAAGAAUAAAAAUAAUUAUAGUUCAAAAUGGGCAUAGAAAAAUAUUGACGUAAAACUGUAAGAAUUGACGUAAAAAUUUAUAAAAGUGAAAUAAUUAAAUUUUAAAUCUUAAAAUAAAUGUAUGAGACUUAACAUAAUAAGUCAAUUAAGCAAAAAAAAAUUAAUUUUAUUGAAAAAUAAAUAUUUAAAUUUAUAUUUUCAAAAAUAAAAGUAUUUAAUGAUAUACAAAUUUUAAUUUUUAAAUAAAAAUAAUAAGGAUAAAAAUAAUUAUAGUUUAAAAUUGACAUAGAUAAAUCUUAACGUAAAACUGUAAGAAUUGACAUAAAAACUUAUAAAAGUGAAAUAACUAAAUUUUAAAUCUUAACGUCAAUUUGCAAAAGCUAACGUAAUAAGUUAAUUAAGUAAAAAAGUCUAAUUUUAAUAAAAAAUAAGCAUUUAUAUUUAUAUUAUCAGGCUAAAAGUAUGCAACGAUAUUCAAAUUUUUAUUUUAAAUAAAGAAUGAUAAAGAUAAAGAUAAUUAUAGUUAAAAGUUACUAUUGAAAAAGGUUAACGUAAAAUUGUAAGAAUUAACGUAAAAUUUUAUAAAAAUGAAAUAAGUAAAUUUAAAAUUUUAACAUAAAUAUGUGAGAGUUAACGUAACAAGUUAAUUAAGUAAAAGAAUUUAAUUUUAAUAAAAACAAACAUUUAAAUAUAUAUUCUCGGACUAAAAGUGUUUAAUGAUAUAUAAAUUUUAAUUUUUUAAAUAAAAAAUAAUAGGAUAAAAAUAAUUAUAGUUCAAAUUUGAUAUAGAAAAACCUUGAUGUAAAACUGUAAGAAUUGACGUUAAAACUUAUAAAGGUGGAAUAAUUAAAUUUUAAAUUUUAACGUAAAUGUGUGAGAGUUAACUUAACAAGUCGAUUAAGUAAAAAAAUCUAAUUUUAGUGAAAAAAUAUUUAAAUUUAUAUUCUCAAAUUAAAAGUGUUUAACGAUAUACAAAUUUUAAUUUUUAAAUAAAAAAUAAUGAGAAUAAAAAUAAUUAUAAUUUAAAAUUAACAUAGAUAAACUUUAAUGUAAAACUGUAAUAAUUGACGUAAAUACUUAUAAAAGUGAAACAAUUAAAUUUUAAAUCUUAACAUAAAUAUGUGAGAGUUAACGUAACAAGUCAAUUAAAUAAAAAAAAUUAAUUUUAGUGAAAAAUAAAUAUUUAAAUUUAUAUUUUUGAGCCAAAGUAUUUAACGAUAUAUAAAUUUUAAUUUUUAAAUAGAGAAUAAUAUCAAUAAAAUAAUUAUAGUUCAAAAUUGAUAUAGAUAAAUCUUGAUGUAAAACUGUAGCAAUUGACUGUAAAACUUAUAAAUGUGGAAUAACUAAAUUUUAAAUCUUAACGUAAAUGUGUAAGAGUUAACGUAACAAGUCAAUUAAAUAAACAAAAUAGUCUAAUUUUAGUGAAAAAUAAAUAUUUAAAAAUAUAUUCUCUGAUUAGAAGUGUUUAACGAUAUAUAAAUUUUAAGUUUUAAAUAAAGAAUAAUAAUAAUAAAAAUAAUUAUAGUUAAAAUUAGUAUAGAUAAAUCUUGACAUAAAACUAUAACAAUUGACAUAAAAACUUAUAAAGGUGAAAUAACUAAAUUUUAAAUUUUAACGUAAAUGUGUGAGAGUUAACAUAAUAAGUUAAUUAAGUAAAAAAGUAUAAUUUUAAUGAAAAAUAAGCAUUUAUAUUUAUAUUAUCGAGCUUAAAGUAUGUAAUCAUAUUCAAAAUUUUAUUUUAAAUAAAGAAUAAUAAAGAUAAAGAUAAUUAUAGUUAAAAGUUGCUAUUGAAAGGUUUGGCGUAAAAUUGUAAAAAUUAAUAUAAAAUCUUAUAAAAGUGGAAUAAGAAAAUUUAAAAUCUUAACGUAAAUGUGUGAGAGUUAAUGUAAUAAGUGAUAAUAAUAAUUUUUAUUAAAUUAAUUAAUUAAAUAUAAUUUUAAUAUUAAAAAGAAUAAUAUUCUUAUAGUUUAAAGUAAAAAAUAAAAUAAAAUUAAAAGUUAAAUAACUUUUAAAGUAAACUAAAUAAAUUUAAAAAUUAUCUACAUUGUUAUCCUAAAAUGAAUAAAUUUAAAAAUUAAAUAUAUUGUUUACCUGUUAACCUGUUUAACAGGUUUUUAUUAUUUUUUGAAAAUUUUAUUUAUUGACCUAAUGUUAGAUUUACUGUAGCGUUCACCCUAAAUACAUGUUGCUAAUUGAAAAAGGAAAUUGCAAUGUGCUUUGUCUGAAAAAUUAAAAUCAUAAGACAUGGCGCUGAAUGUUGACUCUUUACCAAAAUUUUCUCAAAGAAACGCUAGCCAAUGACAAGUGGACAACUCAAGGGGUGAAAAAACACAAAGAAAUUUAAGAAAAGAUCAAAUUGCAUAAAUAUAUGAAUUAGUGUCCGAGUUUUGAGUAUAUAUUUGGGAUCCAUGUGUUUGCAAAAAUGGCCUUUUAGAAAAUUUAUUUUAGCAUUUUUUGGUAUUUGAGUAGAGUGUUUAAUGGUCAACCGGAAUGGCAAAAAGAGUUGAUAGGAAAAAACACAUUGGAUAAAGGAAAUUAUAAAUAUUUCCAUAAACUCACACAUAUUGAUGGUAAAAAUUCAAUAUGAUUAAAAUAAAAAUAAUAAAAUUCAAUAUCAAGUUAUAAUAUAGUAACAAUCUUAGUAUUUAUCUCUUGGUUAUUCGUGCCUAUUUCUUCUCCAAAAUUGACUAAAAUUAAAACUUAAAUAGAUACUUUUUCUUGUUUUAUUUUUCUAAUUGUUUUUUCUCUUGGCCAUUCUAAGUUAUACGAAGUGGGCCACAUCCAACAAAAUAAACAAGGUUGGGCCUCUGCAAGCCCGCCAGGCAAAUAUCAUAACUUUUGAGCCGUUGAGGGUUUAGAAGUCGGACCUAAUUGGUUGGUGAGGCCUGAAUCUGCAUUGGGUUUCGCAUGGACUGCCACUCUCAGAUCACAACAAAAAGAAGUAGCACUUUCAAUGAAUACAUAGCUUUACUUUCAUACCAAAUAGGAACAUUACUUUAUGCACCGAUUGGAGUCUUAAAUCUUCACAAAGAGCAUAGAGAUUAAUUAUUUUAUGAUUGAUGUCAUGUUUUAAUUAUUUCUUCAUUUUAAAUCAAUUAAUUAAUAAUUUUGCUUCUUAUCUUUCGGUUUGGUUUUAGGAUUAUUAUUCUAAACAUCAAAAUUGGAGUCUUUGAAUUCCACAAAUGAAUUUAUAAACAACUUCCAUUUGUCUGUGUAAUAAUUAUAUUAAUUCAUUGAUUUCCUUAAUCCAACCAUAAAAAGACAUGCCACAUUCAUAUAAAUUCGCUUGUGAAAUUUAAAAUCUUUAUUUUUGGUGUAUAAGAUAGCCUUUUGUUGAUUUAGAAGUUAUUAUCCUAUAACCGACCUUGAUUUUUUUUUUACUCCAAAAAUAUGUCCAUAAGGUUGCCUCAUAUCUAUAUAAGAAUUAUAUUAAUUUAUUUAAUUAUACCUUAUUAAACAUGUAAUAUUUGACAAAUUUUAUAUUAUUUUGUUAAUAAACUGACAUCAUCUCAUAUCCCGAUAGUUUUAAUAGUUUAUAGAAGAUAUUUAUUGUCACUAUAUCAAAUAUAAAUCUAAAAAAUUAAUAAGAAAAUCAUUGCAAAAAGGAAAUUAUAACAAUUCCUUGUUAUGACUUGUCCAAAGGUCGAUAUUUUGAAAUCAAUUAGUGGAAAAAAUUCAAUACCAAGUCAUGUUAUUUUAUCCCUGGGUUGUUAUCCAAUAUUGACUAGCAUUAAAGCGUGAUUGGAUACAUUUUCUUCCAGCGGGAGGAGAUCCGCUCGACUUUUUUUGAGGUGGGCUACAUAGCAACAGAAGAACAUAAGGUAUUGGGCCCAUCAAAGCCCAUUCAAAUAUCCUAACAUUUGAUGACGAAUAGGAACAUUUUUUUUAUACAGCGAUUGGAGUUCAGAACUUUACAGAGGGCUUGGAGAUUGUCAGUACCAUACACCGAUGGUAGAGGGUUAAAUGUACUUCUUUUAGAGAAAAAAAUGUUAUCUAUAUAAAUUAAUUAUUUUAUGAUUGAUGUCUUGUUAUAAUUAUUUCUUCAGUUUUAAUCAAUUAAUUAAUACUUUUGCUUCUUAUCCUUUGGUUUGGUUUAGGAUUAUUAUUCUUAACAUCAACAACGGAGCUUUUGAAUUUCACAAACAAAUUUAUAUACAACUGCCAUUUGUCUAUGUAAUAAUGAUAUUAAUCAAUUGACUUCCUCAAACAAACCAUAAAAGAAAAUGUGACACCAAUAUAAACUCGCUCGGGAAAUUUAAAAAUUUUAUCAUUGGUGUAUAAGAUAAUGUUCUGUUGAUUUAUAAAUUACUACCCUGUAACCGACAUUGAUUUUUUUGAGCUCCAUAAGGUUGCCUCAUAUUUAUAUAAGAAUUUAUUUAAUUAUACAUUAAUAAUAAACAUGUAAUAUUUGACAAAUGAUCUGUAAUUAUUUAUUAUUAUAAAAUUGGUAUGUAAAUAACAAUAAGUAGUGAUGUGGCAUGAUAAGAAUAAGCCACAUCACUAGCUUUUUGGAAGCCCUCAUUUAGUAGGCUACGGUGGAAAGGUCGGAUUGGGCAAAUGUUAUUAAAUACCACCGCAACGGCCAGACUGUCAGUCGUUUGGGCCUUUUUCUGUGUCUGACUCUGUUUGACAUUUUGCUGUUGUUACAAAUGUUCACGUGUUCUUCCGCCCUGGCACUCGAAAAAAGUUAAAUAAAAGUUAUCUCAGAGAGAACCUACGGAAUUGAGGUAGCCAUCAGAUCAGGUUGAGAAUCCAGGAAAGGAAUUGUGCACAUGCAGAGUGAGAAAGGACAGAACAGUAUGAAUGGGAGUGAGAGUCUGUCUGAGUCAGUGCACUUAGGCGAGUCAACGCGUUGCAGAGACUGUAACGGAUAUGAUUCACAGGAUACCUGCUUCCUUAUUUACUCUCAGAGGCUGACAGCUCUCUCCCCCUAACAAAACGGGUACAAAAAUUCAGUUCAGCUCCAUCAAGAAGGAAAUAAAUGAACUAAGUCAGAGGGUCAAAACGGGGUGGUCCCGGCCCCAUCCCAGUCAAGUCAUAUGGUCAAGCUUUGACUCCUUCAUUUAAAUCCAACGGUGGCGGUGGACCCUCCCAUGUUUCUGUGAUGGUUGAUGAUUGAUGAUUGAUGAUGAUGCUGAUGUAACCCGUCAAGUCACUGUGUUCUGGUUUGUCUUUUUAUGUGCAAACUGGAAAUGCAAUUAAACAUGAUCUGCUCAGUUCUUGAUCACCACCCUCUCUGAUGUUGCAUUUCUACAAUUAAGAGUCGGCAACAUUUGCAAGCCCACAUCUUUAACUAACAUCAAAACUGAAUCUUUGUAUAUGGAUAUUUAUGGAAAGGAAUUUACUUGUAUGGUCAUGCACUUGAAGUUUUAUAUCUAUUCAAUAUUCAAAUUAUAUUGAUAAAAAAUAUUAUUUUAAUAUAUAUAUUUAUUAGUUAAAAUUUACUUCGUUAUCAAAGCGAAUGAUUAAAAAUACGUAAUUAAUUUUACAUUGAUGUGACAGGAUAUUUCUCCCCUCUCUCUAUAUAUGUAUUAUCUGUUUUAAAAUUUUCUUUCCCCACACAAUUGGCAAAUCUUCUAACAGUUGCAAUAUGAUAAGGAGGUCUGACCACUGACCAUGACUAUGACCAGCUCUACUUUGAUCGCAAUUAAUCAUGUCCUUUUGGGUAUUCUAGGGUUGGACUACUACCAAACUUUUCUCAUAUUAACCUGCAGUUAUGAUGUUACCAACUUCACCCAUAUUUGCUUUAUAUUCUUCAGCCAUCAUAAAGUGCAUGAUUCAAAAAUCGUAUCCCUUUCCCUCUCUCUCUCUCUCUCUCUUUUUGAAGAAAAAAGAAGUAAUGCUACAUUAUAUGUAAGAUAAACACACCUUCCCUUUGCAAAUGGAAGUUUUCUUUGAUCUAGUUUUGAGACCUUUCUUAUAAGUUUGAUAAACAGUAAUUACCAUAAAAUUUAAGGUUGGUCCAAUUGGUUAAUUUAUUUUCCUCAUAGUAAAAGUUAUGAGUUUGAACAUGAGUGGUUCCUACUUGACACUAUCUAGAAUACAAGUCCCUUCACUAUAUAAGUAGGAAAACUGCACAACAACUGCAUUUUAGUUUGAGACUGAAGCACCUAAACGUUAGAAUCUUUGACUAAUUAUCGGUUUGGAAGUGCAAAAAGAAAAACAAAUCUUUGACUAAAUAAUUAACAUAAUAUCUGCUUUCUUAGAGGGCGGGGUCUGGUAAACAUGCAGCUCAUUUCCAGAUGACCGAUUUUGUUCACUGCAUUCAAACUUCUAUUAACGAGCCUAAAAAUCGUAAAGAGGGAACUUUCGAGCAACUUAUUUGCUGUAUUAAUUUGACCUUAUCUGUGGACAACGUCGUGGUUCCCAGAUAUUUGAAAAGAGAAUCAAUAAUCGAGAAAAUAAGGUGGAAAAUCAUCAAUAAACAACUCUUAUAUAUAUAUUGGGCCAAAAUAAACAACUUAUAUUCAAUGUCCCCUGAGGGACACCUAUGGGUUAUAGUUUAAGAUUUCAUUUUAGAGGUCUCAAAUUCGAAUCCUAAAAUGGGUAUAUAAUGAAAUUUAUGAGAUGAGAGGGGAAUACUCUUCACUUUGUUGCUUGUUGGAUUGUUUACUUGAAUAUUUUGGGAACUUGAAUUUAAGGUGUGAGAUUUAACAAGUUUGUUAGUGUAACAUUCAUAAUUUUCAGUGUAAAUUAAAUUAAUUGAGAAUGAUUUAUGAAAUAUAUUGAGUCUUGAGGACUUUGAUGAUAUGCUAAAUAUGCCAAGUGUAUGGGAAUAUAUAUAUAGACACUUAGGAAAAUUUUCUUGAAAAUAUGUGAUAAAUCUUAUAGAUUUGAUUUGAAUUUUAGUGGUUAUGUGGAUUGUGACUUAAGUAGGAAUGAUCUUGGGGUGUUAAAUGUGGAUUUUUGGAAGUUUAAGAAGCUGAAAAAUCUACCUAUAGGAGAAAAUGAAUCGAUACAUUUCCCAAUGUAUCGAUACAUUCUUGGCAGAAUGAAUAAUAUAAGGCGUACAGGGGAUUUUCUAUCAAUACAUUAGGAAUGUAUCGAUAGAUUUGAAUAAGGAUGAACAUUUAUUGAUACAUUGUCAAAUGUAUUGAUAGAUUUGAAGCAGAGAGCACCCAAGGGGAAAAAGUAUUAAUAAAUUCUUUCAUGUAUCGAUACAUUUUGGGCAAUGAGCAUUUUGCUUGAUUUCUAUUGAUACAUUACCCAAUGUAUCGAUAUAUUUGGUUGAAACUAGUAUCAAUGUAUUGAUACAUUAUUGGGUAUUGGCAAAAAUAAAAAAGAUUUUGGGCUAUUCGCCCAUUCAAACAAACCCUAAACCCCAUUCUCUUUCUACCACUUUAAAAACCAUAACCCCCAAACAUAUUUUUGGAGUGGAUUGGAGCUUGGGAAACUCCUUUAGAGGUAAGAUUACACAUUUUUACCAAUUGAUUUUCAAUUUAACCAGUUAACAACCAAGAAAUUCGAUUUAUUCCAGCUUUUGUGAGUCCCCCUCGAUUUGUUAGAAUUUGGAGCUUAGAUUGGUGCAAUCCAACUUUUAAAGUAUGGGUUUAACUCAUUGUUGAAGGAUUUGAGCUUGUAUAAUGGAUUACUAAAAAUUUAGCUAUUUUUGAAAAGCUAGAUAUUUUUGACAGCUAAGAAAUAAAUAUUUUUAUGAUGUUUUGAUGUGUUUAAAAGGAACUUGGGGAUAAUUAACUCGUGGGUGAGCUAAAAGAUGGUUGGAGGCCAAGGGUCAGAACUUGGUUGUGGGUGCACCUUCGACUGUCACUGUGAGUGGGUUUAAUUAAAAUGCAUGUGAUACAUGAUGCAAAAUAGAUGCACUGCCAUGGUACUAAAAUAUGUAUGUAGGCCUAGAUGAAUAUGCCUAGGUUAGAGAAAAAAAUAUAUGUGAUUAUGUGCCGUGUUGUGUGCUUUAGUGCAAGCCACAUAGUGGCCUAUAUUGUGUGAGCCUAGAUUAGGAAGUCUAGUGACGAUGAUGAAAGUCUAGGAGUAAAUUACUUAAGACGAAUGAUUUUUAGAGAGUUUGAACAUUUGAUGUCUUAGAAAUUUAAGGGCACUUAAUACCGUAUCAAGCUUGUAAACAAUUGAAGCUCGUUAAAUAUGAUUUGUAAUUUGAUGUGGACAUAUGGGAUUGUCGAAGACAUAAUGGCCUUGUUUGUGGAUUUGUAUUCUGUCUAAAGAAUGGGUUCCAAAUGUUGAUUUGAUUUGAGGUUGAGUGGAGUCCUAUUCCUUGUGACAUUGUUCUAUACUUGUAGGGAUGGUGGUAUUAGUCCCGCCAAUGAUUCCCACCUACAUUGCUUUGAUGCCAUUCAUUGAGAUUACUCCGAAUGAUGACUCUGCUUUGAUGCCACCCAUUUGAGAUUACUUCGAGUGAUGUCAUCCGUUAGGAGAUUACUUUAGACGAUGACUUUGAUUCUGCGCUUGUUGUUUUGGCACGCGCGUGAUUUGAUUCUCUACUAGUAGUUUAGCCCUAAGUAUGAUUUGACUUUGCUGAUUAGCCACCGUGUGUGAUUUGAUGAUAUCUAGGGAAGGACCACUCCACAAUUGUGAUAUGAUUUGUGAACGAUAUGACAUAACCUCGAAUAGGCUUAGAAAAAAAAUGAUUUGAAAUUCAUAAGAUACCUUGGCAACAAGUGUGUGCCAAUUGAUAUUCACAUUGAUAUGGCUUUGGAGAUAAGUCUAGUGACAUAUUUUUGUGGAGACUCCUAAGGAUGAUUGAUAUGCCUUUAACAUUGGAAAUGCUUGUCAAAAUAUUUGGUUGCACUGAUAGUGCAUUAAAUAUAUAUAUAUAUAUAUAUAUAUAUAUUAGUCUAAUAUUUAUAUGUUUGAUUUAUCUGUAUCCUUUAUUGAGUAUUAGAUGACUCACCCACUUUUGUACCAUGAGCAAAUAAAUUGGCCAUAAGACUACGCGGUAAAGGUCGUCCAUUGACAGACCAAUUUUGGCGUCUGGUAGGUCUUCAUUCCGACAUGUCCACUUUGCUGAGUCUGUCAUGAACUUCUGCCUUUGGAUUUUGGUUCAGUGGUUAUUCAUGUAGGCAUGACGUGCCAUUCAAACUUGUAUUAAAAGUUGUUAAGUACGAACCCGCUUAGUUGGCCAAUGUAUGGCUUUAUGGAUAAUGUAUUAAUAUUGUGUGCAAAUUAUGUGCCCAAGGGCAACGUUUACAUAUUUGAGUUUAAAUAUUAUAUGAAUAUAUGAGUUUGGAAACCCUUGGCUAUGUGUGUAUGAUUUGGAAUUCCAAGGCUUGCUUGGGUCCGCGAGCUUCACUUGUCGAACUUGUGCAUUGGUCAUGGAUCUUUGGGUUUAGGUCGUGACAAAGUUAGUAUUAGAGCCUAAGUUUUAGAGUGUCCUAGGUCAUCUUAUGUCUGUCAAUGGAGUGUUGGGAUUAGUGCAAAGUCUUGUUCAUGGUUUCUGAUUGCAGCAUAAUUCAUGUGUGAAAGGCUACAUAAAUUCCCAAGUUCUUAGUAACAAACACUUAUUGGAUGACGAACUUUGAAAAUUUUUGAAUAUGGUGUUGCUUUGUCUUGGUACAAGAUGCCGUCCUAAAACGAGAGCUAGCUCAAGGGCCAUAAAAGAGCAAGAUGCCUUGGAGGAGCCUAUGGAACAACCACGAGUGUCCACUUAAGGAGUCGUGGUAGAAAUGGAGCUAUUAGAUGUGCUUAAAAUGUGGAACCCAGUUACAUGUAUAUGGGUGAUGAGAAUGUGGAAGUUGGGGAUGACUAAACCCUAUAAGAAGAGGUUUCACCCUAGAAGAUCGAGUGGUAGGGCUACAAAGUUUGGCUAAUGAGUGUGCUAAGUUUCGUAAUAGAGGUGAGGCACAAUCUAAGGAAUGGGUUGAUUUUAGUUUGCAAGGUCCAGACUAUGUGGCUCAAUAUGAACAUUCGAGAGGGGCUAUUGAGGUUACCUUGGUAGAUUUUAUGAAGCUUAUGGCUUCGUCUUUUACUGAUUCAAAUGUAGAGGAAGAUAGAUAAAAAUUUUUGGAAGAAAUGGAAUGUAUCUGUUUUACUUUGAGAUACUCCUUAUACCAAUCAGUGGAAUUGGUGGGGUUUAAACUAAAAGAUGUGGCCAAAAUAUGGUUUAUCUCCUUCAAAAGAAUAAGCUAUCAGGGUCAGUUUUGAUAACUUUGGAGGAAUUUGUCUAAGCUUUUCUAGAUCACUUUUUGCCUGAGAGUGUAAGAGACGCUACGACAUAAGAGUUUGAAACAUUGGUACAGACCCCAAACAUGAUAGUGACAGAGUAUGAUGUUUGUUUCACUCAAUUCUCUAGAUAUGUUUUUAACUUGGUCUUAAUUGAGCAAAAGAAGAUCAAGAGAUAUAUUUAGGGACUGAUGGAGCCACUGUUAAGAGUUUUUGCCACCCAGAGGUUUGCUUCCUAUGCCGCAGUGGUAGCUGUGGCUAGAAUGAUUGAAACUAGGAGAAUGGAAUCUAGAUUAUAAAGAAGUAAGGGUCAAAGAGCUCAAACACAAGGCCAAUAGAGUUGUAGAGAUUCUAGCACUACUAAAAGUUCAAUAUUUAUACACCAUUAGAGUCAUGAGGGAACCAUUCCUAUACAUAGGCCACCUAGGAAUAGUGAUUCAUUUAGCCCAUCUUCUAGAUGAGAUUAUUCUAGUGGAGCAACUAACUUGGACCUUAGAUAGAGGGGUGUUUUAUGUAAUUAUUGGGGAAAGGCACAUGAUGGACUGUGCCAUAGAGUAGCUGGGUUAUGCUUUGGAUGUGAUCAAUUUAGGCAUUUGAUGAGAGAUUGCCUAAUGCAAAGGCAGCCAAUAGAGGUUGACCAUGGAUAUGUGAGACAAGUUGCAACUACCUCGCUUAGAAUGACAGUGUUUGGGAAGAAUGUUGGAGGUGACAAAGGCAAGGGUAUAACCUCAUCAUCUCAAGGUAGAUUGGCACAAUCGACUAAUGAUGGUGGAAGUCAAGUGCGGGUGUUUGCUCUGACACCCCAAGACGCUUAGACUUCCAAUGCAGUGGUCACAACUAUACUUCCUAUUUAUGGUACCAAAGCUUUAGUUUUGUUUGAUCUCGGAUCAACACAUUCCUUUGUGUCACCACACUUUGUGCCAAAGUUAGAUUGGUUUUGUUGUAAUAUGGAGGAACCCCUGAUUAUGACUAUUCUCUUAAAUGAGGCAUUUGUGGUAGAGUAUGUGUAUAAGUCUUGCAUGGUCUGCAUUAAGGACAAGGACACGUUAGUAGACUUGGUGCUGUUGUUGACUUUAAAUUUUGUCGUAAUCUUGGGAAUGGACUACUUAGUGUCAUAUUUUGCUAAAGUAGACUACCAACAUAAGCUUGUGAAGUUUAAGUUCUUGGGGAAACCUUUGUUUGUGAUCUAUGGACACGACAGUCCAAUGUUAUGGAAGUCAUAUCAGUUAUGGCCAUUAGACGUUUGCCAGAGCAAGAAGGCCAAGGGUAUCUACUAAUGACAGGAGAUGUUUCAAUGAAUGAAGGGAAUGUGGAUAAUGUAUGGGUAAUAGGUGAGUAUUCGGAUGUAUUUUUGGAAGAAUUACCCGGAUUGCCUUUUGAAAAGGAGAUUGAAUUUCUUAUUAAUUUGGUUUCGGAUAUGAAGCCAAUUUCUAUAUCUCUUUAUCGAAUGGCACCGGCUGAAUUAAGAGAGUUUAAAGAGCAAUUGGAGAAUUUAUUGAGCAAUGGCUUUAUACGCCUAAGUGUUUCACCUUAGGCAGCUUUGGUGCUAUUUGUUAAGAAGUAGAAUGGUAGCCUUUGGUUGCGCAUAGACUACCAGUAGUUUGAUGGAUUUGGCUAUAGAUGGCAUGCUCAAAAUACGUAGCGGAAAGAAAAUUAAAAACUUUAUAACUAAACAACAAAACAUGCCUCCACCCAUGGAUCACCUUGGUGAUAUUUAACACAUAAAAGCACAAAAUAAAUUAUUUUUUAGAAAGUUACCUUGCCAUGUAAUUUCGUAAUCACGAUGACACUUUUUGAAGCAAUCCCGCGAACACCACAAGGAGCAAAAACCCUAGCUAAUCAAGUGCUUGGCCUCCAAUGGUAGUACACACGAUUGCACUUGAACCUUCAACAAAGGAAGUAGUUUUUAACUAUACUUUAUGCUAAUAAAAAGGACAACGAUUGUCUUUUUCUUUUUUUUUCAUAAUCUUAGUUGAACCUUUCUCGAAAAUUGCUUCAUAAGCAAUUUUCUCUUUCACAUAAAGGGAGUGGUGGCAAAGAAAGAAAACGUUUUUCUUUUUUUUGACAAAAACUACGUUUUCUUCAACUGUGAAAAACUCUCAUAUGGAAAAAUAUUUAAAAGGUGACUUAUAUAGUUAGGUUAAAAUAACUUCAAUUUUGAAAUUAAGCCCUCAAUUUUAUAACACAUUAUAAUAUUGGGCCUAUUACUUAAUUAAACUCUUUUAAUUAAGUCUUUGGAAAUUAAAAUCAAAAUUAAUUUCCUUUAUAUUUUGCAAUCAAGGCCUUAUAGUUAUAACUAUUUAUAAUUAUGAGAAAAACUUAAUUAAACUCUUUUAAUUAAGUUUAUAGAAGUUAAUUACCUAGCAUUUGAUUUAAGUCUAAGUUAAAUCGUCACUCUCCCAAUUUAAUUCAAAUGCAAUCAUUGUAUGUGACUCGUUAGGUUUCCAACAUAUUGGCAAUGGAAUUGAUUAAUGACUUAAUUGAUUAAUAUAAAUUUCAAUCAGUUAGUUUAUAAUCAAUUCCAUAGACCAAGAUUGGCAUCUAGCAAUGCAUCAUGGCCACCUAAUUGUUGGGAGAGUCAAAGGGUUCUUUGACAACCUUUCAGUGUACAGUCUAUCAGUGUAAUUCAUUAACUCAUCAUAUAUCUCGGAGAUGAUAAGAGCUUGGUACAAUGUCUACUUUUAUUGACCUCCAUAUUUGUUCCUGCAAUUAUAGCAUUAGCUUUAUAGAGAGUUAUGAAACCUUUUUCAUAAUCUCCAUGUCGCCUUGGCCAAGGACUUCAAUAAGCUAAUGUUAACCAAGAACUGAUAGAAUAUGUCCUCUAAAACACUUGAGGUGAUGAUUUCUAUCUUGAUUACUCAUUUGCCUUCACAUGCUUCAUACUAUACCCAAAAGCAUCCUGUUUUGGCAUCCUUGGUUAGGCACUCAUAGGGAUGAAAUGAAAGCAUAGCACUCUACAUAUAAGACAACCUAGUGUCUCAAGUCUAGGGAGUAUUUACAUGACUGACACAUGAGAAGUGUUGCAUAGACACUAGAGUGUAUUACCAAAUGCACUUUUCAUGGAGGGUCAUGUUUAGUGAACUUGUUCUCCCAAGCAAGCACUUAUAUUCUAGUUCCAAGUAUCUCUAUACUUCAAUCUAUGAGAUUGAUUGCUUACUUCCAAAGAAAGGAACAUAGAAUAUACUAGUCUCUAAGCAUCAUUGAUGUCUAGUCUCAAUGAUACAUUGACCAGGAACAUUUUGAGAUUAUGCUUUGAUGCAUAGGAAUCUCAUAACUGCAACCUAUUACAGUUUUCUUGCAAGGCAUAUUAAUCUCAUGGACUUCAUCCAAUUAGACUUAUAACUCAUUAUAAUUAAUGUCUUAUUGAUGAAGGAAAACCUCUAAUCAUUCAACAUGAAUGAAACUAUUGCAUGAUUGGAAUCAAGCCUCAACCAAUCCCAAUUGGCUACAGGACUCAUCCCAACAUAGCUUAAUAAAGUGACAAUAAAGAAUAAAUAUCCAUUUAUGAGGAUCGAUGACUUGUUUGAUUAGUUGCAGUGUAAUGUGCUUUUCCAAGAUUGACCUAUGCUCGGGGUAUCACCAAUUGAGAAUAUGAGAGGGCUAUAUACCUAAGACAACGUUUCACACAUGCCACGGGCACUAUGAAUUCUUGAUGAUGUCAUUUGGACUCACCAAUGCACUUGCAUCAUUUAUGUACUUAUUGAAUAAGGUCUUUCAGGCAUAUACAGAUAGAUUUGUGGUCAUGUUUAUAGACGACAUAUUGGUGUAUUCUAAGAGCUUGGAAGAACAUGCACAACAUUUGAGAAUCGUGUUUCAAACUUUGAGAGAGUAUUAAUUGUAUGCUAAAUUUUUGAAAUGCGAAUAAUAAAGUAAGUUUCUUGAGACAUGUGGUGUUAGAACAAUGGGUACAAGUUGAUCCUAGUAAGCUGGAGUGUGUAACAGAAGUUAGAAGUUUUCUAGGUUAAGUUGGAUAUUACAAACGUUUUGUACUUGACUUUUCUAAGAUUGCAUCCUCUUUAACAAGAUUGACUCAAAAAGGAGUUAAGUUUGAUUGGUCCAAUACAUAUGAGACUAGUUUUAAGAAGCUUAAGGCCUGUCUCACUUCUACAUCAAUGUUGAGCCUACCGUGUAUUGCAAUACAUCACGGAUUAGAUUGGGUUGUGUGUUGAUGCAACAUGGGAAAGUCAUAACAUACGCUUCCCGACAACUAAAAAGGCAUGAACAGAACUACCCUACACAUGACCUAGAGAUGGUAGCAAUUGUAUUCGCUUUGAAAAUAUGGGGCCAUUGUCUUUGUGGUGAGACUUACAAAAUAUAUACUGAUCACAAGAGUUUAAAGUAUAUAUUUUAGAAGAGGGAUUUGAAUCUGAGACAACGUAAGUGGUUAGAGUUAUUGAAAGACUAUGACUACACCAUACUUUACCAUCCCUGCAAGGCAAAUGCAAUGGUGAAUGCCUUGAGCUUGAAAUCAAUGGGGAGUUUGGCACACGUAAAAAUGGAGAGACAAUCUUUGUUGUUGAGUUUAUAAGAUUUGGGUAAUAUGGGUGUACAUUUUGAGGUUAAUGAUUCCAAUGCCUUGAUGGCACAUUUUAGAGUUCGUCAAAUGAUUUUAGAUCGAAUUAAAGUUACCCAAGACUAAGAUGAAUGUUUGGUGAAAAUAUUGAAGGACAUGAGUGAAGAUAAAGCUUGAGACUUUGUGUAUGAUGCUGAUGGUUUGAUGAGGUAUCGAUCUUCGGUUUAUGUGCUAGAUAUAGAAGGUUUGAGGAAUGAGUUUUGGAAGAAGCUCAUGUUGCAGCCUAUGUGAUACACGUAGGAGCCACCAAGAUGUAUCAUGAUUUAAAGUUUAUUUAUUGGUGUCUAGGAUUAAAGAAAGACGUGGUUGAAUAUGUCUUUAAGUGCUUGACAUGUCAGCAAGUGAAGGCUAAACAUUAGAGACCUUUAGGAUUGCUACAACUGUUAUUGAUACCCGAAUGGAAGUGGAAACAUGUAGCCAUGGACUUUGUAAUGGGUUUACCAUGAGCUAAGGGUGGCUAUGAUGCCAUUUGGGUGAUAAUUGAUCAACUAACUAAGUCAGCCCACUUUCUCCUAGUCAAGACUAAGUAUGGAGUGGCUGGGUACACCCAAAUUUAUAUUAAUGAGAUUGUAAGGCUACAUGGUGUUCCAGUAGUGAUAGUGUCUAACAGAGGAGCGUAGUUGAUGAGUCAAUUUUAUAGGAAAUUGCAAGAGGCCUUAGGUACAAGAUUGGAAUUUAGUAUGUCUUCCAUCCAUAAAUGGAUGGCCAAUCUCAAUGCACCAUUCAGACACUCGAAGAUAUGUUGAGAGCAAUUAUACUCAACUUUAGAGUUUCAUGGGACCAUUAGUUGCCUUUGAUUAAGUUUGCUUAUAAUAAUAGUUACCAAGCCUCGAUUAGUAUAGCUCCAUAUGAAGCUUUGUAUGGGUAAAAAUGUAAGGUGCUUAUUGGUUGGCUUGAAGUUAGGGAACGAAAACUCUUAGGAUUGAAAAUGGUCUAAAAAGCUUAGUGAUGUAUCCAUGAGAUUCGAGAAAAGGUGUUAAUGGCUCAAAUUAGCCCAAAAUCUUACACCGAUAAUAGGCGUAGACCUUUGAAGUUUGAAGUAGGCAACUAUGUGUUUUUAAAAAUCUCGCCAACCAAGGGAAUUAAGAGAUUUGGAAAGAAGGGGAAACUAAGCCCUAGGUACAUCGGACCGUUUGAGGUGUUAAAGUGUAUUGAUGCUAUUGCUUAUCACUUAGCAUUAUUGCCAAAUUUGUUUGAUGUUCAUCCAGUUUUCCAUGUAACCAUGCUUGGGAAAUAUGUUCCCAAUCCUUCACACAUGAUUCAGUAUGAUAAAGACCAAUUACAAGACGAACUUAGUUAUGAGGAGCAACGCAUAGUAAUAUUAGAUUUGCAAGUAAAACGGAUACACUCCAAAGACAUCGCUACAAUGAAAGUAUUGUGACAAAGCCAUUUGGUUGAGGAAAUCACAUGGGAACUCAAAGAGGAAAUGCAAGAGAAAUAUCCCCAAUUUUUUGAGGUAUAAUAUAUGUUUUAACUUGUGGUGUGUAAUUAAAUUCGGGGACGAAUUUCCUAUAAAGAGAGAAGAAUGUAACACCACUAAUUUUUAGUGUAAAUUAAGUCAAUUAAGGAAUAUUUAUGAAAUAUAUUUUUUUUUGAGGACUUUGAUGAUAUGCUAAAUAUGCCAAGUGUAUGGGAGUAUGUAUAUUGACACUUAGGCAAAUUUUCAUGAAAAUAUGUGAUAAAUCCUAUAGCUUGAGGUUUUGAUUUGAAUUUGGUGUCAUAUUUGAUGUACAAGAUAUAUGAGUUUAGUGGCUAUGUGAAUUGUGACUUAAGUAAGAAUGAUCUUGGGGUGCUAAAGGUGGAUUUUUGGAAGUUUAAAAAGAUGAAAAAUUUGCCUAUGGGGGACAAUGUAUCGAAACAUUCUUGGCAGAAUGAACAAUAUAAGGUGUAUAUGGGAUUUUCUAUCGAUACAUUCAGGAAUAUAUCAACAGAUUUGAAUAAGGAUGUACAUCUAUCGAUAUAUUGUCCAAAUGCAUCGAUAUAUUUGAAGCAAAAAGCACUCAAGGGGAAAAAGUUUCGAUAGAUUUUUUCAUUUAUCAAUACAUUUUAUGUAGUAAGCAUUUUGCCUGAUUUUUAUUGAUAAAUUUUCCAAUGUAUCGAUAGAUUUGGUCGAAAUCAUUAUAAAUGUAUCGAUACAUUUCCAAAUGUAUGGAUACAUUAUUAGGUAUUAAUUAAAAUGAAAAGGGUUUCAGGCUAUCUGCCUAUUUAAAAUGAACCCUAAAUCCCUUUCUGUCUCUACUACUUCAAAAACCUUAACCCUUAGACAAAUUUUUGGAGUCAUUUAGAGCAGAUUGGAGCUUGGGAAACUCCUCUAGAGGUGAGAUUAUGCCUUUUUACCGAUUGAUUUUCAAUUUAAUCGGUUAACAGCAAAUAAAUUCGAUUUAUUCCAGCUUUGGAAAGUCCCAUUCGAUUUGUUGAAAUUUGGAGCAUAGAUUGGUGCAAUCCAGCUUUAAGAUAUGGGUUUAGUUCAUUGUGGAAGGAUUUGAGCUUGUAUAAUGGAUUGCUAAGAAUUUGGCUAUUUUUUGAAAACCUGGAUAUUUUUGAAAGCUUGGAAAUUAAUAUUUUUGUGAUGUUUUGAUGUGUUUAAAGGGAAGUUGGAGAUAAUUAACUCAUGGGUGAGUUGAAGGAUGAUUGGAGGCUAAUGAUCGGAGCUUGGUUGUGGGCGUGCCUUCAAUUGUCAUUAUGAAUGGGUUUAAUUAAAAUGCAUGUGAUGCAUGACACAUAAUAGAUAUGCUACCAUGGUACUAGAAUAUGUAUGUAGGCUUAGAUGAACAUGCCUAGGCUAGAGAACAAAAAUAUAUGUGAUUGUAUGUUGUGUUGUGUUCUUUAAUGCAAGCCAUAUAGUGGCCUAUGUUGUUUAAGCCUAAACUAGGAAGUCUAGUGACUAUGAUGAACGUCUAGAAGUAGAUUACUCAAGAUGAAUGAUUUUUAGAGAGUUUGAACAUUUAAUGCCUAAGAAAUUUAAAGGCACUUAUAACCAUAUCAAGCUUAAAACGAUUGAAGCUUGCUAAAUGUGAUUUGUGAUUAGAUGUGGACAUAUGGGAUUGUCAAAGGUAUGAUGGCCUUAUUUGUGGAUUUGUAUUCCGUUCGAGGAAUGGAUUUCGUGUCACGACCCGAAACUCCCAUCGAGCUAGUGACAACUACCGCGACAUCCCGAUAGACAUUCAUUACCCAAAAUGUCAAUCGAAACCUCGCAAGGCUUAACAUCAGUUUUUCUCACUUCCCCUGUGAGUAUUAGUCAUUAAAAUUAUGUUUUGAGAGAUUAUAAACUAUUUUCAAAUCAAAACAAUAGAAAAAUAAUUUUUUUCUCACAAGGGCAUUUUGAUAAUUUUUCUUAAAAAAUCUCGAAAUUCGCUAAAAAUGUAGUAUGUUGGUGCAAAACACAUAUUUCAUAAUAAAAAAAUAAAUUUGGAUGUCUAAAAUAUUCGUUUAAAAUGAAAUUAUGACUAUUAGAAUAAAAUAAAAAUAUUGAAUAAAAUAAUCAAUUUUCUCAUAAAACAAUAUUUUUAGAACACUGAAUAAAUAAUUGUUACAGUGUAAAAGUAAAAUAAAUUCAUAUAUAUCGUAAUACAGUAAGCCAAAGUAUUUAAUUUAAUUUACAGUAACAAGUGGGCCCUCGAACAACCGAAAGUAAGAAAAAUUGUAAACCUACAGUUUGGAGGAUGCAAAUCCAAUGGUUGUCCUCGAUGAAAUCAGCUAUCUAUAGACUAUCCUGAGUUUGAAAUGGGUGGAAAGGAGGGUGGUGAGAUUAUAUAAUCCUAGUGAGUAAACAAAUACCAUCUAAAAUAUCUAAAGCCGAGUAAAUGGAAACAGAUAAAACAGUUUAAUGUACUGUAAUUCAUCACCUUUUAACUCAUUUCAAUCAAAUAAAAUCAAUUCAUAUAAAUCGAGUAAUCAACAUGGCUUAUAAAUUUCUUAAAACUUUGGCUCGUGCCAAAAUCAUUUUUAUACCCAGUUAUCAGGGAUGCCUUGAUCGAGGGCUAUCCCAACCGAGUCCGUCAAGGCUGUCAAAAAGUUAUGUACGCAUAAAUCAUGUUUUUAUUUUAAAAACAUAGCCGUUCCUUGGCAUUAGCGGAGUUCAUCAUCAUGAGGUGGUUUAGCGUGAAGUGAACUCUAAAGUUAUACCUCGGGAGUUACCCUAUUCGCCUCUUCAACCGAGGUAAAAUAUGACUAGGUUCUGUGCCCCUCUAAUAGGCUAGUCCACAGAACUAGCCCACUACAGUAAGCUAAACCCACCAUACAAUGAAAAUUCAACAACAUGACAUGGCAAUUUUAUCAUUAUCCAGCCUAUCAAGGCAAACAACAGUUUAUACAUUUCAACACAAAUACCAAUUCAGCCAUUCAUGCCAAUAUUGUCAUAAGCCAAUCAAUUAGAACCAUAAAUUCACAAUACAUCAAAUGGUCUCAAAUUACUCUAUUUUCAAAGCCAUUAUUCAAUUUUAAAGCAAUUUUAUGAAAUCAUUUCAUUAAAUCACAUUUGGUUUAUAAAACUGAAAAAUUAAUCAUUUAAUUCAUUUUCCAUGAAAUUCACAAAAUCGGAUAAAAACCACUUUAAAUAAUUAAGACGAUAGUAAGGUUACUCACUAUUUCGGGAGUCGAAUUCCAAGUACUCCGAUUCUUGAUUCCUCAGGUACUAUCUCUUUACUUUUGCCAGAAUGCUCACCACCUAGACAUAAUGCACAAUAAGCCAUUUACUACAUUGUGCUAAAUUGUUAUAAAACCAAUUCAGGCUUUAUACUAAUGUAUGAAAUGGGAUGCAAAUUGUUUGGAUUACCGUUUAAAUACGGUAUUCUACACAAAUUCAAUUGUGUACCUAAAUUAAACGAUAUUGGCCUAAUUCGAUCUAUCACUCGUUUAAUUGGCCAAUACGUCCAAUUCAACUCCAAAUAAUUUCAUUUUUCUCCCAAUACUCCAAAUCAUCAAACACAAAUUAAAUAACUUGAAAUAUGGCAAAAUCAUCCUCACAUUUUCUCUUGGAAAAAUUCGGCCAUGGUGGGUGCAUCAACACUAUAAUUUUUCCUACUUGAUUCUCACACCAUAAAUCACUAAUUCCUAACCAAAUCACUUGAAAUAAAAUCAAAAUCAUUCUCAAUAUUUCACAUGGAGAAUUCGGCCAAUGAUGGGUGAUGGGAGAAAAUGAAUUUUUCUUGCUUGAUUUUCAUGUUACACAUCAUUAACUAACUAAAAACAUUAAAAUACAUUGAAAUCUAACCAAAACAACCAUCAAAUCUUCUCUCUCUAAAUUUGGUCAGCCAUGAAUCCUUCAUGAUAUCUUGUGAUUCAACCAUGAAAAAUGCAAAAUAAUGCAUGAGAAAGGUAGAUCACAAGUCAAAAUCAAGAAAUUUUACCUUUGAUUGCUUGAUUACUUGAAAUCCACCAAUUUUUCUCUUGAAUUUUCACCUUAGGGUUCUUGUUCUUUCUUUUCUUCCUUUGUUCUUCUUUGGCCGGCCAUAUGAAUGAGAAAUAGGCUGAUUUUGUGCUAAUUUAUAAGGAAAAUAAUGAAUGGAUGAGAUUUUGACACAUGUCACCAUUCUAUUGGUCCAUGUGUCAUACUUAGCCAUUAAGCAAUCUCUCUCUGCCACUUAAAUUUCCUCAAUUAUCCAUGAUAAUAUUGGGUAAAAUCUAUGUGCUGGACAAGUGUUGGGCGGUGUAAAAUUACAAUUUUGCCAUUGGGGUGGCAAAAUGACUAUUUUACCCUUAUGCUCUGAAAAAUGCCGAAAUUGAAAUUUUUCACUUCUCAAACUCAAAAUUAUGUUUUAAAUAGUCAAUCUUGAUCAAAAACGUCUUCCAACAUUCUAAUUUUUUAACCUCGGGUGGCAAAAUGACCAUUUUACCUCUAGGUCAUGAAAAUUCCAGUUUGAUUCCAAAUCGGUCCUCGAACUCUGAAUCACCAUUUUAAGUCAUUUUGGGAUUUUAAAAUUCUCAAUUUCAUCUUAAAAUCUCUAUUUGGACUAGUUUGAGGCUUAAUUCAACUUAAUUGUACCAUUUGGUACAUUGCUGUCCUUUAACGAUUUUCGAGGUACUCAAGUAAGCAAAUAUGCAUUCUUAUGUAAGAAUGGCAUAAUAAACAUAUUGUAGAGUCGGGCUUGACAUUUUAGACGUUAACUUGAUUUGAGGUUAAGUAGAGUCUUACUCUUUGUGACUUUGUUUUGUGCUUGUACGGAUGGUGGUAAGCAGGAAUGGUGGUAUUAGUCCUGUUUCCAAUGUUUUAAUGCCAUUUGUUGAGAUUACUCCGUAUGAUGACUUUGCUUUGAUGCCACUUGUUUGAGAUUACUCUAGGUGAUGCCAUUAGUUGGGAGAUUACUUUGGACGAUGACUUUGAUUCUCUGCCCGUUGCUUCGAAACACACAUGAUUUGAUUCUCCAUCAAUGGCUUAGUCCUGAGCAUGAUUUGACUCCAUCAGUUGACCAUCGUGCGUGAUUUGAUAAUGUUCAGGGAAUGACCACUUUACGAUUGUGAUUUGAUUUGUAAGCAAUAUGACAUAGCCUUGGAUAGGCUUAGAUAAAAAUGAUUUAAAAUUGAUAUGAUAUCUUGGCAACUAGUGUUUGCCAAUGGAUAUUCACGUUGAUACGGCUUUAGAGAUAAAUCUAGUGAUAUACUAUUUAUGGAGACUCCCAGGGAUGAUUAAUAUGUCCUUAACAUUGGAGAUGCUCGUUAAAAUAUUUGGUUGCACUGAUAGUGCGUGAAAUAUAUAUAUUUGUCUAAUAUAUAUAUAUGUUUGAUUUAUCUACACCCUUAACUGGGUAUUAGAUGACUCACUCAUUUUUGUAUCAUGUGCAGAUAAAUAGACCAUAGGACUAUGUGGUAAGGGUCGUCCAUUGACAGACCAAUUUUGGCUUUUAGUAGGUGUUAAGAAUUUUGAGAAUAUGGUGCCCUAGAAAUCAAGUGUAUUCUCAUGCUUAAUUUCAUUAAAUUUGUAAUGAAAGUGCAUUUUGAUAAUAAGAUGAAGAGUUUGUUUUAAGUAACCAUUCAUUAUUUAGUUAUUAAGGUACCAUGAUUCUAUUGAGAUAUUAAAAGACAUUUGUAUGAAGAGUCAUACAUAGGAGACAUGUAUUUUAAUUGAAUGUAAAAAUUAUUCACAGCCAUAUAAUAAAGCUGGUCACUUUAUUGUGUUAAGGCUGUAUGAUCCAAAUUAAUAAAGCUGGUCACAGCCUUAUAAUCUUUGAUUUACCAUGAGCAUGAUCAUCAUAAAGCAUUGAUCUAGACUUCAUAUUUUGGGGAUUAUAAUCGAGAUGAACAUUUGGGAACAUAUAUCCAAAUAAUGGUGUUCAUAGCAUUAACAUCAUUUCUAGUGAUUUCAAGAAGAUUGGUGAUUAAUCUGGGCUCAAUGGAUUGAUGAAUUAGCUACUCAUCACAUCUAGAUACUCAAAAGAUUAGACCUAGAGUAUUGAAUCACUAAUUGGAUGAAAUUUAAGGCUAGGGGUAGGGAUGUCAACGGGUACCCUAUUAUAAGGUACCCUCGAGUACCCGAUCCGGUUACACCAGGUUAGGGUACUUAAUAAACCGGUUCGGGACAAGUUCGGGUAGUGAUUUCACUACCUGAAUUGGGUUUGGGUAUCACUUUUUGGAUAGCAUUACCUGAACCCAAUUAUGUAAUAUUCGGGUUUUGCGGGUACCCGCCCUGAACCCGAUUAUAAUACUCGUAUAUAUAUUUUUAUUAUUUAAAUAACUGACUAAAAUUAAUCCAUUUUGUUGCUGAUUUGAUUCAAACCCACGUAAGGAAGAAAAGCACCCAAAGUUUGUACCAUCUUGACAAACAAUUUCUUUUGUUGAAUGUUGACAAAUAUAUUAAAAAUAUAGUUACUCAAAUUAUUAAUGUGAUGACAUUAAUAUAUAUAUAAAUAAAAAAAUUAUUAGAUUAUUAAUUAUGUUUAAAUAAUAUGAAUAUCAUAUCAUAUUACAAAAGAAUAUAAUUACUAUUAUAUACAUUUUUAAUAUAAAUGUAUUUACUUUUUAUUUUGUGUUAAGAUUACAAAAAUUAUAACUUAUAAUAUAUAUACUUAAAGAGAGUCUUUGAGUUUAGAAUAGUUUUGGAAUCUAACUAGUUUUUUAAUUUCAUGUAAUUAAAGACAAACUCAUAUAGUUAAUUAAAUUAAUUCAUUAAACUAUGAUUAUUAGUUAACUUGGAAUGUUUUUAAAUAUAUAUACAUUAUAUAUAUUGAGUUCAUUUAUAAGAAAUAUAAUUACUAUAUUAUAUAUAUACUAAUACUUUUAGUAUAUAUAUAUACUUUAAAUAUAAAUAUAUUUAUUUUUUAUUUUGUGUUAACAUUAUAAAAAUUAUAACUUAUAAAAUUAUUAAUUGUAAUAUAUUUAUAUACUUCAUAGUAUAUAACUUGUAAUGUCUUUUAACACAUACACUUUAUAUUAUAUAUUAUGUUCAUUUAUAAAAAAUAUAAUUACUAUUAUAUAUUAAUUACUAAAUAAUAUAUAUACCUUUGUUUAUAUAAAUUUAUAAUAUAUAAACUUAAUUAUCUAAAAAGAAGUUGAGAGAUUAGAAUAGUUUUGAAACUUAGUUAUUGUCACGACCUGGUAUUCUCUUCGAGCCCGUGACAACCGUCGCGAUGUCCCGAUAGACAUUCAUUAUCCGGAAUGCCAACCGAAACCUUGCAAGGCUUUAAUAUUAGUUUUCUCACCUCCCUUGCGAGCAACAGCUGCUAAUAUCAUAUUUUAAAAGAUUAUAAACUAUUUCCAAAUCAAAACAAUAAAAAAAUAAUUUUCGUCUCUUGGGGGUAUUUUGGUCAUUUUUCUCUGAAAAUUUUGAAACUAGCUAAUAAUGUAGUAUACGAGUGCAAAACACAUAUUUCAUAAUCAAAAAUAAGUUUAGAUGUCUAAAACAUUCAUUUAAAGUGAAAUUAUGACUAUUUGAAUAUAAUAAAAAUAUUCAAUAAAAUAUUCCAUUUUCUUAUAAAACAAUUUUUAUAGAGUUAUCUAUAAGAAAUUUUUUGUAGUGUAAAAGCGAAAUAAAUUCAUACAUACUGUAAUACAGAUAGUCAAGGUAUGUAAUUUAAUUUACAAUGACACGUGGGCCCCCAAAUGAUAAAAGUGAACGAAGGCUGUGAACCUACGAUUUUUGAAGAAGUAAAGCCAAAUGUAGCCUUCGAUGAUAUCAGCUAUCUACAAACUAUCCUGAGCCUGAAAUGGGUGGAAAGGAGGGUGAUGAGAUUAUAUAAUCCCAGUGAGUAAACAAAUAUCAUCUAAAAUAUCUAAAGCCGAGUAAAUGGAGACGAUUAAAAUAGAUCAUCAUAAAAUGGUUCAUAACAUCAAAACACAUUUCAAAUCAUCUAAGCCAGUUACAUUUCAUCCAAAAUAUACAACGAGGCUUAUGAAUCUCUUAAAAACUUGGCUCGUGCCAAAACUCAUUCUCGGGGAUACCUUGGCCGAGGCAUCUAACCGAGUCCGUCACGGUUGUUAAAAAGUCAUAUACGCAUAAAAACACAUUUUUAUAUUUAAAAGCACAGCCGUUCUUUGGCGUUAGCUGAAUUCACUCUCACGUGGUGGUUUGGUGUGAAAUGAACUCUAAACUUUAUCCUAGGAGAUACCCUACGCACCUCUUCGAUCGAGGUAAGAAUAUAACCGAAUUUCGUGCCCCUCUAAUAAGCUGGCCCAUAGAACCCGCCACUGCAGUGACCAAUCUAUAACCCACCAAUUCAAUAAAAAUUCAACAGCAUGACAUGGUAAUUUUAUCAUUAUCCAGCCCAUCAAGGCAAACAACAUUUUAUACAUUUUCAACACAAAUACCCAUCCAGCCAUUUAUGCCCACAUUAUCAUAAGCCAUUAAUUCAAAACAUAAUUUACAAUAUAGCAAGUAGUCUCCAAUUACUCCAUUUUCAAGUCAUUAUUCAAUUUCAAGACAAUUUAUAAAAUCAUUUCAUUUAAACACAUUUUUCAUAAAAUUACAAAAUUGGAUAAAAACAUACUUUAGAUAAUUAAGACGAUAAUAAGGUUACUCACAAUGUUAGGAGUUUGAAUUCUUUUAGAGUACUUCGACUAUUGAUCUUCGGGUACAACUUCUUUGCCCUUAUCGGAGGAUUCACCACCUAGACAUAAUGCAUAAUCAAACAAUUUACCAUAUUGGUGCUAAACCGUUAUAAAACUAAUCUACGCUCUAUAUGAAUGCAUGCAAUGGAAUGCAAAUUGUUCGGAUCAUUGUCUAAACACAGUGUUCUAUAUAAAUUCAAUUGUGUACCUAAAUAAAACGAUAUUGGCCUAAUUCGAUCUAUCACCCGACUAAUUGGCCAAUAUGUCCAAUUUAAUUCCAAAUAACUCCAUUUCUAUCCCAAUACUCCAAAUCAUCAAACUCAAGUCAAGUAACAUAAAAUUUAGCAAGAUCAUCUUCACAUUUCUUGUUGGGAAUUUCAGCCAUGGUGGGUGCAUAAACACUAUGGUUUUUCUCACUUGAUUUUUACACCAUAAAUCAUUAAUUCCUAACCAAAUCACUUGAAAUAAAAUCAAGUCCACCAUCAACACACCAUAGGGAAGAUUCGGCCAAUGGAGGGUGAUGGAAGAAAAUGAAUUUUUCUUGUUUGCUUUUCAUGCUACACAUCACUAACUAACUAAAAACACUAGAAUAUAUUGAAAUUUAACCAAAUCCAAGUUCAAAACUCCUCCCCCCAUGUCCGGCCAGCAAAGGUAUCCUCAUGCAAACUUGAUUCUCAACCAUGAAAAAUGAAAAAAAAAUGCAUAGGAAAGGUAGAUCACAAGCUAGAAUUGAAAAAUCUUACAUUUUGUCACUUGAUUCUUUGAAAUUUUGUGAAUUUCUCUUGAAUUUCUUAGCUAGGUUUUUGUUCUUCUUCUUUUCUUCCCUUUUCUUCCUUUGGCCGACCAAGAGAAAUGAGUUGGGAGGGUCUGGUUUAAUGUAAAUUAUAAACAAAUAUAAGCUUGCCACUUGUCACCAUACCAUUGGUCCACAUUUUACACUUAACAAUUAAGCUUUCUUUCUCCACCAUAUAAAAUAUUUCAAUUAUUCACCAUAUAAAAUGUUAAGGGAUGAAAUCUAUGAGUAUGACAAGUGUUGGGUGGUGUAAAAUUACAAUUUUGCCUUCAAGUGGUAAAAUGAUCAUUUUGCCCUUAGGUCAUGAAAAUUUCAUUUUGACUCCAAAUCGAUUCUCGAACUCCGAAUCACCAUAUUAAAUCAUUUUGGGAAUUUAAAAUUCUAAAUUUCACCUUAAAAUCUUUAUUUGGUUUAGUUUGAGGCUUAAUUCAACUUAGUUGUACCAUUCAGUACACUACCAUCUUUUGACGAUUUUUCGGGGCUUUCCAAGUAUGCAAGCAUAUUGUUAAUCACAUGAAUGACAUGGCAAGUAUUUUAUAAGGUCGGGCUUGAUAGCUAUUUUUGUUAAAUUUCAUGUAACUAAGGACAAAUUCAUAUAAUUAAUUAAUAAAAUUAUGAUUAUUAAUUAAAUUGUAAUGUCUUUUAAUAUCUAUAUUUAUAAAGAAUAUAAUUACUAUUUUGUAUAUACACUAUAAUACUAUUAAUAUAUAUACUUUAAAUACAAAUAUAUUUAUUUUUUAUUUUGUGUUAAUAUUAUCAAAAUUAUAACUUAUAAAAUUAUUCAUUGUAAUAUAUAUAUAUAUACACACACUUUAUAGUAUAUAACUUGUAAUAUCUUUUAUCACGUACACUUUAUAUUAUAUAUUAUGUUCAUUUAUAAAGAAUGUAAUUACUAUUGUAUAAAUUAAUUACUAAAUAAUAUAUAUACCUUUGUUUAUAUAAAUUUAUAAUAUAUAAACUUAAUUAUCUAAAAAGAAGUCGUGAGAUUAGAAUAGUUUUAAAACUUAGCUAUUUUUGUUAAAUUUCAUGUAACUAAGGACAAAUUCAUAUAAUUAAUUAAAUUAUUUAAUGAAAUUAUGAUUAUUAAUUAAAUUGUAAUGUCUUUUAAUAUCUAUACUUUAUAUACAUUGGGUUCAUUUAAAAAAUAUAAUUACUAUUUUGUAUAUACACUAUAAUACUUUUAAUAUAUAUAUAUAUUAUAAGUAUAUAUUUACUUUUUAUUUUAUAUUAACAUUAUAAAAAUUAUAAUUUAUAAAAUUAUAAAAUUCAUAUAGCAGAAUUUGUUUUCUUGUGCUUAUUAGAAAAAGACUAUUAACUUGCUUCUCAAUUUCCUAAUCCAAAUGUUUAUGUAAUUGAUGUUAAAAAAAAAACUAAAAACCUUAGCCACUCCUUUCUUUUCUUUCUUUUUUCUCUUUUAGCCGCUUCUUCAGUUCUUUUUCUUCCACAGCCACGCCCCGCGCUCAUUCUUUCUUUUCUCCUUAGCCAUAGCCAUGCCCCACGCUCUUUCUUUUUUCUUUUCUCCCCAGCCACUACCACUGCCAUGCCCCACGCUUCUUCUUCUUUCUUUUCUGCUCCAGAUUCCAGCCACUGCUAAAAUUUUUGGCAUUGAUUUUGUUAUAAGGACCUAUAAGAUUGUUUCCUCAAAAUUGUCUGUAACUUCACACCUUGCAAGAACCUCUAAGAUUUGUGCUUGCGGCUAGAACAGGAACUCUUUUCCUCGGGUCAACCCCUUAACUGGUAUGACUUUCUCAUUCAAGUUAUCAACUAUUUUGUUGCUGUGGUGCGUAAGGAUGUUUGUGCUAUGGCCACUUGUAAACCAUAUUGGGAAUAUGAAUAUGUAAAAUUCUUUAUUCUAUUCUAAAACUGUCAACCAUUCUAAGAAUAACUAUAAGAAGGAAGUUGAAAAAUGAUUUAAAUACAUUUUGUUCUAUGACUUGUCAAGAAAGAACAAAUGGGACAAUAGACUAUAGCUUGUGAUAAUAUUGGGACCUAAGAUCUAUUCAAGUGUUUCCUUGAUUAGAGACAUGGAAUCAAAACCUAAAAUAUGCAAUUAGCUGUAACAACAAAAGCAUGAUAACAUUGAAUUCAGUCAAGAGGCUAAUUUAGAAUAACCAUCAGCAAUUUAACUGAAAAUGUCUUAAGGUAGAUGCUUUAACAAGCUCAGCAUCACAUAACUUCUCAGAAAGGAUAAAACAAAAGAAUUAACUUUCUCACAUCUCCCUUAUUUUUCUCCAUUGAAUGGCUAUUCACUUUACUUUAAGAUACAGCUUCUCCUUAGUAGCACUAGCAACCAUAUUCCUUGUUAAUUUAACCAUAAUCUCAAAGCUUUGUUAUCAGUUUCUUUGUAACUUUUAAACAUUAAUAUUCAGUGUGUUGCAGGGCUAUAUUUAUUUUUUUCAAAAUUGAUUUAGACAUUGAUUUUGUUAGUUUUAUGUUUCUAGGUCUUUUGAAAAAUGGACGCAGCUAACAAAUGUGAUGAUAAUAUUAAUUAUAAUUACAAUAAGACACUCUCUCAAUCAUCAGCAUAUGUAAGGUCAAGUUCACAACAAACAUCUUUAGUUGAGCCUUCUAGAACUCCUGCUAGUGGUAGUCAACCUUUGAUCUCGGCUAUCGAAAGUAAACCUCCAUUGUGUAGUUCAAGUACCAAACGUCGUUGCAAAUUAACUUCAGAGGAUUGGAAUCAUUUUGAAAAGAAAAAUAUCGAUGGGGAAGAUGUGGCAAUUUGUAAUUAUUGUAAAGCUAUUCUUAAGCCCAAAAUCAAGAAUGGAAUAAAAGCUUUAAACAAUCACAUGAGUACUUGUGCAAGGAGAAAAAAUUCAAGCAUUGAACAAUGCUUUGAAAAGCAAAAGCAACUUUGCAUAAAUACACAAGCUGAUGGGACGAUUCAGAUUAGAAAUUGCACAUUUGAUCAAGACAUUUCAAGACAUGAGUUGGCUUGUGCUAUAAUCUUGCAUGAAUAUCCGCUUUCUAUUGUUUUUCAUGCUGGUUUUAAAAAGUUUGUUGCUAGUCUUCAACCCUUGUUUAAGAUGGUCUCUCGCAAUACAAUUAAAGAGGACAUUCACAAGAUUUAUUACUCAAAGAAAUCCAAGCUAUAAUAGGGGUUUGAGAAGUUAAAAAGUCGAAUAGCAAUCACGACGGAUAUAUGGACUUCAAAUCAAAAGAAAGGUUACAUGUCCGUCACUGCUUAUUAUAUUAAUGAAUCUUAAGAGUUGCAAAGCUAUAUCUCGAGGUAAGCAAUUUUUAUUCUAAUUCUUUAAAUUGUGUUAUGCUAUAGAUUAAUGGUUUUAUGAAAAAAAAUUUAAGCAAAUUCAUUAAUAUUAUUUUGUAAACAUGUAGAUUUGUAUAUGUCCUAGCAUUUCACACGAUGUAUGUUCUUGCUCAAGAAAUGAUGAAUGCUUUGGCUGAAUGGUAGAUAGAGAACAAACUCUCUACUAUUACUGUGGAUAAUUGUAGCUCCAAUAAUGGUAUGAUUUUUAUCCUAGUGAAUAACUUAGGUUCUGAACUUUUACUUGAUGGAAGAAUUCUUCACUAGAUGUUGUGCACAUAUAUUGAAUCUUGUUGCUAGAGAUGGAUUAUCUGUGAUUGAAAAUGUUUGUGAUAGUGUAGUAUAUUGGUCAGUUAGUCCAUCUAGAUUGGAAAAAAUUGAAGAAGUGGCUCGCUAAGCUAAAGUGUCGUAUUCUAAAAAGUUGAGUCUAGAUUGUAGAACUAGAUGGAAUUCAACUUAUGUGAUGCUUCGGACUGCUAUAGGAUACAAAGAUCUCUUUCCUAGGUGGAAACUUAGAGACAAAGGUUACUCUUAUAUGCCUAGUGAGGAAGAUUGGGAGAGAGCAAAAAAUAUUGCUGACAAGUUGGAAAUGUUUUAUGAUCUCACUAAUUUGUUUUUUGGGACAGAGUGUCCUAUUGUAGAUUAUUUUUUUUGUCAAAGUUUGUAAACUUCGAAUUGCAAUUGCGAAUUGAAUGUGCUUUGAUGUUGUGACAAUUAGUGCAAUGGCAAAGAAAAUUUUUGAUAAGUUUGAAAAAUAUUGGAAGGAUAUUCAUAUUGUGCUAGCUGUGACGAUUAUCUUGGAUCUUAGGUAUAAAAUGAAGGUGGUUGAGUAUAUUUUUUCUAAAAUUUAUGGUGGUGCUGUAAAUUAUGAGAUUGAAGAAAUUAGGAAAACUUGUUAUGAUUUACUUCAAGAAUACUAGAGUAAAUCCACCAAUCUAAAACUAGAGUCUUCUCAUAAUUCAUUAGCAACAACAUAUGAUGAAUCACCCGAACCAGAUGAAUGUAUGUUGUAUGAAUUUCUUAAUUCUUCUAUUGAUGGGCAUGUGAAGUUAGAAUUGGAUCAUUAUUUGGAAGACAAAGUUUUGCCAUUUACUAAAACUUUUGAUAGUUUGAGUUGGUGGAAGACAAAUGGGAUAAAGUAUUCCACUUUACAAAUGAUUGCUAGAGAUUUUCUCGCUAUUCCUAUUUCUACAGUUGCAUCUGAGUCAGCCUUUAGCACUGGUGGGAGAGUGGUGACUGACCAUCAAAGUAGGCUUAAAUCAUACACUUUGGAGUCAUUGAUGUGCACUCAAAAUUGGUUAAGGAAUGAAAAGAAAGGUAAAUAAACUCACUAUUUUUUUAUUUCAUUUGUUUUCUUUAAAAAAUUAUCUAUUAUCCUAAGUGUUAUAUAUAUUCUUAUUUUUUUUAUUUGUUUUGGAUCAUGUAUAACAAUUGAAGAUUCAAUUGGACACUUGUUGACACUGACACGGAUGAAGAUGAUUGAAUUGUUCAUGAGCUUGCCUUAUUGUCAAUUUGUAAUGUUGUUUAACUAGGUGUUUGGAUAUUUAUUUUAGUUAUUUAAGUUUAUGUUGUUGUUGUUUGGAUAUAUGUGUUUGGUUAUUUAAGUUUUUGUUAUUUGUUUGGAUCUUUGUGUUUAGUUAUUUAAGUUUAUGUUGUUAUUUGGAUAUUUAUGUAUAGUUAUUUAAGUUUAUAUCAUUGUAUGGAUAUUUGUUUUUAGUUAUUUAAGUUUAUGUUUAAGAUCUUUGUUUUUGUUAUUUCAAUUUAAAUUUUAUUAUUUCUAUUUUUAUUAAUUUAACUAGUAGUUAAUUUUAUGAAAUACGUAGAGAAAUAUUAUUGUAUAUGUAUACAGAUUCGGAUAAUUGGGUAUCCAUGAAGAAGAUUUUAAUAAUUUGUUAAUCUAAUCAGGUUUUUAAAUAUGGUAGUAAAAAUGUAAUAAGGCUAAGCUUAGGAUAGUAAUUUUUAAAAUUAUUCGGGUAGUUAAUAGGGUUAGGGUAGUUGAUUUUUUAUAGGGUUAGGGUUCGGGCAUCUCGAAAUUAUAAGGUACCCUACUCGUUGACAAUCCUAACAAGGGGACAAAUUGACAUAAAGGGUAAAAUGGUAAUUUCAUCUUUUGUCAUUGGAUGGUUAUGAGGGUUCACAAUAUAAGGUUUGCAAUUGAGCAACUAAUAAUUAAUAUCAAGUAUUGAAUUGUUUCUUGUAAUUUUAGUUAAUCCAAGAGUACAACUAUGAAUCUAUGGUGGAGUGAUUUCAUGGUUAAUAAGUUUGAAUCAUUUUUAAUGAGAUUAAGAAUAAUUAUAAGUUUAUUGGAGAUUGGAAUAUCCAUGUCCAAAGAGAUUCCUCGCUUAGCUUCGUAGAAUUCAACUUAUUUAAGUUGGAAUGCAUGUUUUAAUUUAAUUAAUUAAAUUGUGUACAAAAAUGACAGUUUCAUGUUUGUCUUAAUUUAGAUAAGAAAACAUGUUUGGUUUUGAUUUAGACAAGAAAAUAUAUUUGCCUUAAGUUAAGACAAGAAAAAUAUUUUCUGUCUUAAUCUAGACAAGAAAACAUAUUUGUCUCAAUUUAGACAAGAUAAAAUAUUUUUGUCUUAAUUAAAUAUAAGAGUUGUCUUAAAUUUAGAUAAUGCUAGCGGGAUUCUUGUAAAAUGAAUCUAAAUAUCCAUGUUGAUAAAAAGAGACUCCAUGUUUUACUAUCACUCUUUUAUUUAUUAUUAAUUCUUUAUAAAUAAAGAUGGAUAAUAAUAAAAUAAGAGUUAUUAGUCAAUAAGAAGUUUUAUUUAUCAAGAACUCUAAAUGAUACUUAAAGAAUUAAAUUUUUUAUUCUUUAAUUUUAAUUUUGAUAAUUAUGUAGUAUGUUUAAUGCUUCCAUAACUCUAAAUAGAUAGUCAAGAUCGAUUUAAAGGUGUUUAAUUGUGACACCCAGUAUCCUAGUAUAGAAAUCAAUAUGACCUUAUCAGUGAGACAAAGGGUCAAUGGAUGCUGAUUUAAGUGCCAAAGGAUGGAGAUGGGUGAAAAGAGUAUUUUAAGAUAAAAUAUUCCGUACGUAAGAAAAAAAAAAAAAUUUUUAUCAAGAAAAAAUUUGCAAGAUAAAAGGUGAUUCAGAUGUGAAUCAAGGCAAGGUAAGAUGUUUUGGAGCCUCAGAAGGCUAGUGGAAAUUUUGAGAUAAAAUAUUAUUUUAUUAAUAAAAUAAUAUUAAAAUAUUAAUAUUUUAUUCGAUGUCAAAAUUUUUCAUGAUGGAGAAAUAUAUGGUCAAUCUAAGUGGAAGAGAAGAAGGAUGAGGAAAUUUUAAAGAAAAAUGAUGUUAAUGGGGCCUAACGUGUUUUUAUUAAAUAAAGCUAGCGUUGGAUAAAUAAAUAUUUAAAUAUUACGGUGUUAUCGCGUUAAAUUAUAAAUUUGAUAUUUAUUGGUACAAGUGUUAAGGAAGAAAAAUGAAAAGAAAUUGGAAUCAAAAGAUUAUGGGAGGAUACAAUUAAAAAGGGUGAAAACCUUGGAAGGCAAAACGAUAAUUUUUCAUAAAGCUUGGUCAAAGCUUCCUUUGGAAGCUUUGACUCUCCAUCCUUAUCCCAUGGCCGACCAUUGUGUCCAAGGCAUCAUCUUCCUCCUUCAUCUCCUCCCAAUGCUGUCACAGCCCAAUUUUAGGGCCAUGAUCGGUGCAAGGGCCCAAUGGGCUCAGGCCACUAAGCCUAAGCUAGCUUAUUUAUAUAAUCUUAUACAUUAAUCAACAUUUCUUUAAAAUCUACAAUUAGUAGUGUUCAAAUAUAGUUCCUUUGAAAACAAUUCAUAAAACCCAAUCAUGCAUUCAAAUGGCAUCAUCAACCAUUAUAUACAUACAUAGAUUAACAAAUGAAUCUUAAUAUUUCACAUCAAGUAUUCAUAUACACAUAAUUAGACCUUGACCGUCAGCGGAGUGACUCUGGGUACGGUUGCUAAUGUUUAGUGUCAUGUUAAACCUACCGAGCAAUGGAUAGGGAGGAGCACUUCGUCCUAGGAUCCAAUCACCUUUAACUCAGAAAACCUAAAACAUGAAUUUUUAAAACGUGAGUACAAACUCAAUGAGUGAACAUAGGAAGGGAACAAGCAAACGUUAAGGAAUGUUUAGAAAUCAUGAUGCACUUAAGUUCCAAAAACAAUGCAAUUUAGCUUAUUUCUUAUAGAAAAACCCCUCAUUCGAGUCCUUGUCGUUUAGUCACUUGAUGACGAAAGACCCAUGAACAACAAAGAAGUUGAAAAGUGAAAACUUUAGUACAAUUCAAGCAAGUCAAGCAUAAUAGAUUGACUCUCACUGCAGUGAAAAGGUAUUCUCGCUGCUAUGAAAUUCUGGCCAGAUAAAAUCCAAAGGGCUUUCACUGCCACCGAAAAAAUCCAUUCAUGCCACAUUACACAUUAAAUUGACACAUUGACAAUACUUAAAUUUUCAACAUUCAAUGCAAUCACAUAUUAAAUCCAAACAUCUCUAUAUAGUAAAUAUAUAUAUAUAUAUAUAUAAGCACAUACACCACCAUCUCACCCAGCUCAUGUGCAUCCCCCCACAUCUUGCACAUAGCCGGACAGCCCGUCUCACCCAGCUCAUGUGCAUCCUCCCACAUCAUGCACAUAGCCGGAGUCAUUGUGUGCAUCCCCCCACAUUGUGCACAACCAAUAUCAUUGCUUUAUACAUCCCCCCACAUCAUGCACAAGCGAUAUCAUCAUCGUGUGCAUCCCCUCACAUCGUGCACAGCUAAUGCCAUCAUGUGCAUCCCCCCACAUCGUCCACACGGGCAAUAUCACCAUCCAUCUCCCUCACCACCGUCAUCAUUGGCAGAUCCACACUCACCCUGCACAUGCACGGUUGCAUUUUGUCACACAAUGUACCAUUUAUGACAUAGUAUAUAUAUAUAUAUAUUAAUAUUAUACAGAAACACAUGGAUUCAUCACACUAUCCAUUUCAUAACAUAAAAACAUUUCAUAAAGGCUUGUUCCCGUGCGAGUUUUUGAAGAAAAACCAAUAAAACGUUUUAGGGGAUUCAAUCAAACAUAAAUGUGUACAUCCAAAAACAUUUUAAUGCAAGUUCACUCACCUUACGAUAGCGAGACAUUACAUCGCUAUUUGUUCGGAGGUGUAUCUAGCUAUUCCUACUUGCCGAUCGCUCGUUAUUUCCCCCGGCACACCACUACAGUACUCUAACUUUACCUUUGCACUUCCUAGCAAUCAUACAAAUGCAAUACCUUUAGUGUACAUCAUUCCUACUUCUCUUUUUCCUUCCAUCUGAAUACUUAUUCAACUAACUUAUAUCUUGACACAUUUUUACCAAAGUUGCCUUUAUCCUUUACUUGCGUAAUUCUUUAAAUUAUAGAUACCGGCAACUUGUUUAUAACUUUAGCACAUACAUUAACCUUUUCUAAGGAUAUUUAUCAAGUUUAACCAUCAUUUUCGUAACAAUUAGCUAACAUAUGGCAACAACUACAAAUUUACUUCCAUCAAACACUUUCUAAGUUUACAUGUAACACUAUUCUCAUUUACAUGUUGCCAUCAAGCAUAACAUCAAUAUCCAUUCAUAUGCACCAACAUCCAUAACCCUUUUAAGCUUUUCCUAAUAACACAUAUAUCCACACAAUUCAUUUCUUUUCCAAGUUUCCAAUUAAUAUAAUUACUUUCCAAUCAUACCCAUGACACCACAAUAACACUACAUAUUGCACACAAUCAUUCUCACCAUAGUAAACCAAUCAUAGGCUUCAAAUUAUAGCAUGAAGCUUACCACUUAGUUUUAGCUUGGAUUUCAACUAACAAAAUUUAUAAUUCCCACACACCCAUGGUGUAAAACCCGACCCUAUAAAUACAUGUCAUGACAUACAUGCAUUGAGUAGUAUGUUAUUACGCUAGAAAAGCACCUAAGAAUAGACGAAACUUGAUAUUGUACCUAACAGUACACUUAAAUUGAUUUAACCUCGAACUAGUUCAAAUAGGAAUUGUAGGAUGAAAUUUAAUAUUUUAUAGUCCAAGAAUGACUAAAAAUGAUUGUUCGGAGUUCGAGGGUUCAUUUGGGGUAAAAUUAGAAAUUUUGAUAUUCAAGGGCAAAAUCGUCAUUUUGCCACCUAAGAUAAUAAUUUGAUCAUGGAGUGAAAUUUUUGACCAAGAUUAACUAUUUGGAGUAUAAUUUAAUGAUAGGAAGUGAAAAAGUUUAAUUCUGGUGAUUUUUGGAGUGUAGGGGCAAAAUCGUAAUUUUGCCACCCACGGACAAAAUUUGAGAUUUUGAGAGAAUUUAGAUCAAAUUUGACAAAUUGGAGAAUGGUAUGAGUAUAAGGGAUGAAAAAUAUGUCUAUGGGCAAUUUUUCAAUUUUUGGGGCAAAAAUGUAAUUUUUGACUUUUACGGGGGCAAAAGUGUAAAUUUCAAAAAUUACUCCACCGAGACUUUGGAUAAGUCUGAGAAUUUUAUCUAAGCUAUGGAUAUGUGGGACAAGUGUAUGGUGAAAAUUUGGAAACAAAUGGAUGAAAUUUUAAAAAUGGGCCAAUGGGAAAGUGACACGUGGCAUUUUUUAAUGAAAUAAUAUUAUUUUAAUGAAAAGUCAGCCCAUUUAAACCCAAAUUUUGAGUGCUGGCCGGCCAUAAGGAAGAACAAGAGAGGAAAUAGAGAGGAAAGGAAGAAAAAAAGAAAAACCAAAGAGAAACAAGAAAAUUCAAAGGGAAAUUCGCGGUUUUCGACCGUUUACGCGUCUAACGGUAAGAUUUUUCGAUUUUAGCUUGAUUUCUACCUUUCCUAUGCCUUUAUUUCCAUUUAGCAUGCUUGAGGAGAGAGAUCAAAAAGUGAUAUCAAGGGCUGGACGAAAUUCUAGGGGAGAGAAAUUGAAAUUUUUAGGUUUUGAUUUUUAGUUAAAUUGAUAGUUUUAGUUAGUUAAAUGUGUUUAGAAAUUAAAUUGGGCAAGAAAUCAUUAAAUUUUCACAAUACCCACUCUUGGCUGGAUGCUCAAUGCUGUACAAUGAUGAUGAAUUGAUUUUAUUCUAAGGAAAAUGAAGAGAAAAUGAUGAAAAACGAUUAAACGUGAUAGAAAAACAAAGUAGAAAAUUAACCGAGUUAAUGUCCCAUUUUUGGCCGAAUUUUCCAAGGAAGGGAGUGAGCUGAUUUUGUUGUUUUUAGAAGGUUAUUGGCUGAUAUUUAAUGGUUAGAAAUGUUGGAGAGAGAAUGGGAUGAUUUAGAGCUAAAAUGGAGCGCGUUAGCAAUUUAUCGGGCAAAGUGCCAAAAAUAGGUUAAUACCGCGUUUAAGCCGUUUUAGGCUAUUGCAUUUCAUACCAUGCAUUAGUAUAGGAUUUAAGUUAAUUAUAUAGUGAUUUAGCAUCAAUGUGAUGAAUUGUGUAAAUUUUUGUAAUGUGUCUAGGAGGAGAGCCUUCCGGAAAAGGCAAAGAAGUCGUACCCGACGAGUAGUGAUCGGGGCGCUUAGAAAGCUUUUAGUUUGUACAAACGGUGAGUAAACUUAUUAUUAUUGUAAAUUAUCUAGAGUUUAUUUUUAAAUGCCCUUUAUGUAUUUUAUGAAAUGAAAACGAGAUUAAAACGGGAUUUUUGAUGUUUUAGGAAUAAAUGUGACAAAUAAAAAUAUAUUGUAUUGAUUAUGAAAUUGAGUAAUUGGAGGCUACAAAUUGACUUGAAAAAUAUAUAUUUUCCUAGGAAUGGCUUAUGAGAAAUGAGUAUAUGUGGCUAUAUUUUGUGAAUGCAUUGGGAAAUUUAUGUAAGUUGUUUUACUAUGCAGGCUGGAUAAAUAAAUAAAAGCCACGUUAUACUGUCGAAAUUUUAUUAAAAUUGGUGGGUUAGUCACUGCAGUGACGGGUUUCCGUGGACUGCCUAUUAGAGGGGCACGGUAAACCCAGUUAUAUAGUUACUCCGGUUGUAGAGGCGAGGAGGGUAACUCCUGGGGUAGUAUUAGAGCUCACUUCACGUCGAACCCCCACGUGAAUGUGUAACUCGGCCAACGCCAAGGAACGGCUGGUUUUAAAAAUAAAAAUGUGUUUCACGUGUGAAUAUUUUAACACCCUUGGCGGACUCGGUUAGAUGCCUCGGCCAAGGUAUCCCCGAGGAUUAGUUUUGGCUUGAGCCUUGUUUUAAUAAAAGACAUAAGCCUUAACAACUGUUUUGGUAAAUUACAAAUAUUUUAUGGUUUAAGAAAUAAAUUGAAAACAUUAUGAAAUGGGUUGAAAUUUGUUGUUUAAACUUGCCUCCAUUUUACUCGCCUUUAGAUAUUUAUGAUAAUGUCUGUUUACUCAUUGGGAUUGCAAAAUCUCACCCAACUCCUUUCCACCCAUUUCAGGUUCAGUAUAGACUGUAGAUAGCUGAUCUCAUCGAGGACUACCAUUGGAUCUGCAUUUUCCAAACCGUAGGUUCACAGUCCUCUUUACUUUUGUUUUUUCGGGGGCCCUCUUGUUAUUGUAAAUUAAAUUAAAUAUUUUGGCUUACUGUAUUUCAGUAUGUAUAAAUUUAUUUAGCUUUUACACUAUAAAAAUUAUUCACGUAUAACUCUAUAAAUAUUGUUUUAUAAGAAAAUAGAAUAUUUUCUGUAAUAUUUCUUUUAUUUUCUUAUUAUAUUCAAAUAACCGUAAUUUCAUUUUAAAUGAAGAUUUUAGACUUUUAAACUCAUUUUGAAUAUGAAUUAUGUGUUUUGUACUUGUAUAUUAUGUUUUAGCCAGUUUCGAAAUUUUUGAGAAAAAAAUGACCAAAAUACCCCUGUGUGGUGAAAAUUUUAUUUUGAUUGUUUUUGAUCUAAAAUAGUAUAUAUUCUCUAAAAACUCGAUAUUUAACAAUGAUUGCUCACAGAAAAGGAAAGAAACUGAUAUGUAAGCCUUGCGGGGUUCUGGUUGGCAUUCCGGAUAAUGAGUGUCAAUCGGGACGUCGCGGCGAUUGUCAUGGGCUUGAGGGAGGUUCCGGGUCGUGACACAUGGUCACCAUAGCUGCCACAAAAUGAUUCACUCAUUAUUUUUCCAAGGAUUUAACCAACCAUGAACUUAAAACACAAAAUCCUUACCUUAGCUUGCUUAAAUUACAAAACCAAGCUUUUUCUUCCUUUCACUCUUUUUCUUUCUUCUUCUCCUAGGGUUUAGAUGUGCUGGAAAUUGGGGUUAGAAGCUUCAAGUUUAGUGCCCUAGAAGUUUGGAGAAGAAAUAAUUAAGAAAAGAAAGGAAAUGAGAAGAAACAAGGAAAAUCACAUGAAAAAUUUGAUUCAUGAACUUGACAUGAAAAUGGCCUUGGAAGCUUCAAGAAGGAGAAGAAAAUAUCUUGCUAGAGGAGAUAAGGGUAGUUUUGGGCUGAUAAAGGACCAAACUUUGUGUAAAAUUAUCGUUUUACCCUUCAAGUUUCUUAUCUUUUUAAUUUAGUCCUCCCAACACUCAUUUAACUCUAAUUUCCUUCUAUUAUCUUCUUCUAUACAUGUACAAACAAAGUAUAAAGUUUGUAUUCCAGCACGAUAUGCCCAUAAUAUUUAAAAUAUUUAUUUACUCUCGCUAUCUUUACUUAAUAAAGACACGUGGCCCCAUUAACGUCAUUUUUCUCCAAAAUUUUUCUCAUUCUUCUUCUCUCCCACUUAGAUUGACCAUAUACUCAUUCUUCAUGGAAAAUUUUGAUACUGAAUAAAAUAUUAAUAUUUUAAUAUUAUUUUAUUAAUGAAAUAUUAUUUUAUUUUAAAAAUUUUCUCUUGUCUCCUUGGUACUCAAAAUACCUUAUUAUGCCUCAAUUGACUUUCGAAUCACUUUUUAUCUAAAAAAUUCUUCUCUGAUAAAAAUAUUAUUAUUUUAUUAUUAUUUCCUCACGUGCGAAAUAUUUUAUCCCAAACUAUUCUUUUCGUCUUCUAUCAUUUUUAAACAUUAUAAUUAAUCUCAAUUGGCAUCCGAUAAGCUUUAUUAGUCACCAUAUCAAAGUAUGAGGUAUUACAAAUGCCAUUUUUGUUCCUCCACCAUAAAAUUCAAGAUUUUCAUUUUUCUUUUCCUUAUUUUCUUUUCUUUUCUUGCUCCUUCCUUCUCCUAACUUCUUGGGCAUAAAACCUGCAUCUUCUAACCCCAAUUUCUAGCACAUCUAAACCCUAGGAGAGAGAAAGAAAAAUCUCUCUCCCUUUCCUUUGUUUUCUAUUUCUACUCCACUAUCAACAACACUUGCUUUUUUAGCUUCAAAUCUUUAAGGCUAAAAGGUAUAUAUUUUCAACUCUUGAAUUUUUGAAUUUAUGGGUUUAUAAUUUUUAGACUUUAUUUUCUAAGUUUCUUCAAAUUUUCUUACCUUGAAAUUGCUAGAUUUGGUUGAUCUUUAUACCUUCAAGUACCAAGGUAAAGAAACUUCAAACUUGAAUAAUUAGUUCAAUGGGUUUGUGAAUUAGACUAGAAUUCUAGGUUAAAAGUUGGGUUAGAGUGUAGAUUGUAUAGUGUAUGUUUAUUAGAAUUAUUAAAUUCAAAUUAUGACUUGAUGGAGGUUGUUAUGGCUUAUUGGUAAAUAUAGGUUUUAACAGUAUUUCGGGACUACUUGGAUUAAGACUUUGUGGGCACUAGUCUUGUAAGGUGGCAUUAAGGUGAGUGAACUUGCAUUAAAUGUUUUAGGAUAAAUGCAUAUGUAUUUCGUUGAAUCACUUGAAAUAAUUUUAUUGAGCUUUUCUUUAAAUAUGCAUGGGAACAAGCCCUUGAUGAAACAUUUUUAUGUUGUGAAAUAUUAAUGUGAUGAACUCAUGUGGUUCUACAUUAUGUUGACGUGUAUGUUAUCCAUUGAAUAACACUAUUGGGUGACAAUUGUAACUGUGCGUGUGCGGUGUGGGAGUGCACAUGAUGGUGAUAGUGGUGUGCUGUGUGAGUGCACACAUUGAUGAUAUAUGCCAUGUGCGUGAUAGUGGUGUGCUGUGUGAGUGCACACAUUGAUGAUAUAUGCCAUGUGUGAGGGGGGAGUGCACAUGAUGAUAUUGCCUUGUGCGGUGUGGGAGUGCACAGGAUGAUUUUAGCUUUGUGCAGUGUGAAAGUGCACAUGAGCUGGUGAGAUGGGAGUUGUAUACAUGUAUACACAUACAUAGAGAGGUUAGGGAAAGUAAUAUGUGUUUGCAUUGAAUAUUGAAUGUUAAUAUUUGAAAAAUGCUUUCCAAUUGAUUUUCACUGCAGUAAAAAUGGAUUUUCAUUGUGACCAAAAUUCUUUUAAUGUCAUUGCCUUGUUUCUCGCUGCAGUGAAAUUCAUUCUAGCUGCAGCGAGAAACUCUUGGGUGCUGAGGGCUUGACUAGUCUAGAAUUUUGUUGCAGUAAAAAUGCAUUCUUGAUGUAGUGAGAAACUCUCUGGUUGUUGGCUCAAAAUUUUGCCCUAAAGUUUGCUGCAGCAAAAAUACCUUUCCGCUGUAGCAAGAUUUGCUUUGCUAUGCUUGCCUUGCUUGAACUUCCUAAAUGUUUUAAAUGAGUUGAAAAACAGCAUGGCAUCGGGUUUGUUCAUAAUAUACAAAUUGCAUUGUUUUUAAACAAGUGCAUCAUAUUUUCGAAAAGCUCUCCGUAUCGUUUGCUUGUUCCCUUCCUAUGUUCACUCACUAGGUUUAUAUUCAUCCUUUUCAACUUCAUGUUUUAGUUUUUAGGUUCGAAGAUAGUUAGAUCUUAGGUGAAGGCACUUCCUUCUGUUCAUCUUAUGGUAGGCUUACCAGAACAGUCCAUGAUAGUAUCCAUGCCAGAGUCACUCUACUGAUAGUCAAGGUAUUUUGUAUGUAUGGUUAUUUAAAUGUAAUUCAUGAGAUUUGUUGUAAACAAUAUAUGUUUGGUUUGCAUGAUAAUGUCACCACGGUUGGCAAAUGGUAAUAUUAUUUUGUGAAUGGUAUUGUUCAGUUGCCAUCAUUUAUUUUUGAAAGGAAAUUAUUUUUGAAAAUAAUGAAUUAAGAACCUUAGAGGUAAAAGAGGGACAAGUGGUCUAAUAAACAAGUUUUCAUGGAAAGGCUUGCUUGGGCCUAGUGGGCCACACUUAUUGGGUCCUUACGACGGUAAUAGCUUCGGAAUUGGGCUAUGACGUUGAUUUUGAUUAAACCUUUAAGGCAAGAGUUUUAAUAGAAAGAGAAAAGAUUGGAAGAAAAGAAACGUAUGUACUUUUUCUUGAAAAAGUUUUAGUCAUCACAUUUCUCCUCCUCCUCCAAACUUUGUCGUAUCUUUCUUCCUCUCUCCCAUUCUUGGCUGAAUUUUUUGAAAGAAAAGUAGCCAUUAAUUUUAGGAAGAAAAAAAAGACAAAAUGAGUUGCCAUCUUGUAGUCUAGCAUUCCAAACCUUGUUCACUCAAGGUUCAAGUUGAAAGCAUUUUUGAAGAAUAAGUGGUAAACUUGUUUGGUCGAGAAAUCAUUCAUUGGUGUGGUGGUGUCCAAAAAUCAGAAUCUCAAAAUAAAAGGUAUGUUUUUUCUUACUUAAUAGAUUCUUAUUUUUUUUAGAUUGUGAUUAUGUUACUUGCAAUAAGAAUGAUGUGUGUUUCCACUUGCGUAAUUCGAUUUCUUGCUUCCAUUAUAAAUGAAAUUUUUUGAAAUCCAUGCUUUACAUAAUCACAUCAAUCCACUAAGAUCCUACUCCAACAGUAGGUCCUUAUUUCGACAUGUUGAUUUCGCUGAGUCUAUCAUGAGCUUUCACCUUUGGAGUUUGGUUUAGUGGUUAUGCAUGUAGGCUUGAUGUGCCAUUCAGACUUGUAUUAAGGGUUGUUAAGUACAAACCUACUUAGUUGGCCAAUGUAUGGCAUUAUGGAUAAUAUAUUAGAUAUUGUGUGCAAAUUGUUUGCCAAAGGGCAACGUUUAUGUAUUUGAGUUUAAAUAUUAUAUAAAUAUAUGAGUUUGGAAACCUUUGGCAAUGUGUGUAUGAUUUGGAAUUCCAAGACUUGUUUUGGUCUCGUGGGCUUCACUUGUCAGACUCGUGUGUUGGUCAUAGACCUCAGGUUUGGGUUGUGACAUUAGCCUUGAGUUACAUCAUGUUUUGAUUUGACAAAAAUUGCAUGAUCUCUUAAGCAUUUAAAAUUGUCUCCAUCAUAUUUUUCAUCCCAUAAAGUCACAAAAUUGUUUGAAAAGGCAUGCAUCUUUAGAAAAUAUCACAAAACCUUUCAAACAAUGAAUAUUCAACUAAGUAAACAAAAAGCAUACAUGCAUUGAAUUAUUAUUUGAUUAUAAGAAUAAGGCAAAGAAGAAAUAGCUGGAGAAAGGUGCCAAAAAGUCAAGGAAUCCUCAAGACACAAGUCAAGAGUCGACCCUAGAGAAGCUCAAGUCGAUCCAAAGGUAGAAUGGUUGAAGAACAAGUGAAGAAUCAUGAAACAAAUAAGACAUAGUCUACCCUUGGAUGUUUAGAGUUGACCUUGAAGCAAAAAACUCAAAAAAUUGAAGAAUUAGCAAACAUAGUGAAGAAAAGGUUAAGGCCAUUCAUCAUGCCACAGCAGCACGAUUUGAUGAUAUCGACCAAAAUAUCUAGUGCAUGCUCCAACAUCAAGAAUCCCUAGAAGCCUACAUUGCACAACUCCUUUAAAAGGAGGACCUUAGCUUGGAUAUCUUGUAAUUCACUCACUCAUGCAUUCCAUUUUCAUGUUUAUAUUUAUAUUUAUGUUCAUGUAACCUAGAUGCUUGACUAUAUAUGUUUAUAUUUUUAAACUUUCAUGUACUUAAAGGAUAUAAUGUUCACAUGAUUUUUUGUGUGUGUGGCAUUCUUGGUAUUAAUAUAUGAUGUUCUUAAGUUAUGAUAGAUAAGCAUAUUUUCUCAUGCUUUGCUUAAACAUCCUUGAUUGAAAAUAUAUUUGUUAUUGCUUCUUGGCUAUGCUAAAUGAAUAUAUUUCCUUAUGCUUUGCUUGAAUACAUGUUGAUUGGAAAUAUAUCUUGAUUUAAUGCUCUCAAACUAUGAUGAAUGGAUAUAUUUCUUGAUCUCUUAAUUAAAUAUCUUUGCAUGAAAAUAUAUCUCAUUGUUUUGAUUUGAUGGUUAUGGAUUAUUAUUGGCCUUAAUGCUUAUCUAUGCUUAAUGAUUUUCGAGAACCAUUGUUUCUUGAGUUUAAGUACUUAAAGCUCACACUUCUAUUCAUUUUGAUAUGACAAAAAGGGGUAAAAGGUAUAUGAGCACAUUGUAAUGUUCUUGUAUGACUUAAAGCUAAAAUGUUUAAGAACAUUUUUGAACUUCAUGCAUAAGUUGAAGGGGAGAAUUUUUAAAGUUCUUAUUCAUAUCUUAUACCAUUUUCACUUACACUUACAUGUUUUCCAAAAAAAAAAAAGGUGUAGAGACUAAUAAAGUUAGGGGAGGUUUCAAGAAAUUUCAAAUGCAAUAUGCUUAUGUUUUUGUCAUAUAAAAAAAGGGGAGAUUGUUAGCCUUGAGUUGCAUUAUGUUUUGAUUUGACAAAAAUUGCAUGAUAUCUUGACUUUAAUGUCAAGCAUUCAAAAUUGUUUUAAUCAUAUUUUUUAUCCUGUAAAGUAACAAAAUUGUUUGAAAGGCCAUGCAUCUCUAGAAAAAAUCACAAAAGUUUUCAAACAAUGAAUAUUCAACUAAGUAAACGAAAAGCAUACAUGCCUUGAAUUAUUAUUUGAUUAUAGGAAUAAGGCAAGGAAAAAAUAGCUGAUGAGAGGCACCAAAAAGUUAAGAAAUCCUUAAGACACAAGUCAAGAGUCGACCCUAGAGUAGCUUAUGUUAAUCCAAAGGCAGAAUGGUUGAAGAACAAGUAAAGAUUCAUAAAACAAAGAAAACAUAGUUGACCCUAAAGCAAAAAGCUCACAAAAUUGAAGAUUACACAGUCAUAGUCAACCCUAUGAUAACUCUAUUUUAUAGAGUUAUUUGGUCUUAAUUUUCAAUAAUUUUGUCUAAGUUCUUGAGACUUAUCUUAAGUAUUAAUUGUUUUUAGUUAUUUUUAACUAUUUAUAUUAUUUUAUUUAAUUAUUAUGAGAUCAAUUGCAUUUGGCUAUUUUAUGUUAUUUAAGUUUAGUUAUUAUUUAAGUUAGUUAUGUUUUUGUAAGUGUGCUUUGAAAAGAAGGCCUAUUUUGUGAAGGAGAUGCAUUUUUGGCGCAGACUUCAAAUGCACAUGUUUCAGUAUUUUAAGCAUAUCUUUCAAUACAGAAGUCCAAUUGAAGUGAUUUUUGGACCAUUUGAAAGUUAAGAGGUACAAUAUUUAUGUUUACUACUUUGCCCAGUUUAACCUCAAAGUAGGAGAAAAUCAUGUUGAAAGUCAGUGCUACGAUGCUCACACCUCAUGGCCACAGUGACCCAACAAGGCAAGGACACUUUAAGGGUUUGCCUAGUGGAAUUUUAGUGUUUUAAGGACUCCGAAUGGCCAUGGACUUCAACCCUAUUUAAAUCACUCUUCUAUAGCUAAAAACAAACAAUAAUUAAGCUUGGAUUUUUUUAAGAAAAUGAGGCGUUAAAGCUAUCAAGGAAGCAAGGAAAACAAGGAAGAUUACAAAUUAAAAGCGUGAUAAAUAUUAUAGUUCUUUCUUUUCUUGUUAUCUUAAUACUUUCUUAUUUAGUUUUAAAGUUUAUGCUUUUUAGAUGAUUUUUACAAAUAUUAUGUCGAACUAUGCUGUUAAUUUGAAUUUGCAAUUAAACCCAAUGCGUAGUCUGAGUUUUUAAUAUUUUUUCUUGCUUAUGAUUGAUAUUGUUUGAGUUGUUUGUUUCAAUCUUGUUAUUAGUGCUUUUGAUUGCUUGAUCACCAAUUAAAUUGAUUUGGAAACCUAAACGAAACUGAAAGAGGGAGUUUAUAGUAAGCCAUGGAUGAAAUAAGAUAUGUUUGAUAUUAAUUGCAUGAGAUGAUUGAUUUGAUUUGCGGGUAGGGUAAACAAACACUGACAUGUCAUACUUAGCCAAAAUUAGAGUUUGUUCUUAAUGAAUCUUUCUUAAUUUCAAUUUGCAUAGACAUAUAGUAAAUUGGUUAAGAUAGAUAUUUUUAUAAGAAACUUGACGAAGACUCAUAAAUAAAUUAGAACUCUAGGUUAAUAACUCAAGCUUAUCUAAUAAGUAAAGGGAGAGUAAAAGAAAGUUAGAUGAAACAUUAAGGGGAUAUUCUGGUUCUAGAACUUUUGAUUAUUUGAUUCUAGUUAAAUUAUUACUCUAGCUUUCAGUUUUAGUUUUGACUUUAGUUUAUUGAAUUUUCAGUAGUUUAAAUUCUGUUAUUUGGAUAAGAUCAAGGUGUUUUAAUUUUAGUACUUAGCAAAAACAUUUGAUCAAUUCUUCAUGGGAAUGAACUCUACUUUCAACUAUAUUACUUGUUUACGAUAUAUGUACUUUUGUGAUAAAAUCAACAACACCCUGGCUCUUCUAUAGUUGACCCAAGCAAGCGUAAUACAUGGAAAAAGAGGAAAAAUGAAAGACAUAGUUGACCCUGGCUUCACCAUAGUUGACUUCUUCAUUGUAGAUUUGAAAAAUACACAUUCUCGAGAAUUAGAUUGAGUAAAGGAAGGUUAUACUCGAGUAUGAAAUCCUAAUUUGAGAAAUUUGAAGAAUGUAGUCAACCCUAGGAGCGUUGUAGUUGACCUUUAAGCUUUAGUGAUGGCUAGAUUUAAUUCAAACUUGUGUCUAAUGAUUCCAAACUUCACUCAAGCUACAAAAGGUCGCCUUUGAGUCAUUUUGAAGGCAAGAGAACAUCAGCACUCACCUGGAAAACCCUAGAGAGAAAUCCUAAAGCUUGUUUCCCCUAUUGUAGCGUUCAUCUUAAUCUUCCAUCAAGCUUUGAAGAAUCAUUCACUUGAAAAUCCUUGAGAAAAUAUUUAGUUUUUUGUACCCAAGCUUAAACUUCUUAGCACUUAGCCGGUAGUAGAGGCAUUCUUGCUAUGUACUCAUCUUGUCAAGGUUUUAGCUUAACCUUGAAAAGCUAUUUGUGGGAUUGUGGUUGUGCCUGUUAAAAACCAUUGUUAAAGGGUUCUGUUUGCUUCUGUGAAAAAACUUUGUUAAGGGUUUUGAUAACUCUAUUAUAUAGAGUUAUUUUUCCACAUUUUGAUUGCUAAAAAUAGCUAAGACUUUGUGUUUUCAAGUUGAUUUUAAGUAGUUUUUAUGUUUUUUGUUAUUAAGUUUAAUGCAUGUUGAACUACUUAAAUUCGAGUAAUUUUAGCUCAUUUUCAUGUUAAAAGUCCUAAUUUUAGCCAUCACUUAUUUAGUCUUUGUUUUGAAGGUUUUGAAGUGCAUAAAGCUUCAUUAAGUGGACUGCGCAAGGAUGGCUAGAUGUAGAUUUUUACUAAACAUGUAGCAUCAUUUUGUGCAUAACUCACUACAAAAGUUUGAUUGAUAAGAUUCUUAGACCGUUGGAAAGCUAAGAGGAAGGGAAGGGAUACAACUUUAAAGUUCAUCGUGUUGCCCAGUUUUGAUUAGAUCAUGGUAAAAAACCUUGUCAAAUUGGGAGAAUUGCAGUAAUCUACACAAGGGGAAACUAGAGGACCCAGCAUCACGACCUCAGAGUCUCAAGGUUGCAACGCUAGAACCUCAACAGCAUGGGACAUCAAUUGUCUAAGGGAGUCAACAUCGUGGAGCUAGAAGGCUAGCGUCACAAUGCUACGAUGGCUGAUACUUGCACCAAAUUCUAAAGGAGCUAGCACUUUUCUUCCAACUACCUAGCACCAUGACGCUAGCUUGAGUUUCCUAUUUUUGUUCACUUUAGGUUUGACUUUUUUAGGGCUUUUUGAGGGAUUAUGAAUAGAACUUUUUGAGAAAAAAACAUUAAAGAGAUUUAAGUCGUAGCUUUUUCAGAGAAAAAAAGUGGUUUUACAUAAAAGAAAAAUGGGAAGAAGGCAAGAUAAGUGAAGAUUGGAAUCAACAAAUAACUGUUUCUCACUCUAGUUUUGUUAUCUCUUUCUUUCUUUUGCUAUUAACAUGAAUUGUUUUGAUCAAAUCAUGUUGUUUGCUUUAGUUAUCAUACGCUAAACUAUUUUUCUAGGAUUGUGGUAGAUUUGAACAUGUAAUCUGAAUAUUUGUUUCUUUUUUAUUUAUUAUGAAUGCGUAUUGUUAUGUUUAUUCAUAUAUGUUCGCAAAGCUUUUGAUUGUUUAGCUAGAAAUUGCAUGAUUUAUGAGUUUGAAUGAUGACAGAUUGAUUUUAGAUUAGACUAAGUUUUGAAUAGUGUGUGUUCACAUCACUUAGAGAAUAGGUGAUCUAAUUCGCAAUUAGAGUAGAUGUAUGCCUAAAUGGCAUACAUAGUCAAAUAAAAACACUAGCUUAAUGAAUCAUAUUUAAUUAAUUACUAUAGACAUAUAGUGAUCCAAUUAAGUUAGGUAUUUGUACAAGCAUCUCGAUUAGACUUGUGCAUAUGUUUGGAUUAUAGGCUAGCAAAAACACCCAUGAAUGUAAAUAUUAAUAGAAAUGAAUGUCAGAUGAAAUAUUGAAUGAACCCAUAAACCUAGGUUUUAAUUCAUUACCUCUAGUGAAUUUUUUAGUUUUCAUUAAUUAGUUGAGUGUUUGAUUAAAUUUAGUUGUAAUUGAUUUUCUACAAAAUUGAGUUACUUGAAUAAGAUUAAUUGGCAUAAUUUUAGUACUUAGUGAAAAAUUAGAAGCAAAUCCCUAUGGGAUACAAUUUUGGAUUUACUAUUUAUAUUACUUGUUCAAUACAGAUACUUGCGUGUACUAAACAGACAACAAGUUUUUGGCAUCGUUGCUAGAGAUUUGUGUUUCCUAUUUAUUUUGCUAAUAUUAAUAUCAAUAGAUUAGUCUUAAUUCAAGUUCUUCUUUCAUUGUUUUUCAGGUACGUUCUAUCAUUGUAUGGAAAGAGCAAGAAGCUUGGAGAAUUUAUCUUGUGAUCCAAAGAUCCAGAGAAAACUUUUGAAGACUUGAAUGAAAAAUCAACAAGGUUCUACUUAGAUUGAUAUAAUGGUUGAUUAACAAAGUGAGUAGUAAAUCGAGCACCUUCACUAUGGUUACUCCGCUGGAAAUCGAGUCUUCUUUUUGAAAUGUAUAGACAAUCCUGAUGUAAAUUAUUAAGAUACAUGUUAUAGACAAUGUAUAUAUAUAUACUUGAUCGAUAUGCCACUAUGAGUUGGCAAUGUUUAGUAUUAUUUUGAUUCAAAGUUAUGAAAUAUGACUUCAGUAAUUUUGAUGGAAUAAUGAACAGAUUAUGUAAAUAGGCUUGCUUGGGCUUAGUGGGCUAUGUCCAUUGGGCCCAUGUGCUAGUCAUCGCCCGGAAUUUAGGUCAUGACACUAAUACCCAUGAUGAAGGAGAAAUGGUAGAUAGAUUGACGUCAAUCAUACACAUGGUCGAAGGUGAAACUUUUACAAGUUUCCUAUUCUUUGACUUUUGAUAACUCUAUUAUAUAGAGUUAUUUUGACACAUUUUGGGGGCUUAAGUAGUUAGAUCAUUGAGAUUUUAGGUUUGGAUCUUAGCAUUUUAGGUGUUUUUCUAGUUGAAGUUUGAUUACAUGUUGAGUAGUUAAUUUAAGUUACUUUAAUUAAAUUUUAUGUUAUUUUGUUUUAAAUUACUUUAAGAGUAGUUAUUGCUAAUUUCUCUUAUUGCUUUUGUAGGAAAUUUGAUGAAAAAUGCUCAUUUGAUGAAAAUCAGUGCAAGUAUAGUGAUGGCUUUAUUAGUAUAUAUUUUGGUAUUUUGACCAUAUUUCUCAAUAAAACUCCAAAAGAGGUGAUUCUUUGACCACUAGAAUUAUAAGAAGAAGGGGUACAAUGUUUAUGUUUACCAAUUUGCCCAGUUCUAAUCGAAUCAUGGUCAAAAUAUUUGUCUAAGUUAGAGCACUGCAGCAAUAUGCAUGGACUAAACAUGAUGCAGUAUUUGGACCAUAUCUUUCUAUCUGAAAGUCCAAUUGACAUGAUUCUUAAACCAUUGGAAAGCUAAGAGAUAGGGAUACAACUUUUAUGUUUCCACUUUUCCCAGUUUAGAACAUAUCAUGAUGAAAAUCACAUUCAAAAAUGAUAGACUGCUACAACAUUAAGAGAACAAGGCUGUAGCGUUGGUGAAAGGAAGCUCACCAUACAAUUUUCUAGAGAGCUCAGCACUGUAGCGCUGGCGAAGUAGCACCGUAGCGUUGGGUGAUUUUCCAAAAAUAAAAAAAAGUUGAUGGGAUUUUGGAAAUUAGGUUAUUUGAAGCCUAUUUAAGGGACCUUUUUUUAGAGAUUUUAAGGAAGAGGCAACAAGCAACUAUUCUGGAGAUUUGGAGCCAAGAACAAAGCAAGGAAAUAAGAGAAUUGGAGGGAGAAUCAAGAUCACAAAGCUCCAACUAUUAGUUUUGUCUCUUUACUUUUGUGUUUUUUUUAUUUUCUUUGACUUGGAUUAAUGGCUAAUUUUCCUUGGAUGAAGUUUUUAUUAGAUAUUAUGAGCUAAAUUUAUUUUUCUAAGAUUACAAUUGAACUCACAUGUAAUCUAAACUUUUAAUCUCUUUCUUGCUUAUCUUUAAUGGGAUUUGAAUUGUUUAUUCCAAUUUGUUCUUAAUGCUUUUAAUUACUUGAUCACCAAUUAAAUUGGUUUAAGAAGCUAAACAAACUUGGGAAAAGGAGUUUAGUGUAGACUAAAAUUGGGAUAAAAUAUGAUCAUAUUAAUUGAUUUGCUUGUAGGAUAGGGAUAUACCUAUAGGCCAUAUGUAGCCAGAUUAGAGCCUGAACUUAAUGAGCCUAUUUUAUUUUCAAUUCACAUAGGAAUGUAGUGUUUUGGUUAAAAUAGAUGUCUUUAUAAGAUGAGUCGGGAGACUCUUAUAAAUAAUGGAGGACUCUAGGUUAGCAAUUGAAUUCAUUGAAAUAAGUUAAGGAAAAGAGUUAAGAUUUAGAUGAAGUGUGAAGGAUAUUGUAAUCCUAGGCUUGUUUGAUUUGAUUUUUGUUCAAGUUAUUAUUGCUUUGAUUUUUCUUUUUAGUUUAAAUUUUGGUUAAUUAGUUUUAGUUAAUUAAUGAAUUGAUUGUUUGGAUAAGAUUAAAUUGUUAUAAUUUUAGUACUUAGUAAAAUUUUAGAUCAAUUCUCUAUGGGAUCAAUACGCUGCUUGCUUAUAUACUAUCUAUUCGAUACGUAUACUUGCAUAGUAGAAUUUAACUGACAACCUUGUCAAGAAGGUAAAAAUAUCUUCUUCAAUGACAUCUACUCUUGAUAGAUGUUCAAGAACAUUUCUCAAUCUAAUUUAACAAAUCCAAACAUAUUGGCCAAGAUUUCAUAAUAGCAUUAAGUAUGUCGUGUAAAGUGGUAUAUAUACGCAUUCUAGCAAACUAGACAUUUAAAGAGCAUAUGUAAGUUUUCAUGUAUGACCAAUCAAUUUAGAUGAGAUAGUAAAUCUUAAUUUGAUUGCUCCCACAAUUUUCUUCAAGAUGAUAACCAUCUAUAUCAUCUCGAGAGAGAUCUACAAGGACUCUCUUAGUGGGCUAGGAUCCCAUCGAUUCUAGUUAUGACCUAGAGUUUGUUUAACAAGCUAUGAUAGGUCGAUUAGGUAGGUAACUGAACUUACCAAUUGUACCUCUAUACAAACCCUAGAUUAGUGAGGUGGUAACACAUUGCCUAAACAUAUCAUAUAUGUAUCGCCUUAUUACUGUCUCUAGUUUCCAUAAUAAUCAACCUUCCAAGCCUCUGGAUUUUAUGAAACUAGUUGAGUAGGACCCACUUUUCAUAGUAUCGACAUAUUGGUAAUAAAGUUUGACCUUGAGUUUGCUCAACAAGCCUUUUUUAUUAAGAGCUCUGGUUUUUACUAUGAAGGUGGAAGGCAUCUUAAUCAUGCGUGACAUGUGACUCAAUAUUUAAUUAGGGAUUGUUUUUAAGGUCUUAUCUUUGGAUGCAAAACAUUUAUUAAAUUGCAUAAAAUAAAUCUAUCACAUGCAUACAACUUUGGAUGAUUAUGGACUUUUACUAUACUAAUUUCCUCGAGCCAUCGAAGGAAAUUAGUUUGAUCAAACCAAGGGGAUUGCAUACAACAUUUCCAAACUUGUUUUCAGUAUUCUUGUCCUCCUUGGCACCAUGGAUCUUCAUCUUUGAGUUUACAAAAUUUUAAUUCCUAAUCUAUCUUAAUUUCUAAUGACAUUUGAAUGUAGAAACCUCGAGUUACAUUUGAAGAAAGUAAGAUGAGGAAAUAAUUUAACAAACUAAAAUAAAGAAUUAAGGUAGGACUUGCAAGCCCUAUUUCAAAAAUACCAAAGAAUUACAUUCAACCAUAGGACAAUCAUAUUGGGCCUAAGUCCAUAAUCAUCCAUGUACAUUUAUCUAUAUAAGCAUAUAUAUAUAUAUAUAUAUAUAUAUAUAAAACUUAAAGUCAUAUCUCAUUCAAAUUGUUAAUCAUAUGCAACUUUUGAGAUUACAAUUUUCAACAUUUGAAUUUCCUAAUUUUUCGAGUGGUUAUUUAAUUCUAUAUAUGGAAACCUUUCAUAUAUGGAAAGUUUUACUAAUCAAAAUUAGCAACUUAUCCAUGCCUAAUCAUAUUAGGGUGUCACAACCUAAAUCCCAGGCCAUGACCGGCUCAUGGGCUCAAUGGGCAUAGCCCACUAAGCCCAAGCAAGCCUUUUUAUGCAAUCCCGAUCAUCAUUCCCAACCAUCAUUUUUAAAAUCACAUAUUGUAAUUCUUUACUAAAAUAUUUCAGUAAUAUUUUAUAGUGACCCAAUACUAAUAAUUUUAUUAUGUCAAAAUAAUGUCACCCGUUUGCCAAGUCAUAGUGGCAUCAGUAAUCAAAUAUACAUAUUUGACUUAUAACAUGUCACGACCCGGAACUCCCCAUCGGGCCCCUGACAACCGCCGCGAGGCCUCGACAGACAUUCUUCACCUCGAAUGUCGAUUGAAACCCCGCAAGGCUUAGCAUCAACUUCCGCAUCUCCCCGAUGAGCAACAGUUAUUAAAUCUCGCAUUUCAAAAAAAUCUUAAGUCAUUUUUAAAUAAGAACAAUAAAAUAUUAUUUUCUGGCUCACAGGGGUAUUUUCGUAAUUUUUCGUCAAAAAUCUCAAAACUUGCUAAAAAUGUAGUAGGUAAGCAGAAAAUAUAUAUUUAAUGAUUUAAAAACAAUUAAGUAUCUAAAACGUUCAUUUGAAAGCAAAUUGUUGACAACUAGUACUAUUCAAAAAUAAUAAAUAAAAUAUUCUAUUUUCUCAUAAAAUAAAUUUUUAUAGAAAUAUUCGUAAAUAAUUUUUCGCACAUGAAAGUAAAGUAAAAAUUGUAUGAAUAGAAAUACAGAUAACCAAAAUAUAAGUUUUGAUCUGCAAUGACACGUGGGCUCCAAUUGACCAAGAGGAUGUAAGACUGUGAACUCUUACUUUCUAUAAUGCAGUUCCGAGCUUAGUUCUCGUCCUACUCGACUAUCUACAAACUGUCCUGAGCCUGAAAAAUGUAUAGGAAGAAGGGGUGAGAUUUUAUAAUCCCAGUGAGUAAACAGAUACCAUCUAAAGUAUCUAAAGCCGAGUAAAUGGAGACAAUUAAAAUAAGUCAUCAUACCGUAAUUUCAUUACCUUUCAGUUCAUUUCAACCAAAUAAAAUCAAUCCAUAUAAAUCGAGUAAUCAACUUGGCUUAUGAAUUUCUUAAAACUUUGGCUCGUGCCAAAACUCAUACUCGGUGAUACCUUGCGCAGGGCAUCCAACCGAGUCCGCCAAGGCUGUUAAAAUUUUGUAUACACUUAAAAUAUAUUUUUAGUUUGAGAAAAAUACAGCCGUUCCUUGGCGUUGGCUGAGUUCCCCUUCACGUGGUGGUUUGGCGUGAAGUGAACCCUAAGCUUUACCCCAGGAGAUACCCUACGCGCCUCUCCGUUCGAGGUAAUAAUAUAAUGGAGUUUACCGUGCCCCUCUAAUAGGCUGGUCCACGGAACCCCCUCUGCAGUAAAUAAUUAAUAUAUACUCCACCAAUUCAAUAAAAUUCAUUCUAGCAUGGCAUGGCAAUUUAUCGCAAUCUAGCCUCUCAAGGCUGAAUACACAAUAUAAAUAAUUCUGACACCAAAAUCAGUUUAGCCAUUCAUGCUCAUUUAUUGUCAUAAGCCAUUCAAUUUAAAACCAUAAAUUUACAACACAAGCAGGCAGUCUCCAAUUACUCUAUUUUCAAAACCAAUAUUCGAUUUUUCAGAAAAUUUAUAAAAUCAUUUUAUAAAAUCACAAUUUCUCUUAAAACAUAGCAAUUUACCAUUUAAACCCAUUUUUCAUAAAAUCACACAGUUGUAUAAAACUACUCUAGAUAAUUAAGACGAUAAUAAGUUUACUCACAGUUUUAGGAGUAGAAAUACUCCUAUCUUCCGCCCUCGGGUGCAGUCUCUUACCCGAAACAAUUGACUCACCACCUAUCCAUAAUCCAUGACACAAAAUUCAAUAAAUUGUGUCAAUUUAUCAUAAAUUAUUUCAGGCUCUUAUCCAUGCGUAUGCACUAGAUAGGAUUUGAAAUGUCUAGACAAUCGCUUAAUUGCGGUGUCCGACCUAACUCGCCUAUACACGGUGUAAAUUCCUAAAAUCCCCAAUUCGACUCCAAUUCCAUCCAUUUCAAUUUCAAUUAUCCAAUUAUAUCCACAAUACCUCAAUGACUGUGAAUUUGGUCCAAUUUAUCAGUCCGGACUAUAAAUUACGCUUUUACCCCUAGUGGGUAAAAAUUUCAAUUUAUUGCACCGAAAAUUCCCAUUUAAUUUCCAACCUCAUAAUUCAUCAUUUUUCCACCCAAUUCUCUUAAAAUAAAGUCAACCUCAUCCUCACAUACCAUUGGCUAGAUUCGGCCUAGGGAAAUUCAUGGAGAAGAUAAAUAUUUUUCUUGUUGUUUUACUCAUAAACAUGCUAAACUAACACUAAACACUAACAUAGCUCAAAAUCAAAUUUAUCUAACAACUUUCUCUCUCUAAACCCAUAUGACCAGAAUUCAAAUCAUCCUCAAAUCACAUGAUUCAACCAUGAAAAAUGAUGGAAAAUGCAUGGGAAAGGUAAAGCACAAGACAAAUUUAAGAAAUGUUACCUUUUUUCACUUGAUUUUUGAAUUUCCACCUAUUUUCCCUUUAAAUUUCUUAGCUAGGGUUUUAUUUUCUCCUUUCUCUCUCUUGUUUCUUGCUUGGCCGAAUGUUGAAGAAGAAGAAUGGGUGGGCUGAUUUUUUUAUGCCUUUUUUAUUGUUUAAUGAAAUAAUAUUAUUUUAUUCAUAUUUUAAAUAUUUUAUUAAUUCAUUUUUUUUUCUAGCCAUCCAUUUGUCCUACUUUUUCCACCAUGCAUUCCCUUUGACUUAUCCAAGUCUUAAGUGAAAUUUCCAGAUUUUUCCAAAGUUUUGGUGGAGCAAAUUCUUCAAAAUUACACUUUUGCCCCCGAACUUUUCAAAAAUUACAUUUUUGCCCCAAAAAUUGAAAAUUUGCCAUAAUGCAUAAUUUGCACUCCUCAUACUCAUUUCACACUCCAAAUAAUUAAAUUUGAUCAAAAUCCUUUCAAAAAUUAAAUUUUCGAUUCCGGAUGGCAAAAUUACCAUUUUACCCUUUUUCUCCAAAUUAUACCGAAAUUAAAAUUUUUCACUUCUAAACCUCAAAUCUUACUCCAAUAAGUCAAAUGGGGCCAAAAAUCUUUUCUAAAAAUUUCCAUUUUGUCCUUAGCUGGCAAAUGACCAUUUUGCCCCUAGAUAGCGAAAAGUUCGGUUUGUCUUCAAAUUGAUCCUCGAACUUCAAAUUACCAUAAUAAACCAUUCUGUGAGUUUAAAAUUCUUAAUUUCAUCAUAAAUUCUCUAUUUGAUCUAGUUCGAGGUUUAAAUCAACUUUGUUGUACCUCUAGGUACAAUACCGACUUUUGUAAAUUUUUUUUUUUGGGACUCUCUUAGCAUGCAAACAUGCUAUCCAUCACGUGUAUGUCAUGACAAAUAUUUUUAUAGAGUCGGGCUUGUCAUCUUCUCCCCCACUUGGAUCAACCAUAUGAUCCUUCUUCUUGACUGAUUUCGACAUCCGGCUAAAUAUUAAUAUUUUAAAAAUUUUAUCUUGUCUCCUUGGUACCUGAAAUACCUUAUUAUGCCUCACUUGACUUCUGAAUCGCCUUUUAUCUCACAAAUUCUCCUCUGAUAAAAUUAUUAUUAUUUUAUUGUUAUUUUCUCACUUGCGAAAUAUUUUAUCCUAAACUACUCCUUUCGUCUUUUAUCACUUUUAAACAUUUUAAUUGACCUCAAUUUGCAUUCGAUCAACUUUAUUUAUCACUAUAUCAAAGUAUGGGGUAUUUCAAUCUCCCCCACUUAAAUAGAAUUCGUCCUCGAAUUCCCGUCGAUGUUGCGUUAUCAAUCUCCUUCUAUGAUCCUACUCCUUGUUCCUUCUAUAGGGACAUUCAAUUUAUUUCCCUCGUUCACCUUCAGUUCAAUUAAAUGCUUUAUUUACGGCAAUUAUCAUCCUUUGGAAUCGGAUCAGUAAUACUUUUCACAACCAUGAUCUCUUAUAUCUAGACACUAAGCAUGCCUUUAUCACCAUUAUUACAUUUGAACCAUAACUUCAUCUCAAUUAUACCGAUUUCGAUCACAUAUCAUACUUACUUAUGUAUACCUAUUCAUCGUUUUAUUAAUUUGCUCCAUACCAAUUUUCUCAACCUUGAUUCAUCCAUCUUAUACUGGUCCAAACCCUUCCUUUAAUGGAGUUCCAUUAAAAACUUAAACAAUUUAAGGUUUACUUUCAAAGUCAUUCAUAACUUUAAUCGUUCAUUACAUGUCUGUUAACACUUUAGCUCACUAACCUCUCUGGACACUAUUUCAAAAUCUCCCAAUUACCGAGAACCAUUCUUCACUUCAGUUAGUAAAAUUAUCAAUUUCAUAUAUACAUAUAUACAUGCAUUUUCAAAUGUCAACAUCUCUCUUUAUAUAUAGGAAUCCAUGUGUUCACAUGCCUUGGACUACAUUCCCCCUUUAUUCAUCCGUAUCCCAAUCCUAGUUUCAAUAUAAUAAUUCUUAUAGUGCAUGUCAACCUUCUUAUUAUACUUGUGUAUAACUUCAUAUCAUUCAUAUCAUUUCCAACCAUAUGUUUGAGUUUCCUUAUACUAUAUAUCAUUCAUCACAAUGUCAUCUCCAUUGAAUUAUAAUCUAUUAUGCGUGUAUGCUUUAUAAUCCUAUUGAUGCCUCAAAGAUUUAUCUCAACUUGAUCAUUGCAUCUCAUGCAAUACCACAAUUCCUAAGAGUCAUCCUUUUGUCCUUAAUCAUCUUUCAUGCCUCUAUAUUACCUUGUAUCUUUCUUGCAUUACGAUAUUGAUUUGUCACUUAAGACUCGAACCCAUUUGAAUCAUGUAUGCCUUAAGCAUUUUCGAAUUCCAAUUUCCAUAAUAUAUUAGGAAAGUUUCAUUAUCUGACUUCAUUUUCAAGGUCAACUUCUAUCAUCCUUUGUUCCACUCCUUCAUAUGAACAUAACAUCAUUCUUCCUUAACUAAUUUAUAAAUUGUACUUGAAAUUGUAAAACUUAAAACUAGAUUCUCCUCAAGUAUUUUUCAAUAUUAAUACUAAUAUCACUCUCAGCUUACAGCUUCCUUUUUAUAAUCACAUAACUUAGUGCUUGCUUUAACGAGAUCCAGAGCAAAACUUCUCUUGAGUAUUUCCUUGGGAAUAUCUAUCUUAAACUUAUGUCUCACAGCAUGUGAUCCCUUAACUUGUGAUUUAGCCGUUAGGCUUCUCAGCAAGUUUUAAAAAUUUUACGUUUCAUACUUGCUGUGUAUGAUUAGAAUCUCUUCUCAAAGAUGUUUAUGUAUUCCUAAAACACUUAAUCUUAAAGAUAUAUAAAUACGUACUCAUCCAUUCAAUCCCUAACUCAUCUUCAUAGGUUUCUAGGGUGUCACACAAUUAGCCUCAUGUUGUUCCUAACUCUUGUCAUUUUACUGUAUCAAAACAGAUAUUACAAAUUCUCGUAAUGAUAUUCUAUAUAAACUGAUUUUCUAUACCAGUCUCGUAAUUCUUCCUUCACACUUUCAUUACUUGGUAUCUCAUCUCAAUAUAGUCAUCUCAAGAAUCUUUCAAUUUUUUUUUUUUUUAUUAUAUGCCUAUAUACAAGGCAAUAAAGAAGUUUUUCAAUUCAUUUGGGUAAACAUUCUCCAGAAUAUUUAAGACUCCCAGAUAACAAAACACAAUGACCAACAACCAAAAUUCAAUUUGUAAGCUCAUUAUCGUGUCACUCCCAUCUUACUCAUGCAUCAUAGGCGUGAGGUAUUCGGAGCAUUAUAACGUUGAACAGUCAAUGUUGAAGCACUGUAGCUAUUAGAAAUUUUCUCAUCAAAGCUAUUUGUCUGCAUUCAAAGUCACCACAUCAAUCAUUCUCAACCAGUGGUUUCCCUUUUAGAUAUAUAUCAUGAGUUCCAUAAGUAUAGGUACCUUCUAUUUUCUUGUCAUACACACUAAGCCAGAUUAAUACUUUCAUCUCAUGUCAUCUUUUGACUUUUAUCAACAUUCAUAAAAUUCCACCUCAAAACAUCCUUUCCAUACAGUGUAAUAAAUUCAUGAUACAUAUACCACUCCACACAUAAGUUGCUUACUAUCUACAACUUUCCUCAAAUUUAUUGUCAUCCCUAUCCAAUUAUCUUCUUUGUCUUAUACUCCAAUAAUCUUAUUGACUUUCGGUAUAAUUAACUACGAAAACAGCCCAGCUUCCUCCUUACUUUAUUCUCGCAAUCCUUACUGAAUCAAAAUUUUAUAUUCCCCAUAUUCCAUAAUUUAACUUCAUUGGGUUAUAUUUGUGCCCAACUAUUACCUCAUAGUGUCAUAACAUCACUGAAUAAUCCCCUUCAUGCUUAAAUUACAAUCAUUAACGUAAUCACAUUAUCCAUUCCGAAUGUCAUUUAUAACCUUAUUGCUUCCUUCUAUAACCUUCCUCAAUAAUUAUAUUACCAAUUUAUCUCUAUCAUACUAAAGAUUCCCAUAUACCUUCAGUUACUUAAACAACCAUUUUAUAAUACAUUCUAGUCCUAUACUUUAAAAGCCAAACUAUUUUUACUUCUUUGUAUAGAUAAUUAUUAUCUCUUUUACACAACAUCUACUUAGAGUUAAGGUAGUGUAAAAUCCUACGAAAAUAUUACAUGUCCUUGGGAUCAUCAUCUUAAUCUGAUCUUAUCGGAAGAUUCUACUCCGAGUCCUCCUAAAGAUCCUCUUCCGGGUUUUCCUCCUCUUGAGAUUUUUUUCCUUUGCUCCUCAAUCCAAGCUUGUUGUAUUCUCCUAUACUCUUCAUCACUCACGGGUGCAGCAUUUCUUCCACAACCGGGAGGAAAAUGUCGUACACUUGACACUUUUCUAAGGGGUCUACUUGCCACUGUUAUUUUCUCCUUAUCCUUUUCUGGUUGUCCCCUUACAUUUCUCCCACAGCCUGGUGGAAAGUGUCGGACUACUCUCACACUCUUCCUAGAACGAAUACCUCCUUCGGCUAUCCUUAAUUUUCCCUUUCUUUAGUAUAUUCCUUAGAUUCUCUCAAAAGGGAACCUCUUAUGCUUACAUUAAUAUUAUUACUAUCUGCACUUUUUGGACUACUCGGUUCGGGCUGCCAUCGGCUCCUAACAGUAGAAUCUAGAGAUCCCUCACUAAUACUAUGAGAGGCGUCGGGACUACCGUCUCUCCUAGAUAUGGUGUGUAUGUCACCAGUGCACCUCAAAACCUAUAUGCAAUCAAAUAGUAAUUGUUUAAUUAUUUAUGCAUCUCAAAAGUAGGUAGAUUUCUAUAUGUAGAUGCAUACAUUCUAUUCAAUCUAACCUAACUUAACUUAACUUAACUUAUCUUAACUUAACUGGACUUGGGGCCACGCAGUGUCAGUGUAGAUUUCUUAAAACAACCUUAAAAUCAAAAACUUUAAAAUCCAAAGCUUUAAAAUCAAAAUAUCUGAUCUUUAAACCAUGCUCUGAUACCAAUCUAAAUUGUCACGACCCGGAACUCCCCAUCGAGCCCGUGACAACCGCCGCGAAGCCUCGACAAACAUUCUUCACCCCGAAUGUCGAUCGAAACCUCGCAAGGCUCUCGUAUCAGCUUUCGCACUUCCCCGGUGAGCAAUAGUUAUCAAAUAAUCAAAAUACGAAGGAUUACAAAUCAUUUCCAAAUCAUAACAUAACAUUUUUUUUUUUUUUUCACAGGGGCAUUUUUGUCAUUUUUGUCGAAAACCUCGAAACUUGCUAAAAAUGUAGUAGGUAAGCCGAAAAUAUAUAUUUAAUGAUUUAAAAAAAAUUAAGUAUCUAAAACGUUCAUUUGAAGUGAAAAUUUGACCAUUUGAAUAUAAUAAAAAUAUUCAAUAAAAUAAACUAUUUUCUUGUAAAAUAAUUUUCAUAAAACUAUCGGUACAUAAUUCUUAUAGCGUAAAAGAUAAUUAUAUUCAUAUAUACUAUAAAGCAAAUAACCAAAGCAUAAAAUUUCUUUUACAGUGACACGUGGGCCCAUAUCUAUCCAAAAUGCAUCGGAAGCUGGAAACCUACAGCUUUUACCGAUUCGAGUCCAAAUGAAGGUCCUUGUUCAAGUCAGCUAACUACGAAAUUCCCUGAGCCUGAAAUGUGAGGAAAUGAGGGUGGUGAGAUUAUAAAAUCCCAGUGAGUAAACAGAUACCAUCUAAACUAUCUAAAGUCGAGUAAAUGGAGACAAUUAAAAUAAAUCAUCAUACUGUAAUUUCAUUACCAUUCAACUCAUUUCAACCAAAUAAAAUCAAUCCAUAAAAAUCGAGUAAUCAACUUGGCUUAUGAAUUUCUUAAAACUUUGGCUCGUGCCAAAACUCAUACUCGGUGAUACCUUGCGCAGGGCAUCUAACCGAGUCCGCCAAGGCUGUUAAAAUUUUGUAUACACUUAAAAUAUAUUUUUGUUUGAGAAAAAUACAGCCGUUCCUUGGCGUUGGCUGAGUUCCCCUUCACGUGGUGGUUUGGCGUGAAGUGAACCCUAAGCUAUACCCCAGGAGAUACCCUACGCGCCUCUCCGUUCGAGGUAAUAAUAUAAUGGAGUUUACCGUGCCCCUCUAAUAGGCUGGUCCACGGAACCCCCUCUGCAGUAAAUAAUUAAUAUAUAAUCCACCAAUCAAUAAAAUUCAUUCUAGCAUGACAUGGCAAUUUAUCGCAACCUAGCCUCUCAAGGCUGAAUACACAGUAUAAAUAAUUCUAACACCAAAAUCAGUUUAGCCAUUCAUGCUCAUUUAUUGUCAUAAGCCAUUCAAUUCAAAACCAUAAAUUUGCAACACAAACUAGCAGUCUCCAAUUACUCUAUUUUCAAAACCAAUAUUCGAUUUUCCAGAAAAUUUAUAAAAUCAUUUUAUAAAAUCACAAUUUCUCUUAAAACAUAGCAAUUUACCAUUUAAACCCAUUUUUCAUAAAAUCACACAGUUGUAUAAAACUACUCUAGAUAAUUAAGACGAUAAUAAGUUUACUCACAGUAUUAGGAGUAGAAAUACUCCUAUCUUCCGCCCUCGGGUGCAGUCUCUUACCCGAAACAAUUGACUCACCACCUAUCCAUAAUCCAUGACACAAAAUUCAAUAAAUUGUGUCAAUUUAUCAUAAAUUAUUUCAGGCUCUUAUCCAUGCGUAUGCACUAGAUAGGAUUUGAAAUGUCUAGACAAUCGCUUAAUUGCGGUGUCCGACCUAACUCGCCUAUACACGGUGUAAAUUCCUAAAAUCCCCAAUUCGACUCCAAUUCCAUCCAUUUCAAUUUCAAUUAUCCAAUUAUAUCCACAAUACCUCAAUGACUGUGAAUUUGGUCCAAUUUAUCAGUCCGGACUAUAAAUUACGCUUUUACCCCUAGUGGGUAAAAAUUUCAAUUUAUUGCACCGAAAAUUCCCAUUUAAUUUCCAACCUCAUAAUUCAUCAUUUUUCCACCCAAUUCUCUUAAAAUAAAGUCAACCUCAUCCUCACAUACCAUUGGCUAGAUUCGGCCUAGAGAAAUUCAUGGAGAAGAUAAAUAUUUUUCUUGUUGUUUUACUCAUAAACAUGCUAAACUAACACUAAACACUAACAUAGCUCAAAAUCAAAUUUAUCUAACAACUUUCUCUCUCUAAACCCAUAUGACCAGAAUUCAAAUCAUCCUCAAAUCACAUGAUUCAACCAUGAAAAAUGAUGGAAAAUGCAUGGGAAAGGUAAAGCACAAGACAAAUUUAAGAAAUGUUACCUUUUUUCACUUGAUUUUUGAAUUUCCACCUAUUUUCCCUUUAAAUUUCUUAGCUAGGGUUUUAUUUUCUCCUUUCUCUCUCUUGUUUCUUGCUUGGCCGAAUGUUGAAGAAGAAGAAUGGGUGGGCUGAUUUUUUUAUGCCUUUUUUAUUGUUUAAUGAAAUAAUAUUAUUUUAUUCAUAUUUUAAAUAUUUUAUUAAUUCAUUUUUUUUUCUAGCCAUCCAUUUGUCCUACUUUUUCCACCAUGCAUUCCCUUUGACUUAUCCAAGUCUUAAGUGAAAUUUCCAGAUUUUUCCAAAGUUUUGGUGGAGCAAAUUUUUCAAAAUUACACUUUUGCCCCCGAACUUUUCAAAAAUUACAUUUUUGCCCCAAAAAUUGAAAAUUUGCCAUAAUGCAUAAUUUGCACUCCUCAUACUCAUUUCACACUCCAAAUAAUUAAAUUUGAUCAAAAUCCUUUCAAAAAUUAAAUUUUCGAUUCCGGAUGGCAAAAUUACCAUUUUACCCUUUUUCUCCAAAUUAUACCGAAAUUAAAAUUUUUCACUUCUAAACCUCAAAUCUUACUCCAAUAAGUCAAAUGGGGCCAAAAAUCUUUUCUAAAAAUUUCCAUUUUGUCCCCAGGUGGCAAAUGACCAUUUUGCCCCUAGAUAGCGAAAAUUCCAGUUUGACUCCAAAUUGAUCCUCGAACUCCGAAUCACCAUAUUAACCCAUUCUGGGACUUUAAAAUUCUUAAUUUCAUUGUAAAUUCUCUAUUUGAUCUAGUUCGAGGCUUAAAUCAACUUUAUUGUACCUCUAGGUACAAUACCGACUUUUGUAAAUUUUUCAAGACUCUCUUAGCAUGUAAACAUGCUAUCCACCACAUGUAUGUCAUCACAAAUAUUUCUGUAGAGUCGGGCUUGUCAUCUUCUCCCCCACUUGGAUCAACCAUAUGAUCCUCCUUCUUGAUUGACUUCGACAUCCGGCUAAAUAUUAAUAUUUUAAUAUUAUUUUAUUAAUAAAAUAUUAUUUUAUUCUAAAAAUUUUAUCUUGUCUCCUUGGUACCCAAAAUACCUUAUUAUGCCUCACUUGACUUCCAAAUCGCCUUUUAUCUCACAAAUUCUCCUCCGAUAAAAUUAUUAUUAUUUUAUUAUUAUUUUCUCACUUGCGAAAUAUUUUAUCCUAAACUACUCCUUUCGUCUUUUAUCACUUCUAAACAUUUUAAUUGACCUCAAUUUGCAUUUGAUCAACUUUAUUUAUCACCAUAUCAAAGUAUGGGGUAUUUCAUAACAUGGAUCCUAGCAGAUUACAUUACAUAUACACGUUCACAAGUAACAAACUCUUGACCGUUAGCGAAGUGAUCGUGGGUGAAGGUACAGCUACUGAGAUGCCAUAGUACCUACAAAGAGGACGAGCAUAUGUGGACACUCAAUCUAGGUCCCAACUGUCUUCGAAUCUAAAAAAAUGAAGUUUAAAAAUGUGAGUAUAAAACUCAGUGAGUGAACAUAAGAAGGGAACAAGCAAUCGAUAAGGAGAACUUGGAAAUCAUGAUGUACUUAUUUCAAAAACAAUGCAAUUGAUUUAAUUUCUUACUAAAAACCCCUCAUUUCAAACUUUGAUUAAUAACCUCAUAGUGUUGCAAAAACCCAUGAUUAAUCCAUGAAGUUAAAUGGGUGAAAAAUAUGUCAAAAUCAAGCAAGGUAGCAAGUAGAACAACAAGUUUCUCGCUACAGCAAGAAACAGUCUUAGUUUGCAUAUGUUUUGGUUUUUCAAGAAUAUCUCCCACUACAGAAGUCCAAUUGAUCUGAUUUUUGAACCAUUAGAAACCCAAGAGGCUGGGAUACAACUUUGAUGUUUGCCAUGUUUCCCAUUUCUGAUUGGAAGGUAGUCAAAAUCAUUGUCAAAGUGGAAGAGCUGCACCAGAAUUUUGGGUCUACUCGAGAGUUUCUCGUUGCAGCGAGAAUCCAAUUUCGCUGCAGCAAAAUUGCUCGCUGUAGCAAGAAUUCUUUUUCGCUACAGCCAAAAACAGGGCUGGUUUGUGCCCCCACCACCAGAGAGUUUCUCGCUGCAGCGAGAUUCAAGUCAGAUGACGAUUAAGGGAUUUUCACAUGCCACAAAAUCCAUUCAUACCAUAUUGCACAUCAAAGUGAACACAUUGACAAUAAUCAAGUUUCUGAUUAUUCAUUUCAAUCACAUAUUAUAAUCAUAAACUUUCUAUCACAUAUACAUAUAUAAACAUAUAUAAACAUGUACACUACCCCACUUCAUUUAUUGUCAUAGCAGGGUCAUCAUCAUCGGAUUAUGCGCACUACCUACUCUCACAUAGCCGGGUCAUCCUCAGUUCAUGUGCACUCCCACAUCGCACAUAGCUGGGUCAUCAUUAUCACACAACAUUAUUCAUCAAUGCACAACACAUAUUCAUAUAUAUACAUACCAACAUAACAUGGGAUCACAUGGAUUCAUCUUUUUACACAUUUCACAAUUUCACAAGAUCAAAACAUUUUAUCAAGGGCUUGUUCCCAUGCAUAAUUUAAUGAAAACCAAGUAAAAUCAUUUAAAUGUUUCAUCCCAACACAUAUGUAUUUCCCAAAAACACUUUGAUGCAAGUUCACUCACCGGUCUUGUUGAUUCUUUGGCUUGACUUUAACCUCAACUAAUGCUCCAAAUUGACAUGUGAGGCCUUGUUAGAACCUAUACACACACAACAUCACAACUAACCCAAAUUGGCAUUAAUAUAAUUCCAAAAGCUCUUUCCUAAAUCAAGUUCUACUAGUUAUUCCUAACUAGUUUCCAAUUGCUAUUAAGUGGCUAAUUAUUUACACCACUCUAGUCACCCUAAGAGUGAAUAAACAACCUCAACAAUAAAACACUCACAAAUCCCAUUGUUGGCCAUUAUCAACAACUAAAGAAAUUUAACCUUAACUUAUACUCACCUUGAUGGUCUUUGUAGUUGAAUUCUCUUUCAAAAUUCUUCAAGCUAAUAAGGGAAAUCACUCUCUCUCUCUCUACAUGUCCAACUAGUGAGAGAAAGAUGGCAAUAAGACUUUUUAAGGGUUUUAAGGUGGGAGAGUGAAAGAGCACCAAAGGUUCUAUGAAAAAGUGCACCAAAGCUUGUAAAUUGAAGCUAAUUGAGAGAGCUAUGGAAGCUUUAUGGGAGGCUCCCAUGGAGAUGAAGAAACGCGAGAUGGGAAGGGAAGGAGAAAUGGCUGGAAGCUGCUGGAAAUUGCUGUAGCUUUAGAUAUUUAUAUAUAAAGUUUAUCCAAUUUUUCAUGUAAUUUACCAAAAUGCCCUCCAUAAGGUGACUUUGUCUUCUUCUUUCCUUCGGUUCAACUUUUUACUCUUUGGACACUGAGACAAAGUCCAUAAUGGUUUAGAAGUACUCGAGUUCACGAAAACUUAGAAAUUUAGACUCGAGAUACAAAUGACCAUUUUGCCCCUACCUUGGAAAUCAUCAUUAUUUCUAUUUCCUUCAUCAUUUUAUCCUUAUUUUCAUCAUUCAUUUGUGCCUUAGGCCUACUUAAGCCUUAAUAAUAUUUGAAAGCAUAUUUCUAAGGGCUAACUAAAGAAAAUGAUGAAAUUACCCCUAGUCCGUUUUAUCGCGUCUACUUCUAGUUACGUGUCUAUAGAGGUUGAGGCUUCGCAGGUUCACUUUUGAAUUACCCGUUUUUCUCCAUAAUCAACCCCAAUUAGUAGCCGGUAAGCAUUAUUAGCCACGACCUCAAAGUGCGAGGUACUACAUAGGGUUAGGAUUAAAUUUUAUUACAAACUAAAACAAUUUUAAUUUGUGCUCCUAAACGUUUAAGUGGUCAUAUUAUUAAUCCAUCUAUAAUUAAGCAUUGCAUGCCAUCCAUUACCCAAACAUUGUAGGUAAUUUAAAUGAAAUUAUGGACAAUAAAUCUUUAUUUAAUAUUCGUGUCACGUUUAAAUUUUCUUGUCUUAACUGAAAAUAUGUUCUACUGCAGACAACGAUAAACAUGUCCCGAUUACAUGACAUUAUGGUAGCUCGUUUUAGGAAUUUAAUUCUAAUAAAAUUAAUCCUAACAGCCAACUCAUGGACCAAUUCCAAAAUAUCUUUUCAGAAUUUUAGGAGGUGAUUAGACUAUUCAAAAAAUUUAAGAACCGUAAACCAUAUCUACAUGUGGCAGAAUCGGUUCUUAAAUUCUUUGGUGGCCUAAAAUUACGAAUUAACUUCUAAUGAAAUUUAUCCUAAUAGCUAACUCAUGGAACAAUUUCAGAAUAAUUUUUCAGGAUUUAAGGAGGUGAUUUGACUAAUCAAAAAAUUUAAAAACCGUAACCCGUAUCUGUAGGUGGCAAAAUCGGCUUUUAAAUUUUUUGGUGGCCUAAAAUUAGGAAUUAAAUUCCAGUAAAAUUUAUCCUAAUAGCUAACUCAUGGAACCAUUCUAGAAUAAUAUUUUAGGAUUUUAUGAUGUGAGUUAACUAUUCAAAAAAUUGAAAAAUUGGGACCUAAAGGUACUGCUCGCAACAACAUUUUUUAGUCACGUUUUGUGACUUUGCAACCUCCCUCCAUCCUUGGACAACAUUUUCUCUUGGAACAUUUCCAAGGUACUUGUCCUCCUUACAUUUCUAGCAAUUUAUUGAGACUUUAAUCUCCAUUUUACAUGCUGAUAAUGCACCAAGAACAGAUCUAAAUAGCUUUGUAUUCUGUUCUUAAAAUAGCCCCGUAUCAUCAGGAUAACGAAUUAACUCUUGAUGUUUCAUUUGGGCAUCUUAUGCACACUUUAAUCUGCAUAUUUGGGCACUUAAAGAUUUGGAUUAAUGUUUUAUAAUUAAGGAUUAAAGGACAUAAAUCAAAUCUUCCUCGAAAAAUAAAAAUUAUUUCAAGAUAGAACCGAUAUCAUGAGAACAUUUCUUGUUAGUUACCCAAACAUUUCAUAUACAAUUUCUAAAUGAUAUUAACAAUAAUAGACAUGAUAAACUGAACCAUGUACUACCAUGGAUGGCUUUAAUACCAAUGUUGGUUUCCUUGAGUCAUGCAAUUACAAAUAAAAUACAUAGCGAAAAUAUUAAAACUCGAGAACCUAAACCAUGAAGCAACAUAGUCGGCUAUAAUAGAAACAAACAAAAUGGUUGUACCUUAGCCCUUAGAAUGUAUAGAUUCUUAAAGGGUAGAAAAGAUAUUUCUUCUCUUGAAUGCACACCAAGGUUCAGUUGUUGCAAACCAAAACCAUCCUAAUGUCUGGCCUCCAACGUAGUCCACAUAAUCACUAUGAAUUCGAACCUUCUUCAAGAGGUUAGGGUUGUUUUUAGCCAAACCUUGUGCUAGUAGGGAAGUUUUACAAAGAUCAAGUGUUUUAUUUAGUCUUUUUCUUGGCCAAACCUAGGAAGAAGAACUUUUCUUUCUCUAUUUUCAAUGUGCGACUAAAGCAAGACUAGGAAGAAAAGGUACAUUUUUUCUUUUUGGUUUAAAAUAACAUAUUUAUAGUUAGGGUUAAUACUUAAGUAGCUUUUGGUUAAGACCACAUAACUUUUAGAUAAUUAAGUAUUUAACUCCAUGAAUUAUUUAAACAUUUUAGUUAAGCCGAAUAGAAGUUCAUAACCUCUAUUCAAUUAUGUCCUAUUUAAUUGUAAAAUCCCAUUUUAAUCUUAUCAUAGUGAUUUUAUGUGUAUGAGCCAUUAGGCUCAUAACAAGUUGGCAAUGGGCAAGAAUUAUAAUCCUAAUGGAUUAGGAUUAAAUGAAUCAAAUUCAUUAUCGAUUUUCGAUUGAUUAACUCAAUUCCAUAGACCAAGAUUGGCUUAUAGCAAUGCAUCAUAGCCACCCAAAUAUUACGAAAGUCAAUAUGGUUUGACUAAUGUUUUAGUGUACAGUCUAUUAGUGUAAUUCAUUCCUUAAUCAUAUGUCCCUGAGAUAAUAAGAGCAUGGUGUAACAUCUACUCUUAUUGAUCUCCAUAUUCGUUCUUGAAGUUAAAUUACUAGCUUUAUGGAGACUUAUGAAACUUUUUUUUAUAAUCUCCAAGUAGCCUUGGCCAAAGACUUCAAUAGGUUAAUAUCAACCAAGAACUGUUAGGAUAUGUCCCCUAAAUCACUUGGGGUGAUGAUUCCUUUCUUAACCACUCAUAUGCCUGUACAUGCUUUAUACUACAACCAACCAUAUCCUAUUUUGGCAUCCUUGGUAGAACCAUAGUAAUAUCAUCAAAUAUAUAGCACUCCACAUAUUAGACAACCAGGUGUCUCAAGUCUAAAGAGUAUUUACACAAUUAACACAUGAGAAAUAUUUGCAUAGACACUAGAGUAAGAUACCAAAUCCAUUUCUCAUGUCAAGUCAUGUUCAAUGAACCUGCUCUUCUAAGGCAAACACCAACAUGCUAGUUCAAAGCAUCUCUAUACUUCAACUUAUGAGAUCGAUUGCUUACUUCACAAGUAAAGAACAUAGUAUGUGUCGAUCUUUGAGCAUUAUUGAUGCCUCAUCUCAAUAAUACAAUGAUUAGGAACUUUUAAGAAUAAUGUUUUGAUGCAUAAGGAUCUCAUAAUUGUAUCUCAAUACAAUUUCUUUGCAAAGCAUAUAUAGUUUCAUGGGCUUUAUCUUCAUAAGUAUAAAUAUGAAUUAAAUUACAAACUCAUGGAUGAAGAAUGUCACGACCCAAUUUCCAGGGCCAUGACCGACGCAUGAGCUCAAUGAGCAUAGCUCACUAAGCCCAAGCAAGCCUAUCCAUUUACCUUUGCUUAACAAAUUUAUCAUAUCAUGCAUACACACACACACCUUUUCCAGGGUGUGAAUAUAGCCAAAACACAAUGGCAUUAUCGAUAAUAAUAUACAUGCACUAUACCAGUCAUGUAUUUAGCAAUUUACAUUGCAUACACAUAUUCACAUUGUUAGAUUGUAUUCACAAUACAAAAGGACCCAUAAUUUCUAGCGGAGACAUUUACAAUAAAAGGGACUACUAUUGAAUGCCAGACACAUACCCAGGAGAUGCACUACGGGGACUCCUCGAUCUAGGGUCCAACAGUCACCUGAUCUGAAAACAUGAAUUUUUAUAAAACGUGAGUACAAUACUCAGUGAGUGAACAAGAAGGGAACAAGCAUACCAUAAGGAAUGUUUAUCAAAAUCAUGAUGCAUUCAUUUUCUCAAAACCAUGCAAUUGUUUUAGCUCCUUUAAACCCCUUGUGUAAACCCCACAUGAGUAAAUCACUUCACAAAAAAAUUAGAAAUAUGGCAAAAACCUACAAGUUAGCAAAAUGGACAGAAAGUUUCUCGCUGUAGUGAACUUCAUUCUCGCUGCAGCGAGAACCAGAACAUCAAGGAAAAAGUCUCCUUUUUCCCUUAAAACAUGUCAUCCUGCUAAAAUAACAAUAGCAACAUGUAACACAUGUAAACUUCCAAAUUCCAACAAAACAAAUGCUUACAUAUUUACAUUUACAACCAUAUACCCAUCAUCAACAUGCACACCAUCCCAUCAUUAUCAUCAUGCACACCAUCCCAUCAUCAUCAUCUCAUAUGCAACGGCUUAUGCGCAUAUAGCCGGGUCAGCAACGGCUUAUGUGCACUCCCACUCACACAUAGCCAGGUCAGCAACGGCUUAUGUGCACACUUACUCGCACAUAGCCGGGUCAGCAACGACUUAUGUGCACUCCUACUCGCACAUAGCCGGGUCCAAAUCAACAUGCAAAGAAGCAUCCAAUGGAUAUCAUGCAUUUUAUCAUAUUGUGAUAACAUAUAAACCAUUGUAUAGCACAUUUUCACAAUAUAAAAUCAUUUUACUAAAAGCUUGUUCCCAAGGUACAUUUUCUAAGAUAAGUUGGAUAGAAUCUUUCAUAUUCCCUAAAACAAGUUUGAAAUGCAAGUCCACUCAUCGGUAUUAGGAGUAGAAAUACUCCUAUUUUCAGUCUACGGGUACAGUCCUUUACCCGUAUCCAAUGGCUCACCACCUAGCCAUAAUCCAUGACACAUAUUCCAAUUAAAUUGUGUCUAACAGUCAUAAGCUAUUUCAGGCUCGAUAUAUAUAUGAUAUGAAAUGAAAAAUGCACGGGUAACCAUCUAGACCCGGUGUUGGCCUAAGUCGAUUUUUCAUCCGAUAAAUUGGCCAAUGCGUCCAAUUUCACUCCAAAUUAAUCCAUUUCUCCUCUAAUACCUUAAUUUACCACAUACCAUUUAAAUAAAGCCAAAUUCAAUAUUAGAACCCUCACAGUUCCUUAUUGAAAAAUUUGGUCAUUUGGUGCACUAGCAUCGAAAAUUUUUCUACAUAACCGUUUCACCUUAAUUCAUCAUUUUCCAAGCCAUUUUCCUUGAAAUAAAAACAAUCCCCCAUUGAUAUUCAUCCCUCAUGGUUUGACCAACAAGGAACCCUAGAGAAAUUGAAUAUUUCUUUUGUGUUUUGUUCAUAACCAUGCUUAACUAUCCCUAAACACUAACAUAGUCUAAAAUCAAAUUAUUCCAACAACAAUUCCUCUUCCAUACCCAUUUUUCAGAAUUGAAUUCAUCAUGAUAACUCAAUAUUCAACCAUGGAAAUCAAGAACAAAAGCAUGGGUAAGCUAGGUAUCAAGGAGAAUUAAAGAAAUUUUAACUUACCUAGCUUGUUUCCUUGCAUUCCAACACUUUCUCUUUGAUUUUUCCCACCUAGGGCUUGUUCUUCCUUGGUUUCUCUUCUCUUCUGGUUUGGCUGAUCACUAUGGGAGAAAUGGGCUGAUUUUGAUGCCUUUUAUAAAGAAAAUAAUGAAUGGAUGAGAUUUUGACACAUGUCACCAUUCCAUUGGUCCAUGUGUCAUACUUAGCCAUUAAGCAAUCUCUCUUCACCACACAUUUAUCAUGUUUAUCCAUUUCCAGGAUGAAUAAAAUCCCUUGGCCUUGACAAGUGCUAAGCGAAAAAUUUACCGAUUUGCCCCCGAGGUAGAAAAAUUACGAUUUUACCCCUAUACUCUGAAAUUUACUGGAAUCACAUUAUUUCUACUUUUCAACCUCAAAUAAUACUAACAUUGAUCAAUAUUAACCAAAUGGAGCAAAAAAAUCGUUUAAUAAAAAUUCCCGUUUAGUCCUCUAGUGGCAAAAUUACCAUUUUACCCUUGUGCUCCAAAAAUACCAGGAAUCACAAUUGUUUUUCACUGUUAAACAUCAUUUUAUAGUCCAAUAAUCAUAAUUAUAUUUCAUAUAAUUAUUCUUGGUCAAAUGUGAUCAAAUCUUGACUAAAAAUCUCCAUUUUAUCAUCAAAUGGUAAAAUGACCGUUUUAUCCAUAAUCGAUCAAUUUUCCUGAUGGACUCCAAACUGGACCUUGAACUCCGAAUCACUAUUCUAAGCCAUUCUGUGGGUUUCAAAAUUUUCAAUUUCCUCUUAGAAUUUCUAUUUGAAUUAGUUCAAGGCUAGAUUUAACUUAGUUGUACGACUCGGUACAAUACCGUCUUUUAAUUGAGCUUGACAGGGUCUCACAAAAAACUACCUCAAUGUUAUUAUAAAACAAAAUGUUAUACAUAAAUAGAUUAAAGUGUAAUUCCAAUACAACCAUUGAUUGGCUUGUAAGGCUCACACUAACAAUGUUUCCUAGUGUGGGGGUAAGAGCCCUAGGUUGUAUAAGUCUUAGGAUUAUGGAUGAACUUAUGUUGGUGAAUGUGAUGGAUGACUAACCCAUGCAUUUAUGGAUUUAGUCUUACUUGGGCCUAAUUGCCAUACCCACUUAGGUGCAUGUGCCAAUCUCGAUCCCUCCCGAAAUGAGAGAUGACAAAGUUGGUAUUAGAGCCCUAGGUUGUAUAAGUCCUAAGAUUUUCUUGGUCGUGUCAAUGUUGUAUGUGGGAAUAUUGUUUUUGCUUUGUGUGCUAGAGCACAAAUUGAAAACAAGAGACUUGUGUAUCAUUCUUUGUUUGUCUUCCAAGUUUAGUUCCAAUUUACUAAUGUUGCCUAUUUAUAUAUGUCUAUAUAUUGAGACCUUUGUGUGUAAUUGCUCUUGUCUAGGUGUGGGAAUGUUGCUUAGAAGCUGAGUAGCUUUUAGAGAAGCAAUAGAGUAAGAAACUUUCACAGAUGCUACAAAUGGACCAUAGACGCCUAUUGUUAAGGGUCGUGGCAAAUGCGAUAGACCCACAAGUUCAAUGAGGGUUGAACACCUACUGAUGAUCAUGUGGAGGAUCAGGCUCUAAAGGUUGAGAAGGAACACCCAACUAGGGGUGUGACCCUUGAGUAAAUAGUAGUUGGUAAGCGUGACUUAGGCCAGACUAUGAGAGUUAUGCCCAAGAGUUGUUAGGGAAGAGACAUUAGGGUGAGGGACCAUCUACCAUGCAAGCAUCUUUUAGUUCCUAAGGUUAGAAUGUCUAAUAGUAGUUUAAGGUAGUGAGAAGUAGAUUGGAUAUUUCUCUAUCUGAUUUCUUGAGGUUUAAACCUCUUUUCAUGAGGUCUGAUGCAUCGGAGAAGCCUCAAGCAUUUCUGGAUGGUAUAGAUUAGAUUUGCGCUGCUAUAGGAUAAUUUAGUACUCAAGCUAUGGAGUUAACUAGGUUCCGAUUGGAAGAUGUGAUUUAGGAGUGGUAUGCUUUUUUACAUAGGGGUAGGCUAGCUAGUGUUGCUUCAUUUACUUGGGAUGAGUUUAGUACUGCAAUUAUGAAUUGCUUUUAACUUUUUAGUGUACAACAUGCUAGAGCCUACGAGUUUGAGUCACUAGUGUAAACUCCGGGGAUGAUUGUGGUAAAGUAUGAUGUUAAGUUUACUCAUUGGCUUAAUGUGCACCAUAUCUUGUCUCCAUGGAGAAGAUGAAGAUUAGGAGACUUGUGGAUGGUUCAAUGGAGCCUUUCUUUAAAGAAGUGGCUUCUUAAGAAAUUGAUUCCUAUGCCUCAACUAGGGACUGUGCUCAAAGCAUAAAAAUUAAGACUGUUGAGAAUAAAGCAGCUAGAGAUAGGUCCAAGAGAGCUAAGACUAAAAGUCAUAGGGAUUCUAAAGGUAGUGGGGACUUUUUUUCCAUUAGACAGCCUAGAGAUCUUAGUUUUCCCAUCAGGGGAAUAGUUCUAGUAGUGGUUAUGGCAAGCAUGACAAGAGAGAUGGUAGACCACCUAGACAGUAGAGUUUAGGAUAGGAUCGUCAGUCCUUUCCAUUGUGCUUUACUUUUAAUAGGAGGUACCGAGGUCAGUUUCGAAAGGGUACCUUAUCUUGUUAUGGUUAUGGCUUGCUUGGAAAUGUGAUAAAGUACUAUCAUGAGGGUCGAUAGUUAGAGCAACCUUCUCAACUAGCUAUAGCACUUGCUCUUAUUACUGCAUAACCAAUUAGAGAAAAUGUAGGGCUUGAGGUAAAGGUUCCGGUAACGCCACUCAAGGUUGAGCAUUAGGAUUUGGAGCUUCAGGUAUAGUUGGUCGAGGACAAGCUAAAGUUUAUGCAUUGACCCCACAAGAUACAUAGGCAUCUAAUGCAAUUGUCUCAAGUAUUCAAUCUAUUCUAUUAAUGCAAAUGUGUUGUAUGAUCUUGGUGUUACACAUUCAUUGGUUUUCGCAUACAUUACAUCUAAGUUGGGUAUAUUACACUCUAAGAGGGAGCAAAAUUUAGUAGUUUCCACACCCUUGAGAAAGGUGCUUAUGGUAAGGUAUGAGUAUAGAACUUGCGUGGUCCGAGUUAAGGAGAAAGACACUCAAGCUAAUUUUGUAUUGAUGGAUAUGCUAAAUUUUGGUACGAUUCUUGGGAUGGAUUGGUUCUCCCUCAACUACGCUAGUGUGGAUUGUCACCACAAGAGGGAAAACUUUUAGUACCUGGAGAGACGUCAUACUAUAUUUAGGAGAUCAAAGUAUGGCCUCGAACAGUGUAGUCUCGACCAUGACUGUUAUUCAAUUUUCUACCCAUGCAAGUAUAUAUAUCACAAAGAUAAUAUAGUGAUGAGUAGAGUGUCAAUCCCAUAGAGAACUGAAUUAAUUCUUACUAUUAACUGCUAAAAUUGUAACACCUUAAUCUUAUCCAAACAAUUAAAUUUAACAUUAUUAAAAAGAAAAAUUAAACUAAUAAACUGAAACUAAAAUUAUAUAGUAAAUUUGUUUUAUAAAACUCACUUAACUACCAAACCUAAGAUUAUGAUGUCUCUCAAUACUUCAUCUGAUUAUUGUCUCUCUCUCUUAACUUAGUUUAGUGGAUUAAGUUGCUAACCUAGAGUCUUAAAUUAUUUACAAGCCUCUAUCAAGUUUCUCAUAAAAGUACCUCUCCCAAUUAAUUUAUUAUAUAUCUAUGCAAAUUAAAUUGAAGAAAGAUUCAUUAAGUUUGUGCUCUAAUUUUGGCUACGUAUGGCUUAUAGGUGUAUGUCUACCUUAUAUGCAAUUCAAACCACUUAAUCAACUAAAUGUAUUCGAUCUUACGCUAUUUUAUUCAAGGUCUACCUAAAUCUCCUCCGUCAAGGUUUAACUUAGGUUUCCAAUUGAAUCUAAUUGGUGAUCAAGCCAUUAGAAGCAUUAAGAACAUAAUAAAAUAAACAACUUAAAUCUAUAAUAUAUAAACAAAAGAGAGAUAAAUAAAUUAGACUACAUAUUGAGUUCAAUCAUAAUCUUAGAUAAAAAGUUUAGUUCCCUAUUAAGUUACACAUCAUCAUUGAAUAAAGUUUAAACAUUAAAAACAAAACCAAGAGAAUAAGAGAAUAAAAAAAUAGAAAAACUCAAGAAUUGUAUGCUUGAUAUCCAAAUCUCCUUGAAUCCUUCAAAUUCUUCUUAGCUUCAAUGAUUUUGUGGCUUGACUCUCAAUUGACAAUUUGGUGUUUCAUUCAUUUUUUUUUUAAGUCUUUCGAAAGGUUGUUUCUAUAGGAUUUGAAGUUAUGCCAAGUUGGGUGAAGAAAGAAGUGAAUUCCAAUCAAGAUUUCCUCAUUAGACUAUGUGAGUCGCAGCCUUGCCCAAUUAAUUGAUAGAAAUUGUAAUUGCUUUAAGAUUGCUGAUUUAUUUUAAUUUCGACAAGAUUUUUGACCAUAUUCUAGAUCGAACUGGGCAAAGUGAUAAACAUGAAAGUUCUAUCUUUUUCUCUUAUCUUUCCAAUUGUCAAAGAAUCAUAUCAUUUGGAGCACUAUAGAGAGACUUAUGAUCAAAAUACUGAAACAUGUACAGUGCAAGUCUACACCUUGAAAUUGCUCUCCUUCUUUCAUUAAAAUUCUUCUUUCAUCAAACACCUACAAAAGCACAAAUAAACUAGUAACAACCUAUCUUAACCACAUUAACACCAAAUUAAGCAUAAAAUUAAUUAAGAUUAGAUUGACUCACCUAAAUUAAAUAAUUUGAAAUAAUUAAAUAAAAUCUACUAAUUUAUAUGCAUUACUACAAGAACUAAGCUAAAUUACUAUCAAAAUUAAGCCCAAAUAACUUUAUAUCAUAGAGUUAUCAAUGACUAUUAAUAGAUUCAUGAGACACAGAUGCCAAGGAUUUUUGGCAAUAAUCUUGGAUACCCAAGUGGAUGUGGGUAAUGCGGUAAAUGUGCCAGUUGUAGGAGAUUAAGUUGAUGUGUUCCUAGAGGAGUUUCCUGUAUUAGAUCUAGAAAGAGAGAUAGAAUUUUGUGUAGAGUGUAAGACAUCAAUCCCAUAUCUAUACCACUUUAACGAAUGGCACCAGUAGAGCUUAAAGAGCUCAAGGAACAGUUAGAGGAUUUGCUAGACAAAGGUUUCAUAUGCCUUAGUGUCUCACCAUGGGGUGCACUGGUAUUAUUUUUGAAGAAGAAAGAUGGAUUAAUGAGACUUUGUAUCAACUACAAGCAGUUGAACAAAAUGACCAUCAAGAACAAGUACCUUUUCCCAUGUAUUGAUGACUUGUUCGAUUAGUUGCAAAAGGCUAAGUGCUUUUCUAAGAUUGAUAUGCAAUUGAGAUACCAACAAUUGACGAUUAGAGAUGGAGACAUACCCAAGAUUAUUUUUCAAACGAGGUAUGUUCGUUACGAGUUUUUGGUUAUGUCAUUCAGUUUAACUAAUGCCCCUGCAACUUUUGUGGAUAUAAUGAACAUGGUGUUUAGACCAUACUUGGAUAAGUUUGUGUUCGUGUUCAUUGAUGAUAUCUUAGUGUACUUGAGGAGUUGAGAGGAACUCGAGCAGCACUUGAGAAUUGUGCUAUAAACCUUAAAAGAGCAUCAAUUGUAUGCGAAGUUCUCCAAGUGUUAAUUUUGGUUAAAUAAAGUUAGUUGCUUGGGUCAAAUAGUAUCUAAGGAUGAUGAGAUGGUAGACUUAAAGAAGAUUGAGGUUGUGAGACCUUGAUCUUUAUAGACUUGUAGCUAGAAGUAGACGUGAUAUCAUGGACUAGGGGUUAUUUCGUCAUUUCUUUAAUGAGCCCCUAGAAGUAUGCUUUUAAACAUUAUUAAGGCCUAAGUAGGCCUAAGGCAUAAAUGAAUGAUUGAAAUAAGGAUAAAAUGACAAAGGAAAUAGAAAUAAUAAUGAUUUCCAAGGUAGAGGUAAAAUGGUAAUUUUUCAUUUCAAGUCAAAAUUUUUAAGUUUUCGUGAACUCAAGUAUUUCUAGACUAUUAUGGACUUUGUCUCAGUGUCAAAAGAGUAAAAAGAUUACACAAAGGAUAGAGAACCUAGUGCUACCUACUCUUUUAUUUCUCCAUGUUUUGUAUCUCAUUUGGGUACAGAUUGUGUUAUAAGAGAAGAAUAAUUAGUGGUGUCUACCCCUUUAAAGGAGGUAUUUAUGGCAGAAUGGGAAUAUAAGUCUUGUGUAGUUUAGGUCAAGGACAAAGAAACCUUGGUAAAUCUAGUUGUAUUAGACACCUUAGAUUUUGACGUGAUCUUGGGAAUGGAUUGGUUAUCACCCUGCCAUGCCAGCGUGGACUGUUAUCAUAAAUUGGUUAUAUUUGAUUUUCCCUAUGAACCAUCAUUUAGCAUUCAGGGGGAUAGGAGCAAUGCUCCAACCAAUUUUAUAUCUAUCAUGUCUACUAAAAGGCUAUUAAGACAGGGUUGUGAAGGUUACUUGGCUGUUGUGAAGGAUACCCAAGCGAAGGUCGGAGACAUAAACCAAGUGUCGGUAAUGAAUGAAUUCAUGGAUGUAUUUCCUAAGGAACUAUCAGGUUUGCCUCUCGAGCGAAAGAUUGAAUUUUUUCAUAGAUUUAAUUCCUGACAUUAGACUUAUAUCCAUACCCCCAUAUAGAAUGGCACUUGCGAAGCUUAAAGAGUUGAAGGAUCAGUUAGAAGAUUUGUUGGAUAAAGGCUUCAUCCAUCCUAGCGUCUCACCAUGGGGAACACUGGUGCUAUUUGUAAAGAAGAAAGAUGGGUCGCUUAGAUUGUGCAUUGACUACCGACAGCUUAAUAAAGUGACGGUGAAAAAUAAGUACCACCUUCCAAGAAUAGAUGAUUUAUUUGAUCAACUACAAGGAGCAUAAUGUUUCUCUAAGAUAGAUCUAUGAUCUGGGUACCAUCAGUUGAGGAUCCGAAAUGAAGAUAUACCAAAAAUCAUAUUUCAAACCAAAUAUGGGCACCAUGAGUUCUUGGUGAUGUCAUUUGGGCUUACGAAUGCCCUUGCGACCUUUAUGGAUUUGAUGAACUGAGUGUUCAAGCCCUAUUUAGACAAGUUCAUGGUGGUGUUUAUUGAUGACAUCUUGAUCUACUUCAAGAGUCGAGAGGAGCACGAGUAACAUCUUAUGAUAGUGCUCCAAACUUUGAGAGAACAUUGAUUGUAUGCCAAGUUCUCCAAGUGUGAGUUUUGGCUUGAAAUCGUUACAUUCUUGGGACAUGUGGUAUCCAAGGAUGGGGUACAAGUUAAUCCAAAGAAAGUUGAGGCAGUGGAAAAGUGGCCAAGGCCAACAUCAGUUACGGAGAUUAGAAGCUUUUUGGGUUUAGUUGGCUAUUACCGUCGUUUUGUGAAGGACUUCUCCAAAAUAGUCACCCCUCUGACUAAGUUGACACGUAAAGAUACAAAAUUUGAGUGGUUAGAUGCUUGUGAGGAUAACUUUGAGAAGCUUAAGGCAUGUCUCACUACUGCUCCAAUAUUAAGCCUAUCGCAAGGCACAUGGGGUUAUACGGUAUUUUAUGAUGCAUCGCGGGUUUGUUUAGGGUGUGUAUUAAUGCAGCAUGGGAAGGUGACUGCGUAUGCAUCAAGGCAACUUCAAAGGUAUGAGCAGAAUUAUUCCACACAUGAUUUGGAGAUGGUAGCAACCGUGUUUGCCUUAAAGAUUUGGAGACAUUACUUGUAUGGUGAGACUUACGAGAUAUAUACAGACCACAAAAGCCUUAAAGUAUAUAUUUCAACAGCGAAAUCUUAACUUGUGACAACAUAGGUGGAUGGAGUUGCUAAAGGACUAUGAUUGUACUAUUAUUUACCAUCCCGAUAAGGCAAAUGUAGUGGCGAAUGCCUUGAGUCAAAAAUCGAUGGGGAGCUUGGCAUAUAUCUCUACAGAUAGAAGAUCCCUGGUUAGAGAGAUGCAUAGCUUGGGAGACAUAGGUGUGUAUUUGGAAGUUUCGGAGGCAAAUGCAUUGUUAGAACAUUUUAGAGUGAGGCCUAUCUUAAUGGAUCAGAUUAAAGAAGUACAAAGUAAAGAUGAGUUCGUAGCUAAGGCCUUAGAGGACCCUCAAGGAAGGAAAGGAAAGAUGUUUACUAAAGGCACAGAUGGAGUAUUGAGUUGUGGAACCAGACUUUAUGUGCCGGAUAGUGAUGGAUUGAAGAGAGAAAUAUUGGAAGAGGCGCACAUGGUAGCCUAUGUGGUACAUCCAAGGGCUGCAAAGAUGUAUCAAGAUUUGAAAGAGGUAUAUUGGUGGGAAGGACUUAAGAAAGAUGUAGCUGAGUUUGUCUUCAAGUGCUUGGUUUGUCAAUAGGUUAAGGCCGAGCAUCAAAGGCCUACAAGGCAAAUACAACCUUUACUAGUGCCCGAAUGGAGUAUGAACAUGUUGCAAUGGACUUUGUAAAGGGCUUGCCUUGAACUAGUGGGGGUUACAACUCGAUUUGGAUCAUAGUAGACCAACUAACGAAGUCAGCCCAUUUUUUUCCAGUUAAGACUACUUACGGGGAUGCCUAGUAUGUUCGAGUUUAUGUGGAUGAGAUAGUACGACUGCAUGGUAUCCCCAUUUCUAUAGUAUCUGACAAAGAGACAUAGUUCACUAAAAGGUUCUGGGGAAAAUUGCAAGAAGCUCUAGGCACUAAGUUGGAUUUUAGUACGGCUUUCCACCCUCAGACUAAUGGACAGUCUGAACGAAUGAAAUAGACGUUAGAAGAUAUGUUGAGGCAUGUGUAAUAGACCUUGGGGUUAGGUGGGAUCGAUAUUUACCCUUAGUGGAGUUUGCCUAUACCAAUAGCUUCCAAACUAGCAUCCAAAUGGCACCGUUUGAAGCAUUAUAUGGACUGAGAUGUAAAUCACCCAUUGGAUGGCUAGAGGUGGGAGAAAGGAAACUCCUGGGGCCUGAGUUGGUGUAGGACGCCACCUAGAAAAUACUCAUGAUUCGACAGAGGAUGUUAUCAGCACAAAGUAGACAAAAAUCAUAUGCUGAUAACAGACGGAGAGACUUGGAGUUUUAAGUGGGAGAUCGCGUGUUUUUGAAAGUCUCACCAAUAAAAAAGGUAAUGAGGUUUGGCAAGAAGGGAAAAUUAAGUCCUCGGUAUAUAGGACCUUUUGAGAUCUUAGAAAGGGUUGGAGCAGUGGCAUAUCGUCCGGCACUGCCACCGGACCUUUCGAAUAUCCAUCUUGUAUUCCAUGUGUCAAUACUUAGGAAGUAUAACCCAGAUCCAUCUCAUGUAAUACGGUAUGAAACCAUCCAGUUGUAAGAUGAUUUAACCUAUGAGGAGCAACCAGUGGCUAUCCUUGAUAAGCAAGUCAAAAAGCUUCGUUCAAAGGAAAUAGCAUAAGUGAAAGUGUUAUGGCAAAACCACACUAGUGAGGAGGUAACUUGGGAAGCUGAGGAGGAGAUGCGAACAAAGUAUCCGCACCUCUUUAAUACAUAAAGGUAUGUUACCUUAUAGUUCGAUUUAAAUUCGAGGACCAACUUUCUUUUAGUGGGGGAGAAUGUAAGACCUUGAUCUUUAUAGACUCGUAGCUAGAAGUAAACGUGAUAUCACGAACUAGAGGUAAUUUCGUCAUUUCCUUAGUGAGCCCCUAGAAGUAUGUUUUCAAACAUUAUUAAGGCCUAAAUAGGCUUAAGGUAUAAAUGAAUGAUGAAAAUAAAAAUAAAAUGAUGAAAGAAAUAGAAAUAAUGAUGAUUUCCAAGGUAGGGGUAAAAUGGUCAUUUUUCAUGUUGAGUCUAAAUUUUUAAGUUUUCGUGAGCCUGAGUAUUUCUAGAUUAUUAUGAACUUUGUCUCAGUGUCAAAUGAGUAAAAAGAUUGCAAAAAGGAUUUAAGGAAGACAAAGCCUACUUGUUAAGGGCAUUUUUGUAAUUUAAGUGGAGUUUGGAUAAACUUUAGCUAUAAAUAUCAUUUUCCAGCAGCUUCUUCUUCUUCUUCCUCCCAUCUCACGUUUCUUUCAUCCUCCAUGGAAGCUUGUUUUGAAACCUUCAUAACUUCUCUCAAGUUAACUUCAAUUUUCAUGCUUUUGUGCACUUUUUCAUAGAACCUUUUGUGCUCUUUCACUCUCUCACUUUAAAACCCUUAAAAAGUCUUACUUCCAUACUUUCUCUCACUAGCUAGCUAUUUUAGAGAGAGAAAGAGAGAGCUUCAAUAAUAGCUUGAAAAAUUUUUGGAAAGGAAUUUAAUUACAAAGCUACUAAGGUGAGUAGUGAAUUAGAGUUGAUUUUUAAGUUGUUGAAAAUGGCUAGUGGAUAGAUUUGUGAAUGUUUUGUAGUUGAGGAUUAUUUAUUCAUCUUUAGUGUGAGUAGAAUAGUGAAAGUAAAUAGCUGCUUAAUGGCAAUUGGAAGCUAGUUAGGAAUAACUAGUAAAACAUGCUUUAAGAGAUAGCUUUUAGAAUUAUGGUUAUGUGAAUUGAGUUGAUUUGUGAUGCUAUUGUGUGUGAUAGGUUCCAACGAGACCCCACAUCUCCAUUCGGAGCAUUAGUGGAAGUUAGAGUCGUUCUAAGAUUUAACAAAUACCGGUGAGUGAACUUGCAUUUCAAAAUGUUUUGGGAAGUGCCUACAUGUUUAAAUAAAUCAUUUGAAAGUUUCAUUUGUUUUUGCUUUAAAAAAAAAUAUACUUGGGGAACAAGCCCUUGAUGAAAUGUUUUUAUCUUGUGAAAUGUGCAAUAUGAAUAGUUCAUGCGUUAUCACAUUAUAUUGAUAUGUAUAUUAUGCUUUGGAUGCUUUUUUUGUGUGAUAAUGAUGACCCAGCUAUGUGCGGUAUGGGAGUGCACAUGAGCUGAUGAUGACCCAGCUAUAUGCGAGUAGGGAGUGCACAUGAGCUGAGUGUGGAGGGAUGGUAUGGAUGAUGAUGUAUGUAUAUACAUAUAUAUGUCUAUAUAUUACAGAAAGUUUAUGAAAAUAAUUGUGAUUGUGUUGUAUGUUGGCAUUGUUAAUUGCUCCCAAAUUGCUUUUCAUUUCAGCAAGAAAAUAGCUUUUUGAUGUAACAAUACCCCUUUUAACUAAAUUGCUCUAUUUCUUGCUGCAGUAAGAAACUCUCGGGUUGGGGGGGGGGGGCGUUACACUGGCCUGGUUCUCGCUGCAGCAAGAAAUUUCCUGAAGCUUCUCGUUGUAGGGAGAAUGAAUCUCGUUUUGACAAGGAUUUUAACCAUCUUACGAUCAUAAUUGGGCAAAGUGAUAAACAUCAAAGUUGUAGUCCAGCCUCUUAGCUUUCUAAUGACCUAAAAAUCAUGUCAAAUGGACUUUUGUAGUGGGAGAUAUGCUUGAAAAACUGAAGCAUAUGCAAAUUGAGAAUGCCUUUUCAUUGCAGCGAGAGAACCCUCUAUUGCUUGUAUUGCUUGGUCAUUGCUGAAAUUUUCAUUCUAUUCAACUUCAAGGUUUAUCAUGGAUCUUAUAACAUUAAGGGAUUAAACAUUCAAAGUUUGAAAUGAGGGGUUUUAACUAAAAAUUAAACUAAAUUGUAUGGUUUUAUCGUAAGUGCAUCAAACAAAGAACUAAAUGCAAUAACCUAAACAUGAAAACAUUUCACUAGAGUUCAAUUGCAACAUUUCAUUAAUUACCUUUAAUAUUCUCAAAAGUUCCUCCAUAUUUAUAACUUUAAUCCACAUACAAAUAUUAUUCAAGUUAAUGUCUCAAUUCAAAUGCAAGCUUAUCAUUAAGUGAAUUUCCGUGUGUGUGUGCAAUCUACCACCUAGACAUUGUACAACCUGGAUUUCCAUAGCGAAAUAGGCAUGGGGUGCAUGCCAAAGUACAGUUGUUUUAUUUUGUGAAUAUUUAUAUGAAAUGUAAAAGAAACCACACUUUACGUUGAGAAGUUCCACAAUGUGCUGGCUUUGCUGAAUUAUUCCAUAUUUUGAUUAUAGAUGAACUUAUGUUAGUGAAUGCGAUGGAUGAGUAGCCCAUGCAUUUAUGGAUUUAAGCGUGCUUGGGCCUAGCAGGCCCUAUCCAUGUAGGUCCAUGCGUCAGUCACAAUCCCUCGCAAAAUGGGAUGUGAUAGUUAUAAAUCACCUAAGAGCAUCAAAACAUGAAUUAUACAAGUUAAAAAUCACUUUAGAAUAUUAGAAUAUGAAUUAUACAAGUUAAAAACUUAGUAUCAAGUGGUGUUUGACAGUUUGCUAGGAAUGUGAUUGCUGAUAAGAUAUUUUUGUAGCGUUUGGUAUAACAUGGGAAAUUGAUGAUUACAGAGAAUGUUAAUUUUGUAGCGUUUGGUAUAACAUGGGAAAUUGAUGAUUAUAGGGAAUGUGAUCGCAUUGUAGUGUUUGGUUUGGAAACACUUUAUUCGGAAUGCAGUGUAAAUUUACAAAAUUAUCCUUAUGUAUGAAAACAUAAAGUUGAAUAAACUUAUAUUCUUUUUUAAUAUAAAUUUUAACUUUUUCAACUUGAUUCCUUAAAAUAAUAAAUAAUAGCAUGACAAAAAUAACAUAAUAUUUGAAUACUAAUUAUUUAAAUAUUAUAAUAUGUGAAAUUAUUAAAUAUUUAUUUUUAUUAGAUUAGUUAAGUUUUAAAGAACUAAAUUAGUUGAUUUGAAUUAUUUUACAAAAAUAUUAGUUAAUUAGUUAAUUUAAUUAGUUUAAAACAGUUAAUCGAUUAAUAUUGGAACUGUAGCAUGGUGACCUUUUUUUCAAGUUAUAUUUGGAUAUCUAAGUUGCCACACAAUCCAACACAUUAUUUCUUUUUCUUUAAUUUUUUUGCUUAUUUCUUCCUGCAACCAUCGUUGUUCUUGAUGGGCUGAGGGUUCUUUUUCUUUUCUUUUCUUUCUCUUUUUCUCUCUUUCCUCAUUCCCAUCACCAAAUUCAAAUGACGCCCCUUUUUGCUUCCCAGAGAGUUUAGCUUGAGGGGCAUUUUGCAAUUUUGGUCUACUUUACUUUCCCUCAGUCAUGGGAAAGUAACAUUCCCUCCAAUCUAGUAGGGAAUCAACUGUCAUGACCUGAUUUUUGAGACAUGACCGAUGCAUGGAUUCAAUAGACAUAGUCCACUAAGCCCAAGCAAGCCUAUUUAUAUAUUCUUGCUAAUCAUCCCGUCACUAUUCCUACAUUUACAUCUCAUAAUCUCGACCCUUAGGUACUUAAAUAGUAAGUUAUAACAAUCAAAAACUGCAUUUAUAUUAGCCCAAAAUAACAUUAAUCAUUACCACUCAUGGUGGCUUUACCAAUUAAAAUAUACAUAUAUGGUUUAAGGCAUACAUCUUAGUACUUUACAUCACAUGUACAUAUUAACAAACAAAAUGACUCUAGGCUUUCAGCGGAGUGACCAAGGUGAACGUGCGGCUACAGAAUGCCAAGGUACCUACCAAGGAUAAGAAAUUACAAAGACACCUUGACCUAGUUACUGGCUGCCUCCUGAUCUAAAAACAUGAAGUUGAAAACGAUGAGUAUAAACCUAGUGAGUGAACAUAAGAAGGGAACAAGCGAACGAUGAGGAAAGUUUAAAGAAAUCAUGAUGCAUUUAUUUUCAAAACAAUGCAACUUAGUUUAGUUCUUAUUAAAACCCCUCAUUAAACCCUUAAUGAGUUAAUCACUUGACUAAAAAGGGUCCAUGCACAACAAAGGAUUCAAAGAGUGAAAACUUUAACAGUAUUCAAGUAAGUCAAGUCAAAAAUGACGGGUCCUUGCUGCAGUGGAAAGGCAUUCUUGUUGCUGUGUAGCUGCAGUGAGAAUGAAUUUUCAUUGUCGUGAAAUUUGGCUCAAAUUGUCAACUAGCCGAGGGUUUCUCACCAAACCCCCUUAUUUCAAACUUAAUUAAAUAAUUCCUUGAUGUUGGAAGUCCAUGCUCAACCAUGAUGUUAAAGAAAUGGAAAAUGUGGCAAAAACCAACAAGGUAGCAUGCUGGAUAGAAAGUUUCUCGUUGCAGCGAGAUUCAAAAGAUAAAACAUAAAGUUUCUCGAUGCAGCGAGAAUCCAUUCUCACUACAUCGAAAUUCAAGCGGCAAAAUAGAAAGUUUUUCCCUGCAACGAGAACUCAUUCUCGCUGUAGCGAGUUGCAGGCAGCUAAAACAGAAAGUUUCUCGCUACAACGAGAAGCAAGGCACCUAAAUAAUGAGAGUGCUCAUUUGUACUAAACAUCCAUUUAAUGCUGCAAUAAAAUCAAUUUGCAAGUAAAUGGGAAAUUUUCAAGAUUCAUCAUGUCAUACAAUCACAUAUUACAAUCAUGGUCUUUCUAUUGCCUAUACAUAUACCUAAACAUAUAUCAAUUUGUAUACCAUCCCAUCUCACCCAGCUCAUGUGCAUCCCCCCAUAUCGUGCACAUAUCUGGAGUCAUCGUGUGCAUUCCCCCACAUCAUGCACAGUUAAUGCCAUCAUGUACAUCCCCCCACAUGUGCACACAGGCAAUAUCACCAUCCAUCUCCCUCACCACCGUCAUCACCGACAAGUGCAUCCCCCCACUUUGUGCACACGCACGGUUAUGAUUAUCACACAAUGUCAACUAUCAAUUGACAACAUAUAUAUGUAUAUAUAUAUAUAUAUAUAUAUAUAUAUAUAUACUAACUAUAUAGUAGUAGUACUAUAGUAACUACCUAACUAANCAUAUAUAUAUAUAUAUAUAUAUAUAUAUAUAUAUAUAUAUAUACUAACAUAAUGUAGUAGUACAUGAAUCCAUAACAAUCCCAUAUCACAACAAGAGACAAUUUAUCAAGGGCUUGUUCCCAUGCAUAAUUUGAUGAAAAGCCAAGUAAAAUCAUUUAAAUGCUUCAUCCUAACACAUAUGUAUUUCCCAAAAACACUUUGAUGCAAGUUCACUCACUUGUAUUUGUUGAACCUUUAGUCGACUCUAACUCCCCUAAUGGUCUAAUUGGGGUUGAGGGGCCUCGUUAGAACCUAUCACACACCAAAAACAUCAUAGCCAAUCCAAUUUACAUUAAUAUAGCACCAAAAGCUAUUUCCCAAAUUAAGCUUCAAUAGCCCUUCCUAUUUACCUUCUAAUUACCAUUUGAUUGGCUAUUUAGUUUCUCUUCUCUAGUAACACUAGAAAUAGAUAAACAACUUUAACAAUAACAUAACUCAUUACUUCAAUUACUAACCAUUAUCAACAACUUAAAACCACUCCUAAUUCAUCACUCACCAUGGUGGAUUAUAAUGAAAUGCCUUCUCAAAAUUCUUCCAAGCUAUUGUAGAAGUUCCUUUUUUCUCUCUCUAAAACACCUAGCUAGUGAGAAAAAGUAUGGAAGUAAGACCUUUCAAGAGUUUUAAAGUGAGAGAGUGAAAGAGCACAAAGGUUUUAUGCAAAAGUGCAUAAAAGCUUGAAAAUUGGAGCUAUUUUGAAGGAGGUUAUGGAGGUUUCAUAACAAGCUUCCAUGGAGGAUGAAAGCAACGUGAGAUGAAAGGAAGAAGAAGAAGAAGAAAAAACUGUUGGAAAUAGGAUAAGAAGCUACUGGAAGAUGAUAUUUACAGCUCAAGCUUAUCCAACUCCACUUAAAUUAUGAAAAUACCCUUAACAAGUUAGCUUAUUCUUCCUCAAUCCUUUGUGCAAUCUUUUCACUCUUUUGACAUUGAGACCAAAUCCACAAUGGUCUAAAAAUACUUGAGUUUACAAAAACUUAAAACUUUAACUCGAGAUGAAAAAUGACCAUUUUGCCCUUACCUUGGAAAUCAUCAUUAUUUUUAUUUCCUUCAUCAUUUUACUCAUAUUUUCAUCAUUCAUCUAUGCCUUAGGCCUACUUAGACCUCAAUAUCAUUUGAAAGUCUACUUCUAGGGGCUUAUUAGGAAAAUGAUGAAAUUACCCUUGCCCUGUGUUAUCGCGUCUACACCUAGCUACGAGUCUAUAAAGAUUAAGGUCUCACAUCAACUUCCUUCCCACAGUUGCAAUCUGAUACCCAUGUAAAGUUAUGUCAAGCCUGACUCUAUAAAAUACUUGCCAUGUCAUUCAUGUGAUUGACAAUAUGCUUGCAUACUAGAAAACUUCGAAAAAUCAUAAAAAGUCGGUAGUGUACCUAAUGGUGCAACUAAGUUGAAUUAAGCCUUGAACUAGAUCAAAGAGAGAUUUUAAGAUGAAAUUGAAAAUUUUAAAGUCCUAGAAUGACUUAAAAUGGUGAUUCGAAGUUCGAGGACCGAUUUAGAGUCAAAUUGGAAUUUUGAUGAUCAAGGGGCAAAAUGGUCAUUUUACCACCUGAGGUUAAGAUGUGAGUGUUGGAUGAAAUUUUUGUCUAAGAUUGAUCAUUUGGAGUAUAAUUUGAGUUUGAGAAGUGAAGAAUUUUAAUUUCGGUGUUUUUUCCAGCAUAAGAGCAAAAUAGUCAUUUUGCCACCCCAGGGGUAAAAUUGUAAUUUUACACCACCCAACACUUGUUCAGCAUAUGGAUUUUACCCAAUAUUAUUAUGGAUAAUUGAGGAAAUUUAAGUGGUGGAGAGAGAUUGCUUAAUGGGUAAGUAUUACACAUGGACCAAUGGAAUGGUGACAUGUGUCGAGUUUAUAUCCAUUUAUUAUUUAGCUUUAAAUUAACAUAAAUUCAGCCUAUGUCUCAAUCAUAUGGUCAACCUAAACAAAAACCAAAGAAGAACAAAGGAAGAAAAGAAAGUACAAGAACCCUAGGUGGAAAAAUUCAAAGAAAAAGUGUGAAAAAUCAAGGAAAACAAGUUAAAAAUGUAGGAUUUCUCAAUUUAAACUUGAAAUCUAUUUUCCUUAAGCAUUUCUCCUUAUUUUCCAUGGUUAAAGUUCAUGUUUUCAUGGUGAAUUCAUGGCUAACCGAAUGGGUAUGGAGAGAGAAUGAUGUUGGAAUGAUUUGAUUUCAAGUUAUGUUAGUGUUUUUAGUUAGUUUACCAUGUCUAGAAGCAAAACAAUAAGAAAAGAAUUCAUUUUCCCCAUCACCCAUCAAUGGCCGAACCUACCUUGCAUUGAGUGAGGAUGAAUUUGAUUUUUAUUUUAGGAGAAUGGUUAGAAAAUGAUCAAUUAUGGUGUGAAAAAGUAGUAGAAAAAAUCACGGUGUUAAUGCAUCAUUAUUGACUGAAAAUUCUAAGAAGAAAAGUGAAGAUGGUUUUGCCAAAUUUUAGGUUAUUUGACUUAUGUUUGGUGAAUUAAGGUAUUAGAAAAGAAAUGGAGUAAUUUGGAGCUAAAUUGGACGCGUUAGCCAAUUAAUCGGGUGAUAAGAUGAAUCAGGCCAAUAUCGGGUUUAGAUGGUUACCCGUGCAUUUUGCAUUCCAUAUCAUGCAUUAGUAGUAUAAAUUUGUUUAAUUUCGAUUUAGUACCAAUGUAGUAAGUUUCUCGAUUUUGCAUCAUGUCUAGGUGGUGAAUCCUUCGCUAAGGGCAAAGAAAUUGUACUCGAGGAUCGGUAGUCAGAGUACUCUAGAAAUUUGACUCCCAAAAUAGUGUAUAACCUUAUCAUCAUUUUAAUUAUCUAAAGUGGUCUUUUUAUCCAAUUUUGUGAAUUUUAUGGAAAUGAGUUUAAAUAGUUAAUUUUUAGGUUUUAUAAACAAAAUGUGUUUAAAUGAAAAGAUUUUAUAAAUUAUCUUGAAAUUGAAUGAUGGCUUUGAAAAUAGAGUAACUGGAGACCACUUGAUGUGUUGUAAUUUAUGGUUCUAAUUGAUGGCUUAUGAUAAUAUGGUGGCAUGACUGGUUGGAAUUGUGGUUUGUGAACUGUAUGAAUUAUUGUGUUUUGCAUUUACAAACUGGGUAGUGUAAUAUUAGUCAUGCCAUGCUGUCAAAAUUUUAUUGUAUGGUGGGUUUAGCUUGUUGCAGUGGGCAGGUUCUGUGGACUAGUCUAUUAGAGGGGGAUGGAAUCCGGUUAUAUAUGUGCCUCAGUCAGAGAGGCGUGUAGGGUAUCUCCUGAGGUAUGGUUAGAGUUCACGUCAUGUCGAACCACCUCGUGAUGAUGAACUCCGCUAACGCUAAGGAACGACUGUGUUUUUCAAACUAAAAAAUAUGUUUAUGUGUAUACGAAAUUUUUAACAGCCUUGGCGGACUCGAUUAAAUGCCUCGGUCAAGGUAUUCCCGAGAAUGAUUUUGGCAGGAGCCAAGCUUUUUAGAUACUCAUAAGCCAUGUUGACUGUUUAAAUGAAAUGAAUGUUUAUGUUAUGAAAUACAUAUUUAGAUGGAAUAUUUUAAUCGUCUCUUUUUACUCGACUUUAUAUAUUUUGAAUGAUGUUUGUUUACUUAUUGAGAUUUUAUAAUCUCACCACCCUCCUUUCCACCAAUUUCAAGCUCAGUAUAAGCUGUAGAUAGCUGAUAUCGUCAAAGGCUACAGUUGGCUUUACUUCUUCAAAAACUGUAGGUUUGCAGCCUUCGUUUUAUUUUUGUCAUUUGGGGGUCCACAUGUCACUGUAAAUUAAAUUACAUACUCUAGUUAUUUGUACUACUGUAUGUAGGAAUUUAUUUUGCUUUUACGCUGUAAAAAUUAUUUACGCAGUGUUCUAAAAAUAUUGUUUAUAAGAAAAUAAAAUAUUUUGUUUAAUAUUUUUAUUUUAUUCUAGCAGUCAUAAUUUCACUUUAAAUGAAUGUUUAAACAUCUAAAUUUAUUUUUGAUUUUGAAAUAUGUGUUCUGCACUUAUAUACUACAUUAUUAGCUAGUAUCAAAAUUUUGAAGAAAAAUGACCAAAAUACCCGAGUGAGAUGAAAGUUAUUUUUUAUUGUUUUAGGUUGAAAAUAGUUUAAAAUCUUUUAGAAUGUGAUAUUUGGCAAUGAUUACUCACAGAAAAAAAUGAGAAACUGAUAUUAAAGCCUUGCGGGUUUCCAGUUGGCAUUCCGGGUAAUGAGUGUGAUCGAGACACUGCAGCAGUUGUCACGGGCUCGAGGGGAGUACUGGGUCGUGACAAUUCGAUUGGUAUCAGAGCUUUUGAUUUUAAAGAUUAGAGUUUUUAGUUUUAAAGUUGUUUUAGAAUUUACAAUGUCAAUGUGGCCCCUAGUUAAGUUAAGUUAGGUUAGGUUGAAUAGAAUACAUACAUCGGCAUAUAGAGCUUGAGGUUGCCUAAACUUGCUGUUUUCCUCUUAUAGAUUAUCAUGCCUCCUCGACGCGAGCACCCACCUCUCACUAGAUUGGCUGGGAGGGGAAGAGGUCGUUCCCAACGUUGUCAGCUAAAUGCAGUAGAGGGGGAAUCAGCUGCAUCCACCAUUCGGGCAGCACCUACUACUGAGCAGGUCGAGACUCCUCCACAUCCUCCAUAUCCUCAACAUUCUCCACAUUCUUCACAUCCUCCGCCACCUACUGGUACUCUUGCCAUGUCUCUUGAGGCAGUCCAAGCAUUGGCAGCCUUCUUUACGACUAUUGCUGGCCAAGCUCAAGCUGGUCAGGCUCCUCUUAUAGUACCACUAGUUGCUCCUUCAGUACCACCACCCCUACCUCUAGUUCCACCGCCAGUACAAGAUGUAUUUAUUGCUAAGAAGUGGAAGGAAGCUAGACAACUAGGUUGCGUUUCUUUUACGAGUGAUUUGGAUGCAACCGUAGCCAAAGAUUGGAUUAAUUAGGUUUCAGAGACACUGUCUGAUAUGAGGUUAGAUGAUGACAUGAAGCUAAUGGUGGCCACAAGAUUACUAGAGAAGAGAGCCUGUACAUGGUGGAAUUCAGUAAAAUCCUAUUCCACUACUCCUCUGAUCUGGGCAGACUUCCUAAGAGAAUUUGAUGGUUAGUAUUUUACUUAUUUCCAUCAGAAAGAAAAGAAAAGAGAAUUUUUGAGUUUGAAACAGGAAAAUUUAACGGUAGAGGAGUACGAGGCUCGUUUUAACGAGCUGAUGUUAUAUGUGCCGGAUCUGGUGAAAUCUAAGCAGGAUCAGGCCAAUUAUUUUGAGGAAGGGCUUCGUAAUGAGAUUAGAGAAUGUAUGACAGUGACUAGUAGGGAACCACAUAAGGAGGUGGUACAGAUGGCUUUAAGGGCUGAGAAGCUUGCAAAUGAAAAUAGGCGAAUGCGAGCUGAGUUUGCAAAAAGGAGAAAUCCGAGUGUAACUUUUAGUCAACCACCAAAAAGGGGCAAAGACUCAUCUGCUUCGGGGAGUACUACCUCAGUUUUAGUGACAUCUCCUUGACCUCUAUUUUCACAAACACAGUAGAGGCCUCCAAGAUUCAGCAGAUCUGCGAUGACUUAUUCUGGGAAGAGUUCUGGAGGUUCUGAUAGAUGCAAGAAGUGUGGGAAGAAUCAUGUUGGGCAGUGUAGGGGAUUAGUACGAUGUUAUCAUUGUGGUCAGUCGGGUCAUAUUAGGAGUGAUUACGCACAGCUAGGACGGGCUACUGUAAUAGCUCUAUCUUCACCAGUUCGUACUGAUAUGCAAAAGAGAGAUCCUUCUGGGUUACCAUCGAGACAGGGAGUAGCUAUACAGUCUAGUGUAGAGAGUAACACCCUGGCAUAUCCACCUUCGAGACCACAGACUCGUACUUCGACAAGAGUUUUCGCUGUGACGGAAGAUGAGGCACGAGUCUGACCUAGAGCCGUGAUAAGUACUAUGUCUUUGUUUGAUAAAGAUGUUUAUGUUCUGAUAGAUUUUGGCUCAGUUAGGUCAUAUGUGAGUAUGGCAUUUGCAUCAAUUGCUGAUAAAAACCUGUCACCAUUAGAGAAAGAAAUUGUAGUUCACACCCUUUUAGGAGAAAAGCUAGUUAGAAACAGUUGUUAUAGAGAUUGUGGGGUUAUGGUUAGUGAGGAAGAAUUUAGGGGUGACUUGAUUCCUUUAGAGAUCCAAGAUUUCGAUUUGAUAUUAGGUAUGGACUGGUUAAUUGAACAUCGAGCGAAUGUGGAUUAUAUCAGGAAAGAAGUUAUUCUUCAGAAUUCGGAGGGAGCAAGGAUUAUAUUUGCAGGGGAACGUCGAGUAUUACCGUCUUGUGUAAUCUCGGCCAUCAAAGCUUUGAAAUUAGUGCAGAAAAGGUAUCCGACAUAUUUAGCACAUGUGAUCGAUACUUCAAAAGGGGAACCUAAAUUAGAGGAUGUCCCAAUAGUUAGUGAGUUUCCUGAUGUAUUUCCUGACGAAUUACCGAGACUACCUCUUGAGCGAGAGCUUGAGUUCCCUAUUCAUUUACUUCUAGGUACCGCACCUAGUUCUAUCCCUCCAUAUCGAAUGGCACUAGCGAAAUUGAAGGAACUAAAAGUCCAACUGCAAGAUUUGGUGGAUAAGGAUUUUAUUCGCCCUAGCACUUUUCCUUAGGGAGCACCAGUCCUAUUUGUAAAGAAGAAGGAUGACACUCUUUGAUUAUGUAUUGAUUACCGUCAGCUGAACCGAGUGACCAUCAAGAAUAAAUACCCUCUACCACGGAUCGAUGAUCUUUUUGAUGAAUUACGAGGGGCUAUGGUAAUUUCUAAGAUUGAUUUUAGGUCUGGUUAUUAUUAGUUGAAGAUUAAGGAGCAGGAUGUACCCAAGACUGCUUUUAGGACGCGUUAUGGGCAUUAUGAGUUUCUGGUGAUGCCGUUUGGUUUGACUAAUGCCCCGACAGCUUUUAUGGAUCUUAUGAACAGGGUGUUCCAUCCAUACUUGGAUAAAUUCGUGAUAGUAUUCAUAGAUGACAUCCUGGUUUAUUCGAAGAAUGAUGAUGAACAUGCUGCCUUUGCGCAUUGUGUUGCAAACUUUGCGCGAGAGACAACUCUAUGCCAAGUUUUUUAAAUGUGAAAGGAAAUGGUUUUCUUGGGACAUGUGGUGUCCGGAGCUGGAAUUUAUGUUGAUCACAAGAAGAUUGAGGCAAUCUUACAAUGGGAGAAACUGAGAACGGUAACUGAGAUUCACAGUUUUCUUGGCUUAGUCGGUUAUUAUCAGAGAUUUGUUUAGGGAUUUUCACUGAUAGCGGCUCCUUUGACUCAUUGACUUGUAAAGGAGUUAAGUUUGAGUGGGAUGAUGUUUGUGAGAGUCGAUUUCAGGAGCUAAAGAACCGGUUAACCUCCGCUCUCGUUCUAACACUUCCGGUUGGUGGGAAAGAAUUUGUGGUAUACAGUGAUGCCUCUAAAUUGGGACUAGGGUGUGUGUUGAUGCAAGAUGAGAAAUGAUAGCUUAUGUUUCCCAACAGUUGAAGAAGCAUGAGAUGAAUUGCCCUACCCAUGAUUUGGAGUUAGCAGUAGUAGUUUUCGCAUUGAAGAUUUGGAGGCAUUAUUUGUAUGGUGAGCGUUGUCAGAUUUUUACUGAUCAUAAAAGUUUGAAAUAUUUGCUCACCCAAAAAGAACUUAAUUUGAGACAAAGACGGUGGCUAGAGUUGGUCAAGGAUUAUGACUUAGUGAUUGAUUAUCACUCUAGAAAGGUAAAUAUUGUAGCGGAUGCCUUAAGUCAUAAAUCUUCAUUGUCGUUAGCAACACUUCGGAGCUCUUAUUUUUCGAUGUUACUUGAGAUGAAGUCUCUAGGGGUCUAGUUGAAUAAUGGUGAGGAUGGAACCCUACUUGCUAGUUUCAUUGUGAGACCUUCAUUGUUGAAUCAAAUUAGAGAAUUGCAGAAAUUCGAUGAUUGGUUGAAACAGGAAGUUCAAAAGCUGCAAGAUGGAGAAACUAGAGAGUUUAGACUCAGUGAUGAUGGUACUUUAAUGCUUAGAGACUGAAUUUGUGUCCCUAAGGAUGAUUAGUUUAGACGAGCUAUUUUGGAGGAAGCUCAUUCUUUCGCCUACGCUUUACAUCCCGAAAGCACCAAGAUGUAUCGGACUAUCAAGGAAAGUUAUUGGUGGUCGGGUAUGAAACGAGACAUAGCAGAGUUUGUAGCAAAAUGUCUCACAUGCCAACAGAUCAAGGCAGAGCAUAAAAAACCAUCAGGCACUCUUCAGCUUUUACCUAUUCCAGAAUGGAAGUGGGAACACAUGACUAUGGAUUUUGUAUUGGGUUUGCCGCGAACACAGAGUGGGAAGGAUGCUAUUUAGGUGAUUGUGGAUAAAUUGACUAAGUCUGCCCAUUUCUUGGCUAUCCAUAGCACGUAUUCUAUUGAGAAAUUGGCGAAACUUUAUAUAGAUGAGGUUGUGAGAUUACAUGGAGUUCCAGUUUCUAUUGUUUCAGAUCGAGACCCCCGAUUUACUUCUCGAUUUUGGCCAAAAUUUCAGGAAGCUCUCGGAACGAAAUUGAGAUUUAGUACUACCUUUCAUCCGCAGAUUGAUGGUCAAUCUGAAAGGACUAUUCAGACCUUAGAGGAUAUGUUACGGGCUUGUGUCAUUGACUUUAUUGAGAGUUGGGAUAGACAGUUUCCAUUAGUGGAGUUCGCUUAUAAUAACAGUUUUCAGUCUAGUAUUGGGAUGGCACCAUACGAGGCUCUGUAUGGAAGGAAGUGCCGGACUCCAUUCUGUUGGGAUGAAGUGGGUGAGAGGAAAUUGUUUAAUGUGGAAUUAAUUGAUCUGACGAAUGACAAGAUCAAGGUUAUCCAAGAGAGAUUAAAGAUAGCUCAAGAUAGGCAAAAGAGUUAUUCUGAUAAACAAAGGAAAGAUUUGGAGUUUGAAGUCGACGAUAAAGUUUUUCUUAAGAUUUCUCCUUGGAAAGGUAAUAAUUUGAAAUUUCAAGUAUUAAAUCUUAUUUGAUUACACUAUUGUGAUAAUUUGUGGUAUUUAUUGGAUAAUGAAAGGUGUGAUUCGAUUCGCGAAGCGAGGAAAGCUCAAUCCGAGAUACAUUGGACCCUAUUCUAUCAUUGAAAGGAUUGGGCCAGUGGCUUACAAACUUGAAUUACCCCCGGAGUUAGAUCGGAUUCACAAUGUUUUCCACGUCUCGAUGCUGAAAAAGUAUGUUCUCGAUCCCUCUCACAUUCUAGAGACACCUUCCAUUGAGUUGCAUGAAGAUUUGAAGUUCGAAGUGCAACCUGUACGCAUUCUAGAUCGAAAGGAUCGAGUGUUGAAGAACAAGAGCAUUCCAAUGGUUAAAGUGCUGUGGAAGAAUGCUCAAAUAGAGGAGAUGACAUGGGAAGUCGAAGGUUAUAUGAGAAACCAAUAUCCACAUUUUUUCUUCGAAUUCGGUAAGUGAAAUUUUAAGGGCAAAAUUUUAUUUUAAGGGGGGUAGUGCUGUCAAGCCUGACUCUAUAUAAUACUUGCCAUGUCAUUCAUGUGAUUGACAAUAUGCUUGCAUACUAGGAAAGCCCCGAAAAAUCAUAAAAAGUUAGUAGUGUACCUAGUGGUGCAACUAAGUUGAAUUAAGCCUCGAACUAGAUCAAAAAGAGAUUUUAAGAUGAAAUUGAAAAUUUUAAAGUCCCAGAAUGACUUAAAAUGGUGAUUAGGAGUUCGAGGACCGAUUUGUAGUCAAAUUGAAAUUUUCAUGAUCUAGGGGCAAAAUGGUGAUUUUGCCACCUAAGGUUAAGAUGUGAGUGUUGGAUGAAAUUUUUGACUAAGAUUGAUCAUUUGGAGUAUAAUUUGAGUUUGAGAAAUGAAGAAUUUUAAUUUCGGUGUUUUUUCGAGCAUAAGGGCAAAAUAAUCAUUUUGCCACCCUAAGGGCAAAAUUAUAAUUUUACACCACCCAACACUUGUCCAGCACAUGGAUUUUACCCAAUAUUAUCAUGGAUAAUUGAGAAAAUUUAAGCGGUGGAGAGAGAUUGCUUAAUGGGUAAGUAUGACACAUGGACCAAUGGAAUGGUGACAUGUGUCAAGUUUAUAUCCAUUUAUUAUUUAGCUUUAAAUUAACAUAAAUUCAGCCUAUGUCUCAUUCAUAUGGCCGGCCAAAACAAAAACCAAAGAAGAACAAAGGAAGAAAAGAAAGAACAAGAACCCUAGGUGGAAAAAUUCAAAGAAAAAGUGUGAAAAAUCAAGAAAAACAAGUGAAAAAGGUAGGAUUUCUCAAUUUAAACUUGAAAUCUAUUUUCCUUAAGCAUUUCUCCUUAUUUUCCAUGGUUAAAUUUCAUGUUUUCAUGGUGAAUUCAUGGCUAACCGAAUGGGUAUGGAGAGAAAAUGAUGUUGGAAUGAUUUGAUUUCAAGUUAUGUUAGUGUUUUUGGUUAGUUUACCAUGUCUAGAAGCAAAACAACAAGAAAAGAAUUCAUUUUCCCCAUCACCCAUCAAUCGUCGAACCUACCUUGCAUUGAGUGAGGAUGAAUUUGAUUUUUAUUUUAGGAGAAUUGGUUAGAAAAUGAUGAAUUAUGGUGUGGAAAGUAGUAGGAAAAAUCACGGUGUUAAUGCACCAUUAUUGACCAAAAAUUCUAUGAAGAAAAGUGAAAAUGGUUUGGUCAAAUAGUAGGUUAUUUGACUUAUGUUUGGUGAAUUAAGGUAUUGGAAAAGAAAUGGAGCAAUUUGGAGCUAAAUUGGAUGCAUUGGCCAAUUAAUCGGGUGAUAAAACGAAUUAGGCCAAUACCAGGUUUAGAUUGUUACCCGUGCAUUUUGCAUUCCAUAUCAUGCAUUAGUAGUCUAAAUUUGUUUAAUUUCGAUUUAGUACCAAUGUAGUAAGUUUCUAGAUUUUGCAUCAUGUCCAGGUGGUGAAUCCUCCGCUAAGGGCAAAGAAAUUGUACCCGAGGAUCGGUAGUUAGAGUACUCUAGAAAUUCGACUCCCGAAAUAGUGAGUAACCUUAUCAUCAUUUUAAUUAUCUAAAGUGGUCUUUUUAUCCAAUUUUGUGAAUUUUAUGGAAAAUGAGUUUAAAUGGUUAAUUUUUAGGUUUUAUAAACAAAAUGUGUUUAAAUGAAAAGAUUUUAUAAAUUGUCUUGAAAUUGAAUUAUGGCUUUGAAAAUAGAGUAACUGGAGACCACUUGAUGUGUUGUAAUUUAUGGUUCUAAUUGAUGGCUUAUGAUAAUGUGUUGGCAUGAUUGGCUGGAAUUGUGGUUUGUGAACUGUAUGAAUUGUUCUGUUUUACAUUUACAGGCUGGGUAGUAUAAUAUUAGUCAUGUCAUGUUGUCAAAAUUUUAUUGUAUGGUGGGUUUAGCUUGCUGUAGUGGGCGGGUUCUGUGGACCAGCCUAUUAGAGGGGCACGGAAUCCGGUUAUAUAUGUACCUCGGUCAGAGAGCCUCGUAGGGUAUCUCCUGAGGUAUGGUUAGAGUUCAUGUCACGUCGAACCACCUCGUGCUAAUGUACUCCGCUAACGCCAAGGAACGACUGUGUUUUUCAAACUAAAAAAUAUGUUUAUGUGUGUAUAAAAUUUUUAACAGCCUUGACGGACUCGGUUAAAUACCUCGACCAAGGUAUUCCCAAGAAUGAUUUUAACAGGAGCCAACCUUUUAAGAUACUCAUAAGCCAUGUUGACUAUUUAAAUGAAAUGAAUGUUUAUGUUAUGAAAUACAUAUUUAGAUGGAAUAUUUUAAUCGUCUUCUUUUACUCGACUUUAGAUAUUUUGAAUGAUGUUUGUUUACUUGCUGGGAUUUUAUAAUCUCACCACCCUCAUUUCCACCCAUUUCAAGCUUAGUAUAAGCUAUAGAUAGCUGAUAUCGUCGAAGGCUACAGUUGGCUUUACUUCCUCAAAAACUGUAGGUUUGCAACCUUCGUUUAUUUUUGUUAUUUAAGGGUCCACAUGUCACUGUAAAUUAAAUUACAUACUUUAGUUAUUUGUACUACUGUAUGUAAGAAUUUAUUUUGCUUUUACGCUGUAAAAAUUAUUUACGCAGUGUUCUAAAAAUAUUAUUUAUAAGAAAAUAGAAUAUUUUGUUUAAUAUUUUUAUUUUAUUCUAGCAGUCAUAAUUUCACUUUAAAUGAAUGUUUAGACAUCUAAAUUUAUUUUUGAUUUUGAAAUAUGUGUUCUGCACUUAUAUACUACAUUAUUAGCUGGUAUCGAAAUUUUAAAGAAAAAUGAUCAAAAUACCCCUGUGAGACGAAAAUUAUUUUUUAUUGUUUUAAGUUGGGAAAUAGUUUAAAAUCUUUUAGAACGUGAUAUUUGGCAAUGAUUACUCACAGGGGAAAAUGAGAAAUUGAUAUUAAAGUCUUGCGGGGUUCUGGUUGGCAUUUCGGGUAAUGAGUGUCUAUCGGGACACCGCGACAGUUGUCACGGGCUCGAGGGGAGUACUGGGUCGUGACAAGUUACAGUCCCAGCAACUUGGCAUACCAAGCGAUGCGAAGUCCUUCCCACUAAUUAAAAUCCUUGUAAAGUGAUCCACUAUCCACGUACCAAACUCCUCUUAAAUGUUGGAAACAUGGAACAUGCAUGCUCACCUAAGGAUUUUUCUUAACUUAUUCUCUUACUUAAAAUGGAAUUCCAUAUUUUUCCCUUUUUUGAAAAUUUGUCCUCAAAUUUAAGUAGCAUACUAACCUUUGCUAAAUAAGUGUGCGUACCUAGUCUGCAUGUCACUCUCGAUUCCUAAGUCACCUCUUCGCUCGAGUGGUUUUUUCAUUGCACCUUUACCAAUGCUACAUCCUUGGAGAGUAAUUUCUUCACUUGCCUGUCUAAAAUGGCUAUCGGCACCUCCUUUAGAUCAAACCAUCUCUCAGCUAUAGGAGCUUAUGCUAAACCACAUGUGAUGGAUCCGAUUGGUACUUUUAUAAUACCAAAACAAGAAACAUGGGAUCAACACUAGCAAGAUCUGGCAGCAGUGCUAAUUGAUAAGCCACCGUGCUUAAAAUCAUUUAGGUUUUUAGCCUCUUCCAUAACAGUGACUUUUAGAUCUUCUACAAUAUUGGUGAAUCUCUCAAGCAUCUCAUUAAUUAAUUUACUCUCUUCCAUCCUAAAAUGCUCAUAGUCAUGAGUAAGCAAUCCAAUCUUGGAUUCCUUAACUAGGUUAGUGCCCUCAUAAGUGGUCUCUAAGGUGUCCUAUAUUUGUUGAGCACUUUAACACAUAGAAACUUUGUUGAACUCACUAACACUUAAGGCACAAAGGAGGGUGUUAUAUGCUUUACAAUUUGUUUGAAUUAAGUUCUUAUCUUUAUCACUCCACUUAUUCCUAGACUUAACCAUUAAUUUUCCUUUUACUUCCUUAUAUGGAACAUGAGGACCAUCUAAUAUAACAUUCCACAAUUUAGGUCCAUAAAUUGUAUAAACAUUUCUAUAUGUUUCUUCUAAUAAGGGUAGUUAGUACCUACAAAGAGAUGUGGCCUUUAGAUUGAUUGCCCUUCACCAAGCAUAGUUGUCUUAACCUCUAUUUUGAUGAUUUAAGCAUUUACUACGAAUCACUCAAACUGUUGCACCUACAAAAAUUGAGCCCUAGCUUUGAUACCAAUUUUUAGCAGUAUAAGCUUAAAGUAAUAUAUACCAAGAGAGGGGUAAAUUGGUAUUUAAAAAAAUCCUUUUAAACCAAGUGUAAAAAUCAAAUCUUUUUACAAUCAAAAUUCUUUUUUUGUCAAAACAAAGUAAUAGAUUUUCCUAAGGCUAAUGCAAGCAAUAAAUCACAAUGCGAAAAAUUAAAAUCAAGACAUAAAGAUUUAAUAAUGGUUCGACUUUCUUUAGUGCCUACAUCCAUUCCCUUGGAAACUAAGUAAUUUCAAAUACACUCUAUGAAAUGUGCUUUUUAUGUGAUCAAGCAUUAAACCUUUACAAUGUUUUUUCAUGGGACCAAGCAAAACCUUCAACAUACUUGUUCACGAUAACAAGUGGAACCCUUACAAUACAUUUUCACCAUCGCAUGUAGAACCUUUAACAACAUUUUUUAACGGGAGAAAGUGAAACACUUCAAUAAUUGUUUUUGUCACAACCCAAAACUCGGGCCAUGACCAACGCAUGGGCUCAAUGGGCAUAGCCCACUAAGCCCAAGCAAGCCUCUUUAUAUAAUCGAGUUCAUCAUUUCAUCAAUCAUACAUCACCAUUUCUAAACCACAAUUCUCAACUAUACGUAUUUCGGUAAUAUAACAUAGUAACCAAAUAUUUAUAUUUGUAAUAUCGUAAAGUAUUAUCAUUCAUUGCCAUCUCAUAAUGGCAUUAUCAAUCAGAAUAUACAUAUAUCGUUUGCAAAAUGAUCUUAGCGCUUCACAUCUAAUGUACAUAUGCACAUGCAAAAGACUCCUAAUGACUAGCAGAGUGACUUUGGAUGGGGGAUGCGGCUAUUGAAUGCCAUGAUACAUACCAAGGGUGAACACUAGUGGACCCCUCAAUAUAUGUCCCAACUACUUCCGGAUCUGAAAACAUGAAGUUAAAAAGAGUGAGUAUAAACCCAGUGAGUGAACAUAGGAAGGGAACAAGCAUACGAUACGGAGAGUUUUCGAAAACAUGAUGCACCCAUUUUAAAACAAUGCAAUUUGUAUAUCAUAAACUACUCGAUGCCAUGUUGAUAGUUAACUCGAUUUAAAACAUUUAGGAAGUUCAACUUUCAACAUUCAAUGCAAUCACAUAAUAUUUUCUUUAACAUUUUUAUGGUAUGUGUAAACAUGUAUAGAACCACCGGUCAUCAGCUCAUGUGCACUUCCACACCGCACAUAGCUGGAAUCAUCAUCCUCCGAUCAUCAGCUCAUAUGCACUCCCACACUGCACAGAGCUAGAAUCAUCACCCACCAGUUAUCAGCUCAUAUGCACUCCCACACCGCACAUAGCUAGAAUCACCCGUCAUCAUCGACAUGUGCCUUCCCACACCACACAUGCGUGGUUACAAUUAUCACUCAACAUUAUAUUUCAAUGCAUGGCACAUGUAACAAGAAUCUUUGCAUAACAAUACAUCACAUGCCACAAAUCAAUUGGCAAUUCAACAUAAUAUUUCAAAUACGUAAUUCAUCAGAUUAUGCAUAUCGCAUAAUAUAGGAACACAUGAGUUAAUCACAUUGCACAAUUUCACAACAUAAAGACAUUUCAUCAAGGGCUUGUUCCUAGGCACAUUUUUAAAGCAAAGACAAAUAAAGUUUUCAAAUGAUUCAUUCAAACACAUGUGCAAUUAUUUCAAAACAUUUUUUUUAAAUGCAAGUUCACUCACCUUGGUAAUGCCACCUUACAAAAUUGACACCAAUAAAACUUUACGCCAAGUUAAGUCUUGAAGUGCCAUUAAAACCUAUAUUUGCCAAUAAUCAAUAAUAGCCUCAAAUACAUCAUAAAUUUGAACUUAAUAAUUCUAAUAAGCAUAUGCUUGAUAAACUACAUUCUAGCCUAAUUUUUAACCUAGAAUUCUAGUCUAAUUCUCAAACCCAUCAUAUCAACUAUUCCAAUUUAAAAGUUCCUUACCUUGGUGAGUUUGGAGGCAUAAAGAUCAACAAAAACCUAAUAUUUCCAAGAAAAAGAAUUUGAAGAAAUUAGGAAAUAAAAUCUGAAAAUAUAACCCAUAAAUUCAUAAAUUUCAAGAGUUGAAAAUAUAUACCUUUUAGCCUUAAAAAUGGAGAUUUGAAGUGAAAAUUCAAGUGUUGGUGAUGGUGGAGUAGAAAUAGAAAAAUAAAGGAAAGAAAGAAAGAUUUUUCCUUCUCUCUCGUAGGGUUUAGUUGUGCUGGAAAAUGGAGUUGAAGCUAUAGGUUUGGUGCCCAAGAAGUUAGGAGAAGGAAGGAGUAAAAAAAAGAAAGGAAAGGAAAAGAAAAUUAAGAAAAUUUGAUUUUUCAUGGUGAAGUGAAAAUGUUGUUGGAAGCAUGAAGAAGAAGAAAAGCUACUGGAAGUGAGGAGAAAGUGUUGAAACUUUAGAUAUUUAUCUCUGAAGUUAGUCAAAGUUUCACAUAAUUUACAAUAAUGCCCUUUUUAGUUUUUUUGAUGCAAUGCUUUCACUUUAACAAGGAUUUUGACCACUUUCUGAUCAGAACUGGGCAAAGUAGUAAACAUAAAAAUUAUAGCCCUGCCUCUUAGCUUUCUAAUGGUUUAAAAAUCAUGUUAUUUAGACUUCUGUAGUAGAAGAUAUGCUGAAAAACUGAAAUAUAUGCAAAUAGAGCAACAGUCCAUUAUGCAUCUUUCUUCACCAAUUGAAAUUAAUUUUUGAUUCUACUCGUAUAAAAACAUGAAAUAAAUAUAAACAACAUAACACUAACAUUAUUAACUUAAAACAAACAUUUAAACACAUAUUAGACUAAACUAAUAAAAUAAAUAAAAAUACACAAAUUCGAUCCUAAAUCUAGUCCACCUUAGACUAAUUAGGUAUUUAAUCACCUAUUAAAUAUGUGAAUUUGAUGUACUCAUCAGUCUACCUUUAGUUAUGCAUUUAUGGAUGCCGAGGUUUCAUAGUUUUUAAUAGGCUGAACCACAAAUCCUAAAAUAGCUUUUCAAGGUUAAGCUAGAACCUUGUUAAGAUGAGUGCAAAGUAUAGUAAGAAUGCCUUUAUAAAGGCUAGCUGGUACGAAGUUUAACCUUGGGUACAAAGAGAAGAAAUAUAUUCUCAAGGAUUUUCAAGUGAAUGAAUAUUUAAAGUUGGAUGGAAGAAUAAAAUGAAUGCUAAAGAGGGAAAACAAGCUUUGAGAUUGCUCUUUAGGGUUAUCCAAGUGAGUGUUGGUCUUCUCAUGUCUUCAAAAUGACUCAAGAGUGGCAUUUUAUACCUAGAGUAAAGUUUGGAGCCGUUAGACACAAGUUUGAAUUAAAUCUGGCUAUUACUGAAGUUUGAGGGUCGACUAUGUUAUUCUAAUUUCUCAAAUUAGGGUUCCAUUGUUGAGUAUAACCUUCCUCUACUCGAUCCAAUUCCUAAGAGGGUGUAUUUUUCACAUUUGAGCGUAAAUAGUCUACUAUGGUGAAAUCAAGGUUGACUAUGGCUUUCAUUUUCCCUCUUUUUAACACAUCAAACCUACCAGGGUUGACUAUAAAAGAGCCAAGGUCGACUAUGUUUAUGUAAUUCUUCAAUUUUAUGAGUUGUUUGCUUCAAGGUAGACUAUACACACACCAAGGUUGACUAUGGCUUUAUAUUCUUCAAGCGUUUUACUCAUUCUACCUUUGGAUCAACUUUAACUUCCCUAGAGUCAACUCUUGACUUGUGUCUUGAGGAUUCCUUGACUUUUUGGCACCUCUCUUUAGUUAUUUCUUCCUUGCUUUGUUAAUAUAAUCAAAUAAUAAUUCAAGGCAUGUGUGCUACUUGUUUACUUAGUUGAAUAUUCAUUGUUUGAAAGCUUUCAUGAUGUUUUCUAAUGAUGCAUGGCUUUCUAAACAAUUUUGUAACUUUAGGGGAUGAAAAAUUUGACCGAGACAAUUUCAAAUGCUUGACAUUAAACUCAAGAUACCAUGCAAUUUUUGUCAAAUCAAAACGUGAUUUAACUCAAGGCUAACAAUUUUGUUAGAAACGAUAAGCUUAAAGUAAAACUACCAAGAAGGGGUGUGCAUUGGCUGUUAAGUAAAAAUUCCCCUUUUUUCAAAAAUUAGUUCAAUUGUGAAAGAAAAAAACAAUAAAACAGAGUAUGAACUUAAUGAGUAAAGAGUAGCAAAGUAAGAAAGGACUCAAUAGGAUUUUAUAAAGGUUUAGCCUUCCAAUGCCUACGUCUUCUCCCUUGAUAGCACAAGGAGUUUGAAUCCACUAUCAGCUUGCCUUUUCAACAAGAUCAGGUGUAACUUUUAGAACAUGGCUUUUGAAGGAUCAAGCGUAACGUUCACGACUUGCCUUUUGCAAGAUCAAGCAUAACUUCUACCAAGGCAAUGCUUUUUUUAGGUUAAACACAACCUUUACAUAAGAAAAUGCCUUUUAAAGGAUCAGGCGAAACCCUUCUACCUUUUGCGUAAAAGUAUAACUAAUGCAAUAGUGGAUUCUAGUCAACCACAAUCUAAAAGCAUCUAAAAAGGUUGAUAACGAAGUUUAGGUUCAGAAAGGUGUGAGCUUUCAUAAAAAUAAGAAUGAUCAAGGAAGGUUUAAGCUCAAGAAAGAUAGCUGAAGGAUAACGAUAUGAGCUUUAGGUUCUUUGCUUGCUUAAAGGUGCGAACUUUCUGCUUCUAGCUAUUUUUCUUGUUUUUCCAUUCUUUUCCUUUUCAAGGAUGAUUCAAACAUUUUCAAAAUCCGUUUUUCUUCUUGUUUUAACAUCCUUAAGAUGGAUAUUUAUAGUCUUUGAGAUUUUCUACCUAUUAAAGUAAGUUUUGAAUCAUUUCUUGUACGUUCCAACAAAGUUGCAAAAGUUUGUUGAUUUUGUAGAAUCUUUUCUUUGUAGUUAAGUUGUCAGUUCUUCAUAAAAUCUAUAGCUUUCUAUCUAUGAAAAACCGAUUAUUCUUUUUCAAGCUGUCUGUUCUCUUACAAUUGGGUGAAAAAGUGACACCUUUGCAAUCUUAGAGAAUCGAUUCCUUUUCCUCAAGGUGUUGGUUCUUCAAUAUGGAUUGGUGCCAAAAUUUGAAUUCAAGCUUGAAUUUUACCACUCUACUUUUGUCUAGUUUGCCACGCCUUUCUUGGUCACCAAGUUUCUAAGCAAUACUUUUGGAGCUUCAAAAACCAACUUUUUCUCUUUGUAAAAUUGAUUUUUUCUUCCUUGCUUUUCUUUUUAGCUAAAAUUGUUUGAAAAGCCAUACUUCUCUUAUGUUUACCUUUAGCACAUGCAUCACAUAAUCUAUCAUUUUCAAAUGUAAUUUUGGGCAAUCUAACAACUAGAUCAUGAUGAGAUAGUUUAGCAAUAGUAUGCAUGCUAACAUGUCCUAGUCUUCUAUGCCAUAUCCAACUAUCCUCAUUUUUCUUUGCCAUGAAACAUACAUUUUGACAGGAUAAGUCAUCUAGAUGCAUAACAUACAUGUUCUCUAGACGUUUUCCACCAAAAAUGAUUUUGUUAGUGUUUAUGUCAAUUAUUUGGUGUGAAAUCCCACCUUGAGUAAGAUGAUAAGUUAGGAAAUCCAUAGGUGAGCAUAUAGAUUACAUGUUUCGAACAACAAACUUAGAUUGACCUUUCAAAAGAAUUAUUGACACUUGUUGUUGUCUAUCCCUUUUAAAGAAGAAAAUUUUCUAGGUUUGGAAAGGGUCAAAAUAUAUGAUUUUUUUAGAACAAUCUUUUUGAAAUAAAAAAUGGCUUUAAUGAUUCCUAUGGUUUUUAGAUGAUCAAAAAUGAUUUUUCCUUAAUUUUUAGGGCAUGUUUGCUAGGGUAAAUAGGAACAACAAAUUUAAUUUCAGUCAAACAUUUUUGAUUUUGUUCUUGAAAGCAAAAUUUAGAUUUUGAUUUUUUGUAUAUUUUUAUUGAAUCCAAAAGGAGGGUUGUUUGCUUAUUUACAUUAAAUAUCUUAAGUAAACGGAAAGUAAAAAGUAAAGAGGACAUUUACUUGGAUGGUAUUUAAUGUAAAUAAGCUGGGCAGGUUUUAUAGGCAAUUUGUCUAAGAAAACUGCAUUCUGUCUCAAAUGUAUUGAUACAUGGGCUAAUUUAUUGAUAUAUUUCGUCGAUUUUAGAAAAAUAAAAAGGGUAAAAAUGUAUUUUCACACCCUAACUUAUAAAUAUAUCACAUUUUUUGAGGUUUUACAACCUUCAGCUACAUUUGCAAGGUAAAACACCUAUUCUUAAACUCUUGCAACACAUUUUUAAUCCAAAAUUCCAUUUUUAUGAUUCUAAAGCUUAGAUUUGGGUUUUAUGGAAAAAAAUGACACUUUUAGCCUUUAAAUCUUUUGGCUUUAGAUUUUCAUAACUUAAAUAGUUGCGUUAUUGCCCAAACUUUCUGUUAUUGAUUUAAGUUUAAAAGUUUUGUGAUUUGCUAAAGCAUCUAAGCUCACUUAAGGUAAAGAUGAAAGAUUUAUGGGUUUCUAAGCAUGGGUUUUAGCUAGAAAAUUAGUUUAGCCAAAGUCGAGUACUUUUGAAAGUACAUAAAAUGAUUAUUACGAAAUUCUUAUUCUAGGAAUGGUUGUGAUGAUUGUUGUACGAUAGAAACACUUGAAAACUCCACGGAUAACGUCAAAAAGGAGUUGUGAUUAGAGCUAGGAAUCGACUCUCCAAUUAGGUGAGUGGAUACCCCACUUUCAAAUUAUUUUGAUACUUAAAGCUAGCAUGAUUUUUGUAAUACCCCGUACUUUGAUAUGGUGACUAAUAAAGCUUAUCUGAUGCCAAUUGAGACAUAAUAAGGUAUUUUGGGUACCAAGGAGACAAGUGAAAUUUUUUAAAUAAAAUAAUAUUUUAUUAAUUAAAUAAUAUUAAAAUAUUAAUAUUUAAUCGGAUGUUGAAAUUAGUCAUGAAGAAGGAUCAUAUGGUUGAUCCAAGUGGGGGAAAAGAAGUACAAAUGAAUUUUGGAGAUAAAUGACGUAAGUGAGAUACGUGUUUUUUUGUUAAGUCGAGCCAACGCGGAUAAGUAAAUAUUUAAAUAUUAUGGUGAUACCUCGUUGAAGUGCAAUUUCAAUAUGUUUGUGGUACACGUGCAAAGGAAGAAAGAUAGAUGAAAAUUAGAAUUUUUAAACUUGUCGAAAGGAUUGAAUUUUAAAUAUAAAAGUUGAAAGAUUAUGUAGUAAAAUUAAAUGGGAGAAAUAAAUAAACAAAUAAUAGAAUAAUAAUAAAAGUAUAUAUAUAAUAAUAAUAAAAAAAAUAAAGAGAAAGGCCAACAUGGGUAGCCGCCCAUGUGGUCAAUUAAAGAGUCAAUAAUUUUUUUUUAUAGUGGUAGGGGCCGGCCAAAUUGAUAAGUAAAGUGAGAUAAAAAAAAAUGAAUGAAAAAUGAAAGAAGAGAAAAGACAAGAAAGAAGAGAAAAGAAAAGUCAAAGUCAGCUGUGAGGGAAAAGCUGGCUAUUUGAAGAAGAUAAAAGGAAAGAGAGAAGUUGGUGUGAGAGAGCAAAGGGAAAGCCAAAGAAGAUAGAGAAAAGUCAGUGUGAGAGAGCAAAGGGGAAAGCCAUAGGCCAAGGGAGAAAGAGCAGGCUGGAAGAGAGAGCAAAAAAAUGGCAGUUGCAGCCGCUUAGAGGAGUAAAGAGAGAGGCUUUGUGCUGCAAAAUUUUGAGAGGAAAAAGAUAGAGUUUUGCUACAAAUUUUGAGAGAGAAAACAAGGGCUGCUGUUGUUGGGUUUGUGGGGGAGUAAACAAAGGCUUAAGCUGCUGGUUUGUGAGUGAAAUGAGGGAGAAAGAAGGAAAAGAAAAAAAAAAGAAGAGAGAAGAAAGAAGCUACCGACCGGUGAGAAAGAGGAGAAGAAGAAAGAGAGAAAGAAACGAGAAAGAGAGAUAAAAGAUAAAAAAGAUAAAAAUAAAAACGAAAAUAAUUAUUCCUUUGGGCCUUUAACAGUACCUUUGGCAAAGAAAGUCCGGUGGGUUGCAAUAUUUUAUUUGGGUUAGCAUUUGAGCCCAAGUGAGGUAAAAGUUAAAAUCAAGCCCUUUUCUUUAUGGAUCCAUUAUAAAGUAUGUUGUUUGGGUUUAGUCCAACUCAUUGGGUUGAAUGUGUGAUAUAAUGACAUAAAAUAAGUUGAAUUAUUUGGUAUAAAUGUUCAUUGGGUUGAAUGUGUGAUAAAAUGACAUAAAAUAAGUUGAAUUAUUUGGUAUAAAUGUUUUAGAAUUGUUAGAUAAUAUUUAAAAUAUGAAAAUUUGUGCAAGUACAAUACAAAGGUAAAUGUCAAUAGUAAGAAAAUCAGUAAUAAAUUUAGUUAGUUUUAAAAUAAUAAUAAUAAUCAUAAUAAUAAUAAGUGAAUGGUGAGGAUGAAAAAUGGUGAUUAAGAAGAAAGAACGAGCUACUAGCAAGUAAAGAUAGUUAAAGACACCUCCAAACAAAUAGAGACUUAAUAUCUCGUUGUUACAAGGUGAGUGAACUUGCAUUAAAAUGUUUUGGGAUAUACACAUAUAUGUUUGAUUGAAUUCCCUAAAACGUUUUAUUAGUUUUUCUUCAAAAACUCGCACGGGAACAAGCCUUUAUGAAAUGUUUUUAUGUUAUGAAAUGGAUAGUGUGAUGAAUCCAUCUGUUUCUGUAUAAUAUUGAUAUUUAUAUAGUAUGUCAUAAAUGGUACAUUGUGUGACAAAAUGCAACCGUGCAUGUGCGGGGUGAGUGUGCACCUAUCGGUGAUGACUGUGGUGAGGGAGAUGGAUGGUGAUAUUGCCUGUGUGCACGAUGUGGGGGGAUGCACAUGAUGGCAUUAGCUGUGCACGAUGUGGGGGGAUGCAAACGAUGACUCCGGCUAUGUGCAUGAUGUAGGCGGAUGCACAUGAGCUGGGUGAGACGGGGUGUCCGACUAUGUGCACAAUGUGGGGGGAUGCACAUGAGCUGGGUCAGACGAGGUGUCCGACUAUGUGCACGAUGUAAGGGGAUGCACAUGAGCUGGGUGAGAUGGUGGUGUAUGUGCUUAUAUAUAUUCAUAUUUACUAUAUAGAGAUGUUUGGAUUUAAUAUGUGAUUGCAUUGACUGUUGAAAACUUGAGUAUUGUCAAUGUGUUCAAUUUAAUGUCCAAUGUGGCAUGAGUGGAUUUUAUCGGUGGCAGUGAAAGUUCCCUUAGAUUUUAUCUAGCCAGAAUUUUGUUGCAACGAGAAUGCCUUUUGACUGCGGUGAGAGUCAAUCUAUUAUGCUUGACUUGCUUGAAUUCUACUAAAGUUUCCACUUCUCAACUUCUUUGUUGUUCAUGAGUUUUUCGUCAUCAAGUGACUAAACGACCAAGGGUUUGAAUGAGGGGUUUUCAAAUAGAAAUAAACUAAAUUGCAUUAUUUUGAACUUAAGUGCAUCAUGAUUUCUAAACCUUCCUUAACAUUGCUUGUUCCCUUCCUAUGUUCACUUACUGAGUUUAUACUCACUUUUUAAACUUCAUGUUUUAGGUUGUUAGAGUCAAAGGUGAUUGGAUCCUAGGACGAGGUGUUCCUCCCUAUCCAUUGCCUGGUAGAUUUACCAUGACAUUAAAUAUUAGCAAUCGUGCCCAGAGUCACCCUGCUGACGGUCAAGUUCUGAUUACGUGUAUAUGAAUACUUGUUGUGAAAUGCUGAGAUUCAUUUGUUAAUAUAUAUAUAUAUAUAUAUAUAUAUAUAUGUAUGUAUAUUAUGGUUGAUGAUGUUAUUCUGAAUACAUAGUUGGGAUUUAUGAAUUUUUCCAAAGAAACUAUAUUGAAUGCUAUUGAUUCGAAUUUUUAAGGAAUACAGAUUAAUGUAUAAGAUUCUCUAAAUAGGGUUGCUUGGGCUUAGUGGGCUAAGCCCAUUGGGCCCUUGCGCAGUUCAUGGCCCUGAAAUUGGGCUGUGACAAUUUCAACAAAAAAAAUUAUAUAUGCAUGUUGAAAUUAUAUCUCUAAAUUUGGUUAUCAAAGGAGUUGAGAUUUUAAAAUGAAAAUGAUUUUCUAAGAAAAUAAAUUGAUAAGGAUUGUGAUGUGAUUUACUCAAUAGAUGUUUUUUUAAAUGUUUAUUGACCUACUAUGUAUUAGUUUUCAACAAAGGGGGACAAGCACCUUAUAUUUGAAGUUUACUCGAUUACAACAAUCUUCGAACUAGUGCGAGUAUGAGAUAUUGUAUGCUUAUUUAUAGAUGCUAUAAUAUGCAUGUUGGUAUGAUGAAUGCCAUAAGAUUAUGUAUAUGAUGUAAAUUUCAGACACCAUAUGAGAUGAUCAAGUAUGCAUGAUGUAUACUAUAGGAUGGUGUAUAUGUUAUAAAUUCCAUAUACCAUAUGAGGUGAUUAAGUAUGCAUGAUUAAUGCCAUGAGAAUAUGGAUAUGAUUUAUAUUCCACAUACUACAUGAGACGAUUAAGUAUGCAUGAUUAAUGCCAUGAGAAUAUGUAUAUGAUGUAUAUUUCAUAUACUACAUGAGCGGAUUGAGCAAGCAUAAAUGUCAUGAGAUUAUGUUUAUGAUGUAAAUUCCAUAUACCGUAUGAGAUGAGUGAGCAUGUAUGUGAAAGACAUUCCACAUACCACAUGUUACAAGUAUGAGAACUCAAAAAGUGUGAUUGAUACCACUCUCACGGUGUGCAAGUGACGACUUCACUCCUAUGAUGCAUCAUAAAAUACCCAAGGGCAAUGGGGACAUACGUUGCCAACCCAAGGUGCCAUGAGGUUGUACAUUGCUAGCCAAAGGUUAAUGGGGGUCAAACCAUCACAAUGUAUGAGUUUUAAUGUUAAUGAAAUGAUUAUCGUUGUUAUGUUUAUGGUAUGUUGUAUGUUGUGUUCAUUUGAGUAAUGUUUAUGGUUUAUACCUGAUGAUGGCAUGAGAAUGUGCUUAGUAAGAAGAAUUGAGCCCUAAAGAUAGUUCUCGAGAUGUAAAAGGACUUAAGGAAUGGAAAUAAUGCUAAAAUUGUUCAGAAACUUAGUCUAUGUGUUCAAAGUAUCAAUACAUGUCAUGACCCGAAACUCCCCUCGAGCUCGUGACAACAGCCGCGGUGCCUCGAUGGGCACUCAUCUCCCGGAAUGCCAACUGGAAUCUCGUAAGGCUUAAUAUCAGUUUCUCAUUUUCCCCGGUGAGUAAUUGUUGCCAAAUAUUAUGUUCUAAAGGAUUUUGAGUUAUUUCCAACUUAAAAUAGAUAAAUUAAAAAUUUUUGUCUCAUAGGGGCAUUUUGGUCAUUGUCCACUGAAAAUUUCGAAACCAAUUAAAAAUGUAGUAAACAAGUACCAAUCACAUAAUUCACAAUUAAAAAUAAGUUUAGGCAUCUAAAACCUUUAUUUAAAAUGAAAUUAUAAUUAUUUGAAUAUAAUAAAAAGAUAAAACAAAAUAUUCAAUAAAAUAUUUUAUUUUCUUAUAAACAGUAAUUUUAGAGUUAUGCGUAAAUACUUUUUGUAACGUAAAAACAAAAUAAAUUCAUUCAUACUGUAACACAAUAAACUAGAGUAUUUAAAUUAAUUUAAAUUUACAAUAUCAAGUGGGCCCACAAUAACCAAAAUUAAAGAAGUUGUGAACCUACAGUUUGGAAAAAGCAAAUCCAAUGGAAGUCCUCGAUGGAAUCAGCUAUCUACAGCCUACUCUAAGCCUGAAAUGGGUGGAUAUGAGGGUGGUGAGAUUAUAAAAUCCCAGUGAGUAAACAAACAUCAUUUAAAUAAGCUAAAGCCGAGUAAAAGGAGACAAUUAAAAUAUCCCAUCAUUUUAAGUAUUUCACAAUUUGAAAAUUUAUCUCAACCCAUGCAAACGGUUGUAUUUCAUUUAAUUUCUCAUUAAGGCUUAUGACUUUCAUAAAAAUUUGGCUCAUGCCAUCAAAUAGUACUUUACGACACCUUGAUCAGAGGUGUACACUCGAGCCAGCCAAGGCUAUUAAAAUUUCGUAUACGCGUAAAACAUAUUUUUUUUUAGUUUGAAAAACACAGCCAUUCCUUGGUGUUAGCUGAGUUUGUCAUCACGAGGUGGUUCAGCGUGACGUGAACUUUGUCCAUGCCUCAGGAGAUACCAUACACGCCUCUCCGAUCGAGGUACAUAUAUAUAUCCGGAUUUCAUGCCCCUCUAAUAGGUUGGUCCACAGAAUCCGCCUACUGUAGCAAGCUAAACCCACCAUACAAUAAAAUUUUGACAGCAUGACAGGGCUAAUAUUUUACUACUCAGCCUGCAAGGGUAAAAUAAAACAAUUCAUACAAUUCAUAGAACAUAGCCCAGCCAGUCAUGCCAACACAAUAACAAUAUAACAUAAGCCAUCAAUUUCUAAUCAUAAAUUUAUAACAUACGGAUGGUCUCCAAUUACUCUAUUUUCAAAAUCGUUAUUCAUUUUCAAUAUAAUUUAUAAAAUCUUUUCAUGUCAACACAUUCUGCUUGUAAAACACAAAAAUUUACCAUUUAAACUCAUUUUCAUAAAAUUUCAUCAAAACCGAUUAAAAACAUACUUUAGAUAAUUAAAAUGAUGGUAAGGUUACUCAUUGUACUAGGAGUUCGAUAUACUCCUAUUCCCAAUCUUCGGGCACAAUCUCUUUACCCUUGUUAGAGGGUUCACCACCUAUACAUCAUACGUGACACGAAUUUCAAUAAAUUGUGUCAAUUUAUCAUAAACUAUUUCAGGCUCUCUAAAUCUAAAUGAAUGCAUGUGAUGGGAUGCAAAAUGUUUGAUUAAUCACUUAAAUGUGAUAUUCGACCUAAGUCGCACUAUACUCGGCCUAAUCAGCUAAAAUCUCUGAUUUAACUUCAAAUCAAUUCUUCUCACUUUCUACACUCCAAUUGUACCUAAAUUACCUUAGUGACUAUGAAUGAGAUUCAAUAUAUCAGUCUCGGGUCAAUAAUCACACAUGUCUAUACAUUAGGUAAAAAUUCAGAUUUUCACACCAAAAUUUUCCAUUUAAUUUCUAGCCUCACCAAACAUCAAAUAUCACCCAAAUAUCAUGAAAUAUCAGCAAUUUCAGCCACAAUAUCCUCCCUAGAAAAUUUGGCCAAUGAUGGUGAUCGGGGAAAAGAGAUUCUUUUCUUAUUGUUUUGUUUCUAAAUAUGCUAAACUAACUAAAAACACUAACAUAACUCAAAAUCAAAUCAAUCCAACAUCUUUAUCUCUCCAUACCCAUUUUGACUAGCCAUGAAUUCAUCAUGAAAACAUGUAAUUUAACCAUGGAAAAUAAGGAGUAAUGCUUAAGGAAAAUAGAUUUCAAGUUUAAAUUGAAAAAGCCUACCUUUUUCACUUGUUUUCCUUGAUUUUUCACACUUUUUCUCUUGAAAUCCUCCACCUAGGUUUUGUUCUUGUUUUUCCUUUCUUUCCUUUUGUCUUGGCCAAAUAUGGAGAAGAAGGAUGGGAUAAAUAUGGGCUGAUUUUAAUGGAAAAUAAUAAAAUAUUCUUACUUGACACGUGGCAUGUUUCCAUUGGUCCAUUUUUAAAACUUUAAAAAUUUUAGACCUUUAAUCUCCACCACAUGAUUAGUCAAAGGUCAAAAUGAGGAUAAGGGAAGACCAUGUGCUGGAAAAAUGUCCUGGUGGUGGAAAAUUACUGUUUUGCCCCUAGGGUGGUAAAAUUACCAUUUUGCCCUUAUGCUCCAAAAAUACCGAAAUUAUAACUUUUUCACUUAUCAACCUCAAAUUAUACUCCAAUGAGUCAAAUGUGAUCAAUCUUGAUCAAAAACUUCUUCCAAUAUUCCAAUUUUAUCCUCAAGUGGCAAAAUUACCAUUUUGCCCCUAGAUAGUGAAAUUUUCGAUUUGACUCCAAAUUGAUCCUCGAACUCCAAAUAAUCAUAUUAAACUAUUCUGGGACUUUAAUAUUCUUAAUUUCAUCUGAAAUUCUCUAUUUGAUCUAGUUCGAGGCUUAAAUCAACUUUGUUGUACCUCUAGGUACAAUAUCGACUUUUGUAAAUUUUUCGGGACUCUCCUAGCAUGCAAACAUGUUAUCCAUCACAUGUAUGUCAUGACAAGUAUUUUAUAGAGUCAAGCUUGACAUCUUCUCCCCUACCUGGAUCAACCAUAUGAUCCUUUUUCAUGACUGAUUUCGACAUCCGGCUAAAUAUUAAUAUUUUAAUAUUAUUUCAUUAAUAAAAUAUUAUUUUAUUCUAAAAAUUUUAUCUUGUCUCUUUGGUUCCCAAAGUUCCUUAUUAUGCCUCAAUUCGCAUCCGACCAACUUUAUUUAUCACCAUAUCAGAGUAUAGGGCAUUUCAAUACAUAUGGAGCACGUAUCGAUACAUUCUAAACAAAUUCCAUAGGAGGCUUUCUGUGUGAAAUGUAUCGAUACAUUUUACCAAUGUAUUGAUAGAUGCUUGAAAGUAUCGAUACAUUCAAUAAUGCAUCAAUAGAUAUGGUACAGAAAAGGAUGUUUGAGUGAAUUUGAUCAAGAUUUUAAAGGUAAAGAUUUCUAAAGGUUUAUAUAAGUUGUUUUCAAACAAAAGGUAUUUAAAUGAGUUCAAAUGACAUGUAUAAUGCAUUUUAUGAUUCAGAAGUUAGGAAUGGUAUGAGUUAUAAAUGUAUGGUUACGAAAUACUCUUAUCCCCUAGCUUGUCCCCUUCCCGUAUCCACUCACAGAGUCUUUGUGACUCAUACAUUAUUUUUUCCAUUUAUUUUGUUGUAGAUUAGUGAUAGCAUCUAAUAGCAGCUAGUGUCGUGGAUACCAAUGUUUGGUCUUCAUUCCUUGGUAGGUGUCUAGCAGCCAUUUGUUGCCUAGAGGGUCGAUCACAUUCUGCUGACUAGUUGGUCUUUACUUUAUGUUAUGUUUAUAGACUAUGAACAUGUUUAUGUUGACAUCACCAAUGUUUGGGCACCUUAUAUGAAUAAUGUUAUGUAUAAGAUCAUGAUGAUUGCUCGAUAGCCUAUAUGGACACUUGAGGGUGAUGAUGAUGUUUAAUGUUUAUAUUAUUAUGCACUAUGAUAGUGGCACUUGUUAAUACACAUAUAGAUAUAUUAAGUUGAGCGUACACAAUUAAGUUGAAAAGUUUCUUUAUUGUGUAAUAAGUUUUAAGAAUGUUUGUAUUAUGAUUAUGUAUGUUAAUGGAUGUGAUAUGAUGCUUCCACAUGAGAUGAUGAAUGCUUGAUGAUGUUAUAUAGGAAGCUUGCUUGGGCCUAACAGGUUAUGCUCGUUUGGGUCCAUACGCUGGUCACAAUCCCUCUUGGAAAUGGGAUGUGACAGUGAGCCUUCAUUUUAAUUGAUGUAUGAAUUUGAAGAUUAUUUGUAUUUUACCUUAAGUUGAAAUUGUGGAAUAAUUUUUGUGGAAAGCUUGGAAAUCAUGACUUGGUGAAUUUUAUCUCAUGAAAAGUCUUUUCAUUAAUUUUCUUUGGUUUCUUUGUUUUCUUUUAUUUUGCUCAAGGACUAGCAAAAUCUUAAGUUUGGGAGUGUGAUAAUUCUAUAAAAUAUAAUUAUUUUUAUUUCAAAUUGUUCUUAAAAGUUAGCUAAGUUCUUGAGAUUAGGUUAAGAUUUAGUUAUUUUUAGUUUUUUCUAAUUAGUUUAUUUUUAUUAAGUUAUUUUGUUUUAUGUUAAUUUUAUGUUUAUUUGCCUUAGUUUAGUUUUUAUGUUUGUGUAGGACUUUAAAGGAAUAAGACUCAAUUUGGUGAAGAAAGGUGCUUAAAGAACCUAAGUCCUGUUCAUACAUAUUGCAAUAUUUUGAGUAUAACUUCCAAUCCAUAAGUCCAAAUGAGGUGAUUCUUAGACCAUUGGAAAACUAAGAGAUAGAGCUACAACUUUCAUGCAAAUCACUUUGCUCUAUUUGACUUUAAAGAUGGAGAAAAUCAUAUUGGAAUUUAAGGGAGGGUAGUAGUCAACAAGAGAAGGCCUAAAGCCAAGGGCCUGUCACAGCUUAGAUAAGGGGUGCCAUAGUGUCAAAGAGAAAAAUUUGAAUAAAUCACUAUGGGAAAGAAAUGGAUGUGAGCUAAUUUAAGUCCUAUGGGCUCUACACUUAUUUUAAGGUCAAAUUAAGAGUCCUUAGGCUAAAGUAGUUUAGUUUAGGAAAAUUUAGGUUAAGUUCCGAGUAUAACUAAAUAGCUUAAGGAGAACUUAGAGGCAUGAAGAAAAUCCUAAGAAGGAUUCAAGAGGUUAAAAGUUGAGGUUGAAGAUUGAAGAUCAAAGUGUUAAGAAUGUUUAGAAUAUGGUGCCUUGGAAAGCAAGUAUAUUCUCAUGCUUAAUUUCAUUAAAUUUGUAAUGAAAGUACUUUUGAAAAUAAGAUGAAGAGUUUGUUUUAAGUAAGCAUCCAUUAUCUAGUUAGUAAGGUACCAUGAUUCUAUUGAGAUAUUAAAAUAUAUUUUUAUGAAGAGUCAUACAUAGGAGACAUAUUGUAAUUGAAUCUAAAAAUUGUUCAUAGUCAUAUAAUAAAGUUAGUCACUUUAUUGGUUUAAGGUUGUAGUGUCAAAUUACUUCCAACGAAAUGAAUAUAAUUCAUCUCAAGGGAAAGAUGAGUCUUAAAUUAUCGAAAUGGUUAACUUCAACUAAUGACACUAUAACAUGCAUUGGAAUCAUGUGAGAAUCAAAUUUAAGUUUAAUCAUUAAUUAAAUCUUGAUCUCACACUUAUGCAUUUGCUUAUAAUAGAACCGAAAUCUUGAUGGAUAGUGGACUCGUGUUUAAUCUCCUUAUAAUCUUUGAUUUACCAUGAUCAUGAUCAUCAUAAAGUGUUGAUUUAGACUCCGUAUUUUGGGAUUAUAAUCGAGAUGAAUAUCUGGGAACAUAUAUCCAAAUAAUGGAGUUCAUAACAUUAACAUCACUUCUUGUGAUUUUAGGAAGACUGGUGAUUAAUUUGGGCCCAGAGGACUGAUGAAUUAACUACUCAUCACAUAUAGAUACUCAAAAGAUUAGAUCUAGUGUAUGGAAUCAGUAAUAGGAUGAAAUUUGAGAUUUGGGGACAAAAUUGGCAUAAAAGGUAAAACAAUAAUUUCAUCUGUUGUCAUUGGAUGGUUAUGAGGUUUACAAUAUAAGGUUUGCAAUUGGACAACUAAUAAUUAAUAUCAAGUAUUGAAUUGUUUCUUGUAAUUAUAGUUAAUCGAAGAGUGCAACCAUGAAUCUAUGAUGGAGUGAUUUCAUGAUUAAUAAGCUUGAAUUAUUUUUAAUGAGAUAAAGAAUAAUUCUAAGUUUAUUGAAGCUUGUAAUAUCUAUGUCCAAAUAGUUUUCCCACUUAGCUUUGUGAAAUUCAACUUGUUUAAGAUGGAAUGCAUGUUUUAAUUUGAUUAAUUAAAAUGUGUACAAAAAUGUCAACUUUAACAUGUUUGUCAUAACUUAGACAUGAAAACAUGUUUGGUCUUAAUUUAAAAAAUAUGUUUGUUUUAAUUUAAGAUAAGAAAAAUAUUUUUUGUCAUUAUGUAGACAAUAAAGCAUAUUUGUCUCAAUUUAGACAAGAUAAAAUAUUUUUGUCUUAAUUAAAGACAAGAGUUGUCUUAAAUUAAGAUAAUGCUAAGAGGAUUCUUGCAAAAUGAAUCUAGAUAUCCAUGUUGAUAUAAGAAGACUCCAUGUUUGACUAUCACUCUUUUAUUUAUUAUUAAUUCUUUUUAAAUAAAGAUGGAUAAUAAUAAAAUAAGAGUUAUUAUUCAAUAAGGAGUUUUAUUUUAUCAAGAACUCUAAAUGAUAAUUAAAGAAUUAAAUUAUUUAUUAUUUAAAUUUAAUUUUGAUAAUUAUGGAGCAUGUUUGAUGCUUCCAUAACUCUAAAUGGAUGGGCAAGAUUGAUUUAAAGGUGUUUGAUUUCGAUUAAACCUUUGAGGUAAGAGUUUUAAUAAAAAGAGAAGAGAUUGGAAAAACAAAAAUGUACGUGCUUUUUCUUGAAAAAGUUUUAGUCGUCACUUCUUUUCUCCUCCUCUAAAAAAACUUUGCCAUAUCUUUCUUCCUCUCUCCCAUUCUUGGUUGAAGUUUUUUGAAAGAAAAUAGCCACUAAGUUUUAGGAAGAAAAGAGAGACAAAAUCAGUUGCCAUUUUAUAGUCUUGCAUUCCACACCUUGUCCACUCAAAGUUCAAGUUGAAAGCAUUCUUGAAGAAUAAGUGGUAAACUUAUUCGGUCAAGAAAUCAUACAUUGGUGUGGUGGUGUCCAAAAAUAAGAAUCUCGAAAUAAAAGGUAUGUUUUUUUCUUACUUAAUAGCUUUUAUCUUCUUAGGAUGUGAUUAUGUUGCAAUAAGAAUGAUGUAUGCUUUCGUUCGUGUAAUUGGAUUGCUUUCUUCCUUUAUAAUAAAAUUUUUUUCAAAUCCAUGCUUUACACAAUCACAUCAUUCCACUAAGAUCCAAAUCCAACACAAGGUUGCAAAAUUAGUUUAUUUUCUUCUUCCUUAGCUUUUAUUAUUCUUGUUACUCUUGAUGGCUAAACUUGUUAUGUUUUUAUUUAUCAUUGCAAUUAUAGUAACUAAAUUCCUUUUUCUAGGAUUGCAACUAAACUCAUAUGUAGUCUAAAUUUUUAAUCUCUUUAUAGAUUAUUUUCAAUUGAAUUUAAUUGUUUUAUUCCAAUUUGUUCUUAAUGCUUUUAAUUGCUUGAUCACCAAUUAAAUUGAUCCAGAAAUCUAAACAUAACUUGGGAAAGGGAGUUUAGUGUAAACUAAAAUUGGAAUAGCAUAUAAUUAAAUUUAUUUGCUUGGUUGAAUAAAUUGGUUUCUGCAUAGGAUAAGAAUAUACCUAUAUGCCAUAUGUAACUAGUACUAGAGCUUGAACUUAAUGAAUUGGUUUUAAUUUCAAUUUAAAUAGGAAUACCAUUUUUUUGAUUAAAGUAUAUAUUUUUAUAGGACUUUUAGGAGAGCCUUAUAAAUAAUUAAGGACUCAAGGCUAGCUAUUUAAUCCAUUGAAAAAAGUUAAGGGAGAAAGGUAAUAUUUAGAUUAAGUGUGGGGGAUAUUGUAAUCGUAGGCUUGUUUAAUUUAAUUUUUAUUCAAUUAAAUUCAUGCUUUGAUUCUUAAUUAUUGUUCAUUAGCUUCUUUCUUUUGUUAAUUAAUUUUUAGUUUAAUUAGUAAUCAACUUUUAAGUGUUUCAAUAAGAUUAAAUUCUAUUAAUUUUAGUAAUUAGUGAAAUUGUAGAUCAAUUCCCUAUGGGAUUGAUACUUUGUUUACGAUUAUAUUAUCUUUUCGAUAUGUAUACUUGCAUUGGUAGAGAAUUUUAACAACAAAACGCUUCAUAUCAAUCAAGCACUUUAAAGAAAUUCUCUAAAUUAUAAAAAGAAUGACAAUUUAUGAGAGAAUUUCCUCAACAAUGGCAUAUCAUCAUGAAAUAUCAUCAUUAAACCCUUUUCGGUAAUCUCUUUUUAACAAUAUUUUCACACAAGCGUUUCAAUAAGUGUUCUCCAAAUAUGUAUAAGACUAUUAUUUCAAGGAGAAAUUUUCUCACCAAGACAGUUUAUCAAUAUCAACGAAGCAUUGCCAAGAUAUUUAGCACUUACUGCAAUGAUGUAAGAGAAUAUUAUUAUCAAGCAAGCACAAGUAUGAUUACAAAAAGAAUUUUGGUUAUCUUCACCAAUCGUGAUUUCAAUUUGUUCCAUGAAAUGCAUGCACUAAGUAUAUUAAGCUUGGUUUAUUGCUAGGAAGUGUGCAAGUGGAAAAGAAUACCGUGGAAACAUAAUCAGAUGAGUGGUGAAGUGAUAUCCUGCCAUUGUAAGGUGAGUAAGGGGUGUCUAUUUCAAAAUCUCUGCACUAUAGAUAUAGAUUUACAUUAAUAAACGUUGUUGGUUUCUUAAUUACAAUUGUGGAUAGCAUGAGUUGUUAGCCUUGAUAGGCAAUUUUAAAAUGGCUUUACAAUGAUUUAUAUAUUGCUAUUGUGGAAAACAUGGGUUGGUAGAAAUGUUAGGCAAAUUUGUGGAUGCCAUGAUAUUUUAAAUUGUUUUGGAUAUAUAUAUAUAGGUAAGCUAUAUAUGUAAAGUAUUUUAGAAACAGAGAAACAAGCCUUUUGUACUGUUUGCAUAAAAAAUCUAUGCCUUGUAUUUUUAUGUAAUAUGUUUAGUUAAAUGCAUUUGCUAAAUGAUUUAUUUGUACGUUUUUGAGAGCCAAUUUUAGUCUAUUUUUUAUUCAAGUAUUUACACCAUUCCUUUUUAAUGCGAAAAUCAAUUUGAAUAGUUAUCGAACCUUAUUUUCAAGUGAUUUAAACAAAAGUCUCAAAAAACAUGGAUUUGGUUUGGAAAACAGUUUUGACAAACCGAGAGCGUCGAGAGUAGGUUGAAUGUCAUAUCGGGAUAGUGUGACCCUUGUGCACAAGUGAGCUCUAGCUAGAGAACCUUUAGGUCACCAACGAGCUGUUAGACAUGGUUGGGACCAUGGCUUGUCAUUAUACGUGGCAAGGCCACAGGUUGUUAUAUACGGCUAGGCCACAAGUUGAUAUAUGCGGUUGUGAUCGCCUGAUUUCUCUAACAUCGACCAACAUUGUCGAGAUUACCAUGGUUGUGGGAACCCGGUGGAGUGGAGCUCUUGGAUUAUUAUUAUGUGGAAGAAGGUCCACAGAUUGAUUAUGUAUGAUUACCUACUCGAGAGGCUUGUGAGUUUUUCGAUAUGUACUCUUUUGCAUGGUGGAGAGUUAAGGUUUCUUUACAACUCCCCUUGUUUGAAUAAAAGCUUUCAGUGCUUCCUUGAUGAUCAUGAGUUAGUUUAUGUGGCUGUACACAUUAAUUUCUUUACAUGCAACACAUUUUGGGAGCGUGCAUACUUUUAUACUGUUAUUUGUAUUUUGAUGGAAAGUGAUGCUUUCGAUGUUUGAAAUCUAAUUUUGAUACAUAUGUUUUCAACAUCUUUUGCCAAGUGAAAUAUUGCAUUAUGAUUUUAUGGCAUGUUUUUACGAGGCGCAAACACCCUGCUUGCGAUUUGAUUUUUCUAAGAUUAUCACUUUUUAUUCUAGUUUUACUAUUCAAAAGAUGUACUUAAGCUAGUUUCCCAUCUCUGCCCUGCUCACGGAGCCAAUGUGAGACGUUGAUCUUUAUAGACUCAUAGCUAAAAGUAGACGCAAUAUCACUAACUGGGAGUAAUUCCGUCAUUUCCUUAACGAGGCCCUAGAAGAAUGCUUUCAAACAUUAUUAAGGCCUAAGUAGGCCUAAGGCAUAAAUGAAUGAUGAAAAUAAGGAUAAAAUGAUGAAAGAAAUAGAAAUAAUAAUGAUUUCCAAGGUAGAGGCAAACUGGUCAUUUGUCAUCUCAAGUCAAAAUUUUUAAGUUUUCGUGAACCUAAGUAUUUCUAGACUAUUGUGGACUUUGUCUUAGUGUCAAAAGAGUAGAAAGAUUGCACAAAGGAUUGGAGGAAGACAAAGCCAACUUGUUAAGGGCAUUUUCAUAAUUUAAGUAGAGUUUGGAUAAGCUUUAGCUAUAAAUAUCAUUUUUCCAACUGCUUCUUCUUCUUCCUCUCAUCUCACAUUUCUUUCAUCCUCCAUGGAAGCUUGUUUUGAAACCCGCAUAACUUAUCUCAAGCUAGCUCCAAUUUUCAUGCUUUUGUGCACCUUUUCAUAGAACCUUUUGUGCUCUUUCACUCUCUCACUUUAAAACGUUUGAAAAGUCUUACUUCCAUACUUCCUCUCACUAGCUAGGUGUUUUAGAGAGAGAAAGAGGGAGCUUUUAUAUUAGCUUGAAAAUUUUUGGAAAGAAAUUCAAUUACAAAGCUACCAAGGUGAGUAGUGAAUUAGAGUUGAUUUUUAAAUGUUGAGAAUGGCUAGUGAUUAGACUUGUGAGUGUUUUGUAGUUGAGGCUGUUUAUUCAUUUUAGAGUGAUUAGGAUAGUGAAAAUAAAUAGCCACUUAAUGGCAAUUGGAAGCUAGUUAGGAGAUAGCUUUUAAAAUUUAUAGUUAUGUGAAUUGUGAUGCUAAUGUGAUGAUAAGUUCCAAUGAAGCCCCACCACCCCAUUUGGACCUUUAGAGGAAGUUGGAGUUAGGUAAAGAUUUAACAAAUACCGGUGAAUGAACUUGCAUUAAAAUGUUUUGGGAUUAGGGCAUAUGUGUUUGAUUAAAUCCAUUGAAAUAGUUUAUCUAUUUUUCUCUAAAAAUAUGCAUGGGAACAAGCUUUGAAUGAAACGUUUUGCAUUAUGGAAUGCGACUGUGAUGAAUCCAUGUGUGUUUUUCUCUAAAUCUCGCACCCUCGUUGGACACAAAUUAGACCUUAUUGAUAAAACGAAUUAUCGUUUGAUGCGAACUGGCGUACUAAAGAGUGACAAAGGAUGAAAGGAACGUUCAAGAAUAAAAUGCUUUGCGCGUGCAGAAACAAUAAUUAAAUAAUAAUAUUUUUGUUGGAGAGGAAUUAGUAAGCUAAAGGAUGAUUCAGAAGUAAAUCAAGAUGUAAUGAUGUGUUUCAAGACCAAAUAAGGCAAGUGAAAUUUUUUGAAAUAAAAUAUUAUUUUAUUCAAUAAAAUAAUAUUAAAAUAUUAAUAUUUUAUAUGUUGUUGGAAUUAGUCAUGAAAAAUGAAAUAUGACUAAUUUAAGUGGGGGAGAAGAAGUAAAGAAGAAUUUUGAAGGAAAACGAUGAUAAUUGUGUCAGUGUGAUUUUAUUAAAUCGAGCCAACGCGGGUAAGUAAAUAUUUAAAUAUUAUGGUGACACUGCGUUGAAAUGCGAUUUCGAUAUUUUGAUUAUACACGUGUAAGAAAAGGAAGAUAGAAGGAAAUUAGAAUUUUUACACGUGUCGGAAGAAUUAAUUUUAAAAUAUGAAAAAUUAAGGGAGGUGUAUUAAAUAAAAUGAAGUUAAGGCAUAAUAUGUGAAUUUUAUUAUUUUGAAGAAAUAAAAAUAAAAUGAAAAUAAAAUGGAUGAUAAAAUAAUGAAGAAAAGGUGUUGAAAAGUCAAACAGUAUUAUUAUAUGUACAUGAGUGGCUACAUGAGUCAAGAAUGGAAUGAGGACAAAAACAAAAGAAAGAAAAGUGUGUGGCGGAUGGAAAAGGUGCACAAGUUUUUUUUGACUUUCAAUUUCAAUCCCAUGUGAGUAAAAAUAAGCAAGAUAAAAAUAAAAGCAAAAGAAAAGAAGAAAGACACGAAAUAAAUAAAGAAAACAAAAGAGAAAAAUGUAGAAAUGAUGGUGGGGCCAGCCAUGUGAGAUGAAAGAAAUGAAAAGAGAUAAAAGAGAAAAAAGAGAGGAAAUCGGUUGAGAGUGGGAGAAAAGAAAUAAAGGAAAGAAAGAACGGUGGGAGAGGAAGAGAAAAGAGAACAAUUUUGCUGCACUUUGAGAAAGGAAAAAGAGAGCUUUUGCUGCAAUUUUUGGAGGAAGAAGAAAGCUAAAAAUUUAUGAGGUAAGAAGCUGAUUUUUGCUGCACUUUGAGAGAGAAAAUUCGAUGCUUUUUAGAGGGAUUUUGGUGCUGAAAAUUCAAGGUUUUUGCUGCUAAAUUUUGAGGUUAUGUUGCUAGAAAUUUUUGGAGGUUUUUGCUGCCAUUGAAGGACAACUUUGGCUGCUAAAAAUUUGAGUUGUUUGCUGUCAAUUUGUGCAAAAAAAUUAGAGCUGGUUGCUGGUAGUUUGUGCAGGAAAAUUGGACAGCUUUGUGCUACCAAAAUUGAGAAGUUUUGUUGCUGGAAAUUUGAGCUGAAAAUCUACUGAUUUUAUAGCAAAAAAUGGCAGCAAAAAAAGGUGAGAAAAUGAGGCUUUUGGUGAUCAAUUUUGAGAGGCAAGGAAGAGAGGAAGCCACGGUGGUGAAGGGAGUGAUGGGUUGGAAAAAAAGAAGAAGAAGAAACGUGGAAAAGAGAAAAAGAAAGAAAAAGAAAAUAAAAAUAGGGAUGGCCCAAUAGGAGAUAUAUGGGCUUAGCCCAAAUAGGAAAAAUUGGAAAAGCCCAUGAAAGGGGGGGCCCCAAAGGUCAUAAAGAAAUGAAAAAGGCCCAAUGGUAAGUUAAUGUUAUAUUUUAAGGUUUAUUGGUAGUUUAAUAUUGUGCAUAUUUUGGAUGAAAAAUAUGCAAGUUGCUUAAGGAAUUUUUAAUUAAGUUGCUACUCAUACAAAUGUGUGAUUAAGUAUACUGAGUUUAAAUUGUUGCUAAAAAAGUUUGUCAUGGAGGAGUGCCGAACGAAGUAUGUGAUCGACAAAUAGGAAUAAUUAUAUACGCGUACGAAUCAAUAGUGAAGUAAUAUCCCAUUAUUAUGAGGUGAGUAAGGGGUGUCAAUUUUAAAAAUUUCAUAUAUAUACAUGUACGUAUAUUUUAUGUGAAGUGCAAAAUUUAUGGAAAGCAUGCGUUGAUAGAAUUUUAAGGAAUUGUGGGUGUAAGUUAUUUUUAGAAAUCAUUUGAAAUAUAUAUAUAUGUAUUAGACGUAAAGUGUUUUAAACAGGGAAACAAGCUUUUCGAAAAGAUUUACAUCAAAGGAAAUUGUGCCUUAUUGUUUGUGUGGUGUGCAUUCAUGAAAUUUAUUACAUAUUCACCAUGCCAUUUUGAUACAAAAUAUCAUGAAAAUAUUUACAAUGAACAUUUUACGAAAAGAGAGUUUUAACGUGAUCUGGGGAUCGAUAUUUUGAGAAAGAUUUAAAAUAUCCCCUUGAAGAUCAAAUUUGAAUUCUUUUAAAAAGUAAUUUCAUUUUAACCAAGAAAUUCAAGAGUAAUUGGAGACUACUACUUGUUGUGUUAUAAAUUGUAUUUUGAAUUGAAUGGCUUAUGAUAAUGUGGGAAUGAAUGGCUGGAUUGGUAUUUGUAUUGAAAAUGUAUAAACUGUUGUUUGCCUUGAUAGGCUGGAUAAUGAUAAAAUUGCCAUGUCAUGCUGUUGAAUUUUUAUUGAAUUUGUGGGUUUAGCUUGCUGCAGUGGGCGGGUUCUGUGGAUCAGCCUUUUUGAGGGACACAGAAUUUGGGUAUAUUCUUACCUCGGUUGGAGAGGCGUGUAGGAUAACUCUCAAGGUACAACUUUAGAGUUCACUUCAUGCCAAACUACCACGUGAGGGUGAACUCAGCCAACGCUAAGGAACGGCUAUGUUUUCAAAAUAAAAAUAUGAUUUAUGUGUACAUGACUCUUUAACAGCCUUGGCGAACUCGGUUAGGAUAGCCUCAAGCCAAGGUAUCCCUGAUAACUGAGUAUGAGAAUGAUUUUGGCACAAGCCAAGUUUCUAAGAAAGUCAUAAGCCAUGUUGUUUGUUUUUGAAAAAAAUGUAAUGGUUUUAUCUGAGUUGAAAUAAGUUUUAAUAUUAUGAAUUAUAUUUCUCUGCAUGGUGAAAAUGAAAUUAAACAGCUUUUCGCAGCUUCCUUGUUUGUUUAUCUAUGAAAUGAAUCUGUAAUUCCUCGCAUAUAGGGCGAGUUAUGAUUUGUGCAUGAUUUUAAAUAUUAUUUGGUUUCGCGGGAGCUCACUAAAUUUUAUUGAUUUGAUUCGAAAAUGAUUAUUAAUAUAUUUUGAUGCGAAAAAUUUUAUUACCUCGAUUAUUUAUACUUUAUAAGAAAUUCUCGAUUUUUAUAUAAGGCACAAACCCUCGUUUGAAACGAGUUGCUUUUAUAAUCUUACAUUUUUAUAUUCAACUGAUCUGUCGUUCGCUUGUUUCCCAUCUACGCCCUACUAGCUGAGUCGAUGAUUAUCACUGAGUUUAUGAGACUCACACCCCUUUAUUUCCCUUUUUGCAGAUAGGGAUCCGCCUAGCGUGUAAUCAGUGACGCAUUCGGUCCACCGUGAUAGGUAAAGGCAUCUCCUAGCAUUUUAUUCUGAGUCGCUCCACUGUUAGAGGUCAAGUCGUAGCAUUUUAUUUAUUAAGUUGUAAACGAAUUCUAAAUUUUUAUAUAAGCAUUAAUUUAAAGAUUAUAGAUUUUAAUGCAUAUACUUACGAAUAAAAGGAAAAAGUUUGUAUUGAUUUUUGUAUUUAUGGUUCAAUUUAUUAUAUGAAAGUAUCAAUAUUAUAUAGUUAUUGAAUGUAGUGGAUUAACGAGCAAAUUCUAGACAGGCUUGUUCGAGACUUGGCGAUCUUUUUUGGAAGUCUUGGACGCUGGUAGCAACCGGGGAGAGGUCGUUGCACCGUGUGCCAUGUGUUAUGUUGAUAUAUAUAUAUAUCUAAAUAUAUAUGAUAUGUAUUGAUAACAAUAUUGUUUGUACUUAUCACCGAGCAUGUGCGCAAUAUGGGGGAGCACAUGCUGGGUGUGGGAGUGUGGAUGAUGAUAUUGCUUGUGAGCGAUGUGAGAGAUGCACACGAUGACUCCAGCUAUGUGUACGAUGUGGGGGUUGCACAUGAGCUGGGUGAGAUGAUGGUGGUAUUGGUGGUUAUGUAUGUAUAUAUAUAUAUAUAUUUAUGCAAUAGAAAGUUCAUGAAUAUAGUAUAUGGUUGUAAUGUAUGUGAAAUCUUAUAUGUUGAACCUUGGGAAUUGCUAAGUAUUUUGAAGUUGAUUUUGUCAUUGCAGCAGAAUGGCCUUUUCUUGAUAUAAUGAAAACUUUUUCUUGGUGUCCUGUUUCUCGUUGAGUGAUAAACUCUCGGGUUGGGAGGCUGGCUAUAGCCUUGUAACUCACUGCAGCAAGAAUACAUUCUCUCUACAACGAGAUGCCUAUGGGAAAUUUCAUUGCAGCGAGAAUUCAUUCUCACUGCUGAGAGAAACCUUAUGUUGUGCUUGCUACCUUGUUUGGUUACGACCCUAUUUUUCACUUCUUUAGCACCAUAAUUGAUCUUGGACUUCCAACAUCAAGGAAUUAAUUGAUUAAGUUUGUAAUGAGGGGUUUUAGUGAGAAUGCCUUUCCUCUGCAGCGAAAACCCAUCAUUUCGCUUGACUUGCUUGAAUGCUACUAAAGUUUUCACUCUUCAAAUUCUUGGUUAUGUAUGGAUCUUUCAUCAUCAAGUGAUUAACCAAUUAAGGGUUUAAUAAGGGGUUUAAAUAAGAAUUAAAUAAAUUGCAUUAUUUUUGAAAAUAAGUGCAUCAUGAUUUCUUAAACUUUUCUUAUUGUUUGCUUGUUCCCUUCCUUUGUUCACUCACUGGGUUUAUACUCACUAUUUUCAACUUCAUGUUUUUAGAUCAGGAGGCAGUCGGUAACUAGAUCGAGGUGUCGUCGUAGAUUCAUCUCCUUGGUAGGUAUCUCAACAUUCAAUAGUUGUACUUUCGCCCGAGUCUCUCUGUUGGAAGUCAGGUAUCCUUUUUGUUGUGUAUAGACAAACCCGAUGUAAAUUAUUAAGAUGUAUGUUGUAGACGAUACAUGCAUAUUUUGAUUGGUAAUGCCACUAUGAAUUGGUAAUGGUUAGCAUUAUUUUGAAUUGGAAUUAUGAAAUGUGACUUUAGCAACUUUUGAUGGAUUGAUAAAUAGGUAAUAUAAAUAGGCUUGCUUGGGCUUAGUGAGCUACGUCCAUUAGGCUCAUGCGCCGGUCAUGGCUCAAAAAUUUGGUCAUGACAGCUGAUGAUCACUGAGUCUAUGAGACUCACCCCUCUUUUUUCCUUUUGCAGAUAGUGAUUGGCCUAACAUGAAAUUAUCAGCACUUAUGGUCCACCGUAAAGAGGCAUAGGCAUCUCAUAGCACUUUAUUUCGAGUCGUUCUGUUGUUAAAGGUCAAGUUGGUCAUAGCAUAAGUUAAUUGUAGAUAGUGUUUGUGAGACCCCAACCUCUAUAGGCUUGUAGCUAAGCACAGAUGUAAUAAUACGAGCUAGGGGUAGUUUUGUCAUUUUUUGUAAUAAACUCCCAGAAGAAAGUUUUAUGAUAUUUUAAGGCUUAAAUGGGUAUAAGACUACAUAAAUGAUGUGUGCUGAUGAAAACACAAAGAAAACUAGAAGUUUCAAUAAUUUUCAUAACAGGGGUAAAAUGGUCAUUUUUCACCUCGAGUUCAAAUUUUAUGUUUUUAUGAACCCGAGCAUGUUUGGACCAUUAUGGAUAUUGUCCCAGUGUUAAAAGAGCAAAAAGAUUGCAUAAAAGAUUGGAGUAGAGUAAGUUAAUUGGUGAAGGGGCAUUUUCUUAAUUUUAAAGGAAAAGAUAAGAUUGCCUAUAAAUACCUUGAAUUUCUAGCAACUUCUUGAAUUUUCUAGCAGCUGGUCUUCUUCUUCCCUUCUCCUCUCUCAUGUUUCUUCAAACUCCAUGGAAGCUUGAUUUUCAAACUUCCAUAACUUUCUCUCUCUAGCUCCAAUUUUCAUGCUUUUGGUGCACCCUUCCAUAAACCCUUGUGCUAUUUCAUUUUCUCACUUCAAAAAUCUUGAAAUAUCUUGUUUUCAUGCUUUCUCUCACUAGUUGGGCGUUUUAUAGAGAGAAAGAGAGAAUCACUCCAUUGAUUUGGAAGCUAUUAGAAGAGAAUCCAACUAUAAAGGAACCCUAGGGUGAGUGUUGCACCAAGUUUGAUUUUUAGCUGCAGAAAAUGGCUAGUAAUUGUGAUUUAUGAGCUGUUUUAUUGUUUAGUAUGUUCAUUACUUUUUAGUGAUUAAGAUAGUGAUCAUAAAUAGCCAUUUAAAGUGGCAAUUGAAAACUAGCUAAGAGAUAGCUUUUAGAGUUCAUAGUGUGUAAAUUAAUGUUAUGAUAAGGGUAUAUGAUUGCUAGUGGUGACAUAUGCCCAAAGGAUGAUUUUUGGCAUAUCGCAAAAUGUGGAAUAGAUAUGUUGGAAUUAAUGUUUUGAUUGUGUACUUGUGAUAGAAAGCAAGUGCUGCAAAUUGUGGUAUAGGCUUAGAAGAAAGCCAUAUGAUUGAGAAUGAUUAAUGUAGCAGCCUUACGGGUAGAAGAAUUGCUUUGAUAAAGUAAAUUCCAACAGCCAUAGCGACACAACAUUGACUCUUCAGCGCUGCAGCGUUUAAGCCACCUAAUUUCCAAUAGCUACAAUGCCUCAACGUUGACUGUCCAGCACCUUAGCGCUAAGAACACCUCAUGUCUAUGACGCAUGAGCAAGAUGUGAGUGGCAUGGUGAUGAGCUUACAAGUGAAAUUAUGGUCCCGGACUUGAUGUUAAGCUUUGUUAAUUGGAGUUAUAAGUGUUUUGGAGAAUGUUCAUAUGAAUGAAUUGAAAAGUUUCUUUAUUGCCUUGUAUGCGGGCGUAACGACCUCUAACCUGAUUGUUGCCGGCAUCCGAGACUUGCAAGUAAACCCGCCAAAUCUUGAACAAGCCUAAGUCGACCUUCCUAUUAAUUCCAUCAAAUAUACCUUCAAGAAUACAUUGACUAGCAAUAAUGAUACUAUCGUUAACAAUUAACAUGAUCAAAUGUCAUUAAACUCCAUACAAAAUUAACGUCACACUUAAUAUUCAUUACACAAUCACAAGUCUUUAACAAAUAUAGAUCCAUAAGGUUAACAAUACUUUAUAACAUCUAGCGGUUCUACGUGACACGACCCUAGGUAGUGGAAUGACUGGGAGUGGAGGGCUACAAGAUGCCACUACCUACGUCAUAGCAAAACAAGAUAUGUUAGACAACAUGCUUACAAUGAUCACUUGUCUGUAAAAGAAGGUGAAGGGGCUGAGUCUCACAUAUUCAGUGAUCAUCAACUCCGUGAGUAGGGUGUAGAUGGGAAAUAAGCUAAAAGUAGAGAAUUUGAAUGUUAAAAAUGAAGAAUAUAUAAACAGCUUAACUUAAAAAGGGAUGUGUGCCUUACAGGUAAACCAAGAAAUUUAAUGCAAGAUAAUUAAUCCAAAUCAUCAUUAUAUACGUAUCAAAACCAUUUAAUAUACACAUGCAUGCUCUCGUCAAGCUAAACUCUUGGAAAACUUAUAAGCAAGUUCACAAAUCACCUCAUGCAUGAGGAGUUAAAACCACAUCAUUGUAUAAACAAGGAAGCUGUCGAAAAUCUUAUUGCUCUCACCAUGUGUAGGAAUAUGAGUUCGAAAACCCAAAGAGACUUUACUCUCGAGUAGAAAAUAAAAUAAAACCCGUGGACCCAUUUCCAUGUAUUAACAUUUGGGAGCCCCACUCCAUCGGAUCUUACAUGCCAUGGCAGUCUCAACGAUGUUGGUUGACAUAAGAGAAAUCAAGCGAUCACAACCCUGAAUAUCACUGGUGGCCUAGCCACAUAUAUAUCAUAGACCAUGGCCCCAACCAUGUCUAACAACCCGUCGGUGACCCAAGGUUUCUUUAGCUAGAGUUCACUUGUGCACAAGGGUCACACUUAACCGAAGUGACAACCGGUAUACUCUCGAAUCUCCCGAUUUAGUUAAACCAUUUAAAAAUCGAGUUACGUUUUCAAAGGCUCAUUUCAAAACCUUUAUAAGCUUUGUAAUAUAAAAUCAUUGCAUGAAGUUAAUGUAUAAAUUCGUAUGGUGAACAUAUGUUUAUUUCAUGAAUGCACACCGCACAAACAUCAAGGGACAAUUGAUAGAAAAUCAUGGUGUAAAGGCUUGUUUCCCAUUUAAAAAGCACUUUACUUAUCUAACUUAUAUAUAUAAUAUCAAACAUUUCCAACCUUCUAAAAACAUUCACAAAGUUCCUAGGAUUCUACUAGCUCAUGUUAUCCACAAAUUUGGGUUUAAAGUAAAUCAAUAAGUAUAUAUAUAUAUAGUUACGAGAAUUUUUAAAAUGGACACCCCUUACUUACCUCGCAAUAGCGGGAUGCUACAUCGUUAUUGAUUCAUGUGCGUAUAUAACUAAUCCUAUUUGUCGAUCACUCCUUACCUCGGCCAGCACACCACCACAGCUCACUUCCUCUAUUUAUACAUUUCCUAGCAACCAUUCAAACACAAUUCUCUUAUGUACUUGUGCAUGACAGCAAAUCAACAAAUAAAUUCUUAAAUCUUAACAUGCACAAUUCUUAUCCUUAUUUUCUUCCACAUUGCAUCCUUACAACAUCAAUGUCACCACCAAUACAAGCAUUCCUCCUAAUCUAUAACCAUAUAACAUAAACAACCAAAGAUUUGGCCACAACUUGCCUUACCUUUACUCAAUAAUUCAACUCGAGCUUAAAAUCAAGAAAUCUCACAUUCCUUGUGGUUCACAAACAUGCAUGGUUUCCUCUUACUGUCACAAACAUUUUCACAUGUUAUAAUCGGUUUAAAAAGCAAAUAUUCUAUCAAACUAACAAUUUCUACCUUCCUUACCUUGAAAUCUUUAUGCCAAACCUCCAAGCUCUCCUUGAUUCUCAACAAUGGCAUAUGGGUCGGAGGAAAAAGCUCUUGAUUUUUCUCUAAGUCUUCCACCCAAACCUUCCCUCAUUUCUCUCUUUUUCUUUCUUUCUUUCUUUCCUUUCUUUUCUCUUUUCUUCUUUCUUUCUUCCCCUUUCUCUUUCCUCUUUGGCUAUGGGCGGAUUCUUUCAAGUUGAGCCUUGAAAAUGUUUGGCUUUCCUUGUUUAUUUUUGCACUCAUACGGGCGGAUUGCCCAAUGUUUGCCUUUUUCCUUAUUUUUCUUUUCUUUUUUCUUUGUUUUCUUACCAUGGGCAGAUUGCCCAAUGUUCCAUAGCUUUUUGACUUUUUUCCCACUUAUUUUAUGGUAUAAAAUCACAUGGCAAAAGGCAUUGCCACCUUCCACCCACCACUCACAUUUCAUUCUUUAUUUUUCAUCAUUUUUCAUUUCUUUAUUUCUUAUACCAUUUUUACUUUAUAUCUUAUUUAAUCAUUUAUUGUCCCAUCCAAACCUCAUUCACCCCACUUUCUUCUUCCCUCAUUUGACCACCAUUGAACCAAUCACCUUUCAUGCAAACCAAUUUUUAAUCUUAUUCUUUCUUUUACUUUACAUGGUAGGGGUCCCACAUGUCUCUCACUAACUUUUCCUUUUUGCAUGCUAUGGUUGCAUUUAAUACUAACUUUUACAUGUACAUCACAUUUUCCACUUAGUCUAACCUUCCUUGGUUAGCAAAUUCCCCUUUUUAACUCUAAAUAUUGAAAUUACAAAUGAGUCCUCAAACUUUUUCUUAUUUACCAUGCGACCCCUCCAACUUUCAUCCUUUAUAAUUGGGCCAUUCCAACAUUUCUUAUGUCAUGACCCGAUACUCCCCUCGAGCCCGUGACAACCGUCGCGGCUUCCUGAUAGACAUUCAUUGCCCAAAAUGCCAACCAAAACCUCGCAAGGCUUUAAUAUCAGCUUUCGCACCUCCCUUGUGAGCAACAGCUGUUAAGUAUCAUGUUUUGAGAGAUUAUAAACUAUUUCCAAAUCAAAACAAUAGAAAAAUAAUUUUUUUUCUGACGGGCAUUUUGGUCAUUUUUUCUCAAAACUCUCGAAACUAGCUAAAAAUGUAGUAUGCGAGUGGAAAACACAUAUUUCAUAAUAAAAAUAAGUUUAGAUGUCUAAUACAUACAUUUAAAGUGAAACUAUACUUAUUUGAAUAUAAUAAAAAUAUUCAAUAAAAUAUUUUAUUUUCUUAUAAAACAAUAUUUAUAGAGUUACCGGUAAAUAAUUUUUGUAGCGUAAAAGCUAAAUAAAUUCAUACAUACUGUAAUACAGAUAACCAAAGCAUAAGAUUUUAUUUACAGUGACACGUGGACCGACGAACGACCAAAAGUAUCAAAAGCGAUAAACCUACAGUUUUUGAGGAUGCAAGUCCAACUGUAGCCCUCAACGAAAUGAGCUAUCUACCGACUAUCCUAAGUCUGAAAGGGGUGGAAAGGAGGGUGGUGAGAUUAUAUAAUCCCAGUGAGUAAACAAAUAUCAUCUAAAAUAUCUAAAGCCAAGUAAAUGGAGACAGACAAAAUAGAUUAGCAUAAAAAUGAUUCACAUCAUUUCGAACUCAUUUUAAUAAGAUAAAAUAGAUUCAUUUCAUCCAAAUAAACAACGAGGCUUAUGAUUUCCUGAAAAGCUUGGCUGGUGCCAAAAUCAUUCUCAUACUCAAUUAUCAGGGAUACCUUGGCCUAAGGCUAUCCUAAUCGAGUCCGCCAAGGCUGUUAAAAAGUUAUGUACGCAUAAAUCAUGUUUUUAUUUUGAAAACAUAGCCAUUCCUUGACGUUGGCUGAGUUCACCCUCAUGUGGUAGUUUGGAGUGAAGGUUGUACCUCAGGAGUUACCCUACGCACCUCCCCAAUCGAGGUAAGAAUAUAACAGGAUUACGUGCCCCUCAAAAAGGUUGGUCCACAAAACCCGCCCACUGCAACAAGUUAAACCCACCAUACAAUAAAAUUUGCAAUAGCAUGACAUAGAAAUUAUUUUAUUUUACAGCCUCUCAAGGAAAAUCAAUAGUUCAUACAUUUUCAGCACAUUUACCAAUUCAACCAUUCAUGCCAAUAUUAUCAUAAGCCAUUCAAUUCAAACCAUGAUUUAUAACACAGCAAUUAGUGUCCAAUUACUUCAUUUUCAAAACCAUCUUUCAAUUUCAAGACAAUUUUAUAAAAUCAUUUCAUUUAAUCACAUUUUUGCUUAUAAAACAUAAAGAUUUACCAUUUAAACUCAUUUUCCAUAAAAUCACAAAAAUGAAUUAAAAUUCACUUUAGAUAAUCAAGAUGAUGAUAAGGUUAUUCACUGUAUCAGGAGUUUGAAAUACUUCUAUUCUCAGUCCUCUGACACAACGUCUUUACCCUUGUUAGAGAGCUCACCACCUAUAUACAAUACACGACACAUAAUUCAAUAUAUUGUGUCAUACCAUUAUAAAUCUAUUUCAGACUCUUUACUAAUGCAUGAAAUGGGAUGUGAAAUGCUCGAGUAACCAUCUAAAUACGGUGUUCAAUAUAAGUUCAAUUGUGUACCUAACUAAAAUGGUAUCGGCCUAAUUCGAUCUAUCACCCGAUUAAUUGGCCAAUACGUCCAAUUCAACUCCAAAUAAUUUCAUUUUUCUCCCAAUACUCCAAAUCAUCAAACAUAAGUCAAAUAGCAUAAAAUUUAGCAAAAAUCAUCUUCACAUUUUCUCUUGGGAAUUUCGGCCAUGGUGGGUGCAUCAAUACUAUGAUUUUUCCUACUUGAUUUUCUCACCGUAAUUCAUCAUUUCCUAACCAAUUCACUUGAAAUAAAAUCAAAAUCAUCAUCAAUAUUCUACAUGGAGAAUUCGGCCAAUGAGGGUUAUGGAAGAACAUGAAUUUUUCUUGCUUGAUUUUCAUGCUACACAUCACCAAUCAACUAAAAACACUAGAAUAUCUUAAAAUCUAACCAAAACAAUCAUCAAAAUCUCUCUCUAAGUGUUCAGCCAGCAAAAUACCCAUCAUGAAAUCAUGUGAUUCAACCAUGAAAAAUGCAAAAGAAUGUAUGGGAAAGGUAGAUCACAAGUCAAAAUCAAGAAAUUUUACCUUUGAUUGCUUGAUACUUGAAAUCCACGAAUUUUCUCUUGAAUUUUCACUCUAGGGUUUUUGUUCUUUCUUUUCUUCCUUUGUUCGUGCUUUGGCCGGCCAUAAGAAUGAAUGUGGAAGAGUUCAAAUUGGCUUUAUAAAGGAAAAUAUUGAAUGGAGAAAAAUUUGACAUGUGUCACCAUUUCAUUGGUCCAUGUGUCAUACUUACCCAUUAAGCAAUCUCUCUCUACCACUUAAAUUUCCUCAAUUAUCCAUGAUAAUAUUGGGUAAAAUCCAUGUGCUGGACAAGUGUCGAGUGGUGUAGAAUUCCGAUUUUGCCCUUGGGCGACAAAAUGAUUAUUUUACCCUUAUGCUUUAAAAAAUGUCGAAAUUAAAAUUUUUCACUUCUUAAACUCAAAUUAUGUUCUAAAUAGUCAAUCUUGAUCAAAAACUUCUUCCAACAUUCCAAUUUUAACCUCAGGUGGCAAAAUGACCACUUUGCUCCUAGGUCAUCAAAAUUCCAAUUUGACUCUAUAUUGGUCCUCAAACUCCGAAUCACCAUCUUAAGUCAUUCUAGGGUUUUAAAAUUCACAAUUUCAUCUUAAAAUCUCUAUUUGUACUAGUUUGAGGUUUAAUUCAACUUAAUUGUACCAUUUGGUACAUUGUCGUCUUUUAACGAUUUUCAAGGUACCCAAGUAAUCAAACAUGCAUUCUUAUAUAAGAAUAGCAUAAUAAACAUAUUGUAGAGUCGGGCUUGACAUUUUAAACUCCAAUUUCCUUAUAUUUUCCUUCCUAAACAUGUGUACAAACAAAAUAUAACGUUUGCAUUCCAACACGGUAUCACCAUAAUAUUUAAAUAUAUACUUACCCGCGCUAGCUCAAUUUAGUAAAAACAAGUGGGCCCCACUAACAUCAUUUUUCCUUCAAAAUCCUUUCUACUUCUUCUCCUCCACUUGGAUUAGUCAUAUAACUCUUCUUUCUAACUAACUUCAAUAAUGAAUAAAAGAUUAAUAUUUUAAUAUUAUUUUAUUCAUAAAAUAUUAUUUCAUUCUAAAAUAUUCUUUUUGCUUGUCACCGCUCUCUGGCACUUAAAUUAUACGUCAAAUGACAUUUCAUGUUAUCGAUAAGGCCUUAUUGGCUUCCGAAUAAGGGUACAGGGCAUUAUAGUGGGCAUGUAAUUAAAAGAAAAGUUGAAAGUUCUUGAGAUGGCUACAUUGAGAUAAGAUAUAAUGUGAAGUAUUAAAAUGAACACUAUGUUGACUAAAGUCAAAUCUUAAGAAUAAAGAAGACAAGAGAGUAAGCCUUGUCAAAGGCUAAGGAAAGAGUGGGUGAAAGUUUAGAUGAAAGUAUGAAACAUUGAUAAAGGAAUGCCAAUACCAAGUGAGGGAAUUGUGAAUGAAGGAUUAUAAAGUUGGCGUAGCAAAUGAGCUAAUAUAACUAAAAGAUUGCUUUGAGGAUUUACAAAUCUUAUUUUGACAUAGUGGAAAGAAAAAGAGCAGUAACAACACGUUGUCAAUCAUGUGUCAUGCUAGAAACCCAUGAGCAUAAAUUGAGGUAUGAAUAGAUGAUUAUGCAUUCAGAUAUCUUGGAGAAUAAGUGUAUGCUUGUUGGAGUGGUAUGCUCGAAAUGCUAAUGAACAAAUAGGUAAUUAAGUGUUUCAAAAAUACAUCGAAGUUUUAAAAAGGAUGUACCAAACUACAUGUGGCAAGAAUGAUUGUUGGUAUUAUUUUGGAAUAUGUUAUAUGCACAAUGAUGUAAUGUGGUAUUUGGAAAUUGCUAAGGAGCCUAAUAGUUAAACCAUGAGUUAGGCAGUUACAUGUUGUGAGACAUAAACUUUAAGUGGGCAUUUGCAAGAAAAUACUCAAGAGGAAUCUACUAUGAAUCUUGUGAAAACAAGCAAUGAAUUGUGUAGUUACAAAAAAGAAGUUAUAAGUUUGAAAAUGAACACUUUUAAUGACAUUGAGAAGCAUUUAAGUAAAAUCCUGAUUCGAGUUUUAUAAUUACGAGUACUAAUCGUAUGAUGGAUAAAGAGGAAUGAUGUUACAUUAGUAUAAAAGAAUAGUACAAAAGAUGAUUGAAGGUAACCAUGCUAAUGAAGUCGGUUAAUGAAAACCUCCAAAUGUAUUAUGGAAAUUGAAAUUUGAAAACGUAUGAGUUAUGCAUGGCUCAAAUAAGUCUAAGUCUUAAGUGACUAAUUAAUAUUAAAAAGCAAUAAAGAUAUAAUGUAUAUGUUAGAGGUAUGAAAGAUAAUUAAGAAAUGAGGAUGACUUUUGGGAAUUGUGGUAUUGCAUAAGAUGCCAUGAUCAAGUAAUGAUGAAUCUUGAAGGGUCAAUGAGAUUAUAAAGCAUAUACAAAUAUUGGAUUGCAACUUAAUGAAAAGGAUGUUUAGCAAAUAAGAUGUGAUUAAUGACAUUAUGAUGCAAAAGGAUAUAUAUAGUACACUAAGACUUAUGCAUAUGAUUGGAAAUGAUAACAAAAAAAAGCAUAAACAUGUAAAUUAUGUGAAGUUAUGCAUAGGCACAAUGAGAAUCCGUAUGGAUUACACAAGAGAUAACUUAUGGUAGGAUGUAAGUUAAAUGGUAACUUAAACAUCCAAAAAGGUAAUCUGGAAUUGAUUAUGCCCUAAUAUUCAUGGAUUAAAUUUAAAUCAUAGGAAUGAAAUGGAAAAGUAAAAAGGGAAACAUGGACUACGAGAAUAUGAUUUUGAACCUUGGUUAUGGAUUACAAUGAAUAAAGGGAAUUUAGUUCGAACGCAGUUGACGAGGGUUCCUACGUAUAGUGAUAGAUGUCGACACUUAAAUGUGUUUGUACAUACAUAUAUGUGGAGAUGAUUAUGUGACCAACUAAAGUGAAGAAUUAUUCUUAGUGAUUUGAGAUUUGAACCCAAUAUGUUUGAUGAGAUGUAUAGAUGAUACAAUGAUAGAGGGCACUUUCAGAAAUUGAGUUAUGGUGAUAUGGAAGAAUUCUGAAGCAAUAGUCAAGGAAGGAAUAUCAGGAAAUGGAAUCUAUAGUGUGGUUAAGCCAUUCAAGAUGGGUUAAUAUGGUUGAGAUGUAAGAAUUGAUUAAAUUCUAAGACAUAGUUGUAUUGGACUCUCCAUAAGGCAAUAGUGCAAUGGAUGGAGAAUAAAUGGUGAUGGUACUAUAAUGUGAGUAUUUGGAGAAAUUGAUUAAGGAAGAUAAAAUUCAAUUUUGUCAAUGAUGAUCAAAAAGUUCUAAGUCACAAUAAUGAUAAUAUAUUUUGAGACAUGAAGAACUAGAGUUUAUGAAGAAAAUUUGGUGGUGAAUGAAAGGGCUUACAAUUAAAGUUAAAGAUCUGCAAGAGAGUUACCUUUCCACAUGAUAUAAAUUGUAUCGAAUUAAGAAUGAUGCAGAAGAGUAAACCUUUGAACGUGCAAUUAAUGGAAAAAUUAAGAAGAUUGGAGUCGCAUAAAUGCAAGAUAAGCAUGAAGUAUGAGAGAAUAAUUGAAAGAUUCAACUUCCCUUAAUGUCAAAAAUUUAUAUAGGAAGGAAUAGGGCAUAUUUAUAAUGCCAUAAAGUUAUGUAACAGUGAAUAGGGAUAAGAUGAAUGAAUUUUGAAAAGUUUAACAAGAAUUGAAAUAAAGAUGUGGUAAUUAGGUAUACAUAAGUAAGCAUGAUUUGUGAUCAAAAUCGGUAUGAUUGAGAUUGAGAUGUGUUUAAGGUUUGUAAUAGAGUUAAAGGCAUACUUGAAAUCUUAGUUGUAAGAGAAAACAAAUGAUGAAGGGUACCGUUGUUUUGUCUCAAGGUGAUAAAAGGUGUAACUUACGUACCUAAUCUUGUAAAGUGUUCUAGUUAAAUUGAAAGUAAACGAAGUGACUAAAUCAAAUUCCCUAUGAAGAAGGAAAUGGAAUAAGAUCAAAGAGUGAGAUUAAUGACCCACCUCUGAUGUGAAUUCAGGGAUGAAUUCUUUUUAAGUGGGGGAGACUGUAACAUCCCGUACCCUUGUAUGGAAGCCAAUAUGACCUUAUCGACAAGAUCAAGGGUCGAUUGAUGUAAAUCUAAGUGUCAAAAAAUAGUUAAAGGAUAAAGGAAUUUAAUACCUCGUACUUUGAUAUGGUGGCUAAUAAAGCUUAUCGGAUGUCAAUUAAGGUUAAUUAUAAUAUUUAAAAGUGAUGAAAGGUGAAAGAAAUAAUUUGGAGAAAAAUAUUUUGCACACGAAGAAAUAAUAAUUGAAUAAUAAUAUUUUUAUUGAGCAUGAAUUAGUGAGAUAAAAAGUGAUUUAGAAGUGAAUCGGGCCAUGAUAAGACAUUUUGGGUGCCAAGAAGACACAUGAAAAAUUUUAGAAUAAAAUAAUAAUUUAUUAAUAAAAUAAUAUUAAAAUAUUAUUAUUUUAUUCAAUGUCAAAAUUUUCCAUGAAGAAUGAGUAUAUGAUCAAUCUAAGUGGGGAAGAAGAAGAACGAGAAAAUUUCAAAGGAAAAUGACGUUAAUGGGGCUCGCGUGUCUUUAUUAAAUAAAACUAGCGCAAGUAAGUAAAUAUUUAAAUAUUAUGGUGAUACCGCGUUAAGCUAUAAACUUGAUAUUUUAUUGGUACAAGUGUUAAGGAAGAAAAAUAGGAAGAAAUUGGAAUUAAAAGAUUGUGGGAGGAAUUAAUUAAAAAUGGUGAAAACCUUGAAGGGUAAAAUGGUAAUUUUGCAUUAGUCAUCCUUAUCUCAUGGCCGGCCAUCAUGUCCAAGGCAUUAUCUUCCUUCUUGUUCUCCUUCCAAUGCCAUUUUCAUCCUCCACCAUAAAAAUCAAGCUUUUUUUCCAUUUUCUUUUGCUUCUUUUCUUUUCAUUUCUUUUCUUUUCUUACUUCUUUCUUCUCCUAACUUCUUGGGCACCAAACCUGCAGCUUCUAACUCCAUUUUUCAGCACAACUAAACCCUAGGAAGGAGAAGGAAAAAUCUCUCUUUCUUUCCUUUAUUUUCUAUUUCUACUCCGCCAUCAUCGCCAACACUUGAAUUUUCAACUUCAAAUCUCCAUUUUUAAGGCUAAAAGGUAUAUAUUUUCAACUCUUGAAAUUUAUGAAUUUAUGGGUUAUAUUUUCAGAUUUUAUUUCCUAAUUUCUUCAAAUUCCUUUUCUUGGAAAUAUUAGGCUUUUGUUGAUCUUUAUGCCUCCAAGCUCACCAAGGUAAAGAACUUUUAAAUUGGAAUAGUUGAUAUGAUGGGUUUGAGAAUUAGACUAGAAUUUUAGGUUAAAAAUUAGGCUAAAAUGUAGUUUAUCAAGCGUAUGAUUAUUUGAAUUAUUAAGUUUAAAUUUAUGAUAUAUUUGAAGCUAUUAUCGUUUAUUGGCAAUUAUAGGUUUUAAUGGUAUUUCGGGACUACCUGGAUUAAGAUUUUGUUAGGUGGCAUCGUUAGGUGAGUGAACUUGCAUUUAAAAAUGUUUUAGGAUAAAUACACAUGUGUUUGAAUGAAUCAUUUGAAAACUUUAUUUGCCUUUGCUUUAAAAUGUGCUUGGGAACAAGCCCUUGAUGAAAUGUCUUUAUGUUGUGAAAUUGUGCAAUGUAAUUAACUCAUGUGUUCCUAAAUUAUGCAAUACGUAUAAUGUGAUGAAUUACAUAUUUGAAAUAUUAUGUUGAAUUGACAAUUGAUUUGUGGCAUGUGAUGUAUUGUUAUGCAAAGAUACUUGUUACAUGUGCCAUGCAUUGAAAUGUAAUGUUGAAUGAGAAUUGUAACAACACGUGUGCGGCGUGGGAGUGCACAUGCUGGUGAUGACGAGUAAUUCCAGCUAUGUGCGGUGUGGGAGUGCACAUGAGCUGAUGACCGACGGGUGAUGAUUCCAAGUAUGUGCAGUGUGGGAGUGCACAUGAGCUGAUGACCGAUGGUUGUAUACAUGUUUACACAUACCAUAGAAAUGUUAGAGAAAAUAUUAUUUGAUUGCAUUGAAUGUUGAAAGUUGAACUUCCUAAAUGUUUUAAAAUGAGUUUAAGAACAGCACAUCAUCGAGUUUUGUUCAUAAUAUACAAGUUUGCAUUGCUUUUAAAUGAGUGCAUCAUGUUUUCGAAAAACUCUCCGUAUCGUUUGCUUGUUCGUUUCCUAUGUUCACUCACUGGAUUUAUCUCACUCUUUUUAACUUCAUGUUUUCAAAUUCAGAGGUAGUUGGGACCUAGAUUGAAGUGUCCAUUUGUAUUCGCCAUUUGGUAGGUACCAUGGCAUUCUGUAGAGGCACCCACAUCCAGAGUCACUCUGCUGAUAGUCAAGGUCUUUUGCAUGAGUAUAUAUAGUUACUUAAAUAUAAAUUAUGAGAUUGUUGUGCACUUUGUAUGUUGAUUGAUUAACCAUGUCGUUUAGGGUUGACGAAUGAUAAUCCUAUUUUGGGAACGUUAUAUAUAUAUAUAUAUAUAUAUAUAUAUACUACUUNAUAUAUAUAUAUAUAUACACUUGGUUCUCACAGUCUAAUUUCAAAAGAACAUUCAUUAGAAAUUACAAGUAUUAGAUCUUAAAGAAAGAGAGGCUUGCUUGGGCCUGGUGGGCUAUGCCUAUUAGGCCCUUGCGCCGGUCAUAGCUCGGGAAUUGGGCUGUGAUAGGAAUAUUUUGAAAUAAAAUAUUCUGCACGUGAGAAUAUAGUAAUUAAGUAGUAAUAUUUUAUAAAGAAUGAAUUAACGAGUUAAAAAGGUGAUUCGGAAGAUAACCGGGACAAAGUGAGACAUUUUGGGUCUCGAGGAGACAAGUGGAAAAUUUUAAAACAAAAUAAUAAUUUUUGAAUAAAAUAAUAUUAAAAUAAUGCCGAUGUCAAAUUGGUUAUAUUACAUGAAGAAUGUGCAAUUUGUACAAUUUGUCUAAGUGGGGGAGUGGAAGUAAGGAAGAAUUUUGAAGAAAAUGACAUUAGUGGAGCCUGCAUGUCUUUAUUAAAUAAAGCUAGAGCGGGUAAGUAUAUAUUUAAAUAUUAUGGUGACACCUUGGUGAAGCGAAAAUUUGAUAUUUUAUUUGUACAUAUGUAAAGGAAGAAAGAUAGAAGGAAAUUGGAAUUAAAAGAAAUGAUUGAAGUACCAAAUUGUAAAGGAUGAAAAGUAUGGAGGGUCGAAUGGUAAAUAAAGCAAAGUUGAGGACUUAUGUGCAAUUACAAUAUUUGAAGCUAAAUGGAAAUUAACUAACCAAGGAAAAAUUAGGUUGUGUGGGAGGAUGGAAUAUGCAUGUAAAUUCACUAUUACAUGCAAAAAUAUGCAUGCAAGGAGAAAGUUAAUGGGGAACAUGUGGGACCCCCACCAUGUGAAGUAAAAAGAAAAGUAAGCUUAAAUCUAUUUGUAUGUAAGGACAUUGGUGCAUUAGGUGGCCAAAUGAGAAAUAAGAUGGGAGAAUGCAUGAAGGACCAUUGGUUGGCAAAGUGGUCAAAUGAAAAUAAAGGAAGAUUGGUGCAUAUAUUGCGAUUGGUUCCAAUAGGCGGCCAUAUAAAUACUAAGUUGCAAGAGUGAAAGAGAGAAGUGAAGAGGACUUUGGUGAGACUUGAGGGCUAGCCAUUUAAAGAAGAAAAGAAAGGAAAGAAAGCUUGAGAGGUUCCUCCCAAAGUAGAGAUUACUUAACGUGCCACACAUUUUGGGAGCAUGCAUACUUUUAUACUAUUAUUCGUAUUUUGAUGCAAAGUGAUGCUUUUAAUGUUUGAAAUCUAAUUUUGAUACGUUCGUUUUUGGCAUCUUUUGCCAAGUGAAAUAUUGCAUUAUGAUUUUAAGGCAUUAUUUUUACGAGGCACAAACACCUUACUUGUGAUUUGAUUUUUCUAAUAUUAUCAUUUUUUAUUUCGAUUUUACUAUUCAAAAGAUCUACUUAAGCUUGUUUCUCAUCUACACCAUACUCACGGAGCCGAUGAUCACUAAGUCUAUGAGACUCACCCCUUUUUUUCCCUUUUACAAAUAGUGAUCGGCCUAGAGUGUAACCAUUGGCACUUCUGGUCCACCGCGGAUAGGUAAAGGCAUCUCAUAGCACUUUAUUUGGAGUCGCUCCACUACUAAAGGUCGAGUCGGUCAUAGCAUAAGUUAAUUAUAGAUAGUGUCAAUGUAAAUGUGCAGUUGAAUAUUAUAGACUUUAACGUAUCCUUACAAUUAUGGUGAAUAAAGGUUAUGAUGGCUUAUUAUGAUUUAUGUCCAAAUCUUAUUACAAGAGUUAUAUGGUUCAAGGUAAUUUUACAGGUUGAUGGCAUGAAUAUGAAGUCAUAACAUGGAUUGGUAAACGAGUAUAGUGAAUUAAUGGGAAUUUCUAAUAAGGCUUGCUUAGGGCUUGGCUGGUUUUUUCUGGAGGUCUCGAACACCGAUAACGAUCGAAGAGCAGUCGUUACAGUUAUAGACAUCAAAUCUUAAGGUCAAGCAAGAUGAGAUAUCAUGUAACCAUGUGACUUGACCAAAAUUAUAGAUGAGCUAAAAAUGUUUUUCAGAAAGUUUAAUUGUGUUCAUCAUAAUCAAUUUCAUAUGCAUAACCAAGAAAUCAAUUUUGACACAAUCAAUUAAGGACAAUAAUAAAGUAUAUUCCAAAAAUUGAUUCUAGACAAAGCAUUUUAGCAUUUCAAUUUCUCAAGAAAUUUGUAACGACCCGUUUCUCGAUCGUUACCGACGUUCGAGUCUUGCAGAAGAACCCACCAAGUCCCAAACAAACUGUAUUAGAAACCAUUGUUAAUACAUUAUAUUCAUUCCACCUAUUCAUAUAAUCACUUUGAACCGUAUAACUCUUUGUAAUAUGAUUUAAUCCAAAAGUAGUAAUAAAUUGACUUAAACUUUAUUUCGCAUAAUUGUAAAAAUACAUCAAAGUUUAUAAUCUCCAAAUGUACAUUCGUAUUAACACUAAUGUCUAUUUUCAUAACAAAAUAAACUAUGACGACUUGACCUCUAGUAACAGAUUGACUCAAAAUGAAGUGCAAUGAGAUGCCUUUACCUAUCUGCAAUAGACAAUAAGUGCCGAUGAAUGCACGCUAGGCUGAUCACUUAUCUACAAAAAGGGAGAUAAGGGGGUGAAUCUCAUAGACUUAGUGAUCAUCGGCUUCGUGAGCAAGAUGAAGAUGGGAAACAAGCUUAGAGUAGAUAAUUUGGAGUAUAAAAUGAUAACCUUAUUAAACCAAAUAACAAAUAAGGUGUUUAUGCCUUGUAAAAAUAAUUUCGUAAAAAUCAUAGUGCAAUACUUUCCUUACCAAACCAUGCAGAAAACGAAGCGUAGUAAAAUAAAUUUCAAUUAAACAGGGGAGUUGCGAAAAAACAAUAUCUCUCCACCAUGCAAAAGAGUACAAGUCUAAAAACUCUCAAGGCUCUCGAGUGGGUAAUCAUAGAUGAUCAACCCGUGGAUCUUUUUCCACAUAAUAACAAUCUGGGAGGCCCCCCUCCACCAGAUUCCCAUAGCCAUGGCAGUCUCGACAAUGUUGGCCAACAUCGGAGAAAUCAUGUGGUCGCAACCAUGUAUAUCAACUCAUGGCCUUGUCACGUAUAACAACUCAUGGCCUUGCCAUGUAUAAUCACAGAUCGUGGCCUAGCCAAGUCUAACAGCCCGUCGGUGUCCCAAAAGGUUCUGUAGCUAAAGCUCACUUGUGCAUAAAGGUCACACUAUCCUGAUGUGACAUUUGGCCUACUCUCGAUGCUCUCUGUUUGUCAAAGCCAUUUUCAAAACCAAAUCAAGGUUCCCAAGAGUUUCCCUUAAAUCAUUUGAAAACAAGGUUUGAUAACCUUUCAAAAAUUGCUUUUCACUUUAAAAUGCAUGGUGUAAACAUUUGCAUAUAGCUUAGAUUAAACCGGCUCACAAGAAAUCAAAUUUAAGCCAUUUAUCAAGUGCAAUCAACUAUGCACACUUCACAAAGAUUCAAGGCACGGUUUUGAUGCAAAACAUUGCAAAAAGGCUUGUUUUCCUGUUUUUAAAGCACUUUACAUAUAUGUAUAUAUAUAUAUAUACAUACAUACAUAUAUAUAUAUAUAUAUAUANNNNNNNNNUAUAUAUAUAUAUAUACUAUACAUACAUAUAUAUAUAUAUAUAUAUAUACAUACAUACAUAUAUAUAUAUAUAUAUAUAUAUUCUACGCAAACAACUUCCAAAUCAAUUUGCAUCCAUAAUUGCCUAUGGUUUCUACCAGCUCAUGCUUUCCACAAAAGCAGUGGAGGUGCCACAUGUUCCCCACUACUAGUGCAUCCUUGCAUGCAUAUCUUUGGAUAUAAUAGUAUUUGUUUACAUGCAUAUUCCAUCCUCCCACAUAAUCUAGUUUUCCUUGGUUAGUUAAUUUUCAUUUAAUUUCAAAUGUUGAAAUUACACAUAAAUCCUUAAACUUUUUCUUAUUUACCAUUUGACCCUCCAAAACUUUUCAUCCUUUACAAUUUGGUCCUUCAAACAUUUCAUAAACUACAAUUUGAUCCUUCAACUUGUUCAUAAUUAUAGCUUUACCCCUUUACUUUUCGUUAUUUGUAAUUCCACCCCUUAACUUCUUAUUCUUUUCAAUUAGGUCCCCCCAUCAUUCCUUUAAUUCCAAUUUCUUUCUAUUUUUCUUCCAUUGCAGUUGUACAAAUAAAAUAUCCAAUUGACACUUCACCAAGGUAUCACCGCAAUAUUUAAAUAUAUACUUACAUUCUUUUGCUUUAUUUAAUGAAGGCAUGUGAGCCCCACUUACGUUUUUUUUCUUCAAAAUUCUUUCUUUCUUUUUCCCCCCUACUUAUAUUAGCCAUGUAGUCCUCCUUCAAGACUAAUUUCAACAAAGAUAAAAUAUUAAUAUUUUAAUAUUAUUUUAUUACUAAAAUGUUAUUUUAUUCCAAAAUUCUCCACUUGUUUCCUUGAGCCUUAAAGUGUCUUAUUUUGUCCCGAUUCACUUCCAUAUCACCUUUUAACUUGCUAAUUCAUCUUCGAUAAAAAUAUUAUUAUUUAAUUAUUAUUUUCUCGCAUGUGAAAUAUUUUAUUCCACAAUAUUCCUUUCUCCUGUCACCACUCUUUGGCAAUUAAAUUUACAUCAAUUGACCCUUCGUCCUGUCGAUAAGGUCUUAUUAACUCCUAUACGAGGGUACGGGGUGUUACAAUCUUUCCCAUUUAAAUAAAAUUUGUCCCCGAAUUCAUGUCAGCAUCGUGUUAUUAAUCUCACUCUAUGAUUUUAUUUCAUUUCCUUAUUCAUAGGGAAUUUGAUUUAUCCACCUCGUUUACUUUUAGUUCGACUAGAACACUUUACAAGAUUAGGGUACGUAACUUAUAUCUAUUAUCAUCUUUGAAUCAAAACAACGGUACCCUUCACAAUUGUUCUCUCUUAUCAUUAAGAUCCCGAGUAUGCCUUUAACUCCAUUACUAACCUUAAAAAUAUCUUUAUUUUGAUUCUUGUCAAACUUCUCGACAUUCAUUCAUCUUAUCCCCAAACACUAUUACAUAGCUUAUGGCAUUAAAAACAUGCCUUAUUCAUUCCUAUACAUAUUUCCAACAUUAGGGAAGUUGAAUCUUUGUCACAACCCAAUCUCGGGCCAUGAUCGGUGCAUGGACCUAAUAGGGAUAGCCCAUCGAGCCCAAGCAAGCCUUUCUAUGAAAACUUGUUCAUUAGACCAUUUGUCCUUCAUUUACCUUUAAGGUUCUUAAUUCAUAAUUAUCAAAAUAAUUUAUUCUCAAGGAUAAAUCAGGGCAACCGAACAUAUACUGUUCACAAAAUAAUAUUACCAUUUGCCAACUUGUGGCGAUAUUACUAUUCAAGCCAAACAUGCAAUGUUUAUAACCAAUCUCAUGAAUUACAUUUAAAUAGCCAUAUAAACAUACAACAGACCUUGACUAUCAGCGGAGUGACUCUAGCGUGGAUAUUAUCAUGGGGUGUUCUAGUAAACCUACUGUAAGAUUAAUAGGAGGAAGUGCCUCUACCUAAGAUCCAACUAUCUUCGAACUUGAAAACAAAAACAUGAAUUUGAAAAGAAUGAGUAUAAACCUAGUGAGUGAAUAUAUGAAGGGAAUAAGCAAACGAUAAGGAAAGUUUUAGAAAACAUGAUGGACUUAUAUUGAAAAUAAUGCAAUUUGGUUUAAUUUCUUCUUAAAAUCGCUCAAUUCAACCCUUGAUUAUUUAAUGCCUUAGUAUUGAAAGAUCCAUGAUCAACAGUUAAGUUAAAGAGUGAAAACUAUAGUAGAGUCCAAGCAGGGCAAGCAUGGCAGAGUGAAUCUCACUACAGUGAGAAUGAAUUCAGGGCAAAAUUUUUAACCAACCAAAUGGGAGUUUCUCGCUGUAGCGAGAAUAUAUUUUCGCUGCAACAAAAAUCUGGGCUAGUCAAGCCCCCAACACUUGAGAGUUUCUCGCUGCAGCUAGAAUGAAUUUCGCUACAGCAAGAAACAAGGAAAUGAAAUUAAGAGAAUUCUUGUCACAAUGAAAAUCCAUUUUUAUAAAAGUGAAAAUCAAUUAGAAAGCAUUUGUCAAAUUUUAGCAUUCAAUAUUCAAUGCAAACACAUAAUAUUUUCCCUAACCUCCCUAUGGUAUGUGUAUACAUGUAUACAACUCCCAUCUCACCAGCUCAUGCGCACUUCCACAUCGCACAUAGCUAGAAUCAUCUUGUGCACUCCCACACCGCUCAAGGCAAUAUAUCAUCAGUGUGUGCACUCACACAGCACACCACUAUCAUUGUCAUGUGCACUCACAUAGCACACCACUAUCAUUGUCAUGUACACUCUCAUACCGCACAUGGCAUAUAUCAUCAGUGUGUGCACUCACACAGCACACCACUAUCACCAUCAUGUGCACUCCCACACCGCAGACGACAUAUAUCAUCAGUGUGUGCACUCACACAGCACACCAUUAUCAUCGUCAUGUGUACUUCCACACCGCACACGCACGGUUACAAUUGUCACUCAAUAGUGCCAUUCAAUGCAUGACAUACAAAUCAACAUAAUGUAGAAACACAUGAGUUCAUCACAUUCAUAUUUCACAACAUAAAAAUGUUUCAUCAAGGGCUUGUUCCCAAGCAAAUUUUAAAGAAAGGCCAAUAAAAUAUUUCAAGUGGUGAAAUCAAGCAUAUAAUCAUUUAUUCCAAAAUAUUUUAAUCCAAGUUCACUCACCUUAACAAUGCUACCUAACGAAACUAGCGCCCACAAGAUCUUAAUUCAGGUAGUCUCAAAAUACCAUUAAAACCUAUAUUUACCAAUAAACCUUAACAACCUCAAUUGAGUCAUAAUCUGAAUCUAAUAAUUUUAGUAAAUGUAUACUAUACAAUCUACACUUUAACCUAACACUUAACUUAGAAUUUUAGUCUAAUUCUCAAACCCAUCAUAUCAACUAUUCCAAAUUUAAAGAUUCUUUACCUUGGAGAGCUUGGAGGCAUGAAGAUAAAAAAAAAACCUAAUAUUUCCAAGAAAAAAAAUUUGAAGAAAUUAAGAAAUAAAAUCUGAAAAUAUAACCCAUAAAUUCAUAAAUUUCAAGAGUUGAAAAUAUUUACCUAUUAGCUUCAAAAAUGAAGAUUUGAAGCCAAAAAUUCAAGUGUUAUUUAAAGUGGAGUAAAAAUAAAAAAUAAAGGAAAGAAAGAGAGAUUUUUUUUCUCUCUCUUAGGGUUUAGAUGUGCUGAAAAAUGAAGUUAGAAGUUUCAAGUUUGGUGCACAAGAAGUUUGGAGAAGGAGGAAGUAAGAAAAGAAAAGAAAAGAAAACAAGGAAAAGAAAAUGAAAAAUCUUGAUUUUUAUGGUGAAGGAACAAAAAUGGAGUUGGGAGGAGAUGAAGGAGGAAGGUGAAGCCUUGGACACAAUGGCCGACCAUGGGAUAAGGAUGGAGAGUCAAAGCUUCCUUUAGAAGCUUUGACCAAGCUUUAUGAAAAAUUACUGUUUUACCCUUUAAGGUUUUCACCCUUUUUAAUUAAAUCCUCCCACAAUCUUUUGAUUCCAAUGUCUUCCUAUUUUGCUUCCUUAACACUUGUGCCAACAAAAUAUCAAGUUUAUAGUUCAACGCGGUAUCACCAUAAUAUCUAAAUAUUUACUUACCCGCGCUAGCUUUAUUUAAUAAAGACACGCGAGCCCCAUUAACGUUAGUUUUCUUCGAAAUUUCCUUGUUCUUCUUCUCCCCCACUUAGAUUGACCAUACACUCAUUCUUCAUAGAAAAUUUAGACACUGAAUAAAAUAUUAAUGUUUUAAUAUUAUUUUAUCCUAAAAUUUUUUUUGCGUCUUUUUGGCACCCAAAAUGUCUUAUUAUGCCCCAAUUCACUUUCGAAUAACCUUUUUAUCUCGUUAAUUCAUCCUCAAUAAAAAUAUUAUUAUUCAAUUGUUAUUUCUUCAUGUGCAGAAUACUUUUCUCCAAACUAUUCCUCUUACCUUUCAUCACUUUUAAACAUUCUAAUUAACCUCAAUUGGCCUCUGAUAAGCUUUAUUAGCCACCUUAUCAAAUUACGAGGUAUUAGAAUCUUUCAAUUAUUCCCUUAUACUUCAUGUUUAUCUUGUAUUUAUGCAAUUUAAAUCUUCUUAAUCAUAUUAAUCCAUUUUGUAUGGCUUAACCAUGCUAUAGAUUACAUUUCCUUGAUAUCCUUCCUUUGACUAUUGCUCUAAAGUUUUUUAUAUUAACAUAACUCAAUUUCUGAUGGGAUCUCUUGUCAUUGUAUCAUCAAUACAACUCAUCAAACAUAUUGAGUUCAAAUCUCAAACCAUUAAGAAUAAUUCUUCACUUUAGUUGGUCAGAUACAUAUACGUAUGUACACACACAUUUAAAUGUCAACAUUCAUCACCAUGAGUAGGAAUCCUUGUGUCAAAUGCGUUUGGACUAAAUUUCCCUUUAUUCGUUCUAAUCCAUAACCAAGAUUCAAUAUCAUAUUCUCAUAGUUCAUGUUUUCCUUUUUACUUUCUCAAUUUCGACAUUUCUAAUUUACCUGUCCAUUUCAUUCCCAUAAAACAUAUUUAAUCUAUGAACAUUGGGGUAUAAUCAAUUUCAUAUUACGCCUUGGGAUGUUUAAUUUACCUAUCAACUUAUAUCCUAACAUAAGUUAUUGUCACGACCCAAAUUUUGGGCCAUGACCGGCAUAAAGGCCUAAUAGACAUAGUCCAUUAAGCCCAAGCAAGCCUAUUAAUUUGACAUGUUCAUUAUUCCAUCAUAAACUGCUAAGUCAUAUUUCAUAACUUAGAAUAAAAAAUAAUGGUAAACAUUGCCACUUCAUACUGGCAUAUUGAACAAGUGUAUAUACAUUAUCUACAACAUGAAUCUUAAUAAUUUACAUUAGGUUUGUCUAUACACAACAAAAGAAUACUCGACUUCCAGCGGAGGGACUCGGAUGAAUGUACAGCUACUGAAUGUCGAGACACCUACCAAAAGAUGGAUACAAGUCUACAAGGACACCUCGUCCUAGUUACCGACUGCCUCGUGAUCUGAAAACAUGAAGUUGAAAACGGUGAGUAUAAACCCAGUGAGUGAACAAGGAAGGGAACAAGCAACAACAAGGGAGAAUUUAAAAUCAUGAUGCACUUAUUUCAAAACAAUGCAAUUUAGUUCCAUUCAUAUUAAAAACCCCUCAUCGAGCCCUUAAAUGAUUAAUCAUUUGAAAAUCAUAAACCCAUACAUAACGAACCAUUUGAAGAAUGAAAGCUUCAAUGAUACGCAAGCAAGUCAAAUACGACACUAAGAAUGCCUUUCCGUUGUAGCGACGUUGGGAUUUAGUUAUUAGCCGAACGAGGGUUUCUCAACUGGCUGAAGGUUUCUCACUAAACCUCCUCAUUUUAAACUUAACUCAUUUAAUCCUUAAUGUUGAAAGUCCAUGCUUAGAUAUGAUAGCAAAGAAGUGAAAAAUAGGGCAGCAAUUCGACAAGAUAGGAGACAAAACAUAAAGUUUUUCAUUGCAGCGAUAUUCAAUCUCGCUGCAGCAAAUUGUAACCCAGAAACAGAAAGUUUCUCACUACAGCAAAAUUGCAACCCAAAAACAGAAAGUUUCUCACUGCAGCGAAAAUGAAUUUCGCUGCAGCGAGAAGCUAUAGUGUCAUUCUCGCUGCAGCGAAAAUGCAUUCUCGUCAUAGUGAGUUUCCUGCCAGUCUACCCCUCCAAACCAGAGAGUUUCUCGCAACAGCAAAAAUGAUUCUCGCUGUAGUGAGAAACAGGGCACCAAUGAAAAAUUUGCCCUUCUUCCCAAAGAAAUACCACCCUGCUGAAAUGUCUAAACCAACAUGGAACGCAUAACAAUUUUCCAUAGUUUAACAUGUCAAGUUUCACAUGCAUUACAACUAGAUACCAUUACUCAUUUAUUUCCUAUAUCACACAUAUUUACAUAUGUAUAUAUAUGUAUACGUAUACCCAUAAUCAUCAUGCACACCAUCCCAUCAUCAUCAUCACCAGCUCAUGUGCACUCCCUACUCGCACAUGGCUGGGUUAUCACCGGGUUAUGCGCACUCCCUACUCGCACAUAACCAUGUCAUCCUCGGCUUACGCACACUCCUUACUCGCACAUAGCAGAGUCAAUGUCAUUACACAAUAAUAUAUUCAUAUAUAUAUAUAUCAACACAAUGUGGUAGUGCAUGUAUCAAUAAUAGUCACAUGUCACAACAUAAACCAUUUCUCAAGAGCUUAUUCCCAAGGCACUCAUUUUUAAGAAAAGUUGUAUAAAAUCAUUCAAACACUUUGUACAAAGCAGUCAUAUUUCCAAAAUAGUUUUGAUAGGCAGUCCACUCACCGGUUGAUUGUAGAGCCUUUAGCUGACUCUAAUUCCCCUAAUGAUCCAAUUGUAAGGAUGGGACUUCAUUAGAACCUAGGAUCACAUUAGCAUAAGCAAUAGGUCAAUUCACACACUAUGGACCCUAAAAGCUAUCUCUUAGCUAGCUUUCAAUUGCCACAUUAAAUGGCUAUCUAUGUUCACUAUCUUAAUCACAAAAAAAGUAAUGAACAUACUCAACAAUAAAACAGCUCUUAAUCUAAAUUACUAGCCAUUAUUGACAGCUAAAAAUCAAGCUUGGUUCAUUACUCACCCUAGGGUUCCUUUGUAGUUGAAUUCUCUUCCAAUAGCUUCCACACAAAUGGGGUAAUUCUCUCUUCUCUCUCUAGAAUGCCCAACUAGUGAGAGAAAGUAUAGAAAUAAGAUUUUUUCAAGGGUUUUAAGGAGUGAGAGUGGAAGAAUACAAGGGUUCUAGUCAAAAGGGCUCAAAGGUAUGAAAACUAGAACUAGAGAAAGAAAAUCAUGCAAGCUCCAUAUCAAGCUUCCAUGGAGGUUGGAAGCAACGUGAAAGAGAAGAAGAAGAAAAAGACAAGCUGCUGAAAAUGGGAGAAGAAUCUUCUAGAAGAAAGGUAUUUAUAGCCAAUCUUAUCCAUUCCCUUAAAAUUACCAAAUUGCCCCUCCACCAAUUAACUUACUCUCCUCCAACCUUCUAUGAAAUCUUUUUACUCCUUUGACAUUGGGACAAGAUCCAUAAUGGUCUAGACGUACUCGAGUUCAUAAAAACUUAAAAUUUUAACCCGAAGUGAAAAAUGACUAUUUUGCCCCUGCCGUGAAAAUCAUCAAAAUUUUGGUGUCCUUUCCAUUUUACCCCUAAUUUCACCAUCCAUUUAUGCCUUAGGCCUACUUAGACCAUAAUAUUGUUUAAAAAUCUUACUUUUAUGGGCUUACUAAAGAAAUGACAAAAUUAUCCCUGAUCAGGGAUAUCGCGUAUACUUUCCUUUACGAGUCUAUAAAGGUCAAGGUCUCACAAUUAUCUCUUAUGUAAUCCAUACGGAUUCACAUUAUGCCUAUGCAUAUCUUCGCUUCAUUUAUUGCUCAUACUCCAUUUUAUCAUCUCUAAUCAUAUGAAUAAUUUUCAUUAUACCAUGUAUCCUUGCAUCACAAUGUCAUAAUCACUUCUUAAUUACCAAUUAUCAUUUUCAUCAAAUUAAAAUCCGGUAUCCGUGUAUGCUUUAUUAUCUCAUUAAUCCUUCAAAAUUCAUCUUCACUUGAUCAUUGCAUCUCAUGCAAUACCACAAUUCCUAAAAGUCAUCUUCAUUUCUCAAUUAUCUUUCAUACCUUCAACAUAUAUAUUAUAUCCUUGUUGCAUUUCAAUAUCAAUUAAUCACUUAAGACUUUGGCUCAUUUGAAUCAUGCAUGCCUUAUGCAUUUUCGAAUUCCAAUUUUCACAAUGCAUUAGGAGGUCUUCUGUCAUGACCCAAAUUCCAAGCCAUGAUCGGUGCAUGGGCCCAGUGGAUGUAGCCCACUAAGCCCAAGCAAGCCUCUUUACGUAAUCCCGUUCACUAUCCCAUCAAUUUUUCAUCACCAUUACUAGACCAUUAUUUGUAAUUUGCAACUAGACAUAUUUUCAUAAUACAACACAGAUACCAAAAAUUUACAUAUGUAUGAUAUCAAAAUAAGUUUAUUCAUAGCCAUCUCAUAAUGGCACCAUCAUUCCAAACUAUACAUGCAUCAUUAGCAAAGUGAUUCCUAGCAAUUUACAUUUAAUGUACAUGUACUCAUAUAAAAGACUUUUGAUGACUAGCGGAGUGACUUUGGCGAGGGUACGGCUAUCAAGUGCCAUGAUACCUACCAAGAGUGAAUGCAAGUGGAUGCCUUGUCUUAGUCUCAACUAUCUACGGAUUUGAAAACUCGCAAUCUAAAAGAGUGAGUAUAAACUCAGUGAGUGAACAUAAGAAGUCAACAAGCAACGACAAUGAAUGUUUUAGAAAGCAUGAUGCACUUACGAUAAACAAUGCAAUUUAGUCUAAUUUUUUUGUUAAAACCCCUCAUUUCAAACUUUGAAUGUUUAAUCCCUUAAUGUUACAAGAUCCAUGAUGAACCAUAAAGUUGAAUAGAAUGAAAAUUUCAGCAAUGACUAAGCAAGACAAACAAACAGAGGGUUUUCUCGCUGUAGCGUAAAGGCAUUCAUAGUUUACAUAUGCUUUGGUUUUUCAAGUAUAUCUCCCACGACAAAAGUCCAAUUGACAUGAUUUUUGGUCAUUAGAAAGCUAAGAGGCUGGGCUACAACUUUGAUGUUUACCAUUUUGCCUAGUUCUGAUUGAAAGGUGGUCAAAAUCUAUGUCAAAGUGAAAGCACUGCACCAGAAUUUUGGAACCACUCGAGAGUUUCUCGCCACAGCGAGAAGUUUCAGGAAAUUUCUCGCUGCAGCGAGAACCAGGCCAGUGUAACCGCCCCUAACCCUUGAGUUUCUCGCUGCAGCGAGAAUGAAUCUUGCUGUAGUGAGAAACAGAGCAAUUUAGUUAAAAGGGGUAUUGUUACAUCAAAAAGUCAUUUUCUUGGGGAAAUGAAAAGCAAUUUUGGAGCAAUUAACAAUGCCAACAUACAACUCAAUCACAAUUAUUUUCAUAAACUUUCUAUCACAUAUAUACAUAUAUAUAUGUAUAUACAUAUAUCAUCAUGCAUACCAUCCCUCCACACUCAGCUCAUGUGCACUCCCUACUCGCACAUAGCCAGGUCAUCAUCAGAUCAUGGGCACUCUCACACCGCUCAUAGCUAGGUCAUCAUUAGCUCAUGUGCACUCCCACACAAAAGGAGCAUCCAAACCAUAAUAUACAUAUCAAUAUAAUGUGAUAACGCAUGAACUGUUCAUAUUGCACAUUUCACAAGAUAGAAACAAUUCAUCAAAGGCUUGUUCCCCAAGUAAAUUAUUUUUAAAGCAAAAAUAAAUGAAACUUUCAAAUGAUUUAUUUAAGCAUAUAGGCACUUCCCAAUGCAUUUUGAAAUGCAAGUUCACUCACCAGUAGUUGUUAAAUCUUAGAUCGAUUCCAAUUUCCACUAAUGCUCCAAAUGGAGAUGUGGGGUCUCGUUGGAACCUAUCACACACAAUAGCAUCACAAAUCAACUCCAUUCACAUAAUCAUAAUUCCAAAAGCUAUCUCCUAAAUCAUGUUCUACUAGUCAUUCCUAAUUAGCUUCCAAUUGCCAUUAAGCAGCUAUUUACUUUCACUAUUCUACUCACACUAAAGAUGAAUAAAUAAUCCUCAACUACAAAACAUUCACAAAUUUAUCCACUAGCCAUUUUCAACAACUUAAAAGUAAACUCUAAUUCACUACUCACCUUGGUAGCUUUGGAAUUGAAGUCCAUUCCAAAAAUUUUCAAGCUAUUAUAAAAGCUCCCUCUUUCUCUCUAUAAAACACCUAGCUAGUGAAAGGAAGUAUGGAAGUAAGACUUUUUAAGGGUUUUAAAGUGAGAGAGUGAAAGAGCACAAAAAGUUCCAUGAAAAAGUGCACAAAAGCAUGAAAAUUAGAGUUAACUUGAGAGAAGUUAUGGAGGUUUCAAAAGAAGCUUCCAUAGAGUAUGAAAGAAACGUGAGAUGGGAGGAAGAAGAAUAAGAAGCUGCUGGAAAAUGAGAAGAAGUUGCUUAAAAAUGAUAUUUAUAGCUAAAGUUUAUCCAAACUUCACUUAAAUUACGAAAAUGCCCUUAACAAGUAGGCUUUGUCUUCCUCCAAUCCUUUGUGUAAUCUUUUUACUCUUUUGACAUUGAGACAAAGUCCAUAAUAGUCUAGAAAUACUCAAGUUCAUGAAAACUUAAAAAUUUUGACUCGAGAUAAAAAAUGACCAUUUUGCCCCUACUUUGGAAAUCAUAAUUAUUUCUAUUUCCUUCGUCAUUUUAUCCUUAUUUUCACCAUUCAUUUAUUUCUUAGACUUACUUAAGCCUUAAUAAUGUUUGAAAGCAUACUUCUAGGGGCUCCCUAAGGAAAUGACGAAAUUAACCCUAGUUUGUGAUAUCACGUCUACUUCUAGCUACGAGUCUAUAAACAUCAAGGUCUCACAUUCUCCCCCACUAAAAGAAAUUCGAUCCCCGAAUUUAAAUCGAAUUAUAAAGUAGCAUACCUUUAUGUAUUAAAGAGGUGCAGAUACUUUGUUCGCAUCUCCUCCUCGGCUUCCCACGUUACCUCCUCACUGGUGUGGUUUCGCCAUAACAACUUCAUUGAUGCUACUUCCUUUGAACGAAGCUUUUUGACUUGCUUAUCAAGGAUAGCUGCUGGCUGCUCCUUAUAGGUUAAAUCAUCUUGCAAUUGGAUGUUUUCAUAGCAUAUUACAUGAAUUAGAUCUGGGUUAUACUUUCUAAGCAUUGACACAUAGAAUACGGGGUGAAUAUGUAAGAGGUACGGCGGUAGCGCCAAACGAUAAACCACUACUCCAACCCUUUCUAAGAUCUCGAAGGGUCCUAUAUAUCGAGGACUUAAUUUUCCUUUCUUGUCGAACCUCAUUACCCUUUUUAUUGGUGGGACCUUCAAAAAUACAUGAUCCCUCACCUGAAACUCUAAGUCUCUCCGCCUGUUAUUAGCAUAUGACUUUUGUCUACUUUGUGGUGAUAACAUCCUUUGACUAAUCAUGCGUAUUUUCUCGAUGGCUUCCUGUACCAAUUUUGGCCCUAAGAGUUUCCUUUCUCCCACCUCUAGCCAUCCAAUGGGUGACCUGCACCUCCGUCCAUAUAAUGCUUCAAAUGGUGCCAUCCAGAUGCUAGCUUGGAAACUAUUAUUGUACGAAAACUCCACCAAGGGUACAUACCGAUCCCAUUUGACCCCAAAGUCUAUUACACAUGCCCUCAACAUAUCUUCCAAUGUUUGUAUUGUUCGUUCAGAUUACCCAUCAAUCUAAGGGUGGAAAGCCAUGCUGAAAUCCAACUUAGUGCCCAACACUUCCUGUAACUUUCCUCAUAACCUACUGGUGAAUUGUGCUCCUCUAUCAAAUAUUAUAGAAAUGGGGAUACCAUGUAGUCGUACUAUUUCAUCCACAUAAACCGGAGCGUACUAGGCAGCCUUGUAAGUACUCUUAACUGAAAGAAAAUGGGUGACUUCGUUAACCGAUCUACUAUGAUCCAAAUCAAGUUGUAGUCCCCACUAGUUUGAGGCAAGCCCAUUACAAAGUCUAUUGCAACAUGCUCCCACUUCCAUUUGGGCACUGGUAAUAGCGUAGUAGCCUUGUAGGCCUUUGAUGCUCGGCCUUAACCUACUGACAAACUAGGCACUUGAAGACAAACUUAGCAACAUCUUUCUUAAGUCCUUCCCACCAAUAUACCUUUUUCAAAUCAUGAUACAUCUUUAUAGCCCUUAGAUAUACCACAUAGGUUGCCAUGUGCGCCUCCUACGAUAUUUCUCUUCUCAAUCCAUCAUUAUCGAGCACAUAAGGUCUGGUUCCAUACCUUAAUACUCCAUUUGUGCCUUUAGUAAACAUUUUCCUUUCCCUCCUUAAGAGUCCUCUAAGGCCUUAGUUACGAACUCAUCUUUACCUUGGGCUUCUUUGAUCUGAUCUAUGAAAAUAGGCCUUACUCUAAAAUGUGCUAGCAAUGUAUUUGCCUCCAAAACUUCCAAAUACACACCCAUGUCUCCCAAGCUAUGCAUCUCCCUAAUCAAAGAUCUCUUAUCUAUAGAGAUAUGUGGCAAGCUCCCCAUUGAUUUUCUGCUCAAGGCAUUUGCCACUACAUUUGCCUUACCGGGAUGGUAAAUAAUAGUACAAUCAUAAUCCUUUACCAACUCCAUCAACCUACAUUGCCACAAGUUAAGAUCCCUCUGCUGAAAUAUAUACUUUAGGCUUUUGUGGUUCGUAUAUAUCUCUUAAGUCUCACCAUACAAGUAAUGUCUCCAAAAUUUUAAGGCAAACAUGAUUGCUACCAUCUCUAGAUCAUGUACGGGGUAAUUUUGCUCAUGCAUUUUAAGUUGCCUUGAUGCAUAUGCAAUCACUUUCCCAUGCUGCAUUAAUACACACCCUAAAGUAACCCAUGAUGCAUCACAAAACACCGUAUAACCUUUUGUGCCUUGCGAUAGGCUUAAUACUGGAGCUGUGGUGAGACAUGCCUUAAGCUUCUCAAAGCUAUCCUCACAAGCAUCUGACCACUCAAAUUUUGUAUCUUUAUGUGUCAACUUAGUCAGAAGGGUGACUAUUUUGGAGAAGUUCUUCACAAAAUGACGAUAAUAGCCAACUAAACCCAAAAAGCUUCUAAUCUCCGUAACUGAUGUUGGGCUUGGCCACUUUUCCACUGGCUCAACUUUCUUUCCAUUGACUUGUACUCCAUCCUUGGAUACCACAUGUCCCAAGAAUGCAAUGCUUUCAAGCCAGAACUCACACUUGGAGAACUUGGCAUAAAAUCGAUGUUCUCUCAAAGUUUGGAGCACAAUCUUAAGAUGUUGCUCGUGCUCCUCUCGGCUCUUCAAGUAGAUCAAGAUGUUAUCAAUAAACACCACCACGAACUUGUCCAAAUAGGGCUUGAACACUCGGUUCAUCAAAUCCAUAAAGGCUGCAGGGGCAUUCGUAAGCCCAAAUGACAUCACCAAGAACUCAUAGUACCCAUAUCUUGUUUGAAAUAUGAUCUUUGGUAUAUCUUCAUUUUGGAUUCUCAACUGAUGGUACCCAGAUCCUAGAUGUAUCUUAGAGAAACAUUGUGCUCCUUGUAGUUGAUAAAAUAAAUCAUCUAUUCUUGGAAUAGGGUACUUAUUCUUCACCGUCACUUUAUUAAGCUAUCAGUAGUCAAUGCACAAUCUAACUGAUCCAUCUUUCUUCUUUACAAAUAGUACCGAUGCUCGCCAUGGUGAGAUGCUAGGACGGAUAAAGCCUUUAACCAACAAAUCUUCUAACUAAUCCUUAAGCUCUUUAAGCUCCGUAGGUGCCAUUUUAUAUGGGGGUAUGGAUAUAAGUCUAAUGUCGGGAAUCAAAUCUAUGCAAAAUUCAAUCUCUUGCUUCGGGAGGCAAACCUAGUAGCUUUUUAGGAAACACAUCCAUGAACUCAUUCAUACCGACACUUGGCUUAUGUCUUCGACCUUCGCUUGAGUAUCCCUCACAAUAGCCAAGUAACCUUGACAACCCUGUCUUAAUAGCCUUCUAGUAGAUAGGAUAGAUAUCAAAUUGGUUGGAGCAUUGCUCUUAUCCCCUUGAAUACUAAAUAAUGGUUCAUUGGGAAAAUCAAAUCUAACCAACUUAUGAUAACAGUCAACGCUGGCAUGGUAGGGCGAUAACUAAUCCAUUCCCAAGAUCAUGUCAAAAUCUAAGGUUUCUAAUACAACUAUAUUUACCAAGGUUUCUUUAUUCUUGACCCGAACUACACAAGACCUAUAUUCUCAUUCCGCCAUAAAUACCUCCUUUAAAGGGGUAGACACCACUAAUUGUUCUUAUCCCAUAACACGAUCUUUACCCAAACGAGAUGCAAAACAUAAAAAAAUAAAAGAGUGGGUAGCACCAGGAUCAAACAAUACCCGAGCAUUCAUAUUACAAAUUGAGAGAAUACCUUAUGCCACUACGUUGGAUGUUUAGGCCUCCUACGGUGUUAAAGCAAACACCCUUUCGUGACCCCUACCGGCGAAACUCUAAUGUCAAGACCCAGAAGGCCUACCUUGAGAGGAAGUAACAGCACCUCUACCUCUUGAUUCGAUACCCUAGUGAUCAGAUGAGGAGACUACUGAAGAAGCAGAUGAGGCUGGUUAUGAGGAACUGCGAGCAAAACCUUGGGAUUGAUGAGCCAUCGGGCAAUUCUUCUUAAUAUGUCCAAGUUGACCGCACAAGAAAUAAACUCCCGUAGCACGAAGGCAUCUUCCUCUAUGUCGUCCCCCACAAAUAUUGCAACGAUGGAUAACUUAACUACCUUGCCUUAAAUAUUGCUACCUCUCAACACUGAAGGUUCUCUAUCUCGCCCCAAUACUAGCACUAGGUGAGUCACUCCCUUAUUGGGUUAUCAUGAGUCCCUCUGUGGGCCCUGAUGGCCAGAAGAUGAAAUACUACCACUAAAGUCUUUACGACCUUGAUAGCCCUCUGUCUUGGCCCUCUUUGCUCUAUCCCUCAUAACCUUACUCUCACUGGUCCUCAUCUCAAUCCGCUGAGCGCAAUCCACUACUUCGAAGUAGGCAUUGAAAUCUCGGGAUGCCACAACCUUAAACAAUGGCUCCACUAGCCCAUCCACAAACUUCUAAAUCUUUAUCUCCUAAGUAAAAACAAGAUAGGGCGUAAACCGAGCCAGCUGCGUGAAUUUGAUGUCGUAUUUCGACAUUAUUAUACUUGGGGUCUGUAGUAAUGCCUCAAACUCCUUAGCUCGUGCAUUACGUACACUGGGUGCUAAGAAUCUAUCUAAGAAGGUUAUAUUGAACUCCUUCCAAGUCAAAGAUGUUGUAUCGCCGGUCGACCUCUACGCAAAGAGCCAUACCACUUUUGCACUACGUCUUUUAAUCAGAAAACUACUAGCUCGACUGAUCUAAUACUAGAGCAACCCAAGGCCUCACAAAUUUUCUCCAUCUUAUCUAAGAAAAUCUGGGGUUUCUUUGAUGCAUCAAACCCUGAAAAUGACAAGGUUUAAGCUUCAGGAAAUCAGGAAAGGAAAUCUCUAAAUGACCCUUCUCAACCUCAAGAUAUUGGCGAUCAGCCUGCCUUUGAGAACUAAAGAAUUCUUGUACUAUAGAUCUCCUUUCCACGAUCCUUUGUAUAUAGUCCAUACGGGUUGCCAUCAUUUCUACAACCCGAUUAACUCCCUAUAGGCCUGCCACCAAGUUCUUGAUGGUGAUGGCCCCAGUUGGUUAUCUAUCCGCAUCGCCCGAAGACUGCCCUUUCUUUCUUCUACUCAUAAGUGUAUCCACCCUCACCGGCCUAGCGGCCCUGCCAUGUCUAUCUCACCUCCUAAGGGUGGAUGCCCGUGGCCUAUCUGUCAUCUCAUUAGGAGCAUCUUACGCCCCCAUCGGUCUUGAGGCGGCUCGUGUCUUCGGUGACAUUCUUACCUAGAUAAGAGCAAACGCUUGUUAUUAAACACAUUUUGCAAUUAUAAUCGUAUCUAAGGAAAAAUGUGGUUUCUAAGAUAGGGAAUCUAUGCGGCCUUUUGGUUGUAAAAUGUGUCGCGGUUCACACUUCACAACCAAAGUUUCCACAUAAAGACCCAACACUCCGCUGGACCAACAAAAAGAAGUCCUAGGACCUAAACAACUUAGGGCUCUGAUGCCAAGUCUUUCACCACCCAAAUUUAGUGCCAUGACUAGCACAUGGGCCUAGUGGACGUAGCCUAUUAAGCCCAAGCAAGCCUCUUUACAUAAUCCCGUUCACUAUCCCAUCAAUUUUUCAUCACCAUUACUAUACCACUAUUUGUAAUUUGCAACUAGACCUAUUUUCAUAAUACAAUAUAGAUACCAAAAAUUUACAUUUGUAUGAUCUCAAAAUAAGGUUAUUCAUAGCCAUCUCAUAAUGGCACCAUCAUUCCGAACUAUACAUGCAUCCUAGCAAUUUACAUUUAAUGUACAUGUACUCAUAUAAAAGACUUCUAACGACUAGCGGAGUGACUUUGGUGAGGGUACGGCUAUCGAAUGCCAUGAUACCUACCAAAAGUGAUUGCAAGUGGACACCUUAGUCUCGAUCCUAACUAUCUAUGGAUCUGAAAACAUGCAAUUUAAAAGAGUGAGUAUAAACUCAAUGAGUGAACAAAAGAAGGGAACAAGCAAUGACAAUGAAUGUUUUAGAAAACAUGAUGCACUUAUGAUAAACCAUGCAAUUUAUUCUAAUUUUUUGGUUAAAACCCCUCAUUUCAAACUUUGAAUGUUUAAUCCCUUAAUGUUACAAGAUCAAUGACGAACCAUAAAGUUGAAUAGAAUAAAAAUUUUAGCAAUGACCAAGCAAGACAAACAAACAGAAGGUUUUCUCACUGCAGCGAAAAGGCAUUCUCGGUUUGCAUAUGCUUCGGUUUUUCAAGUAUAUCUCCCACUAUAGAAGUCCAAUUGACAUUAUUUUUAGGUCAUUAGAAAGCUAAGAGGUUGGCUACAACCUUUAUGUUUACCACUUUGCCCAGUUUUGAUUGAAAGGUGGUCAAAAUCUUUGUCAAAGUGAAAGCAUUGCACUAGAAUUUUGGAACCACCCAAGAGUUUCUCGCUGCAGCAAGAAGCUUCAGGAAAUUUCUCCCUGCAGCGAAAACCAGGCUAGUGUUAUCCCCCUAACCCGAGAGUUUCUUGGUGUAGCGAGAAUGAAUCUCAUUGCAACGAGAAACAGAGCAAUUUAGUUAAAAGGGGUAUUGUUACAUCAAAAAGCCAUUUUCUUGCCGAAAUGAAAAGCAAUUCAGGAGCAAUUAACAAUGCCAACAUACAACAAAAGUACAAUUAUUUUCAUAAACUUUCUAUAAUAUAUAUACAUGUAUAUGUAUAUACAUACAUCAUCAUGCAUACCAUCCCUCCACACUUAGGUCAUGUGCACUCCCUACGCGCACUUAGCUAGGUCAUCAUCAGCUCAUGUGCACUCCCACACCGCACAUAGCUGGGUCAUCAUUAUCACACAAAAAGAGCAUCCAAAGCAUAAUAUACAUAUCAAUAUAAUGUGAUAACGCAUGAACUAUUCAUAUUGCACAUUUCACAAGAUAGAAACAUUUCAUCAAGGGCUUGUUCCCCAAGUAUAUUUUUUUUAAAGCAAAAAAAUGAAACUUUCAAAUGAUUUAUUUAAACAUGUAGGCACUUCCCAAAACAUUUUGAAAUGCAAGUUCACUCACCGGUAGUUGUUAAAUCUUAGAUCGACUCCAACUUCAACUAAUGCUUCGAAACAGAGAUGUGGGGUCUCGUUGGAACCUAUCACACACAAUAGCAUCACAAAUCAACUCCAUUCACAUAACCAUAAUUCUAAAAGCUAUCUUCUAAAUCAAUUCUACUAGUUAUUCCUAACUAAUUUCCAAUUGCCAUUAAGCAGCUAUUUACUUUCAUUAUUCUACUCACACUAAAGAUGAAUAAAUAAUCCUUAACUAGAAAACAUUCACAAAUCUAUCCACUAGCCAUUUUCAACAACUUAAAAAUCUGCUGUAAUUCACUACUCACCUUGGUAGCUUUGUAAUUGAAUUCCUUUCCAAAACUUUUCAAGCUAUUAUAGAAGCUCCCUCUUUAUCUCUCUAAAACACCUAGCUAGUGAGAGGAAGUAUGGAAGUAAGACUUUUUAAGGGUUUUGAAAUGAGAGAGUGAAAGAGCAUAAAAAGGUUUUAUGAAAAAGUGCACAAAAGCAUGAAAAUUGGAUUUAACAUGAGAGAAGUUAUGGAGGUUUCAAACGAAGCUUCCAUGGAGAAUGAAAGAAACGUGAGAUAGGAGGAAGAAGAAGAAGAAGCUGCUGGAAAAUGAUAUUUAUAGCUAAAGUUUAUCAAAACUCCACUUAAAUUACGAAACCACCCUUAACAAGUAGGCUUUGUCUUCCUCCAAUCCUUUGUGCAAUCUUUUUACUCUUUUGACACUGAGAGAAAGUCCACAAUAAUCUAGAAAUACUCAGUUUCACAAAAACUUAAAAAAUUUGACCCGAGAUGAAAAAUGACCAUUUUGCCCCUACCUUGGAAAUAAUUAUUAUUUCUAUUUCCUUCAUCAUUUUAUCCUUAUUUUCAUCAUUCAUUUAUGCCUUAAGCUUACUUAGGCCUUAAUAAUGUUUGAAAGCAUACUUCUAAGGGCUCACUAAGGAAAUGAUGAAAUUACCCCUAGUCCGUGAUAUCGCGUUUACUUUUAGCUACGAAUCUAUAAAGAUCAAGGUCUCACAUUUUGAUAAACUGACUUCAUUAUGAUAGUUACCUCCAAUCAUCUUUUGUACUAUUCCUUUAUACCAAUAUAGCAUCAUUCCCCUUUAACCAUCAUAUAAUUAGUACUUCUAAUUACAAAACUUGAAACAGGAUCUUACUUACAUACUUCUCAAUGUCAUUGCAAGUAUCCACUUUCAACUUACAGCUUUUUUUUUUGUAACUACACCAUUUAAUGCUUGUUUUCACAAGAUUCAUAGCAAGAUUCCUCUUGAGUAUUUCCUUGUGAAUACCCACCUUAAGCUUAUGUCUCAUAGCAUAUGACCACAUAACCCGUGGUUUAGCCACUAAGCUCCUUAGCAAGUUCCAAAUACCACAUUGCAUCAUCAUGCAUACAAGAUAUUCCAAAAUAAUAUCAACUAUCAUUCUUGCGAUAUAUAGUUGGUACAUUUUUUUCAAAACUUGAUGCAUUUUCAAAACACUUAAUUACUUAUUUAUUCAUUAACCUUUCAACAACAUUCAUUCCAAAAGCAUGCAUUUAUUCUCCAAGAUAUUUAAAUGCAUAAUCAUCUAUUCAUACCUCAAUUUAUAUUCGUAGGUUUCUAGUGUGCCACAUAAUUGGCCUUGUGUUGUUACUAAUCCUUUUCUUUUAACUGAGUCAAGAUAAGAUUUGUAAAUCCUCAUAGCAAUACUUUAUAUUAGCUCAUUUGCUAUGCCAACCUUGUAAUCCUUCAUUCACAAUUUCUUUACUUGGUUUUGGCAUUACUUUAUCAAUGUCCCAUACUUUCAUCUAAAUCUUCACUCACUCUGUCCUUAGCGUUUAACAAGGUUUUAUCUCUUGUCUCUUUUAUUUCUUAGGAUUUGACUUCAGUCAACAUAGUUUUCACUUUAAUACUUCACAUUGUAGCUUAUCUCAAUGUGGCCAUCUCAAGAACUUUCCAACAUCUCUUUUAAUUACAUGGCAAUCUAUAAGGCAAUAAAGAAACUUUUCAAUUCAUUGAUAUAAGCAUUCUCCAAAACACUUAAAACUCCAAAUAACAAAGCUCAACAUCAAGACCAAUGACCAUAAUUCGGCUUGUAUGUUCAUCAUAAUGCCACUCACCACUUGCUCAUGCCUUCUAGACAUAAGAUGUUCUUAACACUGCAGUGCUAGACAAUCAAUGGUGUGGCGUUGUAGUUGCUAGAAAUUGGGGGUUUCAACGCUGUAAUGCUAAAGAGUCAGUGUUGCGACGUUGUGGCUACUAAAUUUUUUUUUAUCAAAGUAAUUCUUCUACCUUUAAGGUUACUACAUGGAUCAUGCUCAACCAUUUGGCUUUCCACUAGGCCUAUACCACAAUUUCCAUAACCAUGUGUAUCUUCUCUUUUGCUUAUCAUAUGCACUAGGCCAAGUCAAUAUUUUCAAACUCAUAUUAUCCUUUAACGCUUAUCAUCAAUCAAUAAGUCCCACCUUAGGACAUCAUUUCCAUAUUAUGCAAUAAAUUCUCAAUAAACAAUACCACAUAUAUAAUUAUUCACUAGCAUCCCACAAUUCCUUAAUAUCCAUAACUAAUUGUCUUUCUUGUCUUGCAACUCAAAUAGUUUACAAGCUUUCACCUUAAAAUUGCCAUGGAAAUAGUUCAUCUUGAUCAACACCUUAUGCUCACAUUAUUAUUAAUUCAAGAAUUUAUCUUUCCCAAGUUCCAUAAUUUAUCUCCAAUAAUCUAUAUUUGUAUCAAAUUAUCAUUCUAGAAUGUCAUGACACCAUGUGUCUUCAUCCUUACCAUCUAUCGUACUCCACAAGAAUCAAUUAAAAGAUUUACAUACUUCUACCAAUGCCAAUCCAAAUAAACAACACAUGAAAAUUCCAAAUACUCAACAAAUCAGUAGAUUAGCAACUACAUAACCUGUUCAAACCACAUGAAAUCAGCAUGUUUCAAAUCCUCCAAAUACAUAAAUCACAACUACAAUUCAAUCCAACUAUAUCAGUGUAGUCUCAUAAUCAUACUAGUUUCAAAUUAACUAUUUGACUUAACUAAGAACUAUCGUUAUCUGGACCUAUACACAUCGACGGAUCAUAAUCCAAAUUGUCCUCGGCCUUUCGAGGAUCCUCUUCAUCCUCACCAUUCUCACUUUGUUGUUCAUUCACAUAAUCUUCCCUAUUAAUGGGUUCAGCACCUUUCCCACAACCAGGAGGAAAAUCUCAAACAGCAGAUACUUUCCUUGGAUGAUAGCUUCUGAUGGCUACUUCUUCCAUUUUCUCCUUGUCCUUUUUCUUAAGAUCAAUUGUAGUAUACGCCAUCCUUUCAAGGCUUUCCCAGCUCUUAAUAUUAUUUCACGUCCCAGGGGAAUCCAUCCAAUAGGGAGUCAGGGUAAGUUGCUUUCUGGCCUUUCACACUCUUGCACAUAACGGCUCUAAGCAAUGGAAUCUAUUGAUCCCUCUUCAGUACUAUGGGAAUCAUUCCCUUUCUCCUCACUGCUGCUCCUGUUGUGUCCUAGGGGCACCUCAAAAACCUGUACAUAACCAUGCGUUAAUUCUUAACCUAUUACGUAUUAAGACAAAGGUAGGCUUAUAGAUGAAUAAGAGUUUAUGUAGCCUCAUUCCCUUGAUUCGUGUUGUGCACCCAUAAUCCAAGGGCAAGACUCUAUACUAACUCUAACAACUCUUCUAAUAGACACAGAAAAUCCUAGAACUUAACUCAACCUAGGGCUCUAAUGUCAAGUCUGUAGCGACCUGCUCCUUGAUUGUUAUCGAUGUUCGAGUCUUGUGGGAAAACCCGCCAAGUCCCGAACAAGCCUUAUUAGAAACCAUUGUUAAUACAUUAUAUUCAUUUGGCCUACUCAUAUAAUUACUUCGAAACAUAUAACUCUUUGUAAUAUGAUUUAAUCAAAAAGUUGUAAUAAAUUGACUUAAACUUUAUUUCGCAUAAUUGUAAAAAUACAUCAAAAUUUAUAAUCUCCAAAUGUACAUUCGUAUUAACAUUAAUGUCUAUUUUCAUAACAAAAUACACUAUGACGACUUGACCUCUAGCAGUGGAGCGACUCAGAAUGAAGUGUUAUGAGAUGCCUUUACCUAUCCACGGUAAACAAUAAGUGCUAAUGAAUGCACGCUAGGCUGAUCACUUAUCUGGCAAAAGAAAGACAAUGGGGUGAGCCUCAUAGACUCAAUGAUCAUUAGCUCCGUGAGCAUGGCGUAGAUGGAAAACAAGCUUAGAGCAAAUAAUUUGAAGGAUAAAAUCAAAGUAUAAAAUGAUAACCUUAUAAAACCAAAUAACAAAUAAGGUGUUUGGGCCUUGUAAAAAUAAUUCCAUAAAAAUCAUAGUGCAAUACUUUCCUUAGCAAACCAUGCCGAAAACAAAGCAUAGUAAAAUAAAUAUCAAUCAUCUAAAUCAUCUGUUGGCUCCAUUAGUUUUUGAUGAUAAUAAAACAUUCCCAUUCAUUUGUGUCUAAUUUUUCUACUUGAGUGUGCAGGACCAAAUUGUAUGCAAAUAAACAAUCAAUCAUUAAAAUGCAUAUAUCAAAAAGCAUAGAAAUAAGGAAGUCACAAUUAAUCAAUAAGACAAAAGCCCCUUAGUUGAUUAAUGAAGAGUUAGUCAGCUAAGAUUUAAAUCAAAGGAUUGGCGGGCUGAAGAGUAUUGAAAAACAGAACCAACUUAGUCGACCAAGGAAUGAGUUAGUCGACUAAGUGCACACUGCCAGAACUGCUAGAAAUUGGGAACAGAAGACAGAGACAACUUAGUCGACUAAGAUAUCGGUUAGUCGACUAAGAGCAUUCUGCUUGUAAUUUUGAAGUCUGCACUGAAUAACAGAUUAACAGCUAGAACCAGCUCCCAACUGUUUCCAACAGUCAAAAAACUGUCAAACUGCCACCAGAGUUGUUUCUCUAAAUAUAAAAGAGGGUUCCAACAGCUAGAAAUACUAGAUUGAAGGAAUCCAAGAAAAAAGAGCUUAAAACCAGCAAAAAAUCUCUUUACACUUUACUGCACUCAAUGCCCAUCUUUGUAGUUAUGUUUUGCACUUCAACUUGUACCACUUUAAUCAACUUUGUGAUCAUAGAUACACUUCUAUUUCAUUUCUCUUUAUGUUUUUAUAGUGAAAGGGUCACUCUAAGGGGUUCAAUCAAGCUAGAAUUGCUUGUUUAGAUAAAGGUUCUAACUUAGCCUUGAAAAGUUAGGUGUGGGUUAUAGUUGAACCCGAAAAAAACUAUUGUGAAAGAUUUUUGCUAAGCUUGGUAAAAGCCAUUGCAAAGCUUGGUGAAAGCUUGCGAAUUUCACUGGUUCUUAAUGGAUUGGUUGGAAAAUCCUUGGUUGGAUAAUUAAGGUAGUGGAUGUAGGUCUUGGACUAAACCACUCUAAAUUCUACUGUCUUAUUUACUCUGUUUUUGUUUUAUUUGCAUUCCUCUUUUAUCUUGCAUUUGUCUACACUUAGAGACAAUUUUUUAAAGAGCCAAAUUAUGCUAUUCACCCCCCCUCUAGCACAUUUAACUGGGACCAAUAAGUAGUAUCAGAGCUACUUCCCUGUUCUUAAGGUCUAACACCCUUUGGGAGGAUCUAAAUGGCUCAACUAAAAUUAGUAGUUGCUGAGGGACAAUCAACAAACAGACCACCUCUAUUUGAUGGCUCUAACUAUCCUUAUUGGAGCACUAGGAUGUCUAUAUAUAUUAGAGUAAUUGAUUAUGAGAUGUGGGAUGUUAUAACUGAUGGACCAUACAUUCCCUCAACUCUAAAUGUAGUGAGAAAUGAGAUGAUCCCAAAGCCAAGGUCUGAAUGGAUCGAGGUUGACACUAAGAGAGUCCAAACAAAUUUUAAUGCUAUCAACACAUUGCAUUGUGCCUUGACUCCCACCGAAUUCAACAAGGUAUCAAGCUGUACAAUAGCUAAACAAGUGUGGGAUAAGCUUAGGAUAAUUCAUGAAAGGACUUCUCAAGUCAAAGAGUUCAAGAUAACCCUCUUGACCCAUAGUUAUGAAAUGUUUAAGAUGGAGCCUGGUGAAGAUAUCACCAGCAUGCUAGAUAGAUUCACAAACAUCAUAAACAAACUUAGUCAGUUAGGCUAACCAAUACUAGAGCAUGAGAUUGUUAAAAGACUUCUUAGAAGCUUACCAAAAAAUUGAAAGCUUAUAGUGACUACAAUCCGAGAAGCAAAGGACCUAAAUGUUAUUACUCUAGAUGAGAUUUGUGGUUCUCUCUUUACUCAUGAGCUAGAACUCAAGGAAAAAGAAGAAGAAGAUAGGAGGGAAGCAAAAAAAAUGAAAAAGAGCAUUGCACUAAAAGCCUACAUUCUUGAAGAAGAGUUGGAAAAGCUAUCUUGUGAUGAUGAUGAAGAGUUAGCAUUGGUUGCAAGGAAAUUUAGAAAGCUUAUGGGCAAAAGAAAUCGAAGAUUGGCUAGAAGAGGUUUUAGAAAGGAUCAAGGUUUUUCAUGGAGAACUAGAAACAAAAGUGACUCCAACAAAAAGAUGAGCUAACCUACUUUGAAUGCAAGAAGCCUGGACAUUUCAAGCCUGAAUGCCCAUUGCUGAAAGAUGAGACUCUAAAAAAAAACAAGAAAUCAAAUAAGGCAAUGGUAGCAGUUGCCUGGUCAGACAGUGACACAUCAAGUUCUAAAAAUGAGGAAGAAAAAGUUGAGGAAAGAGCAAACAUAUGUUAGAUGGCACAAGAUGAUGAAUCCUAGGUAUCCUCAUCCCUUUGUAAUAAUUCAAUUGCUGAUUUACAAGAUGAGUAUGAGUGCCUUUAUGAUGACUUUGAAAAACUCUUUUCAAAAUACAAGAUUCUAAAGAAAAAUAUUGCAUCUUUUGAAAAUGAUUUAGAAAAGAUAAAAAAAGAGUUCAAUUUUGUUUCUGGGCAAAGAAAUUUUCUACAAAUUGAGUUAGAACAUUCAAAACAGACUUUGAAAUUUUAAAAUUAGAGCUAGACGAUAAAUCUAAAGCUUUGUGAAAAACACUUGAUGAAAAUACAGAUCUUAAAAGUUUGAAAAAUGAAACUUCAAAAAGAAAAGUCUACUACAAGAAAAACUAUGUUAAUGCAACAUCUAGAUACUAUGUUUGCAAUAAAAUUGGCCAUUUAUCAUAUGAUUGUUUUAAAAAAAGAAGCACACAAAAAAUAAGAAAAAUAUGGGUUCCAAAAGGAUCCUAUGUUGUUGCUAACAAUCAAGGACCCAUCAAGGUAUGGGUACUUAUAAAGAAAAACUGAAAUUCUGUUUUGUAGGUUGAGCUGCACUUAAAGGAGACAUGUUCAAGAACUUAACUCAAGAAAAAGCAGCCUUGGUAUAUGGACAGUGGCUGCUCACAGCACAUGACAAGAGAUGAAAUGUUAUUUGCUCAGGUAGACAAAAGAAAAGGAGGUAUCGUAUCCUUUAGUGAUGCUUCAAAACGUAGAAUACAUGGUAUAGGAACAGUUGGUAAGAACUCCUAAACUCAAAUCAGUCAUGUGUUAUUAGUUAAAGGCUUAAAACAUAAUUUAUUAAGUAUUAGUCAAUUAUGUGAUAAAGGAUUUAAAGUAUGCUUUGAUUCAAAUAAGUGUGAAGUAAUAGAUAUAAGCACAAAUAAAGUUUCAUUUAUAAGAAAAAGAUUAAAGAAUAUGUAUGUUGUAUUUCUUGAAGAUCUUGAAAUGAAUUGUGAAAUGUAUUUAGUGGGAAAUGUUGAAAAUGAUAGCUGGCGAUGGCAUAGGGGACUAAGACAUGUGACCAUGCACACUAUGUCAAAAUUAAUUAAAAAAAAUCUAGUUGUUGGAUUGUCGGAUGUCAAAUUUGAAAAUAAUGAAAUAUGUGAUGCUUGCCAACUAGGAAAACAAGUUAGAACAUCCUUUAAGACUAAGAAGAUUGUAACUACAUCUAGACCUCUUGAAUUGCUACACAUUGAGAAGAUUGUAACUACAUCUAGACCUCUUGAAUUGCUACACAUUGAUCUAUUUGGUCCAAUAAGGACAACUAGUCUAGAAGGAAAAUCUUAUGGCUUUAUGAUAGUUAAUGACUACUCUAGGUACACUUAGGUUUAUUUUCUUACUCAUAAGAAUAAUGCUCCACCAGCAUUUAUAAGUCAUUGUAGGAAAGUUGAGAAUGAGAAAGGACUGACAAUAGCUGGUAUUAGGAGUGAUCAUAGUGGAGAAUUUGAAAGUGAUAAAUUUCAAAAUUUUACAAUGAAAAGGGGUUGGAUUAUAAUUUUUCUGCACCUAGAACACCCUAGCAAAAUGGAGUUGCAGAGAGAAAUAAUUGUACCUUAAAAGAAAUGGCUAGAACUAUGCUAUGUGAGAAUAACCUACCAAGUAUUUUUAGGCUGAGGCAGUGAACACAGCAGCAUAUAUACUCAAUAGAGUCUCAAUUAGAGCCAUGAUAUCAAAGACUCUACAUGAACUUUACAAUUGUAGGAAACAAAAUAUUUCACACCUUAGGAGUUUUGGUUGUAAAUGUUAUGUGUUAAACAAUGGAAAAUAGUCCUUAGGUAAGUUUGAUGCAAAGAGUGAUAAGGUAAUAUUUUUAGAAUAUGCAUUAAACUCAAAGGCUUAUAGAGUUUUCAAUAAAAGAACUUUAACUGUUGAAGAAUCAAUCCAUGUAGUUUUUGAUAAGUUUAAUGCCUUACAAAAGGAAAUUCAUGUUGAUGAUGAUGAUGUAGAGAUCCUAAAUAGCAAAUGGAAGAAAUGAGCUUACAGCACAAUAAGAAUAAUGAAGAAAGCUCACCUACAAGAGAAAAUGGAACUCUACCUCUAGAAAAUUUGCAAAGAACAUAAAUUCAACAUAGUGAUCUUCCAAGGAAUUAGAGAUUCACAAAAGGCCAUCCACAUGAACAAAUCAUAGAUGACAUUUCUUAAGGAGUUAAGAUUAGGAGAGCAACAAGAGAGACUUGUGAGUUUUCAGCUUUCAUCUCCCAAAUAGAACCUAAAAAUUUUGAAGAAGCUGAAAAAGAGGAAAGUUGGAUAAUUGCCAUGCAAGAGGAACUUUAUCAAUUCAAAAGAAACCAUGUAUGGUCAUUAGCCUUUAGACCUUCAAAUCACCUUAUUGUUGGCACAAAAUGGGUGUUUAGAAAUAAGGUAGAUGAGCAAGGAAAUGUAGUUAGAAAUAAAGCUAAGUUAUUAGACCAAGGAUAUAACCAAGAGGAAAGAAUUGACUAUGAUGAAACAUUUGCAACGGUUGCUAGGAUUGAAGCCAUAAGGUUGUUGCUUGCUUUUGCAUGCUUCAUGAAUUUUAAAUUGUACCAAAUGGAUGUAAAGAGUGCAUUUUUAAAUGGAUUCAUUCAAUAAGAAGUAUAUGUUGAACAACCACUAGGAUUUGAAGACUUUGAAAAACUAGAUCAUGUUUUCAAACUUCAUAAAGCCUUGUAUGGAUUGAAACAAGCUUCUAGAGCUUGGUAUGAGAGGCUUUCAAAAUUUUUGGUUGAAAAAGGCUAUGUUAGAGGUAGCAUUGAUACAACAUUGUUUAUCAAAAGAUACUUAAAUGAUUUAAUUGUUGUUCAAAUUUAUGUGGAUGACAUUAUGUUUAGUGCAACUAAUGAGGCUUUAUGCAAGAAUUUUACCAAAGAGAUGCAGGGUGAAUUUGAGAUGAGCAUGAUGGUAGAGUUGAAGUAUUUUCUUGGGCUUCAAAUCAAACAAAAUGAGAAAGAAAUCUUCAUCAACCAAGAAAGAUACACUUAAGACAUGCUCAAAAAGUUUGAUAUGCUGAAGCUAAAAUCAAUUUGUACACCAAUGAGUCCAUCCACCAGACUUGAUUUAGAUGAAAAAGGAAAGAAUAUUGAUCAAAAGCUCUAUAGAGGUAUGAUCGGAUCAUUGCUCUACUUAAGAGUAAGCAGACCAGAUAUUUAGUUUAGUGUGUGUUUAUGUGCUGGAUUUCAAUCUCAGCCUAAAGAAUCACACUUAACUACUGGUAAAAGAAUUUUUAGAUACCUCUUAGAAACACAAACCUAAGGAAUGUGGUACUCGAGAGAAUCAUUAUUUAAUCUUGUAGGCUAUUCGGAUGCAAACUUUGUAGGAAGCAAAAUCGAUAGAAAAAGUACUAGUGGUACAUGCCAAUUUCUAAAAAGUAUGUUAGUAUCUUGGUCAAGUAAGAAAUAGAAUUUAGUAACUCUAUCCACAACUGAAGCAGAAUAUGUUUCUCUAGGCAGCUGCUGUACACAAAUUUUGUGGAUUAAACAACAAUUAAAGGACUAUGGAAUAACAGUACAUAAUGUACCAAUAUUUGUGAUAAUACAAGUGCAAUCAAUAUAUCAAAAAAUCCUAUGCAACAUUCUAGAACUAAACACAUUGAAAUUAGGCACCAUUUUGUUAGAGACCAUGUAGUGAAGAGAGAUGUUAAAAUUGAGUUUGUGAAUACUUUGCACCAAUUAGCUAACAUCUUUACCAAACCUCUAAAUGAAGAUAGAUUUUGUGAGAUUAGAAGGAAUUUAGGAAUGAUUAAUAUGCAAGAGUUGUAAGAAUUUUUUUUUAACUCGUACACAUUAAACAGAAGGCACUUCGUCGACUAAAGAAACUCUUAGUCAACUAAGAGCAUUCUAUUUCAUUAAAUAAUAAGACUCAGUUAAGUUAAAGGCAAAGGGAAUAAAAUAAUAAGAAGAAACUGCCUACCGAGAAGUACAAUAGAGAAGAAAAAUACCGCCUAAAUCAAAAAAAAAUUAAGAGGCAAUUUUUGAAUUUUGAAGGUGGAGUUACCAAUUGCACUUAAAUAGGGGGAGUCAGACAGUUUUUCUCUUGGAAUUAAACUGAUCUUAACCCAUUUUCUUUACACUCUGUCUCUCUACUGAAACUGACGUCUGAAACUAAAACCCUCACCUCUCAACCAUUCGAAACCCUAUGUUGAAAAUCUUCCAAACUAAAUGGUGAAAUCAAUACAAUCUCAAUAACUUUUGGAAAAUAAGAAAGGCAAACGGCCAUUGGAAGAAAACAUGAAAGCUAAAAUACUAAAGAAAAAGAAAAUGAUUGAGUGGGAAUCUGUAAAUAAAGAAUCUAGAAAAUCCAAGAGCCACAAAUCUGAAAAAAAAGAAAGAAAUGAGCAAAUUGCACAAGAAAGGUACUUCUUCAUCUUCUAAAUUCAGAAAUAAAAUACAUGAAGAGAGAUUUAGGAAAAUAGAGAAUGCACCCAUCACUUGUGGAAAAUAUUUUGAUUGGGAGAGUUUUAGUGAAAUACCUGAAAUUUUGACAAGUCUAUCAGAUUAUUUUGAAGAGCUAAAAUUGAAAGAGUUCAACACAUUUGAAAACUGAUCAUAUAAUGCUAGCUUAGUUAAGGAAUUUUAUUCGAGUAUUGUUGUUGACAAGGAUGAAUUGGGGGAACCAGAUGAUUAUUCUAAUGAGGGGCUGAAUGUGUUUUUAAAUGGGAAGGAAUUUACUAUCAUUGCUGCAGACUUAGGGGAACUUCUUAAGAUAGAGUGUAAUGAGGGAGAAUUUGAAUUCCUUGAGAAGUAUGACCCCUAAUCCCUGUGGAAAGUGAUCAUUGGGAAGAAGCAAAAGUAUUCCUCCAAAAGCAAUGCAGGGCUUAUCACAAGUCGUCAAAUAAGGAUUCUACAUUACUUUGUUGCCGCUAAUCUUCAUGGGAAGAGUGGAAGCUUAAGCUACAUUAGCCUCCAAGAUUUAUGGCUAAUGGAACAUGCCUUUAGUGGUGUUGCACUUAAUCUAUGAAGGUUCAUGAUUGAAAGAAUAAGGGGUGCAUGCAGACUGGAGAAGAUCAACUUGCCUUAUGGAAAUAUCGUCACUUCUCUAGUGCAAAAGAAAGGAAUUUGGAGUUCUAGGUAUGAAGCAGACAAGGUCAAAACUAGAGACCAACCCAUUUAUCUAGGAAGCUUACCUAAAAUGGGUUACAAACUUGAUGGAGAAAGAUACAUUAAAACCCUCAAGGCUGCUCUAAGAAAGGAAUCCUCCUUACUUGCUCAACCAGAGAAUACACCAUCCUAAUUCUCAAAUGAAGUAAUCUUUAAUCUGCUAAUGAGAAUUGAUGGGAAACUCACAGAUCAAGGAGCAAGAAUUUAGAAAAUUGAAGAAAAGUUAAUAGAAAUGGAAAGCAAAAUGAAAGAAAAAUAAAAAAUGGCAUCUGAACUAGUUGCUGCAGACAGCUUUGUAACUCUUAGCUUGGCUUUUGCAAGACAGGAAACUGAGGUGCAAACUGAAGGUCAUGAACCUGAGGUGGAACAACAGAGAAAAUCUCCCUCACCUGAGCCUCAGGACAAGGAAGAAUCAGUACAAGCAACCAAAGAGCUUGGAUCACUUAAUGAAAAUCCUCCCUUUGAGCCCCAACCUCAACCAAGACCUUAACCAUCUCCUCCACAUUCUAAAAAGGUUUCAAUCAUGGGACUUUUCCAUCAAAUGGUUCAAGAGAGGGAAGCUGAGAAAGAGGUAACUAAGGCAAAAGCUCAACAAACAGCAUCUGCAUCAGCUUCUACUGCAGAAGGGACGCUUGGAAAAGGAAAAGCAAAGAUCAUUACUGCUCCCCAAGUCAAUUCCAAACCACCUGGCAUGGGUAAGAAAAUAAUAGCAACUAAAACAAAGUUCAACAAAAUGAGGAAAUCAUUCAGAUUGGCUGAGAAGGCUAAGCCAGCACUAAUCUCAUCUCCUCAAAACCCUCUUGAGAUUUCAUCCCCUGAACAAUCCCUUGAAAAAUCACCACCUCAACCCUUUCUUCAACCCCUCAAUGUCAAAUACUACACUGAUGAUGAGUUCUCUCCCUCAUCCUCCUCAAAAAGUGAUUAGAAGCUGAUGAUGACAAAAAGGGGGAGAAGUAUAACAAGGACCCAAGGGGAGAUAGGAAGUAGAAAACUGUCUAGGGGUAGUUUCGAAACAUUAAUAGUUAUUUUGUGAUAAUUUGCUGUUUGUGCCAUGAUGGCAAUUGAAAACUUAAAUUUAACCUUGUUGUUUAUGUUUUUUUAUGUGUAAUGGGAUGCUGAUAUGUUUAUGUUAUUUGGUUAUUGAUAAUUAAAUAUUUGAUGAUGUCUUACUAUCUAUGGUAUUUUAACUGUUGCGUGGUAUUUUAACUGCUGUUGAUAAAAAUCUGUUGCUGUACUGAUAAUUGGGAUAGUAUGAUGAAGAUUGAUUUUUAUUGUGAAUGGAUUGUGUUUGUGAAUACAUAUGGAUGCUGAGUAUAUUAUAUAUGAUGAAUAAUUAAUGGUAAAAACAAAAUUUGGUAACAAUAAAUUAUUGAUAGACACUGUUGAAAUAAAGAUGAAAAUCUAUUAACAUUCACCUGCUGUAAAUCACUUUAUAUUUCUACAUAUAUAUACUCUGAAUGAAUAAUGUUAUUUUCUAUUUGACAUGAAUAAAAUUUGCUAGAAUGAAUAAACAAGAUAUGCACACACUAAGGGGGAGCACACAUUUAGGGGGAGCAAUCCCCAUUCUCUGCAGGAUUAAAAAGAAUAAAAAGACAUUGUGCUAUUAAUCAAGGAAUGUUUUGUCAUCAUCAAAAAAGGGGGAGAUUGUAGGCUCCAUUAGUUUUUGAUGAUAAUAAAACAUUUCCAUUCAUUUGUGUCUAAUUUUUCUACUUGAGUGUGCAGGACAAAAUUAUAUGCAAAUAAACAAUCAAUCAUUAAAAUGCACAUAUCAAAUAGCAUAGAAAUAAUGAAGUCAUAAUUGAUCAACAAGACAAAAGCCCUUUAGUUGAUUAAUGAAGAGUUCGUUAGUUAAGAUUUAAAUCAAAGGAUUAGCGGGCUGAAGAGUAUUGAGAAACAGAACCAACUUAGUCGACCAAGGAAUGAGUUAGUCGACUAAGUGCACAUUGCCAGAACUGCCAGAAACUGGGAACAAAAGACAGAGAUGACUUAGUCAACUAAGAUAUCGGUUAGUCAACUCAGAACAUUCUGCCUGCAAUUUUGAAGUCUACACUAAAAGAUAUAUUAACGACUAGAACCAACUCUCAACUGUUUCUACUGGCCAGAAAACUGUCAAAUUGGCAUCAGAGUUCUUUCUCCAAAUAUAAAAAACGGUUCUAAUGGCUAGAAAUAAUAGAUUGAAGGCUUCCAAGCAAAAAAAGCUCAAAAACCAAUAAAAAAUCUCUGUACACUUUACUGCACUCAACGCCCAUCUUUGUAGUUGUGUUUUGCACUUCACCUUGUACCACUUAGAUCAACUCUGUGAUCAUAGGUACACUUCUAUUUCAUUUCUCUUUAUAUUCUUAGAGUGAAAGGGUAAUUCUAAGGGGUUCAAUCAAGCUAGAAUUGCUUGUUUAGAUAAAGGUUCUAACUUAGCCUUGAAAAGUUAGGUGUAGCUUAUAGUUGAGCCUGAAAAAAUCUAUUUUGAAAGGUUUUGGCUAAGCCUAGAAAAAGCCAUUGUAAAGCUUAGUGAAAGCUUGUGAAUUUCACCGGUUCUUAGUGAAUUGGUUGGAAAAUCCUUGGUUGGAUAAUUAAGGUAGUGGAUGUAGGUCUUGGACCGAACCACUCUAAAUUCUGCUGUCUUAUUUACUCUGUUUUUGUUUUAUUUUCAUUCCUCUUUUAUCUUGCAUUUGUCUACACUUAGAGACAAUUUUUGAAAAAGGCAAAUUGUGUUAUUGGCCUCCCUUCUAGCACAUUUAAUGUCAUGACCCAAAUUAUGAGCCAUGACCGGUGCAUGGGCCCAAUGGACGUAUUCCACUAAGCCCAAGCAAGCCUACUUAUAUUACUUGCUUAUCAUUCCAUCCCACGAGUUACUAAAAUCACAAUUCAAAAUCUUAAUUCGAAAUGAUGAAAACUGUUGCCAACUAAUACUGGCGUUACUCAUUAAAAUAUACACAUACUGUCUACAGUAUGUAUUCUAAUAAUUAACAUCAGAUUUGUCUAUACAUGUCAAAAGGAGACUCGAUGUCCAGCGGAGAAACUUGACGAAUGUACAACUACUGAAUGCUGAGACACCUACUAAUAGUCGAGUCUUCAAAAACACCUCGACCUAGUUACCAACUGCCUCGUGAUCUAAAAACAUGAAGUUGAAAACGGUGAGUAUAAACCCAGUGAGUGAACAAGAAAGGGAAUAAGCAUACCAUAAGGAAUGUUUAACGAAAUCAUGAUGCAUUCAUUUUUCAAAACAAUGCAAUUUAUUUUAGUUCUCAUUAAACCCCUCAUGUAAACCCCAUAUGAGAAAAAUCGCUUAUUGAAAAGAGUCCAUGCUCAACAAAGGAUUUGGAGAGUGAAAACUUUAAUAGCAUUCAUGGAAAUCAAGUCAAAUAAAUGUCGAGUCUUUGCUACAGCGGAAAGGCACGUUGCAGCGAGAAUGGAUUUUUGCUGUAGCGACACUUAACUUAAAUUAUCAUCUAGUCGAGGGUUUCUUAACUGGCCGAGGGUUUCUCACCAAACCUCCUCAUUUUAAACUCAAUUCAUUUAUUCCUUAAUGUUGGAAGUCCAUGCUCAACUAUGGUGUGAGACCUUGUCAAGCUCGAUUAAAAGACGGUAUUGUUCUGAGUGGUACAACUAAGUUAAAUCGAGCCUUGAACUAGUUCAAAUAGAAAUUCUAAAAGGAAUUUAAAAAUUUUGAAACCCACAGAAUGGCUUAGAAUAGUGAUUCAGAGUUCAAGGUCCAGUUUGGAGUCCAUCAGGAAAAUUGACCGAUUAGGGACAACGGUCAUUUUACCAUGUGAUGAUAAAAUGGAGAUUUCUAGCUAAAAGUUGAUCACAUUUGACCAAGAAUAAUUAUAUGGAAUAUAUUUACGAUUAUUGGAGUAUAAAAUGAUGUUUAGCAGUGAAAAAUUAUGAUUCCCGGUAUUUUUGGAGCACAAUGGCAAAAUGGUAAUUUUGCCACUAGAUGACUAAACGGGAAUUUUUAUAAAACAAUUAUUUUACCCCAUUUGGUUAAUAUUGAUCAAUAUUUUUAUUAUUUGAGGUUGAAAAGUAGAAAUAAUAUGAUUUCGGUACAUUUCGGAGUAUAGGGGCAAAAUCAUAAUUUUUUCACCUCGGGGGCAAAUCGGUAAAUUUUUCACCCAAGCACUUGUCAAGACCAAGGGAUUUUAAAUGUGGUAGGAUUGGAUAAAUACCAGAAUAUUUGUGGUGGAAAAUUAAGAAGAAAAAGUCAAAAAGUUAAAAAUUGGGCCAAUAAGCAUGUGACACGUGGCAUUAUUUUAUUAUUUUCUAUAGAAAUCAGCCCAUUAAAUCCCCAAUUCUCUCACCAUAUUCGGCCUAGGCAAUCAGCAACAAGAACAAAGGAAGAACAAAGGGAAAAACAAGAAAACCUAGGUGGAAAUUAAAAAAAAAAGUGAAAAAAUCAAAGUAACGAGGUAGGUAAGUUAAAAUAUCUUUAAUUCUUCUUGAUACCUAGCUUAUCCAUGCUUUUGUUCUUGAUUUCCAUGGUUGAAUAUUGAGUUAUCAUGAUGAAUUCAAUUCUGAAAAAUUGGUAUGGAAGAGAAAUUGUUGUUGGAAUAAUUUGAUUUUAGACUAUGUUAGUGUUUAGGGAUAGUUAAGCAUGGUUAUGAACAAAAACAUAAAAGAAAUAUUCAAUUUAUCUAGGGUUCCUUGUUGGUCGAACCAUGAGGGCUGAAUAUCAAUGGGAGAUUGUUUUUAUUUCAAGGAAUAUGGCUUGGGAAAUGAUGAAUUAAGGUGAAACGAUUAUGUAGAAAAAAAUUUCGGUGCUAGUGCACCAAAUGACCGAAUUUUCUAUAAGGAACUGUGAGGGUUCUAAUGCUGAAUUUGGCUUUAUUUAAAUGAUAUGUGGUAAAUUAAGGUAUUAGAGGAGAAAUGGAUUAAUUUGGAGGUGAUUUGGACACAAUCGCCAAUUAAUCAGUGAUCGAUCAAAUUUAAUCGAUACCGCGAUUAAGCGGUAAUCGGACGUAUUUUUGCAUUUACAUAUCAAGCAUUAGUAAUUUAAAUUAGUUUAUAUCAAUUUAGGGACAAUAUAGUAAAUUCCUCGACUUUGUUAUUUGUCAAGGUAGUGAGACAUCCGAAAAAGGCAAAGGAAUUGCGCUUGAGGACUAUUAGUCUGAGUGCACCCGAAAUCUGGAUUUUUGAUACUGGUGAGUGGACUGCCUAUCAAAAUUGUUUUGGGAAUAUGACUGUUUUGAGCAAAGUGUUUGAAUGAUUUUAUGCAAAUUUUCAUGAAAAUGUACCUUGGGAACAAGUUUUUAGUAAAAUGAUUUUAUAUUGUGAAAAUGUGCUCUACAAUGGUUUAUGUGUUAUCAUAAUAUGAUAAAAUGCAUGAUAUGCAUUGGAUGCUUCUUUGCAUGUUGAUUUGGACCCGGCUAUGUGUGAGUAGGAGCGCACAUAAGCCGUUGCUGACCCAGCUAUGUGCGAGUAGGAGUGCACAUAAGCCAUUGCUGACUCGACUAUGUGCGAGUAGGAGUGCACAUAAGUCGUUGCUGACCCGGCUAUGUGUGAGUGGGAGUGCACAUAAGCCGUUGCUGACCCGACUAUAUGCACAUAAGCCGUUGCAUAUGAGAUGAUGAUGAUGAGAUGGUGUGCAUGUUGAUGAUGGGUAUAUGGUUGUAAAUGCAAAUAUGUAAGCGUUUGUUUUAUUGAAAUUUGGAAGUUUACAUGUUUUACAUGUUGCUAUUGUUAUUUUAGCAGGAUGGCUUGUUUUAAGGGAAAAAGGGUUUGGAAUAGUAGUUAGAUGAAAAUGGCCUUAUUUUCAAUCGCUGCAUCAUGAUUGUCAAAUUUCCUAGUUGAGAUUGCUUGUUCCCUUCUAAUAUUCACUCACUGAGUAUUGUACUCACGUUUUAUAAAAAUUCAUGUUUUCAGAUCAGGUGACUAUUGGACCCUAGAUCGAGGAGUCCCCGUAGUGCAUCUCUUGGGUAUGUAUCUGGCAUUCGAUAGUAAUCCUUUUAUUCUAAAUGUCUCCGCUGGAAGUCAUGGGUCCUUUUGUAUUGUGAAUACAAUUUAACAAUGUGAAUAUGUGUAUGCAAUAUAAAUUGCUAAAUACAUUACUAGUAUAGUGCAUGUAUAUUAUUAUCGAUAAUGCCAUUGUGUUUUGGCUAUGUUCACACUCAGUAAAAAGUGUGUGUGUGUGUAUGCAUGAUAAGAUAAAUUUGUUAAGAAAAGGAUACGCUUGCUUGGGCUUAGUAAGCUAUGCUCAUUGAGCUCAUGCGCCGAUCAUGGCUCGAGAAAUUGGGUUGUGACAUAUGGUACCAAAGAAAUGGAAAAUAGGGUAGCAACUGAACCAAAUGAGGAGAAAAAUAGAAAGUUUUUCGCUGCAGUGAGAUUCAAUGUUGCUGUAGUGAAAUUUUGGGUUUCAAAAUAGAAAGUUUCUCGUUGUAGCAAGAAUGAAUCUCGCUACGGCGAUGAUGCUACAAUACUGUCUCGCUGCAGCGAGUUUCCAGCCAGCCAACCCUUUCAAAAUGCGAGAGUUUCUCGCUGCAACAAGAAUGAAUUUUGCUGCAGCGAGAACAAAGCAACAAGAGAAAAGUUUCCCCUCACUCCACAAAAAAGGCCAUCAUGCUAAACCAACAAAAUCAACAUAAAACACAUGAAAAUUCCAAAAGUGCAAUGUAUCACAUUUCACAUAUAUGUCAAUCAUAUAUCAUAUGCAUGAGCUUUCAUUUCAUAAGUAUAGAUUUGCAUAAUUACAUAGGUAAACAUCAAUAUCAUCAUAAUCACCCUCGGCUCAUGUACAUCCCCCCACAUCGUGCACAUAGCCGGUGCCAUCGUGUGCAUCUCCCCACAUCGUGCAUAAUCAGUGCCAUCAUGUACAUCCCCCCACAUCGUGCACACAAGCACUAUCAUCAUCCAUCUCUCAUGCCACCAUCAUCAUCGGCAUGUGCAUCCCCCCACAUCGUGCACACACACGGUUAUAAUCAUUAUACACAAUAUCAAUCAUCUUGCACAACACACAUAUAUAUAUCAUCAUAAUGCAAUAAUACAUGAAUCCAUAGCAAUCACAUAUCACAACAUAAAACCAUUUAGCAAAAGCUUGUUCCCAAGGCACUUGUUAUUAUGAAAAACUUGAUAAUUCAUUCAAAUGUGUAGCAAAUACAUUAUGUUCCCCAAAACAAGUUUUGAAGGCAAUUCACUCACCGGUAUAUUAUCAAGCCUUUAGCUGACUCUAAUUCCCCUAAUGAUCCAAUUGGGGUGAUGGGGCUUUGUUAGAACCUACCAUGAAAUUAACAUUACCAUAAUGUCAAUUGAUACUUAUGAACCCUAAAAGCUAUCCGUUAGCAAGCUUUCAAUUGCCACUUUAAAUGGCUAUCUAUGUUCACUAUCUUAAUCACUAUAAAAUGAAUGAACAUCCUCAACAAUAAAACAGCUCAUAAUCCUAAUUACUAUUCAUUAUCCACAGCUAAAAACCAAGCUUAGUUCAUCACUCACCUUAGUGUUUCUUUGUAGUGGAAUUCUCUUCCAAUAGCUUCCAAACAAAUGGGGUAAUUCUCUCUUUCUCUCUCUAGAACACCUAACUAGUGAGAGAAAGUAUGGAAAUAAGAUUUAUCAAGGGUUUUGAAGUGAGAGAGUGAAAGAAUACAAGAGUUCUAAUCAAAAGGGUUCAAAGGUAUGAAAAAUAAAGCUAGAGAGAGAAAAUUAUGCAAGCUCCAUAUCAAGCUUCCAUGGAGGUUGGAAGCAAUGUGAGAUGGAAGAAGAAGAAGAAGACAAGCUGCUGGAAAUUCAAGAAGCUGCUAGAAGGAGAAGAUAUUUAUAGCCAAACUUAUCCACUCCACUCAAAUUACCAAAAUACCCCUCCACACUUUGGCUUAUUCUCCUCUAAUCUUUUAUGCAAUCUUUUUACUCCUUUAACACUAGAACAAGGUCCAUAAUGGUCUAGAAAUGUUCGGGUUCAUGAAAAACUUAAAAAUUUUGACUCGAGGUGAAAAAUGACCAUUUUACCCCUAUUGUGAACAUUAUUGUCAUUUCUAGUUUUUUUCGUGUUUUCAUCAUUACACAUCCUUUUUGCAGUCUUAUACCUAUUUAGACCUUAAAAUAUCAUAAAACGUUCUCCUGAGAGCUUAUUAGAGAAAAUGACGAAACUACCCCUGGCUUGUGUUAUUGUGUUUAUGCCUAGUUACAAGCCUAUAGAGGUUGAGGUCUCACAUUUAAUUAGGACCAACAUCAUAUAUUUCCUUCAAAAAUAUAGUAGCCAUAUAAAAGCAUGCACGUUCCAAAAAUGUGUGGCAUGUAAAAAUAGUCAUGUACAUCCACAUAUAUCCACUCAUGAUCAACAUAUAAAGCACUAAAAGCUUUCAAUUAAAUUGGGGAGCUAUGGAAAAACAAUAUCUCUCCACUGUGCAAAAGAGUACAAGUCUAAAAACUCUCAAGACUCUCGAAUAAGUAAUCAUAGAUAAUCAACCCGUGGACCUUUCUUCCACGUAAUAGCAAUCUGGGAGACCUCUUUCCACCGAAUUUUCAUAGCCAUGGCAAUCUCGAUGAUGUUGGCCAACAUCGGAGAAAUCAUGUGGUCACAACCACAUAUAUCAACUCGUGGCCUUGCCAUGUAUAACAGCCAGUGGCCUUGCCACGUAUAAUCAUAAACCGUGGCCUAGCCACGUCUACUAGCUCGUCGGUGACCCAAAAGGUUCUCUAGCUAAAGCUCACUUAUGCACAAGGGUCACACUAUCCCGAUGUGACAUUCGACCUACUCUCGAUGGUCUCAGUUUGUCAAAACCAUUUUCAAAACCAAAUUAAGGUUUCUAAGAGUUUCCCUUAAAUCAUUUGAAAACAAGGUUCGAUAACCUUUCAAAAUUUCUUUUCACUUUAAAAUGCAUGGUGUAAACAUUUGCAUACAAAAUUCGGAUUACAACUAUAAUUGCUUUGAAUCAAUUUCUUUUCUUUAUAGUUCCAUUCGUUUAUAGUCUUAAUUACUAAUUUGUUGUCGACCUUUUUAUAUGAGACAUGAGGACCAUCUAAUAUAACACUCCAAACAUCUCACUGCAUAGAUUUUAUGAACAUUUCCAUUCUUUUUUCCAAUAAGGAUAAUUAUUACCUAUAAAGAAAGGUGGCCUUUCUUUGACCAAGUAUGGUUGGCGUUACCACCAUUUUUAUCAAUUUGAGCUUCUACAAAAUUUCUUUCACCAAUUAUCCCCCGUCUUGGUAUAUUGUUCAUUUUGAAACUCAAAUUUUCAAAGAAAAGCACUUCAAGGAACUUCAAAAAGAAAGUAAUGAUGGCAACUUGGAGUGAUACUGAUGAUUCAUAAGAUGAAGAGGGAUGAAAACGCUGUAAAUCUUUAGCACUUGAUGACUACAAGGUAUAUUAUUCAUUUUCUCAAAGGUGGUUAGACCUACAAAAUUUGACACCAAUUGUUAGUGUAGAAGUUUCAAAAUGAACAAUAUACCAAGACGAGGGAGAAUUGGUAUAUUAAAAUUUCUUUGAAAAUUUAAGUAUAAAUAUCACGACUUUUUCACUCAAAAAUAUUUAAUAGCAUCAAAAAGAGUUUUCCAACAAAUCACUUAAACAGAAAAACAAUAUAUCAAGAUAAAAUAUUUUUGCCAAGUUAAAUGCUAGCUAUGAAAAGUAAAGAGAAAUAUAUUUUUCUAACUGUAAAACAAUAAAUCAACAUAAAACUAUUUUCCUAAGGCAAAUAUAAGCAACAACUAAUAAUGCGAAAAAAUUAAAGAGAAACACAAGAAAUUUAUAGUGGUUAGGCUUUUUUGAUGCAUGUAUCCACUCCCUUGGCAACUAAGGAAUUUCGAUACACUAUCGACGAUUCUUACUUUUUAACGGGACAAAGCAAUACCCCUCACACAAUCUAUACAGGGAUUCUUUCCUUUUAUCGAGAUUAAGUGAUAACCUUUAUAACGAAUUUUUCACGGGAUCAAGCAAUAACCCUUACAUAAUCCACAAAGGGAUUAUUGCUUUUUAACGAGAUGAAGUAGUAACUCACCAACAAUGGUUUCUAAAGGCUUAAGCACAAACCAUCACAAAUAGCUUUUCAAGGUUAAGCUAGAACCUUUAUAAUGAAAUACAAAUUUCAACAAGAAAAUGCCUUUAAAAAGUAGGGUGCUAAGACUUUAAGCUUGUUUGAAGCUUUGGUUUAGGUAUUCUCAUCCUUCAAAAUGGCUCAAAUGCAGCUUUUUAUAGCUGAGCCAUCAUUUGGAGCUGUUAGACAUAAGUCUGAAUCAAAUAUGAUCAUUGAUGAAUCAAAUAUGAUCAUUGUUGAAUCUUGAGGGUCGACUACAAUAGUUUUAAGGUUAACUAUGUUCUUGACAUUCAUCAAAUUAGGCUUCCAUAGUCGAGUAUAAUCUUUCUCUAGUUGAUCUAUCUCCCUAGAACGUGUUUCUUGCAAGUUUGAGCUGUUAUACUUGUUACAGUCUUUACACAUGCAAGCCCAUGUGUCACACGAGUAAUAUGGAGGUAAGUAAGUAUCAUAUCCCACAAGAAAUUGUAUCUAAAAAUUUACUAAAUACUAAAAUUAAUGCACCCUAAUUUUAUCCAAGUAAACCAAAAUUUUGAAAUUUAAUUAAAGAUAAAAUCUACUUAACAACAUUACUCUACGAAAUGGAAACUAAAUUAAUAGAAAAGUAAUGGACUAAGAGUCUAGGAUUAUGGUUUCAUUCAACAUUUCAUGUGUAAUAAUGUUUCUCUUAAUACAUAAAUCAAUGGGUGGUGAUGCUACUCUAGAAUCCACAUUAUGUACAAGUUUCCAUCUAGAUAUUGCACAAUUUCCUAACCUAAUUGGUUCUAUAUAUGUCUAUAGUAAUCAAUUACGAUAAGUUCUUUAAACAUGUAUUCUAAUUUUACUACAAGUGGCAUUUAGGCGUAUGUCUACCCUAAUUGCUAAUCAAUUCAGUCAAUUUCUAUGUGAAAUGAACACACACUAUCAAACCAUGCUCUAAUAUAAACUAACUUCAUCAAGUCUCAUUUAGAUACCCACAUGCAUUCAAUUGUUGAUCAGCAAAUCAAAGGCAAUAAGCUCAUAUUUGAAUAAACAUCACAAUACCAAUUAAUAUUCAAUAAAGGAGGAACAUAAUAUCCACACUACAUGUUGAAAUCUACCACAAUCCUAAAAAAAUCAAUUUAACUCAUAAUAUCUUCAGCAAACAGCAACAUCCCAAGAAAAUAAAUCAUUUUUACAACAAAAGCAAAAGCGAGAAAGCCAAAUUUACAGAGAGAAACAGUUUCAGCUUUUCAAAAGCUCAUUUUCCUUAAUUUCUCCUCAUUUCCUUUUUUUGUAAAAAGCUUUUUUUUCUCUAAAAUGUUGCUCUAUCUAGCCCCCUUUUUUCCAACUAAAAAAGUGCCAUUUAUACCCCUCUUUAGAAGCCCUUAAGUUAAAAAUUUAGAAGUGCAGAAAAUUUAGAAACACAUGCUGGCACUACUAGAAUUUGAAUAAAGGCUAGAGAAUUAGGGAGUCGUGGCACUGGUGGGGUGGCACCAUGGUGUCCUGGUCUCUAUUUUGAUGUGUGAUGUAUUCCAAUCCCAUAGCCACAACCACUCAAGGCCACGGCACCAACUCUUCUUGUGUUUUCCCUACUGCAAUUUAGUCACUUCCAAUAAUAUUUUGACCACGACUUAAUCAAAACUGGGUAAAGUGAUAAAUAUAAAAGUAAUAGCCCUUCCUCUUAGAUUUCCAAUGGUUUAAGAAUCACAUGAUUAAACAUCUUUAUCACAAGUUAUGCUUGAGAUACCAUAGUAUGUUUGAUUAGAGUUUGCACUUAUUCAUCCUUGCAUAGUUCAUCAUUCAUUAACCUUUAUGAACUUGACAACCUUAAAAAGCAAAAGCUCAAUCAAUGACAGCACAAAUUAGGACUUUAAACAUGAAAUUGAUCUAAAAUUACUUGAAAUAAAAAUGAGUCAACAUGUAUUAAAAUUCUUAAUGAAAGACAUGAAAAGUACUUAAAAAUCAAUUCAAAAACACAAAGACUUAGCUAUUUUUAUGCCCAAAAUUGUGUAAGAUAACUCUCUAUAAUAGAGUUAUCACACCCCUCAACUUAAUAUGUUGCUAGUCCUUGAGCAAAACCUUAAAAUGAAAUAAACAUAAAGGAUGAAAACAUCUCUUACAAGUCAGUUGCACCAAAUCCGACAUCAUGUUUAAUUUCCUCAUAAGUUAUCUUAUUUUCUUAACUCAAUGCAAAGUAUAAAUACUAUUCAAAUUCACAUUUCAACUCAAUUGCAACCUUCCUUUGAAAUGGAUUCCUGUGUGUGUGUAGUCUCUUAUAAUGAACAUCAUGUCAUUCAGAUAGGUUUAUGCUUAAGCAAAAUUCAAAUUUAGUCUAAAGUUUCAUAAGUUUGCUUUUCAUCUCUCUUUCCACUAAUGUAGACUGGCACAUAAUCAAGGAUCCCUAGGACUUUAUUCAGCUUGUAAUAUAUGGCUAAGGUCAAGGUGGGAUAUGGGAUAAUAUGUAUCUCGAAUUACUCAAAGCACAUAAUCAUUCCAAGACCUAUAAAGAGCUUUAUUUUUCACUUCUCCUAUUCACACCUCUUUUAUUCUUUUAUUGACCCUUUUUCAUUCAUCACACACGUUAUUCUAUUUUUGAUUUCAAUCUUUUUUUAUUCACAAUUUAUCACCCCUAAACUUGUUUCUUUUUGUAGUAGGUAGUGGGGUGAAUGCUAACACAACUUCUCAAAUUUUUUUCACAAGCUUCACCUUUUCUACCUUUUUGAUCACUUAGCUUAAUACACUCCCUAAAUUGAUCUAUAUACUUAGGAGUGAUGUGUGUUAAAGUGGAGAUUUAUUUACAAGCUACGGUUAUUUAAUUAUUUGUUUAACAAAGAAAACAAAAAAAUUAGGCUCAAAAGAGGUAAACUAUGGAUAAAAUAUAGCAAGGUGGGCUCAAAAGGCUCAAAUGAUCCAAAGGUGGCCUAAUUCAUUUCUUUAAUUAGCUGUAGCCUAGGAUUUCACCUCGAGAGAAACUCAAACAAAUUCUAAAACUGAAGACUUUAUUCAAAAAUUUACACUCACAUAUACUUAUUUUAAUUGAUAAUCAUAUGAGGCAUCCAAAAUUAGUGUGCAACUAAUUUCGAGUUCAUUUUUAAUUUUAUGCAUGGAAACAUUUUUUCAUAUGUGAAAAGUCUUUACUAAUCAGCAUUAAUAAUAUUAUCCAUUUUUAAUCUUAUUAGACUAUAAUUAAAUAUUAUUACAAACUAAAACAUUUUUUAAUUCAUAAUCCUUAAAUAUUACUUUUACUAAUCCUUUUAAAUUAAAGAUGAUGUGUCUUCAAUUAUCUAAUCUCAUUAGAUAAUUUGAAUAUAAUAUUUAACAUAACAUCAUCUUUAAUUAUAUUUAAACGUCCUAUUCAAAUUUCCCUCUUGAAAAGAAGGAAAUUAAUUCAAGAUAUUUAUCUUGUCCAUAUUUAUUACACUUUCAUAUUUGUAGGAAUCAAAUUCCUAAAUUUAUAGAUCUAAUUAAUUGAAUUCUAAUAUCCUUACUUUAAGGAAUCAAACUCCCUAAUUUCAAUAUGUCAAAAUUUAUCUUUCUAGAACUUUUUCCAUAAGAUAUUGUUUAGCCAAUUAGUGUUUUUAAUUGCACCAAUUUAGGUUCCAAAAAUGGGCAUUAAAAUCCCAAAAACCAUGAUUUGACAAAAGUUUGGCAGCACUGUACCAGUCAUGUUUUUGUGGCUUAAUGCGACACCAAAUCAAGGAAUUUAAUUCCCAAAUUUAAUCAUGGUCACCUAACAUAUUGAACCUUUCCAUUUUAAAAUUUUAUAAUUUUUGAACUUGAUUUAGCUGGUCAAAACCCCAAAAAAUCAUAGCCUAUGUCUUCUAAACAUAGCUACAGUUUUUAGAUUGCAUAUGCAGCAUUAUGAUGGCAUAAAUCAAGAGUUUAAAUCCCUUAAUUUUAGUAAUCUUUCCAGGAAUUUUUUGAACAUAUUCAAACUUCAAAAUUUAUCCAAAGAGGUAUAACAAUUGCACAACUUUAGGACUCUUUGAAGAUGCCUUUCUCAACCAAAACCAUGACCUGAAACUAUGACUGGCAAUAGUGCUUUUGACCAUGAUUUCAUGGCUUUACUGCAUCGUUUGCAGCUGAUAAGCAAUCAUAUUGAAACACUUCCAAUGUAGACUACUUUCAAAUCUUUCUAGCAUUUUUAGAGGCUAUUAAACCCCCAUUAAAAAUUGAAAAUCGAACCAUAUAAAAAUUCGGACAGAAACUAAUUCUGUCACCAAACCGCAUCUUGUUUCCCAUGAAUUCGAACCCUUUUCUUUCCUCACUCCUUUGUGCAUUUCAUGCACAUAUUAUUCUUGCCAAAAAUUAAACACUGAAACCAUAUUAGAAAUCCAAUAAGAAUAUAAAUUAAAAUCGAAUCUAUCUAUAAACAUUCUUUAAAACAAAAACGAUAUUUAAAACUUACUCUAUCAUUGUCGAAUGCCUCGUACCUAAUCACAAUUGAUAUUAAGCAACAACAAGAAAUUAAUUCACAUUUAAAACAAGCCAAGGGAGACUCCGAUACCACUGUUAGAUACGACAUGAUUAUAUUGAAAAAUGUAGCUAAAUAGAAAAAUAAAAUAUUUCACCUACCUCAAAUCACCUUGUUCUGUUUAAUGCGAACAGAGCAUUAUGAGAAAUGCAAUCAGAAUUAAUUACCUUGUCAAAAAUAUUAUAUUCAAUUGGUAUCCUCUUGAUGUUUAAAACCCAUGUACACCCUAAAUUGUGUAAGAACCCGAGGCACUCAAUCGCUUGGCCUCUAAUGUUGCACACAUAGCCACUAAGGAAUCUUUAGCGAGAUGGGAACUUCCAACCAUGCAUUUGUGCCAGCAAAAUGGACAACAAAUUAUCCUUCUCUUCCUCUCUUAGUCUUCAACGAAAUCACAAAAAAAACUCUUCCAAAAGAGUCUUACAAAGGAUGGCGGCACUAAAGAGAGUUGUAUUAGGUUUCUAUAAAACUAAAACUAAUAAUUAAAAGUAGUUAACAAGAUGACUUUAUAACUAGGUUAAUUAACAAUAUUAUAACCUCUUAUAAUAUUAACUUUAGCACUUAAUUAAACCAUUUUAAUUUAGUCCUUAUUAGUUAAUUAACCUAGUUUAAGAUUUAAGUGCAACUUAAUGACCACAUUCCUCCGAUAAAGGCAAGGAAAUUGCAUCCGAGGACCAGUAGUCACAGUACUUCCAAAAUUUGCACUCUAGACAUUGUGAGUAAACUUACUGUCAUUUUAAUUAUCUAGGGUGGCUUUUAGAUGAUUUCAUGAAUUCUAUGGAAAAAUGGAUUUAAAAAGGUAAAUUUUCAUGUUUUAUAAAUAAAUGUGUUUCAAUGAAAUUAAUUUACAAAUUGUUUUGAAAUUAAUAAUGAUUUUAAAAAAUAAAGUACACGGAGACUGCUAUUUGUUGCAAUUUGAUUGCUUAAAUUGAUUGGCUUAUGAUAAAUCGGGCAUGAUUAGCUAGUUGGCAAUUGAAUUGAAAUACGGAUUGUUUGUUUGCCUUGAAAGUCUGUGAAUUACAAUAUCAUGUUAUUGAAUUUUAUUGAUUGGUGGGAUAAUUAUUAACUUACUACAGUAGGCGGGUUUCAUGGACCAGCCUAUGAGAAGGGCACGGUAACCCCGUUUAUAUGUGCUCACCUUGGUUGUAGAGGCGCAUAAGGUAGCUUCUGAGGUGAUAUUUGAGUUCACUUCACACCAAACCUAUCACAACCCGAAACCUCCCUCGGGCACAUGACAACCGUCGUGACGUCCCGAUUGACACUCAUUGCUCGAAAUGCCAAUCGGAACCCCGCAAGGCUUACAUAUCAGUUUCUUGCCUUUUCUGUGAGCAAUCGUUUUUAAAUAUUCCGUUUUAAACAAUUACCAGUCGUUUCUGGCUCAAGUAAAUCAAAAGACAAAAAUAUAGCAUUUUUAUAUAAAACAAUAUUUAUAGAAACACGUGUAAGUAAAAUAAAUUCAUACAUACAAUAAUUUACAAAGUUAUAAUGUACAAUAAUAAUUACAAUGACAAGUGGCCCAUGAAUACACCAAGUACUGGUGAUAGUAACCUAUUGUCUGUGAGGUAGAGAUGUCAACUAGAAUCCUCUACAAAAUAGGGUAUCUACAAGCUGCCACAGACCUGAAAUGUUUAGAAAUGAGGUGGGUGAGAUUUUGCAAUCCUAAUGAGUAAACAGACAUUAUCAUAAAUAUCUAAAGAUGAGUAACAUGAAGGCAAGUUUAAACACAAAUUACAAACCAUUUCAUAAGGUUUUCAAUUUAUUCCUUAAACCCUAAAAUAUUUGUAAUUUACCAAAAUAGUUGUUAAGGCUUAUGACUUUUAUUAAAACAAGGCUCAAGCCAAAAUUAAUCCUCAGGGAUACCUUGGCCAAGGCAUCUAACCGAAUCCGCCAAGGUAGUUAUGAUAUUUACAUAUGAAACACAUUUUUAUUUUUAAAACAAGCCGUUCAUUGGCAUUGGUAGAGUUACAUAUUCACGUGGGGGUUCGACGUGAAGUGAGCUCUAAUACUACCCCGGGAGUUACCCUCCUCGCCUCUGCAACUGGAGUAACUAUGUAACCGGAUUUACCAUGCCCCUCUAAUAGGCAGUCCACGGAAACCCGUCACUACAGUGACUAAACCCACCAAUUUUAAUAAAAUUUCGACAAUAUAACGUGGCAUUUAUUUAUUUACCCAGCCUGCAUAGUAAAAGACAACUUACAUAAAUUCCCAAUGCAAUUAUAACAUAUAGCCACAUAUACUCAUAUAUCAUAAGCCAUUCAUAGGAAAAUAUAUAUUUCAAAAUAAUUGGCAACCUUCAAUUACUCAAUUUCAUAAUCAACAUAAUAUAUUUUUAUUUGUCACAUUUAUUUCUAAAACAUCAAAAAUCCCGUUUUAAUCUCGUUUUCAUUUCAUAAAAUACAUAAAGAGCAUUUAAAAAUAAACUCUAGAUAAUUUACAAUAAUAAUAGGUUUACUCACCGUUUGUACAAAUUAACUGAUUUUUUUAGGUGCCCCGAUCACUGUUCGUAGGGUACGACUUCCUUGCCUUUACCGGAAGACUCUCCUCCUAGACACAUUGCAAAAUUUACCCAAUUCACCACAUUGAUAUUAAAUCUCUAUAUAAUUGACUUAAAUCCUAUACUAAUGCAUGGUAUGAAAUGCAAUAGCUUAAAACGGCUUAAACGUGAUAUUAACCUAUUUUUGGCACUUUACCCGUUAAAUUGCUAACGCGCUCCAUUUUAGCUCUAAAUUGUCCCAUUUUCUCCACAACGUUUCUAACCAUUAAAUAUCAGCCAAUAACCUUCUAAAAUCACCAAAAUCAGCUCACUUUCCUCCUUGGAAAAUUCGGUCAAAAAUGGGACAUUUACUCGGUUAAUUUUCCACUUUGUUUUUCUAUCACAUUUAACCAUUUUUCAUCAUUUUCUCUUCAUUUCUCUUAGAAUAAAAAUCAGUUCAUCAUCAUUGUACAUCAAUGCAUAUUCAGCCAAGGGUGGGUAUUGUGAAAAUUUCAUGCUUUCUUGCCCAAUUUAAUUUCUAUACACAUUUAACUAACUAAAACUACCAAUUUAACUAAAAAUCAAAACCUAAAAAUUCCAAAAUCUCUCCCCUAGAAUUUCGGCCAGCCCUUGGUUUCACUUUUUGAUCUCUCUCCUCAAGCAUUCUUAAUGGAAAUAAAGGCAUAGGAAAGGUAGAAAUCAAGCUAAAAUCGAAAAAUCUUACCGUUAGAGGCGUAAACGGACGAAAAACGCGAUUUUCCCUUUGAAUUUUCUAGUUUUCCUUUGUUUUUCUCUUUUCUUCCUUUCCUCUCUAUUUUCUCUCUUGUUCUUUCCUUAUGGCCGGCCAGCACUUAAUAUGGGGUUUAAAUGGGCUAACUUUUCAUUAAAACAAUAUUAAAUCAUUAAAAAGUGUCAUGUGUCACUUUCCCAUUGGCCCAUUUUUAAAAUUUCAUCCAUUUGUUUCCAAAUUUUCACCAUACACUUGUCCCACAUAUCCAUAGCUUAAAUACAAUUCUCAGACUUAUCCAAAGUCUUGGUGGAGUAAUUUUUGAAAUUUACACUUUUGCCCCCAUAAAAGUGAAAAAUUACAUUUUUACCCCAAAAACUCAAAAAUUACCCAUAGACAUAUUUUUCAUCCCUUAUACUCAUACCAUUCUCCAAUUUGUCAAAUUUGAUCUAAAUUCUCUCAAAAUCUCAAAUUUUGUCUGCGAGUGGUAAAAUUACGAUUUUACCCCUGAACAUCAAAAUUUCCAAUUUUACCCCAAAUGAACCCUCGAACUCCGAACAAUCAUUUUUAGUCAUUCAUGGACUAUAAAAUAUUAAAUUUCAUCAUACGAUUCCUAUUUGAACUAGUUCGAGGUUAAAUCAACUCAAGUGUACCGUUAGGUACAAUACCGAGUUUCGUCUAUUCUUAGGACUUUCCUAGCAUAAUAACAUGCUACUCAGUGCAUGUAUGUCAUGACAUGUGUUUAUAGGGUCGAGUUUUACAGAACCACCACGUGAUGGUGAACUCAGCCAACGCUAAGGAAGGACUGUGAUGUCCAACGAAAAAUGUGUUUUAUGCGAAAUGUGAAUUUUUAACAACCUUGGCGGUCUUGGUAGGAUGCCUCGGCCAAGGUGUCUUCGAGGAUGGAUUUAUGGCACAAGCCUAGUUUUUAUGAGAUUCAUAAGCCUCGUUACGUAUUUUGAAUGAAAUGUGUUCUAAUGCUAUGACCUAGUUUACGAUGAUUUACUUUAUCAUCUCCAUGUACUCAACUCUAGAUGUUUAUGAUGAUGUCUGUUUACUCAUUGGGAUUUUAUAAUCUCACCACCCUCCUUUUCACCCAUUUCAGGCUCAGUAUAGGCUGUAGAUAGCUGAUAUCGUCAAAGGCUACAAUUGGCUUUACUUCCUCAACAACUAUAGGUUUACAGCCUUCGUUCAUUUUUGUCAUUUGGGGGUCCACAUGUCACUGUAAAUUAAACUUCAUACUCUAGUUAUCUGUACUACUGUAUGUAGGAAUUUAUUUUGCUUUUACGCUGUAAAAAUUAUUUACGUAGUGUUUUGAAAAUAUAUUAUUUUAUAAGAAAAUAGAAUAUUUUUUUUAAUAUUUUUAUUUUAUUCUAACAAUCAUAAUUUCACUUUAAACGAAUGUUUUAGACAUCCAAAUUUAUUUUUGAUUAUGAAAUAUGUGUUUUGCACCUUAUACUACAUUAUUAGCUAGUCUCAAAAUUUUCAAAGAAAAAUGACUAAAAUACCCCUGUGAGACAUAAAUUAUUUUUUUAUUAUUUUAAGUUGGAAAUAGUUUAAAAUGUUUUAGAAUGUGAUAUUUGGCAACGGUUACUCACAAUGAAAAUGAGAAACUGAUAUUAAAGCCUUGUGGGAUUUCGGUUAGCAUUUCGAGUAAUGAGUGUCUAUCGGGACACCGCGGCAAUUGUCACGGGCUCGAGGGGAGUACCGAGUCAUGACAAAAGGAGUAAAAAGAUUGCAUAAAGGGUUGGAGGAGAACAAGCUAAAUUGUUGAGGGGCAUUUUCAUAAUUUGAGUGAAGUGGAUAAGCUUGAGCUAUAAAUAUUUCUUUCUUCCAACAACUUCUUCUCCCAUUUUCCAGCAGCUUCUUCUUCUUCUUCCUUCUUCUCUUUCACGUUGCUUCCAACCUCCAUGAAAGCUUGAUAUAAACCUCCAUAAUCUCCCUCAAAAUAGCUCCACUUUUCAUUAUUUUAGUGAACCCUUUCAUAAACCCUUGUGCUCUUCCACUUUCUCACUUUAAAACCCUUGAAAAAAAUUCUAAUUUCCAUACUCUCUCUCACUAGUUAAGUGUUUUAGAGAGAGAAAGAGGAAGCUUCAAUAAUAGCUUGAAAGUUUUGGAAAGAAUUUCAAAUACAAGCUACCAAGGUGAGUAGUACACUAGAAUUGAGUUUUAGUGUUGAAAAUGAUUAGUGUUUAGACUUGGGGAUGAUUUGGUAGUUGGGGUUGUUCAUUCACAUUAGAGUGAUUAAGAUAGUGAACUUAGAUAGCCACUUAAAUGGUAAUUUGAAAGCUAGCUAAGAGAAAGCUUUUAGAAUUUAUAAGUAUAUGGCUUGAAUUAAUGGUGAUGCCAAUGUGAUAAUAGGUUCCAACAAAGCCCCAUCGCCCCAUUUGGACAAUUAGAGAAGUAGAGUCGACUAAAGGUUCAACAAGAUACCGGUGAGUGAACUUGCAUUUCAAAACUAUUUUGGGAAUGUAAAUGUAUUUGCACAAUGCCUUUGAAUGAGUUUAUUCAAAUUUUCUUAAAAAUGGGUACCUUGGGAACAAGCUUUUGGUUAUUGUCUUUAUAUAUGACAUGUGGCUGUUAUGGAUUCUUAUUCUAUGUCAUUGUGUUGAUAUACAUAUAUGUUGUGCAUUGAUGGCUGACAUUGUGUGAUAAUGAUAACCAUGCGUGUGCAAGAUGUGGGGGCAUGCACAUGCCGGUGAUGAUGGUGGUGAGGGUGUUGGAUGAUGAAAGUGCCCGUGUGAACAAUGUGGGGGGAUGCACACAAUGGCACUAAUUGUGCACAAUGUGGGGGGAUGCACAUGAUGACUCCGGCUAUGUGCACGAUGUGAGGGGAUGCACAUGAGCUAGAUGAGAUGAUAGUGGUAUUGGUACUUAUCCAUGUAUGUAUACGUAUAUAUGUUUAGAGAAAAAAAGUCAUGAAUAUGGUUUAUGGUUGAAAUGCAUAUGAAUUUGGCAUGUUGAACUUUGGAAAUUUUAUGUGUUUCAUGUUGAUUUUGUCAUUUCAGCAAGAUGGCCUUUUUCUUGAAAAAACGAAAAUAUUUCUUUAGUGCUCUGUUUCUCGUUGCAGCAAGAAACUCUUGAGUUUGAAGGGGUAAUGCUGGUCGAAAUCUCGCUGCAGCGAGAAAGUUACUAUAGCUUCUCAUUGCAGCGAGAUUCAUUCUCGCUAGAGUGAGAAACUUUCUGUUUUAUGGCAUAAAUUUUGCUGCAGCGAGAUUCAUUCUCGCUACAGCAAAAAACUUUCUGUUUUGUUUCUUAUUUUGUUCGGUUGUUGACUAUUUUCCACUUCUUUGGUACCAUAGUUGAGUAUGGACUUCUAACAUUAAGGAAUUAAUUAGUUAAGUUUGAAAUGAGGAGGUUUGGUGAGAAACUCUCUUCCAGUUGAGAAACCCUUGUAUGGCUAAUAACUUGAAUCCUUGCUUCCCUGCAGCAGAAAGUACACUGCAACCAGAAUACCUUUCCGCUGCAGCGAGAAUGCCUUUUCGCUGUAGCGAGGACCGAUUGCUUAUUUGACUUGAUUUGCAUGAAUGCUAUUAAAGUUUUCACUCUCUAAAUCCUUUGUUGAGCAUGGACCCUUUUCAUAAGUGAUUUACUCAUGAGGGGUUUACAUGAGGGGUUUUAAUAAGAAUUAAAACAAAUUGCAUUGUUUUGAAAAAUGAAUGCAUCAUGAUUUUGUUAAACAUUCCUUAUUGUUUGCUUGUUCCCUUCUUGUUCACUCACUAGGUUUAUACUCACCAUUUUCAACUUCAUGUUUUCUGAUCAAGAGGCAGUCGGUAACUAGGUUGAGGUUUACUCGUAGACUUGUAUCCAUCUUUUGGUAGGUAUCAAUGGCAUUCAGUAGCUGCACCUUAGCUAUAGUUGCUCUACUAGAAGUCUAUAGUCCUUUUUGUUUAACACACGUGCCCUGAUGUAAAUUGUUAAGACGUGUAUUGUCUUAAGCAAUAAAUGUUUAUAUUAUUUAAUGUUGCCACUAUGUAAUGGCACGGAUGAUAUUAUUUUGAAUCAUACAAAUAUGAAUAUAUGGUAUCGAUAGAAAAGUUUUAACAUAUUCGUUAGUAAGAAUUACGAAAUACAGUGGCAAGAAUGAAUGAUGAAAUCGAUGAAUGGAGUCACAUAGAUAGGCUUGCUUGAGCUUAGUGGGCUAUGUCCAUUGGGCCCAUGCGUCGAUCAUGGCCCGAAAAUUGGGUCAUGACAAAAGAGAAGAAAAAAAAAGUACAACUAUGACUUUUUACAAAUCUAGAAAUGUUACAACUAAGCUCAAACAUUUUUUCUAGAUUUAAAAUGAAAAGCAAGUGUUUUUAGAGAAGGAUAUUUGGCUUUUUGCUCAAAAUGGCUCUUCUUUCUUCAAAUCUACUUUCUUUGAUUGUUGGAGCUUCCUUUUAUACUUAGGAAGUCAGAUUUUUCUAUUGGAGACAGUUAUUAGCAGUUGAAGACAACUCUGAUGAUAUUCUAACAGUUAUUUUGUCCUCUAGUACUUAAAUUCAAAUGGGUUCACAAAGUUCGACUAACUAGUUACAAGUAGCUUUAACUGAUUACAACUUCUCUGCCUUGCACUGUCUUGUUAUUGUGUUAUCUGCUCUAACCGAUUACAAGAGGCUUUAAUCAAUUGCAACUUCUUUGUCUUUCACUAUCUUGCUACUGUGUUUUCUACUCUAACCAAUUACAAGAGGCUCUAACCGAUUAAGAGAUCUCUAUCUUCAAGCCUUUCUACUUUAGAAGACUUUAUCUAACUAUUUAACAGUCCUCUUAACUGAUUGGAGCUUCACCUCCUUUAGCCUUAACUUAUUAACACAAGCUCUAAUCAAUUAAAAAUUCUUCGAAUUUGUAAUUCUUCAUUUUGGCUUCAUUUAAUCGUCAACUUUACUUUGAAAUUGAAUUUUGGCGCUUAGAGGAUCUUCAAGUGUCGUGCUCUAACUGAUUAACCUCAUGCCUUAAUUGAUUAGCGCACCUUCAUUUUCCUUUGUCCAGCACCUCCCUAUUCAGUUAAGCCUAAUGUUAACUUAUUAACAUUUUUCUAUUUUGUUUUAACUGAUAACCUACUCAUUCCUUAACUAAUUAAGGCUUUUUAAUAAUCAGUUACUAAUGUCGUGUCUUCACAAACUCUUUCCAUUUUUCUCACUUUAACUUAUUAAACUAUCUAUUGCAUGAUCUUGCUUUCAAUUAUUCAUUUUAUUGAGGAAAGAUAUCCUGCACACUUAAUUAAUGAAGUUAAACAUUAAUGAAUAAGAAAUGUUUUGUUAUUAUCAAAAACAUAUGAGUCAACACACAACCCUUGUUUACCACCAUUCCUACAUGCACACACACAUAGUCAUAGGGUAAUAGAACCCACUCAACCUCAAGUCAAAUCAACAUUCAGAAUUCCCUCAUCGAACAACACACAACUUCACAAUGAGACCAUCAUGUCCCUAUCUUUCCAUAUGUCCACAAAAUAGCAACAAUCACAUUUAUCGAGCUUCAUUUGUCAAUAAGCUCUUUAAAGUUCUGAGUGCCUCAAUAAUCAUGGGUCACUGGCUACAUAUACAUCAACAGUCUCAUUUUAUUUUAAUCAUGUCCUAAUAGCUGCAUAUACAUGAAUACUAUCACAAUAGAUUAUGCAUCAAUAUUUCGUCAACAAAUGGGCAAUCUAAUCUCACCUCGUGGUAUCACCAUCACAUUGAUUUAGUCACAGCAUAUCUAGUAGCCAUUAAAAUCAUACAUCACCUAAAUGUCUAAUAGCUCAUGCUUCCCAAUGGCAUUCACAAGCAAACUCAUAUACUAACAUGUACAUUAACAAUAUUCUAGCCUAAGCACACCCAUCUAGGCAACCACAUUUACAUAUAUACAUACAUAGUUCUUUAGCCUAGGCAUGUUCAACUAGGCCUACAUUCAUAAUAUAGUACCAGUGCAGUGCAUUUUUUUAUGGAGUAGGAUCUAAGUGGAUUGAUGUGAUUGUGUAAAGCACGGAUUUCAAAAAAAUUUCUUUUAUAAAGGAAGCAAGCAAUCGAAUUACACAAGCUAAAAAACACAUCAUUCUCAUUGCAAGUAACAUAAUCACAUCAUAAAAAAAUAAAAAUCUAUUAAGUAAGAUAAAAUGUACCUUUUAUUUGAGAUUUUUAUUUACAGAUACCACCACACCAACGAUUAAUUUCUCGACCAAACAAGUUUACCAUUUAUUUGUCAAUAAUGCUUUCUACUUGAACCUUGAGUGGACUAGGUGUGCAAUGCUAGAAUACAAGAUAGCAACUGAUUUUGUCUCUCUUUUCUUCCUAAAAAUUAAUGGCUAUUUUUUUAAAAUAAAUUUAGCCGAGAAUGAGAGAGAGGAAAAGAGGUACGACAAAGUUAGGAGGUGAAGGAGGAGAGAAGUGAUGGCUGAAACUGUUUCAAGAAAGAUAUGUACGUAUUUUUUUCUCCCAAUCUAUUCUCCUUUUAUUAAAACUCUUGCCUCAAAGGUUUAAUCAAAAUCAAAUACUUUUAAAUCACUUUUGAUCAUCCAUUCAGAGUUAUGGGUGCAUCAAACAUGCUCCAUAAUUAUCAAUAUUAAAAUUAAAGAAUAAGUAAUUUAAAUUAUUUAAUUAUCAUUUAGAGUUUUUGAUAAAAUAAAACUCCUUGUUGAAUAAUAACUCUUAUUUUAUUAUUACCCAUCUUUAUUUACAAAGAAUUAACAAUAAAUAAAAAGUAAUAGUCAAACAUGGAGUCUCCUUUCAUCAACAUGGAUGUCUAAAUUAAGAUAAAACAUGUUUUCUUGUCUAAAUUAAGACAAGUAUGUUUUCAUGUCUAAAUUAUGACAAAACAUGUUAAAGCUGUUAUUUUUUUACAUAAUUUAAUUAAUCAAAUAAAACAUGCAUUCCAACUUAAACAAGUUGAAUUCUACGAAGCUAAGUGGGGAAUCUAUUUGGACAUAGAUAUUGCGAGCUCCAAUAAACUAAGAAUUAGUCUUAAUCUCAUUAAGAUAAUUCAAGCUUAUUAACCAUGAAAUCACUCCAUCAUAGAUUCAUGGUUGCACUCUUGGAUUAACUAUAAUUAUAGGAAAUGAUUCAAUACUUGACAUUAAUUAUUAGUUGUCCAAUUGCAAAUCCUAUAUUGUAAACCCUCAUAACCAUCCAAUGACAAAAGGUGAAAUUACACUUUUACCCUUUAUGUUAAUUUUGUCCCUUAGUCUAAAAUUUCAUCCAAUUAGUGAUUCAAUACUCUAGAUCUAACCUUUUGAGAAUCCAUAUGUGAUGAGUAGUUAAUUCAUCAAUCCACUAGUCCUAGAUUAAUCACCAAUCUUCCUGAAAUCACUAAGAAUGAUGUUAAUGCUAUGAACUCCAUCAUUUUGAUAUAUAUUCCCAGAUGUUCAUCUCAAUUAUAAUCUCAACAUACAAAGUCUAGAUCAACACUUUAUGAUGAUCUUGCUCAUGGUAUAUCAAAGAUUACAAGGAGAUUAAACACAAGUCCACUAUCCAUCAAGAUUUCGAUUCUACUAUAAGCAAAUGCAUAAAUGUGAGAUCAAGAUUUAAGUAACGGUUAAACUUAAAUUUGAUUCUCACAUGAUUCCAGUGCAUGUUAUAGUGUUUUAAGGGUUGUUGUCACUAUGUUGGGUUUAACAAGUUCUUAGUAUAAAGUUUCAAAAAUUCAAGCGUACUCAAGACUUGCACAAUCCAUUAACUUAAAUGAACUUGGCAAUAGGGUAGUUUAAGAAAGUAGUAAGAUAGCUUCCCCAUCUUGUGUGAGGGGGAGAUGUUGGAUUGUCGAGAUUACAACCAUGAUGGUCUAGCCUAUUUCACUAAGUCUUCCAAAGGGUAUAGAGUUAACCUCUUUAUCCUUGCUAUUUAAUUUUAAAUUACCAAGGAUUAUCUUAUAAUUAAGUUAUCACGAUUAUCAAGUUACCAAAUAAUUUAAUAAAAAGGGUUUUAUAAAUAGGCUUGAAAUCUUUAACCAAAGCACAUUUGUUAACCAAAAAACAUUAACAUCAAAACAUAAAAAAAUAACUUGCCACUCCUCAAAGAAAACCGUCUCUCGAUUCAUUACCAAGUUGGGAUUUUCACAAUGUGAAAUGUGUGGUCACUACUUGUUUUUCAAGCAAUUUUGCGUUACGAGUUUUUUAGAGAUCAAUAGGUUUGUAAAACAUCUACAAUCAAAAUCUUGGGGACACUUUACAUUAGUCUUGAAAAAGUAAAGGUUUGGCACAAGUUUGAUCAAAAAGAUUAUUUCAAAAAAAAAUUUUUAUAAUAGGAUUUUUACUUGAAAUCUUAACAAUCACACUCACAUUAGAUGUGAAGGAAUUAUGUUCUAAUACAAAUUUGAAUGUUGGAUGAGUUUUCCAACUAUUUUAACAUGAAUUUCUUUCCACGAUUGUGUUGGUUUGAUGUGAGCUUGAUGGAUGAAAGUAUGGUUAAAAAAAAAGAAACCAAAGAAAGACAUUUUUGCAAACUUAAGCAUGAAGAGUCGAUCUUUAGCUAAGGAUUAAUCCCUAGAAUUGUAUGGAUUCAAGUUAGCUACUAGAAAUGCUUAAGAUUGACCCCUACGGAAGGGAGGGUCAAUCCCCAUUUCACAGAGCACUUGGAUUAGCUACUUGAAUUGGCUAAGAUCGACCUUUAAGCAAGGAAGGGUCAAUCUCAACAUAACAAACACUUGAACUAGCUUCUAAAAUUGGCUACGAUCGAUCCCUAAGGUAAGAAGGAUCGAUCGCCAUAACCUAAAAUACUUAGAAACAUUUUGAAAACUUUAAGAUCAACCUCCAAAUGAGAAAAGGUUGAUCCCUACUAGUUAGGAAUCAAAAUCAGCUAUUGGAAUUCACAAAAAUUGACCUCCUAAGGACAAAGGGUUUAUAUCAAUAGCCUUAGUCAGAAAAAUAAAGCUUAAAUAUUGACCCCCGAGGUUUAAAGGGUCGAUCUUAGGGUUCUAGGUAAAAAAAAAUGAAAGACCUAGCCGCGAUGUUUCUCUCAUUUCUCACUUUUCUUAGCCUCCAAACACUCUCUUACCCUUAUUCAGCCUCCAUGGACUCCAUAUAACAAUGAUUAAGCUUCCAACUCAAAUUUUAGGUAAGAUUAACCAUUUUUGAAGUUAACCACCAUUUUCCAUGAAUUUCAACGAAUACACCUCCAUUAAGCUGAAGAAUUUUAGGGUUUUACUCUCCAAGGAAGCGUUUGAGGUAAGGGUGUUUAAGGUUUCAAUAAAAAUGAUUUGGGUUUAAAGUUUUAUGGAUUAUUAACUUAAAACAAAGAAUAUGGGUUUCCUUGACUAGUUUCAAAAUAAUGGAUUUGUUGGAAAAAUUAGGAAACUUAUAAUAAAAAUUAUUAUGAUAGGAUUUGUUGAGCUCGAGUAUCCUAGAACAAGCAAGGUUUGACAAAGCAAUGCUUAAAAGCAUGUUUUUGUUAAGGUGAGUGGAUACACCACCUUCAAACUAUUUUAGCAUGUAAAGCUAAAGGCAUGGUUUAAUGGUUUACUUGGUUGACUUGACUUUCAUUAUAUUUUUAAAAAUGAAGAUUUUUAUUUACGGUGAACACAUGAUUUGAAGGAAUUUUCAAAUCUAUUAUGUAUAUGUAAUAUCUUACUAUGUAUUAGAUUUCAAUAGAAAGGACAAUUCCUUUCAACUGUUUUGAACCAAACCACUACUUCGAUGAAGUAUGCUAUGUUGCAAUGUAUGUGAUGCUGUUCCAAAUGCUAUAUGAAAUAAGAAUGAACACAUGAUAAAUGUUGUGAUGCCAUGUAUAUGAUGUUAUAUCCACAUACUAUAUGAGAUAAGAACAAGCAUAAGAUAAAUGCUAAGAUGAUAAGUAUGUGAUGUUGUUUCCACAUACUAUAUGUGAUAAGAACGAGCAAAAGUUAUAUGCUACAAUGACAUGUAUCUGAUAUUGUUUCCACAUACUAUGUGAGGUAAGGAUAAGCACAUGAUAUAUGUUACGUUGUCAUGUAUGUGAUUUUGUUUCCACAUACUACAAGAGUAUGUACAAGUGCAUGCUUCAGAUGUCAUAUAUGUAAUACUAUUGAAUGAGAAUAAUGAAUUAUAUGAUAAGUAUGUAAAUUUGAUAUAGUAUAAUAGAGUGAAUUGUUGACCAGGUUAAUACGAGUUAUACCAUUCACAAAUGUAAGCUCCAAGGUAAUAGGGGCUAUACCAUUACCAUCUUUUGAUGAGAACGGGAAUGAUGCAGUGAUUCCAUUCUUAUAUGCACCACAUAUGCGAAGAAAAUAGGGGCUAUACCAUUAUAAAAUCCCAUGGGUAACCAAGGGACAUACUUUUAUUGAAUUAUGUCCUAUUGGAGAUGAACAUUUUAUUAGUCACUAGCUAGAUUUUGGCUUAACUUGUUAAUGAUUGUGAUGUUUAAUUGUUCUAAAGUGUAUGUUAUGUAACAAUGUUUAGACAAGGUCUUCUAGUCAAUCAUGGAUGGUAGUUAAGACAUGAUAUUGAUGUUAAGCAUAGAUAAUCAAAUGGGAUGAUUAAGAACCGAAAUAGCCUAAACUCUAGGGUCAUAUGGAUAAGGUAUCAAGCCAUAGAAAGCAAGCCUUCAAACCCAUGUAAUGGAAUGAUGAAUAAGUAAAUUAGCCCAUUUUUAUUUGAUUUAAAUGGUUUUACACUCAAAUUGGUUUCUAAAGGAUUACAUGAUUCCAAAAUUUGUUUGAAAAGUAAAUCAAGGUUUGAUCAAGUUCUCUACUCAAUGAUUUAAAGAUUAUGUAAAGCCCGGCCUUAUAAAAUACUUGUCAUGACAUACAUGUGAUGGAUAGUAUGUUUGCAUGCUAGGAAAGUCCUGAAAAAUUUAUAAAAGUCGGUAUUGUACCUAGAGGUACAACAAAGUUGAUUUAAGCCUCGAACUAGAUCAAAUAGAGAUUUUAGGGUGAAAUUGAAAAUUUAACAAUCCAAAAAUGAUUUAAAAUGGUGAUUUGGGGUUCGAAGAUCAAUUUGGAGUCAAACCGAAAAUUUCACUAUCCAAGGGUAAAAUGGUAACUUUGCCACUCGAGGACAAAAUGAGAAAUUUUUGAAAGAUUUUGAUCACAUUUGACUUAUUGGAGUAUGAGUUGAGGUUGAUAAGUGAAAAAUUGUAAUCUCGGUAUUUUUGGAGCAUAGGGGUAAAAUGGUAAUUUUGCCACCAUAAGGGUAAAAUUGGUAAUUUUACACCACCAACACUUGUCAUGCCCAUAGAAUUCAUCCAUUGACUUUUUAUGUUAUGGAUAAGUGAGAAAACAUAUGUGGUGGAGAUAAAAAGUUUAAAUUUUAAAGUUUAAAAAUAGACCAAUAAUAAAAUGACACUUGUCAAGCUUAGAAUAUUUUAUUAUUUUCUUUAAAAAAUCAGCCUAUAAACCUCUCACUCCUCUCCAAAUAUUNCUAUAAACCUCUCACUUCUCUCCAAAUAUUCGGCCAAGCAAGGAAAAGAUGGAAACAAAGAAAGAACAAACACUAGGUGGAGAAUUUCAAGAGAAAAAGUGAGGAAAAUCAAGGAAAACAAGUGAAAAAGAUAGGAUUUCUCAAUUUAAACUUGAAAUCUAUUUUUCUAAAGCAUUUCUCCUUAUUUUUCAUGGUUAAAUUUCAUGUUUUUAUGGUGAAUUCAUGGCUAGCCGAAUGGGUAUGGAGAGAGAAUGAUGUUGGAUUGAUUUGAUUUCAAGUUAUGUUAGUGUUUUUAGUUACUUUACUAUGUCCAGAAGUAAAACAACAAGAAAAGAAUUCAUUUUCCCCAUCAUCCAUCAAUGGCCAAACCUACCUUGUAUUGAGUGAGGAUGAAAUUGAGUUUUUUAUUUUAAGAGAAUUGGUUAAAAAAUGAUGAAUUAUGGUGUGGAAAAGUAGUAGGAAAAAUCACGGUGUUAAUGCACCAUUAUUGACCAAAAAUUCUAAGAAGAAAAGUGAAGAUGGUUUUACCAAAUUUUAGGUUAUUUGACUUGUGUUUGGGGAAUUAAGGUAUUGGAAAAGAAAUUGAGCAAUUUGGAGCUAAAUUGGACGCGUUGGCCAAUUAAUCAAGUGAUAAGACGAAUUAGGCCAAUACCGGGUUUAGAUGGUUACCCGUGCAUUUUGCAUUCCAUAUCAUGUAUUAUUAGUCUAAAUUAGUUUAAUUUCGAUUUAGUACCAAUGUAGUAAGUUUCUCGAUUAUGUACUAUGUCAAGGUGGUGAGUCCUCCGAUAAAGGCAAAGAAAUUGCAUCCGAGGACCAAUAAUCAGAGUACUUCGGAAAUCCACACUCUAGACAUUGUGAGUAACAUUAUCAUCAUCUUGAUUAUCUAAAGUGAAUUUUAAUUCAUUUUUGUGAUUUUAUGAAAAAUGAGUUUAAAUGGUAAAUCUUUAUGUUUUAAAAGCAAAAUGUGAUUAAAUGAAAUGAUUUUAUAAAAUUGUCUUGAUAUUGAAUGAUGGUUUUGGAAAAUGGAGUAAUUGGAGAUUAAUUGCUAUGUUGUAAAUUAUGGUUUCAAUUGAAUGGCUUAUGAUAAUGUGGGCAUGAGUGGCUGGAUUUGGUAAAUGUGCUGAAAAUGUAUGAACUGUUGUUUUGCCUUGACAUGCUGUGUUGUAAAAUAAUUGCCACGUCAUGCUGUUGGAAUUUUAUUGAUUUGGUGGAUAUCAAUUAGCUUACUGCAAUGGGCGGGUUUCCGUGGACCAGCCUAUUAGAGGGGCACGGUAAACCUCGUUAUAUCUUACCUCAGUAUAAGAGGCGCGGAUGGAUAACUCCUGUGAUUAACACUUUAGAGUUCACUUCAUGCAAAACCACCACGUGAGGGUGAACUCGACCAAUGCCAAUGAAAGGCUAUGUUUUCAAAAUAAAAACAUGAUUUAUGUGUAUAUAAUUUUUUAACAGCCUUCGCGGACUUAGUUGGGAUAGCCCUCGGCCAAGGUAUCCUUGAUAACUGAGUAUGAUAAUGAUUUUUUUGGCACGAGCCAAACUUUUCAGGAAAUCAUAAGCCUCAAUGAUUAUUUGGAUGAAAUAAAUUUAUUUUAUCUCAUAAAAAUGAGUUUGAAAUGCUAUGAAUUAUUUUAUGCUAAUCUAUUUUAUCUGUCUCCAUUUACUCAGCUUUAGAUAUUUUAGAUGAUAUCUGUCUCCAUUUACCCAUUUCAGGUUCAGGAUAGUCUAUAGAUAGCACAUUUCGUCAAGGACUAGCAUUGGAUUUGCAUCUUCCAAACUGUAGGUUCACAGUCUUUCUUACUUUUGGUUAUUCGAGGGCCCACUUGUUACUGUAAAUUAAAUUAAAUGCUCUGGUUUAUUGUAUUACAGUAUAUAUGAAUUUAUUUUGCUUUUAUGCUGUAAAAAUUAUUUACGCAGUGUUCUAAAAAUAUUAUUUUAUGAGAAAAUUGAAUAUUUUAUUCAAUAUUUUUUUUUAUUCUAAUAGUCAUAAUUUCAUUUUUAAACAAAUGUUUUAGACAUCCAAAUUUAUUUUUGAUUAUAAAAUAUGUGUUUUGCACCCGUAUAAUAUAUUAUUAGCUGGUUUCAAAAUUUUAUGAGAAAAAUGACUAAAAUACACCUGUGAGACAAAAAUUAUUUUUUUUAUUGUUUUGAUUUGGAAAUAGUUUAAAAUCUUUUAGUAUGUGAUAUUUGACAACGGUUAGUCACAGGGGAAAUGAGAAACUAAUAUUAAAGCCUUGCGAGGUUCCGGUUGGCAUUCCAAGUAAUGAGUGUCUAUCAGGACACCGCGACAGUUGUCACGAGCUCGAGGAAAGUACCGGGUCGUUACAGAUUAAGUAUUUAUUCCAAAUGAUUUCUAAAGUGUAUUCAAAGUCAUGAUUAUAUCUAAUUGCAAGUUGAUAAAUGUGUAUUUGAAAGAUCAUACGUACAUGGUUAUUUAAAGGUUAUAUUUGUGCAAAAGCUUUAACCCCUUUACUUGUCCCCUUCUCGUAUCUAGUCACAGAGUUCUUGUGACUGACACAUUAGUUUCUCAUUUUAUGUUACAAAUUAAUGAUAGCUGUCCAGCCACUAGUGUUACAGAAACAUGAUCCAUUCUUCUUUUGGUAAAUGAUAUAAUAGCCCUCUUUAAACCUAGGAAAUCGGGUCAUAUUUUGCUUGAGAAGUCAGUCUUUAUAUUCUUGUAUAUAAAUACUUGUUACGUUUGAAUGUUAAGCCAUUGAAUGGCAUUUAUUUAUAUGAAAAUGAGUAAAAUGUAAAAAAUGAUGGCCUAAGUGCCCAUAUGAGCACGUGGGUUGCAUUACAAAGUUGAGGAAAUGUGUAAAUGUGAAAAAUGAUGGCCUGAGAGCCCAUAUGAGCAGCUAGGGUGCAUUACAAAGUUGACAUGAAAUGUAUAUGUUACAGAUAUUGUUAAUGCAAUGCAUAUGCACAAUUUAUGUUGAGACAUUCUGUAAUUGUGUAUUGACAAUGUAUGGUUGUAUGUGUUUAUGAUUAUAAAUGCUUUUAUGUAUGAUAAUGGUGGCAAAUAAGUCACAUAUGAAUAAAUGAUGGUAAGAGGUUUAUUAAGGCCUAACGGGCCAUACCUACAUAAGACCUAGUGCCAAUCACGAUCCUAUAGAAAACGGGAUGUGGCAUCUCAAUAGAGCAAUGUAGAAAUGCACAUCAAGUUGGCACAUGCUCUAACACCAAUUACAAUGAUUUGCACCUAAACACCAUUGGUUCAACAACUUUCGAAAGCUAAACCACAUGACUUAAGAAGUUUAAAAUCAAGUUGCUAGUAGUAACUGAUUUUAAUUUUUAUGUACGACUUAACAAUUACACUCACACCAUAUAUGAAGUGGACGCCAUUGUUAGAAUUUGAGAUUAUGUGUAAGAGAUUUCAAAUUCAAACCUUAGAACAAGUGAGAAGAGAUUUAUAGAUUUGGAGAUAUUUACAUAGGCAAACCCCAAAUCAUAUGUUCUAAAAGGAAAAAGUAAACAAUAUCCUUAGUUGAGGGUGGAAGGAGACUAAUAACAAAUUAUUACAUGGCAUUGGAAUGUUGGUUUAAUUGCAUGGCAAAUAUUAACAUUGCAUGGCAUUCUGAUUGUUAAUGCAACGAUAACUAAUUAGAAAAGUUUUGUUUUUACUAUUUGCUUUUUCAUUUGUUGUUUUUACAUUUUGUUAAUAAGGUACACUACAAAAUACCGACUUUUCUAACAAAAUGUUUCAUUGGAAUUUAAAAAUAGUAUAAAUAAAAAAUAAUUAUGAUUAAAAAUGAACAAAUAAUUGAAUUAAAAUGCUUGUUAAGAGCAAAAUUUGGUCAUCUUCUACCCACUUCCACCAUGAUCCCUUCCUUAACCUCAAGGAGCUAUUUUGGAUCUUGGCAAAUGGAUUCAACAACCAAUUUAAAAAUGUACACAAAGGAAGAACUUGGACGAGUGAAGCCUAACCCUUGAAUCACACAUUUAUAAUGAAUAAACUUACCUACACUACAGUUGCUAAGGGAGUUUUAUAACAACCAAUCACUUAUCUUUUACCAAGUUGUAACCACAACUAAGAAAAAUAUAACCAAAGACCAACUUCUAACUGAUAUACAAAAAUUGAUAACCUAAAUAAACUAGGAUAAUUUCACCUAUUUUAUUCAAGAUAAACCUAACCCAAGUAACACCCAAGAAUAAUUUCUGGUGCACAUAACAUGCUUAUUCUAACAAAAUUAGUUUAUCUAAAAAUAAUGGCUAAAUUAUAUAAUUAGUCCCAAUGUUUUGUUAAACUAGUGAAUUUAGUAUUGUAUAAUAAUUUGUAAAAAUUGAGUUCGUAUACUUUCUAAAAUUCACAAUGUCAAUCUAAUCAUUAAUGGUAUUAAAAUUUUUAUAUAAUUUAUGUUGGCAUGAUAGUUGACAAUACUGAAAAGACAUUGAAUCUAAUGAUGUGGCAUUGAAUCUGAUGACGUGACAUCUAAGAACGAUGCAAUGAAGUUUUUUGACUAACUUGUUGAGACAAAUCAAAAAUCCAAAUAGGUUUUUGGGUUCUUUGUUUGAUUAUUCUCAAUUAUAUCUCUUCAAUUUUAAUCCUUUUCUUAAUUCUCUCUUGAUUAUUUCUCAAAAUGAUAUUGUAACAGAUUGAAAAAUCAAUUAUCCCUUUCUGAAAUCACCCUAAAAUAUAAUCAGACUGGAAAAUUAAAAUGGAAAUGGAAAUGAAAAUUCGAAAUGGAAAAUAUUGUUAGUGAUUAAGGAUGAUUCACCUAGAUUGAUUAUAGAAAUCGCAAAUUGUGUUUAAAAUCUAACGUCAUAUCAAUAUAAUCAUUGCAUCGUUCUUGGAUGUCAGGUCUCCAUUGCCACAUCAUCAAAUUCAAUAUCAGGUUAGUAUAGUCAAAUAGCAUAUUAGUAUAGGUAAGGAAAAGAAUUUUAACACCAUUAAUGAUCAGACUGAUAUUGUCAAUUUUGAAAAGUAUAUGAACUCAAUUUUUACAAAUUAUUAUACAAAAAUUAAAUCUAUUACUUUGACAGAGUAGAGGAACUAACGGCAUAAUUUGAGCUAAAAAUAAUAUUAUACAUUUUUUCUCCCAUUAAAAAAUUAAUGUUUAAUUAAUCAAAAAUAUUAGAUUUGCCUAUGCAUUUACUUUUGGCGAAGUAAAACGUAGCAAAAGCAAUCCGAGUUUCAAUAGAUGAAAAAUUAAUGAAAUGAAGUUUGAGAAGAAAAGGAGAGAAAAUGGGUUUUGUUCUCGGACUUCUUUUUAUGUAUUUCCCUGAAUUCCUCUAAACGCAAAGGUUUUGGGAAUGAGCUGAAAAACACCCAAACCAUUUCCAGCUCUUGGUUGAAAAUCAUACGAGCUAAAGCUAAAGCGGGCUUGAAGCUGCUUGGUUCACCCGCGGUUUUUACUUUUAGCGUGCAUAAAAGUCAUUGACACCCUGUGGCCAAAAGGAAAGUCAUCUACACCCUUAUUCCAAUGAAUAACGCUAAACGUCAUGUCAUGGGCAACGAUAGAACUUGGCAAACGAAUUACUUGAGAUUAAAAAGAAAACAACAUUUGUCUAACAAAAGCAAGAACUACGUCAAAAUUGCCCCCGGAUGAUAUGGUUUUCAUAUCAAAAUUAGCCAACGGCCACAUGUUAGGGAUUAUGAUGGACACACUUGGGAUAGAUUCAUUUCAUUCUUUAUUUCCUUCCAUUCCAUAUGAAGAAUAUCAAAAAAAGUGCGUUUUUGUAGUUUUGUGGCCACAGAUAAAAAGACGUAACGUUGGUUCUGUCUGGACAUGGGUUUAGGGACUUAGAGCAUUGGUUGGGCGGCUCAAAGAGCAAGCCCUGACAGAGUCCACAAUUGGUCGGUGACUGGCAGCACCCCUAGCACAUUCUGGGUCCCUCCAACGGGGCAGCCAGCCCCUGUGUUUGCAUUUAAUUUGUGAUUUUAACAUUGGGUUUUGUACUGAUAUAUAUAUUUCCUACUAGCAUCUUUUUAUAUAUCUACAGAUGACACGUCGCUCUUUUGGCUAGUAUCUGAAACACUGUAACUAGCAUGAAUUUUGAUCACAUGACCACAAUUCAUGAUUGGAAGAGAAUAAGCUACGAAAUAUCACAGUUGCGAAUGGAAGAGCCGAGAGAGAUAAGAGGGUUGACAACCGCCAAAAUGGUCCAAGCCACGAGAUGCGAUUGUGGUUCUCCUGGACAAAUGCUCCUCGACCAACAUGACUGCCUUGGGUCAUUGUACUUAUAGGUGGACCCUCCAGUAAUAUUAUUUGCUAUGUAUUAAUUAAUAUUCUCCACCAUGUUUAUGUGGAUCUUUUAGCAUAUAACGAGGUCGCCCCGUCGCAACUCCAUCUAAGUUUGCCUCACGGUUUUACUCAUUGACUACGGGGCUGUUAACCACCGUUUGAGUGUAGCUACAUUCAUUAUCUUUGUUUGUUUACCCCUCACAUUUUCUAACCACAAAAUUAAGUAAAUCCAAAUACGUACUUUUGUUUUCUUUUUGUUGAUAUUAACGCAUAUCAGAUGUAUAUAAUUUCUUCUCAAUUCAAUCCCAGUCCCAGUCCUACCAUAAAUGCAAGAGUCAAGGAUGGCUCUGAACAAGACUUUUGGUUUCCGUUCUAGCAAAUCCCACUACGUUACGCACCUCUAGGCUCUAGCUGGAGUAGUGAUGGUGCCACGUGCGUUAAUGAUCUGUAGGAAGUUUAAAAUUCCAACAUGGGUUAAGUUUUAAACAUUUAAUAAUUGUAAAAGAGCACAAGAUCUCUGUCUAUCAAAUAGUAAUCUUAAUAGAAUAAGUUUCCUCGGCUAUGUCCGUACUGUUUAGGAAGCCACAAUUCUAUCAUGCUGGGCAAGAAAGAUUUAUCAUAUAUCACAUAGAUAUAUAUCAUUGAACAUAAGUCUACAAUCCAUUUCUAAGACUCUCUCAUCUUUAUUUAUUUAUUUAUUUUGUUAAGAUAAGUUGAUUAUUCAUAAUUCUUAGGGAAAAGAAAUAUAAUGGAGUUUCUUUAUUUCUUUUAAGUAUACAAUUAAAUUAACAAGGUUAAGGGAGAAUUGAGGGGUUUCAAUCUUAAUUUUGAUCUUAACUUGUUAUUUAUUUUUAAAUCUUAAUUUUGAUCCAUCCAACUACGUUUUGCAUCAUUCUAUACAUAGUUUUAAACUAAAGUCUAAAUUACAUCUAUUUCUACCAUGCUUUCUCUCUUGAUUGUUACAUUUUAAAGUUUACUUUUUAUUUUAAUAUUAAAAAGUAAAGAGCUAUAGUGUUUAUAGAUACAAAACAAAAAGUUUUUGAUUAAUUAAAAUUAAUAUAAUUCUUUUAAGAGAACAAAAUGCAUGAUUAUACUUUUAUGUAAAUUUAGCGAUUACUUAAGAAUUGGUGUUAUUUAAUUAAAGAUUUCUUCAAUUUUGCUUACAAUUGAUUUUGCGAGCUACCAUUGUUUCUACUAAAUUUUAAUAAAUUAAAAGCAGAUAGUAAAGAGCAAUACAAUAAAGGUAACAAUUAAUUGGGAUCUUGAUUAAUUAGCCAAUUGAAAUUUUUAAAUUAAUAUUGCAAUAAUCCUAAUAAAAUCAUGUCAAUCAUAUUUAACUUGCCAUAUCUUGUAAGUUUCACUACCAUCAUAUAAUAUAGCAUGUGGGUGCUAUUAACGAAGCCUAUACAUUUAAGUACUAUAGUCUUCUGCAUACCCAAUACCUCAAUAAAAAGUAUACAUCAAUUAUCUACUAGGAAAAGAAUAAAAACCAAAACAAAAUAAAAAAACAAGUUGUAUACAGAAAAAUAGACAAAUUAAAGUACGGUUGUUUUUAAUUUUUAAUAAUUACGUCAAUUUCAAGAAAAUAUGAGAUGUAGCUCCGAAUGUGUAUUAAAAAUAAAUUGAUUAAAAUAACUUUCCUUUUAUGUUCUUGUUUGUUGAAUCUAAUUUCUUUUAGUUUUACAAACUGAAUCAAUGUUAUUUGACUAAUGAUACUAAAUUGAAUUAAAAGCUUUAUGUACUAAUAUAACUUAGGUUGCCUUUCAGAUUGAAAAAUUCUUAAAAAUUAUAUAUUGUUGUGGUCGGGUAGUCAUACAUAUUAUCUAUCACUAAGGGAAAAUCCAACAGUUGGAGAAAGAGAAGGAAAAAGAGUUGCAUCAUUAAUACUUGUGUAGGUUCCCUUUGAUUAGUAGAUACAUUUCAAUCUCUUCUGGUCAUCAAAUUCAAGACAUAUUUCCCACAGAGUACGUUUUAGCUUGAAAUAAAAGCACCCAAAGACAUUUGCCAUCUUUUUUUUUACUUGCCAAAAGGAGGAUUCAAUGUUUCUUACUUAAGAGCUGCAAUAAGUAUGGAUAUAUCCUAGUUAAUUACGGCACAUAAAGAAUAUGAAAUGACGAAGAAGUACAGUGAGUGGGCGAGGCUACAAGUUUCCAGUACAAGACACCUUUUCCUCAAACAGCAGAAUGUAAAGAUUGAACCGAAUCAGACAGGAGGCCAGCAUGGUCGGUCCAUUAUAUGGGUCCAUCGAAAACGAAAAAUUAUGAUUUAAUUUCACGUCUUAGAAGUAAUUAAGAAACAUAAGUCAAUACUUGUAUUAAUAUUAUAAUGAAGUGGGUGAAAAUAAAAAGCCAAAAGAUUCAUCCUUCUUGUUAAAGUAAACAACCUAACUGUAAUUUGAUGACCAAUUGGAUCACUGAAUUGGUAACCAAAUCUUUUUAGGCAUGGAUUCUAGUAGGAACGACAGAACUCAGCCAGCUCUCACUGACUUUAGAUAGGUUUCUCAGCUUCCAGUCUCAUCUUUCUUUCACACACACGUACAUAUAUAUAUUAUAUCCAAAGAUUAUAUAUAUAUGCGCCUGUGUUUGUUAAAACAAAAUAUAUUAAUGGUCAUCGGCAGAUGAUGAAAGGACAAAUUAAGGAGCGAUGUCGCUAUCAUUGAAAAUUCUCCCCCUCUCUAACUUAUUACUAUAUAAUAUAUAUAUAUAUAUAUAACUUGUAUGUUUGUGCAUUUGUGCAUGUAUGCAGCCGCUCCCCACAAUGCAAAGAGUCAAGAGAUCCUUCUCGACCCUCGACUACUUUCAUAUCUUCCUUUUCCACCCGUUUAACACUUCGAAAGGAAAAGACAAAACCAAGAAAGUCGCUUCCACGGAUGGAAAAAAUAUCAUCUAUCUGGCUAGGGUCGAUUUUACUGGGGGGUUUUCUUUUCUUUAUUCUUAUUCGCAUAGUUACUGGAAAUUGAGAGAGAGAGAGAGAAGCUUUUUUCUUCUUUCUUGGAUUCCCUGAGGACCCAUAGGGAUACGUGUGUAUGUUGAUGUUUUUAGUUCUCUAAUGAGACAUGGUUUGGCUUUUACAUAACAAAAGGCAAAAGAACUAACGAAAUAAUACUAAUGGAUAUUUUGAGAGAGAGAGAGAAUCACAGAUGUACCAUAUGUGAUGGACAUAUUUAAUUGAAUUGAAUUUAUUUAUAUAGCAAAUAGCAAUAGCAUCAUGAGAGAGCUACAAUGCUACACAUAACAUCAAACGAGUGGUAAUUCCAAUAAAUGCGAAAAGGCUCUCUGGAAGAUUUGCGGUGCUUAUUAUCUCAUCGCAUCUCAUGGUCAAAUACAUACAAAUUAAACAUCUGAUCUAAGCUGUAAAUGGGAAUUAAUUUAAAUAUCUAAGUGGAACAAUGAAAGAGAUAUGAGAGAGGAAAUAAAAACAAAGAGGAGAAAUGAGCAGUAGUUAUCAGCAACAGUAGAGUGGUCACGGGUUUCUUUUGACCGAUGCAUCCUCUUCCCCACAAGCCUCAAUUUUCACAUUCAAUCUCCAACCCAUCCCAUCCCCCACCUAUAUAUGCUUAUGCUUCGUCCGCCAGAAAAUUUUGCUCCCUUCAAGCCCCACAUCGCCACCUCCCUACCAAUUAUUUUUCUACACCUAGAUCUACUGCUUAUUAAUUAUAUUAUUCUUAUUUUUAUUUUUAGUAUAUGUUGGAUUUUCUCGAAUAAUGAAAACGUGAAUUUAUAUUAUUUAAUUUAUGUUAUCUUUUAUAAAAAAGGGACUAAUCUUAUUUAGUUUUGAUAAAUUGGCAAUAUUAUAGUUGGUAACAUAAUCUAAGAAAGUGGGUUAGCUUUCAAUAUUAACUGUGGGUUUAAAGUGUAAGUCUGUGUAGGAAACCUUAAAUUCUAUAAUGAGUAAGGACUAAAGAUUCAUUAUAUAAAAGUAGUGUUAAGUCUCUUCCCUUAGGUACACAAAACAUUAAGAAUGUCACCUAUUGGAGAAUUCCCAUAGUUAAUCUAAUUAGUAUUGUUUCCAAUGUCAAAUCAUGAAUAAAAAAUCAAGUAUGUUUUUGAAUUCUAAAAAUUAAAGUGUGGAGAAUCUUGGGUUAAUAUAAAUUUUUUAUACAUAAAAUUUAUCAAUUGGUAUUAGAGCAAAUCAUAGUUUGGAUUUAGGACCUAAUUUAACAUUAUUUUCAGUGAUUUGCUAUAAAUUUGCCAUGUUUAAGUUGAAAUCUUUAGGCAGCCAGAAAACUAGUUUUCCACCACUGGAUUUUUCAAUAAGUAUAGGGUUUGUUUUCCUCUUAAUGCAAGGAUUAAAUUCAUAUAAAGAUUUUAAAUUCAUAUAAAGAUUGUAAGUUGGUUUUGGCUUAUAAAUAAAGAAAUCAAAACUUAAAGUUUCAGGUUUAAAUUUAAACCUAAUUUGUGAAUCGAUUAAAAUCUUGAUAUUUUAUGUGCUUUAGUUCAAAUUUAUCUUUGUAAAUCACUUGUUAUAUGUUAUAAAGAUGAAACAUAAGUUUUAAUUGCAAAAACGAUUGGUUAUAAGACUGAAUAUUGAAAAAACCAAAACAGGUCAAGAAUGGGUGCAAAACUUGAAAUUUUGGACAAUUGAUCUCGAUUCAUGGGUUUCAUAAGACAAAGUGUUAAUCAAGUUUUUGAAAGCUUUUAUUCAAUUAAAAAUCAAGAAUUAAGGAGAAAAUAAGAAGACUCGAAAGGGUUAGUUUUUGCCCUGGUCGAGUCUUGAAGAAGAGCAAAUCACUUGGAUAGCGAGGUCCACUCAUGGCGUGUAGUGCAUGGGACCUACUCGGGCCAUGCUUUUUGACAAUUUUUUUUUUUUGAGCAGAUUUCUUUCGCUCUCCCUCUGCUACUUGUUUGUGCUAUUUUUUAUUUUUAGUGCAUAUUAAAUAUUUAUUUAUUUAUUAUGUGCAUUUAAUUAAUUAUUAUAAAUAUUUUGGUGAAAUAUUUCUACAAUGCAUUCGACAAAAACUCAUAUAAAUAUUUUUAAGUUUAAUGGUAACAUGUACUGUCCCAAGAUUUUUGUGUAUUUUAUAUACUCUUGGGAUAAAGUUAUAGUAAAAAUUGAUAACUAAAACUUUAUAGAGUGAUAUUUUUCAAUUUUUAACAUUAAUGAAAGUAUAAUGAUUGAGUAUCUCAUUAGGUUAUGUCCCAUAUGUAGGUAUGAUUUUUGGAGUACAAUGUCCAAUGCUCAUUAAGCUAAUAAUAAUAAUAAAAUAAAUAAAUAAAAUCAUACCAUGAAGUUUGUAUGGGUAAUAGAAAGCAAUAUCUUUUAAUGUGAGAAGUUUCAUUUAUGCUAGUUGAUUUGUAGUCACCAAAGUAGCCAAUAAGCUAGUUUUGUGGAAUUAUCAUCCUCAUAUGUUUUAGAGAUGUCUAUGGUUUUGGUGUACAUUCAUUCACCUAAAAGUAGUGUUUUAUAUUGUAGUUAAAGGGUAGCAAAUAAAAGCAUGUGUGUGGAAAUUGGCUAACUUUAUUAGUUUAUUCACCUGAAGGUGGUAAGUUACAAAGGUUGUGUUAUCUUCUUAUGACCAUUUUUAUGUGGAAAGGCUCCUAAUUACAUGUCAUGCAUUCAUCCUAAGCUGCUUAUAUGAUCAUGUGCUUGGACCUAUUUAUUAUGCUCGUUUAUGAUUUUGGACUAUUUUGAUUAUCGUAUUUAUAUUAAUUAGGUUACAUUGUUUAAAUUUUCAUUAACAUUUUCUAUCAAUAACUAUAUGGUCACCAUUAAGAUUUUGAUUGUAUUAAACAUUAAGAAUUGGAAAAGAGAUGUGAAUUUUUUUCAUUUAAAUAGAAGACAUAAACUUGGCUAUGAAUGUAAAUAAACAUGAAAGACCUGUUAAAAUUUACAAGGAAAAUAAGAAAGCUUUGAAGGCAUGAGAAAGAUCUAAUAAAUUCUAUCUGUUUGUUAUUAAAAUUUCCUUUUUUGAACAUUUGCUAGUGGACUUCUUGAUACAACUAAUGCAAAAGAGUUCUUAACUGUCAUAGGACAAAGAUAUAAGGUGUCAUCGAAUGCUGAAUUUGGUACUCUUUUAAAAGGAACUUUAUUCCAUGAAAUAUGAUGGGAUAGGAAGAGUUAGAGAAUACAUCAUUAAAAGGGUUCAUUAUCAAACCAAAUUAAGAGGCCUUGUAUCAUUAUUCUUAAUGCUUGCAUUGUUCAUCAAGCCUUGACCACUUUUCCUCCUGAAUUUGGGUGUAUAGCCAUUACAUACAACCUAUAAAAUGAGUCUUGGAUCAUUAAUGAUCUUAUCACUAGAUGUGUUGCUAAGGAAGAUAAGAUCAAAACUAAAAAAACCAAUAAUGCUCUUUUUGUUACCAAAACUUUUCAUAAGAAAGGUAAGAAAUAUAAACUUAAUGCUCCUAAACAAGUAAAGGAUAAAAGGAAAAAAUAUGGUUAAUCUACCAGUGUUUUAAGGUCCUAAAAUUGUCAUCAAGAAGGAAAUCGAGUGUUUCUUUUGAAUAAAAAAGGACAUAAGAAACAAGAUUGUCUCAAAAAUAAGACUUUGGUAGGAAAGUACAAACAUGAAUGUAACUCUUUCAUUCUUGUUGUUUAUGAAUCCAAUCCAAUUGAAGCCUUAGCUAGUUUUUGGCGGCUAGACAAUGGUGUACCUAAUAUGUCAUUUUACCUUACCAGGGUUCAUAAGCAAUAGUAAGCCAAACAAGAAUGAGUCUAAAGUCACAGUUGGCAAUAAUAUAAAGCCAGAAGUUGAGUUUGUACCAACAGUUUGCUUAAUAUUAAAUACUGAAAAUACACUUUUUUUGAAAAACAAUUUCUAUAUACUGUCAUUUAGACAAAAUUUAGUUUCAGUUUAUGUAUGAAACAAUGCUAGUUAUGCUUUCAAAAUAAAGGAUUUAAUUAUUAAGAUAAUUAUUGAUUCAAGAUAUUGGCUUGUGGUCUUUAACUCAUGCAUUAUGUAGAUUAUAUUUAGCCACUACUAAUAUUUAUGCCACCUCAUAUAAUGUUGAAAGAGUUGUCUAAAGGUCCCACAUAAAGGAAACAUCUUCCUUGUUGUUGCAUAAAACACUUGGUCGCAUCUCCAUGGAAAGAACAAAAGGUUAAAAAAGGAUAAUAUCUUUACUACUAUUAAUUAUGAUGACUCGGACACAUGUGUUGAGGGGUAAAAUGACUAAGAUAAAGGGAAAGGAAUCAAAUAAAAGUUCCAAUUUAUUAAAACUUAUUCACAGUAACAUAAUUUUGAACCAUAUAUCCAUACAAUCUACAAUCAUAGAUAUUUUGUGAUAUUUAUUGAUGAUUUUUCUGGUUAUAGUUAUAUGUCUUUAAUUUAAAAAAAGGUUUAAAGUUAUUGAUAAAUUUAGGAUCUUUAAGAUUGCAUUUGAGAAACAGUUUGGAAAAACCAAUAAGAUUGUCAAGUCUGAUAAGGGUAGUGAGCAUUAUGGUAGACAUGACACAACAUGACACAACAUGACAACAAAAGAAUAUAUUUGUGGAAUAGUGCCUUAAUACACUAUGCUUGGUAAUCCUAAAUAAAAUUGUGUGGUUGAAAGGCAAAACCAUAUCUUAAAGGAUAUGAUGAGCAGAAUGGUGAGUAGGGAUAAUGUACCUAAAUAUUUAUGGGAAAAAGCAGUCAAAACAACCUUAAAUAUUUUAAAUAGAAUUUUUAUUGAGUAUGUGCCUAAAACCUCUUAUAAGUUGUGGAUCAAAUGGAAACCUAGUUUUAAUCACUUGCAUGUUUAGGGAUUUCUUUCAAAUGUGCGUUUUUAUGAUCCCAUUGAGACUAAGAUACAGUAUUGUGUCACUUAUUGCUAUUUUAUUAGGUAUCCAAAUCAUUCCAUAGGCUAUAGAUUUUAUUGCUUAAGUGGAGGUGGUCACAUUGUUGAAGCAAAAACAUUUAAGUUUUCAGAGUUAGAUGUUAUUGAUACUAGUUGCCCUAAAGUUAGAUAUAGAAAAAAGCGUAUUGAGAUAGUAAGAAUUCCUAUACCCAUACAAAAUGAUGUUAUUAAGCAUACACCAAUUAGGGAAUAUGAACAAGUUCAACCAAAUAUUAAUGAGGUCUAUUAGCACCAAAAUGUUAUAGAAAAAAAACUACAAAGAAGAUCCACAAAGAUAAAGAGGUAUACUCUUUCUUCUGAAAUCUAUAAAUUUUAUCUCAGAAGGGGUGACUAUGAUAUUGGCCAUUUAAUUUAUUUAAUAACUCUUUUAGAAGCUAUUUCUAGUCCUAAAUCAAAUUUAUGUCAGGAUGCAAUAAGGGUUGAGAUCUAAUCUAUGUCACAUAAUGGUGCGUGGGAACUCAUUAAACUACGUGAGGGUUGCAAACCCAUAGAUUGUAAAUCAUUGUAAAUAGUUGUGCAAGACAAAGAAAGAUUCCAAAGGAAAGGUUAAAAGGUUUAAAACUAGAUUGGCAGCUAAAGAUUUUACACAGAGAAAAUGCAGUGAUUACAAAGAAACUUUUUCUCACGUAUGCUUUGAGGAUGCUUUUAGAAUAAUUAUGGUACUAGUAGCUCAUUAUGAUUUAAAACUACAUCAAAUGGAUGUUAGGACUAUUUUCUUGAAUGGGAAUCUUGUUAAAGUGGUCUAUAUGUUGUAGCUUGAAGGAUUUAAGGAGGAUGGUGAAUAUUAUCUUAUGUGUAGACUCAAAAAGUCUAUAUGUGGGCUAAAAAUAAAGCUUUUCUGCAAUAUUAUAUUAAAUUUGAUGAAGUAAUCACAUAUUUUGAUUUUGUUGAGAACAAGGCAGACAGAUGCAUAUAUCAAGAUCAAUAGGACCAAGUGUGUCUUUCUUAUUUUGUAGGUCUAUGAUAUUUUUCUUACUAGUAAUGCUUUAAGGAUGUUGGAAAAGACUACAAGGUUAUUGUCUAGGCAAUUUGACAUGAAAGAUCUUAGGGAAGCAACCUAUGUCUUUGAGAUUGAAAUCCAUAAAAAUUGAUCUCGUCACAUGUUAGGACUCUUUUAACAUGUAUACAUAGAUCACGUGUUGAAUAGAUUUUCUAUACUUGUUUACAAAGGUGGAGAUGUGCCAAUUAUUAAAGGUGGUAAAUUGAACUUGGUCUAAUGUCCUAAAAUGAUGUUGAUAGGGAAUCUAUGACAGUAUUACCAUACGGAGUGCAAUGGCAAGCCUGAUGUAUACUCAAGUGUGCAUAAGGUUUGAUAUUAGAUUUGUAAUGUGUCUUUUAGGGAGAAUAUUCUCUAAUAUGGUAAAGAUCAUUGGGUAAUUAUAAAGACGGUGACGAGAAAUUUAAAGAGAACUAAGGAUUAUAUACUAGUUUUAUCGAAAGGUUAAGGACCUUAAGUUGAUGGGUUAUACAAAUUCAAACUUUGCCAAUUGUUCAGAUGAUAGGAAUUCCACAUCAUGAUACAUUUUUAUGUCAACAAUAUCUUGGAAAAGUGCAAAUUAGGUGCUUGUGACUUCAUCCACUAUGCAAUUAGAAUUUGUAGUAUGUUAUGAAGUAGCUACAUAGAUUAUUUAGUUGAGAAAUCUCAUUACAGAACUGUGGAUGGUUGAUUCUAUUGUUGGACUCAUAUAGUUGUACUGUAAUAAUGUUGUAGUAGUUGUGUUCACAAACAAUAAUAGAGGUAUCAAUGGGCUAAGCAAAUAGAGAUAAAAUAUGACAGUUAAAGAACUUGUGAAAAAAAGGUGACAUUUAGGUAGAGCAUAUUAGAACUGAUGAAAUGGUAUUUGAUCCUCUGACCAAGGGAUUGCGCAUUAUGACUUUCAAGAAACAUAUUUAUGACAUGGGUGUUUUAUAGUUUUUUAAUGUGCUUGGUUAGUGGGGCGAUUUGAUAUUAUUCUUUUUUAUGCUUUAUGCUUAAUUUGUUUGGAACACAUCGUUGACGAUGUAUUUGGAUUUUUUUAUUAUUAAUGAUUAUUCAAAGAUAUUCACUAAUAAAGUGUUUAUGUAUAUAUAGAUUCUUACAUAUGUGAAGACUUAGACAUGUCUUAGUCUUAAGCAUAGGCUGGGGCAUAAAUUGAUAACCUUAAGGUAUGUCUCUAACACAUAAUCAGUAUCUCGAGAUCUGUAAUGCAAGCUUACAAGUUAAUUGAGUAGAUCAUAAAGUAUUUCUCAUGCCAAUUGGACUGCAUAAAGUGGAGAAUAAAGUUAUUUAGAAGUGAAUACAACAUAUGAAAUAGAUGAUUAAAGAAAUGUUGCUAUUCAUUGCUACACUACCACAUUUACUUCAUGCCUAUGGGAUUGAGCGGUGUAUGUGAUUAUAGUUAUUGUAUCUUUGGUAGAUGUAGUUAAUACUAUUAUUCUAUAUCACAAAUUUUAUUAGACAGAUAGAUCUUUUGGAGUGGUCUUAAGAACAGUUUGUUUUUAAAUUGAGCUCAUAAAGUUUUAAGGUAUCUUAUCCAAUGAGUUGUGCUCAAUAAAAUGCGUUUUCAAAAUUUGAAUUUAAAUAAUAUAGUCUAAGUGAGAGAUUGUUAAAUUUUUCUAAAUAAUUAAAAUGUGGACUUACAUUAUUUAAUUUAUUUUUCUAUUUCUAAGAAAAAAAGGGUAUGCAUAUUUUUUUUAUAAAGUGACAAUAUUAUAGUAAAUAAUAUGAUCUAAUAAAGUGGACUAGGCUCUAAUAUUAAAUGUGAACUUAAAGAGGAUAGACUUAUGUAGGAAACCUUAAAUCCUAUAAUGAUUUGGACUAACCAUUCAUUAUAUAAAAGUAAAACUAAAUCUCUUAUCCUAUCUACACAAAGUAUUGAAAAUCUCACCCAUUGAAGGGUUAUAAAAUAAGGAGGUGAAAGAUACCAGUGCAUUGAAUCCCAACAAUUAAUCCGGUUAGUAUUGCUUGUACUGUCCAAUCAUGAAUAAAAAAUCAAGCAUGUUUUUGUAUUUUAAAAAUUUAACUUUGAAGAAUCUUGGGUUAAGCACACGCUAGUACAUAUAAAGUUUAUCAACAUAAAUCAAUGAGACUAAAAUUCAUUGGUUAUCUAUAAUUUAUAAUCUACAAUUGUAAUAUUAUAUAAAAGUAAGAAUGUUGAAAAACUUUUUCAUUUAAAAAAUUGAUCAUACCUGUGCAUUAAAUUUCUAAAUUAUCAUUUUAAAUAUUUUUAUUAUUAAUAAUUAAUAAAACAAUCACAUUCAUUGUUUAAUAUAGUUGAGAAGUGAGAGGAAAUAAAAAGUACAUCACAUUAUUUUACCAUUAUAACCUUAAUUUUUAAUAUAGUUUAACUUUAUUUGAAUGUAAACUUAAAGAUAACAUAUAUUAAGAACGUAAUGGGUCAUACACACUAAAAGAUAACAAGUAAAAAUGUAAAAUUGGAGAUAAAAUUAAACUUGAUUUAAAAAAAGUAUUGACUUCUUAGUACUAAAUUGAAUGAUUAUAAUUUUGUUAAGAAAUUUUACAAAUACCAUAAAAGUUACAAAAAUCUUAAUAGGAUUUAGAUUAAUGCCAUUGUCUAUAAAAUAAAAGGCAUAUGUUGCAUUUAUGAGGCACUGAAAAUCUUGAAAGGCAUAUAAGAAAUAAGAGGUGAGAUAUCGACAACCAUUAGCCCUUCCUAUCCUUGAGUGUUGGUGGGAUACUAGAGCAAGCCAAAUGUUUGGUUUUGAACCAUUUCCCAUUGUCCCCAGCUACAGAAAACAAAGGAUGACAAAAGCGCGAAACUUCAGUAUGAACAAACAAGAAGCAUAGGAUUUCUAGCAAAAUCAUCAAACAUUCUCAACUCACAUGAAUCAAUUAACACCCUAACAUCACCGAUAGACAUUUAACAGAUCUGGUUUUCUAAGAACUCCCUCAUUUGCCAAUUUGUCAGCAACACUAUUAGCGCUUCUCGAAGUGUGCACUACCUCUUAUCCUUUCACCUUGCUUUUCAAGGAUUCAAUGAUGAGAAUCCAUCUCCUGUGCUUCCAAAGAGCAUGCUAGGAGUCAUCACCUAUUUAAAAACAUUCAAUGAAUCACUCUCCACCUCGAGAUAAUAUGUCUUAGCCCAUCUUGAAGCAACAAAAAUGGUAAAAGCCUUGUUAAUAGCUAUUAGGUUAGUUAAAUUAGCAUCGCACACCCUGAUUGACUGAGAAAAAAAUUACUUUCACCUCUCCAUUUUGAUUCCUUUGUACACAUCCUAUACAUGCAUCCCCCAAAUUACCCCUAAUCGCACCAUCUACAUUAAACUUUAGCCACCCUAUCGAUGGUAGGGACUAGUCCAUAGUGAUUUUGAUUUUAGCAGUUCUAUUCGAUAUCACAGCCACAUUUGAGGCAGUGCAAAAUCACUAAUGUUGGUCAUCAUAUUUGGCCAUUUAGCCUUUCCCCAUGAAACAACCCUUAACUUGACAUGAUCAAAAGCUUGCUUGAUGUCCCAAUGCUUGCCCCAAAAAACAAUCUCAUUGUGCAAUAGCCAUAAAGUCUAGACCAUCGUGAAAAAUGCCAUAACACAUACAUCCUUAUCUCCAUCUUUAUGUUGAACUCCAUUCCGUGCUAGGAAACAAACCUUAGCAUCCCCCAAUGUAGUCCAUGCAACACUCCAAAAGUCACACCAUAAUCCCCACAAUUUCGACAAUUCACCACACAAAUGCUCAAUAGUUUCCACCUUCACCCAACAUAGCUAACAAUUAGCCUUGGUUCUAGUCAACAUACCUCUUUUAUUAAACUCACUCUUAACUACUACUUUUCUAAACAACAACUGCCAAACGAAAACCUCAACUUUUUGUAAUGCAAGAUCUUUUCAAACUUGUCUCCAUGCCUCUUAACUCUACCUUAUCCCAUAACCGACUUACAAAAUGACCUGACAAUAUAAACCCCACUAGACUCACAUUUCCAUACAAGCCUAUCCCUUGAGCCUUUAUUAGGUGGAUACCCUCCCAAAAGCCUUAUCAUUUGGUUCCAUUGUCCCAUUUCCCACCCAAACACUAUACUUCUUAACUCCACCCUCAAAGUCCACUCCUUACCAACAAAUUCCCCAAAGUCACUAACUUCACCCCCCCCCCCCAUUUUUUUCUUUUAUUUUUAAAGAAAAUAUCCUUAGAAAAUAGCAUUUAACCUUCAAUCCACUCACCUUUCCAAAAGGAAAAAUUCCUACCAUUCCCAAUAACCACUCCAAAGUCGAAAGUAAAUUGUAGUAAAAAUUUUUUAGUGGGGGAAAGGGACUAAUAAUAUUAUGCCAUAGCAUGGAACUUAACGAUUCACCACAACCUCUGGAAUCAAACUCAUGGAAUCACAACUAACCUUCCUUUCCACCAUUUCCCUCCAUAGACUCCCCUUUUAUUUCUAUACUGCAAAAUCCAUUAAUUAAGAAAAGCCUUAUUUUUAAUCCCAAGGUCCCUCAAUCCAAGUCCACCAUUCUCUCGAUAAUCACAAAUGGUACUUUAAUCCACUAGGUGCAUUUUAUUUUUAGGACCACUUCCACUCUAAAGAAAUCUCUGCUAGAUCCUUUCAAUUUCAUUUAUCACGCCUUUAGUUGCUUGAAAAAGAAAUAUGUAAUAUAAAGGCAAGGUAGUGAAAAUCAAUUGUAAGAUCGUAACUCGACUACCCAUUGAUAGUGGUUUAGACUUCCACUCUGCAAACUUCUCCUCAAUCUUUUCUAACAUCGGUUUCCAUGUCUAUAGACACCUAAGAUUAGUCCUUGAUGACUGUCUCAAAUAUGUCAUUGGUAAGGAACCAACUCUAUAACAAAUAAACUCCGUUUAAAAGCCAAACAUAGUUGGAUCAAUCCCCACACUUAUAGUUCUUAAAAUUAAUUUUAAGCCUUAACACCAGUUAAAAACUCCUAAAUAUUCUCAUGAUAUUAAUAAUAUCCUCCAAUUGAAUCUUAUAUAAUAGAAAUGUGUCAUGCCUAUACUGAAGGUGUGACACUACUCUACCCCCUACCCUCAUAACAAUGCUCUAAGACAUCUGCCUUUGCUCUGCUUUCAUCAACAAAACACUUAGAGCUUCAGUUACACUGCUAAACAAAAAAAGGGAUAGGGACUAACCCUAACAUAACCCCUUACGCAAUCUAAUAGAUGUGGUGGGGGCAACCAUUCACCAACACCAAAAUUGAAAAUGUGAAAAUGCACUCCAUGAUCCACCCCAUCCACCUAUCACUGAAACCUAUCUUGCCCGUAAAAAAAUCAAGAAAUUUCCAACAAAUGUUAUCAUAGGCCUUUUCAAAAUCCACAUUAAAAAUUAGCCCACUCCCCGACCUCUUUCUCAUCAAAUCCAUUAACUCAUUUGCUAUCAAUGCACAAUCAAUAAUAUACCUACCUUUGAUGAAGGCAUAUCAGAAUUCCCCAACCACUUCACCAAUCAAUACCUUUAAUCUAUUAGUAAGAAACUUCGUUAAAAUCUUAUAGACACUACAAACUAGACUAAUUGGGUGAAAGUCAUUACACAACUUAUCCAACGAUUUUGAUCCAAUUGUAAUCUUUUAAAGAAUGGUAGCUUGAAUAGAAACUUCAAGAACAUAAGUGAUCAAUUGAACUUACCCUUUGUUUUGUGAAAGUUUGAAAAAUAAAUAAAAAUUGAAGAAAAAAGGAAACAAAGGAAGAGAGAGUUUGAUUGUAAUUAAUAAGACUAAUAUGUUAAAACAUUUUUGGUUCUAACGACUAUAUUUUUUUGUGUGCAAUAUCUCUAAAUUAUGACGAUGACAAUAAAAUGGAUCAAUCUAAGAAAAGUUGGACAAAAAAAAAGUAGGUAUUUGAAUUUUUCUAUUUAUUUAUUUAUCCCAUUUUCCAUUAAUGAAAUUAUUGUUAGCAAUUGUGACUUAAAUACCAAAUAGAUUUUGAUAGAUCUUUUAGUUGGUUGGAAGAUAAUGCUUGGCAAUCAAGUUUACUUAACAAAUAAAAAGGCUUGUUAGGCAAAAAUUUUAAGAGGAAAUAGAUUCUUGUUGGUCAAGUUAACUGCGCUACAAAUAUAGUUAUAAAUAUAGGGGAGUCUCAAAGGGUGAGUUAUGAGAGAAAGAAGUAGAGUUGUACAGUUUAAAAGGUUGGAUGCGUAGGCACCUCAUGAAGUUAAGGGAGAGAUAAUGAGUGUGAAUGUUUAAUGUUUGGUAAAGAUGUGUUGAGACUGAGCAAGAGUGCUCACAGAGACGGAGUCAGAAUUUCAAAUAAGGUGUGACCAAACUAAAGUAAAGAAUUUAACGUAAAAAGUUUUAUUUAGCAUAAUUGAUGUAUAAUAUUAUCUUAUGAAAAAAUAAUAAAAAGUUAUAUGCCAAAUAUAAACAUAGACGACAUACAUAAAAGUUCAAGUACUAAAAUGAAAAAAAUAUAACUAUUACAAAUAGAGAGAAGUUAGAUGCAUUUAUUUAAAACUGAGCACCAGAUUCUUUCAUAGAAACAAAAUCAUUAAGAAGAGUCAAAAAAGUUUUAGCAAUUCCUUUCUCAAUGUAGGCAAUAAGAUUCACUAGAAGGAAGUCAUGCUCCAUUUUGUUGUGAAGUUUUCUUUGGAGAAUUGUUAUAAUUGAAAAUGCUCUUUCAAUAGAAAUCGAAAGAGUCAAUAAAAGGGAGAAUCAAUCUAUCAACAAGAAAAUACCCUUUUGAUAUUUACGUCUUUACUAAUCCUUGACAUAGUUUAGAAAUUAUAGAUAAAUUCCACAAUUUAGAAUAAUUUAGGGCAUUGAGUUUAUAAUGUUGCAAUUGGAACUUCAAGUUUAUUUUCUCUUGUUUAGUGAAAUCAAAAGGAUAAUAUUAUUUUAUUUGGUCUAUUAGAAUGAAGGUGCGUUAGCUAAAAUCCAUUUCUCUUGUAGGUUUUUUUUUUGUUUGAAAAAUGAGAACUAAAUUAUAGUAAAUUCUUGGCAUAAUACCUAAAAACACCCUUGAAUUAUUCAGAAAAAUUUAAAUAAGCUCUUAUUAUUUUAUUGCAUUCAAUUACGUUCUUAUAUUUUUAUUUUAACUCAAAUAAGCUCCUAUGACGAAUAAUUUACUAAUUGUUAUUAAUUAAAAUGUCAUUUGUCAUUUUGUAUUAUAAGAUGUUAACAUGACAUGGUCACUUGUCAUAAUAAUGAUGACGUGGCAUGAUGACAUGAUCAUGCCACGUUUGUUACUCUCCAUGUCAUUGUCAUCAUGUGGGUAUAAAAUGACAAGUCUCAUUUUGACUAAUGACAAGUAGUUAACUGUUAAUCAUAAGAGUCUAUUUAACGCAAAAUAAAAAUAUAGGGACUUGAUGGAAUGUAAUAAAAAAAUAAUAGUUUAUUUGAAUUUUCUUCAAUAAUUCAGGGGUUUUUCAGGUAUUAUACUUAAAUAUUUUUUGGUAAUUGGUUGGGAUUUUGAAAUUGAAUAUUUGUGUAUCAUUGGGGUUCAUAGUUUUUUUUUUGGGAGUCAUUAGUAAAUUGAGAAAUCUGGUGUGUUCGUGUGUGUGUGUGUAUUUAUGUAUGUAUGUAUUAACAAUAGAAUUUUUCAAAAAUCUUAGAGGGCCUCAACUUUAACAUGGCUCCGACAUUGAGUGCUCAUGUGUGUGAUUUUGCGUUUGGUUAUGAACUAUAUGAGAAUGUGCUUGUUGAGACCGAGUAACAGUAUUCUUAUGUGUUUCAAUUCAGAAUUGUUUUAUGAGUGUGAGUUUGAGUGUUGAUUGUUGAUGAUUUGUUGAUAUGUUUGUUUUUCUUUACAACUAGUGAAUUAUUUUUUUUCAUCCAUGAAUGUAGAUAAGUUGAGUGUCGAAACACGUUAAAUUCUUGUUUUUUGAGUGGAUGAUUUUUUCUUUCUGAUUAUGCUUCUGUUCGCUUAGAUGUUAAUUGAGUGGGCGUUUAUCAUAACAAACCUUAACUAACUUAUUACUGCGCUCAAAUGUUAAUUCCAUUUAAUUUCUUAGCUGGUUAUCCUACAGCAUUUGAAAUGUUUUUGAGCGAAGAAUGGUUAGAGUAAAUACAGAAAGGUAAUUUACUUCUACUUGUAAAUUAAUAUAGUCAAUGUACUUAAGACAUAGAAAACUGCGGUCGCCACGGCCCGGCCCGGUCGUCAUCGUGCUUCAGCAUUAACUAUCUAAGCAGCCUAACAGUACCGUGCCUACAACCAGCCCCCCAAAUUAAUCCACCAUCCAACUUCCAGUACUGCUAUAUGUAUUAAUCUUAGAUUCGAAAAGGUUAGAAGAAAAGAGAAAGAUUAAUAAUGCAUGUGUGGGAAUGGAGGUGAUAAAAUAAAAAAAUUAGCUGAGCUGAGCCAUGCCCUUAAUUAUGGAGUUUAAGCAUAGGUAAAGUGGUAGACCUAACCAUAAGCACAAGAAGAUAUAUUCUAUCUAAUGUCAGACAGAAACUACAGAAUUUCAAGUUUCUCUUGAUUGCUUUUCAUCUUCAAGGCCUCUAUGUCGCAGGUAUCAGGUUAUAGCUUCGCUAAGGGUAUCCAAUUUUCCUUGGAGCAUCACAAUCACAAAUGCCUUUAUACCUUAAAAAUUUAUUUCUUUUAAAAGGCAAAUGACAUUUUAUUGAAUAAAGUGAUCAAUUAAGCACACUACAACUUGUCAUAUGGUUUGAGUACACUUAUGAGAGCUUGGGCCUGGCAUGGAUUUGUUCCUCUGAUCUUAAGAAAAAAGAGCGAAACACAAAAAUAAUAAUAAAAAAAAAUCAAAUUCUGACUCUUUAUGAGACACAAAAAGAGCAUUAACUUUUAUAGUACAUAUAUGCUAAUAAUUUGGAUAAUAGACAGCACAAUAUAACUAAACUAAUAAGUAAGCGACGGGUGAUAUAUAACACCUUAACUUUAGUGUGGAAUCCGCUGAAUAAAAAUUAGAAGAGUUGAAUUUAUUUAUAAAAAGAAUAGAGAAAAUUAGAAUUUCUAUGGUGGAAGAAAAGUCCAAGCGCACCGCUAAUGGCUGUGGCCAUCCUGUCCACUUUUUGACAUGUCAUUUUCUCAUCUUUAACACCUUUAGGCAUACCUCUUCCCAUGUAGGGCCUGAAAGCUAUGUAGAUCUUUCUUUUUAACUCCCCUCUCAAAAUUUUCUUUUUCUUUUCUUCCCCUCCUCCUCCUCUUCUUUAAGGAGAUAGAAAUUAAAGAAGAUUUACCUUUUGGGCAGUACGAUAAUUUAACCUUCUCUUAUCUUUGCCUACCACUUGCACCACUCGAUUCGUACAAAGCCCUCAGGUAUAAAGAGGGGAGGCCAAACCCAUGGAGGAGCUGAUUAUGAGCCAUUUGUUGCUUAGUUUAUGGCAAUAGCAGCAGCAGCAACCAUGAGCAACGACCCCAACGAUAAUAACAAUAACGACGACCACAACAACAGCAGCAGCAGCAGCAAGGAUGACCACGAACACGACAUGGUCAUGCCUGGCUUUCGCUUCCACCCUACCGAGGAAGAACUUGUAGAGUUCUACCUUCGCCGUAAGGUUGAGGGCAAGCGCUUCAAUGUUGAACUCAUUACUUUUCUUGAUCUAUAUCGCUAUGACCCGUGGGAGCUUCCUGGUAAACUACCUACCCUGCUUUCCUAUCUUUCUCAAACAACUCUUUGUCUCUUUCCUUAAUCAAUCAUUCUCUUUCCUUUGGUUUUUUAAAAAUCUUUUUUUUUGGUUUUUUUCAUCAUCCUUGGAGUGCCUACUCUUUAUCAUGUGAGAUUUUCAUCUCAUGGUUUAAAAAAUAUUUCCUCUUUAAUUAUUAUCAUCAUUUAUAUAUGUAUUCAAGUAUAUCUAUACGUGUUCUUUCAACAAUCACAGUGAUUCAUCUUCUUUGUCUUUUGUCUAUAUAAUUUUCUGCCAUCAGCCUUGGCAGCAAUUGGGGAGAAGGAAUGGUUCUUCUACGUGCCCAGAGACCGAAAGUACAGAAACGGGGAUCGACCAAACCGUGUUACUACUUCUGGCUACUGGAAAGCAACAGGAGCUGACCGCAUGAUUCGAGCAGAGAACUCUCGAUCAAUUGGCCUCAAGAAAACCCUAGUCUUCUACUCCGGAAAAGCUCCGAAAGGCAUCCGCACCAGUUGGAUUAUGAACGAGUAUCGUUUACCUCAGCACGAAACUGAGCGUUACCAAAAGGUACCCAUUUUUCUACAGCUCUUCCGAUCCACAAAGAAUCAUCAAUAUUUGAUAUAGAAGAAUUACAGAAGAGCCUUUUUGGGCUCCUUCAUCCUCAAGUUCCUCAAACAGUACUUGAUAUUUACACAUCCAGCGGGUCAUAAGAUCCAUUGGGUCCGAAAAUUUUGAAUCAUACGUUUCUCUCCUUUCACAAAACCCUAAUUUCUCUUUUUAGAUAAUUCAAACUAGUAUAAUCUUCUUAUUCUCCUAAAAAAAGGCUUUUCAAGUUUAAUUGUCAGUUCCAAAGUUUCAGUUUUGGUAACCACGAUCCAAAGCACGUACAGCAUGAUUCCAUUCAGGAAAUCAAUAUAUAAUUGCAAGAUUUUGCUCCGUAUAUGGAGCAAGACAAACAGAUAAAGAUAAUAGCAUCACAAAGAACAUUACUGACAGUGGGGUUUCCAGUCUUGUUGUUAUUUAAUUGAUUUCAUUAUUAAAUCUUUCUCUCUCAAAACUGAUAGCAACAUGCAUGACCUUCAAAUUCAAUGACCCAUACGGCCCUUACAUGUAUUGAAUACUACUGCUACUUCUAAUAACUGCAACGGUGCUCAAUGUCUUGAAAAUUUUUAAUUUAGGUCCCUUAUCUUCCAUGAAAUUUGCUUCGUCCUUCACCGGCUCCUUGCUUUCUUUUUCUUUCCGUGUUUCCUUUUUUCCAGGCUGAAAUAUCUCUUUGCCGCGUCUAUAAGAGAGCUGGAGUGGAAGAUCACCCCUCGCUCCCUCGUUGUCUUCCAACCAGGCCAUCCGCCUCAUUAAGAGGGCAGCAGUCGGGCAAGAAAUAUCCCCACGAUGCUGCUCAACAAGCCAUGGAAAGGUUUCAAGGUUUUGGAGGACAAUCACAACAAAUGGAGAUUGAAAAGAUUAGUGAAACUGAUGGAAGCAGUAGUAGUACUUCCGAUGUUACAACAGCUCUCGGACUUUCCAAGCAGAAUGUAUACCGUCCGAUGGCUCCUAUAAGCACAACACUUGGGUUACCAUCUGGAAUAGAAGAGGAAGGAAUGUUCUUAAAUCAGUCUAAGCAAGGCUGCAGCUCUUUGGUCCCCAAUUGCACAACUGUCUUUACAGUUGGCUCUUCUGUUUCGCCAAAUGUUGUCGAUGAUCUCCACAGGCUAGUAAGCUACCAACACGCUACAAUGAAUCAGCAGCAGCAUUACUAUAGUGAUCAUCAUCAUCAACAGCAACAACAAUCCGAGUUUUCUACGUUGCCUCCACAAUCACAGCAGCUUUCUCUCAACAUGCUGCCCAGCUCGCUUCCGAUGGCCUUCUCUGACCGGCUGUGGGAGUGGAAUCCAAUCCCCGAGGCAAAUAGGGAGUACAACAAUCCUUUCAAGUAGGCCCUGAACUGCAUAUAUCAUACAUAUAGAUAUACUCUAUGUUGCUCUACUGAUUUGUGUCUAGACGUCCUUAAUUUCUCUACUUUCAUUUUUACUAUCUCACUAGCUAGCAUUCAGAUAUAACUGAUAUCGAUCAACUAGUAUUUGUUUCUCUAGUAGUUUUUUUUUUUUCUGGGUUUUUAUGAGGUUGUUUGAUUCCUUCAGUAGUAAUUUCUUGCUGGGGUUUAGCUACAUAGGUCAGGGCACUGCAUCCUGGGGCUCCAAGUUAAAGAAGGAAUAAAUAUUGUCAUCAACUUAUUCAUAGUGUCGAUCUUGAAGACAAAGUAAUGUUUCCAGAUCCAACUGAAUCUGGUUAAUUUAAUCAGAAUUACAUUUUCUUUAAGCUUCAAAACACCGACAUGGCCUGAAAUGGAGUUUUGUUCUCUGAUGUGUCACUGUACACCAGAGAACGAUGAUGGGAUGAUCGAUGGAUGAUUGAUUCCCAAAGCAAAGAUUACUAGCGAAAAGCAAGAUACAUCUUGAAGAGUAUUGCAGAAGUGCGGUUGAACCCAUCCCUCAAACAAACAUCCGCAAUGAAGACAUCAAUGACUGUCCUGUUUUGAUGCUUUUGUUCGUGAAAAAAGCUUAACUAGUCGUCCCCAAAGGAAAAACAUCGUUGGAUGUUUUGCACUCAAGCUAAAAGGUGAAUCAAAAGCAGACAACAUUGAGAAAGAGCACGCCCACGAUCAAGGAAAUCACACAUCUUCUUAUCUUCAUUUUGAUUAAAAGUAGUUGGAUUUACAAAACCCCUCCCAUCUGACUCUCCCUGCGCGAGUAAUUAUAGACACUAAAGAACAUAGAGCAUGGAUAAUCUGGUCUAGUUGUCUGCAGUAACCAAGUCAUAGGGCGUAGCUGUAUUUUAAACUAGGCAUCUAGGGUGCAGUCAUUAUUGCUGCAAAGUCAGGGAGAACUGCAUGUGCACACUUUGUGGGCGUGCUUGCUUCAUUGCGGGCGGAGCUUUGUGGCUAUGGCGUUUUUAGUUUAGAACUAGAGAGGUCCAUGGCCCGACUGUGUGCAGCGCACUGUCCUCCUAUGACCUAAUUCUACUUUAUCAGCUCUUUUUUAUUCCUCAGUGAAUGAAAAUAAAUGCAUGUUGACAGUCAGAAAGAAACGUACGGUUACCAUUUUUACCGUCGGGGAUAGUUGACGUGGUGACACCCUUCUCUCUCUCAUUUCGGCACGAAGUAACAUAUUAAACAAGUUAACACACAAUUAGACAAUUUAAAUUUGUUGCAGAUGGGUUUGAUUUCUUGAACCUUUAGAUCAACUAAAUCCAAAUAAGAGAUGCUGAGAAGGGCCUUAAAUUAAAAACAUCCCCAAACGUCAUGGAGCAUAACUCGUAAUUCAGAUUUCAAUCGUAGUUUACAUGAUCCAUUACUUUUUUGGCCAUAAAGAACUUUACAGCGUGUUAUGAUUUUCAUUUCAGUUAUAAGGUUUACGUUUUUCAUUUUUUUGUUCAUCAGGAUUUUAAGCUAUACAAUCUUCUUAAUCAUAUAAAUUUUAUGUUAUCCAUCACAACUUUGAGAUUUUCAUAAUGAAGUUCUCGACCGUGAGAAUGCCCGGACAUUACAAGUUGACCCUAUCAACCAUCAUCAUAUCCCUACUUCUUUAAAUUCUUGAAACUAUAUGUUACUGAACUUAAAUUAACCUAAAGUUAAUGAUGACUAACAAGCAAAUGCAAUCUUUUGGAAGAUAAAAUUUUGUAGGUGUCAAGUAGGCUUGCUAAAAGCCAACAUUCCAAAACAGUUUAAAAGACCUGUCGCUUACGCUUUGGUCUCAAUUGUCUUAAGGUAUCGCACUCAGGGUUAAAAGGUGAAGGAGUCACAGUCCAGAUUCAUUAAGGAGUUUGGAAACUCAAACUUGCAACGAGACUCCUACAAAGGACUUAACUUCCAUCAUAAUAGUAGAGAUGGAUUUGGAGAUAAGAUACAAAAUUAGGUGUUAAGAUACAAAAUUAGGUGUUAGACACCUUUUCUACCGAAGCAGAACCUAGCCUUUACUAUUAUUCAACGAACCAUAAAAUAAUAAAGAGGAAAAACAACGAAGAGCUUCUUGAACAGUUUAUAUAAUAAAUAUAAUGCACAAAAUAACUAGAGAACAUGUUAUCAAUCAAAACAUAUACAACAAUCAUAUCAUAGCAAUAAAAAAAUGCAUAGCCUAAAUCACGUUUUUCUAAGUAUAAAUAAUAGGGAAAAUUUUUUUUAGCCCUUAAAAGUAACGUGUUUUUGUAAAUAAGUUUUCAGAUAAUUUUAACUAUUUUUAGCCACGAUAAUAGAUUUUGGGACAAAAAUGCCCUUAAUGAGCUAUCUUCGUUGACGCACACUCUCAAAUAGACGAAAAACGAAAAAAUAAAUAUGUAAAGAAUUUACGAACAUCUAAUUUUGUGUAAAACAUCCAUUUUUUUUCGUGAAGCUUGUGCAAAACAAAAUAAUGUUGCAUGAGAUGGCUUUCAGAGAUUUGGGACAUGGCAUUCAGAUAAUAAGAGAAGAAUGAUAUUAAACCUAACGAGGAACCGGUCGUAAUGAAUGGAAAGCUUGGAGAAUGAAGUGAAACCAGAAAUCCCUGAUACGAUGGUGAAUCGAAAGGAGAAAGACGUGAAUCCAAAGCACGAAAUGGUCGUGCUACAGCAGGCCAUAUGUGAGACGGCUGUGGUAGGGCAGGAUUUAGAGUUUGUGAAACGGCAUGUUAGGAAUGUGUGACAUGACAUGGUGGGAAUGUGUGACAUAGCUGUGACACGACAGGGUUUAGAGUUUGUGAUACGACAUGGUUGGAAUGUGUGACACGGCUAUGACACGUCAAGGUUUAGAGUUUGUGACACGCCAUGGAGGGAAUCUGUGUUACGCCAGCGUUUAGAGUUUGUGACACACCAUGGAAGAAAUCUGUGACACGUUAGAGUUGAAAGUUGGUGACACGCAAUGGAUGGAAUCUGUGACACGCCAACGUUUAGAGUUCGUGACACGCCAUUGAGGGAAUCUGUGACAUGCUGGCGUUCAGAGUUCGUCACAUGUGAUGGAGGGAAUCUGUGACACGCCAGCGUUCAGAGUUAGUGACAUGCCAUGGAGGGAAUCUAUGACACGUCAGCGUUUAGAGUUUGUGACACGCCUUGGAGGAAAUCUGUGACACGGUAGGGUUCAGAGUUUGUUAGACUCCAUGGAGAUCCGUGACAUGGUAGGGUUUAGAGUGGGUGACACAACAUGGUUUGAAAAAGGAAAAAAAGUUGGCAAAUAACGAGGAAACCGAUUGGACUUCAACUGAAUGAAUUAAAUAAAUGAAUAUUGAUAGAGGAAAUUGUGAGGCCAUUUCAUUUUAUUAAAUAUUUUCCAGAAAUCGCAAAUGUCUAUGUGAAGAGGUUCAUUCUUCAUUCCUUAUUCCCAAAGAUGCCAGAGUGUUCGACUUUCUUCUUUGCAAGCUUGACAACACUACAACAACAAUGUCUGUUAUCAGUGAAGAGGUUAGUCAGUCUGAAAAUAAAACUUUUAAAACUUUCUUCUGUUCAUUGAUUUUUUGCUAGGUUUGUGUGAUAUGUUUGUGUUUUUUUCAAUCUUUUUCAAUUGUUAUGUUUAAACUGUUAUCUUCCUGAUUUUAUGGUCGUACCAAAGUUUUGAACUACAACAGAUAUGGCGUGUAGUGGGUAAAUUGCUUUUUGGGGUUUUUAACAUGUCACGACAUUAGUUAUUUUAAGGCAGUUCGUGUAACGAGUUAGUAAUUACAUUGAUUGUUGUGUCACACGCCAUGGGUGUUUUAGGCCAGUUCGUGUAAGGACAUAGUAAUUAUAGUGAUUGGAGUGUCAGCGUUGGCAUGUUACAACAUUUGACUUAAUACGCAUGGCGUGUUACAACAUUUUACGUUAUAUGCAUGGCGUGUUACCACAUUUUACGUUAUGCAUGGCGUGUUACCACAUUUUACGUUAUACGCAUGGCGUGUUACAACAUUUUACGUUAUAUGCAUGGCGUGUUACCACAUUUUACGUUAUAUGCAUGGCGUGUUACCACAUUAUGGGUUAACUCACUCGUGCAUGUGUGCCAUAUUAUGGGUUAACUCACUCGUGCAUGUGUGCCAUGUUUUGUAGAUGCAGUCCAGACAGUAUGAGGAUCUUGACAAUUUGCUUAUUGUGUCGAGGGAGAAGUGGGCGUUCAAUGUCGCUAUUAACACCCAUUGUAAGUGGUCGCAACAGCAUUACAUCAACAAGACCCUCUAAGAGAAAGAGGAGUACGAUGCAAUGAAGCGUACGUGCUUCGGAAUGCUGCUGGACUUAUAUCCGCAAGGCUACUUCUCCAUUGGUCUCCUGCAUAACAUCAUGAUCUGUCGAAUCACUGUGACAGAUUCAAUGGAGCAUGAGCUAUGGUUUGCAAUUGGGAAAAGCAAGGCGAGCAUAUCAAAGUAGGAGUUCUGUGUUGUCACCGGACUGAAGUUUGGUCGAAUGCUGGAUGUGUUCACACAACCGUACAAGGUUGUUGUGGACGAAAUUUAUGUGCGAUACUGGAAUGGGCAGUAGAGCGUUAAGUUGCAGGCCUUGCUUGAUACAUUCUACGGAGGCAACUUUCAGCAAUCGGGAGACAUGACCAAGAUGGCACUCAUCUUGAUUAUGAAUAACAUUUUAAUUGGUCAAGACUUCCCUAGAUGGGUGACGCCUUGGCUUUUGUCAUUGGUGGACGACAUCGACACUUGGAAUGUCUUCCCAUGGGUUCACUAUGUUUGGAGGCUGACCUUGGACUACCUUUUGAAGGGGUUUGAAGUGGUUUCCUCAAACGUGUAUAAGGAUCAUUUACGGUACAACAUUUACAGAUUCGAAUAAGUGAUACAAGUAUUGUCACAUAAUAUUUUUCAUUCUCCUUUUGACAUAAUAAUUUAUGGUUGCAAUCGUUUAUCAUUUAUGGUUUGAUAAUGGUUACAUUUGACUUGCAAUUCUGGGCAAUUGAGGCAAUUUUGGCCUUGCGAAAGAUAGUUGGCCCCCCUGCUCCGAAGGAUGUCUACCCACGCAUGUGCAAAUGGCAAUGCAACCAAAAGCCAAAAGACUUUUACAAGGCAAUUGAGAUGUUGGAGUCAUCUUAGCAGGUGAGUGAACAACUAUUAAUUUCUGUUGUGAAUUUGUAUGAUAAUUUUCCCUAAAAUUUAAUCACAAUCCCUAUUUUGCAGUUGUGGGCAGUGGAGACCUUGGAGCCCACCCCGGAUGAGGCUAGCUAGGAUUAUUUUAUGGACAUUGAUGUCUUAUUAUCUGAGGGCCACUAAUACGUGCUAAUAGGGCACAUGGAGGAUCGGGCGGACUGGGGCUUAGGUGUAAGGGAAAAAAGGAGAAACUUGAAGCAAGAAAGAGCCACUGGCUCCAUGAAGUGAAGGUGCACCACUGCUGCUGUCGUUAAUGAGCUGUCGAUCCUCGAGUUGAUAGAGGAAGGUGAUAACCAUGGCAAUGGCAAUGAAGAGCCGGUAAGGACAAUUCUAAAGGUUUGUGUUCAACAAUUCCAUAUGUGAUUAUCAAAUAAUAUAUCUGUGUUUGUAGUUGGACCAUGCAACGACAGCUCCACAACCACCGAUAGGUCUUCUUUAUACUCAUAGUGCUAACGAGGAGUCGAUAAAGAUGGUUGUAACGGUUUGUGUUCAACAAUUCUAUAUGUGAUUAUCGAAUAACAUAUCUGUGUUUGCCGUUGGAUCAUGCGAUGACAGCUCCUCAACCACUGAGAGGUUUUCCUUUGAUGCACAGUGUUAAUGAGCCGUCGGUAAGAUCGGUUCUAACAAUUUGUGUUCAACAUUUCCACAUAUGUUUAUCGAGUAACACAUUAAUUUCUGUUACUGCAGUUGAGGGAGGCGACCAUAACUCCUUAACCACCAAUCGAUCUUGCUCAACUGUAAAGUGGUGAUGAGCCACCGGUAAAGAUAUUAAAGUUCUAACGAGUAAUGUUCAACAAUUCCAUAUAUGAUUAUUGAAUAGCAUAGUAAUAUAUGUUAUUGCAGUUAACCCAUUAAACAAAAAUCAAUGACGGAGUAGUCACGAAGCGUUAGCUGCGACAGAUUAUGCACCAGUAUAAAAAGACAUGUCAAAGUUGAAGGCUUCAAUUUAGUCAUUGACUCUGGCGAUGUAAACGUUUGAGGACCGUGUCAUUGCUCAGAUUCUAGACUACCUAAAAUCACAAGUACAUUAUUUUAUCUUCGCUCAUAUAUUGGUCAUUUACGUUUAGCAGGUGUAGUUUUAUUUUUUAUUCUCGGUUUGUGGUUUGUGGUAUUUUAUGAGUUAACAGAUUUUCUCAUUUGUCUCAUUUUGUAGGGCAGACCUUCAUCUCAUGGUGCUGGUGAGGACCACGAUGAUGCUGAUGAUGGGCACCAUGAUGAACAUGGUGUGCACAUUCAUGAUGACGUUGCUGGUGCUUACGGAGACCCUGUUCCUGAGGUUGAUCCGGUUAUCAAUGCGCCUGCGAGAGGGGAAAGGGACCUCCACUUAGUGAUGGUUGAAGGAGAGCAUAUUCCUCAGGCCGAUGCAUUAGUGGAGGCAGCAGCAAGAGGGGACCAUCUUCCUUAGAGCACUCUUGAAGUCAGCGGCUCACAAUUGUCGUCACUAGAGUCAUCUGAUGUCCAUCAUCGUGCAGCACAAAUUUCAAACCUAAUUGAGCGGGCACAGGUGAAAAUGACGGGCAAAUACACGGCAAGCCCAUACGUCAACCCCUCAAUGAGUCGUCGGGAUGUAAAGAACACAAUGGUUGAAGCAUACGAAGCUUUCAAGAAAGACGAGUGCACGAGGUAAGCUCAUAAAUAACAUUGCAAAUAUUGUUUUUUAAUGAAACAUUAACCCACCAAGGCUUUUUAAACUCAUUCUGUUACAUAUGCAGGUGUAACGUAGGGAUCCUAGGGGAUUAAGGGGCUAACUUUUUCACAACAUUAAAGGAUCCCAAAGAAAAAAUGACUAGUGAACAUAUAGAUGCAUGCCUCAAUGUACUUUGUAAGCAGAUGACAGAGCUAAAGUCAAAGUUGUACACGACCAAUGCAUGCGUGGUUGACACGAUAUUCUUCGUAAGUAUAUUUGAAAAAUUUUCAAUUUUGAAAAUACUAAGUUUUUGAUUGCAUUAAGUGUAAGCUAAUGUAUACAUGCUUCACAGGACACCAUCCAUAUGCUCCACACCUCAUUUCCAAUUGAAGAUGCCCGAUCGACUAUGAAAAUUCCAGAUGAGUUGCUAGCGUAUGUGGAGGGUAAGAAGCAAACAUACGACAAAAAAUAGGAAGAUGUCGAUUUCAUCCUCGCGCCUUGCAAUAUGUGUGGGCAUUGGGUGGUAGCGAAGAUCGACUUGGUGAGGUGGAUGAUCAAGGUGGUGGACUUCGCAAGAACUUCGGAUGCUUAGGACAACGAAGUGCGAGUGGCUCAGAUGACACCCCUUACGACAAUUAUGCCCAUCAUCUACCACCAAGCUAGUUAUUUCAAUAAAACAUGGUGGAAGACACAGUAUUUGAGGUCAACACCAUUGGAAAUUCAUUUUCCAAAAGCUAAAGUACAUUGGCAAUAUGAUAGUGUCAACUGCGGUAUGUUCAUGAUAGGGUACAUUGACGAUAUUUUACAAUCAGAAUCGAUCAGAGUUAAUCAAAAAAUGAUUGCAAAUUUGCAUAACCAAUACACUCUAUAAAUUUUUUCCAACAGUUGUGAGAGUGAACCCUAAACAUAUCGACCCUUUUCUGUACAUUUUUUGUAUAUACAAUAAAUUUUAUUAAUUUUAAUAUUCGUACAUUUUAUACAUUACUUUUUCUUUCUCAAUUCAAACACAAUGCCUUUAAAUCAAUAUUGUAACCAUUUGGCGUGUCACACAAUAGGGGCAUGACGUGUCACCCCUGAAAACUAGAACAAGUCAACGUGUCACGCCAAGUAUAUGGUUCCACUCAAUGUGUCACCACAAUUGGGAGUGUCGUGUCAUCCCACAAUAUAGCAAGAAGUCAGCGUGUCACUACAGAAAUCUGCAUGCACUCAGCAUGUCACGCCAACUAUCUACUUUCACUCAGCAUGUCACCACAAGAUGGGGCAUACCGUGUCACCCUAUAAUAUUGCAAGAAGUUAGUGUGUCACCACAGAAAUUUGCAUGCACUCAGCAUGUCACACCAACUAUUUGCUUCCACUCAAUGUGUCACCACAAGAUGGGGCGUGUUGUGUUAUCCCACAAUAUUGUAAAAAGUCAGCAUGUGACCACAGAAAUCUGCAUGCAGUCAGCGUGUCACGCCAACUAUCGGCUUCCACUCAGCAUGUCACCCCAAAAUAAUGCAAGAAGUCAGCGUGUCACCACAAAAAUCUGCAUGCAAUGAGCGUGUCAGCUUAGCAUAAUAUAUUUUUUAAGAAUUUUCGUCUUUAUAUUUCAAUUUUAUUUUUAAAAUGUUUUAAUUUAAUAAAUAUUAAUUAUGAUGAUUCAUAGAUGAAAUUUGAUUGGAUGAUCCAUAAAUUUUUUAAAUUUGUUUGGUCAAGUUAUGUGUUUUAAUCUUAAAUUUCAUAUCAUCUGUUUUUAAUUAGUACAAAUUUUCUCUUUCUAGACUUGCAUCCUUUGAAGUAAACUCCUUGGUGCAAUAUUAUUAUUAUUAUUAUUAUUAUUUUGUUAAGUGAUUGGCUUAAAGUUUUAUAUGGAGGUAUUAAUAAGAUAAAAUAAACGUUGUAAUUAAAAAAGUAUAAAAAUAAAUUGAAUAUGAGGAUUUAAAAAGCUACUAAAGUUAGAUGAAUUAAUUUUUUAUCUCUUAAGAGAUUUGAUUGUAAGAACAUAAAAGUUUAAAUCAAAUGAAAUAGAAAGAAAUUAAAUUAAAUCAUUAAUUGUUUAAUACAAGUUGUAAUAGAAUGUGAGAAAGGGGGUAACAGUAUAGGGACUUCACAAGUUUGUUCAAUGUUCAAAACUACGGACAAAAUGAAAUGAAUAAUCAAAUAAUAUAUCUAUAAAAUUAAUAAAAAAAAUAAAGACUUAUCUAUAAGAGGAAACUAAUAAACACAAAAUCCAAAUAUGAAUGAAUAUAAGAUAUUGCAAGAGCAAAUUGUGACAUAGGUAUUGCACAUGGGUUACACAUUUAGUUAGGCUGACAAGUUGUCUUCAUCCACAAGACACCCUACGUUUUUGAACAUUGCCCUUCGUAUUGGACAGUUGUUGCAUGUGUGAUCGAUUUGUCUGUAACUUGAACACGUUUUCGGCCGGCGCACUCGUGGAGGCACCGAUUAACUUGGAAAUGGUGCCGGAUUUGUGGAUGGAACUAUAAAUGGUGAUGGGCAAUUCUGUCUAUUAUGGAAGUACCUCUUGCAUUGUGAACAUCUUCGUGCUUGACUGCCUUUACCGGCGGAUGAAAUCCUUCUCCUCCGAGGUCUUCUCGCUUGGCCUCGCCAAGGUGGUGGCAAGACGACAAUUUAUUUAACAUGAGAGGGGAUGUCCCACUCACUAGGAUGCCUUACUGGGCGAAUAGACCCCGCAUAACCCUUCACCAAAACGGUUGUCUUGUAGUAGUCAGCGUAGAAUUCAAUGGCUUAACGUUUGCAUUGACUGAAAAAUACAAUGAACUCAAUGUUCAAGCACAAUGUAAAUACUAUGUCAAUUAGGGUUCAAAUAAGAAAUAAAGAUAUUCUGACCUUAUGGCUGCAACGGCAUGGCUGCAUGGCAGUAAAUCUAUUUAGAACUCACAACAUGAACAUGUCUUCAUGGAUAGGUUUACAAGUCCAUCCCUCUUCCCGUUUUUAACUUUGAACUCCACUCGAUUGAUAGGUUUAACCACAAAGCGAUGUACAUCAUUAAACCGUUUGCUCAAUUUGUUGGCAACCCAAGGGCCGAGGGGCAUAGUCACCUUGACGGCCUCUUUGUAUUUGUCAUGGAACCAACGUUGGAACAUGUCUCUGAUGAACUAGAUCAAAACAGUGAUUGGCAUUUGUCUUGCAUGCUUCAAGCAUGAGUUAACACAUUCCACAAUGUUGGAUGUCAUCAUUUGGUAUCGCCUUGCCGGUGAACAGGCACAUACCCAUCUCUUAGGGCCUAUUCUCAUAAGGUCAGCGUGGGCUCCCGCGUGAAUCUACUUGAGCUGGUUCAUAUGUUUGUUGAAAUCGAAAACCUUAUAGCAAUCUCGAGCAAGGAUGAAAAUCAUAGCAACGUCGUCGCGCUUGAACUUGUUUUCAAAGUUUUUCUUCAAGUGGUACUCGCAUAAACCAUGGUACGUUUCUGGGUAUGCAUUUUAGAUUACUUUCUUAAUGCCGAGAUGCUGAUCAGACAUGAACAUAGUGUUUUCAAGAUAACCAACUGCAUCACAUAACUUGCUAAGAAACCACGUCCAUCAGUCUUAGUCCUUAACAUGGCCGAUGCCAAAUGCAACUGGAUGUAUGCACUCAUUUGCAUCUUUGCAUACAUCGACAAACAGAACACCCUUGAACUUGCCUUUUAGAUGUGUCGCAUCAAUUGCAAUCGUAGGAUGCAUUACAUCCUUAAACCCUCGAAUACAAGCCCUGUAUGCCUAGAAACAAUAAUUGAAUCUUUCUGCAGCAUCAAUAGCCACUACAGUGACUGUGCUAGGAUUUUCUUGCUCCAACUAUAAAAAUACGAGGGUUGUAGUUGAAAUGACUCCUCCGGGGGACUGAAAACAAGUCUCUCCGCAUACUCGUUCACUUGCCAAGCCUUACUAUACAGGUAUUCCAAUCCCUACUAAACCCUCAUCUCACCAAUUAUGUUCUUAGGUCUUAAUGCUAUUCCAUUAGCUUGAAGCUUGAGUGACAUAAGUUCACCAAUUAUCUUCGCACUCGCGAUUAUAAAUUGCCCUUGCAAACAUUGACAGUAUACGUGUGUACUUUGUGAAACAUUCGAACUUACCAAUAUUUUCCUCCUUCAGGUAACUUCGUUGCACACACACUGAACUUGCAUGCCUUGUCCUUGCAACCAACAUCAUUAUGAGCUUUACAUGACUUUUUUACUCUUAUCCCAAACUGCUCUUUUAGAGCCAACAUGUUCAAAGCUCGUUUCAACUCGACCUUUGAGGAAAAUAUUUUUCCUUUAUAUAAGUGAUCAUCGACAUAUGUCGACUCCUCAAUUGUAAUUGUUUGGUAGGAGAAUCUUUCUGCACCUGGAAUUACCCAUGUACGAGAUAUCCCUGCAUUUCCCUUUUCCUAAAACUAUCAUGGAGCAAUGUACUAGGGGAACGAAUCCCGUUCUCAUCAACGAUGGGGUUAUUGUAUAUGGGGUCAUCACACUGAACAUCUCCUACAUCAACACCUGCAACAGGUUUCGUUUCGCCUUCAACAUUAUUGCAACUUAGAAUGUCACUGUCAUAAAGCCAGUCCUCUUCUGAACUCUCAUCAUGCCAUUCAUCAAGCCCAUCAUCCAAAUUGUCAUCAAAUUUAUCUUCACCGACAAGGAACAAAUCCUCAUUUUCCUCAUUAGAUGCAGCAUUAUCCUCGAGCGUCACAAUGUCACCCUUCAACGUCACAGUGUUGUCCUCAAGUGUCGCAUUCUCAUUUGAAAAUGCCAUUACACCCUGUACAGUUUCACCCGAUCAUUACAUUUAUUGGAUACAAGUAACUAAUUGGUUUGAUGCACAUCUUGAUCGGAAUUGUGCAGCCAACUAUUCUGUGAAUGUCGUGUGUCUAUCGGGCUACACAAACUCUUGUGCAUACGUCAAUUGCCAUUGUUAUGGGUUAUGGACCGAAUGCUGUGGUAUAUGUGAAGCAUUGUAUAUCUCAUUUUAAUUGAGCUGAUUACCAUGUUGUUCAGCUUCUUCAUGUGACAUAACAUUUGUUUGGCGUCCCUUAAUGCUGAUAUACACGGCUGAAACAUUCAUCUGUUCUAGCAGAAUUAAUGUAACAUCUUCAUCGUCCUUGAUAAUUGGCCAUGAUAGCUCUCCAGGUGUACUGAUCAAUGCAUGUAACUUAAUCUCAUCAAUUUCUAAGUUUCAACAACAUCUUCAACCAGCUUCAUCAAUCCCACAAAUGACAAAUCACUCUUAACCCCCUACAUUCGUGACUCACCACCCUUGUAAAUACUAUCCACUCACUGCCCACCGGGUCUUAUCAUAAGUCGCACAAUUGGAACCCCACUAAAUUUUGAAAAUAACAAUAAUUUGUCAAUCAUUUAACACAUUACAUAACAUGCCGUGUUCUAGAAUUUAUUAGUCAUGUUGUAACACGCCUUGCAUAUAAUGUAAAAUAUUGUAACACGCCAUGCAUAUAAUGUAAAAUGUUGUAACACGCCAUGCAGAUAACAUAAAAUGUUAUAACACGCCAUACAUAUAACGUAAAAUGUUGUAACACGCCAAUGCUGACACGCCAAUGACUAUAAUUACUGUGUCCUUACACGAAUUGGCCUAAAAUACGCAUGGUGUGUGACAUGCCAAUCAGUGUAAUUAAUGACUCAUUACACAAACUGUCCUAAAAUAACCAAUGUCGUGACACGCUAAAAUAACACUAACACAUGUUAUAGAUGCAUGGCGUGUAACAACUUUAGGCAAUGUCUCUAAUCCAUGUUCUAAUUUACACCAAAUGUUUCAAAUUUAAGUGUUGUAGCAAUAAACCCAAUAACAUACCUUGAUGUCAUCUCUGAUAUAGGGUCUGUUAAUCUACGACAAUAUGGCCAUAUGCUAAGAGAUAGACCAUAGCCCGAUGACGAUGGUGCUCAAUAGAGAGUUGACAGAGCUCAUAAAGUUUAGAGAGCUAAGAAAGCUGAUGACAAUGGUGCUUAAUAGAGAGUUGACAGAGUUGAGACAGUUUAAAGAGUUAAGAGAGAAAGAUGAGCGAGCUCAAACAGCUGAGCAUUUAUUUAUCUCUAUAUUCUCUCUAGUGGGAGGGAAAUAUCGGGACCUUAAUUUGAAACGAUGGUUUUUAGGGCAUUUUGGUCUACUCAUGCUUCUUUUUGGCUAGAAAUAGAUAACUUUAUAUGGGUGGUUAUUUCUGAAAUCACCUUAUCAAGAGGUCCAUUUCUCAUAAUUUCCUCUAAAUAAUAUUCCAAAUAUAGGGCUAGGAUUGUGUAGGAAAAGGAAGGGGAAGAAUAAAGAAAGUGGAACCAAAAAUUGAAGAAAGUGAGGAAGGAGUGGUAAAGUCUUCCCUAACUGAAAUGAUGUUGGGAAUUGUAAUAAGACCAUAAAAGCAGAGGCAAUAGAAUGUUGGAAGAUAGUGAUGCAGCGAGUUAGCGUGAAAACAAAGGCUUGCACUUGACAGAGCCUUUAAGAUUGAUAACCAAGUUUCAAACAAAAAAACUUACACUCAAAUUUUGAGAGAAAAUAGAAUAUUGUUCAAUAGUUCAAAGAAAAUAAGUUAAGUUGUCUUUUAAUUAAAUUUAAAGGUGCUAUUUAUAGUAGUUUAAUCCUACUUAACUUAAACUUGGAGUGCAAGUAAAGUAAAUUAAAAUAGGAAGCAUUAUACCUUAGACUUGGAGUACAAGGAAAAUAAUAUCCUAAACCUAUACUUACUUGUCGUCCAAGUAAAAUAAAAUAAAAGAAAAGUCUAUUAUACCUAUAUUUCCUAUGUAAGACUCUCAACUAAACAAGGAAAAUAUUAAAUUAUGAAUAUGCCCAUUUAUGACUUUUGGGCUUUCGUCUUGACUUUUGACGCCCAGCCUACUUUAAGAAAUUGUCUAUUAGAUGUUCUACGUUAGUCCCCUCCACUUGAAAAAAACUCGACCUCGAGUUAACUUGUAGAUCUGGAUAUAAAUGUUCAUCUGAUGGAUAAAAUGGGUAAAUAUCCAUCACAUUAGAUGUUUUGGAAAUUCCCAUUGUAUCUGGCAAAUCCACAGCAUAUUCAUUGUCAUUGUAUCUAGCACUAGGAAUCAAAUCAAUAUGGUGCUAAAAAUCUCUCAUGGAUGGUAAGCCAUCAGGAAAAUCUUCUAGCAUCACUUCACUGAAUUCUUCGAGUAACAGUUUAACUACUUCUAGAUGUUUUACUAUUUUCUGAUUUCUUGUUUUGGAAACAACAUCAUUCUUCUCACCACAUAGUUUUGGCCAUCGUCAUAAUCCUCAUACUCGUCAUCAUUCUUAUCUGGACCAUAGCAAAUCUCAUAAUCCCCUUCUUCUAGUUCCACCACAUGAAUUGCUUUUCUGAGAGGACAAUCACUAGAUAUGUGACCAGGUUGAUUGCAUUUGAAACUCUUUCCUAGGGUUGGUUGGACAUAAGGAUUUGCAGCUUUUUGCCCUUCCUUCGCAUUUAUUAAUUUAUACUUUCCAAUUGCUUUCUCCUUUCUGUACUGGCCAUUGUGUGCAGAACUAUCAUGAACUGAUUUAUUCUUAUCGUUGGAUGCUCUAUAAUUAUCCCCAUUGUAACUUUUGCCAAAAUAAUCAAAUCUGUUCUUUUCCUACAACAUCAGUUUAGCUUUUAAAGCAAUAUUUCGUGCUUUAGAUAAAUUUCGCAAUACUUGUACCCUUAUCUUUUCUCUGAUAAUUGGCUUCAACCUUUCAAGAUACCUAGUAACCUGUUGCCCUUCGGUAUCUCUCAAGUCAUUCCUUUUGGCCAGCCUCAGAAAUUCAGCAGUGUAGUCAUGUACAGUUUUUUGACCUUGAUUGCAUCUUUGGUAUUUCUAGAACAAAAUUUGCUCAUAAUCAUGGGGAAGAAAAUCCUUCUGUAACAGUUGCUUCAUCCUAUACUAGGUUCUAACUGGUGCUUUUCCUUCACGAUUCCUUCUAGACUGUAACCUUUCCCACCAUGUACAAGCUCCACCUUUUAAUCUACAAGUGACAAGUCUCACCUUUUUUCCUUCUGAAAUCUCCAUAUAUUCGAAAAACAUGUCCAAAAAUUCUUCAAUAUUUAAAUUCCCAUUAAAGCAACUAAUAUCCACCUUUAAUUUGAAAUCUCAGAUAUCUCGAUCAUCAUAAUCAUUCCUUUCAUAUUCAGUGUAUCUCAUAGGUUGUGCAACAUAAUCAUCUUGUUCAUCAAAAUCUUCCAUGUAGACUUGUUGUUUACGCCCAUUUGCAAGAACAGGUAGAUUUCAUGUUUUGAAACAUCAAACAAAGUUUUUAACUUAGGAAAAUUCAUAUUUUGAUGUACUAUGAUUUGAAAGGAAAAGAAAAAAGGACUUCAAAAUUGAUAUACUAUGAUGAUUUGCAAAAGUUUAGGGGAAAAAAGAGUUCAAUUGGACAAGUUUCCAAAGCUUAUUUUUUACAUACUAUAGAAAAUGUAUCGAUACAUGUCUUAGUCCCAAUUAAGUGCUAGAAAGGGGGAAUCUUUUACCUUAAAAAUUCUCAUUAAUUUCAAUCAAAUAACCUAUUUUGUACCAAAACUAUCGAUACAUUCUUAAAUGUAUCAAUACUUUCAUGCAUUUAUUGAUACAUUAGUAAAAUGUAUCACAUUUUGCAUAAAAAAGUUUCUUAAAGCAUUUUGUUUAGAAUGUAUCGAUAUUUUCAGCCUAGAACCCAAAUUUUUGGGCAAAAUCCUCCAUUUUUACCAUUUCUUAAAUUCCCUUACCUAUUAGGACUUUCUUUAAAGCUCAGUCUUCUUCACUUAGCACAUUUUCAUGCCAUCAUAGAGUACAAAUCAUGAACAAUGCUCAAACAACAUUAGUAUGGAACAUACCAUAAACAUAGUAAUUACGAUCAUUCCAUUAACAUUAAACUUAUACUUUAUGAUGGUACGUCCCGCAUCAGCCUUGGGCUAGCAAUGUACAGUCCCAUUUCUCCUUGGAUAUUUAUGAUGCAUCAUAGGAGUGAAGUCAUCACUUGUACCCUGUGAAAGUGGAAUUAAUUGCACUCAUAGAGUUCUCAUACUUGUAGUAUUAGGUAUGUGGAAUGUCCUUCACAUAGAAGCUUACUCAUCACAUAAGAUACAUGAAAAAUACAUCAUAUACAUAAUCUCAUGGCAUUCAUCAUGCUUUCUUAAUCAUCUCUUGCAGUAUAUGAAAUAUACAUCAUAUACAUAAUAUCAUGGCUUUUAUCAUGCAUACUUAAGCACCUCAUAUGGUAUAUAAAGUUUACAUCAUAUACACUAUCUUAUAGUAUACAUCAUGCAUACUGAAUCAUCUUAUAUGGUAUAUGGAAUUUACAUCAUAUACUUAAAUCUUAUGGCAUUCAUCAUACCAAACAUGCACAUCAUAGCAUCGAUAAAUACACAUAUAAUAUCUCAUAUCCACACUAGUAUGAAGAUCGAAGUAAUCGAGUGGACUUCAAACAUAAAGUGCUUAUCCCCCCUUGUUGAAAACUAAUACAUAAUAGAAUAUUUACAUACGUAGUAGAUUCAUAAACAUUUUAAAAACCACAGAGUCAAACAUAUCAAAAUCAUUAACAAUUUAUUUUCUUAGAAAAUUGUUUCAUUCUUGAGACUUAAAUCCUUUGGCAAACUAUUUUAGAGACAUCAUUUCAACAUACAUAAUUAAUCCUUUUUCAUAGAAAUCAUGCUAGCUUUACAUAUCAAAAUAAUUUGAAAGUGGUGUAUCAACUUACCUAGUUGGAGAUUCGAUUCCUAGCUCCAAUCACAAUUUCAUUCAGGCGAAAUCUAUGGAGUUUUCAAGUAUUCUUAUCUUACAACAAUCAUCACAAUCAUUUACAAGAAUAAAAAUCUCAUAAUAAUCAUUUAAGGUACUUUCAAAACUAUUUGCUUUUAGCUAAACUAAAUUUCUAGCUAAAACCCAUGAUUAGAAACUCAUAAAUUUUUCAUCCUUACCUUAGGUGAGCUUAGAUGCUUAAGAAAAUCAUAAAACCUUUAAACUUUAAUCAUCAACAGAAAAUUUAGGCAAUAAAACAACUAUUUAAGUUUUGGAAAUCCAAGAUCAAAGGAUUUAAAAGCUAAAGAUAUCAUCUUUUUCUAUAAAAACCCAAAACUAAGCUUUAGAAUCAUAAAAAUGGAGUUUUUAGUUAAAAAUGAGUUGAAAGAGCGUAAGAGUUGGGGUUCUACCUUGCAAAUGUGACUGAAGGUUGCCAACCUUCAAAAAAUGGGGUAUAUUUAAAAGCUAGGGUGUCAAAAUAUAUUUUCACCCCUUUUAUUUUUCUAAAAUCAACAAAAUGUAUCGAUAUCGUGGCCCAUGUAUCGAUACAUUUGGUUUUGGGAAAAAUGUAUUGAUACAUUAUGAACAUGUAUCGAUACAUGUUUAUCAAAAACCUUUUCUAGGCUAAAUGUAUCAAUACAUCACGAACAUGUAUCGGUACAUUUGAGACAGAAUGUAAUUUCUGAGGUAGAUUGCUUAUAGAAACCUACCCAGCUUAUUUGCAUUAAAUACUAUUUAAGUAAAUGGAAAGUAAAAAGUAUCUUAACUAAAUGGAGAGUAUAAAGUAAAUAGGACAUUUACUUAAAUGGUAUUUAAUGUAAAUACGCAAACAACCCCCCAUUUGGAUUCAAUAAAAAUAUAGAAAAAACAAAAUCCAAAAGAAUCAAAAUCUAAUUUUUGGUUCAAGAACAAAAUAAAAAAAGUUUGAUUGAAAUUAAUUUUGCAGUUCCCAUUUACCAUAUCAAAAGUACUCCAAAAAUAAUGAAAAAAAAUAAUUUUUGGUCAUCUAAAAAUUAAGGGAAUCAUUACCACUAAUUUUUAUUUGUAGAAGGUUGUUCUAUAAAAAUAACAUAUUUUAACCUUUUCCAGACAUAAAAAAUUUUUUGCUUUAAAAGUGACUGACAACCAAAAGUGUUAAUGAACUCUUUUGAAGGUUAAAACUACAUUUGAUGUUCAAAACAUGUAAUCUAUAUGCUUAUCUAAGGAUUUCCUAACUUAUCCUCUUACUUAUGGUGGGAUUUCAUAACUUGGUAUGAGAAUCUAGCAAAUUGCUUGGUCAAAAAUGACUUCAAUAGGGGGAAAGUUGAUGAAAACCCUUUUCAUCAAAAGCAAUGGAAAGGAUAUUUUAAUUGUGCAAAUAUAUGUUGAUGAUAUUGUUUUUUGGGCCAUUAAUAAAUCUCUAUGCCUAGAGUUUGCUAAGUUUAUGGAAGGAGAAUUUGAAAUGAGUACGAUGGGUGAACUUAACUAUUUUCUUGGUCUUCAAAUUAGACAAAGACAAAAUGACACAUACAUAAAUCAACCUAAAUAUACAAGAGACAUGUUUAAAAAGUUUGGAUUGAAUAGCUCAAGAUCAUAUGAAACUCCAAUUAGCAUGACAACUAAGCUUGAUAAAGAUAAGCAAGGUUAGACACUAACCUGAAGCUUUAUAGAUCAAUGAUUGGCUCAUUGCUAUAUUUGACUGCUAGAAAACCAGACAUUAGUUUUUGUGUAGGACUUUGUGCUAGAUUUUAGUCAUCACCUAAAUAGUCACCUGUAAAAGCUGUUAAAAAAAUAGUUAGAUAUUUGAGUGAUACACCAAAUCUAGGCAUAUGAUAUCCCAAAAGCUCAAGCUUUGAUCUUCAUGCCUAUUCAAAUGUUGAUUUUGGUGGCUGCAAGAUAGAUAAGAAAAGUACUUCAAGAACUUGUUAAUUUCUAGGAAAAAUGGUAGUGUCAUGGUUUUUUAAGAAAUAGAAUAGUGUAAAACAAUCAACAACUGGAGCUAAGUAUGUAGUUGUUGGUAGUUGUUGUGCAUAGAUUCUUUGGAUAAAACAACAAUUAGAAGACUGUGGAAUAGUUUUUAAAAAGAUUUCUAUAAAAUUUGAUCACACUAGUGCAAUAAAUUUGACUACAAAUCCUAUCCAUCAUUGUAGGACAAAACAUAUAGAAAAAAGACAUUUUUUUUAGGGAUCAUGUACAAAAAGAAAAUAUAGUUUUAGAAUAUGUUGGAACACAAGAUCAAUUAGCAGAUAUUUUUACCAAGCCUUUAGAUACAGAAAAAUUUUGUAGGAUUAAAUCUGAACUAGGACUGAUGAACAUGCAUUGAUAUUCAUUUCUUUAUAAUAUAUUCAAUAGUAUAUUGAUUUUUUAAAAAGUUCUUUUCACUUAAACUCUUGCUACUAAUGGUAUGUUUUCUUAAUGAGUUUUAUAUUUUAUACUUUAUUUUCUGUUCCUUUUUGAUAUAACAAAAAGGGGGAGAAUAUUGUGAGUAAAUUUUCCAAGUUUAACUUCUCUAAAUCUUAUGGCUAGAUUUUUCAAAAUGAUUUCAAAAUGCAUUCAAACUUAAAUAUGAAUCUUUUUGAAAAGAACACAAAUUCAAGGGUAGCUUUACUAGAGAAAAAUGUUUCCAAUCAUUUUACCUUUGUUUUGAAAUCUUUCGCAUAAUUUUGGGGGGUAUUCUUCAAUUAGCAAAUUUAACUCUUAAUUUUGUCUUACCAAAAAAAAAGAGAUUGUUAGCUUUAUGCUUGUUUUUAAAUAACAAAAUUGAUUGAACUAAAUAUGCUUUGAAAAUGAAUGAAAGAUAUUUUUGAAUAUGAAGAAAAUCCUCAUAAAUGUUUUGAAGCUAAUCUUAAAGAGGGAUAAAUUGAAUAUGCUUUGGAAAUGUUGAUGAACUUAAAAAUAUGCUCUUAAACAUGCUUAAGGAGUUUUGAAAGUUUAUGUGCAAGGAAACUAUUUUUUAAAGAACUCAACCUUAAAGUACCAGCCUAGUAAUCAAAUUCUCAAAUGUGAAGACUUGAUUCUUAAAUGAAAAGAAAGCAAAAUUUAUUUCUUUAUCAUAGGAAAUAUCAAUUUUGAAGAUAGGAGAAGUUAGUUCUUAAGUAGACGUAAACAGUGAAGAACUAAUUAUGAGAAAAAAAGAAGUCGGUUCUUAGAAGAUAGAAGUUUCAAGAUUUAUGAAGAAACGACACCUAAGAAAAAAAAAGAAUUCAUUCUAAAGGAACAUAACGUAGAAGGCAAAAAUGUGAAAAAGAAAGAAUCGAUACUACAUGGAGAAGAUAUCGGUUCUUAAAGCAACAAAAGUAAUAUUCAUAAACUUGGUGACCAAAAAAGAGAUGGUACUAUUAGAUAAGAUUGGAACACUAAAAAUUAAGCUCAAAUUCAAAUUUUGGUGCUAGACCACAUGAAGAAUAGACACCUUAUGGCAAAAAAAUCGAUUUCCUAAAAGUGCAAACAUGUCACCUUUAAACCUAGUUGUAGAAGAAUCGACAUCUCAAAAUAAAAGAAUCGAUUCUAUAAAGACACAAAUAUCCUUUCUUUAUGAAGAAUCAACAACUUAUUAUCAAAGAAUCGAUUUUCCAUGUGCCACAAAAAUGUGCUAGUUAACUAGAACGUACAAAAGCUUAUUCAAAUUUGACUCCAACAGGCAAGAAAUCAUAAGACUUAUAAAUAUCUACUUUGAGAACGUUAAAACAGAGAACUUGAUUGAUUUUGAAUCAUCUUUGAAAAGAAAAAAAGCACAAAAUAAUCAAAAGAGUUGUGAGCCAAAAAAUAUAUCUUCGAGCAUGAACGAAACCUAAAGAUCACAUUUUUAUCUUUUAACUGAUACGUUUUCAGCUUAUGCCUUACUUCAUCUUUCAUAACUUUUUAGAAAGCUCUCAUCCUUUUGAGCUUAUGAUAACCUUCUGCUCCCGUUCCUUAUUUGUCUUAAGUCGAGACUUGUUCAUGGUCUUUCGAAAGUUAAUCGACUAUCGAGUCGACCAUUUGGUCUCUUCCCUUAUCCAUCAUCCGUCGAGGUUCCAACACGUAUCUCAAGUCCUCCGAGAGCCCGUCGACCACUAGGGUGACCUUUUACAGCUGUCCCCUAUCUAUCGACCAUCAGGACUUUUGGCUUCAUCUUGAGACUCAAGAAUCCAUCGACCAUCGACACCCGUCCCCUAUUUGUUGCAAGUUAGGGAUCCAAGACCUACCACUUAUUCUUGAAGAGACCAUCGACUACUAGGCUGACCUUUUACUUUCAUCCCCAGUCUGUAGUUCGUUAAGGUGAGGGACACUGUUCGAGCCCUCUGAAAACCUAUCAAUCAUCAGACCAACCUACUACAGUCGUCACCUAUCUGUCGAUUGUCGGGGUUCUAGGACAUGUCCUAGGUUGGGGUUCUAGGACCAUUCCUUGGUAUUCUGGAAGCUUGUCGACCACCAAGCUGACUUUCUGCUGCCAUCCCCACAUUGUCAACCAUUGAGGUUUUGGGACCUAUGUUGGGUGCUUUGAGAGUACAUCAACCAUCAGCUCAACCUUUGGCUACCAUCCCUUGUUCGUCGUAAGUCGGUGCUUUGAGAGUCGUUUUAGGUCCUUCGUGUUGGUCCCAAAUAAAUGUGCUAGAGGGGGGGUGAAUAGCACAAUUUGGCUCUUUCAAAGAUUGACCUCUAAUUGGAGACAAAUGCACAAUAAACGAAAGAACUUAAAAGUGAAUAAAAACUAAAAACAAAACAGACAAACACACAACUAUUUAUAAUGGCUCGGUCCAAGACCUACAUCCACUACCUUGAUUGUUCAACCAAGGAUUUUCCAAUCAAUCCACUAAGAACGGUGAAAUUCACAGGCUUUCACCAAGCUUUACAAUGGCUUUUAGCAGGCUUAGCCAAAACGUUUAACAAUAAUUUUUCUCGGGCUCAACUAUAACCCAACACCUAACUUUUCAAGGCUAAGUUAGAACCUUAACACAAUCAAACAAUCCUAGCUUGAAACAAACACUUAGAGUGACUCGCUCACUCUAAGAAUACAAAGAGAGAAGUAAAAAGGGUGUACCAAUGAUCACAAGAUUGAUCUAAGUGGUAAAAAUGAAGUGCAGAUCACGAUUGCAAAGGAUAAGAGUUAAGUGCAGUAAAAUAAGCAGCAAGUUUUCUCUAAUUUUUUUUAGCUCUUUUUGAGUUCUUGAAAGCCUUCAAAAUUACAUUUCUAGUUGUUAGAACCCUCUUUUAUACUUGGAAAAACAACUAUGAUGGCAGUUAGAUAGUUUUCUAGUCGUUGGAAGCAGUUAGGAGUUGGUUCUAGUCGUUAAACUGUCUUUUAGUGCAGAAUUCAAAUUUGCAGGCAGAAUGCUCUUGGUCAACUAAUCGAUAUCUUAGUUGACUAAGUCGUCUCUAUCUUCUGUUCCCAGUUUCUGGCAGUUCUGGUAGUCUACACUUAGUCGACUAACUCAUUCCUUGAUCGACUAAGUUGGUUCUAUUUCUCAACACUCUUCAGCCCACCAACCCUUGAUUUAAAUCUUAGUUGACUAACUCUUCAUUAAUCAACUAAGGGACUUUUGCCUUGCUAUUCAAUUGUGACUUCCUUAUUCCUAUGCUCUUUGACAUGUGCAUUUUAAUGAUAAAUUAUUUGUUUGCAUAUAAUUUUGUCCUGCACACUUAAGUAAAAAUAUUAGACACAAAUGAAAUGGGAAUGUUUUAUUAUCAUCAAAAACUAAUGGAGCCAACACUUUGGGAACUUGUCGACCACCUGGCUAACCUUAUACUCUCAUCCUAUUUUUGUAGUCCAUCAAGGCUCCGGGGCACUUCUCGUGUCCUUGAGAACUCAUUGACCUCAAGGUCGACUUUCUACACUUGUCUUUUUUUCUUUGACUGUUGAGGCUUUGAUACCAAUCCCAAGUCCUCUAAGAGUCUGUCGACCACCGAGCCGACCUUUGGUUCCCUUAUUCUAUCUAUUGUAAGUCGGGGCUCCGAGACUCGUCUAGGUUUCUCUAAGAUCUAGUCGAUCACUUCGUUAACUUUCUACACUGUCCCCCUUUCGUGGUCCAUUGUUGUUAGGGCUCUAAGACCCUUUUUGAGUCUUUCAAGAACCAAUCAAUCACUAGGCCAACUUGCUACACCUGUCCUAAUUUUGUGAUUCGUUAGGGCUUUAAGACUUGUCCUACGUCUUUUAAGAGCCCAUCGAGCACUUAGCUGACCUUAUACUCCUGUCACCUAUCCAUUGAUCGCCAAAGCAAUAGGACCCUUAUGAGGUCUUUUUAGAGCCCAUCGACCACCGGGUUGACCUUUUACUCUCGACCUUUGUCCAUUGACUAUCAAGUCUCCAAAAUUUAUCUUAGUUCUUCAGGAGCCUAUCAACCACAAGGUUAACUUUCUCCUUUUGUCCCUUUUUCGUCUUUCGUCAGGGCUUUAAGACCUUUCCUUAGGUUAUUUAAUAGCCCGUCGACCAUUGGGCCAAGUUUUUGCUCCUGUCCUCUCUUUGUCUUAAGUUGAGGCUCUAGGACCCAUCCAAUGUCUUGCAAGAGCCCAUUGACCACUAGGCCAACCUUUUACUUUUGUCCCCUAUCCAUCGUCCUUUGGGGCUUUAGGACCAGUCUGGUACUAUCAACCACUAGCCUAACCUUUGGCUCUCGUUCCCUAUCUAACGUAAGUUUGGGCUCUAGGACUUAUCCCAAGUACUCCAAUAGUUGGUCGACUUUCUAUUCCUAUCUUUUUUUUGUAGUCCAUCAGGGCUCUUCGACUCUUCCCGAUUCCUCAAGGAACCCAUCUACCAAUGGGCCAACCUUGUGCUUCUAUCCUUGGUUCGUCGAUCAUCUGGGUUAAGGAACCUGUCUUGGGUCUUUUCGGGAACCCGUCGACCACAAAAUCAACUUUUGUCUUUCAUCCCUUGUUUGCCAUCUAUAGACGAUUCAAGACUAGUCUCGAGUCCUCUGAGAGCUUGUCAACCACUAGUUGACCUUCUGCUCCCCUCUCAUGUUUGUCGACAAUUGAGACAUCGGGACACGUCUUAAUCUUUUGAAAACUCGUCUACCACCGGGCCAGCCUACCCCAAUCCACUUUUCAUCAUUGGUCAAGCCUCUUUGACCAGUCAACCACUAGGCAAACUUUGUCAGGUCCUUUGAGAGCUUGUUGACCAAUGAGCUAACCUACUACUGUUGUUCCUUGUUCGUUGAUUGUUAAGUUUUUAAGACAUGUCAUAGGUUCUCUAAAAAUUCAUCGACCAUCAAGUUGACCUUUUGUAUCUAUCAUUUUUCUAUCUUAAGUCUAGAGUUCAAGACCUUUCCCAAGUUUUCUGAGAGCCUAAUGAGCACCGGAUCAACCUUUUACUAUUGUCCCUUGUCCAUCGAUAGUAGGGGCUCUAAGUCUCAUCUCGAAAACUUCGGGAGUCCAUUAACAACGAGCUUGACCUACGGCUCGUGUCCCUUAUCUAUCAUAAGUCAGUAUUAUAGGACCUGUCUCAAAUGCUUCGAUAAUCUACCCAUCACUAGGCUUACCUUCUAUUUUUGUCCCAUGUUAGUAGUCUGUUGGGUCUCAAGGCCCUUUCUUGUGUCCCUCGGGAGCCCGUCAACCCUUGACUUAACCUUUUGUACCUAUCUCUUUUCCGUUGAUGAUGGAGGCUUUGUGUCUCAUCCCAAAUCUUUUAAGAGUUCAUCCACCAUAGGGCCCACCUUCAGCCCUCAUCCUCUAUCUAUCAAAAGUUAGGGCUAUGAAACCUGUCCUAGGUCCUUUGAGAGUUAGUCGACCACUGAGCCAACCUUCUACCCCAGUCCACUCUCCGUUGUCUACAAGGGCUCUAGUACCCUUCUUGGGUCCUCCGUGACUCCUUCAACCAUCGAUUGACACUCUGCUCCCAUCCCUUGUUUGUCAUCCGUCGGGGCUUUAGGACUAGUCUCUAGUCCUUUGGGUGUUUGUUGACCACAAGGCCGACCCUUUACUGUUGUCUCUCGUCUGUUAUGAAUCAAGGCUACGAGACUUGUCUCGUGUCUUUCUGUGAAACCUUGACCUCCAUAGAUACUUAACUAGAAGUAGAUGAGAUAACACGGACUAGGGGUAAUUUUAUCAUUUUCCUUGGUGAGCUUUUAGAAAUGGGUUUUCUAAUAUUAUUAAGGCCUAAAUAGGCCUAAGGAAUAAAUGAAUGAUGCAUACAAUAAUGAGAUAAGUGAAGAAAAUAGAAAUAACGAUAAUUUCCAUGAUUAAGGUAAAAUGGUCAUUUUGGGUCUCGAGUCUAAAAUUUUAAGUUUUCAUGAACUUGAGUACCUCUAAUUUAUUAUGGACUUUUUCUUAGUGUCAGAAGAGUAAAAAGUUUGAAACAAGUGGAAGAAGAAGAAGGCAGAGUCAACUAUUGAAUGUCAUUUUUAUAAAUAAAAGGAACUUUAGUUAACUAUAAGAUAAAUAUGAAAAAUUUCCAGUAGCUUCUUCUUUUUCUUCCCAUCUCUUCUCUCCAAUUCACGUUCUUUAUCUUCCAUGGAAGCCUCCUUAAAAACCUCCAUGACUUUCUCACGUUAAACCCCAAUUUUCAUACUUUUGUGUACCUUUUCAUAAAGUCUUUUGUGCUCUUUUACUCUUCCACCUUAAAACCCUUAAAAUCUUACCUUAACACUUUUCUCACUAGCUAGGUGUUUUAGAGAGAGAAAGAGAUACUUUUUAUAAUAGCUUGAGAAAUUUUGAAAAGGAAUUCAAUUGCAAAUCUACCAAGUUGAGUAAUGAAAUUGAGCUGAUUUUUGAGUUGUUGAGAAUGGCUAGUGGCUAGAUUUGUGAGUGUUUUGUAGUUGAGGUUGUUUUUCCAUCUUUAGUAUGACUAGAAUAGUGAGAAUAAAUAGCCAUUUAAUGGUAAUUGGAAGCUAGUUAAGAAUAACUAGUAGAACAUGAUUUAGGAGAUAGCCUUAAGAAUAUAUAGUUAUGUUAAUUGAGUUGAUUAUGAUGUUAUUGUGUGUGAUAGGUUCCAACGAGGCCUCACACCUCCACAAGGAGAAUUAGUCUAAGUUGGAGUCGAUCCACAAGCAUUAAUAAAGACAUGUGAGUGAACUUGCAUUAAUAAUGUUUUGGAAUAAAUGAUUAUGUGCUUGAUUGAAUCGCUUGAAAUACUUUAUUGGUUUUUCUUUAAAAUUGCAUGGGAACAAGCGCUUGAUGAAACGUUGUAUGUUAUGAAUGUGUAAUAUGAUGAAUCCUUGUGCUUUUAUAUUAUGUGCAUAUAUAUAUGUUGUGUAUGGAUAGUUAAUAUUGUGUAAUAAUUAUAACCGUGCAUGUACGGUGUGGGAGUGCACAUGCCAGUGAUGACGAGGAGUGGGAGUGUGAAUGAUGAUAUUACCUGUGCACAAUGUGGGGGAGCACAGAAUGGCAUUAACUGUGCGCGAUGUGGGGGAGCACACGAUGGCAUUAGCUGUGUGUGAUGUGGGGGUGAACACGAUGGCAUUAGCUAUGCGUGGUGUGGGAGUGCAAAUGAGCUGGGUGAGGCAGUGGUGGUAUAUGUGUUUAUAUAUGUACAUAUAUAUUUGCUAUAUAGAGAGGUUUAGAAUUAAUAUGUAUUUGCAUUGAAUAUUGAAUGUUGAAAUUGUUAAAUGCUUCCAAAUUGAAUUGCAUUGUAGAAAAACUAGAUUUUUAUUGUGACAAAAAUUCUUCUAACUUAAUUGCCCUGUUUCUUGCUGAAGCGAAAUUCAUUCUCGCUAUAGCGAGAAACUCUCGGGUGCUAGAGAAUUUCAUGGCUUGGUUUUUCGCUGCAGCGAAAAUGCAUUCUCGUUACAUCGAGAAACUCUCCGGUGGUUGGGUAAAAAUGCUGCCUAAAUUUUCACUGCAGUGAAAAUGGAUUCUUGCUGCAACGAGAAACUCUUGGGUUGUUGGUUCAAGAUUUUGCCCUGAAGCUACAGUGAGAAUGAAUUUUCGCUGCAAUGAGAUUCAUUCUACUAUGCUUGCCUUGCUUGAACUCUACUGUACUUUUACUCUUUAACUUCUUUAUUGAUCAUGGAUUUUUCAAUAUUAAGGCACUAAAUGAUCAAGAGUUGAAUUAAGGGGUUUUAAUAAGAAAUUGAGCUAAAUUGCAGUGUUUUCAACAUAAGUGCAUCAUGUUUUCUAAAACUUCUCGUAUUAAUGCUUGUUCCCUUCUUAUGUUCACUCACUGAGUUUAUACUCACCCUUUUUCAACUUCAUGUUUUUUAGAUCCGAAGAUAGUUGGAACCUAGAGUGAGGGGUCCAUGUAUAUUUGCCCUUUUGGUAGGUACCACAACAUUCAGUAGCUGCACCUUCACCUAAGGUCACUCCGCUGGAAGUCGAGAGUCUUUUGCCUGUGUAAAUGUACACGUGAUGUAAAUCACUAAGAUACAUGUUACAAACAGUGUGUGUGCAUUCUAAUUAAUGUUGCCACUAUGAGUCGACUAUAGUUGACAUCAUUUUGGGUUAAUAUAAAUGCAAGUAUUUGGUUGUCAUAGCACAUUACUAAAGUACUUAUAGUUGUGAAUUAAGAAAUGUAACUUUAGAAAUUGUUUGAUGGAAUGGUGAACAAGUUGCAUAAGAGGCUUGCUUGGGUUGGGUGGGUUAUGCCCAUUUGGCCCAUGCACCGGUCAUGGCCCGAAAAUUAGGCAUGACACUUUUAGGUGAUCGUAGAUGUCACGACCCGAAACCUCCCUCGGGCCCAAGACAACUGCUGCGACGUCUCGAUUGACACUCAUUACUCGGAAUGCCAACCGGAACCCCGCAAGGCUUACAUAUCAGUUUCUUUCCUUUCCUGUGAGCAAUCAUUGUUAAACAUUCCAUUUAAAACAAUUACCCAUCGUUUCCGGCUCAAAUAAAUCCAAAGAAAUUUUUUUAAAAAAGAUUUAUAGACAAAUAUCACUAUUCAAAAUAUUGAUUAAAAUAUAGCAUUUUUUAUAUAAAACAAUAUUUAUAGAAACACGUGUACGAAAUCUUUUGUAAUGUGUAAGUAAAAUAAAUUCAUACAUACAAAAAUUUACUAAGUUAUAAUGUACAAUAAUGGUUACAAUGACAAGUGGGCCAAAAUACACCCAGUGUUGGUGCUAGAAACCUACUGUUUGUGUGAUAGAGAUGUCAACUGGAAUCCUCGACAAAAUAGGGUAUCUACAAGCUACCACAGACCUNNNNNNNNNNNNNNNNNNNNNNNNNNNNNNNNNNNNNNNNNNNNNNNNNNNNNNNNNNNNNNNNNNNNNNNNNNNNNNNNNNNNNNNNNNNNNNNNNNNNNNNNNNNNNNNNNNNNNNNNNNNNNNNNNNNNNNNNNNNNNNNNNNNNNNNNNNNNNNNNNNNNNNNNNNNNNNNNNNNNNNNNNNNNNNNNNNNNNNNNNNNNNNNNNNNNNNNNNNNNNNNNNNNNNNNNNNNNNNNNNNNNNNNNNNNNNNNNNNNNNNNNNNNNNNNNNNNNNNNNNNNNNNNNNNNNNNNNNNNNNNNNNNNNNNNNNNNNNNNNNNNNNNNNNNNNNNNNNNNNNNNNNNNNNNNNNNNNNNNNNNNNNNNNNNNNNNNNNNNNNNNNNNNNNNNNNNNNNNNNNNNNNNNNNNNNNNNNNNNNNNNNNNNNNNNNNNNNNNNNNNNNNNNNNNNNNNNNNNNNNNNNNNNNNNNNNNNNNNNNNNNNNNNNNNNNNNNNNNNNNNNNNNNNNNNNNNNNNNNNNNNNNNNNNNNNNNNNNNNNNNNNNNNNNNNNNNNNNNNNNNNNNNNNNNNNNNNNNNNNNNNNNNNNNNNNNNNNNNNNNNNNNNNNNNNNNNNNNNNNNNNNNNNNNNNNNNNNNNNNNNNNNNNNNNNNNNNNNNNNNNNNNNNNNNNNNNNNNNNNNNNNNNNNNNNNNNNNNNNNNNNNNNNNNNNNNNNNNNNNNNNNNNNNNNNNNNNNNNNNNNNNNNNNNNNNNNNNNNNNNNNNNNNNNNNNNNNNNNNNNNNNNNNNNNNNNNNNNNNNNNNNNNNNNNNNNNNNNNNNNNNNNNNNNNNNNNNNNNNNNNNNNNNNNNNNNNNNNNNNNNNNNNNNNNNNNNNNNNNNNNNNNNNNNNNNNNNNNNNNNNNNNNNNNNNNNNNNNNNNNNNNNNNNNNNNNNNNNNNNNNNNNNNNNNNNNNNNNNNNNNNNNNNNNNNNNNNNNNNNNNNNNNNNNNNNNNNNNNNNNNNNNNNNNNNNNNNNNNNNNNNNNNNNNNNNNNNNNNNNNNNNNNNNNNNNNNNNNNNNNNNNNNNNNNNNNNNNNNNNNNNNNNNNNNNNNNNNNNNNNNNNNNNNNNNNNNNNNNNNGGCCAAAAAUGGGACAUUAACUCGGUAAAUUUUCUACUUUGUUUUUCUAUCACAUUUAACCAUUUUUCAUCAUUUUCUCUUCAUUUCUCUUAAAAUAAAAAUCAGAUUAUCAUCAUUUUACCUCAUUGCAGAUUCGGCCAAGGGUGGGUAUUGUGAAAAUUUAAUGCUUUUUUUUGCCCAAUUUAAUUUCUAAACACAUUUAACUAACUAAAACUAUCAAUUUAACUAAAAAUCAAAACCUAAAAAUUUCAAUUUCUCCCCCCUUGAAAUUCAUCCAACCCUUGACAACUUUUAGAUCUCUCUCCUCAAGCAUGCUAAAUGGAAACAAAGGCAUAGGAAAGGUAGAAAUCAAGCUAAAGUCGAAAAAUCUUAUCGUUAGACGCGUAAAGGGGUAAAAAACGCAAAUUCCCCUUUGAAUUUUCUUGUUUCCCUUUGUUUUCUUUGUUUUCUUCCUUUCCUCUCUAUUUCCUCUCUUGUUCUUCCUUAUGGCCAGCCAUCACUUAAAAUGGGUUUAAAUGGGCUGACUUUUCAUUAAAAUAAUAUUAAACCAUUAAAAAAAUGCCAUGUGUCACUUUCCCAUUGGUCCGUUUUUAAAAUUUCAUCCAUUUGUUUCCAAAUUUUUACCAUACACUUGUCCCACAUAUCCAUAGCUUAGAUCAAAUUCUCAGACUUAUCUAAAGUCUUGGUGGAGUAAUUUUUGAAAUUUACACUUUUGCCCCCGUAAAAGUCAAAAAUUACAUUUUUACCUCAAAAACUGAAAAAUUGCCCAUAGACAUAUUUUUUAUCCCUUAUACUGAUACCAUUCUCCAAUUUGUCAAAUGUGAUCUAAAUUCUCUCAAAAUCUCAAAUUUUGUUCAUGGGUGGAAAUAUUACGAUUUCGCCCCUAAACAUCAAAAUUUUUCAAUUUUUCUCUAAAUGAACCUUCGAACUCCGAACAAUCAUUUUUAGUCAUACCUUGACUAUAAAAUAUUAAAUUUCAUCCUACGAUUCCUAUUUGAACUAGUUCGAGGUUAAAUCAAUUCAAGUGUACCGUUAGGUACAAUACCGGGUUUCGUCUAUUCUUAGGGACUUUCUUAGCAUAAUAACAUGCUACUUAGUGCAUGUAUGUUAUGACAUGUAUUUAUAGGGUCGGGUUUUACAGUAGACCAGUGAGCCAACUUUAUACUCUCAUCCCCUCUUUGUCGUCCAUCGAGCCUCCAAGACCUUACUCAGGUCCUCUAAAAGCUCAUUAACCACAAAGCCUACCUUCUUUUCUUGUCCCCAAUUCGUCAUCAGUUGAGGCUCCAAAAUCAAUUUCGAUUUUUUUAGGAGCUCGCUAACCACCAGGCUGACCUUCUACACCCUUCCUCUAUUUAUAGUCUAUUGCGGCUCCAAGCCCGCCGUAGCUAGUUGAUCACCAAGCCUACCUUCUUCAGCCCCCUCUUCGUUUUCCAUUGAGGCUCGGACACCCUUCUUGGGUCUGCCAAGAGCCUAACGAUAAUCAAGCCAACCUUUUGCUCUCGUCCCCUUUCCAUCAUCAAUCGGGACUCCGAGACCCAUCUUGGGUCAUCCGGGACUCUUUGAGCACUUGAUCGACUUUCUACUCCAUCCCCUAUCCGUAGUCCGUUGAGGCUCCCAAAACUUUUUAGGGUAUUUUAGGAGCCGGUUGACCACCGGGCUGACCUUCUACUCUCGUCCCAUGUCCGUAGUCUGUUAAGGCUACAAGACCAUUCUUGUGUUCUUCGGAAGCUUGUCAACCUAUGCACCCAUCCCUUGUCUGUUGACCAUCGAAGCUUGAAGACCCUUCCCAAGUCCUCCGAGAGUUCGUAAGCCAUUAGGCCAACCUUCUACUUUCAUCCUUUAUCCAUCAUAAGUCGAGGCUCCUGUGUUAUGAAGGUUAUGCCUGAUCAUGUUAAAAGGCAUGUUGUCAAGGUUACACAUGACCCUGUGGAAAAGACAAGUUGAUAAUGGAUGUAAACUCAUUGUGCUAUCAAGGGAAAGGAUGUAGGCAUUGGAAGGUUGAACUUUUAUAAAAAUUUAGCCAAGUACUUUUACUUUUCUACACUAUGCUUACUUAGUUCAUACUCUGUUUUUGGUUUAUUUCUGUUGCAUUUUCAAAGAUCUUUUAAAAAGGGGGAACUUUUAGUUUAUAUCCAAUUCACCCCCUUUUAUUUACUUUACUUUAAGCUUAUCUUCCUAACAACAUCUUUUUUCCUAGAACAGCCUAGAGACAUUGAAUCUUUUUGAUAAGGAAAUAGUUAUUGGAGUAGUGAUAGCGAAAGUGAUAAGAUGGAUGGUAGACCACCCAAACAGCAGACUUCAGGGCAAGAUUGUUAGUCUACUCCCUUAUGUCCUUCUUGUAACAAGAGGCAUUGAGGUCAUUGUCGUAUGGAGACCUUAUCUUGUUAUACUUAUGGUUUGACUGGUGUUGUCAAUUUUGCACACGCAAGUAUACAUAUUGAACAAGUAACAUAUAUAGUAAGUCCAGGUUAUCGUUCCCACAAGGAUUUGUUUCUCAAGUUUCACUAAGUACUAAAAUUAUAUAACAAAUUAAUCUUAUUUAAGUAAACUAAAAAUUGAAAAACUUAUUAAAAGCAAAAUAUAACCUACAGAAAUUAAAUAUAUUGACAAAGCAAUAUAUUAAAAACCUAGGAUUAUGUGUUUAUUCAACACUUCAUCUGAUACUAGCUUUUCUUGUUAUUUAUCUUUCUUGGGUAAUUUUACUAACAUAGAAUCCAAAGCUAUGAACAAGUCUCUGUCGAGAUACUUGCACAAAUACCAAACUUAAUUAGUUCACUAUAUAUAUAAAAGAAUCAAUUAACUUAAGUUCAUUAAGCAAGUUUCCUAAUUUAGCUAUGUAUGGUAAAUGGCGUACGUCUACUCGAAUCGUGAAUCAAAUCACUUAAGUGACAUGAACAUCAUUAUACAAAUCUUAGUCCAACCUAAAAUCUCUCUGUCGAGUUUUAAUUAGAUUCAUAGAUCAAUUAAUUGUUGAUUAGACAAUUAAAGGCAUUAAUAACAUAUUUGAAUAAGUAAAAUGGUAUCCAUUCAUGAUAAAUAACAAAAAAACAAGAUAUUAGGCUACAUGUUGAAAUCCACCAUAAUCCUAGAUAAGCAAAUUAGUUCAUAAUAUCUAAAUAAAACACUAUCCAAAGAAAUUUAGCCAUGAAUUCAAAACAAAAAAAUAAGAAUAAUACAAAAGGAGAGAAAUAAACUAGUGUCAAAGCCUAGUUGAUUGUGAAUCUCUCUCAAUUGCUCUUGAAUUCUUACUUGAUUCAUAGCUCCAUUCUCUAGAAAAGUUGCAACCAUCUCCUCCUCUGAAUACUUUAAAAAAGCCUCUUAAAUAUGUGGAAGAUGCCCUACAUUCCAAUUUUCUAUCGAGCGUUUAUUUUUAGAAAUCAAGGUGUUGUUGCGGCCUUGACUUCUUUGCCUCAUGGUGCCGUGACAAGCCUUGGUAGAGCAGCGGUGCUCCUUUUCUAGCACUGUGAUAAUCUGCUUUCGAGCUUUUGUAUAGUACACCCCUCCAACUCAAUGUUGUAGCCAUGAUCCUCCCAGCGCUACAACGGUAGUUCCUUUAGUGUCGUAGCCAUGAGUAACUCAAAGCCAUGACCUCAAUCACCAUGUUGCACACACCAUUUCUAUAGGGGCAUGUCAAGCUCAAUUAACACAGUGCACUUACCUUCGUGCACAUAAACAUUGGUUUACACUUUCCUCGAUACUUAAAUUUAUAAACCUCAAGCUAGUCAUAACAAUCACUAUUCAUUCCAGUCAUAAUACAGCUCUUAUUACCAUUAUCGUACGUCCUCCCUAUAUUGACCUCAAAUACAAUCCAUAGUCUCCAAAAUUUUAAUUUUUUUUUAUAACCAUGGGUUCAAAUCAUAAUUCCACCAAAUGAAUAACUAUUAUGGACCUAACAGUCCAGCUCCACCUUCCUCUAUCCUUAGUCGGAAGAAUAUAUCAUUAUAUUGACCUUUCAUUAGGAGCAUUUGCUUAAAAAUAUUUCCAAUAAUGGUUUGUGUCUUAGGUGGCAUCUCAAACCCAAGCAACGAUACCAUUUAUGCCCUUUACAUGACGAUAGCAAAAAGGUAGGUUACAGGAAUAGGAGUUCAUAUAGCUUCUUGUCUAUGACUUGUGCUGCAGUCACAAACCAUAGAUAGGACUCUACAUUAACUCUGACAACUCCGCUGACUGACACGAGAAUCCCUAGGACUCGACUAAACCUAGGGCUCUGAUACCAACUCUGUCACAACCCAAAUUCCCAGGCCAUGAUCAGUGCAUGGGCCCAAUAGGCAUAGCCCACUAAGCCCAAGCAAGCCUCUUUAUGCAAUUUCGAUUAUCAUUCCCAUCCAUCAUCUUUAAAAUGAAGUGCUGUAACUCUCAAAAGUAAAUGUUCCAAUAAUAUUUUAUAACAACUGAAUAUUCACAUUUAUAUUACAUCAAAGUACUGUCAUUAUCAUUCCAAGAUAUACAUACUUCAUUUAUAACAUGACUCUUAGUAGUUUACAUAACAUAUACAUGUUCACAAGUAAUAGACUCGAGACCGUCAACGGAGUGACUUAGGGUGAAGAUACAGCUACUGAGAUGCCAUAGUACCUACCACGAAGACAAGCAUAUGUGUGCAACUCAAUCUAGGUCCCAAAUGCCUCCAAAUCUAAAAACAUGAAUUUUAAAAACGUGAGUACGAAACUCAGUGAGUGAACAUAAGAAGGGAACAAGCAAUCAAUAGGAAGAAUUUGGAAAUCAUGAUGCACUUGUUUCAAAAACAAUGUAAUUGAUUUAAUUUCUUACUAGAAACCCCUCAUUUAAAACUUUGAUCAAUAACUUCAUAAUGUUGCAAAAACCCAUGAUCAAUCCAUGAAGUUAAAUGGGUGAAAAUAUGUCAAAAACCGAAUAGGGUAGCAUGCAGGACAGAAUGUUUCUCGCUGUAGUAAGAAACAGUAUCAGUUUGCAUGUAUUUCAGUUUUUCUAACAUAUCUUCAACUAAAAAAGUCCAAUUGACCUGAUUUUUAGACCAUUAGAAAGCUAAGAGGCAGGGUUACACCUUUUCUGUUUACCACUUUUCCCAGUUCGGAAGGGAAUGUGGUCAAAAUCUUCAUCAAAGUUCUCGCUACUCGCUGCAGCGAUAAUGCAUUCUUGCUGUAGUGAGAUUCAAGGCAGAUGGCAAUUAAAGGAUUUUAACAUGCCACAAAAUCCAUCCCUAACAUAUUGCACAUCAAAGUGAACACAUUGACAAUGAUCAAGUUAUCAAUAUUUAAAACAAUCGCAUGUUAUAAUCAUAAACUUCCUAUCCCAUAUACAUAUAUAAACAUAUAUCAACAAGUACACCACCCCCACUUCAUUCAUCAUCAUGUACACGCUCCCAUCAUCAUCAGCUCAUGUGCACUCCCCACUCGCACAUGGCUGGGUCAUCAUAGGCUUAUGCGUACCCCCACUCUCAUAUAGCUGGGUCAUCAUCGGCUUAUGCGCACUCCCACUUGCACAUAGUCGGGUCAUCAUCGGCUUAUGUACACUCCUACUCGCACAUAACCAGGUCAUCAUCGGUGUAUGCGCACUCCUACUCGCACAUAGCCGGGUCCACAUCAACAUACAAAAGAAACACCCAAUGCAUAUUAUACAUAUCAUCAUAUUGUGAUAACACAGAAACCAUUUAUAUAGCACAUUUUCAGAAGAUAAAAACACUUCACCAAAGGCUUGUUCCCCAAGUACAUUUUUAAAGAAAAGCUGGAUAAAUCAUUCAAAUGUUUCAUGCAAAACACAAUUUAAUUUCCCAAAACGAUUUUGAAAUGCAAGUUUACUCACUGGUAUUAUUUGAGCCUUUAGUCGAUCCUAACUUUCCUAAUUGUCAAAAUGGGAUGAUGGGGCUUCGUUGGAACCUAUCAUCACAUUAGCAUCACCAAUUUGUCAACUCACAUACUUAUAAAGUCUAAAGCUUUCUCUUAGCUAGCUUCCAAUUGCCAUUUAAAUGGCUAUCUAUCUUCACUACCCUAAUCACUCUAAAAUGAGUGGAUAACCUCAACUACAACAUUCAAAAGUCUACUUACUAAUCAUUCCCAACACAAAAAAAUAAAUUCUAAUUCAUUACUCACUUUGGUGGCUUGUAACUUUGAAAUUCUUUCUAAUAAAUUUUUCAAGCUAUUAUGGGACCUUUUCUCUCUCUUUCUCUCUCUAAACACCUAGCUAGUGAGCGAAAGUAUGAAAGUGGGAUUUUUUUCAAGGGUUUUAAAGUAAAAGAGUGAAAGAGCAUAAGGGUUCCAUGAAAAGGUGCACAAAGGCAUGAAAAUUAGAGCUAGAGAGAGAAAGUUAUGAAGUUUCAUACCAUGCUUCAAUGGAGGGGGAAAUAAACGUGAGAUGGAAAGAGGAAGAAGAAGAAGUUGCUGGAAAUUGAAGAAGUUGCUGGAAGGAGAAGAUAUUUAUAGCUCAAACUUAUCCAAUUCCUUUAAAAAUUACGAAAAAGCCCUUUAGCAAGUUAACUUGUUCUUCUCCAAUCCUUUGUGCAAUCUUUUUAUUCUUUUGACUUGGGACAAGGUCCAAAAUGAUCUAAACUACUCGAGUUUACGAAAACUUAAAAUUUUGACUUGGGGUGCAAAAUGACCAUUUUACCCUUUUUGUUUUCUUUCAUUUUAAUUUAGUCCUCCCAACACUCAUUUAACUCUUAUUUCCUUCUAUUAUCUUCUUCUACACAUGUACAAACAAAGUACGAAGUUUGUACUCCAAUGCGAUGUCCCCAUAAUAUUUAAAAUAUUUAUUUGUUCGCGCUAUCUUUACUUAAUGAAGACACGAGGCCCCAUUAACGUCAUUUUUCUCCAAAAUUCUCUCAUUCUUCUCUCCCCCACUUAAAUGGACCAUAUCCUCCUUCUUCAUGAAAUAUUUUGACACUGACUAAAAUAUUAAUAUUUUAAUAUUAUUUUAUUCCGAAAAUUUUCUCUUAUCUCCUUGGCACCCAAAAUACCUUAUUAUGCCUCAAUUGAAUUCUGAAUCACUUUUUAUCCUGCAAAAUCUUCUCUGAUAAAAAUAUUAUUAUUUUCUCGCAUGUGAAAUAUUUUAUCCCAAACUAUUCCUUAGGCCUACUUGGACCUUAAUAACAUUAGAAAAGUACUUUUAGGGGCUCACCAAGAGAAAUAAUGAAAUUACCCCUGAUCUGCAUUAUCGCGUCUACUUCUAGUUAUGUGCCUAUGGAGAUCGAGAUUUCACAGGUUCACUUAUGAAUUACCCUUUUUAACUCAAUAAUCAACCUCAAUUGGCAUCCAUAAACUUUAUUAGCUACCGUAUCAAAAUACGGGGUACUACAUGGACCCGCUUCGACGUUAUAACAUUUGGGAGGCCCCCAUCCAUCGAAUUCCCAUAGCCAUGGUAGUCUCGACGAUGUUGGCCAACGUCAGAGAAGUCGUGUGGUUGCAACCACGUAUUUCUACUUGUGGCCUAGCCACGUAUAACAACCCAUUGCCUUGCCACGUAUAUAUAUCACAGACCAUGGCCUAGCCACGUUUAACAGCCCAUUGACGACCCAAAGGUUCUCUAGCUAGAGCUCACUUAUGCAUAAGGGUCACACUAUCCCGAUGUGACAUUCGACCUACUAUCGAAUCUCCUGGUUUGACAAAACCAUUUAUAACCAAGUUAGGUUCUCAAAAGCUUAUUUUAAAUCUAUUUACAAAAUACCAAUCACAGUGACGUGAUAAAUCCAUUUGUAAGACUUUAUAAUGUAAAACCUUUGCAUGAGGUUUAAAUAUUAAAUCAAGCAUGGUGAACAUAAAGUUUAUUCAUGAAUGCACAUCAUAAAACAGUAAGGCACGUUUUGACAUAAACUGUGGUAAAGAGCUUGUUUCUUGAUUGGUAAAACCUUUUACAUAAUAACUUAUAUAUAUACAAAGCGUUUCGAAAAACAUGGCAUUCACAAGUGCCUAGCAUUGUACCAACUCAUGCUUUCCACAAUAACAGUACAAUCCGAUUGCAAAUCCAUUUAAAAAUCACCUACCCAAACUAACAACUCAUGCUAUCCACAAUUGCAUUUAAAGAAAACCGACAAUGUUUUUUAUACAUAUAUCAUUACAUAGUUUACAGAACUUUUGAAAUAGACACUCGUACUCACCUCACAAUAGUGGGAUGUUACUUUGCCACUGAUUCGGAUGCGUCUCUCGCUAAUUUUACUUAUUGAUCACCCGUCACCUCCUCCGAUACACCACCACAGUAAUCUUUCCUCACUUAUACACUUCCUAGUAGCAAAUUAAACUUAAUGUACUUAGUGAACGUCACCACAAUUUGGCCCAUAUUUGCUGCUCUAUAUACCAUAUUCUUAGUUCUUUUUGCUUUCAAGAAUCCCUCACAAUAAUCAACCUCUUUCAUUAUGUCUACUUUCGUAUUUAUACUUAAUUGUACACAUAUAUGGGCAGCACCUUAAUCAAUGAAUCUUUAAUCUAAUUUCACAUUUUUCAUCCUUAUUAUUCACAACAAUUUAACAUGAAAUCUAUAAACUUUCAACUAACCAAAUCCAAUGUAACAUAGUAUACCCACAUUGCAUACUUACCUUCCAAUUUUUACCUUGAAUUCUAUAUACAACUCACUAACUCCUCACAUCCUCAGUCACCCUUGCUGCCACAAGCACAAAUAAUCAAUACAUAUUUUUAUUUUUCCUUUUCACUUAUGAUCUCAAGGUUAAAAACACUUACACAGCAUGUUUCUUGCUUAAAAUCACCAUACUUCUAAGAUUAACCCACAUGCAUGCACCUCGGUUCUUUGAAUCCUUGAAGAUCCUUGCUAUCGCAAGUAUAAUUUCACAUCACAACCGGUUCACAAGGCAUGCAUUCAAACAAAAUGACAGCUUUUACCUUCCUUACCUUAGAAUCACUAAGUUGAACCACCAAUUUCUCUUCCAAGCAUCAACAAUGGCGUACGGGAGAAAACCUUUCAGUUUUUCUCCAACUUCUCCAAAAUCAAACCUCUUUCUAGCUUUUUUUCUUUCUUCUCUCUCCUUUCUCUUUCCUUUUUUCUCUUUUCUUCUUUCUUUUUGCUUUCAAAAUUGAUUUUUUUUCUUUUCUCUCAAAGGUGCGAUUUUGCCAAUGUUCUCCAAGCUUUCCUUGUCUUUUCCUUUUUGUUUUAGUUAUUUCCCACCUUUUACUCCUUCAUGCCUCCUAUUGGACCACUUCACUAUCCAAUAGUUUUUCAUGCACCAAUCUUCCUUUUAGUUUGUUGGUUUAAUAUCUCUCCAUUUUUCUUCUCCAUCCGCCACCUUCACUACCUCUUUCUUUCAUUCUUCAUUCUUUAUUUCAUGCGCCACCUCAUUCAUCCAAUCAUAUUUCAUGCAUAAUCUUUACUUUAUAUUUUAUUUGAUCAUUCAUUAAACAAUUCAAGACACAUGCAUCCCACAUUUUUCUUUCCUCAUUUGGCCACCUAAUGCACCAAUCUCAUCACAUGUAAUAUGAUUUAUUCUUAUUCUUCUUUUCACUUCACAUGGUGGGGGUCUCACAUGUUCCCCACUAACUUUCUCCUUUUUGCAUGCAAUAAUUUGCAUGUAAUAGUGAAUUCAUAUGCACAUUUCAUUAUCCCACAUAUCCUCAUGAUCUCAAUUAAUUCUCCAUGUCUCCAUUCCUUCCAAACUCACAUAUAUUAUUAUUAAUACUUAUAUUACUAAAAUUUCACUCAUUAAACUAAUAUUCUAUAAUUAAUAAAAUAAUAUUUUAUUAAUCAAAUCAUCAAAAUUAUGUUAUAACUCCCCCAUUUAAGUUCAAUGCUUAAAUUAUGUGAGUUUGUCCAUUACUCACAAUAGAAUUAUCUCAACAUUAUUUUAAUAAUAUUUUACUAAUUAAGUAUUAUUAAAUUCUAAAAUUUUUCAUUUGGCUUCAAGGGUUUGAAAAAAUUGUAAUUUAUCUCGGUUUAGCUCCAUCGCUUCUUUUUACUCCAUUACGACAACCUUAAUAAAAUAUUAUUAUUUUAUUAUGUAUGAAAUAUUUUAUUCUAAAAUAUUCCAUUUCUCCUUCACCACUUCUAAACUCUUGAAUUGACAUCUAUCGGUCUUAAUCUUGUUCUUAAAGUCGUAUUAACCACUGUCUAUCCGUCUUAAUCUUGUUCUUAAUGUUGUAUUAACCACUGUUUUAGGUCACGAGGUGUUACAAUCUCCCCCACUUAAAACAAAUUCGUUCUCGAAUUUAAAUGGAGUGGGUUGGUAACGCAUACCUUAGUCUUGAAAGAGGUGUGGGUAUUCCUUCUUCAUUUCCUCUUCAAGUUCUUAGGUCACCUCUUCCACUGAUCGAUUUUGCCACAAGAGCUUCACCAAGGCAACUUUUUUAGAUCGUAACUGUUUCACUUAUCGAUCCAGUAUUGCUACUGGUUGUUCUUUAAAAGUUAAUCUUUCAUCCAGAGGAACCAAAUCAUAACGUAUAACAUGCUUUGAGUCUUUAACAUACUUUCUUAACAUAGACACAUGAAAAGUGGGAUUCAAACAAGCUAGCUCCAUCGGUAAGGCUAGUCGAUAUGCUAUUAACCCAAUUCGUUCCAAAAUCUCAAAAGGUCUAAUAUAUCUCAAACUCAACUUCCCUUUCUUUCUGAAUCUUUUACUUCAUUUUAGUGGAGAUACUUUCAAAAGCACAAAAUCUCCCACCUAGAACUCCAAGGGACGACGUUUAUUAUCUGCAUAAGACUUCUGCCUACUUUGUGCUGACCUUAGACGUUCCCUCACCAAGCUCACUACAUCGGUUGCUUGUUGCACCAAAUCAAGACAUAAUAAUUUUUUUUCUCUCACUUCAAACCAUCCAAUGGAUGAUCUACAAUUUCGUUCGUACAAUGCUUUAAAAAGAGCCAUUCCAAUAGUAGUUUGAUAGCUAUUAUUAUACGCGAAUUCUGCCAAAGAUAACUGAUGAUUCAAGGUGAUUCCUAAAUCCAACAGUAUUGAUCUUAGCAUGUCUUUGAGCAUUUGUACCAUAAGUUCUGAUUGACUGUCUGUUUGAGGGUGAUAUGCAGUACUGAAAUCUAAACGAGGGCCUAAAGCUUCAUGUAAACUUCUCCAAAACUAUGGUCAUGGGAACUCCAUGUAAUCGCACGAUACAGUCAAUAUAAACCUUGGGAUACUUAGCCGACCCAUAACUAGUUUUUACUAGAAUAAAGUGAGUAGAUUAAGUUAACCGAUCCACGAUUACCCAAAUUGAAUCAUAUCCCACUCUGACACAGGGCAAUCCAGUCAUAAAAUCCAUAGCCACAUGUUCCCAUUUCCAUUCGGGAAUCGGUAGGGGCUGUAGCAAACUUGGGGGUUUCCCAUGCUCAACCUUAACUUGUUGACAAGUUAGGCAUUUGGCUACAUAUUUAGCUACAUCUUUGUUCAUUCCUUGCCACCAAUAAACCAUUUUCAAAUCGUGAUACAUCUUGGUGGCUCUUGGAUGUACAGUGUAGGUAGUGAUGUGAGCAUCCUCUAAAAUCUCUUCUCUCAAAUUAUCUCGAUCUGGCACGUAUGUUCGGGAUUCAUACUUUAAGAAUCCAUCAUCUCCAUACACAAAUUUUUUGAUCUCGCUCUUCAAAUCCUAAAAUUCUCAUCUCGAAUUCAUCUUGAUCCUAAGCAUUGCGAAUUCGAUCCAAGAUCAUUGAUCGUACUUGAAAAUGAGCAAUAAGGGUAUUAGGCCCACCAAUAUCGAUCUUGAUCCCCAUACUACCUAAGCUUCGCCGUCCACACAAUAUACUUCUUUGUUCAAUAGACAAAUGUGCCAAAAUCCCCCAUAAACUUUUGACUCAAAGCAUCAGCCACCACGUUCACCUUACCAGGGUGAUAUUGAAUUGUACAAUCAUAAUCUUUGAGCAAUUCCAUCCAUCAACGUUGCCUUAAAUUGAGAUCACGUUGUUGAAAUAUAUACUUUAAAAUCUUGUGAUCAAUAUAUAUUUCAAAGCUUUCCCCGUAUAACUAAUGACGCUAAAUCUUUAAUGCAAAUACUAUCGCUGCCAUUUCCAAGUCAUGGGCAGGAUAGUUUCUCGUGCCGGUUAACUUUCCUUGAAGCGUACACGAUAACUCUACCAUUUUGCAUUAACACGCAUCCCAAUCCAACUCUUGAUAUGUCACAAUACAUAACAUAACCUCCUAAACCAUUUGGUAAACUUAAGACUGGUGCCGAAAUCAAACACACUUUUAGUCUUAAGAAACUAUCUUCACAUUCAGCAGUCCAUUCAAACUUAGCUCCCUUUAACAUCAACUUAGUCAAUGGUGCUGCGAGUUUCAAGAAAUCUUACACAAAUCGACGGUAAUACCUUGCCAAUCCAAGAAAACUUUGAAUCUCAGUAACUGUACUCGGUCUUAACCAAGUUUGAAUUGAUGUAACCUUUUGCGGAUCCACACAAAUCCCUUCCUUUAAUAUUACAUGUCCAAGAAAGUUAACACUCUCUAACCAAAAAGCGCACUAAGAGAAUGUUGCAUAUAAUUCAUGUUCUCAAAGUGUCUGCAACACCAUUCAUAAAUGUUGUGCAUGUUCUUUGGGGCUUCGAGAAUACACCAGGAUAUCAUCAAUAAACACCAUAAAUAUAUCCAAAUAGGCCCAGAACACUCUAUUCAUUAAAUCCAUAAAAACGACGAGAGCAUUGGUUAAAUCAAAGGACAUCACCAAAAACUCAAAAUGCCCAUACCUCGUACGGAAUGCAGUAUUUGGUAUAUCCUCUUCUCAAAUUCUUAACUGAUGAUACCCAAAGCACAAGUCAAUUUUUGAAAAAUAUCAUGCUCCUUGCAGUGGAUCAAAUAAAUCAUCGAUCUUGGGAAGUGGGUAUUUAUUCUUAAUAGUUACACUAUUCAACUUUCGAUAAUUCAAACAUAACUUGAAACUUCCAUCCUUUUUCUUUACAAAUAGUACUGGAGCUCCCCAUGGUGAAGUACUUGGGUGAAUAAAUCCUUUCCCCCUUAACUCUUGUAAUUGUUCUCGCAGUACUCAUAUCUCUACUGGUGCCAUUUGGUAAGGAAUUUUGGAUAUUGGUUCCGUGCCAGGAAUCAAAUUAAUGCAAAACUUAACUUCCUUUUCUGGGGGCAACCUUGGCAAUUCUUCUGAAAACACAUCUUCAAAUUCAAUAACUGUUGGCACCAUUUUAAUAUUCGGGACCUCUUCCUCCAUAAAUUCAUCUUCUUUGGCUACUACGCACUCUAAAUAAUUUUGCCCCAUUUCCAUUUUAGUGACUCCCGCUAAUAUUCCCUUAUUGCACGGGCUCCUAUGUCCAUAGAUAAUAAAGGGAACUUCUUCGAGAAACUUAAAUUCUACAUAUUUGUAAUGGCAAUCGACAUUGGCGUAACAAUCGUACAACCAAUGCAUUCCUAAUAUUGCAUUAAAUCCCAAUGUCAUCAAUAACACCAAAUCCACCAAUGUCUCUCGAUGGUUAAUUUGAACUACACAAAACUUCUAAACAAACUCUAUUGUAUAUAUUUCUUCUAAAGGAGUGGUCACUACCAAUGGAUCUACCAUUAUUUCAUAAGGUCUAUUCAAUUUUGACACAAAAUUCAAGGAAACAAAAGAAUGGGUAGCUCUAGGAUCAAAUAAUUGUUAGUAUAAGCCCUACAAGCCAAUUUGUGGUUGUAUGGGAAUUGUAAUUUUGAGAUAUUCAUGUAUGACAUUUUGUUAUGCAUAAUAACAUUGAGGUAGUUCUUUAUCCAUAAGUUUGUGAUUUAAUUACUUUUUGUACUUAUGUAGAUAAAGCCCAUGGAACUAUAUAUGCCUUGCAAAGGAAUUGUAUUGGGAUACAAUUACGAGAUCCUUAUGCAUUAAAGCAUUGUUCCUAAAAGUUCCUAAUCAUUGUAUUAUUGAGACAGGGCAUCAAUAAUGCUCAACGAUUAGCACAUGUUAUGUUCCUUACUUGUGAAGCAAGCAAUCGUUCUCAUAGGUUGAAGUAUAGAGAUACUUGGAACUAGCAUGUGGGUGCUUGCCAUGGGAGAGCGAGUUCAUUGAACUUGACCCACCAUGAGAAAUGCAUUUGGUAUUUUACUCAAGUGUCUAUGCAAUACUUCUCAUGUGUCACUUGUGUAAAUACUCCCUAGACUUGAGACACCAGGUUGUCUUACAUGUGGAGUGCUAUGCUUUGAUUUCAUUCCUAUUGGUGCCUAACCAAGGAUGCUAAAACAUGAUGCUUUUGGGUAUAGCAUGAAGCAUGUGAAGGCAAAUGAGUGGUCAAGAUAGGAAUCAUCACCCCAAGUGAUUCAAAGGGAAAUAUCUCAUUAGUUCUUGGUUGAUAUUAGCUUAAUCAAAUCCUUGGCCAAGGUGAUUAGGAGAUUAUGAAAUGAGUUUCAUAAGUCUCCAUAAAGCUAAUGAUCUAAUUGCAAGAACAAAUAUGGAGAUCAAUAAGAGUAGGCACUGCACCAAGCUCUUCUCAUCUUCGGGAUAUAUGAUGAGGGAAUGAAUUACACUGAAAAACUGUGCACUGAAAGGUUGUCAAAGAAUCUUUUGACUCUCCUAACAAUUGGGUGGCCAUGAUGCAUUGCUAGAUGCCAAUCAUGGUCUAUGGAAUUGAAUUAGUUACAAUUGAAUAUGAUUCAUUUAAAUUAAUAAAUUAAUAAUAUUAUAAUUCAAUUCCAUUGGCAACAUGUUAGGAACUUAAUGGGUCACACACAAAGGUUGCAAUUUGGAUUAAGUUGAGAGUGUGAUGAUUUAAGUUAGACUUAAAUCAAUUUCUAGGUUUUAACUAUUAAGGACCUAAUUAAAAGAGUUUAAUUAGAUAUUGGUUAAAUAUUAUAAUUGUUAUAAUAUUAAGGACUUAUUUUGCAAAUUUUAAUAACUUAAACCUAGAUAUAAAUAUCACAUUAUAGCCACUCUUUUGAGAAGUGGAUAAGGAUUUUUCUCUUGAGUGCUGCCACUCUUGAGACGUUUAUUUCUUUUGAAAACUUCUCCUUUGAUUCUUUGCUGGAAAUCAAAGAAGAAAAGAGGACAAAUCGUUGUCCACUUGCUAGCACAAGCCCGUGGCAUAAAGCUCUGUCCUUGAGAAGGAUCCGUUGCAAUCGUGUGUGCAUCAUUGGAGGCCAAGCGAUUGAGUGGCUGGGAGUCUUUUACACCAAAGGUGUUCGCGUUUUGUCACCAAAAGAAAUCCAUUUGAUUACGAUAUCACUUGGAAAGGUAAAUUCUUUUUCCGAUUUUAUGUGGUACAUAACUUUGCAUUAAACAACCAAGGUGAUCCAAAGGUAGGAGGCAUGGUUUUUAUUUUUAUUUCAACCCUUUUUUUAUUCUGCUGCGUUGAUGCUCUAAUCAUGCCGUUCCUACCAGUGGUAUCAUAGCCUCCCUUGGCUUGUUUUAAUGCAAAGGUAUGUCUUGUUAUUGUUAAUUUCAAUUCUGAUUGGAUGUGAGGGAUUUGGAAGAGAGCAAGUAAGUGUUAAAUUUCAAUUAUGUUUUAAAGUAGUUUAUCACAUAUUCGAGUUUUGAUUUUUAAUACUUAUUUGUUUCAGCAACUAAUCUUGUUUAAGUGUCUCAAUUUUGCAGAACAAUAUGUGCAUGAGAUGCACAAAAGAGUUUAGCAAGAAAAGGAUUCGAAUUCAUGGGAAACAAGAUGCGGUUUGGUGAUAGAAUUCGAUUCUAUCCAGAUUUGCAUGUGGUUUGAUUUUCAAUUUUUAACAAGGGUCUAAAAGCCUCUAAAAAUUCUGAAAAAAUUUGGAAGUAAUCUACAUUGAUAUUGUUUCAAUAUGAUUAAUUACCAGCUGAAAAUGGUGAAGGAAACGCCAUGAAAUCAUGGCUGAAACCAUUGCUGCCAGAAGUAGUUUCAGGUCAUGAUUUUGCUGAGAAAGUCAUCUUCAAAGAGUCCUAAAAUUGUGCAAUUGUUGUACCUUUUUGGAUAAUUUUUGAAGUUUGAAUAUGUUCAAAAGAUGCCUGGAAAGAUCACUAAAAUCAAGGGAUUUAAUCCCUUGAUUUAUGCCAUCAUAAUGCCACAUAUGCAACCCAAAAACUGCAGCUAUGUACAGGAUACAUAGGCUGGGUUUUUUUGGGGUUUUGACCAGCUAAAUCAAGUCCAAAAAUUAUAAAAUUUUAAUAUGGAAAGGUUCCAUAUGUUAGCUGACAAUGGUUGAAAUUUGGAAAUUAAAUUUCCUGAUUUGAUGCCGCAUCAAGCCAUAAAACUGUGACUGGUACACUGCUGCCAGAAUUUUGUAAAGUCAUGGUUUUUGGGAUUUUAGUGUCCAUAUUUGCAGCCUAAAUUGGUGCAAUUAAAAACUCUAAUUUACUAAACAAUAUCCUAUGGAAAAGUUCCAAAAAGAUAAAUUUUGAUAUAUUUAAAUUAGGGAAUUUGAUUCCUUAAAAUAAGGAUAUCAGGAUUUAAUUAAUCACAUCCGUAAAUUUAGGAAUUUAAUUCCUACAAAUAUGGGAGUGUGAUAAAUAUGGACAAGAUAAAUAUCAUGAAUUAAUUUCCUUCUUUUAAGAAGUGAAAUUCGAAUAGGACACUUAAAUAUAAUUAAAGAUAAUGUUGUCUUAAAUAUUAUAUUUAAAGUAUCUAAUGAGAUUAGAUAAUUGAAGACACAUAAUCUUUAAUUUAAAAGGAUNCAACCUAAAAAUUACAUCUAUGUAUAUAAUACAUAGACUACGAUUUUUUAGGGUUUUGGAUAUCUAACGCAAGUUCAAAAAUUAUAAAAUUUUAAUAUGAAAAGGGUCCAUAUGUUAGCUGACCAUGGUUAAAAUUUGGGAAUUAAAUUCCUUGAUUUGGUGCCAUAAGCCACAAAAUCGAGACUGGUACAGUGCUGCUAGAAUUUUGUAAAGUCAUGGUUUUUAAGAUUUUGGUGUCUAUAUUUGCAACCUAAAUUGGUGUAAUUAAAAAUACUACUUCACUAAACAAUAUCUUAUGGAAAAUUUCUAGAAAGAUAAAUUUUGAUAUAUUUAAAUUAGGGAAUUUGAUUCGUUAAAAUAAGGAUAUCAGGAUUUAAUUAAUCACAUCCGUAAAUUUAGGAAUUUAAUUCCUACAAAUAUGGGAGUGUGAUAAAUAUGGACAAGAUAAAUAUCAUGAAUUAAUUUCCUUCUUUUAAGAAGUGAAAUUCGAAUAGGACACUUAAAUAUAAUUAAAGAUAAUGUUGUCUUAAAUAUUAUAUUUAAAGUAUCUAAUGAGAUUAGAUAAUUGAAGACACAUAAUCUUUAAUUUAAAAGGAUUAAUAAAAGUUACUUAAAAUGUUUAAAGAUUACAAAUUAAAAAUGUUUUAAUUUGUAAUAAUAUUUUAAUUCUAAUCCUAAUGAGAUUAGGAAUGGAUAAUAUUACUAAUACUUAUUAGUAAAGGCUUUCCAUACAUGGAAGACUGUUUCUAUACACGGAAUUAAAAAUGAACUCGAAAUUAGUUGUACACUAAUUUCGGAUGCCUCAUAUGAUUAACAAUUAGAAUAAGACAUAGUUUUAAUUUUCUAUUCAUGUGGAUGGAUGUAUGUGGAUGAUUAUGGACUAGGCCCAAUAUGAUUGUGGUUGUUUGGUUAAAUUGUAUCAUGGUUUUAUUUAUUAAAUAGGGUCUACGCACCCUGCCUUUCUCUUGAUUUUCAUGGAUUAUAAAAUUCUUUCCUCACCUAACUCCCCUCGAUGUACCGGGAGGUUUCUUUACUAAAAUGUAAUUAGUUACAUAUAAGUGUAGAAUUAGGAUUAGUUUAGGAGUUAUUUUACAAUUUGAAAAUGAAGACCUAAAGGAGCCAUGAAGAUAUGAGGAGGAAGAUUACAACAUGUUGUAUGUUAUCCCCUAGGUUUGACCAAGCUAAUUUCCUUCGAUGGCUCAAAGAAAUUAGUAUAGAUAAAGUCCAUAAUCAUCCAAAGUAGUAUGCAUGAGAUAGAUUUUUUUAUGCAAUUAAUAAAUGCUAUUCAUGCAAAGAUGAGACCUUAACUAAGUUAAUAAUAAUAAAAAAAAAUCCCUCGGUAAAUAUUGAGCCACAAGCCACACAUGAUUAAGUUGCCUUCCACCAUAUAGCAAGAUAACCUGGCUACUCUCUUAAUUAGAGACUUGUUGAGCACACUCAAGGUCACACUUUUACAUGAGUAUGUUUCAGCUAUUGGUGGGUCUUACUCAACUAGUUUCAUAAAAUUCGGAUGCUUGGAAACUUGAUUAUUAUGGAAACUAGAGGCAAUAGCUAGGCGAAACAUAUAUGAUAUGUUUAGGCAAUGUCUUGUCACCUAGCUGAUCUAGGAGUUGUAUAGAGAUACAAUUGGUAAGCUUAGUUACCUACCUAAUCCAGCUAUCAUGGCUUGUUGAGCACACUCAAGGCCAUGACUAGAUGGAUGGGAUCCUAGCCCACUAAGAGAAUCCUAGUAGAGAUCUCUCGAGGUGAUAUGGAGGGUUAUCAUCAUGAAGAAAAUAGUGAGAGCAAUCAAUUUAAGAUUUACUAUCUCAUCUUAAUUGAUUAUAAUACAUGAUUACUCAUAAACGUUCUUUAAAUGCCUAGGUUGUUAAAAUGCGAAUACAUAUUACUUUGCACGGCAUACUUGAUGUCAUCAUGAAAUUUGAGCCAAAAUGUUUAGACUGGUAUAUCAAGUUGAGAAGUGUUCUCAAAUAUCUAUUUUGAAUAUAUGUCAUUAAAGAAGAUAUCCUUGCCUUUUUGACAAGGUCAAAGAAUUAGAAACUUGUAGAAGUUUCAUCUUUUACCAUGUAUAUGAUUGAAGUAAAUCUAUCUACUAUUGAUCCGUCAUCAUGGGUAUUAGAUAUUGGAUGUGGGUCACACUUAUGUAAUGACAUGAAGGUACUAGAAACAAGUAGAAGAUUAACGAAAGGAGAGGUGGUAAUGGAGCAAAGGUUGCUGCAUCGGCUGUAGGGACAGUUACCAUACCUUUACCUUCUGGGUUGAUCUUGGAAUUAAGAGACUGUUACUAUGUUCCUUCCAUAUCUCGAAAUAUCAUAUCUGUGUCAUACUUGGCAUUAUAUGAUGAUAUGGAAUUUUGCAUUAAGGGCAAUUGUUGUUCUUUCUAGAAGGGAGAGAUGCAUUAUGGUGCAAGGACACAUUCAAACGGUCUCUAUAUUCUUGAUCCUGAAAGACCCAUACUUAAUCUAGAGGUCAAGAAAGCAAAGAAAGAUGAUCCAAAACUAUUCUACAUUUGGCAUUGUAGGCUUGGACACAUCAAUGAGACUUGCUUAACCAAGUUACACAAACAAGGUUUUGUUGAUUUAUUUAAUUAUGAAUCUUAUGGAACUUGGGAAUGUUGUCUCCUUGGUACGAUGACUAAGUNCAUGAUGAUCCAAAACUAUCCUACAUCUAGCAUUGUAGGCUCAGACACAUCAAUGAGACUCGCUUAACCAAGUUACACAAACAAGGUUAUAUCGAUCCAUUUAAUUAUGAAUCUUUAUGGAACAUGUGAGUGUUGUCUCUUUGGUAAGAUGACCAAGUUGCCUUUCACUAAAAAGAGUGAACGAGCUGGGGUGUUACUAGGACUUGUACAUUUAGAUGUAUGUGGUCCUAUGAAUACUAGUGCUAGAGGAGGAUACUCCUACUUCAUCACCUUCACAGAUGAAUAUUCUCGCUAUGGUUAUGUAUAUUUGAUGAAAUAUAAAUUUGAAUCCUUUGACAAGUUCAAUGAAUACAAAGCGGAGGUUGAGAAACAAACUAGGAAGAGUAUUCUCACUCUUAGAUCUGAUCGACGAGGAGAAUAUCUUAGCCAAGAGUUUCAGGAUUAUCUAAAAGAGAAUGGGAUUCUUGCACAAUGGACUCUUCCAGGGACUCUACAGCACAAUGGGGUAUCUGAGAGAAGGAAUCGAACAUUAUUGGACAUGGUUCGAUCCAUGAUGAGUCGUGUAGAUCUUCCUAUAUCUUUAUGGGGAUAUGCCCUAAAAACUACUGCUCGCAUACUGAACCAGGUUCCUACCAAAUCAGUUGAUAAGACACCAUAUGAGAUAUGGAGUGGGAAAAAGCCCAACUUGUCUUACGCUAGGAUUUGAGGAUGUAUUGCUUAUGUGAAGCGUACAAUGUUUGAUAAGCUAGAAGCAAGAUCAGACAAAUGUAAAUUUAUGGGAUAUCCUAAAGAAACACACGAAUAUUAUUUUUAUAAUCCCAUUGAGCAAAAGGUGUUUGUCUCAAGGCGUGCCACUUUCCUUGAGAAAGAGUUCUUAAAUGAAAGGGCUAAUGGGAGUAAAGUUGUACUCGAAAAAGUUCGAGACCCACAAAUUGACAUUCCAUUGGAACUUGAACCUAAGAUUGUGACAUCUGAUAUACAACCAUAAUCUCAAGAGGCACAACCACUCAAAAGGUCUAGUAGAAUACGUCAAGCUCCAAAGAGAUAUGGAUUUCUCUUGGAAAGGGACGCAUUGCCCAUAAAUGACGAGCCUACAACCUAUGAGGAGGCAAUGUUGGACAUCAAUUCUAAGAAAUGGCUAGAAGCCAUGAAAUCUGAAAUGGAUGCCAUGGAUACUAACCAAGUAUGGACUUUGGUGGAUCCACCUGAAGGGAUAAAACCCAUUGGGUGUAAGUUGGUCUUUAAGAGAAUGACCGAUGUAGAUGGCAAGGUGAAAACCUUUAAAGCUAGACUGGUAGCAAAGGUUACAAACAAAGACUAGGUAUUGACUUUGAAGAAACCUUUUCACCAGUUACUAUGCUUAAAUCCACUAGGAUUUUGCUUACAAUUGUUGCAUACCAUGAUUAUGAAAUAUGCCAAAUGGAUGUAAAAACUGCAUUCCUUAAUGGAAACUUGCAAGAGGAAGUGUACAUGACACAACUUGAAGGUUUUAUAUCCAAUGCUAAUGCUAAUAAGGUGUGCAAGCUUCAAAAGUCCAUUUAUGGACUUAAGCAAGCUUCUCGGAGUUGGAACAUUUGUUUUGAUGAUGCUGUAAAAGGGUUUGACUUCAUCAAAAAUGAGGAUGAACCAUGUGUCUAUAAAAAGGUUAGUGGGAGUGCCAUAAUUUUCUUAGUGUUAUAUGUUGAUGACAUAUUGCUCAUAGGAAAUGAUAUACCAUUGCUGUAAUCUACAAAGAUUUUGCUAUCCAAACAAUUCUCCAUCAAGGAUUUGGGAGAAGCAACUUACAUUCUAGGAAUAAAGAUCUAUAGAGAUAGUUCUAAAAGGUUGCUAGGUCUUUCCCAAACCACAUACAUAGAUAAGGUGCCAAAGAGGUUUAGCAUGAUGGAGUCCAAGAAGGGACACUUGCCUAUGUCGCAAGGCAUCUAUCUUUCCAAGGACAUGUAUCCAAAGAAUCAAGAAGAGAGAGAUCGCAUGGAUAAGAUCCCAUAUGCUUCAGCAAUAGGAUCUAUCAUGUAUGCAAUGCUUUGCACUUGACCAGAUGUAUCUUAUGCUCUAAGUGUCAUGAGUAGAUAUCAAGCUAAUCCUGGUGAAAGUCAUUGGAUAGUUGUGAAAAACAUCUUUAAGUACUUACGAAGAACUAAGGAUAUAUUUCUAGUUUAUGGAGGAGGUGAACUCCAAGUUAAGGGUUAUACGGAUGCAAGCUUUCAAACUGACAAAGAUGAUAGCAAGUUUCAAAGUGGAUAUGUGUUCACACUCAAUGAAGGUGCGGUGAAUUGGAAGAGUUCCAAACAAGAGAUGACUGUAGAUUCUACAACCGAGGCCAAAUACAUUUCUGCGUUUGAGGCAGCGAAAGAGGCAGUUUGGAUUAAGAAGUUCAUUACUGAGCUAAAUGUGGUUCCUAGCAUUAUUGAUCCAAUACCUUUGUAUUGUGAUAACAAUGGAGCCAUUGCACAAGCAAAGGAACCAAGGUCUCAUAAAAAAUCCAAACAUAUAUUGCAGCGGUACCAUGUGAUCAGGGAGAUCAUUGGAAGAUGAGACAUUUCCAUAGAGUGUAUACCCAUUAAGGAUAAUAUUACUUAUCCUCUCACUAAAGCACUGUCCCAGCAGAAGCAUAAUCGUCAUGUUGAGAACAUUGGUAUUAGAUACAUAGGCGAUUGGCUUCAGUGCUAGUGGGAGAUUGUUAGUAUAAGCCCUACAAGCCAAUCUGUGGUUGUAUGGGAAUUGCAAUUUUGAGAUAUUCAGGUAUGACAUUUUGUUAUUUAUAAUAACAUUAAGGUAGAUCUUUAUCCAUAAGUUUGUGAUUUAAUUACUUUUUGUACUUAUGCAGAUAAAGCCCAUGGAACUAUAUAUGCCUUGCAAAGAAAUUGUAUUGGGAUACAAUUACGAGAUCCUAAUGUAUUAAAGUAUUGUUCCUAAAAGUUCCUAAUCAUUGUAUUAUUGAGACAAGGCAUCAAUAAUGCUCAAAGAUUGGCACAUGUUAUGUUCCUUACUUGUGAAGUAAGCAAUCGUUCUCAUAGGUUGAAGCAUAGAGAUACUUGGAACUAGCAUGUGGGUGCUUGCCAUAGGAGAGCGAGUUCACUGAACUUGACUCGCCAUGAGAAGUGCAUUUGGUAUUUCACUCAAGUGUUUAUGCAAUACUUCUCAUGUGUCAGUUGUGUAAAUACUCCCUAGACUUGAGACACCAGGUUAUCUUAUGUGUGGAGUGCUAUGCUUUGAUUUCAUCCCUAUUGGUGCCUAACGAAGGAUGCCAAAAUAGGAUGCUUUUAGGUAUAGCAUGAAGCAUGUGAAGGCACAUGAGUGGUCAAGAUAGGAAUCAUCACCCCAAGUAAUUCAAGGGUGAUUAGGAGAUUAUGAAAUAAGUUUCAUAAGUCUCCAUAAAGCUAAUGAUCUAACUGCAAGAACAAAUAUGGAGAUCAAUAAAAGUAGGCACUACACCAAGAUCUUCUCAUCUUCAGGAUAUAUGAUGAGGGAAUGAAUUACACUAAAAAACUGUACACUGAAAGGUUGUCAAAGAAUCCUUUGACUCUCCUAACAAUUGGGUGGCCAUGAUGCAUUGCUAGAUGCCAAUCAUGGUCUAUGGAAUUGAAUUAGUUAAUUUACAAUUGAAUAUGAUUCAUUUAAAUUAAUUAAUUAAUAAUAUUAUAAUUCAAUUCCAUUGGCAACAUGUUAGGAACCUAAUGGGUCACACAACAAAGGUUGCAAUUUGGAUUAAAUUGAGAGUGUGAUGAUUUAAGUUAGACUUAAAUCAAAUUCUAGGUUUUAACUAUUAAGGACCUAAUUAAAAGAGUUUAAUUAGGUAUGGGUUAAAUGUUAUAAUUGUUAUAAUAUUAAGGACUUAUUUUGCAAAUUUUAAUAAGUUAAACCUAGAUAUAAAUAUCACAUUAUAGCCACUCUUUUGAGAAGUGGAAAAGGAUUUUUCUCUUGAGUGCUGCCACUCUUGAGAUGUUUAUUUCUUUUGAAAACUGCUCCUUUGAUUCUUUGUUGGAAAUCAAAGAAGAAAAUAGGACAAAUCAUUAUCCACUUGCUAGCACAAGCCCAUGGCAUAAAGCUUUCUCCUUGAGAAGGAUCCGUUGUAAUCGUGUAUGCAUCAUUAGAGGCCAAGCGAUUGAAUGGCUGGGAUUCUUUUACACCAAAGGUGUUCGUGUUUUGUCACCAAAAGGAAUCCAUUUGAUUACGUUAUCACUUGGAAAGGUAAAUUCUUUUUUUGAUAUUAUGUGGUACAUAACUUUGCAUUAAACAACCAAGGUGAUCAAAAGGUAGGAGGCAUGGUUUUUAUUUUUAUUUCAAUUUUUUUAUUCCACUACGUUGAUGCUCUAAUCAUGUCGUUCCUAGAAAUAAUACCAAUGCUUCAAAACCACAAUUUAAAAGAAUACUUGUCACCAUAUCAUUAGAAAUAGGCACAUCUUGUGGAUCCAUGGCAAACAUUCUCGCUUGUCUUCUUCUAAAGGUACCUUACGGUAUUGACGUAAUGGGUCGAGAUCGGGAGGUAAAAGCUAUUCCCUUGCCUUUAUUGGGUCAGCCUCUCCUAACUAGAGGUGAAACUAUGGAUGUUACUAUGAAUGCUGGUUGAAUCAAUCCACUACCAGUUCCUUGUGAUCUCCCAUCAUAGGGGCAGUCCCUUCGCAUAUGUCCCACUUGACCACAGUUAAAACAUACAUCAAAUGACUAAGCACAUGGCCCCACAUUCAUAGUACCAUAAUGUACAUAGUGAGGACUCCUUUAGCCUAUCAAUUUACUAUUAACACUAGUCAUUUCACUACCAUGUCCUCAACGAUUAUUUACUCUAGAAAAAUUUCCAUGACGAGGUGGACUACUAAACUGAGGAUUUCUCCUCAACCCUUGACACCCAGCUGACACCUGCCUUCUAUUUUGAAUAGUAUCUUUUUGAUUUGGUCAACUUAUCCUUCCAAAAGUUGUUUCUCGAUUAGUGCUGCUUUGACUAGUUUGUCUUUCAGUUUUAGUCUUUCUAGUAUUUUCACGAAGUGCCCUAGCCUCCAUACUACGACCCUCUAUUAAUUGAGCACAAUCCACUGCAUCAUAAUAUGAAUCAAACUGCUAUGGAGCAACAACUCUAAAUAAGUACUCGAAUAGUCCAGCCAUAAACUGAUUCACUCUCAUUUCUUCAGAAGAUACCAAGUGUGGCGCGUAUCUAGACAAUUGAGUAAACUGCACAUCAUAUUUAUAUAUCGUCAUCUCAGUGUUUGUUUCAAAGGCUCAAACUCCAUAGCCUUAGCCACUCACACACUGCGAGGCAUAAAUCUAUCCAUAAAGGCUUUAUCAAAUUCCUUCUAACUAAACAGACCAACAUCGCUAGGUCUACCCCACUUGUAUGAUGUAAUCCACAGCUGUGCUACAUCCUCAAGACAAAAACUGGCCAAUGUUACUGACCUCAUACUUGAAGCUCCUAAUGGCGACAAAUUCUUUCCAUGGUGUCCAAAAAUCUACGUGGGUCCUCUCCCAUAGUGGAACUAGUAAAUGAUAGAGGUUUUAACUUCAUAAAUGCAAACAACAAGGUUACCUAAAGGAGAUUAUUGGCAAGUUCACACAUUUUAAAAGGUACACAUGUGUAUUGUCAAUGUUUUACAAGGUCGAUUCUGAAUAGUGAGUGCAAAGAUAAGUGGUGAACUUAUGUCACCCAAGCUUUAGGCUAAUGGAGUAGCAUUGAGACCUAAAGACAGAAUUGGUGAGAUAAGGGUUUAGUGGGGAUUUGAAGCUUGUAUGGUAAAGCCUAGCAAGUGAAGGUAUAUGCAGUGAGGCUUGUUUUUGAUCCCCCAGAGAACUCAUUCUAACUCUUAGCCUCGUAUUUCCAUAUGUUGGAACAUGAAAAUCCUAAUACAGUCACAACAGUGGCUACUGAUGAGGUAAGACAAUUCAAAUAUUGUUUCUAGUCGUACGAGGCUUCUAUCCAGGGGUUCAAUGUUGUAAUAUGGCCUGUGGUUACUAUUGAUGCUACACAUCUAAAAAACGGGAAUUCUGCUUGUUGCUAUCUGCAAAGACACGAACUAGUGCAUAUAUCCAAUUGCAUUUGGCAUUGGCCAAGUUGAGGACGAAGACACAUGGACUUGGUUUCUUACCAAACUGCGUGGUGUGGUUGCUUGUCCUAAAAACAUAAUGUUCAUUUUUUAUAAGCAUUUUGGCAUUAAGAAGGCAAUCUAAAAUGCAUACCUAGACAUGCACCAUAAUCUAUAUGGUUACUAAUUGAAGAAAAACUUCAUAAACAAGUUCAAGCACAAUGACAUUUUAGCGAUUUUCACCCUUGCUCAAGACUGCUACAAGGUAUUUGAAUUCAAUAGACAUAUGAACUAGCUGCAAUAGAUUCAUGUGGGAGCCCACUCCAUCCUUAUACAAAUAAGCCUUGAGAAAUGGGCAUGUGCACGGUUACCGAUAAAGUGAUACCAACUCAUGACAUCCAACAUUGCAUAAUGUGUUAACUCAUGCCUGAAACAUGCAAGACAUAUGCCAAUCACCAUUUUGAUCGAGUUUAUUAUAGGCAUGUUCCAACAUUAGUUCCAUGACCAACACGAGGAGGCCCUCAAGGUGACCACGUCUAACAGCCCUUGGGCUGCUAGGCAAUUGAGCAUAAGGUUCAAUGAAGCACAUCACUUUCUAGUUAAACCUAUUGAUCAAAUGGAGUUCAAAGUUAAAGAAUACAAGAAGGAAGGUCUAGUAAACUUGUCGAUGAAGAUGUGUUCAUGUUGUGAGUCCUAGACCGAGCUACACUCUUACAACCAUGCCAUUGCAACUAUAAGGUACGAAUUUCAAUAUAUUUUAUUUGACUUGUAAUCAACUUAAAUUUUACAUUAUGAUUGAAUCGAGACUUCAUUCUUUGCAUAGUAAAUGCAAACAUGAAGCCAUUAAUUUCUGCUUGGACCACUACAAGACUUUCUAUUUGGUGGAAGGUUUUGCUAGGUCCAUUCUCCCGGUCAGGCAUCUCAGUGACUAGGACAUCCCCUUUAAUGUGAAAAAAUCAUCAUUUUGCCACCACUUUGGUGAGAUCAAGCAAGAAACCUUAAAGGAAAAGAAUUCCAUUGAUUGGUAAAGGCAGUCGAGCACACAAAUGUUCAUAAUUGAAGAGCUACGAUCGUAAUUGAUAAAAUUUCCCAACGCUGUUUGCAGUUCCAUCCAUAAAUCUGGCACCAUCUUUAAGUCAAUUGAUGCGUCCAUGAUGACAACGCUUGAAAGCAUGUUCAACAUGUAGACAAAUUAACCUCACAUGCAACAUCUGUCCAAUAUGAAGGACAGUGUUUCAAAACGUAAGGUGUCUUGUAGACAAAGGCAAUGGCUUCACCUAACCAAAUGUGUGAGCCAUCUCCAUUAUGUUUCUUACUUGCAAAACAAUUCUAUAUGGAAUUGGUGAAAAUGUGCAAUUACAAAGGAAUGGUAUGUCGUGUAGUUUCUUACAUGCAUAUCUUUUGUAUGUUAUGUAGUAAUUAACUAACUUGAUUUGUCAUAUGCUUUUUAAUCUAGUUUCUCAUUGCAACUAAAAUCCCUUUACUUACAGGGAAUAUUAAAGGAAGGGCAAUCGAGGAAAUGGAGUUAGGUAUUGUUUCUCCAUGUUGUCAGCCCAAAGCAAGCUUCAAAAGUUUUAUAAAUAGUUGUCAUGCACCAUUCCUUGGGAGGCAAUUAUCGGUACAUGCGAUCUUUAUAUAUUCUGUGCUGUUACAUGCCAUGCCUAUAAACUCAAGUUGUUACAACUUGAGUUUAGUUGCUACAUGCCACAAAGAUAAUAGGGAAUGUUUAUACAGACCAUGCCAACAAAUAGAAACAAGUAUUUUGUUUUCUUAGUUUUUGCUUGAGGACUAGCAGUGAAAUGCCAGGCAUAAAUAAAAACUGGUAUUACACGUCAUUUUAUAUUAGUCCUAUUUCAAGAUUGAAGCAUUGAUUUUGUUGAUCAUUUUCUUUUUUCUUCAAACCUUGAGUCCAUUUUUCCAUGGUUUUCAUGUUAAGAAUAUGAUUUUCCAACAUGACGUUUAACAACAUUGUUCAUUUACAACCUUCUUCUUUCAUUGUCAAAUUGAGAUACAUUUCUUGGGAUGUAACUUAUUUAUUUCUAUUUAUUGUUUGAUGACUUCUACACACCAUGCGUAAUGACCAAAUUGUUACACGGAUGCAUCAAUGGACACUGUUAUUACAAGCCAUGGAUAUUAGGUAAUUGUUGCUAAAGGCCAUGCCAAUAUAUAUUGUCACUUGGAGGCCAUCCUUAUAUAUAUUGCCAGUUUCACGCCAUGCUUAUACAAGUUGUCAGUUACAUGCCAUGCCUAUAUAUAUUGUCAAUUACACAGCAUGGCUAUAUAUUUUGUCAAUUACCCUUUAUGCAUAAAUAUACAUUGUUAUUACAUGUGAUGCUUAACUUUAUUGUAAAUAUAGGUAGUAUUAAUUAUGUAGCUAACAUGAGGAUUCAUUUACAAUCAAAACAAGCUUCAAAAUUCGAAAGAAGAAAGGCAUUGACCACUUUCUUUUAGCAUAUCCUAGAUUUCUUUUGCACCAUCAGUAGUUUAUUUUGAAUCUCUGAUUUUGAUAGUUGCUUGAAAGUUAUCAUAUUUUAAACUUCUUUAAAACUCUUGCAUUCUUUUGGAAAAACUCAACCAUUUCCAACUCACAAUUAAAUUAAUAGAUUUCAAUCACCUUAAGUUAAGGCAAGAGACAAGAAGGUACCUUUUGAGGUUGAUGCCAAAAUAGAUCUCCAAAAAAUCCCUAAGCCUAAAAAGAAAAAGGAAAACAUAAAAGCUUGGAACUUUAGAAAUGCGUAGAGUAAUUGUUAGAUAUAUUUUAAUUUAAUUCACACAUUAUGAAUGAUAAGAGUCUCUAAGUUAAUUGAACUUUCAAGUAACUCAGCAAGUCUAGUUCUUUGCCACCAAGUCCUCCUUCUAAUAUCUACAUGGACCAUCUUAUGAAACACAAGCACAUGCUGCUUGCACAAACUAAAAGCCUAAAAAUGAGAUAAUAAUAACAACAAAUAGGUAGUGUUAGACUAUAAAUUGCAAUAAAACUAUAAAUUCAAUAUAUUACACUACUCAAAAACAUAAACAUAAAUCUACGAUGCAAUAAUUUACAAGCAUCCUUUUAGGGUCUAUUUUGAAAAGACCAAUUAUGGGAUAUUUGUACCAACUAUAUUUUCAAAAUAUUGCUUCAACAAGAAAGAGUCAGUGAACUUACCCGCAGUAACUCAUCAUUGAAAUAAAGUGAUCAAACAUGAUGAAUUCCAUUAAACAAAUUACUUGCAACAUCAAUGUUGAACUCAUCUCUAAAUCCAUUAUGUAGAUCUAUCAUCUCAGCCUUGACAAUAAAAAGUAGGUUUACUUAUGAAUAACUCUUUAAUAAAACACCACAAUAUUUGACGUAGACAAGACUUGAGGCAUCAAUGCCAAGAUGAAAAGGUUUAUUGGAGAUAUCACCAUGAUGAUCUAAAUCUCUUUAGUGAAGGUUUACAAAUAUUUAACUCUAUUAGACUUUCAUAUUGACAAGAAGGCUAAAUCAACAACUUUUCAAGUACAAGGCAACUAGGCAACUCUUCAAGCAUGGGUCAAGUUUGGAGGAAAUUUCAAGAAGCCUUAGGCUUGAGAUUGGAUUUUAAUAUGGCUUUCCAUCCACAAACAGAUGGCCAGUCUGAGCACACCAUCCAAACCCUUGAAGAUAUGUUGAGGGCAAUUGUGCUCAAUUUUAGAGUCUCAUGGAACCAUUACUUGCUUUUGGUCGAGUUCUCUUAUAACAAUAGCUAUCAAGCCACAAUUAGUAUGGUUCCAUAUUAGGCUUUGUAUGCACAAAGAUGUAGAUCGCCUAUUAGUUGGUUUGAAGUUGGGGAAUGAAAACUCUUAGGUCUGAAGAUGGUCCAAGAAGCUGAACGAGGUGUUCAGGUAAUUCGAGAAAAGAUGCCAAUGGCUCAAAGUCAUCAUAAGUCUUGCACCAAUAAUAGGUGCAAACCCUUGGAAUUUGAAGUUGGCGAUUAUGUGUUCUUGAAAAUCUCACCAACCAAGAGAGUGAAAAGAUUUGGAAAGAAAGGGAAAUUGAGCCCUAGAUACAUCGACUCCUUUGAGGUGUUAAAGCGUAUUAGCAUAGUUGCUUAUCACUUGGCGUUACCACCCAACUUAUCCAAUGUUCAUCUAGUAUUUCAUGUGCCCAUGCUUAGGAAGUAUGUUCCUAAUCCUUCGCAUGUGAUAUGGUAUGAUGAAGUCCAGUUACAAAACGGACUUGGUUAUAAGGAGCAACCCAUAGCCAUAUUGGGUCGACAAGUCAACGGCUUCACUCCAAGGAUACUGCUUCGGUGAAAGUAUUGUGGCAUUGGCAUUCAGUUGAAAAGGCCACAUGGGAACUUGAGGAGGAAAUGAGAGAGAAAUAACCCCAUCGUUUUGAGGUUUGAUAUGUGUCUUAAAUUAUGAAAUGUAAUUAAAUUCAGGGAUGAAUUUUCUAUGAGGAGGGGAAAAUGUAACACUUUUAAUUUUUUGACGUAAAUUAAGUUAAUUGAGAAUGAUCUAUUAAAUAUAUAUUGUUCCUCAAGGACAUCAAUUAUAUGUUAUUUAUGUCAAGUGUGGAAAGUGUAUCAUUUACAUUUGGGUGAAUUUUUUUGAGGAAAUAUGAGAACUGAUGAAUAAACUCUAUGGUUUGAGAUUUUGAAUUGUAUUUGACGUGAUAAUUAAGGGUAUGUAUGUGUGGAUUGCAUUUUAUGAAUAAGUUGAGGUUGUGGAAGAGAUUUAUAAUGAGUUUAGACUAUAAAAGGAACAACAUUUACGAAUUUAGACCAAAAAAGUCGAUCUUAGUGCAAAAAGGGUCAAUCUUGUGAAGUAAAAAAUAGGGGAAGUCAAGCAUUCUGACCUGAUAUCAACUAUAAGCCCUCUAUAGUCAAUACUAGAAAGGAAAAAUGGAAGAAAUGUGGACAUUUUGGUCCAGGAUCGACUAUAGACUCUCCACAGUCGAUCCUAUGAAGCAAAAUCAACUAAAAACAAACAUUCUGGUCCAAAAUCGACUAUAGACCCUCUAUAGUCGAUCCUAUGAAAAGGAAAAAAAGGGUGAAAACAAACCUUCUAGUCUAGGAUUGAUUACAAACUCUCCAUUGUCGAUCCUAAGAUGCCUAGUCAACUUAAACUGGGCUUAAAAGCCUCAAAAUAAAAAAUUUCCUCAUUUUCUCUUUAACUCUACAUUUCUCCACCCAUUUUCUCUCAACUCUCACACCCUUCAAACCCAUUAAACUCCAAUCAUAAAUCAUGGAUUCUAAAAGUUAAAGGAAGGAGACUUCACUAUUAAAAGCUUGAUUGUGUGAUUUUACUUUCUUUCUCUAAAACUCAAAACCCUAACCUCUUAAAAUAAUUUUUAAAGCUAUUUGGGGUAUAUUGGAGUGGAUUAGAGCUGGGGAAAUGCUUCCAAAGGUAAGAUUAAGUGUUUUACUGAUUGAAUUUCAAUUUAAUUGGCUAAUGACUUAGAUCUAAUUUGAUCCAACUUUGAAGAAAUUGGCCCUCUUGAGCUGACCAUGGAUUUAGGGUUAAUGAUUGUACAAUCCAAUUCUUAAGGUAUGGAUCUAGCUUAUUAUUGAAGGAUUUAAGCUUAUAUGUAGGAUUGUUAAGGAUUUGGUUAUUUUGAGAAAAGCUAGCAUUGUUCGAAAGCUAGGAUUUAAUUAGUUUUGUAAUAUUUUGAUGUGCUUACAAGAAGAUUGAGCCAUUUGGGCACAUUUGUGAGGUGAAAUACAACUAGAGGCUAAGGAUUGAAGCUUAGUUGUGUAGCACCUCUAAUUUGUCACUAUGAGUGAGAUUAUUAAAUGCAUGUAAUGCAUAACGCAUGAAAAAUGUGUUGCACUGGUACUAUAUUGUAAAUGUAGGCGUAGUUGAACAUGCCUAGGCUAAAGAACUAUGUACUAAUAUAUGUGAAUAUGAUUGCCUAGAUGAGUGUGCCUAGGCUAGUAUAUUGCUAAUGUACAUGUUAGUAUAUGCGUUUGCUUGUCAAUGCCAUUGGGAAGCAUGAGUUGUUAAACAUUUAGGAGAUGUAUGAUUUUAAUGGCCACUAGAUAAGUUGGGAUUAAAUCAGUGUGAUGGUGAUACUACGAUGUACGGUUAAAUUGUCGUUUGUUGACGGAAUAUUAAUGCAUGAUCUAUUGUGAUAUUAUUCAUGUAUAUGCAGCUAUUAGACCAUUAUUAAAUUAAAAUGAGAUUAUUGAUGUAUAUGUAGCCAGUAAGCCAUGAUUAUUGAUGCACUUAGGACUUUAAGAGCUUAUUGAUAAAUUAAACUCGAUAAAUGUGAUUAUUGCUAUGUCGUGGACAUAUGGAAAGAUAGAGAUAUGAUGGUCUCAUUGUGUAAUUAUGUUUCGUCUGAGGAAUGAAUUUUGAACAUCGAUUUGACUUGAGGUUGAGUGGAUCUCAUUACCUUGUGACUGUGUGUGUGCAUGCAGGGAUGGUGGAAAAUGAGGGUUGUGGUUUAGUCCUGCCUAUGAUUCCCACUUGUAGUGUUGUGAUGCCACCUAUCAAGAGAUUACUCCAAGGGAUGUCGUCGAUGGGAGAUUACUCCGAGCAAUGUCAACCGUCAGGAGAUUACUUAAGUCGAUGAUAUGAUUUUCUCUAACUACUUCAACAUUGGGCAUGAUUUGAUUCUCUGUCCGUUGCUUCGGCACACAUGCGACUUGUGCUCCGUCAACUACUUCAGUGCUGGGAGUGAUUUGUUUCUCUGUUGACUAGCCACCAUGUGUGAUUUGACUAUGUCCAAGGGAAGACCACUCAUUGAUUUAAUGUGUAUACAAUGUGAGAUAGCCUGGGAGAGGCUUAGAUAAACAUGAUAUGGUUUAAUGUUAUACUUCAACAACUAGAAUGUGCCAUGGAAAAUGAUGUGGCAGACUUUGGUUGGCUAUGAAGGUAAGUCUAAUGAUGUGUGUGAGGAUCUUUAGGGAUGAUGAUGAGUCCUAUAUCUUUGGAGAUGUUCGGUAGAUCAUGUAGAUGCACUAAGAGUGCCAUGUCCAUUAUGUGUUUAAUAUAUGUAUAUAAAUCUAAUUAUGUGCACCACUCACUGAGUAUUAUAGUAUUCACCCAUUUUUGUACCAUGUGUAGAUAAGUGAGAUAAACGUGGCUUAGAUUUGUCAUUUGGACGCACGAGUUUUGGCAUCCGAUAGGUUUCCACCUAAUGGUUCACUCUGCUAGGUCCUGUCCACACUAGUUAUUGCACCUAAAAUAUUAAAGUUUAGAAAAUAAUGUAUUUCAAAUAUUGUAAGCACUGAGUGCCAUGUGAUAUUGUGUACAAAGGGUCGUAUGAUAUGAACCCGAUAAUUGGCCUAUGUAUGGCCUUAUAGAUAUUUGUAUGAACUAUGUGCCAAGGAUAACGUAUUCUGUUGAAUUAAAUGUCAUUUAUGAAUAUUUGGUUAUGUAGUCCCUUGGCUUUAUGUUAUAUGAUUAUGGAUUCUGAGGCUUCCACAAGUCUCGUGGGCUUUGCCUGCUAGCCUCGUGCGCUACUCACAUACCCUUGGGUUUGGAUCGUGACACAUUCGUCUAAGGUAAUUGUAGUACCUCGUACUUUGAGGUGGUGGCUAAUAAUGCUUACCGUCUACUAAUUGAGGUUGAUUACCGAGUAAAAGGGGUAAUUUAAAAGUGAACCUGUGAAACCUCGACCUCUAUAGACACGUAACUAGAAGUAGACGCAGUAAAACGGACUAAGGGUAAUUUCAUCAUUUUCUUUAGUGAGCCCUUAGAAGUAUGCUUUCAAACACUAUUAAAGCUUAAGUAGGCCUAGGGCACAAAUGAAUGAUGAAAAUAAGGAUAAGAUGACGAAGGAAAUAGAAAUAAUGAUGAUUUCCAAGGUAUGGGCAAAAUGGUCAUCUUACAUCUCGGGUCUAAAUUUUUAAGUUUUUACGAACUUGAGUACUCCUAGACCAUUAUGGACUUUAUCUCAGUGUCCAAAGAGUAAAAAGUUGAACCGAAGGAAAGAAGAAGACAAAGUCACCUUAUGAAGGGCAUUUUGGUAAAUUACAUGAAAAAUUGGAUAAACUUUAGAUAUAAAUAUCUAAAGCUGCAGCAAUUUCUAGCAACUUUCAGCCAUUUCGUCUUCCCUUCCCAUCUCACGUUUCUUCAUCUCCAUGGGAGCCUCCCAUAAAGCUUCCAUAGCUCUUUUAAAUUAACUUCAAUUUACAUGCUUUGGUGCACUUUUUCGUAGAACCUUUAAUGCUCUUUCACUCUCCCACCUUAAAACCCUGAAAAGUCUUUCUUCGACACUUUCUCUCGCUAGUUGAAAGUUUUAGAGAGAGAAAGAGAGACUUGCCAUAGUAGCUUGAAAACUCUUGAAAAGGAGUUUAACUAGAAGUCCACAAGGUGAGAGAAGAGUUAGGGUUGAUUUUAGGUGGUUAGAGAUGGGUAAUAAUUAGAAUUGUGGGCUGUUAUAUUUUUUAUGGUUAUAUUGUGUAUGAUAGGUUCCAACGAGGCCUCAAAUGUUCGUUUGAAGCAAUAAUUGAAGUUAGAGUCGAUUAAAGAUUCAAUAAAUACCGGUGAGUGAACUUGCAUCAAAGUGUUUUUGGGAAAUACAUAUGUGUUGGGACGAAGCAUUUAAAUGAUUUUACUUGGUUUUUCAUUAAAUUAUGCAUGGGAACAAGCCCUUGAUAAAAUGUUUUGAUGUUGUGAAAGUGUGAAAUGUGUAAAAAGAUGAAUCCAUGUUCUUCUAUAUUAUGUUGGUAUGUAUAUAUAUGAAUAUAUGUUGUGCAUUGAUGAAUAAUGUUGUGUGAUAAUGAUGACCCAGCUAUGUGCGCUGUGGUAGUGCACAUAAGCUAAUGAUGACCCAACUAUGUGCGAGUAAGGAGUGCGCAUAAGCCGAUGAUGACCUAGCUAUGUGUGGUGUGAGAAUGCACAUGAGCUGAUGAUGAUGACUUCGACUAUGUGCGAGUAAGGAGUGCACAUGACUAUGAAUGAAGUGGGGUGGUGUACAUGUUUAUAUAUGUUUAUAUAUGUAUAUGUGAUAGAAAGUUAUGAUUAUAAUAUGUGAUUGAAAUGAAUAAUGAGAAACUUAAUUAUUGUCAAUGUGUUCACUUUGAUGUGCAAUACGAUAAGAAUGGAUUUUGUGGCAUGUGAAAAUCCCUUAAUUGUCAUCUGCCCUAAAUCUCGCUGCAGCGAGAAUGCAUUCUCACUACAGCAAGAAACUCUCGGGUGGUGGGGGCACAAACCAACCCUCUUUCUCGCUGUAACCAAAAAGAAUUCUUGCUGCAAAGAGGAAUUUCACUGCAGCGAGAAACUCUAGGGUAGUUCCAAAUUCCUAGUGCAGUGUUUCCACUUUGACAACAAUUUUGACCACCUUUCAGUCAGAACUAGGCAAAGUGGUAAACAUAAAAGUUGUAUCCCAGCCUCUUAUCUUUUUAAUGGUCUAAAAAUAAGGUCAAUUGGACUUAUGUAGUGGGAGAUAAACUGGAAAAACCGAAAUAUAUGCAAACUAAGGUUGUUUCUCGCUGUAGUGAGAAACUUGCUGUUCUGCUUGCUACCUUGCUUGAUUUUGACAUAUUUUUCACCCAUUUAACUUCAUGGAUUGAUCAUGGGUUUUUGCAACACUAUGAGGUUAUUAAUCAAAGUUUGAAAUGAGGGGUUUUUAGUAAGAAAUUAAAUCAAUUGCAUUGUUUUUGAAACAAGUGCAUCAUGAUUUCCAAGUUCUCCUCAUCGAUUGCUUGUUCCCUUCUUAUGUUCACUCACUAAGUUUUAUAUUCACAUUUUCAAACUUCAUGUUUUCAGAUUUGGAGGUAGUUGGGACCUAGGUUGAGUUGUUCAUGUAUGCUCACCUUCUUAGUAGGUACUAUAGCAUCUCAGUAGCUACACCUUAACCCACAAUCACUCCGUUGACGGUCAAGGGUCUGUUAUCUGUGAACACGUAUAUGUAAUGUAAUCCGCUAGUAUCCAUGUUAUAAGUCAAAUUAUGUAUCUUUGAUUACUGAUGCCACUAUGAGUUGGCAAACGGGUGACAUUAUUUUGACAUAAUAGAAUUGUGAGUUUUGGGUCAUUAUAAAAUAUUACUGAAAUAUUUUUAGUUCAGAAUUUCAAUAUGUGGUUUUAGAAAUGAUGGUUGGGAAAGAUGACCGGGUUUGCAUAAAAAGGCUUGCUUGGGCUUAGUGGGCCAUGCCCAUUGGCCCCAUGCACCGAUCAUGGCUCGAGAUUUGGGCUUUGACAAAAGUGGUAUCAGAGUAAAGGGUUGUAACACAAUCCCUGGGAACUCUCGCAUGUAAACAGUGGGCAAAGCAUGACUCUCCACCUAGGGGCUAUAGAGGAAAGGGCUACCUCUAUCAGAGAGUGUGGAGCCGCCUUAUUAAUGCGCUGAUAGAUACCCUUUUGUCAUGACCCAAAUUUCGAGCCAUGAUCCACGCAUGGACCCAAUGAGCAUAGCCACUAAGUUCAAGCAAGCCUAUUUAUAUAACCUAUUCAUUAAUCUAUUGAGUAUUCCUAAAGUCACAUUUUAUGAUCUCAACUGUAAGUACUUGAAUGAUAUUCUACCAUGAUCAAAUAUUCACAUGUAUAUAUAUAUAUUACCCAAAAAUGGUGCUAACCAUUGCCAACUCAUAAUGGCAUUACCAUUCAAAGUAUAUAUAUACAUAUAUAUUGUCUAAGAUAAGUAUCUUAAAAUUUUACAUUUCGUUUAUCUAUAUAUAUAGCAUAAAGACACUCGACUUCCAGCGGAGCAACUUUGGCGAAGGUACAACUAUUGAAUGCCAAGAUACCUACCAAAGAGACGAGUCCACAUGGACACCUUGACCUAGGUUCCAACUGCCUCCUGAUCUGAAAACAUAAAGUUGAAAACUGUGAGUAUGAACUCAGUGAGUGAGCAUAGGAAGGGAACAAGCAAUUGAUAAGGAAAAUUUAAAAAUCAUGAUGCACUUGUUUUGAAAACAAUGCAGCUUGGUUUAAUUUCUUCCCUAAACCCCAUGUUUCAAACAUUGGUAAAUAAACUCUUAGUGUUGCAAAGACCCAUGCUCAAUCAUGAAGAUAAAAGAGUGAAGAAAAAUUAUAUAAAAAACCAAGCAAGGUAGCAACGUGACAGCACGUUUCUCGCUACAGUAAAAGGCAUUCUUGGUUUGUAUAUGUUUCAAUUUUUCAAGUAUAUCUCCCACUACAAAAGUCCAAUUGACAAGUUUGUUCAUUCAUUAGAAAGCUAAGAGGCAGGGCUAUGACUUUAGUGUUUACUACUUUGCCUAGUUCUAAACAAAAAAUGGUCAUAAUUACUAUCAAAGUGAUAGUACUGCACCACCACCAGAGAGUUUCUGGCUGCAGCGAGAAUCCAUUUUUGCUAUAGCCAAAUUCCUUGCUGCAAUAAACAUCAAUUUGAAAAUACUUAAAUACUUUCACUGUUCAACAUGCAAGAUUCCACAUACAUUACAAUCAUUUACUAUAUUCAUAAACUUUCUACUACGCAUGUAUAUAUAUAUAAACACGAAUACCACCACCUUCCUCAGCCAACAUGCACUCCCCACACGCACAUCAUUACCAGCAUGUGCACUGCCCACUCCGCACAUGCACAGUUGUAAGUGUCACAACAUUGUCAUUCGACUGGCAUAUGCACUACCCACUCCGCAUAUGCACGGCUGUAGUUGUCACAACAUCGUCAUUCAACUGGCAUAUGCACUGCCCACUCCGCACAUGCACAAUUACAUCAAUUACACAAAAUUACUUAGCAAUACAUAUCAUAUAUUUUUAUAUACACAUCAACAUCAUAUAAAGGUAUAGAGAUUCAUCACAAUCAUGUUCCACACCACCAAAAACAUUUCACUAAAGGCUUGUUCCCAUGUAUUUUAUAGAAAAACAAUUAAAAUGUCUCAAUCAACCACAUGUGCCUUAAUCCCAAAACAUUUUGUGCAAGUUCACUCACCAGUAAUUGUUGAAUCUUUACUCGACUCCAACCUCCACUAAUGGUCCAAAUGGAACUGUGGGGCCCCGUUGGGACCUAUCAUCACAAUAACAUCACAACCAACUCGAUUUGCAUAAUUAUUUUUCUAAAACCUAUCCACUAAAUCAUGUUCUGCUAGUUGUUUUUAACUAGCUUCCAUCAACCAUCAAGUGACUAUAUAUUUUCACUAUUCUAGUCACACUACAAUGAAUAAACCACCUCAACUACAAAACACUCACCGAUCUAGCCACUAGCCGUUCUCAACAACUAAAAAAAAAAAUCAACUCAAUUUCACUACUCACCUUAGUAGCUUUGUAAUUGAAUUUCUUUCCUAAAAGUUUUCAAACUAUCAGGAAAAUCUAACUUUCUCUCUAGAACAUCCAGCUAGUGAGAGAGUGUAAUAAGCAAAUGUUUUUGAGGGUUUUUAUGGUGAGAAAGUAUAAGAGCACAAAGAACUUUGGGAAAGGGUACACAAAAACAUGAAAAAUCGAGGUUAACUUAAGGAAAUAUAUGGAAAUUCAAGGCAAGCUUCCAUGGGAGGGGUGAGAGAACGUGGGACAGGAAGGAGAAGAAGAAGAAGUGCUGGAAAUUUGAAGAACAUCCUAGAAACUUAGAUUUUUAUGGCUUAAGUUUAUCCAUUUCUAGCAAAAUUACCAAAAUGCCCUUAACUAUGUAAUUUUGUUUUUUUUCAUUACUUUAAUACAAUCUUUUUACUUCUUUAACACUGAGACAAGGUCAAUAAAGGUUUAGAAAUACUCGGGUUCAUGAAAACUUAAAAUUUCAACUCGAGAUGUAAAAUGACCGUUUUACCCAUACCGUGAAAAUUAUCGGUAUUUCUAUCUUCUUCAUUAUCUUAUCCUCAUCCAUUCAUUCCUUAGGCCUACGUGGACCUUAAUAACAUUAGAAAACAAGUUUUAGGGGCUGACCAGGAGAUAUGACAAAAUUACCCCUAGUUCGUGUUAUCGCGUUUACUGCUAGUUACUAGUCAAUAGGAGUCAAGGUCUCACAUUCUCCCCCACUAAAAGAAAUUUGGUCCUUAAAUUUAGAUCUAGUAUAAGAUAGUCUACCUCUAAGUAUUAAAGAGUUGCGAUACUUUGUCCGCAUCUCCUCUUCAGUUUCUCACGUUACCUCCUCACUAGUGUGGUUUCGCCAUAACACCUUCACUGAGGUCACAUCCUUUGAACAGAGCUUUUUGACUUGUCGAUCUAGGAUAGCUAUCGGUUGCUCCUCAUAGGUCAAAUCAUCUUUCAGUUGGAUAUUUUCAUACCGUAUUACAUGCGAUGGAUCCGGAUUAUACUUCCUAAGCAUCGACACAUGAAAUACGGGUUAAAUAUUUGAAAGGUCUGACUGUAAUGCCAAAUGAUAUGCUACUGCUCCAACCUUUUCUAAGAUCUCGAAGGGUCCUAUAUAACGAGGACUUAAUUUUUCUUUCUUGCCAAAUCUCAUUACCCCUUUUGUUGGUGAGACCUUAAAAAAUACAUGAUCUCCCACUUGAAACUCCAAGUCCCUCUGUCUAUUAUCAGCAUAGGACUUUUGUCUACUUUAUGCUAUUAACAUCCUCUGAUGGAUCAUGCAUAUUUUCUUGGUGGCAUCCUACACCAACUCAGGCCCCAAGAGUUUCCUCUCUCCUACCUUUAGCCAUCCAAUGGGUGACUUGCACCUCCGUCCAUAUAAUGCUUCAAAUGGUGCCAUUUGGAUGCUAGCUUGGAAACUGUUAUUGUAGGCAAACUCCACUAAGGGUAGAUAUCGAUCCCACUUGACCCCAAGGUCUAGUACACAGGCCCUCAACAUAUCUUCUAAUGUAUGUAUCGUCUGUUCAGACUGGCCAUCAAUUUGCUAGUGAAAAGCCAUGCUAAAAUCCAACUUAGUGCCCAAUGCUUCCUGCAACUUUCCCCAGAACCUAGUAGUGAAUUGAGCUCCUCUGUCAAAUACUAUAGAAAUCGGGAUACCAUGCAGCCGUACUAUCUCAUCAACAUAAACUCGAGCGUACUAGGCAACACCGUAAGUAGUCUUAACCUAAAGAUAAUGAGCUGAUUUCGUUCACCGGUGUACUAUAAUCCAAAUUGAGUCGUAACCCCCACUAGUUCGAGGGAAACCCGUUACAAAGUCCAUGGCAAUAUGCUCCCACUUCCACUCGGGCACUGGUAACGGUUGUAGUAGCCUUACAGGCCUUUGAUGCUCAGCCUUAACCUGCUGACAAACCAGGCACUUGGAGACGAACUCAGCUACAUCUUUCUUAAGUCCUUCCCACUAAUAUACCUCUUUCAAAUCUUGAUACAUCUUUGUAGCCCCUAGAUGCACCACAUAGGCUGCCAUGUGUGCCUCCUCCAAUAUUUCUCUCCUUAAUCCAUCACUAGCGGACACAUAAAGUCUAGUUCCAUACCUCAAUACUCCAUCUGUGCCUUUACUAAACAUCUUUCCUUUCCUUCUUUGAGGAUCCUCUAAGGCCUUAGUUAUGAACUCAUCUUUACUUUAUGCUUCUUUAAUCCUGUCCAUUAAGAUAGGCCUCACUCUAAAAUGGGCUAACAAUGCAUUUGCCUUUGAAACUUCCAAAUGCACACCCAUGUCUCCCAAGCGAUGCAUCUCCUUAAUCAAGAAUCUCCUAUCUGCGAAGAUAUGUGCCAAGCUUCCCAUCGAUUUUCGACUCAAGGCAUCUGCCACUACAUUUGCCUUACCGGGAUGGUAGAGAAUAGUACAAUCAUAAUCCUUUAGCAACUCCAUCCACCUACGUUGCCGCAAAUUAAGAUCCCUCUGCUGAAAUAUAUACUUCAAGCUUUUGUGGUCCGUAUGUAUCUCACAAGUCUCACCAUACAAAUAAUCCCUCCAAAUCUUUAAGGCAAACACGAUUGUUGCCAUCUUCAAAAUGUGUGCGGGGUAAAUUCUGCUCAUGCCUUUUAAGUUGCCUUGAUGCAUACGCAAUCACCUUCCCAUGCUGCAUUACUACACACCUUAAGCCAACCCGCGAUGCAUCACAAGACACCGUAUAACCCCUUAUGCCUUGUGGUAGGCUUAAUACUGAGUUGUGGUGAGACAUGCCUUAAGCUUCUCAAAGCUAUUCUUACAAGCAUCUGACCACUCAAAUUUUGUAUAUUUGCGUGUCAGCUUAGUUAGAGGGGUGACUAUUUUGGAGAAGUCCUUUACAAAAUGAUGAUAAUAGCCAACCAAAGCCAAAAAGCUUCUAAUCUCCAUAACUGAUGUUGGCCUUGGCCACUUUUCCACUACCUCGACUUUCUUUUGGAUCUACUUGGACCCCAUCUUUGGAUACCACAUGUCCCAAGAAUGCAACGCUUUCAAGCCAGAACUCACACUUGGAGAACUUGGCAUACAAUCGAUGUUCUCUCAAAGUUUAGAGCACUAUCCUAAGAUGCUAUUCGUGCUCCUCCCGGCUCUUCGAGUAGAUCAAGAUGUCAUCAAUAAAUACCACCAUGAACUUGUCCAAAUAGGGCUUGAACACUCGGUUCAUCAAAUCCAUAAAGGUCGUAAGGGCAUUAGUAAGCCCAAAUGACAUCACCAAGAACUCAUAGUGCCCAUAUCUUGUUCGAAAAGUAGUCUUAGGUAUGUCCUCAUUUCUGACCCUCAAUUGGUGGCACCCCAAUCGUAGAUCUAUCUUAGAGAAACAUUGUGCCCCUUGUAGCUAAUCAAAUAGAUCAUCUAUUCUUAGGAGGGGCUACUUAUUCUUUACCGUUACCUUAUUAAGUUGUCGAUAGUCAAUACAUAAUCUAAGUGACCCAUCUUUCUUCUUUAUAAAUAGCACUAGUGCUCCCUAUGGUGAGACGCUGGAGCGAAUGAAGCCUUUAUCUAACAAAUCCUCCAACUGAUCCUUAAGUUCCUUAAGCUCCGUCGGUGCCAUUCUAUAUAGGGGUAUGAAUAUAGGUCUAGUGUCGGGAAUCAAAUCUAUACAAAAUUCAAUCUCUCUUUUAAGAGGCAAACCUAGUAGUUCCUCAAGAAAUACAUCCAUGAACUCAUUCACCACCGACACUUGGUUUAUAUCUCCCACCUUUGCUUGAGUAUCCCUUACCACAACCAAGUAACCUGAACAACCCUGUCUUAAUAACCUUUUGGUAGACAUGACCGAUUUCAAUUUGGUUGAAGCAUUACUCCUAUCCCCUUGAAUACUAAAUGAUGGUUCACCAGGAAAAUCAAAUCUUACCAGUUUAUGAUAACAAUCCACACUGGCAUGGCAGGGUGAUAACCAAUCCAUUCUUCAGAUCAAGUCAAAGUCUAAGGUGUCUAACACCACUAGAUUCACCAAAGUGUCUUUGUCCUUGACUCAAACUACAUAGGACGCAUAUUCCCAUUCUGCCAUAAAUACCUCUUUUAAAGGAGUAGACACAAUUAAUUGUUCCUUUCUCCUAACACGAUCCUUACCCAGAAUAAGUGCAAAACAUGGAGAAAUAAAGGAGUGGGUAGCACCAGGAUCAAACAAUACUCGAGCAUUCAUAUUACAAACAAAAAAAGUACCCAAGACCACUGCAUUGGAUGUUUGGGCCUCUUGAGGUGUUAAAGCAUAUACCCUGUCUUGGCCUCUACCGGCGAAACUCUAACGUCCAGAUCUAGAAGGCAUGCCCUAAGAGGAAGUAGUAGCACCUCUACCUUUUGAUUUGCUAGCCUCUCGAUCAGAUGAGGUAGUUACUGAAUGAGCAGACCAAGUUAGUUGGGUGGAGCCGCGAGCAAAACCUUGCGAUUGAUGAGCCAUGGGGCAAUUCCACCUAAUAUGUCUAGGUUGACCACACCCAUAACAAACACUCGGAGUACGAAAGCAUCGCCAGCUAUGUCGCCCCUCACAAUUAGUGCAACGUUUGAUAACUUGAUUGUUCUGUCUUGAAUCUUGUUACGUUCCAGCACUGAAGGUCAUUUGUCCUGCCCCAAUAAUAGCACCAGGUGAGUCACUCCCUUUUUGGGGCAAUUGUGAGUCCUGUUGUGGACCUUGACUGCUAGAAGAUGAAACACCGCUGCUGAAAUCUCUAUGGCCUUGAUAACCCUUUUGGCCCUUUUUAGUCUUUCCCUCGCAACUCUACUCUCACUAGUCCUCAUCUCAAUACGUUGAGCACAAUCCACUGCUACGGAGUAGGUUUUGAAAUCUCGAGAUGCCACAGCCCUAAACAAUGGCUCCACUAGCCCAUGUACAAACCUCUGAAUCUUCAUCUCCUCAGUGGAAACUAAAUAAGGUGCAUACUGAGCUAGCUACAUGAAUUUGAUGUUGUAUUCUGACACCGUCAUACUUGGGGUCUAUACCAAAGUCUUAAACUCCCUAGCUCUGCCAUUACGUACAUUUAGUGGUAAAAAUCUAUGCAAGAAAACAGUACUGAACUCACUCCAAGUCAACGGUGCUGCGUCCGUUGGUCUACCUCUACAUAAAGAGCUAUACCACUAUUGCGCCCCGUCCUCUAAUUGAAAGGCAGCUAGCUCGACUGAUCGGACCUUGGAACAUCCUAAGGCUUUACAAAUUUUCUUCAUCUUAUCUAAGAAAAUUUAGGGUUUCUCCGAGGCAUCAGAUUUUGAAAAUGAUGGAGGUUUAAGCUUAAGAAAAUCGGAAAGAGAAAUCUCUAAAUGACCCCUCUAAACCUCAUGAUGUUGGCGAUCAGCUUGUCUUUAAGAGCUAAGGGAUUCUUGUACUGUAGGUCUCCCAUCCACUAUGCUCUGUAUAUCAUCCAUACGGGUCACCAUCAUCUCUACGAUCUGGUUGACUCCCUGUAGGCCUACCGCUAAAUAUUCAAUGGUAAUACCCCUAGUUGGUUAUCUAUCUGCAUCACUUGAAGAUUGUGCUUCUUCUAGCCGACUCACAAGAGUAUCCACCCUCACUGGCCUAGUGGCCCUACAACGUCUACCUCAGCCCCUAAAGGUAGAUGCUCGUGGCCUAUCUGUCAUUUCAUUAGGGGCAUCUUGCUCCCCUAUCCGGCUUGAGGCAGCUCAUGUCUUAGGUGACAUUCUUACCUAGACAAGAGCAACACCUAUUAUUAAACACAUUUUCUAUCAAGCCGUACUCUAUUAUAUACUUGUCAUGUUAUUCAUGUACUUGAUAACAUAUCUACAUACUGGGAUGCCUCGGAGAAUCGUUAAAAGUUGGUAUCGUACCUAGUGGUAUAAUUAAGUUGAUUAAAACCUCGAACUAGUUUGAAUAGAGAUUUUAGGAUAUAUUUGAGAGUUAUUGAAUCUUAGAAUGUUUUAAUAUGGUGAUUCAGAGUUCGAGGAUUAAUUUGGAGUCAAAUUAGGAAUUUUCAUAACGUAAGGGCAAAAUGGUCAUUUUUCCAUUCGAUGGUAAAAUGGGAAUGUUGGAUGAAAUUUUUGACCAAGUUUGACUAAUUGGAGAAUGAUUUGAUUUGAGAAAUGAAAAAUUUUAAUUUUGACAUUUUUCGAACAUAAGGGCAAAAUAGUCAUUUUAUGUGUCCACGGGGACGUAAUUAGAAUUUUUGGAAUUUUACACCAUCAUAACACUUGUCAGGCCCAUGAAUUUCACCUAUUAUUAUUAUCAUACUUUGGAUAAUUAAGAGAUUACAUGUGGUGGUGAGAAAAUGCUUAAUUGUUAAGUUUUAAACAUUGACCAAUCACAUGGUGACACAUGUCAAGCUUUAAUAUUUUUAUAAUUUCCUUUAUAAACUCUCCCAUUUCACUCUUCAUGGCCGGCCGAAGCAAAGAACAAAGAGAAAAGAAUAGAAACAAACCCUAGAAAGGAAAAUUCAAGAGAAAUUUGUAGAAUUUCUAAGAACAAAGCAAUCAAUUGUAAGAUUUUUCAAUUUUAGCUUAAAAUCUACCUUUCCCAUGCUUUCUUUUUCAUUUUCUAUGGAUGAAACACAAGUUUCCAUGAGGGAAUACAUGUUGGCCGAAAAUAGGGAGAGAGGUUUUGAUGGUGGAUUUUGCUAGAUUUCAUGAUAUCUUAGUGUUUUUAGUUGUUUGAUGAUGUUUGGCAUGAAAAACAAGCAAGAAAAUCACAUGCACUUCAACAACCCUCUUUGGCCAAAUUUUGUAGAUGACAUGUUGAUGAUAGAUUUGAUUCCUAAUGAUGUAGAUGGAUUUAUUGAACUGUGUUAACACUGAUUAGCACGUUAGUUCGAAAUCAGAAUGAAUUUCGGUUAUGAUGAAUUAAGUCACAAUCAAGCUCAUUGAGGUACUUUGGUGUAUUUGGAAUAUUGGAAGUGUAAUGAAUAUAUUUGAAGUUGAAUCGGAAGUUUUGGCUAAUUCAACAGUGCAUAGUUUGAGUUAGGUCAAAUACAAAUUCAAUCUGAUCAUAAUUGAACCCACGUAGAACACCGUCUUUAAGUGAUUAUUCGAACAAUUCUCAUUCAAUUUCAUGAAUUCAUAUAGAGCCUAAAAUAGUUUUAUAACAGUUUUGGCACAAAUAUAUUGAAUUACGUGUUGUGUAUUAUGUAUAGGUGGUAAGCCCUCUGAUAAGGGUAAAGAUAUCGUACUCGAGGACCAAGGAUAAGAGUACUCCAAACUCCCGCUAUUAUGAGUAAUCAAAUGUUCAUCUUAACUAUCUAAAGUAGUUUAUACUCAUUUUUAUGAUUUUAAAGAAUAAUGAACUUAAACCGUAGAUUUUUAUGUUUUAUAAGUUAAGUGAUGGUUAAAUGAAUGAGAUUUAUAAUUUUUUUUGCAAUUCAAUGAUGAUUUUGGAAAUUGAGUAAGUGGAGACUAAAUACUUGUGUUAUCUAUAUAUAUAUAUGGUUUGAAUUGAUGGCUUAUGACAAUAUGAUGGCAUGAAUGGCUGGAUUUGUGGUUUGUAGAUUAUAUAAACUAAUUUGUUUUACCUUGACAAGCUGGGUAAUAUUAUAUUAGCCAUGACAUGCUGUCGAAAUUUUAUUGAUUUGGUGGGUUAUUUGAUUAACUUACUACAGUGGGCGGGUUUCUGUGGACCAGCUUAUUAGAAGGGCACGGUAAACCUCGUUAUAUUGUACCUUAGUACGAAAGGCGUGAAGGGUAUCUCCUAAGGUAGUUUAGAGUUCACUUCACGUCGAACCACCACGUGAGGGUGAAACUCAGCCAACGCCAAGGAACGGCUAUAUUUUUAAACGUAAAAACAUGUUUUAUGUGUAUAUGUUAUUUAACAGCCUUAGCGAACUCAGUUGGAUGCCCUGCGCAAAGUGUCACCGAGUACGAGUUUUGGCACAAGCCAAGUUUUUAAGAGAAUCAUAAGCCUUGUUGAUUAUUUUGAUGAAAUGUAAUUGUUUUAUAUGAAUUGAAAUGAGUUUUAAAUGUUAUGAAUCAUAUUAUGAUGGGAUGAUUUAAUUGUCUCCAUUUACUCGGCUUUAGAUGUUGUAGAUGAACUUUGCUGACUCACUAGGUUUAUAAAAACUCACCUCUUCUUUUUACUCAUUUCAGGCUCAGGAUAGUCUGUAGACAGCCGAUUUUGUAGAGGGUUGCUUUUGAAUUUGCAUCUUUAGAAAUCGAAGGUCUACAGUCUUGUAUAUUUUUGGUUAUUUUGGGGCCCACAUGUCAUUGUAGAAUAUUUUUGAAUACCUGGUUUAGUGUGCUAUUAUAUAUAUGAAUUUAUUUUACUUUUACGCUACAGAAAUUGUUUAUGCAAGAUUCUAUAAAUAUUGUUUUUAUAAGAAAAUAGAAUAUUUUAUUUAAUAUUUUUAUUUAGUUUGAUUAGCCAUAAUUUCAUUUUAAUGGAUGAUUUAGAUUACUGAAAUUAUUUUUAGAUAAGAAAUGUAUAUUUUUUUAUCGUAUGCUAUAUUUUCACCAGGUUUCAAAAUUUUCUAGUAAAAAUGACUAAAAUACUCCUGUGUGGCAGGAAUUACUUUUUGUUUGUUUUAAUUUAAAAAUAAUUUAUAUUCCCUUAAAACAUGAUAUUUAGUAUCUGUUGCUCACAAGGGAGAUGUAAAAUUGAUGCAAGAGCCUUGUGAGGUUUCGGUUGACAUUUCGGGUAAUGAAUGUUUAUCGAGACAUCGCGGUAGUUGUCACGGGCUCGAAGGGAGUACUGGGUCGUGACAUUUUCUAUAAUCAUAUAUAAAGAAAAAGGUGGUUUCUAAGAUAGGAAAUCUAUGUGGUCCUUUGGUUGUAAAAUGUGUCGCAAUUCACACUUCACAACUGAAGUUCCCACAUCAAGACCUGACACUCCGCUAGAUCAACAAAAGAAAGUCUUACGACCUAGACAACCUAGAGCUCUGAUACCAAUAUUGUCACGACCCAAAUUUCGGGCCGUGACCGGCGCAUGGACCUAAUGAGCAUAGCCACUAAGUCCAAGAAAGCCUAUUUAUAUAACUUGUUCAUCAAUCUAUUGAGUAUUCCUAAAGUCACAUUUCAUGAUCUCAAUUGUAAGUACUUGAAUGAUAUUCUACCAUGAUCAAAUAUUCGCAUGUAUAUAUAUAUUACCCCAAAAUGGUGCUAACCAUCGCCAACUCAUAAUGGCGUUACCAUUCAAAGUAUAUAUAUACAUAUAUAUUGUGAAACCCUAUCAAGCUCGAUUAAAAGACGGUAUUGUACCGAGUGGUACAACUAAGUUAAAUCGAGCAUUGAACUAGUUCAAAUAGAAAUUCUAAGAGGAAUUUGAAAAUUCUAAAACCCACAGAAUGACUUAGAAUAGUGAUUCGGAGUUCGAGGUCCAGUUUGGAGUCCAUCCGAAAAAUUGACCGAUUAGGGACAAAACGGUCAUUUUACCAUUUGAUGAUAAAAUAGAGAUUUUUGGCCAAGAUUUGAUCACAUUUGACCAAGAAUAAUUAUAUGAAAUAUAAUUAUGAUUAUUGGAGUAUAAAAUAAUGUUUAGCAGUGAAAAAUUGUGAUUCUCGGUAUUUUUGGAGCACAAGGGCAAAAUGGUAAUUUUACCACUAGAGGACUAAACGGGAAUUUUUAUAAAAUGAUUUUUACCUCAUUUGGUUAAUAUUGAUCAAUAUUAGUGUUAUUUGAGGUUGAAAAUUAGAAAUAAUGUGAUUCCGGUAUAUUUCGGAGUAUAGGGNNNNNNNNNNNNNNNNNNNNNNNNNNNNNNNNNNNNNNNNNNNNNNNNNNNNNNNNNNNNNNNNNNNNNNNNNNNNNNNNNNNNNNNNNNNNNNNNNNNNNNNNNNNNNNNNNNNNNNNNNNNNNNNNNNNNNNNNNNNNNNNNNNNNNNNNNNNNNNNNNNNNNNNNNNNNNNNNNNNNNNNNNNNNNNNNNNNNNNNNNNNNNNNNNNNNNNNNNNNNNNNNNNNNNNNNNNNNNNNNNNNNNNNNNNNNNNNNNNNNNNNNNNNNNNNNNNNNNNNNNNNNNNNNNNNNNNNNNNNNNNNNNNNNNNNNNNNNNNNNNNNNNNNNNNNNNNNNNNNNNNNNNNNNNNNNNNNNNNNNNNNNNNNNNNNNNNNNNNNNNNNNNNNNNNNNNNNNNNNNNNNNNNNNNNNNNNNNNNNNNNNNNNNNNNNNNNNNNNNNNNNNNNNNNNNNNNNNNNNNNNNNNNNNNNNNNNNNNNNNNNNNNNNNNNNNNNNNNNNNNNNNNNNNNNNNNNNNNNNNNNNNNNNNNNNNNNNNNNNNNNNNNNNNNNNNNNNNNNNNNNNNNNNNNNNNNNNNNNNNNNNNNNNNNNNNNNNNNNNNNNNNNNNNNNNNNNNNNNNNNNNNNNNNNNNNNNNNNNNNNNNNNNNNNNNNNNNNNNNNNNNNNNNNNNNNNNNNNNNNNNNNNNNNNNNNNNNNNNNNNNNNNNNNNNNNNNNNNNNNNNNNNNNNNNNNNNNNNNNNNNNNNNNNNNNNNNNNNNNNNNNNNNNNNNNNNNNNNNNNNNNNNNNNNNNNNNNNNNNNNNNNNNNNNNNNNNNNNNNNNNNNNNNNNNNNNNNNNNNNNNNNNNNNNNNNNNNNNNNNNNNNNNNNNNNNNNNNNNNNNNNNNNNNNNNNNNNNNNNNNNNNNNNNNNNNNNNNNNNNNNNNNNNNNNNNNNNNNNNNNNNNNNNNNNNNNNNNNNNNNNNNNNNNNNNNNNNNNNNNNNNNNNNNNNNNNNNNNNNNNNNNNNNNNNNNNNNNNNNNNNNNNNNNNNNNNNNNNNNNNNNNNNNNNNNNNNNNNNNNNNNNNNNNNNNNNNNNNNNNNNNNNNNNNNNNNNNNNNNNNNNNNNNNNNNNNNNNNNNNNNNNNNNNNNNNNNNNNNNNNNNNNNNNNNNNNNNNNNNNNNNNNNNNNNNNNNNNNNNNNNNNNNNNNNNNNNNNNNNNNNNNNNNNNNNNNNNNNNNNNNNNNNNNNNNNNNNNNNNNNNNNNNNNNNNNNNNNNNNNNNNNNNNNNNNNNNNNNNNNNNNNNNNNNNNNNNNNNNNNNNNNNNNNNNNNNNNNNNNNNNNNNNNNNNNNNNNNNNNNNNNNNNNNNNNNNNNNNNNNNNNNNNNNNNNNAGCAUGGACUUCCAACAUUUAGGACAAAAUGAGUUAAGUUUAAAAUGAGGGGUUUUUAAUAUGAAUGGAACUAAAUUCCAUUGUUUUGAAACAAGUGCAUCAUGAUUUUAAAUUCUCCCUUGUUGUUGUUGCUUGUUCCCUUCCUUGUUCACUCACUGGGUUUAUACUCACCAUUUUCAAAUUCAUGUUUUCAGAUCACGAGGCAGCCAGUAACUAGGGCGAGGUGUCCUUGUAGACCUGUGUUCAUCUUUUGGUAGGUGUCUCGACAUUCGGUAGCUGUAUAUUCAUUUGAGUCACUCCGCUGGAAGUUGAGUGUUAUUUUGUUUUGUAUAGACGAACUUAAUGUAAAUUAUUAGAAUACAUGUUGUAGACAUUGUAUGUAAAUUUUUAAGGAGUAAUGCUAGUACGAGUUGGCAAUGUAUAUCAUUAUUUUGAUUCAAAGUUAUUAAAUAUGACUUAGUGAUAUUAGAUGGAAUUAUAAGUAAGAUAAAUAAUAGGCUUGCUUGGGUUUAGUGGAUUACGUCCAUUGGACCCUUGCGCUGGUCAUGGCCCAGAAUUUGGGUAGUGACAAUGUUGGUAUCAAAGCCCUAGGUUUGUCUAGGUCCUAGAACUUCCUUUUGUUGGUCCAGCGGAGAGUCAGGUCUUUAUGUGGGAACUUCAGUUGUAAAGUGUGAACCGCGACACAUUUUACAACCAAAUGAUCGCGUAGAUUCUCUAUCUUAGAAACCACCUUUUGCCUUAAGUAUGAUUAUAAUAUGUGUUUAAUAUCAGGUGUUUGCUCUUGUCUAGGUAAGAAUACCGCCUAAGACAUGAGCCGCCUCAAGACGAAUGAGGGAGCAAGAUGCUCCUAUUGAGAUGGCAGAUAGGCCACGAGCAUCCACCCAAAGAGGCCGAGGUGGACGUGGCAGGGCCACUAGAUCGGUGAGGUCAGAUACGCUUGUGAGUAGGCAAGAGGAGGGACAGUCCUCAGGUGAUCUAGAUAGACACCCAGUUGGGGGUAUUACUAUUGAGGAUUUGGCGACAGGCCUACAAGGAGUUAACUGGGUUGUAGAGAUGAUGGCGACCCGUGUGGAGGAUAUACAGAGGGUAGUAGAGGGGAGACCUACAGUUCAAGAAUCUCCUAGCUCCCAAGGACAGGUCGAUCGCCAAUAUCUUGAGGUUAAGAGGGGUCACUUAGAGAUUUCUCUUCUCGAUUUCCUAAAGCUGAAGCCUCCAUCAUUUUCAGGGUCUGAUGCAUCAGAGAAACCUCAGGUUUUCUUGGAUAAGAUCGAGAAGAUAUGUAAAGCUUUGGGAUGCUCCAGUGUUCGGUCAGUUGAGUUAGCCGCAUUUCGAUUAGAGGAUGUGAUGCAAUAGUGGUAUAGCUCUUUAUGUAGAGGUAGACCGAAGGAUGCAGCGCCAUUGGCUUGGAGUGAGUUUAGUGCAGCCUUCUUGGAUCGAUUCCUACCACUCAGUGUACGUAAUGCUAGAGCUAAGGAGUUUGAGACUUUGGUACAGACUUCAAGUAUGACGGUGUCGGAGUAUGACAUCAAGUUCACACAAUUGUCUCGGUAUGCUCCCUACCUCAUUUCUACUGAGGAGAUAAAGAUUCAGAGAUUUGUGGAUGGGUUAGUAGAGCCACUGUUUAGGGCGGUGGCAUCUCAAGAUUUCACUAUCUAUUUCGUAGUAGUAGAUUGUGCUCAGCGCAUUAAGAUGAGGACCAGUGAGAGUAAGGCUGCGAAGGAUAGAGCAAAUAGGGCCAAGACAGAGGGUUAUCAGGGCCGUUGAGAUUUCAGCAGUGGUGGUUCGUCUUCUAGCCAUUAGGAUCCACAGAGGGAUUCACGAUUAUUCCAGUAAAGGAGUGACCUGCCUAGUGCUAGUGUUGGGAUGGGACAGAGAACUUUCAAUGCUAGGAGGCAACAAGAUUCGAGACAGAGUAGUCAAGUUAUCCACCCUUGUAAUAUCUGUGGGAGGAGACAUACUGGACGAUGCUUACGUACUGCAGCAGUUUGUUAUGGGUGUGGCUAACCUGGGCACAUUAGGAGGAAUUGUUCGAUGGCUCAUCAAUCACAAGAUUCGGCACGUGGUUCCACCCAGCUAGCUUCGUCUACUCCUUCCGUUGUUGCCUCAUCUGGCCGAAAGGCUAGUGGAUCGAGAGGUAGAGGUGCUGAUACUUCCUCUCAGGGUAGGCCAUCUGGGUCCGGACAUCAGAGUUCUGUUGGUAGAAGCCAGGCGAGGGUGUUUGCUUUAACACAACAAGAGGCACAGACAUCCAAUGUCGUGGUCUCAAGUAUUCUUUUAGUUUGUGAUAUGAAUGCUCGAGUCUUAUUUGAUCCUGGUGCUACCCAUUCUUUUAUCUCUCCAUGUUUUGCAUCUCGGUUGGGUAGAGAUCGUGUUAGGAGAGAGAAACAAUUAGUGGUGUCUACUCCUUUAAAGGAGAUAUUUGUGGCCGAAUGGGAAUAUGAGUCCUGUGUAGUACGAGUCAAGGACAAGGACACUUUGGUGAAUUUGGUGGCGUUAGACACCCUAGACUUUGAUGUGAUCUUGAGGAUGAAUUGGUUAUCGCCCUGUCAUGCUAGUAUGGACUGUAAUCAUAAAUUGGUUAGAUUUGAUUUCCCCGGUGAACCAUCAUUUAGUAUUUAGGGGGAUAGAAGUAAUGCUCCAACCAAUUUGAUAUCGGUCAUUUUUGCCAGAAAAUUAUUACGACAGGGUUGUAUAAGUUACUUGGCCGUGGUAAGAGACACUAAGGCGAAGGUGGGAAAUGUAAGUCAAGUGUCAGUUGUGAAGGAGUUCGUGGAUGUAUUUCCCGAUGAGCUACCAGGUUUACCUCCAGAGCGGGAGAUUGAAUUUUGCAUAGAUUUAAUUCCCGACACUAGACCUAUAUCCAUAUUCCCAUAUAGAAUGGCACCGACAGUGCUUAAAGAGCUUAAGGAUCAAUUAGAGGAUUUGUUGGAUAAAGGCUUCAUCCGUUCUAGUGUAUCCCCAUAGGGAGCACCGGUGUUAUUUAUAAAGAAGAAAGAUGGGUCACUUAGGCUGUGCAUUGAUUAUCGACAGCUUAAUAAAGUGACAGUGAAGAAUAAGUAUCCUCUCCCAAGGAUAGAUAAUUUAUUUGAUCAACUACAAGGAACACAAUGUUUCUCUAAGAUAGAUCUGCGAUCUGGGUACCAUCAGCUGAGAAUUCGAAAUGAAGAUAUACCCAAGACCGCAUUUCGAACAAGAUAUGGGCACUAUGAGUUCUUGGUGAUGUCAUUUGGGCUCACGAAUGCUCCUGCAGCCUUUAUGGAUUUGAUGAACUGAGUGUUCAAGCCUUAUUUGGAUAAGUUCAUGGUGGUGUUUACUGAUGAUAUCUUGAUAUAUUCGAAGAGCCGAGAGGAGCAUGAGCAGCAUCUUAAGAUAGUNNNNNNNNNNNNNNNNNNNNNNNNNNNNNNNNNNNNNNNNNNNNNNNNNNNNNNNNNNNNNNNNNNNNNNNNNNNNNNNNNNNNNNNNNNNNNNNNNNNNNNNNNNNNNNNNNNNNNNNNNNNNNNNNNNNNNNNNNNNNNNNNNNNNNNNNNNNNNNNNNNNNNNNNNNNNNNNNNNNNNNNNNNNNNNNNNNNNNNNNNNNNNNNNNNNNNNNNNNNNNNNNNNNNNNNNNNNNNNNNNNNNNNNNNNNNNNNNNNNNNNNNNNNNNNNNNNNNNNNNNNNNNNNNNNNNNNNNNNNNNNNNNNNNNNNNNNNNNNNNNNNNNNNNNNNNNNNNNNNNNNNNNNNNNNNNNNNNNNNNNNNNNNNNNNNNNNNNNNNNNNNNNNNNNNNNNNNNNNNNNNNNNNNNNNNNNNNNNNNNNNNNNNNNNNNNNNNNNNNNNNNNNNNNNNNNNNNNNNNNNNNNNNNNNNNNNNNNNNNNNNNNNNNNNNNNNNNNNNNNNNNNNNNNNNNNNNNNNNNUAUGGUGAGACUUGCAAGAUAUACACGGACCACAAAAGUCUAAAGUAUAUAUUUCAGCAGAGGGAUCUUAACUUGCAGCAACAUAGAUGGAUGGAGUUGCUAAAGGAUUAUGAUUGUACUAUUCUUUAUCAUCCCGAUAAGGCCAAUGUAGUGGCGGAUGCCUUGAGUCAAAAAUCAAUGGGAAGCUUGGCACAUAUUUCUACUGAUAGGAGAUCAUUGGUUAGAGAGAUCCAUAGCUUGGGAGACAUAGGUAUGCAUUUGGAAGUUGCGAAGACAGAUGCAUUGCUAGCACAUUUUAGAGUGAGGCCUAUCUUAAUGGACUGAAUCAAAGAAGCACAAAGUAAAGAUGAGUUUGUGGCUAAGGCCUUAGAGGAUCCUCAGGGAAGGAAAGGAAAAAUGUUUACCAAAGGCACAGAUGGAGUGUUGAGGUAUGGAACCAAACUUUAUGUGCCUGAUGGUGACGGGUUGAGGAGAGAAAUAUUGGAGGAAGCUCACAUGGCAGCUUAUGUGGUACAUCUAGGGGCUACAAAGAUGUAUCAAGAUUUGAAAGAGGUGUAUUGGUGGGAAAGACUUAAGAGAGAUGUAGUUGAGCUUGUCUCCAAGUGCCUAGUUUGUCAGCAGGUUAAGGUUGAGCAUCAAAAGCCUGCAAGGCUACUACAGCCAUUACCAGUACACGAGUGGAAGUGGGAACAUAUUGCUAUGGACUUUGUAACGGGUUUACCUCGAACCAAUAGGGGAUAUAAUUCAAUUUGGACAGUAGUAGACCGGUUAACAAAGUCAACUCAUUUUCUUCCGGUUAAGACUACUUACGGGGCUGCCCAAUACGCUCGAGUUUAUAUGGAUGAGAUAGUACGACUACAUGGUAUUCCCAUUUCUAUAGUAUCUGACAGAGGAGCUCAGUUUACUAGUAGGUUUUGGGGAAAGUUGCAGGAAGCAUUGGGCACUAAGUUGGAUUUCAGCACAACUUUCCACCCUCAGACUGAUGGACAGUCUGAACGGACCAUACAGACAUUGGAGGAUAUGUUAAGAGCUUGUGUGAUAGACCUUGGUGUCAAGUGGGAUCAAUAUCUACCCUUAAUGGAGUUUGCCUACAACAAUAGUUUCCAAACUAGCAUCCAAAUGACACCAUUUGAGGCAUUAUAUGGACGGAGAUGUAGGUCACCCAUUGGAUGGCUAGAGGUGAGAGAAAGGAAACUUUUGGGGCCUGAAUUGGUGCAGGAUGCAACCGAGAAAAUACGCAUGAUCUGUCAGAGGAUGUUGAUAGCACAAAGUAGAUAGAAAUCAUAUGCUGAUAACCGACGGAGAGACUUCGAGUUCCAAGUAGGAGAUCAUGUAUUUUUUAAAGUUUCGCCAACUAAAGGGGUAAUGAGGUUUGGCAAGAAAGGGAAGUUAAGUCCUCGGUAUAUAGGGCCAUUCGAGAUCUUAUAAAAGGUUGGAGCGGUGGCUUAUCGUUUGGCAUUACCACCAAACCUUUCGAAUAUUCAUCUCGUGUUUCAUGUGUCCAUGCUUAAGAAGUACAACUCGGAUCCAUCACAUGUAAUAUGGUAUGAAACCAUUCAGUUGCAAGAUGAUCUAACCUAUGAGGAACAACCGGUAGCUAUCCUUGAUAGGCAAGUUAAAAAGCUCCGUUCAAAGGAUGUAACCUCAAUGAAAGUGUUGUGGCGGAAUCACACUAGCGAGGAGGUAACGUGGGAAGCUGAAGAUGAGAUGCGGACAAAGCAUCCACACCUCUUCGAUAUGUAUAGGUAAGCCACUCUACAUUGAAUUUAAAUUCGGGGACCGAAUUUUUAUUAAUGGGGGAGAAUGUGAGACCCUGUCAAGCUCGAUUAAAAGACGGUAUUGUAUCGAGUGGUACAACUAAGUUAAAUCGAGACUUGAACUAGUUCAAAUAGAAAUUCUAAGAGGAAUUUGAAAAUUCUAAAACUCACAGAAUGACUUAGAAUAGUGAUUCGGAGUUCAAGGUCCAGUUUGGAAUCCAUUAGGAAAAUUGACCGAAUAGGGACAAAACGAUCAUUUUACCAUUUGAUGAUAAAAUGGAGAUUUUUAGCCAAGAUUUGAUCACAUUUGAUGAAGAAUAAUUAUAUGAAAUAUAAUUAUGAUUAUUGGAGUAUAAAAUGAUUUUUAGCAGUGAAAAAUUGUGAUUCCCAGUAUUUUUGGAGUACAAGGGUAAAAUGGUAAUUUUGCCACUAAAAGACUAAACGAGAAUUUUUAUAAAAUUAUUUUUGCCCCAUUUGGUUAAUAUUGAUCAAUAUUAGUGUUAUUUGAGGUUGAAAAAGUAGAAAUAAUGUGAUUCUAGUACAUUUCGGAGUAUAGGGGCAAAAUCAUAAUUUUUUCGCUCCAGGGGCAAAUCGGUAAAUUUUUCACCUCAGUACUUGUCAAGACCAAGGGAUUUUAAUUGUGGUAGGAUUGGAUAAAUACCAGAAUAUUUGUGGUGGAAAAUUAAGAGGAAAAAGUCAAAAAGUUAAAAAAAAAUUGGGCCAAUAAGUAUGUGACACAUGGCAUGCUUGAUUAUUUUAUUAUUUUCUAUAGAUAUCAGCCCAUUAAAUCCCCAAUUCUCUCACCAUAUUCAGCCGAGGCAACCAGCAACAAGCCCAAAGGAAGAACAAAGGGAAAAACAAGAAAACCUAGGUGGAAAUUCAAAGAAAAAGGGAAGAAAUCAAGGAAACAACCUAGGUAAGUUAGAAUUUCUUUAAUUAUCCUUGAUACCUAGCUUACCCAUGCUUUUGUUCUUGAUUUCCAUGGUUGAAUAUUGAGUUAUCAUGAUGAAUUCAAUUCUGAAAAAUAGGUAUGGAAGAAGAAUUGUUGUUGGAAUAAUUUGAUUUUAGACUAUGUUAGUGUUUAGAGAUAGUUAAGCAUGGUUAUGAACAAAAAAACAAAAGAAAUAUUCAAUUUCUCUAGGGUUCCUUGUUGGUCGAACCAUGAGGGUUGACUAUCAAUGGGCGAUUGUUUUUAUUUCAAGGAAAAUGGCUUGGAAAAUGAUGAAUUAAGGUGAAACGGUUAUGUAGAAAAAUAAUUAAGUGCUAGUGCACCAAAUGACAGAAUUUUUCUAUAAGGAACUGUGAGGGUUCUAAUGCUGAAUUUGGCUUUAUUUAAAUGGUAUGUGGUAAAUUAAGGUAUUAGAAGAGAAGUGGAUUAAUUUGGAGGUGAUUUGGACACAAUCACCAAUUAAUCGGGUGAUCGGUCGAAUUUAAUCGAUACCGCGAUUAAGCGGUAAUCGGACGUAUUUUUGCAUUUACAUAUCAAGCAUUAGUAAUUUAAAUUAGUUUAUAUCAAUUUAGAGACAAUAUAGUAAAUUCCUCGACUUUGUUAUUUGUCAAGGUAGCGAGACGUCCAGAAAAGGUAAAGGAAUUGCGCCUGAGGACUAUUAGUUCGAGUGCACCCGGAAUCCAUAUUUUCGACACUUGUGAGUGGACUGCCUUCAAACUUGUUUUGGGAAAUAUAAUGAAAUUGCCACCCAUUUGAAUGAAUUACCAAGCUUUUCAUGAAAAUAAGUGCCUUCGGAACAAGCUUUUGAAAAAUGGUUUUAUGUUGUACUAUGUGAUAGCUAUGGAUUCAUGCAGUAUUGUAUUAUGAUGAUAUAUAUAUAUAUAUGUGUGUACAUGAUGUGGGGAAUGCACAUGCCAGUGAUGAUGGUGGCGUGAGAGAUAGAUGAUGAUAGUGCCCGUGUGCACGAUGUGGGGGGAUGUACACGAUGGCACUGAUUGUGCACGAUGUGGGGGAUGCACAUGAUGGUGCCGGCUAUGUGCACGAUGUGGGGGGAUGUACAUGAGCCGGGAGUGAUUAUGAUGAUAUUGAUGUUUGUCUAUGUAAUUAUGCAUAUCUAGAUUUAUGAAAUGAAAGCUCAUGAAUGUGAUAUAUGGUUGACAUAUAUGUGAAAUUUGACACAUUGUACUUUGAGAAUUUUGAUGAGUUUUAUGUUGAUUUUGUUAGUUUAGCAGGAUGGCUUUUUGUUGAAUGAGGAAAAAUAUUUCUCUUGUUGCUCUGUUUUUGCUGCAGCGAAAUUCAUUCUCGCUGCAGCGAAAAACUUUCUGUUUUAUCUCCUUUCUUGUCCAAUUGUUGCCUUAUUUUUCACUUAUUUUUUACCAUAUCUGAGCAUGGACUUCCAACAUUUAGGACAAAAUGAGUUAAGUUUAAAAUGAGGGUUUUUAAUAUGAAUGGAAUUAAAUUGCAUUGUUUUGAAACAAAUGCAUCAUGAUUUUAAAUUCUCCCUUGCUUUUGUUGCUUGUUCACUCACUGGAUUUAUACUCACCAUUUUCAAAUUCAUGUUUUCAGAUCACGAGGCAGUCGGUAACUAGGACGAGGUGUCCUUGUAGACCUGUGUCCAUCUUUUAGUUGGUGUCUCAGCAUUUGGUAGUUGUAUAUUCAUUCGAGUCACUCCGCUGGAAGUCGAAUGUUAUUUUGUUUUGUAUAGACAAACUUAAUGUAAAUUAUUAAAAUACAUGUUGUAGACAUUGUAUGUAAAUUUUUAAGGAGUAAUGCCAAUACUAGUUGGCAAUGUAUAUCACUAUUUUGAUUCAAAGUUAUGAAAUAUGACUUAGUGAUAUUAGAUGGAAUUAUAAGUAAGAUAAAUAAUAGGCUUGCUUGGAUUUAGGGGAUUACGUCCAUUGGACCCUUGCGCCUGUCAUGGCUCAGAAUUUGGAUCGUGACAUAUAUUGUCUAAGACAAGUAUCUUAAAAUUUUACAUUUCGUUUAUCUAUAUAUAUAGCAUAAAGACAUUCGACUUCUAGUGGAGUGACUUUGGCGAAGGUACAGCUAUUAAAUGUCGAGAUACCUACCAAAGAGACGAGUCCACGUGGACACCUUGACCUAGGUUCCAACUGCCUCUUGAUCUGAAAAUAUGAAAUUAAAAACUUUGAGUAUGAACUCAGUGAGUGAACAUAGGAAGGGAGCAAGCAAUUAAUAAGGAAAAUUUAAAAAUGAUGAUGCACUUGUUUUGAAAAUAAUGCAGUUUGGUUUAAUUUCUUCCCUAAACCCCGUGUUUCGAACAUUGGUAAAUAAACUCUUAGUGUUGCAAAGACCCAUGCUCAAUCAUGAAGAUAAAAGAGUGAAGAAAAAUUAUAUCAAAAACCGAGCAAGGUAGCAACAUGACAGCACGUUUCUCACUGCAGCAAAAGGCAUUCUCGGUUUGCAUAUAUUUCGAUUUUUCAAGUAUAUCUCCCACUAUAGAAGUUCAAUUGACAUGAUUAUUGAGUCAUUAGAAGGAUAAGAGGCAGGACUACAACUUUAAUGUUUACCACUUUGCCUAGUUCUGAACGGAAGCUAGUCAAAAUCACUAUCAAAGUGACAGUACUGGACCACCACUAGAGAGUUUCUGGCUGCAACGAGAAUCCAUUUUUGCUAUAGCCAAAUUCCUUGCUGCAAUAAACAUCAAUUUGAAAAUACUUAACAACUUUCACUGUUCAACAUGCAAGAUUCUACAUACAUUACAAUCACGUACUAUAUUCAUAAACUUUCUGCUACGCAUGUAUAUAUAUAUAUAAACACGAAUACCACCACCUCCCUCAACCAACAUGUGCUCCCUACACGCACAUCAUUACCAGCAUGUGCACUGCCAACUCCGCACAUGCACAGUUGUAAGUGUCACAACAUCAUCAUUCGACCGGCAUAUGCACUACCUACUCUGCAUAUGCACGGUUGUAGUUAUCACAACAUUGUCAUUCAACUGGCAUAUGCAUUGCCCACUCCGCACAUGCAUGGUUACAUCAAUUACACAAAAUUACUUAGCAAUACAUAUCAUAUAUUUUUAUAUACACAUCAGCAUCAUAUAAAGGUACAGAGAUUCAUCACAAUCAUGUUCCACAUCACCAAAAACAUUUCACUAAAGGCUUGUUCCCAUGCAUUUUAUAGAAAAACAAUUAAAAUGUCUCAAUCAACCACAUGUGCCUUAAUCCCAAAUCAUUUUGUGCAAGUUCACUCACCGGUAUUUGUUGAAUCUUUACUCGACUCCAACCUCCACUAAUGGUCCAAAUGGAACUGUGAGGCCUUGUUGGGACCUAUCAUCACAACAACAUCACAACCAACCCGAUUUGCAUAAUUAUAUUUCUAAAAGCUAUUCGCUAAAUCGUGUUCUGCUAGUUGUUUUUAACUAGCUUCCAUCAACCAUCAAGUGACUAUAUAUUUUCACUAUUCUAGUCACACUACAAUGAAUAACCCACCUCAACUACAAAACACUCACCAAUCUAGCCACUAGCCAUUCUCAACAACUAAAAAAAAAUCAAUUCAAUUUCACUACUCACCUUGGUAGCUUUGUAAUUGAAUUUCUUUCCCAAAAGCUUUCAAACUAUCAUGAAAAUCUCACUUUCUCUCUCUAGAAUGUCCAGAUAGUGAGAGAGUGUAAUAAGGAAAGGUUUUUGAGGGUUUUUAUGGUGAGAAAGUAGAAAAGCACAAAGAACUUUGGGAAAGGGUACACAAAACAUGAAAAAUCGGGGUUAACUCAAGGAAAUAUAUGGAAAUUCAAGGCAAACUUCCAUGGGAGGGGUGAGAGAACGUGGGAGAGGAAGGAGAAGAAGAAGAAGUUCUGGAAAUUUGAAGAACAUCCUAGAAACUUAGAUUUUUAUGGCUUAAGUUUAUCCAUUUCUAGCAAAAUUACCAAAAUACCCUUAACUAUGUCAUUUUGUUUUUUUCCAUUGCUUUUAUGCAAUCUUUUUACUUCUUUAACAUUGAGACAAGGUCCAUAAGGGUUUAGAAAUACUCAAGUUCAUGAAAACUUAAAAUUUCAACUCGAGAUGUAAAUUGACCGUUUUACCCCUACCGUGAAAAUUAUCGAUAUUUCUAUCUUCUUCAUUAUCUUAUCCUCAUCCAUUCAUUCCUUAAGCCUACUUGGACCUUAAUAACAUUAGAAAAAAAAUUUCAGGGGCCAACUUGGAGAAAUGACGAAAUUAUCUCUAGUACGUGUUAUCGUGUCUACUGCUAGUUAGGGGUCAAUAGGGGUCAAGGUCUUAUACCUUUGUUGCCACCAUCAAAGGGGGAAAGGGCUACCUAGAAAGGUGGAGCCACCCCUAGUGACAAAGGUGAUAUCAGAGCCCUAGGUUUAGUUGAGUCCUAGGGAUUCUUGUGUUAGUCAGCAGAGUUAUCGGAGUUAAUGUAGAGUCUUCUUUAUGGUUUGUGACUGCAACACAAUUCAUAGAUAGAAGGCUAUAUGAACUCCUAUUCCAAGUAACCUACCCUCUUGCUAACAUUAUGCAAAGAUCAUAAGUAGUGUCGUUGUUCAAGUUUAAGAUGCCACCCGAGACAUGAGCUGUUGUUUGAAAGAUUUUGAGCAAAUGCUCAUAAUGAAGGUUAAUGUAAUAACAAAUCCCUCCGAUUAAAGAUAGAGGAAAUUGAAGUUAGACUAAUAGGUCCGUAAUGACUUAUUCAUUCAGUGGAGUUAUAAUUUAAGCCCAUAAUUUUCAAUGGGAAGAAAUUGGAUGAUGUUAGAUCAUUAUUGAGGUCAAUAUAAAGGAACAUGUACGAUAAUGGUAAUAAGGGGAGCGACUAGAAUGAAUAGUGAUGGUUGUAAUUUAUUUGGAGUGUAUAGAUCUAAGUAUUGAGGAAGGUGUAAACUGAUGUUUAUGUGCAUGAAGGUAAGUGCACUAUGUUAAAUGAGCUUGUCAUGCCCUUAUAGAAAUGGUGUGGGCUUUUGAAAUAUUUGUAAGUAUAUAAGUGUCGAUUAUUUGCAUAGCAGCUUAGAUGGAGCUGGUUUCGAUUUCAAUUAAGUAAUUGCAAGAUCCCAAGGUUCAAUUUGAACUAUUAGGGUUUAAAAUUAAAGAUAUAUGAAUUAGCUCAAGAGUGAAAAUCAGUGAUCAUUAUAAUUGAUGGUAGUCAUAAAGAAAAAGGCUAGUAAACAAACCUACUCUAAGGAUGAGCUUGAAUUUUGCUAUGCUUAGCUUGGAGCCAAAGGAUUAAAGGACUAGGUGUGGAUUUAGCAGUUUAAAGUUAAAUGACUUAGAAAUGAUGAAUUUAGUAUAAGUGCCAUAUGGAGUUCUAUAUUGAGAUUGAUAUAUGAAUUGCUUUAAAGGUCAAUUUAAAAAUCUGUUUGGUUCAAUAUGCAACCUAUGAUGUAAAUGAUUAGUCUUGAAUGUGAUUUCUCCAAAGGUAAGGAACUUAGAACAUGUGGAUUUUCAGAUAUGCUCUAAAAGGAAGCUUCUGCAUCUUAAGUUUAAGAAAUUUUGAUCUUAUGACUGCAAAGGCAAGAUACAAAAAUUAAGUGAAUUAUUUAUCUUAUGGAUGUAAUUGGUUAAGAAUUGAUGAGUAAAGUCAAGAUCUCAACAUUAAGUGGUGUACAAUUUGAUAUAUGUGUAUCUAAGAGUAAAUUUGGAGAUCAUUGCUUAAUCAAUUUGCACUGAAUGUUAUGGUAAAGGUAUGCGAAUGCCAGUAGUGAAGUAUGCCCAAAAUGAAAUACGUUGAGACUAAUGUUCCAAUCGCAAACUUGUGAUAGAAAGCUAAUUUUGCAAAUUGUGGUUUUUAUGACCAUGAAAUAUAUGGAGGUUACCAAUAUGUAAGCAUACACUCGGAGUUGUAUAUCUUGUGAUUCGCAUUCAUCGUAUGGAAGGAGAUAUUCCAUAGAAGGAUUUGGCCUAAUUGGUGAUUACAUGACUAUAUGCUUGGUAUGAGAUUGAGAAUGCCCUAACAUGUAUGAGAAGUGUGUUGCGAAAGGCUGAAAGUCAUUAAGACGAAUGAUGGGUGAAACAUAGAUGCUGUUAUGACAAGCAUAAAAAGCUCAAGGAUAAUCAAUGCAAUUAUAUUAAGUUAGUUUGGUUCGGUCUGAAAUAAGAGUAAGGACAUCUUGAAAUAUCUUAAAAUAAUGUUCAAUGGGGUUAAUGAGCUAAAUGUUAUCGAAUAUAUAUUAAAUUGUUAAAGUUAUGCAUGGCUUUGAAGAUAAGCCUUUGAUUGUCUGAGUCCUCAACAGAAUUCUAUUAAAGGAUGUGUUUAAGCAUUUUGGAAGUGUAUUGGAAAACAUAAGAAUAAUAUACUAGUUUGACUCACUAUAGGAGGUCGAAUUUGGAUGGCCAUGAGUGGCUUGUGAACAAUCCAGCAGUGUAAAGUAUGUGCUCAUAAAGGGAGCUAUGAUUGGUAGAUAAAGGUGGAACUUUAGAAUUUUAUUAUCAUAGUUAUUAGAUUAUAUUUUGUAUUAUAUGAUAUAUCAUAAAACAUCAAUGAUGAGAUUGUGUUCAAUGCUUUAAGCCUUGAACUAUAAGUUAUGGACAUGUAUCCACCUUGUGAAUACCCUGAUGAGAUAAAUUCGAAAGAUUUUUCACAGUGAGACAACAUUAAAGCUCAAAGAGCAAAUGGCUAUAUAGUCAAGUUAGGCUCGUGACGGAUAUGUCAUAUAAGUAUGAAGAUAUGAUACAAGCAUAAGUAUACUUGGAAAUGCUGGUUUGAAGCAAUGAUUAUCCUACCAUUUUGUGGACCUGAUGAGGUUCUAGUCUCGACAUAAUUGUAAACACAAGGCAUAAAUUGUGAAAUGUGCUUCCCCCACAAGUUCCAAUUUAUUUUGAGUAAUUAUCAAGGUAAAGUGCCUGAUAGGGAUAGGCAAAGGUUGAAUUAUGCUUCAAAUGUUUAGAGAAGGAAGGUGACAUGGUUUGAUUAAAUGAUACUACCCUUGGUAAGGGAAUAGAAAUACUCUACGAAAAUUGUAGAAAUCUACUUAGAAAAGAAAUGAUGAUUGGAGUGUUUAUAUACAAGUAAAGACUUUGGUAAUAAGCUACGACCUAGAAGCAUGAUAUUAGAAUAUGAAUUUUGGCUAAGAAAAAUCGAUUUUUAAGGCACAUGGUGCUUUGGGGAUGGUGCCAAUUAGUGGUCGAUUCUCGUAUGAGAAUAGAAUAUUGGGAUCAGCUUUGUGUAUUCACCACAAAUGAUGAGCAUGAUCUAACCAACUAUAAGAAGAAUUGAUUCUAAAGUUGAUUGUUGGUUAUUUUGGUUUUACAAAUGGCUUAUUGUGCUUGAUAUGCCUAAGGCUACCCGAAGUUAAAAUUUUUGGAAAAAUAUAUAUGCAUGGAUAUAUAUGUUGCAUAUUGGUACAAAAAAAAAACUCAUAUGGAGUUGGUUAUAAUUUGAUUCGAUGAUAAUAUUCUAUCAAUGGUUAUAGCGCUAGAUAGUGAUUAAGAUGAUUUAUCAGUGAUUUUGGCAGUGAACAAGUUGGUUAUAAUGUUGUUAGCUUAAAAGUAAGUGUUUAUACUUUGGGUAUAAGUUCCUCAAUUUUUAUUAUAUUGUGAUCAAAUUUGGUGUUUUGAUAUAGCCUGAGAGGCUUGGCAUAUGAACUAGCUUCAUUGUAAGCUAGAAUUUGUUAGGCUGUUAUGAAGUACCCAAAUAGAGAAGUAUGCCAUAGAUUUAAUUCUCUAAAGGCUAAUGGAAUAGAACGUACGAGUACUGGUAUAGUUUUAAUAUAAGGUUUUGACUUAUGGAGAUUUGGGUAAAAUUUAUAGCUUAUGCGUAAAGGUGUGCAUUUGAAUUCGCGUAAUUAAAAAUGUAAAAUCUUCCUUGAUUGGCAUAGAACCCAUGAUUCAAAAUGAAGGAUUAUGGAUUUAAUUUUCUAAGGUAAAAGGGCUAAAGAAGUUGAUUUUAGAAAGGUCUUAGUAAAUGAUUCCUUGAUUUUAAAGUACACUUAAGGAGAGGUAAGUGUCAAAUUUCAUCUUCGGACUGAUAAACUAAUAAGGUCACAAGAUUUAGCAUCUGGAGUAAAUUUGAAGAAUUUCAAGUUAGAUAUGUUGUAUGUGAUUGAUGACGAACAAAUUAGCUAAGAUAUUGGAAAUAUAGAAAUGAUUAGUAAUCAAGAUGAGACUUGGAAAGGAACCUUAAAGGAAAAUUUUGAGCAACUUUAACCUUGAGAAGUUGAGUUAUUGAUUAAAGGGAUUGGUUAAGAUCAUAAGAGGUAUGUGAAUGAUUUAUUGAAAUGCUUCAUGGUAUAAGUUAAGAUUUAUCUAGUAAGCACUCGAUCAUGAAAGUACUAGAGUUUUGUUUUUCUUUGGAAUAUGGUUACUAAUAGUUACUAGAUUUGAAUCAUCUGUGAUGUUAAAUAUAUUUGAAAUACAUAAAGUUUGUUUUGAUCCUUGCAUAUUAUGAAAUGCUCAAAUGGAAUUUGUAUGGAAUUAUGUAAAACGGAAUAGACGUUUGUUGAUGAUUUAGACCCACAGUCAAUGGUUGAAUAAAUGCUUGAAUGUUCGAAGGUUUGAUAAAAGGUCGAGGUAGAGGAAUUGUGGUUGGUUAAGUAAACAUGUAUAAUUGAUGAUUUAAGGAUGAUUUGAUUGAUAUGUGACCAGAAUUAAUAGCAUAUUUGAAUUCUCUUCAUAAGAUGAAGAAUGGUAUCGUUUUGAUCCAACAAGAGUAGUACACAUAAUUAUAUAUCUUAUGUUAAGAAUGGCCAACAGAAGUGAUGUAGAAGAAUUUUAGAAUUUUGAUUGUUCACCCCACGCUUAUUCAAAUUCGAGGAUGAAUUCAUUUUAAGUGGGGGAGACUAUAGUACCUCGUACUUUGAGGUGGUGGCUAAUAAUGCUUACCGGCUACUAAUUGAGGUUGAUUACUAAGUAAAAAGGGUAAUUCAGAAGUGAAGAUGUGAAACCUCAACCUCUAUAGACACAUAACUAGAAGUAGACGCGGUAAAAUAGACUAGGGGUAAUUUCAUCAUUUUCUUUAGUGAGCCCUUAGAAGUAUGCUUUCAAACACUAUUAAGGCUUAAGUAGGCCUAUGGCACAAAUGAAUGAUGAAAAUAAGGAUAAGAUGACACAGAAAAUAAAAAAUUAUGAUUUUUAAGGUAAGGGUAAAAUGGUCAUUUUGCAUCUUAGGUCUAAAUUUUUAAGUUUUUGUGAACUCGAGUACUUCUAGACCAUUAUGGACUUUGUCUCAGUGUCCAAAAAGUAAAAAUUUGAACUGAAGGAAAGAAGAAGACAAAGUCACCUUAUGAAGGGCAUUUUGGUAAAUUAUAUGAAAAAUUGGAUAAACUUUAGAUAUAAAUAUCUUAUGCUCCAAUAAUAUCCAGCAGCUUCCAGCCAUUUCUUCUUCCCCUCCCAUCUCAUGUUUCUUCAUCUCCAUGGGAGCCUCCCAUAAAGCUUCCAUAGCUCUCUCAAAUUAACUUCAAUUUACAUGCUUUGGUGCACUUUUUCAUAGAACUUUUGGUGCUCUUUCACUCUCCCACCUUAAAACCCUCAAAAGUCUUUCUUCAGCACUUUUUCUCACUAGCUAGAAGUUUUGGAGAGAGAAAGAGAGACUUGCCAUCAUAGCUUGAAAAAUCUUGAAAAGGAGUUCAACUAGAAGUCCACAAGGUGAAAGAAAAGUUAAGGUUGAUUUUAGGUGGUUAGAGAUGGCUAAUAAUUAGAAUUGUGGGCUGUUAUAUUUUUUAUAAGGUUGAUUUUAGGUGGUUAGAGAUAGCUAACAAUUAGAGUCGUGGGCUGUUAUAUUUUUUAUAGCUAUAUUGUGUAUGAUAGGUUCCAACGGGGCCUCACAUGUCCGUUUGAAGCAAUAAUCAAAGUUAGAGUCGAUUAAAGAUUCAACAAAUACAGUUGAGUGAACUUGCAUCAAAGUGUUUUUGGGAAAUACAUAUGUGUUGGGAGGAAGCAUUUAAAUGAUUUUACUUGGUUUUUCAUUAAAUUAUGCAUGGGAGCAAGCCCUUGAUAAAAUGUUUUGAUGUUGUGAAAAUGUGAAAUGUGUAAAAAGAUGAAUCCAUGUUUUCCUAUAUUAUGUUGGUAUGUAUAUAUAUGAAUAUAUGUUGUGCAUUGAUGAAUAAUGUUGUGUGAUAAUGAUGACCCAGCUAUGUACAAUAUGGUAAUGCACAUGAGCUGAUGAUGACCUGGCUAUGUACGAGUAGGAAGUGCGCAUAAGCCGAUAAUGACCCAGCUAUGUGCUGUGUGGAAGUGCACAUGAGCUGAUGAUGACGACGCCGGCUAUGUGCGAGUAGGGAGUGCACAUGACGAUGAAUGAAGUGGGGUGGUGUACAUGUUUAUAUAUGUUUAUAUAUGUAUAUGUGAUAGAAAGUUAUGAUUAUAAUAUAUGAUUGAAAUGAAUAAUGAGAAACUUGAUUAUUGUCAAUGUGUUCACUUUGAUGUGCAAUAUGGUAGGAAUGGAUUUUGUGGCAUGUGAAAAUUCCUUAAUUGUCAUCUGCCCUGAAUCUCGCUGCAAAGAGAAUGCAUUCUCACUAUAGCAAGAAACUCUCGAGUCGUGGGGGCAUAAACCAGCUCUGUUUCUCACUACAACGAAAAAGAAUUCUUGCUGCAACAAAAAUGGAUUUUCGUUGUGGCGAGAAACUAUCGGGUAGUUCUAAACUCUUAGUGCAGUGCUUCCACUUUGACAACAAUUUUGACCACCUUUCAUUCAGAAUUAGGCAAAGUGGUAAACAUAAAAGUUGUAUCCUAGCCUCUUAGCUUUCUAAUGGUUUAAAAAUCAUGUCAAUUAGACUUCUUUAGUGGGAGAUAUACUAGAAAAACUGAAACCUAUGCAAACUAAGACUGUUUCUCACUGCAGCGAGAAACUUGCUGUACUGCUUGCUACCUUGCUUAUUUUGACAUAUUUUCACCCAUUUAACUUCGCGGAUUGAUCAUGGGUUUUUGCAACACUAUGAGGUUAUUAAUCAAAGUUUGAAAUGAGGGGUUUUUAGUAAGAAAUUAAAUCAAUUGCAUUGUUUUUGAAACAAGUGCAUCAUGAUUUCCAAGUUCUUCUUAUUGAUUGCUUGUUCCCUUCCUAUGUUCACUCACUGAGUUUUAUACUCAUGUUUUUAAACUUCAUGUUUCAGAUUCGGAGGCAGUUAGGACCUAGGUUGAGUUGUUCAUGUAUGCUCACCUUCUUGGUAGGUACUAUAACAUCUCAAUAACUGUACCUUCACCCACGAUCACUCCGUUGACGAUCAAGGGUCUGUUAUCUGUGAACACGUAUAUGUAAUGUAAUCUACUAGUAUCCAUGUUAUAAGUCAAAUUAUAUAUAUUUGAUUACUGAUGCCACUAUGAGUUGGCAAACGGGUGACAUUAUUUUGACAUAAUAGAAUUGUGAGUUUUGGGUCACUAUAAAAUAUUACUGAAAUAUUUUUAGUUCAGAAUUUCAAUAUGUGGUUUUAGAAAUGAUGGUUGGAAAUGAUUAUCAGGUUUGCAUUAAAAGGCUUGCUUGCACUUAGUGGGCUAUGCCCAUUGGGCCCAUGCAUCUGUCAUGGCCCGGGAUUUGGGCUGUGACAGUAAUCUACUCUUUGACAUUCAUCAUAUCCUCUAGACUUCUGAUUCUAGGUUCACACAAUUUAAGCCACCCAUGUGGCUUGCACUAAGGCACACAAUCACACAAAAUUCCACAUUUUCAUUAUUUAGCCUAGGCACAUACAUCUAGGCAAACAUAUAUAAUCAAUUCCAAUACCACGGCAAUGCCUAUAACAGGCAUCAUGCAUUACAUGCAUUUUAAAUUAACCCACUAACAGUGACAGUCAAGGCACAUCUACAACCAAGCUCCGAUCCUUAGCCCUCAGCCGUCUUUCAACUCAGAAAUGCACUCAAAGUGCUUAAUCUCCCCUUAAACACAUCAACACAUUACAAAACUAAUUAUUUUCUAGCUUUCGAAAAUAUCCAGCUUUUUAAUAAUACCCAAAUUCUUAGCAAUCGAACAUACAAGCUCAAAUCCUUCAACAAUGAGCUACACCCAUACCUUAGAAGCUGGAUUGCACAAAUCUAGGCUCCCAAAUUUUAGCAAUUACAAGGAAAUUCACCAAAGUUGGAAAAAUUGGAUUUCUAAGUAUUUAACCGAUUAAAUUAAAAAUCAAUCUGUAUAAAGGCAUAAUCUUACCUCAAUAAUUCUUUCCCAAGCUCAGAUCUACCUCCAAUGACUCCAAAAAUUCAUUUGAAUGUUAGGGUUUCCAAGUGGUAGAGAGAAAGAGUUAGGGUAAUUGUGUAAAAGGAUAGUAUGCCUAAAACCUUUUUUUUAUUUUUGCUUUUACCCAGUGAUGUAUUGAUACAUUGGGAAUGUAUCAAUACAUUUGCAUGGGUUUUGUUCAAAUAUAUCGAUACAUUGGGCAAUGUAUCGAUAGAAAUCACGUAAAAUGCUACUUACCCAAAAUGUAUUGAUACAUGAAGAAAUCUAUCAAUACUUUUCCACUUGGUUUUCUUUGCUUCAAAUCUAUCAAUACAUUUGGACAAUGUAUCAAUAGAUGUUCAACUUUGUUCAAAUCCAUUGAUGUACUCUUGAAUGUAUUGAUAAAAAAUAUCUUGUACGCCAUAUAUUGCUCAUCUUGCCAAGAAUGUAUCGAUAUAUUGCGGAAUGUAUGGAUACAUUUUUCCCCUGUAGGCAAAUUUUCAGCCUUUCAAACUUCCAAGAAUCCAAACUCAUCACCCCAAAUUAUCCCCUAUUUAUAUCACACUUCAAACAAUUCAUAAAACUCAAAUCCGUACAUAUAUAUCUUCAAAAUAUCACAUGAAACUUAAAUCAAAACCUCAAACAUUAGGAUUCAUUCAUCAUUUCUCAUAAAAAUAACGAAAGUAUCAUAACAUAGGCUACAUACACUCAUCAAAUUCAUCAUAUCAUAAAUUUUCAAGAUAACCCUCUUGUUAUUAGAUCUUAGUGGAUUAAUGUGAUUGUGCAAAGCAUGGAUUUCAAAAAUUUCUUUUAUAAAUGAAGCAAGCUAUCCAAUUACACAAGCGAAAACACACAUCAUUAUUAUUGCAAGUAACAUAAUCAGAUCCCAAGAAAAAGAAGAAUUUAUUGAGUAAGAAAAACCAUACCUUUUAUUUUCAAAUUCUUAUUUACGAACACCACCACACCAAUGAAUGAUUUCUCGACCAAACAAGUUUACUACUUAUUCUUCAAGAAUACUUUCAACUUGAACCUUGAGUGGAUAAGGUGUGGAAUGCAAAACUACAAGACGACAAUCGAUUUUGUCUCUCUUUUCUUCAAAAAAGUUUAGAAGAGGAGAAGAGAAGUGAAGGCUGUAACUUUUUCAAGAAAAAGUACAUUCUUUUAUUUUCUUCCAAUCUCUUCUCUUUUUAUUAAAACUCUUGCCUCAAAGGUUUAAUCAAAAUGAAACACCUUUGAAUCAAUCUUGACCAUCCAUUUAGAGUUAUGGAAGCAUCAAACAUGCUUCAUAAUUACCAAAAUUAAAAUUAAAGAAUAAAUAAUUUAAUUCUUUAAUUAUCAUUUAGAGUUCUUGAUAAAAUAAAACUCCUUAUUGAAUAAUAACUUUUAUUUCAUUAUUAUCCAUUUUUAUUUAAAAAGAAUUAAUAAUAAAUAAAAGAGUGAUAGUCAAACAUGGAGUCUCUUUUAUUAACAUGGAUGUCUAAAUUUAUUUUACAAGAAUCCUUUGUCAUCACCCAAUUUCUCGGGCCAUGACCAGCGCAUGAGCUCAAUGAGCAUAGCUCACUAAGCCCAAGCAAGCCUAUCUAUUUACCUUUGCUUAACAAAUUUAUCAUAUCAUGCAUACACACACACUUGUUCUCGGGUGUGAACAUAGCCAAAACACAAUGGCAUUAUCGAUAAUAAUAUACAUGCACUAUACCAGUCAUGUAUUUAGCAAUUUACAUCACAUACACAUAUUCACAUUGUUAGAUUGUAUUCACAAUACAAAAGGACCCAUGACUUCCAGCGGAGACAUUUACAAUAAAAGGGAUUACUAUCGAAUGCCAGACACAUACCCAGGAGAUGCACUACGGGGACUCCUCGAUCUAGGGUCCAACAGUCACCUGAUCUGAAAACAUGAAUUUUUAUAAAACGUGAGUACAAUACUCAGUGAGUGAACAAGAAGGGAACAAGCAUACCAUAAGGAAUGUUUAUCGAAAUCAUGAUGCAUUCAUUUUCUCAAAACCAUGCAAUUGUUUUAGCUCCUUUAAACCCCUCAUGUAAACCCCACAUCAGUAAAUCACUUUACAAAAAUCCAUGCUCAACUAUGGUACCAAAGAAAUGAGAAAUAUGGAAAAAACCCACAAGUUAGCAAAAUGGACAGAAAGUUUCUCGCUACAACGAAACAGAGCAACAAGAGAAAAGUUUCCCUUCACUCAACAAAAAGGCCAUCCUACUAAACCAACAAAAUCAACAUAAAACUCAUGAAAAUUCUCAAAGUACAAUGUAUCAAAUUUUACAUAUAUGUCAACCAUAUAUCACAUUCAUGAGCUUUCAUUUCAUAAGUCUAGAUAUGCAUAAUUUGAUAGACAAACAUCUAUAUCAUCAUAAUCACACCCGGCUCAUGUACAUCCCUCCACAUCGUGCACAUAGCCGGCACCAUCGUGUGCAUCCCCCACAUCGUGCACAAUCAGUGCCAUCGUGUACAUCCCCCCACAUCGUGCACACGGGCACUAUCAUCAUCCAUCUCUCACGCCACCAUCAUCACUGGCAUGUGCAUCCCCCCACAUCGUGCACACACAUGGUUACAGUCAUUAUACACAAUAUCAUUCAUCAUGCAUAACACACACACACACACACAUAUAUAUAUAUAUAUAUAUCAUUAUAUUGCAAUAAUGCAUGAAUCCAUAGCAAUCACAUAUCACAACAUCAAAGCAUUUAACAAAAGCUUGUUCCCAAGGUACAUUUUCUAAGACAAGUUGGAUAGAAUCUUUUAUAUUCCCCAAAACAAGUUUGGAAUGCAAGUCUACUCAUCGAUAUCGAAAAUUCAGAUUUCGGGUGCACUCAGACUAAUAGUCCUCAAGCGUAAUUCCUUUGCCUUUUCCGGACGUCUAACUACCUUGACAAAUAACAAAGUCAAGGAAUUUACUAUAUUGUCCCUAAAUUGAUAUAAACUAAUUUAAAUUACUAAUGCUUGAUAUGUCAAUGCAAAAAUACGUCCGAUUACCGCUUAAUCGCAGUAUCGAUUAAAUUCGACCGAUGACCGAUUAAUUGGCGAUUGUGUCCAAAUCACCUCUAAAUUAAUCCAUUUCUCCUCUAAUACCUUAAUUUACCACAUACCAUUUAAAUAAAGCCAAAUUCAGCAUUAGAACCCUCACAGUUCCUUAUAGAAAAAUUCGGUCAUUUGGUGCACUAGCACUGAAAUUUUUUCUACAUAACUGUUUCACCUUAAUUCAUCAUUUUCCAAGCCAUUUUCCUUGAAAUAAAAACAAUCCCCCAUUGAUAUUCAGCCCUCAUGGUUCGACCAACAAGGAACCCUACAGAAAUUGAAUAUUUCUUGUGUUUUUGUUCAUAACCAUGCUUAACUAUCCCUAAACACUAACAUAGUCUAAAAUCAAAUUAUUCCAACAAUAAUUCCUCUUCUAUACCCAUUUUCAGAAUUGAAUUCAUCAUGAUAACUCAAUAUUCAACCAUGUAAAUCAAGAACAAAAGCAUGGGUAAGCUAGGUAUCAAGGAGAAUUAAAGAAAUUCUAACUUACCUAGCUUGUUUCCUUGAUUUCUUCACUUUUUCUUUGAAUUUCCACCUAGGUUUUCUUAUUUUUCCCCUUGUUCUUCCUUUGUUCUUGUUUCUGGUUGCCUAGGCCGAAUAUGGUGAGAGAAUUGGGGAUUUAAUGGGCUGAUUUCUAUAGAAAAUAAUAAAAUAAUCAAGCAUGCCACGUGUCACAUGCUUAUUGGCCCAAUUUUUUAACUUUUUGACUUUUUCUUCUUAAUUUUCCACCACAAAUAUUCUGGUAUUUAUUCAAUCCUACCACAAUUAAAAUCCCUUCAUCUUGACAAGUGCUGGGGUGAAAAAUUUACCAAUUUGCCCCCGGGAUGAAAAAAUUACGAUUUUGCCCUUAUACUCCGAAAUGUACCGGAAUCACAUUAUUUCCACUUUUCAACCUCAAAUAACACUAAUAUUGAUCAAUAUUAACCAAAUGGGGAAAAAAUCAUUUUAUAAAAAUUCCCAUUUAGUCCUCUAACGAAAAAAUUACCAUUUUGCCCUUGUGCUCCAAAAAUACUGGGAAUCACAAUUUUUCACUGCUAAACAUCAUUUUAUACUCCAAUAAUCAUAAUUAUAUUUCAUAUAAUUAUUCUUGGUCAAAUGUGAUCAAAUCUUGGCUAGAAAUCUCCAUUUUAUCAUCAAAUGGUAAAAUGAUCGUUUUGUCCCUAAUCGGUCAAUUUUCCUAAUGAACUCCAAACUGGACCUUGAACUCUGAAUCACUAUUCUAAGCCAUUCUGUGGGUUUCAAAAUUUUCAAUUUCCUCUUAGAAUUUCUAUUUGAACUAGUUUAAGGCUCGAUUUAACUUAGUUGUACCACUCGGUACAAUACUAUCUUUUAAUCAAGCUUGACAAGGUCUCACAUCCUCCUAACAUUAUCUUAAUCUAAUAUAACUCUUGUUUUUAAUUAAGACAAAAAUAUUUUAUCUGGCCUAAAUUGAGAUAAAUAUGUUUUCUUAUCUAAAUUAAGACAAAAAAUAUUUUUCUUGUCUUAAAUUAAGACAAACAUAUUUUCUUGUCUAAAUUAAGACCAAACAUGUUUUCUUGUCUAAAUUAAGACAAGCAUAUGAAAGCUACAAGUUUUGUACACAAUUUAAUUAAUCAAAUUAAAACAUGCAUUCUAGCUUAAACAAGUUGAAUUCUACGAAGCUAAGUGAAAAAUCUACUUGGACAUAGAUAUUCCAAGCUCCAAAAACUUAUUCUUAAUAUCAUUAAAAAUAAUUCAAGCUUAUUAACCAUGAAAUCACUCUACCAUAGAUUCACGAUUACACUCUUAGAUUAACUAUAAUUACAAGAAACAAUUCAAUACUUGAUAUUAAUUAUUAGUUGUCCAAUUACAAACCUUAUAUUGUGAACCUUCAUAACCAUCCAAUGAUAAAAUGUGAAAUUAUCGUUUUACCCUAUAUGUCAAUUUUGUCCCCUAGUCUCAAAUUUCAUCCAAUUAGUGAUUCAACACUCUAGAUCUAAUCUUUUGAGUAUCCAUAUGUGAUGAGUAGCUAAUUCAUCAAUCCAUUGGGCCUAGAUUAAUCACUAAUCUUCCUAAAAUCACUAAAAGUGAUAUUAAUGUUAUAAACUCCAUUAUCUGGAUAUAUGUUCCUAGAUGUUCAUCUCGAUUAUAAUCCCAAAAUACAGAGUCUAGAUCAACACUUUAUGAUGAUCAUGCUCAUGGUAAAUCAAAGAUUAUAAUGAGAUUAAACUCGAGUCCACUAUCCAUCAGGAUUUCGGUUCUACUAUAAGCAAAUGUAUAAGUGUGCGAUCAAGAUUUAAGUAAUGGUAAAAUUUAAAUUUGAUUCUCACAUCAUUCUAGUUAAUGUUAUAGUUUCAUUACUCGAAGUCAACCAUUUCAAUGAUUUGAGACUCAUCAUUCCCUUGAAAUGAAUCACAUUUGUUUUGUUGGAAGUAAUCUGAACACUACAGCCUUAACAUAAAGUGACCAGCUCUAUUAUAUGACUGUGAACAAUUUUUAGAUUCAAUUAAAAUACAUGUCUUCUAUGUAUGACUCUUCAUACAAAUGUAUUUUAAUAUCUCAAUAUAAUCAUGGUACCUUAAUAACUAGAUAAUGAUUGCUUACUAAAGCAGACUCUUCGUCUUAUUAUCAAAAUUCACUUUCAUUACAAACAAAUUUAAUAAAAUUAAGCACGAGAAUACACUUGCUUUCUAGGGCACCAUAUUCUCAAAAUUCUUAACAAUCUCCCACUUGCCCUCAAACAAGUAUGACAUAACCCUCAUUCCAAGACCUUCUAAGUGACCACUGAAACUCUUUUGUGUUAGAGUCUUUGUGAAGGGAUCGAUAAGGUUCUACUUUGUUGGCAUUUUCUUCACAAGUACUUCUUCAUGUUGUAUGAUCUCUCGAAUGAUAUGAUACUUCCUUUCAAUAUGUUUUGCUGCUUUAUGAUUUCGCUGUUCUUUUGAGUUAGCCACUGCUGCACUAUUAUCACAAUAGAGUGUAAUAGGCUUGUCCACAUCUAGAAUUACUUCAAGGUCCAUAAAGAACUUACGGAGCCAUACAGCUUACUUUGCUGCUUCACAAGCCGCAACAUAUUCUACCUCUAUAGUAUAGUUUGCAAUACAAGAUUGCUUUACACUCCUCCAAACUAUGGCUCCUCCUCCAAUGGUGAAAACAGAUCCCGAUGUUGAUUUCCUAAAAUCAACAUCAAACUAAAAAUCUGAAUCAGUGUACCUUGUUGCUACAAGGUCACUUCCAAAAUAGACAAGCAUGUUGUUCUUCACUCUAUGAAGAUAUUUAAAAAUGCACUUGACUGCAAUCUAGUGCUCCAUGCCUGGGUUUGAUUAAAAUCUGCUAACCAAUCCAAUUACAUAGCAAAUAUCUAGCCUAGUGCACAGCAUAGCAUACAUGAGACUUCCAACGAUAGAUGCAUAUGGAAUCCAUCUCAUGUUUUCAACUUCCUUUGGAGUUUUGGGUGACAUAUCCUCAGAAAGUUUGAUGUUAGGUCUAAAGGGCACAAAACCCUUCUUGGAAUCUUGCAUAGCAAACUUGUCCAAACUCUUAUCUAUGUAGGAUGCUUGAGAUAAUGCUAUCUGUUUGUUCUUAUGAUCCCUUAUAAGUUUGAUCCCCACAACAUAGCUAGCUUCUCCCAAAUCCUUCAUAUUAAAUGUUGGUUUAGCCAACAUUUAACUGUUGAUAACAUUCCUAUAUCAUUCCCAAUGAGUGAAUGUCAUCAACAUAAAGGACUAGGAAAAUAACCUUUUUAUCUUGUAUCCUUUUAUAGGCACAGGGUUCAUCAACAUUUUGCUGAAAAUCGUAUGAUUUGAUAGUAGUAUCAAAUCUUAUGUUCCAAGACCUAGAUGCUUGCUUUAGUCUAUAAAUGGACCUAUGCAAUUCACAAACCUUAUGCUCAUGGCCCUUAUUAAUGUGUCACAACCCAAAUCUCGGACCAUGACGAGUGUAUGGGCCCAAUAAACAUAGCCCACUAGGCCCAAGAAAGCCUUUCUAUGAAAACUUAUUCCUUAGACUAUCUGUCCCUCAUUUACCUCUAAAGUUAUUAAUUCAUAGUUUUCAAAAAUAAUUUCUUCUCAAGCAUAAAUCUUGGCAACCGAACAUAUACCAUUCACAAAAUAAUAUUACCGUUUGCCAACCUGUGGCGACAUUGUCAUGCAAACUAAACAUACAGUGUUUACAACAAAUCUCAUGAAUUACAUUUAAAUAACCACCAUAUACACAUACCAAAAGACUUUAACUAUUAAUCGAGUGACUCUGGCGUGGAUACUAUUAUAGAGUGUCCUAGUAAACCUACCAUAAGAUGAAUAGAAAGAAGCACCUCUACCUAAGAUCCAACUACCUUUGAACCUGAAAACUAAAACAUGAAGUUGAAAAGAAUGAGUAUAAACCUAGUGAGUGAACAUAAGAAGGGAACAAGCAAACGAUACGGAAGGUUUUCGAAAACAUGAUGCACUCGUUUUAAAACUAUGCAAUUUCACUUAAUUUCUUGUAAAGCCCCUUAAUUCAACCUUUGAUUAUUUAAUCCCUUAGAGUGAAGGAUUUAUGAUCAACAACGAAGUUGAAAAAAGUGGAAACAACAGUAAAUAUCCAUGCAAGACAAGCUAGAUAGAAAAUUUCUCACUUCAAUGAAAAUCAAUUUGGAAGCAAUUAACAAUUUCAACAUUCAACUUUCAUUGCAAUCACAUAAUACUUUCUCUAACCUCUCUAUGAUAUGUGUAAACAUGUAUACAACCACCGGUUCAUCAACUCAUGUGCACUCCCACAUCGCACAUAGCUAGAAUCAUCAUGUGCACUCCCACACCGCACAAGGCAAUAUCAUCAUGUACACUUCCACACCACAUCAUCACCGGCAUGUGCACUCCCACACCGCACAAUACCAAUACCGUCACGUGCACUCCCAUACCGCACAUGCACGGUUAUAGUUAUCAUACAACAUUAUCAUUCAAGGCAUAACAUACAUAUCCACAUAAUAUAGGAACACAUGGUUUCAUUAUAUUACACAUUUCACAACAUAAAAAUGUUUCAUCAAGGGCUUGUUCCCAUGCACAUUUAUAGAAAAGACCAAUAAAAUAUUUCAAGUGAUUCAAUCAAACACAUAUGCAUUUAUCCCAAAACAUUUUAAUGCAAGUUCACUCACCUAUCUUUGUUGAUUCUUUUAUCAACUCCAACUUCAACUAAUGCUCCAAAUGGAGAUGUGGGGUCUCAUUGCAACCUAUCACACACGAUAGCAUCACAACCAACCUAAUUUACUUGAAUAUUAUUCCAAAAGCUAUUUCCUAAAUCAAACUUUGCUAGUUAUUCCUAACUAGUUUCCAAUUACCGUUUGACUAGUCUUUAAUUUGCAUCAUUCUAGUCACACUAUAAAUAAAUAAAUAUCCUUCAACAAUAGAACAGCCCACAAAUGUAAUUAUUGGCCAUCAUCAACAACUUAAAAAUCAACCCUAACUCAUUACUCACCUUGGUGAACUUGUAGUUGAAUCCUUUAGUGAAAAUUUAAGAGAGAAAAUUCUUUUUAGGGUUUUCUCAAGCUAUUUUGAAGAGUUUCUCUCUCUAAAAUGUUCAAUUAGUGAGAGAAAAUGCAUAGGAAAAACUUUUUGAGGGUUUUUGAGGUGUGAAAGUGAAAGAGAAUGAAAAACCCUAUGAAAAAGUGUACCAAAAAUAUGAGAUUUUGGGUUACUAUAAAAAGGUUAUGGAGGUUUUAAGGGUGGCCUCCAUGGAAAAUGGAAAACUUGAAAUGGGGAAGAAGGAUGGGAAGAAGAAGAAGAAGAUGUUGGAAGUGAGGAGAAACUGCUAGAACUUUAGAUAUUUAUCUCUAAAGUUAGUCAAAGUUUCACGUAAUUUACAAAAUGCCCUUUUUUGUUCUUCUAGUGUAGUAUUUUCAAUUUGACAAAGAUUUUAACCACUUUUCAAUCAAAACUAGGCAAAGUGGUAAAUAUCAAAUUGUAGCCCUGCCUCCUAGCUUUCUAAUGGUCCAAAAAUCAUGUCAUUUGGACUUCUGUAGUGGGAGAUAUUCUUGGAAAAUCCAAACAUAUGCAAAUAAAGCAAAAGUCCAUCAUAUACCUUUCUUCACCAAUUGAAAUUAUUUUUGAUCCUACUCCUAUAAAAACAUAAAAUAAAUAUAAAUAACGUAAAACUAACAUUAUUAACUUAAAAUAAACAUUUAAACAUAAAUUAAUCUAAACUAAUAAAAUAAAUAAAAAUGCCUAAAUUCGAUCUUAAAUCUAGUCCAACUUAGACUAAUUAGGUAUUUAAUUUCCCAUUAAAUAUAUGAAUUUGAAGCAGUCAUCAAUCUACCUCUAGUUACGCGUCUAUGGAGGUUGAGGUUUCACAUAAUGAAACCUUUUAAUUGAGUCAUAUAAAUGCAUUCUUCAAGAUCUCCAUUUAAAAAUGUGGUCUUGACAUCCAUUUGCCAUCUUUCAUAAUCAAGAUGUGCGGUUCUAGAUAGGAGGAUCCUAAUGGAUUUAAGCAUAGCAACUGGUGAAAAGGUUCCUCAUAGUCAAUCCAUUCUCUUUAGGUAAAACCCUUGGCCAUUAGUCAAGCCUUGAAGGUCUCCACCUUCCCAUCACUUUCUUUCUUUCUCUUGUACAUACAUUUGCACCCUAUGGGUUUUAUCCCUUUAGGUGGAUCUACUAAAGUCUAGCCUUUGUUGGAAUCCAUAAAGUCCAACUCAAAUUGCAUUGCCUUCUGCCACUCUUCAACAUCUACAUUGUUAAUAGCUUCUUUAUAUGUAAUAAGGCCAGAUUCAUGUUCAUUUAAGAGUACAAUCAUGUUUUCUCCCAGACCUAUGUAUCUCUUUGGUUGUCUCACAACCCUCCCACUAUGUCGAGGCACCACUAUUUGAUGUUCGAUUUGUGUUUCUGUUUCAACCCUUGAAUCAGACUAUGUUAUGACAUCUUUAGAAUUAACUCUUAAGUCUGAAUGAUUAGACAAUUCUUCUAAGAAAAUUUUGCUUCUAGAUUUGUGAUUUCUCACAAACUCUUCCUCUAAGAAAGUGACAUUCGCACUAACAAAAACUUUCUUAUCUUAAGGACUAUAGAAGUAAUAACCUUUUAAUCUUUUUGGAUAUCCUACAAACAAGCACACCUUAGCCUUUGGUUCCACCUUUGUGGACUUAGGCUUUAAAACAUGAGCAAGACACCCCCAAGUUUGCAGAUGACAUACAGAUGAUUUACGCCCUAUCCACAGCUCCUGUGGUGUCUUAGGCAUAGCCUUAGAUGGAGCAAAAUUGAACAAGUACUUAGCAAUUUGCAUAUAAUAUUCCCAUAAUGAGAUUAAAAGGUUAGCAUAUGUAAAGCCUGACCUUAUAAAUACUUGUCAUGACAUACAUGUGAUGGAUAGCAUGUUUACAUGCUAGGAAGUCCCGAAAAAUUUAUAAAAGUCGGUACUAUACCUAGAGGUACAAUAAAGUUGAUCUAAGCCUCGAACUAGGUCAAAUAGGGAUUUUAAGGUGAAAUUCAAAAUUUUAUAAUUCAAGAAUAACUUAAAAUGGUGAUUCGGAGUUCGAGGAUCAAUUCAGAGUCAAACCAAAAUUUUCACUAUCUAGGGCCAAAAUGGUAAUUUUGCCACCUCGAGGGUAAAUCGGUAAAUUUUCACCCCCGACACUUUUCAAGACCAAUAGAUUUUAUUCAUCAUAGAAAUGGAUAAAUAUGAGAAAAUGUGUGGUGGAGAAUUAAAGAAUUAAAAGACAAAUAUUUAAAGUGUGGACCAAUCACAGAGUGCCACAUGUCAAGCUUUAUUAUCUUAUUAUUAAGCUAUAAAAAUCAGCAUAGAAUCAGCCCAUUCUCACCAUAAGGGUCGGCCAAGCAAAAAAACAAGAGAGGAAAGAAAGAAAAUAAGGAAAACAAACCCUAGCCAAGAAAAAUUCAAGAGAAAGUGUGAAAAUCCAAGGAAUUAAGCAAGGUAAAGUGAAAAUUCUUUAUUUUUACUUGAGAUUUACAAUACCCAUGCUUUAUUUUCUUAUUUCUAUGGUUGAGAAGCAUGAUUUCAUAGUGAAUAAGUGGUAGGCGGAAUGGGUAUGGUGAGAGAAAUGAUGUUGGAAUUGUUUGAUUUUAAGUUGUGUUAGUGAUUAAGGUUAGUUUAGCAUAUUUAGAAGCAAAACAAUAAAAAACAAAGAAUCCAUUUUCCCCAUGAAUCUUCAUUGGUCGAAUCUUCCUUGAUGUGUGUGGGUGAUGGAUUGUUAUUAUUUCAAGAGAAAUGGCUUAGAAAAUGAUGAAUAAUUGUGAGAAAAUUAAGUAGGAAAAAUCACGAUGUUAGUGCACUGUAAUGGCCAAAUUUUUCCAUAAAGAAAUGGGAGGGUUUUGAUGCUGAAAUUGGUGUUAUUUGAAUAAUGUUUGGUGAAUUGAGGUAUUAAAAAAGAAAUGGAGUAAUUUGGGAUUAAAUUGGAUGCGUUAGUAAUUUAAUCAAGUGAUAGGCCGAAUUAGGUCAACAUCGCGUUUAAGCGGUUGACCGAGCAUUCCAUGCAUUCAUUUAGAUUUAGAGGGCCUGAAAUAGUUUAUGACAAAUGGACACAAAUUAUUGAAUUUUGUGUCAUGUGUGAUGUAUAGGUGGUGAGCUAUUUGAUAAGGAUAAAGAGAUUACACCAAAGACCGAGACUAGGAGUAUUUCUUAUCUUGAUACUGUGAGUAACCUUCCUAUCAUCUUAAUUAUCUAGAAUGGUUUUUAUUCGUUUUAGUGAUUUUAUGAAAAAUGAGUUAAAUGGUAAAUCCUUAUGUUUUAUAAGUAAAAUGUGUUUAAAUAAAAUGAUUUUAUAAAUUGUCUUAAAAUUGAAUUAUGGUUUUGAAAAUAGAGUAAUUGAAGACCACUUGAUGUGUUGUAAUUUUAUGCUUUUAAAUUGAAUGGCUUAUGACAAUAUAUGAGCAUGAAUGGCUAAACUAAUUUUUGGUGUUAGAAUUAUUUGUACUAUGUAUUCAGCCUUGAGAGGCUAGGUUGCGAUAAAUUGCCAUGUCAUGCAGAUAAAGAUUUUAUAAAUCAGGUGGUAUAUAAAAUAAUCCAUAAUCCCUGUAGUGGAGGUUCUGUGGACUAGCCUAAGAGAGGGGGCACAGAAUCAGAUAUACCUUACCUCGGUCGAAGAGUCGUGUGGAGGGUGUCUCUGGAGGUAAAGAUUUAAGUGCACUUCACGUGGACCACCGUGUGAGAGUGAGACUCAGCCAAUGCCAAGGCAUGGCUAGAUUUUCAAAUGUAAAAAUAUGUUCAUGUGUGUACUACACUGAACAGCCUUGGCGGUCUCGAUCAAAUGCCUAGGCCAAGGCAUCCUCGGGAAUGAUUUUGGCAGGAGCCAAGUUUUAUGAAAUACAUAAGCCAAGUUGAUUAUUUGAGUAAAUUGAUUAUUGAUGUUAUGAAAAACAUACUGGAAUGGAAUAUCUUACUUGUCUCAAUUUACUCGACUUUAGAUUGUUUAGAUGUUAUUGUUUACUCACUGGGAUUUUAUAAUCUCACCACCCUCAAUUCUCCACAUUUCAGGCUCGAGAUAGCCGGUAGAUAGCCAAUUGCAUCAAGGACUUCAGUUAGCCUUGCAUCGACAGAAUUGUAGGUUCACAGACUUGCACCUUAUUGGUUAGUUGGGGGCCCACGUGUCAUUGUGAAAGUAAUUUUAUACUUUAGUUAUCUGCUUUAAAGUACAUAUGAAUAUAGUUAGCUUUUACACUACAGAAAUUAUUUACAAAUUUCUCUAUAAAUAUUAUUUUUUUAGAAAUUAGAAUAUUUUAUUAAAUAUUAUUAUUUUAUUCAAACAAUUAUAAUUUCAUUUCAAAUAAUUAUUUUAGACAUCUAAAUUUACUUUUAAUUAUGAAACAUGUAUUUUUCACCCACAUACAAUGUUUUUGGCGGGUUUCGAUAGUUUCAAAGAGAAAUGACGAAAAUGCCCGUGAGCUAGAAAAUAAUAUUAUAUUGUUUUGAUUUGGAAACGACUUAUGAUUUCUUGAAAUGCGAUUUAAUAACUGUCGCUCACCGGGGAGAUGCGAAAGCUAAUGCUAAGCCUUGCUGGGUUCUGAUCGGCAUUUUGGGUAAUAAGUGCCUAUCGGGACGUCGAGGCGGUUGUCAUGGGCCUGAUGGGAGUUCCCAGUCAUGACAGCAUAGGACAUCAUUGAUCUAACCAUUUUUAAAAGAGUUAUAUUUCUUCUUUCAGUUACACCAUUAUGUUGAGGUGUUCUUGACAUUGAUAAAUUGGAAACUAUCCCAUUGUCAGUGAGAAAUUGCUGAAAUUCAUCUAAUAAAUACUCACCUCCUCAAUCUGAUCGAAGUUGUUUCAAUGGCUUGCCUAGUUACUUUCAACUUUGGCUUUGAAUUCUCUAAACUUUUCAAAAGAUUCACUUUUUCUAUGCAUUAAAUACACAAAGCCAUGUCUUGAGUAGUCAUCUAUAAAAGUUAUGAAAUAUUCAUAACCUUCUCUAGCUUCUACGUACAUUGGUCCACAUACAUCUGCAUGCACCAAGUCUAGAACAUUUGGCAUUUUGUUACCUUUUGCCGUAAAAGGCCCUUUAGUCAUUUUAGCUUCAAUUCAAAACUCACAUAUUAGCAAAGGACCCUCAACCAUGUCUAGUAGAGUACCAUCCUUUAUAAGCCUAUUGAGUCUAUUUUGAUUGAUAUGACCUAAACGCAAAUGCCAAAGAUAAUUUUGAUUUAUAAUAGAUUCUUUGACUCUUCAAGCUUUAAAUCGUAUUGCUUCUAUAGCAUUUGCAGAAUAAGUCAUAGGCUCAAGGAAAUAAAUAUUAUAUCUUACAAUUGAGAACAAAUAAAAUCAUUAUUCAAAUAAAUAGUGAGUUUCUCACUGAAAUAAACUGAAUAUCCAAACUUUAUUAAACAAAAGACAAAAAUCAAAUUUCUAUAAGUCUCUAAAAUGUAAUAAUCAUUUUCCAAAACUAAGCUAUGACCAUAAGGAAAUUGAAGAAUAAUGGCUCCCACUGCUAAUGCUGAAACGAAUAUGCCAUUUGCCAUCCUCCUCCGAAACUGCCCUUUACUUAGUGGCUCCAGAAUUACAAACAUGGUUAAUGGCUCCAGAAUCUACUAUCAAAGUAUCUAUAGAAUCAACCACUAAACAAGCUUUUGACAUAUUUAGAAAGCCCAUACCUUGUUUACUCUUUUGGAUUUCUUUAAGGUAAACCUUGUAAUUUCACUUCCAAUGUCCUUUCACACCACAAUGGAAACAUUUUCCUUUAAGGUUGUCUUUCGAAACAGUCUUUUUCUUCAUAGGCUUUUUCUUUCCUCCCACUAAGCCCUUAGAAAUCUUUUUAUUUCUAGCUAUUUUCCUUUACCCUUAGGUUUGGGCUUAGAAGUGGAAAUUGCAUGUCUUCAAUCUUCUUUUUCAAAUCAAGAACCUCUUCCACAUUUUAGAGAUCAUUCAUUAGCCCAUUUAGGGUGUAAUCCCUAGUGUUCAGUUCAUAAUCCAAUUUGAACUGUGAAAAUGAUGAAUUCAAGCUAUGAACAAUCAUUGAUAUUUGUGUUUCUGUAUCUAUCUCAGCACCAUUUAGUUCUACCUUAUUAAGACAAGAGAUCACUUUGAGCAUGUAAUCUCUAACUGGCUCCCCAAGUUUCUACUUAAGGUCCUUAAAAGCAUUGAUUACUUUCACCUUAGCAGACCUUGUUUUCGUACCAAACAUGUCAUGCAGGUGCAACAUUAUGUUAGCAGCAUUACCCAUGCCUUCGUGCUGCUUUUGCAAUAUACUGUUCAUAGAGGCUAGUAUAUAGCAUUUAGCCAAGUCAUUUGCACCAUGCCACUUCUUGUGAUAUUCAAUAUCUUAUGGAGUUGAUUAGGGAGUUAGUGCUUCAGGCUCAUGGUCAAAAAGAACCAAUGUGAUCUUGUCAUAAUUAAGGAUGAUAUUAAGGUUUCUUUUCCAUUCAGUGUAGUUAUCACCAUUCAAAGUGCAUUUGUUAAGCAAAAUUGAAAGUGGAUUCAUAUUUGUGAUGCAGAUAUGUUUCUGAAAGUACAUUUUGAAAUUAUGUAAGCAUACUAGUUAUUUAUGGACUUUGAACAUUUCAUGAUGCAUUUAUGCAUGAUGACAAUAUAUAAAACCCUAUAAAUUGUAUUAUUAGUUCAACGAUCAUCUACCUUUUCGUAAUAAAUUAACUGACUAUGGGCAGUGAUAAUUUACUACCAAGCAAACUGGGACCCUCCCACUUAACUAUGUUGCCCAGUAUCUUCGUACUUAACAUGGUUAAGGAGUGCUUUCAUUUGAUCCACGAAGUUUACUAACAAAGAUACUGUAGGUAGGUUAGUGGUAAAUUCGUAUUAAGUGUAACAACCAUUGUUUCUAUCAAACCCUGUUCUAUAAAAUAAUUACGACGUCAUUUACAUGCUCAAUAGAAUGUUUGCAUGUUUAGGAAGUUCGAGGAAUCGUUAAAAGACGAUAUUGCCCUUAAUGGUACCAUUAAGUCGAUUAAGCCUCGAACUAGUUUAAAUAGGAAUUUUAAGGUGAAAUUAAGAGUUUCACAGUUCAGGGAUGAUUCAAAAUGGUAAUUUGAAGUUCGAGGAUCAAUUUGGAGUCAAACCGAAAUUUUCACUAUCCAGGGGUAAAAUGGUCAUUUGCCACUUGGGGACAACAUGGGAAUUUUUAGAAAAGAUUUCUUAGCCCCAUUUGACUUAUUGGAGUAUGAUUUGAGUAUUGGAGUAUGAUUUGAAGUUUAGAAGUGAAAAAUUUUAAUUUCGGUAUAAUUUGGAGUAUAGGGGCGAAAUGGUAGUUUUGCUACCCCAAGGGCAAAUCGGUAAAUUUUCACCCCCGACACUUGUUAAGACCAAGGGAUUUUAUUCAUCAUGGAAAUGGAUAAACAUGAGAAAUGUGUGGUGGAGAAUUAAAGAAUUAAAAGUCAAAUAUUUAAAAUUUGAACUAAUAAGGAAAUGCCAUGUGUCAUGUUUUUAUUAUUUUAUUAUUUCUUUAUAAAAAGGCAAAAAAUCAGCCCAUUUCUCCCAUAGUGAUCAGCCAAACCANNNNNNNNNNNNNNNNNNNNNNNNNNNNNNNNNNNNNNNNNNNNNNNNNNNNNNNNNNNNNNNNNNNNNNNNNNNNNNNNNNNNNNNNNNNNNNNNNNNNNNNNNNNNNNNNNNNNNNNNNNNNNNNNNNNNNNNNNNNNNNNNNNNNNNNNNNNNNNNNNNNNNNNNNNNNNNNNNNNNNNNNNNNNNNNNNNNNNNNNNNNNNNNNNNNNNNNNNNNNNNNNNNNNNNNNNNNNNNNNNNNNNNNNNNNNNNNNNNNNNNNNNNNNNNNNNNNNNNNNNNNNNNNNNNNNNNNNNNNNNNNNNNNNNNNNNNNNNNNNNNNNNNNNNNNNNNNNNNNNNNNNNNNNNNNNNNNNNNNNNNNNNNNNNNNNNNNNNNNNNNNNNNNNNNNNNNNNNNNNNNNNNNNNNNNNNNNNNNNNNNNNNNNNNNNNNNNNNNNNNNNNNNNNNNNNNNNNNNNNNNNNNNNNNNNNNNNNNNNNNNNNNNNNNNNNNNNNNNNNNNNNNNNNNNNNNNNNNNNNNNNNNNNNNNNNNNNNNNNNNNNNNNNNNNNNNNNNNNNNNNNNNNNNNNNNNNNNNNNNNNNNNNNNNNNNNNNNNNNNNNNNNNNNNNNNNNNNNNNNNNNNNNNNNNNNNNNNNNNNNNNNNNNNNNNNNNNNNNNNNNNNNNNNNNNNNNNNNNNNNNNNNNNNNNNNNNNNNNNNNNNNNNNNNNNNNNNNNNNNNNNNNNNNNNNNNNNNNNNNNNNNNNNNNNNNNNNNNNNNNNNNNNNNNNNNNNNNNNNNNNNNNNNNNNNNNNNNNNNNNNNNNNNNNNNNNNNNNNNNNNNNNNNNNNNNNNNNNNNNNNNNNNNNNNNNNNNNNNNNNNNNNNNNNNNNNNNNNNNNNNNNNNNNNNNNNNNNNNNNNNNNNNNNNNNNNNNNNNNNNNNNNNNNNNNNNNNNNNNNNNNNNNNNNNNNNNNNNNNNNNNNNNNNNNNNNNNNNNNNNNNNNNNNNNNNNNNNNNNNNNNNNNNNNNNNNNNNNNNNNNNNNNNNNNNNNNNNNNNNNNNNNNNNNNNNNNNNNNNNNNNNNNNNNNNNNNNNNNNNNNNNNNNNNNNNNNNNNNNNNNNNNNNNNNNNNNNNNNNNNNNNNNNNNNNNNNNNNNNNNNNNNNNNNNNNNNNNNNNNNNNNNNNNNNNNNNNNNNNNNNNNNNNNNNNNNNNNNNNNNNNNNNNNNNNNNNNNNNNNNNNNNNNNNNNNNNNNNNNNNNNNNNNNNNNNNNNNNNNNNNNNNNNNNNNNNNNNNNNNNNNNNNNNNNNNNNNNNNNNNNNNNNNNNNNNNNNNNNNNNNNNNNNNNNNNNNNNNNNNNNNNNNNNNNNNNNNNNNNNNNNNNNNNNNNNNNNNNNNNNNNNNNNNNNNNNNNNNNNNNNNNNNNGUAUUUGUAUCAAAAUUAUAUAUACUAUGUAUUCAGCCUUGAGAGGCUAGAUUGCGAUAAAUUGCCAUGUCAUGCAGAUAAGGAUUUUAUAGAUCAGUUGGUAGAUAAAAUAAUCCAUAGUCACUGCAGUGGUGGGGGGUUUUGUGGACCAGCCUAUUAGAGGGGCACGGUAAACUCCUUUAUAUUCUCACCUCGGUCGUAGAAGCACGUAGGGUAUCUCCUGAGGUGGGCUUUUUGAGUGCACUUCACGUUAACCACCACGUGAAGUGAGACUCAGUCAACGCCAAGGAACGGUUGCUUUUUUUUCAAAAUAAAAACAAGUUUUAUGAUUAUAUAAAAUUUUUCACAACCUUGGCGGACUCGGUUGGAUACCCCUAGUCCAGGUGUCCCCGAGUACAUGAUUUGGCAUGAGCCAAGUUUUGAGAAAUUUACGAGCCAUAUUGAUUAUUUGGUUGAAAUGAAUAUUCAUGUUGUGAAAAUUUUGCUAAAAUGAAUUAUUUUUAAUUGUCUCCCUUUACUCGCCUUUAGAUAGUUUAGAUGGUAUCUGAUUACUCACUAGGAUUAUGUAAUCAUAAUCUCACCCCUCUUCCUAUCCAUUUUUCAAGCUCAGGACAGUUUGUUGAUAGUGGAUUCAGACGAGAAUUAAUCUCGGAGUUGCAUCCUAGAAAGUAAGGGUUCGUAGCCCUACACCUUCUUGGUCAGUUGGGGGCCCACGUGUCACUAUAAAAGUAAUUUUAUACUUCAGUUAUUUUAUUUAAAGUAUGUAUGAACAUAUUUAUCUUUUACAGCAUGUUUUUGGCUAGUUUCGAUUUUUUGAAGAAAAAUGACGAAAAUGCCCCUGUGAGCUAAAAAAUAAUAUUUUAUUAUUUUGAUUUGAAAAUGACUUAUGAUUUCUUGAAAUGCAAGAUUUAAUAACUGUCGCUUACUAGGGAGAUACGAAAGCUAAUGCUAAGCCUUGCGGGGUUUCGAUCGACAUUCGGGGUAAUGAGUGCUUAUCGGGACAUCGCGACGGUUGUCAUAGGCCCGAUGGGAAGUUCCGGGUCGUGAUAGUUUCAUUCUUUUAAGCUCCUUACAUAAUGAGCCUCCAUGGGCGGUCUCACUUCAUAAUCCACCUAAAAGGAUUUAUCCUUUGGGAGACCUAGUCCGUCAUGAUCUAGAUUCAUGUCCGCCUAUAGGAGUGACAUGUUUCAUAUGCCAAUGGGCCAACAAUGGAGACCAUGGACUCUAAGAUUACUAGCAUCCUCUCCCACUCAAUAUUUUUAUAUAUAAGGUUUUAAUUGACUUUUUACUGAAUUUUCUAGAUUCAUAGUUAGAAUAUCUUAAGUCAAAUUAUAGGCAUGGUUAUGUUUCCAACUAAAUGUUUUUAGUAUAUACGAAAUCCAUAUUACCAUCUUGUCUAGAUGUGAUUUAUUUUCUUAUAUUCAUUAUGCAUUGUUAGCUUUAAAAUAAUUAUAGUUUUGAUUAUGCCAAAAUGAUCAAAUUUGCUUGAACAUUAUUUGAGUAAUCUUUGACAAAUUCUUGAAAUGAUUUAACUCCCAUUCAUUUGUUCUUACAUAGACACAAGCUUGACUCUUGAAGUUAUUGAACUAUAUCUAUAAGCAUGUAUGACUUAGGUGUAUGAGUGCUUAUGAAUCUCAUUCAUUAAAGUUUGAUUUAAAGAUUAAAGGAAAAUCUUGAUGCACUCAUUAAGAAGGAGUUUUGAAUAUCUUGUUUAAUGAUGAAAAAGAAAAAAGAGAGAAGGAAGACUAAAUCAAAUAGAAUUAAAUAGGUCUUCAUGUUUAAUUUAUGUGUGUGAUGCUCAAUGUUGGUUUUGUUGAAUAUUAUCUAAAGAAAAGUAAAUGCAUCGACUAAGGGGGAGCACCUCAUUAUGCAUAAAGAUUUGAAGCAUUCAUAUUGAACAUAGACAUUGCAUUCUUAAUCUUGGAGUGUUUUGUGAUCAUCAAAAAUAAGAGAUAGAGAAUGUUGACUUUAUAUAUUUUUGAUGAUAGCAAAAUAUUCCCAUUCAUUGGUGUCUAAUAUCUUUAUUUGAGUGUGCAGGAAAAUUAAUAUAUGAAAAUUAAUUUUUCAACUCUUCAAAGAGCAUUUCAAAAGAAAAUGAGGGAUAAAAAUAACAAAAUGUAACUGUCUAACAAAGAGGAAGCUUAUUUGUGAAACAAGGAAGAAUGUUAGUUGACCAAGUUUCAAAUUAAAGGAAUGGCAGACUGAAAAGUUUGAGAAACAUAACCAACUUAGUCAACCAAGUCAGUAGACUAAGUGCUCUCUGCUAGAAUCUGUAACCUGAAACAGAACCAACUUAGUUGACCAAGUCUGUCGACUAAGAGCUAUUUGUCUACAAUUUGAACCAGAGCACUACAAGAUAGAUUAACAGCUAUACCUCAUCCUCAACUGUUUCCAAUGGCCAUAAACUGUCAAAGUGCCAUCAGAGUUAUUUCUCCAAGUAUAAAAAGGUUUUCCAAUGGUUAGAAAUCAGUUUUUUUUUAGAGAAUUGAAGGCUUCCAAGUGAUAUAAAGUUGAAAAACCAGAAAAUCUUCUCUGCACCUUACUGCACUUAAACACCAAUUUUUGUAAUAGUGUUCAACACUUCAUCUUGUACCAUCUAGAUCAAGUAAGUGAUCAUAGGUACUUCUUUAUUUCUUCUCUUCUUGUACACUUAGAGUGAGCGAGUCACUCUAAGGGAUUUAUUCAAGCUUUGAUUGCUUGAUUGAGUGUAAAGGUUCCAACUUAGCCUAGAAAAGUUGGUUGUUGGGUUUUGGUUGAUCCCAGUAAAAACCAUUGUUGUGGUUUGGCCUUUGAAAAACCACUUUGGAUUUGGGUUGAGCCCGUGAAAAACCAUUAUGAAAGGUUGUGGUUAAGCCUUUGAAAAACCACUUUGGGUUUUAGUUUAGCCCAUGAAACAACUAGUGUAAAAGGUUUUGGCUGAGCCUUGUAAAAGCCAUUGUAAAGCUUGGUGAAAGCUUGUGAAUUUCAUCGGUUAUUAGUGGAAUUAUUGGAAAAAUCCUUGGUUGUAUAAUCAAGGUAGUGGAUGUAGGUCUUGGACCGAACCACUAUAAAUUAUUGUGCAUUGUCUACUCUAUUUUUAUUGUCUUUGUGUGGAAAUUAGUUCCUCAUCUUGUCAAGAGCCGAUUUGUGUUAUUCACCCCCCUCUAGCAUAUCUUAUUGGGACCAACAAGUGGUAUUAGAGUCUAACUCUUAUUUUUAAGGCCUAACAUCCUCAGGGUAUAUACUAAUGGCUCUAGAAAAUUUUGUUGAUGUUGAGGGUCAAAGCAUAAAUAUGCCUCUUCUAUUUAAUGGAUCAAACUAUCCUUAUUGGAGUACUAGAAUGUCCAUUUAUGUUAGGGCUUAUGACUAUGAGAUAUGGGAUGCCAUUACCGAUGGUCCUUUCAUUCCAAUGAUUGCGAAUUCGGUAAAUGGUGAGAAAACUCCCAAAGAUAGAAAUAAAUGGACUGAAGCUGAAAUGAGGAUAGUACAAAUGAACUCUAAGGCCAUGCAUACUCUCAUUUAUGCACUUGAUUAUAGAGAAUACGAUAGAGUAUUUAUGUGCAAAAGUGCUAAGGAAAUUUGGCAAAAAUUUGAAAAGUUAUAUGGAGAAACAAAUAUGGACAAGGAAUUGGAAGUCAACUUUUGCGAGAAGCAAUGCUCAACAAGUAACAUGGCAAAUGCAAAUAAGGAAUCAAGUGAAGAUGAAUACUCAAAUCAAAUUAAAUUAUGCUUCAUGGUUCUAGAAGACAUAAAGGUAUUUUUUCAUCUUGUGAACUUAAUUCAUAUGCUUUUGAUGAAUUACAUGAUGUUUUUGAGGAUUUAGCAUUUGAGUUUGACAAAAUGAAUAUGAAGGACAAGAAAAUCAUUUCUACACUCGAUGUUGAAAAUGAAUUUUUGAUGAAAACAAAAAUUGAUUUGGAAAAAGAAAAUGAAAAUUUGGAAAAGGAUUUUAAAGCUUACCAAGAGCAAAUUGAUUUUUUGGAAUAACAAAAUUUUGAUGUGAAAACAAAAUUUGAAGAUUUAUCAAAUGAGAGAAAGUGGAAGAGAGAGCAAACUUGUGCUUGAUGGCCAGAGAUGAUGAAUCCAAGGUGUCUUCUGCUUCUUGUGAUAUUUCAAUUGAUGAGCUGCAAGAUGAAUAUGAAUGUCUCUAUGAUGAGUUUGAAAAGCUUGCAUCAAAAUAUAAAACUUUGAAAAGAAUAGCUGCAUCUCUUGAAAAUGAUUUGGAAAAGAUAAGACAUGAUUUCAACUCUGUUUUUGAGCAAAGAAAUUUUCUGCAAAUUGAAUUAGAACAUUCAAAAACAGAUUUUGAAAAUCUACAAUUGGAGUUGAAAAAUAGAACAGAUGUUUUACAAGCUGCAAUUGAUGAAAAUUCUGCUCUUAAGAAUUUGAGAAAAGAAACAUCAAGGAAGAAUACAUAUUUCAGAAAAAUUGCUAAUUAUUUUUCCUUUAGAUGUUAUGUGUGUGAUAAACUUGGUCAUUUAUCUUAUGAUUGCUAUAAAAGAAGAAACAAACAAAAAACAAAGAAUGAUGUGGGUUCCAAAAGGAACUUUAUGCAAUGAGACUAACUUUCAAGGAUCCAAAGCAAUUUGGAUACCAAAGAUCAAAUGAAAAAUGUCUCUUGUAGGUGUGCUAGAGCAAGGAGAAAUAAUUCUUGAAGAAUGAAUGCUCUUGAGUCACACAUAAAGGAAAAUGGGUGAUCUCUAUGCUAAAACUCUUUUGUUUGUUUAAAUGAGAUUUUUAAUUGCUUAUUUAUUGAAUGUUUCAUUGAUUUAGCUUUGGUUUCUAAAAUUGUUUGCUCUUUUUAAUUGAAAACUUGGUUGCCUAUUCUUGCUUGAAUAUUAAGUGCAAAAUUCUUUGAGCUUUAUUGAUAAAUCUUGGCUAUGCAACUUGAUUUGAUAUGAUACAUGCUUUAAGUUGCAAGGAAGUAUGAAUCUAAAGAUGGAGUAUGUUCUUAUAUUUGAUCUUGAAUAUAUCAUCAUCCUUGUUUUGAGAAAAUUGUUUUAUUAAGAUUGAUUAAUUAUGGAAAAUUGAUUCUUUAAAAUUUUCUCAUGAUUUAUGACAUUGUUUCCAUACUACUUCUUUGAGAAAAAAUGAUUUUUGUGGAUAAUUUUGAAACAUGAAAGGUUAGAUAAUAUGAUAGAAAUAUGAGAAUACUUGAUGACUUACACUCACACCUAUUCAAGUAGCCUAAGACAAGGAAAAUUGAAUUAAAAAAAAAUUAUCUUUGACUUCCUUAUGCUUAACAUAAGUUGACCAUUUGAACAAUCUUGAUUUACAUUCUAGGACUUGCUUGAAUAGUUCAAGAUGGUUGACAAUGAGCUUGAAAGUUUUAACUACUUUUAUUGGUACUUUUAAUGCAAAAUGAGCUUAAAUGAAAAAAUUUUGCCAUCCUUUAAGUUUAGAAUGAUUUAUGAAUUGAACAAGUGUGUUUCGUAAUGAAAAUACUCAUGACUUGUUCUUAUUGGAUGUGCAUGCUUACUUGUUAGCUUGAAAGGUUAUAAGGGCAUUUUUGGAACAUAAUUGUGAGAUACUUGUAAAUGACCCUUGACAUGCAUAUACAUGAUUCAUUAUGCCCAUUACAUAUUUCAUAAAUCAUAUAGAGCGUAAUGGAACAAAAUUGAGUGAUAUUGAGCUCAUGAUUUUUCACAAAGCAUGUCUAAUCUUGAAUGUUUCAAGUUGAAAAGUUUGCAAAUAAAGAUUAAAUCUCUAUCAAUUGAUCUUCUUGGAUAAUCUUUUUAUCUUUCUUGAUUGAAAAUGAUUUAUUAAUUCUUUAUUUUGAAUGAUAUGGAAUGGUGGAGCAAACUUGAUUUGAUAUAUUUAUAUAAAUUGCACAAAUCCUAUUUUGCUUGAUAUUUCUCUCAUGAUUUAUGAAAUAGAUUGAAAGCGUUUUCUUAAGCAUAAUCAUGAGUAUGAUAAUUUGAAAUUGGUGAUAUUUUAAGCAAAGUACAAACCUUCUUGUGAUGCUUGAGGCUACAAUUAUCUCAAUGAUAUAAAACUUGAACAAGUGUGCUUUAUGUUGAAAAUGCCAUUAUAUCUUGCUCUUGUUGCAAAUGAGUGCUUGAAUAACCUCAAGGGCAUUUUUGUCCAUCUGCUGAAAAAUUGUAGAAAAUGCUAAAUUUGAUGCUUAUUAUGCUUAAACAUUGUUUAAAUACUUGCUAUACAUGUUAUAAGUCAUAGUCACCCAUCAUGAUGUAAUUUGAAUAUGUUUGAGCAUAUUAAAGGCAUGAUUCUUCAAAUGAGCAUUUCAACUUUUUAUCACUUGUGAACAAUGAGCAAUAAAAGCCAAAAUUUGAGUUCACAUGUUUUUCUUGAAGAAUCUUUGAUCAUACAUGUCUAAAAUGAUGUUUUAACAUGGUUGAAAUGAAAUUCUAAAUUGUUCUCACAUAAAUCCAUGUUUUAAGAUCAUUAUACCUUAGAAUAUUGCAUGUUUUGUACCUUUCUUUGGAUUUUCAAUAUGCAGGAAUCAAGCAUAAUUGACUCUUCAGCAUUGCUAGUCGACUAUUGUAGAACAAAAUGCAAACAAUGCUGCUGGACCGAAGGGAUAUGUAGUUGACUCUUAAGUGCUCUAAAUCCAAAAUGGACAGGUUUUGAGUUCCAAAAUGUCUUUUUACUUUACAUCUUGUCCAUUACAAUAUUUUCUUCCCUAUAUUUCCUUUUUCAAAGAUGAUUCUUGACUCUUAAAAACUUGCAUUGUGAAUACUCUCAUUAUCAUUUGGUGCAAGUACAUGUUCUUGAAAUUGUAAAACUUGUUGAAAAAUGGGAAAUCCUUUUUGAUGACAUAAAUCUAUCUAUUCCCAAGCAUGGCACUCAUAUUGAUUCCAUAAAUUCUCAUGUAUUUACAAUGAAAAAAUAGAAAUAUGAGAAAUUGUUCACCAAUUCUUGAAUUUGUUAAUUCGAUUGGAUUUUCAUGUGCUUAUAUAGAAAACAUCUUCUCAUGAAAAUUGAAAUGUUCAAAUGCUAAUCUAGAAACAAUUCUUGAAAUAUAUUUUACAUUUGUGCUUAAAUGAUUGUUUCAAAAAUUGAUUUCUUGAUUAUGCAUACAAACUUGAUUAAGAUGAACUCAUCAAACUUAAUGAAAAUAUUCUUGGUUCAUCUACUAUAUUGGUCAAGACACAUGCUUAUAUGAUUUUUCUUUAUGCUUGACCUUAAGGUUUGAAAUCUAAAACUUGACUUGAGCUAUGCAUUUGAAUAUUAAAUUACUUGUCAAGUUUGAUCAUGGCAUAUAUUGUGAGUUGACAUAGUUGAAAUUUAUUUUGAAUAUGCAUUUAAAUGUUAACUAUGUCUUCAUUGAGCCUUAACAUUUACAUGAUCUAAGGAUUUUGUGUGAAUCCAAUUUUAGCUUAUAGGUCACCAUAAACAACUUGACAUGUGAAAUAAAAUAUGGCCUAUAGCUUUAGUUAGCUAUGAAUGCCUAAUGUGCUUUGAUUAAAUUUUUUAAUCUUGAUAAUUGGUAUUCAUUGAUGAUUGAAUGUUCACUUUGAAUAUAUUCAUGAGUUGAGUGCUUUACUUUCAAUAUUCUGUAACAAUUAAUAUCACUCAUGACUUAUGAAUUAUUGAGAAAUUGCAUGUACCUUGAACUUUAAUGGUUCCAUAUUUUUUCAAUGGGUAUAUGUCUAUAUUGAACUCAUGCUUGCAUUUUGAUGAACAAAAUUGGAAUCAUGAUUAAGGAAGAUAGCCAUGUUAUUUCUUGUAAUAAUGUUUGUGCUUAUUUGAUCAUAAUCUCAUACAUGAUUACAAUAAAUGCAAAAUGCUUUAGUCAUGCUUCAUUAAUAAUGAUAUGCCUAUUUUGAAAAUUCUCCUUGCAUUGACAAUUUCAUAUAUAUUUUUUAGAAUACAUCUCGUAAUGCUUGCUUUAAAAUGACUUGGAUGAAUGAACACUUGAAAAUAAUUUGGAAGAAUACUCACUAAAAUGCUUAAUGAUGAUAUUUUUCAAUUCUCCUUGAGUUGCUAUUUUUAAGGAAUUUCCUAGAAAUGCUUGAUUGAUAUACUGCUUGGCUUAUUGAUAUUGAGAAUGAAUAAUGAAUGCUUGAUAUGAUUGGUAAUUCUUGAUGAUAAUUGAGAAUGUGCUUGAAGACUAAUUAUUCCUUAGACAUGCCUAGGAACUACUUUGCAAAUAUUUCUUGAAAUGUGAAUUAUUCAAUGCAUAUGUUGAACAUUUAUUCAAAUGCUCAUACUUCUUUAGUUCCAUGAAUACUUGAGUAUUAAGGAAAUAAUUGAAUAUCCAUUUGAAUGCUCAUUUAUUCUAGGCUCAUGAUUUCUCUCCUAAUACUUGAUCUAUUGAGGAUCUCUAAUAAUUUGUGUUGAGCUUAUGAUUUCUUAAGGGGGAAUCAAUCAUUGUCUUUGAGAUCAUAAGGAAUUAAGAUCUUCAACAACAAGGUUUGAUGAGAUUCAACAUUUGGUGUUCUUCGCUACCAGUAACAUCUUUCUAAACACCAAAAUAGAUAUUGUGCCUUAUAUUGCUUCUCACUUAAACUUGAAUGUUGAAAUGCAUAAUUGGUAUCAAGCUUUAAGUUUUCUCAAUUAGUGUCUAGCUUUAAAAUUAGUAUCAAGCUUUAUAAUUGUCUCUUCUCUCUUGAGCUUUAAAUUGAUCAUAUCUUUCUUAAAUGUUUUGAGCCUUGAAGUUGAUAUGCUUGAAAUGCUUAGUGAUAUGGGAAGUCUUUACUAAUGCUUUACCGAUUGAUAUAAUGAGCUUUAAAAUGAUUCCAUCUCUCAUAAUUGAUAUUGUGUUUUUACAAAGGGGGAGAUUUACUUAUAUCGAUCAAUUGGUAAAUUGAGCUUUAACACUUGGUAUUGGAGUUCAAACAUGGGUUAGUGCUUAUUGAACAUCUUUAUGAUCAUCUUUGUUGGACUUCAUAAUUGUUGUUCACAUAUUUUGCUUAUAGUAUAUAUUCAAGUGGUUAAGUGCAUAUAUAUGAUGACUUGGUGACUUUAUGCUUACAUAUUCAUGGUCUUAAUGCUUUUAUUCUUGAUGGAUUUUGCUAACCAUUAUUUCUUGAGCUUAAAUGUUUAAUACUCACUCUUCUUAACCUUUUUGAUAUAACAAAAAGGGGGAGAAGGUUUAUGAGCAAAUUUAAUUUUAUGCAUAUGUUGAGGGGGAGAUUUUAAAAUCAUUUCAAAUGCAAAUUAUGCUCAUACUUUUGUCAUAUCAAAAAGGGGGAGAUUGUUAGCUUUAAAAUUAUUAUAGUUUUGAUUAUGACAAAAUAAUCAAAUUUGCUUGAACAUUAUUUGAGUAAUCUUUGACAAAUUCUUGAAAUGAUUUAACUCCCAUACAUUUGUUCUUACAUAGACACAAACUUGACUCUUGAAGUUAUUGAACUAUAUCUAUAAGCAUGUAUGACUUAGGUGUAUGAGUGCUUAUGAAUCUCAUUCAUUAAAGUUUGAUUUAAAGAUUAAAGGAAAAUCUUGAUGCACUCAUUAAGAAGGAGUUUUGAAUAUCUUGUUUAAUGAUGAAAAAGAAAAAAGAGAGAAGGAAGACUAAAUCAAAUAGAAUUAAAUAGGUCUUCAUGUUUAAUUUAUGUGUGUGAUGCUCAAUGUUGGUUUUGUUGAAUAUUAUCUAAAGAAAAGUAAAUGCAUCGACUAAGGGGGAGCACCUCAUUAUGCAUAAAGAUUUGAAGCAUUCAUAUUGAACAUAGACAUUGCAUUCUUAAUCUUGGAGUGUUUUGUGAUCAUCAAAAAUAAGAGAUAGAGAAUGUUGACUUUAUAUGUUUUUGAUGAUAGCAAAAUAUUCCCAUUCGUUGGUGUCUAAUAUCUUUAUUUGAGUGUGCAGGAAAAUUAAUUUUUCAACUCUUCAAAGAGUAUUUCAAAAGAAAAUGAGGGAUAAAAAUAACAAAAUGUAACUGUCUAACAAGGAAGAAGCUUAUUGGUGAAACAAGGAAGAAUGUUGGUUGGCUAAGUUUCGAAUUGAAGGAAUGGCGAACUGAAGAGUUUGAGAAACAGAACCAACUUAGUCAACCAAGUUAGUUGACUAAGUGCUCUUUGCCAAAAUCUACAACCUGAAACAGAGCCAACUUAGUCAACCAAGUCAGUCGACUAAGAGCUUUCUAUCUGCAAUUUGAACUAAAGCACUACAAGACAGAGUAACGGCUAGAACUCAUCCUCAACUAUUUUUGACAGCCAUAAACUGUCAAACUACCAUCAGAGUUAUUUCUCCAAGUAUAAAAGGGUCUUCCAAUGGUUAGAAAUCAGUUUUUUGUGAGAAUUGAAGGCUUCCAAGUGAUAUAAAGCUAAAAAACAAGAAAAUCUUCUCUGCACCUUACUGCACUUAAACGUCAAUCUUUGUAAUAGUGUUCAGCACUUCAUCUUGUACCAUCUAGAUCAAGUAAGUGAUCAUAGGUACUUCUUUAUUUCUUCUCUUCUUGUACACUUAGAGUGAACGAGUCACUCUAAGGGAUUUAUUUAAGCUUGGAUUGCUUGAUUGAGUGUAAAGAUUCCAACUUAGCCUAGAAAAGUUGGUUGUUGGGUUUUGGUUGAUCCUGAUAAAACCCAUUGUUGUAGGUUGUGGUUGAGCCUUUGAAAAACUACUUUGGAUUUUGGUUGAGCCCGUGAAAAACUAUUGUGAAAGGUUGUGGUUAAUCCUUUGAAAAACCACUUUGGGUUUUGGUUGAGCUCGUGAAAAACCAUUGUGAAAGGUUUUGGCUGAGCCUUGUUAAAGUCAAUGUAAAGCUUGGGGAAAGCUUGCGAAUUUCACCAGUUAUUAGUGGAAUUGUUGGGAAAAUCCUUGGUUGGAUAAUCAAGGUAGUGGAUGUAGGUCUUGGACUGAACCACUAUAAAUUGCUGUGCAUUGUCUACUCUGUUUUUAUUUUCUUUGUGCUAGAAAUUAGUUUCUCAUCUUGUCAAGAGCCGACUUGUGCUAUUCACCCCCCGCCCCCUCUAGCACAUCUUAUUAGGACCAACAUGUAUCUCAUAGCAUAAAGCUCCUUUUAAACUAAAAUACAUAAUGCAUGCAUGGCAUUCCUUCAAAGAAGUUGGCACCUUAAUUCUAGAUGACAUGUUUUUAAGCAUACAAAUAAUAUCUAAUAUCAUUUAUAUAUAUACAUAUAAAUAUACAGAUCAAUAAGCCACAUUAAUGUCCAUCCUAGAAAAAAUUUUAAAAAAAUUACAACUUGUAAUUCUCUUCAAUCUCGCUUGCUUCUGCUGCUUGUUAGGAUCACAUCCAUUUGACACUCUUUUGAAUUUUAUAACUAUUUAAAAUCCCUAAUUUUAAUUUUAAUUUUGACCCAAUUUGAGAAAAUAAUUUUAUUAUGUCCAAUUAAUUAAUCUCAUUAAUUAAUACCAAAAUAAAAUCAUUUUCAAUCCAACGUUAAAACAAAUUAAUUUUCCAAAGAACUAAAUUUUGAAAAAAUUUUAAGAAUAUAUAUAUAAUUUUUUAAAAAAAAAUAAUUUAUUAAAAAAAUUUUGGAAGGGGUUCACCCUAAGGGCUGUUGCCCAACAACCUAAGAGUGGGCUGUUGCUAGCAGCACACAACAAAGGACUGUGUUGCCUGAUAGCAAAUCCCACCUCUCUUCCCUUUUUUUCUUAAAUCAAAAAUAUAUAUUGUAAUAGAAAAUAUAUAUUAUAAUAAUAGAAUUUAAUACAAGAAAAACUAUUUUCUUUAAAAAAUUGAUACAAGAAAAACUCCUUUUUCUUAAAAAAAAAUUAAUAGUCAUACAAAAAUUAAAGAGACCAAAUAUUACCUAAUUACCUUUUUCUCUUAUAAAAGAAGCAAAUAAUCCAAUUACACAAGCGAAAACACACAUCAUUAUUAUUGUAAGUAACAUAAUCACAUCCUAAUAAAAAGAAGAAUCUAUUAAGUAAGAAAAAUCAUACCUUUUAUUUUGAGAUUCUUAUUUUCGGAUACCAACACAUCAAUGAAUGAUUUCUCGACCAAACAAGUUCACCAUUUAUUCUUCAAGAAUACUUUCAACUUGAACCUUGAGUGGAUAGGGUGUGGAAUGCAAAACUACAAGAUGGCAACCGAUUUUGUCUCUUUUUUCUUCGAAAAAAGUUUGGACAAGGAUAAGAAAAGUGAAGGCUAAAAUUUUUUCAAGAAAAAGUACGUUCUUUUAUUUUCUUCCAAUCUCUUCUCUUUUUAUUAAAACUCUUGCCUCAAAGGUUUAAUCAAAAUGAAACACCUUUAAAUCAAUCUUGGCCAUCCAUUUAGAGUUAUGGAAACAUCAAAUGUCAUGACCUGAAACUCCCUAUCGAGCCCGUGACAACCGCCGCGAGGCCUCGACAAACAUUCUUCACCCCGAAUGUCGAUCGAAACCUCGCAAGGCUCUCGUAUCAGCUUUCGUACUUCCCCGGUGAGCAAUAAUUAUCAAAUAUCAAAAUUCGAAGGAUUUCAAAUCAUUUCCAAAUCAGAACAUAACAUAUUGUUUUCUAGCUCACAUGGGCAUUUUCGUCAUUUUUGUCGAAAACCUCGAAACUUGCUAAAAAUGUAGUAGGUAAGCAGAAAAUAUAUAUUUAAUAAUUUAAAAACAAAUUAAGUAUCUAAAACGUUCAUUUCAAGUAAAAAAUUUGACCAUUUGAAUAUAAUAAAAAUAUUCAAUAAAAUAAACUAUUUUCUUGUAAAAUAAUUUUCGUGAAACUAUCGGUACAUAAUUCUUAUAGCGUAAAAGUUAAUUAUAUUCAUAUAUACUAUAAAGCAAAUAACCAAAGUAUAAAAUUUCUUUACAGUGACAUGUGGGCCCACAUCUAUCCAAAAUGCAUCAGAAGCUGAAAACCUACAGCUUUUACCGAUUCGAGUACAAAUAAAGGUCCUUGUCAAAGUCAGCUAACUAUGGAAUUUCUCCGAGCCUGAAAUGUGAGGAAAUGAGGGUGGUGAGAUUAUAAAAUCCCAGUGAGUAAACAGAUACUAUCUAAACUAUCUAAAGUGGAGUAAAUGGAGACAAUUAAAAUAAAUCAUCAUACUGUAAUUUCAUUACCUUUCGACUCAUUUCAACCAAAUAAAAUCAAUCCAUAAAAAUCGAGUAAUCAACUUGGCUUAUGAAUUUCUUAAAACUUUGGCUCGUGCCAAAACUCAUACUCGGUGAUACCUUGCGCAAGGCAUCCAACCGAGUCCGCCAAGGUUGUUAAAAUUUUUGUAUACACUUAAAAUAUAUUUUUAGUUUGAGAAAAAUACAGUCGUUCCUUGGCGUUAGCUGAGUUCCCCUUCACGUGGUGGUUUGGCGUGAAGUGAACCCUAAGCUUUACCCCAGGAGAUACCCUACGCGCCUCUCCGUUCGAGGUGAGAAUAUAAUGGAGUUUUUCGUGCCCCUCUAAUAGGCUGGUCCACGGAACCCCCUCUGCAAUGAAUAAUUAAUAUAUAAUCCAUCAAUCAAUAAAAUUCAUUCUAGCAUGACAUGGCAAUUUAUUGCAACCUAGCCUCUCAAGGUUGAAUACACAGUAUAAAUAAUUCUAACACCAAAAUUAGUUUAGCCAUUCAUGCUUAUUUAUUGUCAUAAGCCAUUCAAUUCAAAACCAUAAAUUUGCAACAUAAGCAGGCAGUCUCCAAUUACUCUAUUUUCAAAACCAGUAUUCGAUUUUCCAGAAAAUUUAUAAAAUCACAAUUUCUCUUAAAACAUAGCAAUUUACCAUUUAAACUCAUUUUUCGUAAAAUCACACAAUUGUAUAAAACUACUCUAGAUAAUUAAGACGAUAAUAAGUUCACUCACAAUUCUAGGAGUCGAUGUACUCCUAAUCCCAGUCUCAAAGCACAAUCUCUAUACUUUUACCAGUGUAGUUGCUCACCACCUAUCCACAAUGUAUAAUACAUAAUUCACCACAUCAAUGCUUGACCAUUAUAAAAUCAAUUCAGGCUCGGUAUAUAUGCAUGAUAUGAUAUACAACUUAUCCAACUACCGUUUAAAUGCGGUGCUGACCUAAUUCGGCCUAUUAUAUCCAAUUUAACUCCAAAUCAAUUCUUCUCACUUUCUACACUCCAAUUAUACCUAAAUUACCUUAAUAACUGUGAAUGAGAUUCAAUUUAUCAGUCCCGAUAGCAAAUUACGAAAAUACCCCUAGUGGGUAAAAAUUCAUAUUUUUACUCCGAAAAUUCCCAUUUUUUUUCUAGGCUCAUAAUUCAUCAUUUCUUAACCAAUUCUCCUAAAAUGAAAAUCAAAUUCAUCCUCACUCAACACAUGAUAAAUUCGGCCAUUAAUGGUUGUGGGAGAAAAUAAAUUCUUUUCUUGUUGUUUUGUUCCUAAAUAUGCUAAACUAACUUAAAACACUAACAUAACUUAAAAUCAAAUUAAUCUAACAANNNNNNNNNNNNNNNNNNNNNNNNNNNNNNNNNNNNNNNNNNNNNNNNNNNNNNNNNNNNNNNNNNNNNNNNNNNNNNNNNNNNNNNNNNNNNNNNNNNNNNNNNNNNNNNNNNNNNNNNNNNNNNNNNNNNNNNNNNNNNNNNNNNNNNNNNNNNNNNNNNNNNNNNNNNNNNNNNNNNNNNNNNNNNNNNNNNNNNNNNNNNNNNNNNNNNNNNNNNNNNNNNNNNNNNNNNNNNNNNNNNNNNNNNNNNNNNNNNNNNNNNNNNNNNNNNNNNNNNNNNNNNNNNNNNNNNNNNNNNNNNNNNNNNNNNNNNNNNNNNNNNNNNNNNNNNNNNNNNNNNNNNNNNNNNNNNNNNNNNNNNNNNNNNNNNNNNNNNNNNNNNNNNNNNNNNNNNNNNNNNNNNNNNNNNNNNNNNNNNNNNNNNNNNNNNNNNNNNNNNNNNNNNNNNNNNNNNNNNNNNNNNNNNNNNNNNNNNNNNNNNNNNNNNNNNNNNNNNNNNNNNNNNNNNNNNNNNNNNNNNNNNNNNNNNNNNNNNNNNNNNNNNNNNNNNNNNNNNNNNNNNNNNNNNNNNNNNNNNNNNNNNNNNNNNNNNNNNNNNNNNNNNNNNNNNNNNNNNNNNNNNNNNNNNNNNNNNNNNNNNNNNNNNNNNNNNNNNNNNNNNNNNNNNNNNNNNNNNNNNNNNNNNNNNNNNNNNNNNNNNNNNNNNNNNNNNNNNNNNNNNNNNNNNNNNNNNNNNNNNNNNNNNNNNNNNNNNNNNNNNNNNNNNNNNNNNNNNNNNNNNNNNNNNNNNNNNNNNNNNNNNNNNNNNNNNNNNNNNNNNNNNNNNNNNNNNNNNNNNNNNNNNNNNNNNNNNNNNNNNNNNNNNNNNNNNNNNNNNNNNNNNNNNNNNNNNNNNNNNNNNNNNNNNNNNNNNNNNNNNNNNNNNNNNNNNNNNNNNNNNNNNNNNNNNNNNNNNNNNNNNNNNNNNNNNNNNNNNNNNNNNNNNNNNNNNNNNNNNNNNNNNNNNNNNNNNNNNNNNNNNNNNNNNNNNNNNNNNNNNNNNNNNNNNNNNNNNNNNNNNNNNNNNNNNNNNNNNNNNNNNNNNNNNNNNNNNNNNNNNNNNNNNNNNNNNNNNNNNNNNNNNNNNNNNNNNNNNNNNNNNNNNNNNNNNNNNNNNNNNNNNNNNNNNNNNNNNNNNNNNNNNNNNNNNNNNNNNNNNNNNNNNNNNNNNNNNNNNNNNNNNNNNNNNNNNNNNNNNNNNNNNNNNNNNNNNNNNNNNNNNNNNNNNNNNNNNNNNNNNNNNNNNNNNNNNNNNNNNNNNNNNNNNNNNNNNNNNNNNNNNNNNNNNNNNNNNNNNNNNNNNNNNNNNNNNNNNNNNNNNNNNNNNNNNNNNNNNNNNNNNNNNNNNNNNNNNNNNNNNNNNNNNNNNNNNNNNNNNNNNNNNNNNNNNNNNNNNNNNNNNNNNNNNNNNNNNNNNNNNNNNNNNNNNNNNNNNNNNNNNNNNNNNNNNNNNNNNNNNNNNNNNNNNNNNNNNNNNNNNNNNNNNNNNNNNNNNNNNNNNNNNNNNNNNNNNNNNNNNNNNNNNNNNNNNNNNNNNNNNNNNNNNNNNNNNNNNNNNNNNNNNNNNNNNNNNNNNNNNNNNNNNNNNNNNNNNNNNNNNNNNNNNNNNNNNNNNNNNNNNNNNNNNNNNNNNNNNNNNNNNNNNNNNNNNNNNNNNNNNNNNNNNNNNNNNNNNNNNNNNNNNNNNNNNNNNNNNNNNNNNNNNNNNNNNNNNNNNNNNNNNNNNNNNNNNNNNNNNNNNNNNNNNNNNNNNNNNNNNNNNNNNNNNNNNNNNNNNNNNNNNNNNNNNNNNNNNNNNNNNNNNNNNNNNNNNNNNNNNNNNNNNNNNNNNNNNNNNNNNNNNNNNNNNNNNNNNNNNNNNNNNNNNNNNNNNNNNNNNNNNNNNNNNNNNNNNNNNNNNNNNNNNNNNNNNNNNNNNNNNNNNNNNNNNNNNNNNNNNNNNNNNNNNNNNNNNNNNNNNNNNNNNNNNNNNNNNNNNNNNNNNNNNNNNNNNNNNNNNNNNNNNNNNNNNNNNNNNNNNNNNNNNNNNNNNNNNNNNNNNNNNNNNNNNNNNNNNNNNNNNNNNNNNNNNNNNNNNNNNNNNNNNNNNNNNNNNNNNNNNNNNNNNNNNNNNNNNNNNNNNNNNNNNNNNNNNNNNNNNNNNNNNNNNNNNNNNNNNNNNNNNNNNNNNNNNNNNNNNNNNNNNNNNNNNNNNNNNNNNNNNNNNNNNNNNNNNNNNNNNNNNNNNNNNNNNNNNNNNNNNNNNNNNNNNNNNNNNNNNNNNNNNNNNNNNNNNNNNNNNNNNNNNNNNNNNNNNNNNNNNNNNNNNNNNNNNNNNNNNNNNNNNNNNNNNNNNNNNNNNNNNNNNNNNNNNNNNNNNNNNNNNNNNNNNNNNNNNNNNNNNNNNNNNNNNNNNNNNNNNNNNNNNNNNNNNNNNNNNNNNNNNNNNNNNNNNNNNNNNNNNNNNNNNNNNNNNNNNNNNNNNNNNNNNNNNNNNNNNNNNNNNNNNNNNNNNNNNNNNNNNNNNNNNNNNNNNNNNNNNNNNNNNNNNNNNNNNNNNNNNNNNNNNNNNNNNNNNNNNNNNNNNNNNNNNNNNNNNNNNNNNNNNNNNNNNNNNNNNNNNNNNNNNNNNNNNNNNNNNNNNNNNNNNNNNNNNNNNNNNNNNNNNNNNNNNNNNNNNNNNNNNNNNNNNNNNNNNNNNNNNNNNNNNNNNNNNNNNNNNNNNNNNNNNNNNNNNNNNNNNNNNNNNNNNNNNNNNNNNNNNNNNNNNNNNNNNNNNNNNNNNNNNNNNNNNNNNNNNNNNNNNNNNNNNNNNNNNNNNNNNNNNNNNNNNNNNNNNNNNNNNNNNNNNNNNNNNNNNNNNNNNNNNNNNNNNNNNNNNNNNNNNNNNNNNNNNNNNNNNNNNNNNNNNNNNNNNNNNNNNNNNNNNNNNNNNNNNNNNNNNNNNNNNNNNNNNNNNNNNNNNNNNNNNNNNNNNNNNNNNNNNNNNNNNNNNNNNNNNNNNNNNNNNNNNNNNNNNNNNNNNNNNNNNNNNNNNNNNNNNNNNNNNNNNNNNNNNNNNNNNNNNNNNNNNNNNNNNNNNNNNNNNNNNNNNNNNNNNNNNNNNNNNNNNNNNNNNNNNNNNNNNNNNNNNNNNNNNNNNNNNNNNNNNNNNNNNNNNNNNNNNNNNNNNNNNNNNNNNNNNNNNNNNNNNNNNNNNNNNNNNNNNNNNNNNNNNNNNNNNNNNNNNNNNNNNNNNNNNNNNNNNNNNNNNNNNNNNNNNNNNNNNNNNNNNNNNNNNNNNNNNNNNNNNNNNNNNNNNNNNNNNNNNNNNNNNNNNNNNNNNNNNNNNNNNNNNNNNNNNNNNNNNNNNNNNNNNNNNNNNNNNNNNNNNNNNNNNNNNNNNNNNNNNNNNNNNNNNNNNNNNNNNNNNNNNNNNNNNNNNNNNNNNNNNNNNNNNNNNNNNNNNNNNNNNNNNNNNNNNNNNNNNNNNNNNNNNNNNNNNNNNNNNNNNNNNNNNNNNNNNNNNNNNNNNNNNNNNNNNNNNNNNNNNNNNNNNNNNNNNNNNNNNNNNNNNNNNNNNNNNNNNNNNNNNNNNNNNNNNNNNNNNNNNNNNNNNNNNNNNNNNNNNNNNNNNNNNNNNNNNNNNNNNNNNNNNNNNNNNNNNNNNNNNNNNNNNNNNNNNNNNNNNNNNNNNNNNNNNNNNNNNNNNNNNNNNNNNNNNNNNNNNNNNNNNNNNNNNNNNNNNNNNNNNNNNNNNNNNNNNNNNNNNNNNNNNNNNNNNNNNNNNNNNNNNNNNNNNNNNNNNNNNNNNNNNNNNNNNNNNNNNNNNNNNNNNNNNNNNNNNNNNNNNNNNNNNNNNNNNNNNNNNNNNNNNNNNNNNNNNNNNNNNNNNNNNNNNNNNNNNNNNNNNNNNNNNNNNNNNNNNNNNNNNNNNNNNNNNNNNNNNNNNNNNNNNNNNNNNNNNNNNNNNNNNNNNNNNNNNNNNNNNNNNNNNNNNNNNNNNNNNNNNNNNNNNNNNNNNNNNNNNNNNNNNNNNNNNNNNNNNNNNNNNNNNNNNNNNNNNNNNNNNNNNNNNNNNNNNNNNUAUCCCAAUCCUAGUUUCAAUAUAAUAAUUCUUAUAGUGCAUGUCAACCUUCUUAUUAUACUUGUGUAUAACUUCAUAUCAUUCAUAUCAUUUCCAACCAUAUGUUUGAGUUUCCUUAUACUAUAUAUCAUUCAUCACAAUGUCAUCUCCAUUGAAUUAUAAUCUAUUAUGCGUGUAUGCUUUAUAAUCCUAUUGAUGCCUCAAAGAUUUAUCUUAACUUGAUCAUUGCAUCUCAUGCAAUACCACAAUUCCUAAGAGUCAUCCUUUUGUCCUUAAUCAUCUUUCAUGCCUCUAUAUUACCUUGUAUCUUUCUUGCAUUAUGAUAUUGAUUUGUCACUUAAGACUCAAACUCAUUUGAAUCAUGUAUACCUCAAGCAUUUUCGAAUUCUAAUUUCCAUAAUAUAUAUUAGGAAAGUUUCAUUAUCUGACUUCAUUUUCAAGGUCAACUUCUAUCAUCUUUUGUUCCACUCCUUCAUAUGAACAUAACAUCAUUCUUCCUUAACCAAUUUAUAAAUUGUACUUGAAAUUGUAAAACUUAAAACUAGAUUCUCCUUAAGUAUUUUUCAAUAUUAAUACUAAUAUCACUCUCAGCUUACAGCUUCCUUUUUAUAAUCACAUAACUUAGUGCUUGCUUUAACGAGAUCUAUAACAAAACUUCUCUUGAGUAUUUCCUUGGGAAUAUCUAUCUUAAACUUAUGUCUCACAACAUGUGAUCCCUUAACUUGUGAUUUAGCUGUUAGGCUUCUCAGCAAGUUUUAAAAAUUUUACGUUUCAUACUUGCUGUGUAUGAUUAGAAUCUCUUCUCAAAGAUGUUUAUGUAUUCCUAAAACACUUACUCUUAAAGAUAUAUAAAUACGUACUCAUCCAUUCAAUCCCUAACUCAUCGUCAUAGGUUUCUAGGGUGUCACACAAUUAGCUUAAUGUUGUUCCUAACUUUUGUCAUUUUACUGUAUCAAAACAGAUAUUACAAAUUCUCGUAAUGAUAUUCUAUAUAAACUGAUUUUCUAUACCUAUCUCGUAAUUCUUCCUUCACACUUUCAUUAUUUGGUAUCUCAUCUCAAUAUAGUCAUUUCAAGAAUCUUUCAAUUUUUCUUUUAAUUAUAUGCCUAUAUACAAGGCAAUAAAGAAGCUUUUCAAUUCAUUUGAGUAAACAUUCUCCAAAAUAUUUAAAACUCCCAGAUAACAAAACACAAUGACCAAUAACCAAAAUUCAAUUUGUAAGCUCAUUAUCGUGUCACUCCCAUCUUACUCAUGCAUCAUAGGCGUGAGGUAUUUGGAGCAUUACAGCGUUGAAUAGUCAAUGCUGAAAUACUGUAGCUAUUGGAAAUUUUCUUCAUCAAAACUAUUUGUUUGCAUUGAAAGUCACCACAUCAAUCAUUCUCAACCAGUGGGUUUCUUUUCUAGACUUAUAUCAUGAGUUCCAUAAGUAUAGGUACCUUCUAUUUUUUUGUCAUACACACUAAGCCAGAUUAAUACUUUCAUCUCAUGUCAUCUUUUGACUUUUAUCAACAUUCAUAAAAUUCCACCUCAAAACAUCCUUUCCAUACAGUGUAAUAAAUUCAUGAUACAUAUACCACUCCACACAUAAGUAGCUUACUAUCUACAACUUUUCUCAAAUUUAUUGUCAUCCCUAUCCAAUUAUCUUCUUUGUCUUAUACUCCAAUAAUUUUAUUGACUUUCGGUAUAAUUAACUACAAAAACAGCCCAGCUUUCUCCUCACUUUAUUCUCGCAAUCCUUACUGAAUCAAAAUUUUAUAUUCCCCAUAUUCCAUAAUUUAACUUCAUUGGGGUAUAUUUGUGCCCAAUUAUUACCUCAUAGUAUCAUGGCAUCACUGAGUAAUCCCUUUCAUGCUUAAAUUACAAUCAUCAACUUAAUCACGUUACCCAUUUCGAAUGUCAUUUAUAACUUUAUUGCUUCCUUCUAUAACCUUCCUCAAUAAUUAUAUUACCAAUUUAUCUCUGUUAUACUAAAAGAUUCUCAUGCAUAUCUAAUUAUUUAAACAGCUAUUUUACAUUUCGUUCGAGUAAUACAAAAUAAAAGCCAUUCCUAACUCCUUUAUACAGGUAACUACCACAUUUUCCCUUAAACGACACUUGCCUAGAUUUAUGAUAAUACAACUUCAACUAAAGUAUUAAACAUCUUUAGGUUCCUCAUUGUCUUGAUCCGGGCACAUCAAUGGAUCCUUUUUCUCCUAAGAUUUUCUCCUUUGUUCUUCAAUCCAGGCUUGUUGCAAUCUCCUACGUUUCUCAUCACUUAUCGGUGCAGCAUUUCUUCCACAACCAGGAGGAAAAUAUCGUACAACGUUCACCCCCCUACGGGGUUUACUUACCACUGUUACUUUCUCCUUAUUCUUUUCUAGUUGUUCCCUUACAUUUCUCCCACAGCCUAGUGGAAAGUGUCAAACUACUAUCACGCUCUUCCGAGAAUGAAUACCUCAUUCGGCUAUCCUUAAUUUCCCCCUUUCUUUAGCAUGUUUCUUAGAUUCUCUCAAAAGGGAACCUCUCAUGCUUACAUUAAUAUUAUCACUAUCUGCACUUUUUGGACUACUCGGUUCGGGCUGCCAUCGGCUCUUAGCAGUAGAAUCUAGCAAUCCCUCGCUAAUACUGUGAGAGGCGUCGGGACUACCGUCUCUCCUAGACAUGGUGUGUAUGUCACCAGCGCACCUCAAAACCUAUACACAACCAAGUAGUAAUUACUUAAUCAUUCAUGUAUCCCAAAAGUAGGUAGGUUUCUAUAUGUAGAUGCAUGCAUUCUAUUCAAUCUAACCUAACUUAACUUAUCUUAACUUAACUAGACUUGGGACCACGCAAUGUCAGUGUGGAUUUCUUAAAACAACCUUAAAAUCAAAAACUUUUAAAUCCAAAGCUUUAAAACCAAAAUCUUUGAUCUUUAAACCAUGCUCUGAUACCAAUCUAAAUUGUCACGACCCGAAACUCCCCAUCGAGCUCGUGACAACCGCCGCGAGGCCUCGACAAAUAUUUUUCACCCCGAAUGUCGAUCAAAACCUCGCAAGGCUCUCGUAUCAGCUUUCGCACUUCCCCGGUGAGCAAUAGUUAUCAAAUAUCAAAAUUCGAAGGAUUUCAAAUCAUUUCCAAAUCAGAACAUAACAUAUUGUUUUCUGGCUCACAAGGGCAUUUUCGUCAUUUUUGUUGAAAACUUCGAAACUUGCUAAAAAUGUAGUAGGUAAGCAAAAAAUAUAUAUUUAAUAAUUUAAAAACAAAUUAACUAUCUAAAACGUUCAUUUCAAGUAAAAAAUUUGACCAUUUGAAUAUAAUAAAAAUAUUCAAUAAAAUAAACUAUUUUCUUGUAAAAUAAUUUUCGUAAAACUAUCGGUAAUUCUUAUAGCGUAAAAGUUAAUUAUAUUCAUAUAUACUAUAAAGCAAAUAACCAAAGCAUAAAAUUUCUUUACAGUGACACGUGGGCCCACAUCUAUCCAAAAUGCAUCAGAAGCUGAAAACCUACAGCUUUUACCGAUUCGAGUCCAAAUAAAGGUCCUUGUCAAAGUCAGCUAACUAUGGAAUAUCCCUGAGCCUGAAAUGUGAGGAAAUGAGGCUGAUGAGAUUAUAAAAUCCUAGUGAGUAAACAGAUACCAUCUAAACUAUCUAAAGUCGAGUAAAUGGAGACAAUUAAAAUAAAUCAUCAUACUGUAAUUUCAUUACCUUUCAACUCAUUUCAACCAAAUAAAAUCAAUCCCUAAAAAUAGAGUAAUCAACUUGGCUUAUGAAUUUCUUAAAACUUUGGCUCGUGUCAAAACUCAUACUCGGUGAUACCUUGGGCAGGGCAUCCAACCGAGUCCGCCAAGGCUGUUAAAAUUUUUGUAUACACUUAAAAUAUAUUUUUAGUUUGAGAAAAAUACAGUUGUUCCUUGGCGUUGGCUGAGUUCCCCUUCACGUGGUGGUUUGGCGUGAAGUGAACCCUAAGCUUUACCCCAAGAGAUACCCUACGCGCCUCUCCGUUCGACGUAAGAAUAUAAUGGAGUUUUUCGUGCCCUUCUAAUAGGCUGGUCCACGGAACCCCCUCCGCAGUGAAUAAUUAAUAUAUAAUCCACCAAUCAAUAAAAUUCAUUCUAGCAUGACAUGGCAAUUUAUCGCAACUUAGCCUCUCAAGGCUGAAUACACAGUAUAAAUAAUUCUAACAUCAAAAUUAGUUUAGCCAUUCAUGCUCAUUUAUUGUCAUAAGCCAUUCAAUUCAAAACCAUAAAUUUGCAACACAAGCAGGCAGUCUCUAAUUAGUUUAUUUUCAAAACCAGUAUUCAAUUUUUCAGAAAAUUUAUAAAAUUAUUUUAUAAAAUCACAAUUUCUCUUAAAACAUAGCAAUUUACCAUUUAAACUGAUUUUCCAUCAAAUCACACAAUUGUAUAAAACUACUCUAGAUAAUUAAGACGAUAAUAAGUUCACUCACAGUUCUAGGAGUCGAUGUACUCCUAAUCCCAGUCUCCAAGCAUAAUCUCUGUCCUUUUACCAGUGUACUUGCUCACCACUUAUCCACAAUGUAUAAUACAUAAUUCCCCACAUCAAUGCUUGACCAUAAUAAAAUCAAUUCAGGCUCGGUAUAUAUGCAUGAUAUGAUAUACAACUUAUCCGACUACCGCUUAAAUGCGGUGCUGACCUAAUUCGGCCUAUUAUCUCCAAUUUAACUCCAAAUCAAUUCUUCUCACUUUCUACACUCCAAUUAUACCUAAAUUACCUUAAUAAUUAUGAAUGAGAUUCAAUUUAUCAGUCCCAAUAGCAAAUUACAAAAAUACCCCUAGUGGGUAAAAAUUCGUAUUUUUGCUCCGAAAAUUUCUAUUAUUUUUCUAGGCUCAUAAUUCAUCAUUUCUUAACCAAUUCUCCUAAAAUGAAAAUCAAAUUCAUCCUCACUCAACACAUGAUAAAUUCAGCCAUUAAUGGUUGUGGGAGAAAAUAAAUUCUUUUCUUGUUGUUUUGUUUCUAAAUAUGCUAAACUAACUUAAAACACUAACAUAACUUAAAAUCAAAUUAAUCUAACAAGUUUCUCUCUCCUAACCCAUUUUUCAGAAUUGAAUUCAUCCUCAAAUCACAUGAUUCAACCAUGGAAAAUGAUGGGAAAUGCAUGGGAAAGGUAAAGCACAAGACAAAUUUAGGAAAUGUUACCUUUUUUUCAUUUGAUUUUUGAAUUUCCACCUAUUUUCCCUUUAAAUUUCUUGGCUAGGGUUUUAUUUUCUCCUUUCUCUCUCUUGUUUCUUGCUUGGCCAAAUGUUGAAGAAGAAGAAUGGGUUAUGGGCUGAUUUUUUUAUGCCUUUUUAUUAGUUUAAUGAAAUAAUAUUAUUUUAUUCAUAUUUUGAAUAUUUUAUUAAUUCAUUUUUUUUUUUAGCCAUCCACUUGUCCUAUUUUUUCCACCAUGCAUUCCCUUUGACUUAUCCAAGUCUUAAGUGAAAUUUCCAGAUUUUUCCAAAGUUUUGGUGGAGCAAAUUUUUCAAAAUUACACUUUUGCCCCCAAACUUUUAAAAAAUUACAUUUUUCCCCAAAAAUUGAAAAUUUGCCAUAAUGCAGAAUUUUCACUCCUCAUACUAAUUUCACACUCCAAAUAAUUAAAUUUGAUCAAAAUCCUUUCAAAAAUUAAAUUUUCAAUUUCGGGUGGUAAAAUUACCAUUUUGCCCCUAUACUCCAAAUUAUAUCGAAAUUAAAAAUUUUCACUUCUAAACCUCAAAUCAUACUCCAAUAAGUCAAAUGGGGCCAAAAAAAUCUUUUCCAAAAAUUUCCAUUUUGUCCCUAGGUGGCAAAUGACCAUUUUACCCCUGAAUAGCAAAAAUUCCGGUUUGUCUCCAAAUUGAUCUUCGAACUCCGAAUCACCAUAUUAAACCAUUCUGGGACUUUAAAAUUCUUAAUUUCAUCAUAAAUUCUCUAUUUGAUCUAGUUCGAGGCUUAAAUCAACUUUAUUGUACGUCUAGGUACAAUACCGACUUUUGUAAAUUUUUCGAGACUCUCUUAGCAUGCAAACAUGUUAUCCAUCACAUGUAUGUCUUGACAAAUAUUUUUAUAGAGUCGGGCUUGUCAUCUUCUCCCCCACUUGGAUCAACCAUAUGAUCCUUCUUCAUGACUGAUUUCGAUGUCCGACUAAAUAUUAAUAUUUUAAUAUUAUUUUAUUAAUAAAAUAUUAUUUUAUUCUAAAAAUUUUAUCUUGUCUCCUUGGUACCCAAAAUACCUUAUUAUACCUCACUUGACUUCCGAAUCGCCUUUUAUCUCACAAAUUCUCCUCCGACAAAAUUAUUAUUAUUUUAUUGUUAUUUUCUCACUUUCGGAAUAUUUUAUCCUAAACUACUCCUUUCGUCUUUUAUCACUUCUAAACAUUUUAAUUGACCUCAAUUUGUAUUCGAUCAACUUUAUUUAUCACCAUAUCAAAGUAUGGGGUAUUUCAUCAAACAUACUCCAUAAUUAUCAAAAUUAAAAUUAAAGAAUAAAUAAUUUAAUUCUUUAAUUAUCAUGUAGAGUUCUUGAUAAAACAAAACUCCUUAUCAAAUAAUAACUCUUAUUUCAUUAUUAUCUAUUUUUAUUUAAAAAAAUUAAUAAUAAAUAAAAGAGUGAUAAUUAAACAUGGACUCUCUUUUUAUCAACAUGGAUGUCUAGAUUCAUUUUGCAAGAAUCGUCCUAACGUUAUCUUAAUUUAAGAUAACUCUUGUCUUUAAUUAAGACAAAAAUAUUUUAUCUUGCCUAAAUUGAGACAAAUAUAUUUUCUUAUCUGGAUUAAGACAAAAAAUAUUUUUCUUGUCUAAAUUAAGACCAAACAUGUUUUUUGUCUAAAUUAAGACAAACAUGUUAAAGCUGUCAUUUUUGUACACAAUUUAAUUAAUCAAAUUAAAACAUGCAUUCCGACUUAAACAAGUUGAAUUCUACAAAGCUAAGUGGGGAAUCUAUUUGAACAUAGACAUUCCAAGCUCCAUUAAACUUAGAAUUAUUCUUAAUAUCAUUAAAAAUAAUUCAAGCUUAUUAACCAUGAAAUCACUCCACCAUAGAUUCAUGGUUGCACUCUUGGAUUAACUAUGAUUACAAGAAACAAUUCAAUACUUGAUAUUAAUUAUUAGUUGUCCAAUUGCAAACCUUGUAUUGUGAACCCUCAUAACCAUCCAAUGACAAAAGAUAAAAUUACCGUUUUACCUUUUAUGUCAAUUUUGUCUCCUAGUCUCAAAUUUCAUCCAAUUAGUGAUUCAAUACUUUAGAUCUAAUCUUUUGAGUAUCCAGAUGUGAUGAGUAGCUAAUUCAUCAGUCAACUAGGCCCAGAUUAAUCACCAAUCUUCCUAAAAUCAGUAAAAGUGAUGUUAUUGCCCAUCAUUUGGAUAUAUGUUCCUAGAUGUUCAUCUCGAUUAUAAUCUCAAAAUACAAAGUCUAGAUCAAUGCUUUAUGAUGAUCAUGUUCAUGGUAAAUCAAAGAUUAUAAGGAGAUUAAACACGAAUCCAUUAUCCAUCAGGAUUUCAGUUCUACUAUUGGCAAAUACAUAAGUGUGCGAUCAAGAUUUAAGUAACGGUAAAACUUAAAUAUGAUUCUCACAUGAUUCCAGUUCAUUUAUAGUUUCAUUACUCAAAGUCAACCAUUUUGAUGAUUUGAGACUCAUCAUUCCCUUCAUAUACAUCACAUUUGUUUCGUCGGAAGUAAUCUGGACACUACAUACUUAACACAAUAAAGUGACCAGCUUAAUUAUAUAGCUGUGAACAAUUUUUAGAUUCAAUUAAAAUACAUGUCUCCUAUGUAUGACUCUUCAUACAAAUGUAUUUUAAUAUCUCAAUAGAAUCAUGGUACCUUAAUAACUAGAUAAUGAAUGCUUACUAAAACAAACUCUUCGUCUUAUUAUCAAAAUGCAUUUUCAUUACAAAUAAAUUUAAUGAAAUUAAGCAUGAGAAUAUACUUGCUUUCCUUGGUACCAUAUUCUCAAAAUUUCUAACACCUCCAUACAUAUAGGCAUGCUCUCAAGUAACUUGGUUCACAUCAAAAUCAAGGGCGUUGUUGAAGAGGAUUCAAAUCAUGCUAAGGUGAUCACACGUAGAGGAAUAUUAUUAAAAUUUUAAUCCUAAAGCCAUGGAUCACUUUAAUUGAAAAUAAUCUAGAAAAAUCACAAGAGAAAAAUUUCGACAUACCAGAAAGUUUGAUGUCUACUUUCUUUGGUGGAGUCUUCCUUAGCUUUCGUUUUUUGACUUUUGUACACCACUAGCACUUAUCAAACUGUAGCAGCACAAUUGUCCUGCCUUUAAUGGUGAUACACAUAGUUAUUUGUCAAAAUCUCUUCACUAAGAGUGUGAAUCUCUAAGCCAAAGUUUGUGCUAGCAAACUCUCAAGUUUGAGCUCUCUUGUGUUUCUCUCUUUUUGGCUGUGACCCUAUCUUAACACAUGAGAAAAUAAAAUAGGACACUUCUAUACAUUCAAGAGGUGGCUAAAGAAUUCUCUUAUAGAUUGAAUUGACCUACUUUAUAUCUAACAAGGAUUAGAAAAUGUCUUGGGUUAAUUGGUAUUUUAAUAUCUUAAUAGAAUCAUAGUACCUUAAUAACUAGAUAAUGAAUGCUUACUAAAACAAACUCUUCGUCUUAUUAUCAAAAUGCAUUUUUAUUACAAAUAAAUUUAAUGAAAUUAAGCAUGAGAAUAUACUUGCUUUCCUUGGCACCAUAUUCUCAAAGUUUCUAACACCUCUAUACAUAUGCAUGCUCUGAAGUAACUUGGUUCACAUCAAAAUCAAGGGCGUUACUCAAAAGGAUUCAAAUCAUGCUAAGGUGAUCACAUGCAGAGGAAUAUUAUUAAAAUUUUAAUCCUAAAGCCAUGGAUCACUUUAUUUGAAAUUAAUCUAGAAAAAUCACAAGAGAAAGAUUUCGACAUACCAGAAAGUUUGAUGUCUGCUUUCUUUGGUGGAGUCUUCCUUAGCUUUCGUUUUUGGACUUUUGUACACCAACUAGGAUUUAUUAAACCGUAGCAGCACAAUUGUCCUGCCUUUAAUGGUGAUCCACAUAGUUAUUUGUCGAAAUCUCUUCACUAAGAGUGCGAAUCUCUAAGCCAAAGUUUGUGCUAGCAAACUCUCAACUUUGAGCUCUCUUGUGUCUCUCUCUUUUUGGCUGUGAUCCUAUCUUAACACAUGAAAAAAUAAAAUAGGACACUUCUAUACAUUCAAGAGGUGGCUAAAGAAUUCUCUUAUAGAUUGAAUUGAUCUACUUCAUAUCUAACAAGGAUUAGAAAAUGUCUUGGGUUAAUUGGGCCUUUGUUUAAUACUCCAUCAUAUUAUAUUUGAUUUAGCCUAAUACUUAAUUGGAUUAAGCCUUUAUAAAAUCAAUUAGAUCACAUCCAAUUGAACUUAAAUUAAUUUCGAUAAUUCACUUUAUGUGUGUGACCCAUUAGGUACCCAACAUGUUGGUAAUAAAUAUAAAUUAAUUUAACUAAGAAUUUAUAUUUAUAUUUAUAUUUAUAGAUCUUGAGUAGCAUCUAGCAAAACAUCAUGACCACCCAAAUGUCAGAGGAGUUAAUAUGGUUUGACUAACCUUUCAGUGUAUAGUAUCUCAGUGUAGUUCAAUCCUUUCAUCAUAUAUUCUAGAUAGAUAGAAUACCUGGCUCGAUGUCUACUUUUUAACUUAUCCAUAUUAGUCUUGCAGCUUUCAUUUUGACAUAUCAAUAUGGUCUUGGCCAAGGACUUUUAGUCAAUAUAAGCCAGGAGCAAAUGAGAUACGACUCUUUCAAAUCACUUGGGGUGAUGAAUCUUCUUUAUACUACUCACUUAUCUUUGCAUGCUUCAUGUCAUACCCAAAAACACCCUGUUUAGGCAUCUGGUCACCUUCAGACCAAUAAAGGUGAAAUCAAAGCAUGACAAUUCACAUACAAGAUGACCUGGUAUCACAAGUCUAAGGAUUACUUACGCUACUAACACAUAAGAGUAUUUUCAUGGACACUUGAGUAAAAUACUAAAUGAAACUCUCAUAACGGGUCAUGUUCAAUGAACUUAUUUGUCACGACCCAAUUUUUGAGCCAUGAUCGGCGUAUGGGCCCAAUGGACGUAGCCCACUAAGCCCACGCAAGCCUAUUUAUAUGCUCCUGCUCAUCAUCCCGUCGACUAUUCUUACAUUUACAUCUCAUAAUCUCAACCCUUAAGUACUUUAAUAGUAAAUUAUAACAAUCAAAAUUUGCAUUUAUAUUAGCCCAAAAUAACAUUAACCAUUGCCACUCAUGGUGGCUUUAGCAAUCAAGUCAUACAUAUAUGGCCUAAGGCAUACAUCUUAGCAUUGUACAUCACAUGUACAUAUUUACAAACAAAAAUGACUUUGGACUUCUAGCAAAGUGACCAAGGUGAACGUGCGGCUACAAAAUGCCAAGAUACCUACCAAGGAUACGAAUCUACGAGGACACCUCGACCUAGUUACCGGCUGCCUCUUGAUCUGAAAACAUCAAAUUGAAAACGGUGAGUAUAAACUCAGUGAGUGAACAAAGGAAGAGAACAAGCAAAUGAUAAGGAAAAUUUAAAGAAAUCAUGAUGCAUUUAUUUUUCAAAAACAAUGCAAUUUAGUUUAGUUCUUAUUAAAACCCCUCAUUAAACCCUUAAUGAAUUAAUCACUUGACAAAAAAGGUCCAUGCACAACAAAGGAUUCAAAGAGUGAAAACUUUAAUAGUAUUCAAGCAAGUCUAGUCAAGUAAAAUGAUGGGUCCUCACUGCAACGGAAAGGCAUUCUCGCUGCAGCUAAUGAAUUUACGCUGCAACAAAAUUUGGCUCAAAUUGUCAACUAGCCAAGGGUUACUCACCAGACCCCUUCAUUUCGAACUUAAUUAAUUUAUUCCCUGAUGUUGGAAGUCCAUGCUCAACCAUGAUGUUAAAGAAAUGAAAAACGUGGCAAAAACCAACAAGGUAGCAUGCUGGACAGAAAGUUUCUCGCUACAGCAAAAUUCAAGCAGCAAAACAAAAAGUUUCUCACUGCAACGAGAACUCAUUCUCACUACAGCGAGUUACAAGCAACUAAAACAGAAAGUUUCUCGCUGCAGCGAGAAGCAAGGCACCUAAAUAAUGAGGGACCUCAUUUGUACUAAACAUCCAUUUAAUGCUGCAAUAAAAUCAAUCUGCAAUUAAAUGGGAAAUUUUCAAGAUUCAUCAUUCCAUACAAUCACAUAUUACAAUCAUGGUAUUUCUAUUGCAUAUACAUAUACCUAAACAUAUAUCAAUUUGUAUACCAUCCUAUCUCACCCAGCUCAUGUGCAUCCCCCCACAUCGUGCACAUAGCCGGAGUCAUCGCGUGCAUCCCCCCAUAUCAUGCAUAGUUAAUGCCAUCGUGUACAUCCCCCCACAUCGUGCACACGCACAGUUAUGAUUAUCACACAAUGUCAACCAUCAAUGCACUAUAUACCAACAUAAUGUAGUAGUACAUGAAUCCAUAACAACCACAUAUCACAACAUAGAGACAAUUUAUCAAGGGCUUGUUCCCAUGCAUAAUUUAAUGAAAAGCUAGGUAAAAUCAUUUAAAUACUUCAUCCCAACACAUAUGUAUUUCCCAAAAACACUUUGAUGCAAGUUCACUCACCGGUAUUUGUUGAACCUUUAGUUGACUCUAACUUCCCUAAUGGUCCAAUUGGGGUUGAGGGGCCUCGUUGAAACUUAUCACACACCAAAAACAUCACAGCCAAUCAAAUUUACAUUAACAUUGCUCCAAAGCUAUUUCCCAAAUCAAACUUCAAUAGCCCUUCCUAUCUACCUUCCAAUUACCAUUUGAUUAGCUAUUUAGUUUCUCUUCUCUAGUAACACUAGAAAUAGAUAAACAACUUCAGCAAUAACACAACUCAUUACUUCAAUUACUAGCCAUUAUCAACAACUUAAAACCACUCUUAAUUCAUCACUCACCUUGGUGGAUUAUAAUGAAAAUUCCUUUUUAAAAUUCCUCCAAGAUAUUGUAGAAGUUCCCUCUUUCUCUCUCUAAACACCUAGCUAGUGAGAGAAUGUAUGGAAGUAAGAUUUUCAAGGGUUUGAAAGUGAAAGAGUGAAAGAGCACAAAGGUUCUAUGCAAAAGUGCACAAAAGCAUUAAAAUUAGAGCUAUUUUGAUAGAGGCUAUGGAGGUUUCAUAACAAGCUUUCAUGGAGGGGGAAACAAACGUGAGAUGGAAGGAAGAAAAAAAGAAGCUGCUGGAAAUAAUGAUAUUUAUAGCUCAAGCUUAUCCAAUCUCUUCUUAAAUUACAAAAAUGCCCUUAACAAGUUUGCUUUGUCUUCCUCAAAUCCUUUGUGAAAUCUCUUUACUCUUUUGACAUCAAGACAAAGUCCAUAAUAGUCUAGAAAUACUCGAGCUUACAAAAACUUAAAAAAAUUUUGAACCGAGAUGAAAAAUGAUCAUUUUGCCCCUACCUUAGAAAUCAUCAUUAUUUUUAUUUUUUUCGUCAUUUUACCCUUAUUUUCAUCAUUCAUCUAUGCCUUAGGCCUACUUAGGCCUCAAUAUUGUUUGAAAGUCUACUUCUAGAGGCUCACUAAGAAAAUGACGAAAUUAUCCCCGGCUCGUGUUAUCGCCUCUACACCUAGUUACGAGUCUAUAAAGAUCUAGGUCUCACAUUAUUCCUUAAUAAGCACCCACAAACUAUCCCCAAGUAUCUCGCAUACUUCAACCUUGAGAUUAGUUGCUUACUUCCAAAGUAAAAAGGCUUAGCAUGUACCAACUUGUGAACGUUAUCAAUGUCCUUAUUCUUGACAAUACAAUGACCAGGAACAUAUUUAGGAACAAGGCUUUGAUGCAUAAGAAUCUCAUAAUUAUAACAUUUAUAAUUUCUUUACAAGGUCAUUAUGUUCCAAGGACUUUGUCUACAUAAGUCUCUCAUAACUUUUCAUAAAUAAACUCAUGAAUAAAGAAAUACCUCAUACAUUAUAUAAAAUAUCCAUAAUGUAUUUAACAUAAAUAAUGACUAAUUAAUGUAGUGUUUUACAAGCACAAAACCAAUUGGCUUGCACGGCUUACACUAACAGUUACAUUUGCUCUCCAUAUGCUAACAACAUUCGACCCAAAUGGGCAUGACAUGUAACAUCUUUGGGGAUUUCAACAACUUCAAGCAACACUAAAUGCCAUUUAACGACAAAACCCUAAACUACAUUCUCAAGCACUAUGACAUUCAAAUCACAAAACCCACUCAAAAACACAACAAAAAAUUUAUCAUUAACUGACUUAUUGUUUGUUACUAACUUGUUUGCUGUGAUUGAUUGCUUUGCUCUGAACUUGUUCGAACACUUUUUUAUCUUUGAGAAUGGAUCAAAUGAUCAUUUAAUAAACAUGUAGUGUAAUAUACCUAGCAUUUAGGAUUUACGUCAACAUCCAAAAAAUCAAAAAAAUCUUCUUGUGCAACAUGAAGAGGUUUUUAAUAAAAUGUCAUGUAGCAAAUUGUGGGUAGGUUUAUUUUCACAAACCUUCACAUGAAUGAGAGUACGCAUAAAUGAGAAAGUUUCAUUAAAGGCAUUUUUGUCCAAAAAUCUUAUCUCUUAGUUAAAAACAAUUAAAAUUAUGAAAAGAGUUAUUUCCCAAAGCACCUUAUCUUUGUGCAGGCUAAAAAAAAUUUAUCCUAAGAUAAUUAUACAUGAUAUAUAACAUUCAUAUACUUGUUAUAUUGACAUUAAUAUAUAACAUUAACGUAAUGUAAAUUAACGUUAAUGUUGAGUAUAUUACCUUUAAAUAUUCAUAUUUCUUAUAAUUAUAUAAUUAUAAUAUUAACAUUACAUAUUAUUAUAUUUUAUACCUUUAAAUUAUAAUAUAAAAUAUUUGAAAGUAAUGAAUUUAAUCAAAUUAUAGUAAUUAAAUAUUAUGUUAAUGUUAAAAUAAUAUUUUAUAUUCUACCGUGAGAACGUGAGAUUAAAGAUAAAAAUUACAUUAACAUAUAACAUAAAAUGAAUAAAGUUAUAUAUUACACGUUUACUUGUUGACCUGUUUAACAGCACAUGCAUGCGCAUACGCAAGAUAUCUGUCAACUAUAUGUAUGCACAAAGUUAUUCCAAAAGAUAACAAAAAUUGUAAGCCAAAAAAUAAUGAACGAAUAUCAACUGCAGGACCCUCCGUUCAAGUUAAACUUCCCAUGCUUAAGCAUCAACACUUCUCUUGUCCGACAGGAUCCUUCCAACUCCUCUGCCAAUAGAUUGGCCACUCUUACUGCCGCUACCUCCAGAUACUCUAGGAACAGAACGCUGCAUGAUCCGAAUGGGAAUUCCGCCCAAAUCAAAGUCUUCCUUCAAGGACUUUGUUAGAAACUUCACAUAUGUAUCCGAGAGCAUGGUCUUUCCACUCAAAAAGGCAACAAAAGUAGGAGGCCUAGCUUUCACCUGGGUGAAGUACUUGAUCUUGGUUUGUGCACCCUGGUCUUUCCAAGAAUGCCUGCUCAUAACCUGAUCACCAAGAGAGAAGGAUGGAAACAGGCAGAUCCACAAAGUUCAAUUACUAAUUACACUUUCAGGGCUUUAAGAUAUCAAAGUGAAGAUAUUGGCCACAGACCUUACGCAACCAACGGUUAAGACGAGCUGUGGACAACCUUAAACACCACUUAUCAUAUGUAUCAAUAACUUGGCGCAUAACAGCUGUACGUCCCCUGCCCUUAAUUGCUGAAAUGAAUAUAACCGGUAUACCAGUCACCUGUAGGCAAGGCCAUGACAAUGUCCAAUCAUCCAAUGGCACACAUUAUGAUUUUUAAUAUUAACCACAUUAAUAAAAGGUGUUUAAAUGCAUCUAUAGAAGAUCAUCAUAGAAUGCUUCUAUUCUAACUAGCUCCCUGUGACCUCACUUAACGCUCUCUUUUUUUUAACGACAGGUGACAAAAAUCCUAUACUGAACUGUCAAAUGUACAUUUUCCUAUCCGCGCACUAUUCUGCAGCAAAUGUUUCUACAAUGAACUCUGAAAAUCUAAACAAGCAUAACUUGUCAGAUUGAUCAAUUGCAAGCAUAACUUGUCAGAUUAAUCAAUUGCAAUAAUAAUGUCUUUCAUGCUUCUGCCAAAUGUUAUAACAAUUCAGACUUAAUUCAAUUCCGAGUCAUAAUUACCACACGAAACAAGCAUUUGGCUUAUUCAUGCCAGUAGAAUCAUUAAUCAUUACCACUACCCCAUCGCAGCAGAAGUCAAAGGGUUUACUAGCCAGGUUGACAAUAUAUGCACAUAACAUCAACUUUUGCACUGAUUCCAUCAUUAUCUAUACACUAAAGGACCUUCUAAAGUAAAAAUACCUUUAUUUCACUUCCCUUAAAGAAAUUAAAAUAUUUAAAUGAACACAAUUUACUCCAAGGAGUAGACAAUGAAAACUAUUCUUUAAAUAUUAUCCAAAUAAAAAAUAAAGAUUAAGAAGCUGAUAAACCUGGGGCAUAACCAUCUGAAUUUCUUGAGGAACAGCUUCCACGACCUUUUUAUAUAAUGUAGAAUUUCUUUUCCCCUUUAGAAGAUCCAUCUUGUUCACAAUUACAACCAGACCACGACCUUCUUCCACUGCUCGUCUUGCUAUAACUACUUCUGCAUGUGUCAUGCUACGCCUAGCUUUUGCAAUCUGAUCAUCCCAUGGACAUAGCAACCAGAAGUAUUAGAUGUAUAGAAUAGCUCUCCCCACUGUCAUAAUAUUUAAAGUGCAUGUGUUCCAUACCAGCAAAAUUUUAAGCUACCAUUAUCACAUAGAUCUACUAUUUUUUGUAUAUUCAGAAUGAAGAGGAACAAAAAAAGAGAACAAAAUAGCAAAAACAAUUCUCAAAUUAUAGGAACUCUGCAGCACUCAAUUCUCAAGAUCUGACAAUAUCUCAACACAGUCUAUAAAUAACAUAGAUAUUUAUAGACUGCUUACUAACAACUUCAUAAGUAAAAAAGAUUGUUAUACAUAGUUAAAUAUCCUAAAAUAGAUAUAUAAAAUUACAACUAACAAUAUAAAUCCAUAAUAAUAUAAUUCUUGCAUUUGAAACAUUCCUCUCCUUCAUCAUCAAACCAUUACAAGGUUCACAGAUUGACCAAGGCAGGAGGUCCCAAAGACUACCCACUAUUCCCCUUUAUUUAAGCAGUCAGACAGCCUCCAACACAAAGAAAAUCUACAGCUUGCAAAUAAUGAAGCACCCUUUCUCUCCAUCAUGCCAGAAAAGAUAGACCUCCCAAGACAAAAUCAUUUUAAAGAUGUGAGACAAUCUAAUGUAUGACAAACCUCUUCAGCAUCGAGAACCAAAGCAACUACAUGAGCCCUCAUCAGAUUUUUUCUUGAUUGCAUAACACUCAAUGAAGCUGGUCCUUUCUGCCGAUCAGCUCUUUGCAACCAACCAGCAGUAUCAACCUGAGAAAUAAACCACAGCAAAAUCAAAUAAUAAAUGCUUGAUUAAAGAUAGUUUCACCCAGAGACUUAGAUCAAACAACUGCAAACAGAAUUAAAGCACAUAGUAUCAGUUAAUCCUAAAUCAAAUUGGGUAUAGUAGCUCAUGUACUACAAAAAACAAGACCCAUUAAUCUGCCUUCUGGCAAUUACUAAGAGGUUCAUUCUCCACAAAGGGAAAGGGCAAUUGGUCCACAUGAUAUGGCAUGAGCUAGAAAAUAAAAGAAAGGAAAAUUUUUGGCCUAGAGGGGACUAUAAAUUUUGGAUUUGGAAUGUCAUUAAGAUAACUGAAGGGAAACUGACCUUAUGAUAGCUUCCACAAGGACAGUACUCAGGAGAGCUUCAAUAAUUUAGAUAGUAAAAGGAAACAACAGAAAUGGAAUCAAACAUUGACUUUAUGAGAGCUUUGAUUUUUUUUUUUUUUUACUUUCUGCAGAGAAAAGAAAAAACAUCGUUUGGGAUUGACAAGUUACAAACCAGUCCAAAAAUAUCAAGAGACCAGGUAGCUAAAAUGUUAGAUGCUUUCAAUUUACAAAACAGUGCCCAACAGUCAUGUGACCAGAUAAAGAGUUAAAACAAGCAAUUUAUCUUGUACCAGAUAUACAGUUCUUCCUUGAUAUUGAAACUCUGCUCUCACUGAAUCUCUCGUCAAACCAGCUUCAGGACCAACCAGAACACGAUCUUCUUGUAACAAUAUAUUUAGUAAUGUAGACUUCCCCACAUUGGGUCGUCCUACAAUAGCUAAUUGUAGUGGCAGCUUAGACUCAUCAACCUUACAAGAGUCACUGUUUGGCUUGAAGUUUUCAUCUUGGCUACUGUUGUCUAGGACAAGCCAAAAGCAAACACAAUGAGAAAGAGAAAGAACAGGGAGGGGAGAGAAUGACAGCAUAAAUAUUCCAAUUACCAAGAUUAUAACUUGCACUGGUUGCAAAAGAGUUUGAAUUAAUAGGCUACCUACUGGGUCUCCAUAUAAACCAAAUGCACACACAUACACAUGACUAUUCUUAUAAAGUCUUAAGAUGUAAAUCUUAGAACUGACUAAAGCCUUAUCAAGAGCAAGAAGUUUUCUGCACAAUGCACAAAAUAACUAUGAAUUAAGGACAAGUAUCAACAAAAAUGGAUGAGUUUUUACAAAAAAGCAUCCAUAAAAGUUUCUAUUGUGCACACAUUGCGGGAGGGUAAUUUAUUUACCGAUUCUCUUACUAAGUAUGGCAUUGACCAGCAAAGUAUACUUUCGGCAUGGUGGUGAUUAGUUUCUGGAACCACUCUAUCUUCAUGCAUUAUUUCCAUGAUAUUUUGCUAUGUUUUACUUUGGCUCUGCCGUGUGCGUUUUUAUGCUCUUGAAAUUUUAAUUAUGGUUACAUCUGUGGCAUUGUACUCAGACAUUAUGGAUGGCGUUGCUGCUCACCUAUAAGGAUGGCAUUGCAACCCCAUACUGUCUUAUCAGUAAUAUAUAAAAUCCCCACUUUGGCUGAGCAAAAAUAAAAAUAUACAUAAAAAGUUUCACAAAAGUGAAGAUUCAAAAGCAUUUGACAUGAAAGAAAAAGAAUUGCAGAACAAGAAAUUUAUUUAACAAUAUUGGCAACCCAAUCUAGUUAUGAAUUAAGAUCAUGCACAUAAAAAUAUACUUGUAAUGCAGAGAAAGAGAAUAAAAAUAAACUUCUUUCUAAAGCAUCAGCAUAUCCCCUUUUUAACCAAUUCUAAUCUGGAACCACUCUAUAUCAUUUCACAAAAUUAUUAGAAGCCUAAUAAAUAAUAUUGAACCGCUUUGCACAACCUAUGAUAUAAUUAGCAUCCCCCCUCAAAUGAAUAUAUUUUUGGGGACAUCAGUUAAUAAUUCCAAAAAACUUACUUCUAGUGGUGAAACUUAUUUCAUUUGGAACAUCAGCCGAUAAUUCAAAAAAACUUAGUGCUAUCUUUAAAUUCUAUCAAAGACUAGAUCUAGCCUCUGAGCCAUUUGAAUGAUAUCAACAACUAGAUUUGGCCACCGGUGACUUGAUCCAGUUAGCUUAAUGCUCAAUUAUUAUCAUUUGCAACUUUCCCAUUGUUGAAAACGCCGUGGCAAAACUGCCAGUACGUACUGUCUCCAUUCACACCUUGGACAUAUUGGGAUUUCAGUAAAUACACAAGGAUAAAUUGGUGAAAAAAGUGGCAUCUCUAUUCCAUAAAACCAGAAUAGCCAUUCUUAGGGGAAGCCUAGAAAAAUUAUUCUAGGACUUUAGGGAAUAAGGGGGGUAUGGCAAUUCCACAUAAUAGCCAUUCAAUAAACCAAACCCGUGCAUUACUAUUCACCGCAAAUGAGUGGAUUUGGCACUAGCAGGGGCUAGAUAUAGUCACCCGCAAGCUGAUCUGGUGAUUAUUCAUUAAAACCAUCCAUCAUCAACAUCUUUAAACUCUUUAAAAGACUAGAUCUAGCCGCCAACAAGUCACUUGAAUGCUCUCAGCAGCCAGAUUUGGCCACCAGGCAAAUUGAUCUGGUCAGUCUAAUGAUCAGUUAUUACCACUUGUAACUUUCUCAUUGCCAAAAACGACAUCGCAAAAUUUCCAGUAGAUCAUCUCUCCCCUCACACCUCAAGCAUAUUGAGAUUUCAAUAAAUACAAAAGGGUAAAAUGGUGAAAAAAUGGCAUCUCUAUUACAUAAAACCAGAUUAGCCAUUCUUAGGGGUGAACCUAGAAAAACUAUUCCAAGACUUUAGGGAAUAAGGGGGGUAUGGCUGUUCCACAUAAUAGCCAUUCCAUGAACCAAACCCAUGCAUUACUAUUCACUAAGUGAAAAGGGGAAAUGGAAUAGCCAUUCCCCACAACCAAACAUAACAUAAAUAUCUCCUUGUUGACUUCAAAUUCACAACUAAUAUAACGCCAAGCUUGUUUUUACAAUCAUUAUCAUUUUGCUAUAAUUUCAUUACCACUUAAUGAGUCUAUGUUGAACAUUUAUUCAUUAUGUCAUAUUUGACAUAGACACUUGCUCAUAGAGUUUCAUCACAUGAUCAUCAGCCUCUUCAAGAAACAAUUUUCGGUUAAAAAAUAUACUCCUUUUAUUUUAUCAGAUAAUACUGCAAUGCCUAAAUAUGCUUUCUCCACGAUAGCAUAGAAUAAGUAUAAUGUAAUCUUUCUAUAAUGUAUCUAAAAUUAUUCAAAAAAAACAAGUGUACUAGCAUGCUGCAACUUAAGCAAUGAUGUAGCUCAAAAAUUUUCAAUUGUGUCAUAAACCAACUCACUUUUUAUAAGCAAAAUUCUUUUAUUCAUUGUAUUAUUAAAGAAAAAUUUACGUUGAAUCCAAAAGAUACAAUAUAAAAAUAAAAAUGAGUAUAUUAUCUUAUUACUUAAGAAAAAUUACUACAAUGAGAUAUUAUAAUGCAGUGCGGAAGUGGAAACAGUGAAAAAAAAUGCAAAACAGUAAAAGAAAAUCAAAACAAAGGUUAAACUUUUAAAAUCAAAGUAGGAACAAGAUAAUCAGGGUUUAGGGUGGUAGAACUUCUGACAAAAGAUAAUCCAAAAUAAUAUGGCUGCCCAAUGUUUCUAAACAACUAUUUAUACUGAGAGCAGCUUUUAAUCCUAGCCCUUGGAUACACAUAAACCCCAUCUAAUCCUGGUCAUUCAAACUCAUUAAGGCAUCACAUGUUUGUCACAUGACCACUUAAUAGAAUAAAAACAUAAUUACUAGCUAAUAACUAUAUUAAACAGUAAAUAAAGGAAAUAUAUCAAGAUAAAUAAUUGGAUAAAUUCUAGAAUGCUCCUGCUCAAGCUCCUUGAGUUGACAAAAGGCCUCCUCAUUAAUGAGAAGUUUGGCAGCUUUAGCAUAGAUUUCUGGAUCAAUCCUUUUUAGUUCACCAUUUACAAUCCAAGUACUCUCAUUAGCUAGCUUACUCAUAUCCUCCAUAAUACAGUUGAAGCAAAGAUCACAUGAGUACUGAACUUUUAGUUCUUCAAAACCAGUAACUUGAUUGCUCAUUAUUAUUUCCAGUAGCCUCCCAUCUUUACUAUAAACAUCUUCAAUUUCAACAAGUGCCUUUGUCAUCAAAUAACUUCUCGAAAUUUGGUAGUAAUAGAACCAGUGUCUGUCAUCAAAACUCAAUCUGUUCAAUAGCUCUUUGUGCAGAAUUUUGACACUUAAAGCUGUCCCUUUUCCAGCAUUCAGUGAUACAGCUUAUAAUGGAACUGAAAUUCCAUGUGUACCAUUUAUAGAAGGAAGCUAACUCAUAAAAACGUUGAACUUCUUUUUGAUUGGUUUUGGUGUUGGCCAUGCUCUAAUGGCAUACACCUUCUCCCCGAUCCAGUUUAAAUCUAUCUGCCUAAGACAAUAAAUCACAAAAACAGAAUCACAUAACACAAGAAAGAGCACUCAGUCAAUUUGAAUGAUUGUAUUUAUAGCAAUAGAGAGAUGAAAUAGCAUCACUAACUAUCCAUUGAACCCAUCUGGUGUCUUGUGCGUUGUUUUCCCAUCCCAUCCAAACUCUUGGUAAGCAACUGUUCAACCUGUUUUUGCAUCUCAGCUCACUCCAUGGAGGCAUUCUAUAAAACUAGCAUAUUAGGUAACAAAUCACCCAAACCAAAUCAAUAGCAUGUUGGUCACUACUUAUUGGUGUUAAAACAGAUGGCAAUUCCUCAUUAAACACACCUUUAAGUUCUUUUAACAACUGCCAAACUUCAAAAGGAUGCUUUGGUAUUUCACCUACAAGUAAUCUUGCACAAACUGGCUAACUAAAACAUAAACAAUUGCACUUCCUCUACUCUCUGAUUCAAAAUUCCCCAUUGACACUGACUCUCCUUGAAUUGGAUAAACAUCAACUUCCCCAUUGUCUUCAUCAUACUCAUCAUAAAGGGGUUGUGAUUCCUCAUCUUCAUUCUAAUCAUCAUCACAUACUGGUUGAAAUUCCUCCUCUCCGCCCUCUUCACAUUAUGCCUUUAAAUUAUCAAUAGCAGAACUGCAUUGUACUAAGUAAGUUGCUACUUUCUUCCCUUAGAAGUCAUCAACCUUUAUCAUAACUCCACACACAUUCAAGGCUAGAGCAUGUAAUAACUGCUCUCCCAAUUCACCAUGGACAGCAAGAAUUGCUGGUCCAACAUCAUAAAAAGGGCUUUCAUCCUCUCCAUAUUCAAUUUCAUCCUCAAGACACCCUCCAAUAAAUCCAAAGAGUCAAGGUUGCCGUCUAGACUCUCCAAAUAGGGUCCCAUUGAUUCCUGUCACUGUAAAUCUUGCACAGCCCAUGACAAAUCUUCAAUCAUACUCCUCAUGAUGUAGCCGAAAGGUUUAGGGCAAUUAGAACUCAACAAUUAAGGCUAGAAUAGGACUGAUUGUAUUGGAACAAUAGAAAGAUAAUUGAGUUUUCAAAUAAACCUCUUCAAUAAAUAUUCAAAAUAACAAAAGAUGAUAAUAAUGAUUUUCUAUCUAAGAUCACCUAUUUAUAAUAGCUAAAAUAAAUCCUAAUCAAAUAGUAAUCUUAAUCCUAAAUAAAGACUUAAAGUACUAAAAUUCUAAUAAAGAUAGGAAAAGAAUGUUAAACUAAACAAAAUAAAAUCCUAAGCUAACGAAAAUACUAAAUAAAAUAAAAUUCUUGAUGCACCUGCAUCAGUCCCCUCGGGUUAGAAAAACUCAGCUCCGACGAGUAGGCCUUAAUACACUCCUCAUAGAUGUCUGGAUUUAAUUGUUUCAAUUCCUUUUCAUUGCUAUCUUCAGCUUCAAAAUUUUCAACAGAUAGAUACCCAACAAUUUUGCUGCUUGUGGGGCUUGAAGUUGCUGAUUUAUUAAUCUCUUCUUUAAGAGGAUAUAAAGUAUAUCUCUUGUUAUCCUUGUAGAAAGAAUAGGUAUUUGGUUUCGUCUUAUAUUCCAUAUCGUAAUCAUACAAUUAAGGUCUACCAACAAGAAUAUGACCAACAUCCAUUGGCACAACAUCACAUAAGAUCUCAUCAUCUAAGUUACCUCCCAUAGUGAAUUUCACCAAACAUUGAGUAGUUACUAAUAUUUCAUGUCCUUUCUUUAUCCACCUAAUCUUAUACGGAUGAGGAUGUUUGCUUGUAGGAAGCUUCAAUUUGUCUACUGCCUCUUUUGAAAUAAUAUUUUGCACGCUUCCUCCAUCAAUAAUAAGAUCACACUUUACCCUCACAAACAACGUGGGUGCGAAAAAUACUUUGCCUCUUCCAAUCUUCUUCUUCCUCAUUGAUUGUUGCAGUCAUCACUCUUCGUACCACCAAGGACUCACCUAGUACAAGAUACACAUCAAUUUCCUCUAUUUUCUCAUCAUAUUUAUCAUAAAUAGGUUCUAAUUCCUCCCUAAAUUCUACUAAGUUCACCCUUCUUUGUGGGCAAGCAAAAGAAGUGUGUCCCUUCUCCCCACAAGUAAAACAUCGAAUAUGGGAAUUACUACCUCUUUUAUUUGUGAUAGAACUAGAACUGUUUUGUCCACCAUAAGGCAUUAUACUCUUGCCUUUAUCGUUCUUUUCAACAUUGGUUGGACUUUCAUUGGUUGUGGUUACCUCUUGAUAAUUUUGUUGAGAUGUUUGGUAAUCUUGUCUUGCUCUAGAAUCGUUUUGCCAAUCAGUACCAUAUAAGGGCUUUCUGCUCAAAUCCUUAUAAGAUAGUAAGAUCGUUUGCUCUGAUACCACUUGAUGUAGCCGAAAAGUUUAGAGCAAUUAGAACUCAACAAUUAGGGCUAGAAUAAGGUUGAUUGUGUUGGAAAAAUAGAAAGAUAUUUGGGUUUUCAAAGAAACCUCUUGAAUUAAUAUUCAAAAUAACAAAAGAUGAUAAUAAUAAUUUUCUAUCUAAGAUCACCUAUUUAUAAUAGCUAAGAUAAAUACUAAUCAAAUAGUAAUCCUAAUCUUAAAUAAAUAUUUAAAAGUACUAAAAUUCUAAUAAAGAUAGGAAAAAAAUGUUAAACUAAACAAAAUAAAAAAAAUAAAAUCCUAAGCUAACGAAAAUACUAAAUAAAAUAAAAUUCUUAAUGCGCCUGCAUCACCUCAACUCAGCCAAUUCUAGUUGUUAAGCUUGAUUUCCUCCUCCACAUCCCCUACCAUUAUCAGCCAUGGUUUAUAUGAUAAACCCUAGUUCUUUAGGAUCUGUUCACCUUGUUACCACUUUGAUAUAGUGCGAAGGUAGAAACAAUAAAAACAAAAACAAAAACAGUGAAAGAAAACCAGAACGAAGGCUAAAAUUAAUGUAAAAUUGAAGUUGACACAAGAUAACUAGGGUUUACAAUUGUAGAGCUUGUCACAGAAAAUAAUCCAAAAUAAUACGACCGCCUAAUGUGUCUAAAGGACUAUUUAUACUAUGGUUACAACAAUUUUUAUUCCUAGCCCUUGGAUACACAUAAUCCCCAUCUAAUCAUAGCCAUUCAAACUCAUUAAGAGAUCACAUGCUAGUCACAUGACUACUGAUUAUUGUUAGUUAAAAUGCCACUUAUCAUUCUAUACUGUGGCACUGAUAUGACAUGCUGACAUGUCAUAAUGGAUGAUGACAUAACAUGUUGAUUUGGCAUGAUUUUUCACCCUCCACAUCAGCACCAUAUCGACACCACAUGGGCACAAAAUGAUAAAUGGUAUUUUGACUGAUAGCCUUCAAUCAACUAUUAAUCAUGAGGGCCUAUUUGAUUCAAAAUAAAAAAAUAAAGACUUGAUUAAACACAAUAAAAGAAUAAGGACUCAUUUGAAUUUUUAUGAAUAGUUAAAGGGCUUUUUCUACCAUUGUGCCAAAUAAAAGCAUACUUACUACCUUAUAAUUAUAGUAAAAUAGUAAAUAUAAACGAAAACAUAUCAAGAUAAGCAAUUAGAUAAAUUUUAGAAUGCUCUUGCAUCAUAGUAUCUCGUGCCUACAAUAUACUCAUCCUUGAAUUUCAAUGAGUUAAGCUGGGUUUCAUUUGGUUAUUACUUUCGUUAUUUACAUUUUGCUUCUUAAAGUGUUAAAUACAUGGGUAAAAAUAAGUUUUGAAAAAGUAAAAUAUAUAUAUAUAUAUAUAUGUUGAUCUUUGUGAAUACAACCUCAUGCUUGUACUUUAUAGAGAACAACUAUAUUUAAAUGUAUAACACAUUUCACAUUUUAAUUAAAUGCUUUUUAAAGUAUCGCCAUAUCGAUAAUACAUAUAUAAAGACCUUUUAAACUGAAAGCUACAUAUUGCUUAUUUUCAUUAAAAAUGGAUUAAACAUCAACCUAUUUGACACCUUCUCUUCAGGUUUUUAUUUAAUUUUAGUGGGGUCAAUAUACUACAAAUUUUACUAAACACACACACACUUACUUUUUCUAGAGUUCAGCAAGGUCAAUUGACCCCACUCAAGUAUAUGUAGCUAUGCCCCUAAACUGGAGUGCCUUCAAAACAAUUGUACAAAAUAUCAAGGCUAUGAUCCACUUAUUCCUAGAAGUCUGCCAUAGUUAACAUAAGAAAAUACAUAUACUGGAGCCAUGGAGAAGCUACAUCUAUAUGCACUCAACAGUAUGCUUGGAUGUGAAAUCUAACCUAAGUUUAACAAAUCUCAAAUACUAAUUACAGCACAAGAACAGGUACCUUGAUCAUGCACGACUACGCAUUUAAAAAUAACAUUAGUGCUUACCAUCUAAAACUCUGACCAUAUAAUCCUCAAAUAUUGGCCGAAGAGCUUCAUAAAGUGCCACCAUACCCAGCCCAGUCUCAGCAGAUAUAGCAAUGGGUUCACCAAAUCCUAAUAUCUGGGCUUCCAUAGCAGCUUCAGCAAAAGAGUCUAUAUCAUAAUGAAGUGAUUCAGAUUUAUUCAUCGCAACUAUAGGAUUGACUCCUGGUGCGUGCCUGCGCAACCACUUUCCAACCUCCUUAUCCAAGGGAUGUAGUCCAGUUCUAGACUCAAGAAAGUGGCAAGAAAUAAAUUAGAAUUUGCACACAGGGCAGAAAAAAGGAACCCAGAAAACAGUGGCCCAAGACAGUUUUCACCAGAAUGAUACAGAGAAGAUAGAAGUGCACAGCAGCAAAACCAAGAUUUCGAUUGAAACAUGUCAAGGAAAUUGAUGUGAUAUGAUAUAAUGAGUCCUGUCAAAUUUAAAUAUAAAUAUUACAAAAAUUUCUCAAAUAUUAAUAUUAAUUAAGUUGAUUUACAAUAUUACACUAAAUAAAAUGUGGUUAAAUAAGGGAAGAAAUAUGCAGUAUCUAAAUUCAUAAGCAUCCAAAUGACUUAAAUCUCUAUUUCCAUAAAUCCAGAAGUUCAUCCUGCAUGCAUAGACACAUUUUACAUUUCGUUUUUUCAUUUUUCUAUCUUCGUAAAUAAAGAAAUUAUAUUUCUUCAUUUUUUUACUUCUGUUUUUUUCACAGAAUCACAAUUGUCUUGAAUUAAUCAAAUAAAUUAACAGAACAAAAAUUAUUGCAACGAUGAAGACUGCAAACUCUUGUUUCCAAAGUUCUCUCUUGGUCUUUAAAAUAAAAUAAAAUUAAAGUUCUCCCCUGGUUUGUAAACAAAAAACAAUAGAUUUUCUUUUCCUUUUCUCUUUUCGGUUAAAAAGUUAUGAAAAUGAGUAUUAUGUGCUAAACUAUUAAAGAAGAAUCUUUUUUGAGAAAACUUUUGGACUGAAAUUUGUGUAUGAGUUGUGUGUGUGUGCAUGCGUGUGAGAGAGAGAAAGAGAGAAUAGAAAAAUUACAAAAUUUUACACAAAACAAUGAUAUAUCACAUCACUUCUGAUUAAGUUAAAAAUCAAAUGGGAGACGUUAUCAACUGAGAACCAGAAACAAAUUUUGCCCAGCCAAAUCAUAAAUGCUAAUUUUCGUCUUCACAAGACAAGAGAAGCCAGACAAAUAUUCCCCUUCAAACUCCUGACAGUAACAUAAAAUCGGCAAGAAAAAUGUCCUAUGAUGCAGUCAUUUUCAUUAAAAAUCUCCAUAUAUGGAUCCUAUGCUGAAAGUUAACAAAAUUUACCUAUUAUUCACCCAACAUCAAAAUUUACCUAUUAUUCACCCAACAUCAAAUGUGAUUUAUGUGUCUCCUCUGCAUGUUAAAACCCAUUAAAUUCCACAGUUUUAAAGCUUUCAAAUUCAUUCCAUAGUUGUGCUCCCAUUGCAUUAUGCAUAUGUUGUGUUUUUUGCUAGUUGCAUCAAUUCAAUUUAGAGAAUUUUAACUCUCUCAAAUAUAUGUUUUAAACUCUAGGCUAUAUAAAUGAAGCAUUAAGUUAUCUUACAAAUCCCAUAUUUGUCACGUUUGUUGUAGGAGAAUAAGGACUCAACCAUUUUUUAAUUUCUUUGGAUACAUCAUAAGUAAAUACUUAAUUCAUGUACAAGAAGGUGAUCAACAUUGAAAAACUGACCUGACAUCAAUUAGGAAAAUUGCAAAUUGAGAUCUAGCUAGCACAUUUGCAGUCAUGCCAGCUGUUCUACUAAGAAUUGAUCCUGAAGAGGCUUCAGUUUCCAAGCCAGCAGAAUCCAACACCCUAAACCGAAGAUCCCCCAAUUUAGCAAGCCCUUCUCUUAUGUCUCUAGUGACAUGAUCAUCAGGUGUGUUGUACACAAGGGCCUCUCUCCUCCUAAUCAAACUAAAAAAUAUUUGACCGAAAAUAAAUAAAACUGACAGUAGGGAAUAUAGGAUUUGCCUGUGGUGCAUUCAAAAAGGACAUGAAAUGGAGAGGGGCGCUUACUAACCGGUUAAACAAGGCAGACUUCCCUACAUUGGGGCGACCAACGAUCAUGACAGUGGGAAGCAGAUUGAUGUCAAUUUUGGUGAAAUCAAUAUGUUUUUUGGAGACAAAAGCAGCCUCUUUUGUAUUCUUGGAAUGAAGCUGCGAUUUCUCCAACUUGGCACACGCGUCAUCCCCAGAGACAGAGAGCGUGCAAAAUCUCAUAGUGGCUUGCAUCGAACUCCUAAAGCUGUUACGCAGAUGAGCAAUUCCAUGACUCUUGAAAAGGAUAGCAUCAACAAAUGAUCCUGAGAAAGACAGUCAAAAGCUCACUGACUGAAAAAAUUAAUGAACAGAAUAAUCUAUCUAGAAAAAUAUAAACAAAACCUGACUGACCGAAAGUUGAAACGAUGGGGUGAGCAGAACUGGUGGUGCCCCUGUAAGUGGCGGUCCUACGCAGCAGAGUGAAAACCAAAUGCCGCCUCUUGUGGGCAGAAAGGUAAUGAGACAUAUCACUCAAUGAUUUUCUUUUUCUUAUUUUAAAUUUCAGCAAGUCAUCACUGAGCAGAGAGUGCUUUGUAUUGGUGAUAUGCAGAUUUUGAAGAGUGGGAAAGAGGGAAGCAGGCAAACAGCACGACAGCAGAGUAGCGGUGAGCCGGCGAGGGAGAGAAUACACAAAGGCUUAGAGCUUUUGGUGGAGAUAGAAGCGAAAUCCUUCCAGUAGCGGGCUCUCUCGGCACCCGACCUGGACAAAGAAUCAGCCCGUAGUGCCUGUAUGUUCAAGUAUGGUCGGAUUGAGGCGAAAGGAGGGAAAGGAGGGAAGGGACAGGAAAGGGGAAACAUGUAUCGAAGUUUUUAUAUAAAAUAAGAAAAAGGAGAACUAAAACAAAACUUUAAAAAAUAAAAAAUAUAUUGAGUUUCUUAAAGUGGAAUGUACUCCAUUUGCCCUAAAAAAGUUAUUAUUAUUUGACUUCUCAUGGUAUGUUUUAUUAAAUUUACACCUCCUAAAUACCUUUGUUAGGGAGGAUUUGGAUUUUUGUUAAGGGUGACCUGAAUUGGGAAGGUCCACGUACAAUCUCUUCAUUCUUGGUUCGAGUCUAUCCACUACUAAUUUUGGUCCAAAAUGAUAAAAUAAGGUCAAGGAAAGUUGGGUCCAACCAGAAAAGGGAGAGCUUAAGGUUUCGAGUUGUCGGUGGUGGAGGAAGAUUGCAAAAGAGAAAAGAAUGCAACCUCUCCAAGCCCUUAUUUUUAUAUAUGGCCGAAAUAGUAUAUCAAGUGGAGAAGACAUCACGUGAGUUACUUUAUUGUUGAAAAAAUAAAUACAAAACUUGGAAAAUAUUGGAAGGUAGGUGGCAUUUGAUAUUUUACAAAGAAUGUGAUUGUUGAAAAAAUGAUUAUUGAAAAGAAAAUUUUGUAAGAUUUGGUAUAAUAUGGGAAAAUGAUAAUUGUCAAAAUUAUGAUUGCUAGAAAAAUUACAUUUGUAUUAUUUGAUUUGAAAAUAUAAUAUAAAUUUAUAAAAUUACCUUUAUAUAUGAAAAUAUAAAGUUGAAUACUUACAUUCUUUUUAAUACAAAUUUUUAAGUUUACAUUUCUCUUAUUAAAAUUUAUUAAAGUAAAAAAAAUAUAAAAUUAGUUUUCAAAAUGGUGAAUCAAAAUAUAAGAAAUAAAGAAAUAAAAACACCAAAUAAAAGAAGAAAGGCAAUGAAAUCCUAGGGGUGUUGAAAUUGGAUUGUUGUUGGAUUUUUUCUUUUUAUUGAUUUACUUUGUUUUGCCUUUGGCAAAGUAAAAAUUACUCAAUAAGCUAUGGCCCUACAAAGUAAAAAGAUCAAUCCUCGUUCUAAGCACACCACAAAGUGCCUUGAGCUAGAAAGAGAAGAAUAGAGAUGAGAUUGACAUUUACAAAGCUCUUUAGUAGAUUUUUUUCCAAGAACGAGGUGCCUAUUUUGAUGGUGGGUUUUUAUGCUACUAGUAAAACCACUAUUUUUUACAAACUUAAGCUCAUUGAAAAAAAAAAAAACUAUGACCACUGGUAUGAAAUUCAUUUUUAGAAGAAUAAUAAGAAAAAGGGUCAGAUUAUGGUGAGGACAAUUUGGAGAAAAAAAUUAUAACUUGAUCUUCACGAAGGAAAAGUUACUUUCCUCCCAUGAGAGAAGGGAAUGAUAUUCCCUUUGCUCACUACAAUCACUUUACAAUGAGAAGACUUUCUCUUGUCUUUUUUACAAACCAAACACUAUAAGUACAUUACAACCAAUUAAAAUGUAGGGAAUCUUCCCUACUUACACCAUACUAAAUGCCCCCAUAGAAUUAUAGAGGGAUGUGGGAAAAGAAAAAUGAAUUAUUGUUGUGGAACUCCUAAUUUUAGUACAAGAAUAAAACGGUAAUUUUCUUAGUGAACCUAGUAAAUAUAUUUCACCCAAAUAUUUUUAAAAGAUUAUUCUUUGAAAACACAUUUUCAUUAGUUAUUAAAUCUAUUUGAAAGAAAGUAGAGAAAGAAAAAUUUAAAAAAAAAAUAGUAUAAUACAAAUUAAGGGCAACAUAGUCAUCAUUGCAUUUAACACUUUAUUAAAGUGUUGCCUAAUUGUCUCACCCAGCCUUCUAAAAUUUUGCCUAAUAACUCGACUUUUAAGAUGAUGAACAAUAAUAUAUAAGAACAUUGCUACUAGUUCAUCUAUAAGUACGUUCCUUGUUGAUUUCAACCCUUUAAUAUUUUCUAACAUCUCACAUAGUUUAAAAAAGGUGCAUCUAUUCAUUUUAACUUGUGAAAUACACGAAAAACCAUUAUCAUGCACAAGUUGCAUCACAUACUCUCGAUUUGCAUAAAAAUAGAAGUUAUAAGAUCUCACUCUUCACCUACAAUUUCGUAAAACACAAAUGAAUGCCAACAUAAACCAAAACCAAGUGUCACGACCCGGAACCUCCCUCAGGCCCAUGACAAUCGCCGCGAUGUCCCGAUUGACACUUAUUAUCCAGAAUGCCAACCGGAACCCCGCAAGGCUUACAUAUCAGUUUCUUUCCUUUUCUGUGAGCAAUCAUUGUUAAAUAUCGAGUUUUUAGAGAAUAUAUACUAUUUUAGAUCAAAAACAAUCAAAAUAAAAUUUUCGCCACAUAAGGGUAUUUUGGUCAUUUUUUUCUCAAAAAUUUUGAAACUGGCAAAAUGUAAUAUACAAGUACAAAACACAUAAUUCAUAUUCAAAAUAAGUUUAAAAGUCUAAAAUCUUCAUUUAAAANUUAAAUUUCAUCAUACAAUUCCUAUUUGAACUAGUUCGAGGUUAAAUCAAUUUAAGUGUAACCGUUAGGUACAAUAUCGGGUUUUGUCUAUUCUUCGGUGCUUUUCUAGCGUAAUAACAUGCUACUUAAUGCAUGUAUGUCAUGACAUGUAUUUAUAGGGUCGGGUUUUACACCAAGAAACAACAACACAUAUUUCCAAGAACACUAUCAACAUAACUACAAUAUUUUUUCUCCUAUUUAAAUUUCUACGCAAACCCAAAUGAGCCAUGGCUGCAAAAAUUAGAUUUUCAUAUCCAUGAUUUAUGUUGUUAAGAAAAAAACAAUAAAAAUAAACAUAAAAUAAAUUUUUAUUAGACCGAGUUAAUAAAUAUUUAUUCAAAAGUAAAACCACAAAAUCACAACAAUAAUAAUCAACACAUCGCUAUAGAAAACCAAAUAGAAAUAAAAAAGAAGGAAAAUGGUAUCUUCAGACUUGAUAGAAUAUGUCAUCAGGUGGCCUACUUUGGGAUAAGCUAAUUUCAUUGCCUAGCUUGGUCAGCAUGAAGUCUUCGGCCUUGUAAUCAUUUUGGGCAAACUUUUGUUCACAACUCCUUUUACACAUGCUUGAAAAAAUUAUGUUCAUUCAUUGUUUUCGAUAAUUAUUUAUAACAUCAGCCAAUCCCUUUUUUCCAUAAAGCAAGUUUGAUCUGCACCUAUAUAUUGCAAGAUGACAUAAAUUUUAAGCUCAAAGUCAUUAAUCCUACCCGUUGUUGACCUGCACUUAUUAUAGAAUUAGAAAUAGAAAGCUUUGACUUUCCUAUCACUUGACUGAGCAAAGCUCAACACGUAGUCGAAUAUUGUAGUAUUACUAUACAAUAAUUUUGUAUUGAUAUUUUCACUCCGCAUCUAUUUGUAUUCAAAAUUUAUAAUUCUAGUAUAUUUGGUAUAUAUUAGGCCUAGUUAAUAAAUAUUGAAAUAUUGUUGGUUUUGCUUUUUUAUCUUUUAUUUUUUUUGUUUAAUUCCUUGCUACCGUCUCCACCUUACUUUUCAUCUUGAAAUCCAGAAUUAAAAUGAAUGAAGAAAAAUAAUAUAAUCUAAAAUUAUCCACCUUCCGAACAGAACAAAGAUUUACAUCAUCAAGUAGCCACAUCUUCUAUCCAAAGUCUCAAACUAGUCUAAUAAGGUAAAGAAAGUUCAUAAAUAAUCCUAAUUGAUGAAAACCAUUUAAGCUUUGCAAGCACACUACCCCAAAGUUUUUUUGAAGGUCAAAAAUAUAAAUUUAACACUACUCAUGUUGAUUGUAAUACAUAACCAAAACAUAAAAAUGUAACACCAUAGAACAAUUCUCAAGUCAUCAUAAAAAGCAUCUAAAAAAGACUUUACAUGAUAAAUAGGUGAUAGCACCCAAGAAGCAAUUAUAACCAAAAUAUAUAAAGAGAUAGAAAACAAAACCAAAUUGUAGCAAAAAAUAUGCUACACAUACAAAAAACAACCAAGCUAGAAUAGUGAGAAAAAAACCAUACUCACCAAAGACGAAAAAAUUGAUAGUGGAAAAAUGAAUGGUAGUGGGAACGUGUUGCAUUGGGGAAGAGAAAAACAAAAAAUGAUUAACCUAAAAUUAUUCAAAAAAAAAAGUACCCUAACUAGAAGAGAGAGACAAUGAACAACUCACUGAAUAUAGGGAAAUCGACAAUGAAAAAAUGGAAAGUAAUAGAGAGGCGAGACAGUAGAUGGCUGUUUACAAAGAAAAGGAGUCUUGAAGAGAAAGAAACUCACGAUGGUUGGUUUAGGUGUGGCUCUAGGUUAGGUAUUAUAUAGUAAAGUAAUUUUUUAUAUUGUUAAGGGAUAUUUAUGUUUAAUUAAUUUUUAAGUCUAUUCCUAGCCCUUUGGAAUAUCUAAUACCAAAUGGGGCUCAGUUUUGGCAAUUUAGAGUCCUCUUCGAAUGACCAUUCUUCUUCAGAAUGGCCAUUCCAUUGAACCAAAUGUAAUCUUUGAUUGGUGAUUGGAAUAAAGGGGGAAUGAAGUAGCCAUUCCCCCCCACCAAGGAUGUUGUAAAAGUUUAUUUUAAGGAUUUCGAGCUAGGGUUAGAAGCUCACUUAGUAAAAACUUGGUGCAAGUUUUUAAUUCCACUAGUUUUAGUGAAGUUGAGUUAAAAUUUUUUAAUUGGGAAGAUGAAGGUAGUGGAUGUAUGUGAGGUGGACCAGACCACAAUAAAUAUUAAGUUUGAUCCACUUCUCUUAACUUUUUUUUACUUGGUGUUCUAUAACCUCAAAAAGUUUUCAAACCUUCCAUCUCAUUUCUUCCAAACGGUUUUUGUUAACUGAUAGGAUUUCUUUCAAAAAUAUUUUUAAGUGUUGCUUACCCUCUUUAGCACUUCUUUUGGGACCAACAAGUGGUAUCAGAGCCUAACCCUUGAGUUUAAAGUUUAACAUCCUUAAGGUGAUAUCUAAAUGGUUAUGCAAAACACCAAUAUAGUUAAGGAGCAAUCCACAAAUAGGCCUCCUCUAUUUGAUGGAUUCAAUUAUCAUUAUUAGAGCACUAGGAUAUUUAUCUACAUUAGAAAUGUUAACUAUGAAAUAUGUGAUGUAAUCACCAAUAGUCUUUUCAUUCCUACUAGAACCAACUUAAUUAAAAAUGAAAAAAUUCUCAAAUCUAGGAAAAAGUGGACUAAAGCAUAAAUGAGAAAAGUUAAUAAACUUCAAAGCCAUUAACACUUUUCAUUGUGCUUUAACCCUUGUUGAGUUUAACAAAAUUUUUGGCUAUACCACAACCUAAGAAAUUUGGGAAAAACUUAAGAUCAUCCAUGAGAGCACUCCUCAAGUUAAGAAGUCCAAAAUCACCCUUCUAAGCCAUAAUUAUGAAAUGUUCAAAAUAAAACCUGGUGAAGACAUAACCACCAUGUAUGACCAAUUCACUAACAUAGCCAAUAAGCUCAACUAGCUUAGGAAUGUGAUACCUAAACAUAAGUUAGUGAAAAGGUUGCUUAGAAGUUUACCAAAAGUUAAAAACCAAAAAUAACUACCAUCUAAGAAGCUAAGGACCUCAACAAAAUCAACUUUGAUAAAAUAUGUGGUUCACUUCUCACGCAUGAGUUGGAAAUGAAAAAAGAAUAAGAGAAAAAAAGGAAGUUAAGGAGAAAAAGAAAAAUUUUGCAUUAAAAAUGAGCUCACUUGAAGAAAAAUUGGAGAGUCUCACAAGUGAUGAUGAUGAUGAGCUAGCCAUGAUAGCUACAAGAUUCAAAAAGCUCAUGGGUCAAAAAGACAACAGAUUAGAAAGAAGAAAUCAGAAAAAGUAUCAAGGUUCUUCAUGGAAGAACAAAUACAAAAAUGACUUCAACAAAACAAAUGAAGUGGUGUGCUUUAAAUGCAAAAAACCUAGUCACUUUAUAUCUAAAUGCCCAUUACUCAAGGAGGAAUCUUCAAAGAAGACUAAAAAGCCAAAGAAGGCAAUGGUGGCUACAACUUGGUUUGAUAGUGUUUAAAGCCCGACCUUAUAAAAUACUAUUCAUGACAUACAUGUGAUGAUAGCAUGAUUGUAUGCUAGGAAAGUCCCGAAAAAUUUACAAAAGUCGGUAUUGUACCUAGAGGUACAACAAAGUUGAUUAAUCCUCGAACUAGAUCAAAUAAGAAUUUUAAGGUGAGAUUAAGAUCGUCACAGUCCAAGGAUGACUCAAAAUGGUAAUUUGGAGUUUGAGGAUCAAUUUGGAGUCGAAUCAGAAUUUUCACUAUCUAGGGGCAAAAUGGUCAUUUGCCACCUGAGGAUAAAAUGAGAAUUUUGAAAAAGAUUUUUUUGACCCCAUUUGACUUAUUGGAGUAUAAUUUGACUUAUUGGAGUAUGAUUUGAGGUUUAGAAGUGAAAAAGUUUAAUUUAGGUAUAAUUUGGAGUAAAAUGGUAAAAUGGUAAUUUUGCCACCUUAGGGGCAAAAUUGUAAUUUUCCACCAUCAGGACAUUUUUUCCAGCACAUGGUUUUCAAAUUAUUUAACUAAAAAAAAUGGACCAAUAAGAAAAUGCCAUGUGUCAAGCUUAUGAUAUUUUAUUAUUUAACUAAAAAAAUCAGCAUAAAUCAGCCCAUUACUCUCCAAAUAUUCGGCCAAGCAAGGAAGAGAGAGAAAGAGAGGAAGAACAAACCCUAGGUGAGGAAUUUCAAGAGAAAAAGUGUGGAAAAUCAAGGAAAACAAGUGAAAAAGGUAAGAUUUUUCAACUUAAGCUUGAAAUCUAUUUUCNNNNNNNNNNNNNNNNNNNNNNNNNNNNNNNNNNNNNNNNNNNNNNNNNNNNNNNNNNNNNNNNNNNNNNNNNNNNNNNNNNNNNNNNNNNNNNNNNNNNNNNNNNNNNNNNNNNNNNNNNNNNNNNNNNNNNNNNNNNNNNNNNNNNNNNNNNNNNNNNNNNNNNNNNNNNNNNNNNNNNNNNNNNNNNNNNNNNNNNNNNNNNNNNNNNNNNNNNNNNNNNNNNNNNNNNNNNNNNNNNNNNNNNNNNNNNNNNNNNNNNNNNNNNNNNNNNNNNNNNNNNNNNNNNNNNNNNNNNNNNNNNNNNNNNNNNNNNNNNNNNNNNNNNNNNNNNNNNNNNNNNNNNNNNNNNNNNNNNNNNNNNNNNNNNNNNNNNNNNNNNNNNNNNNNNNNNNNNNNNNNNNNNNNNNNNNNNNNNNNNNNNNNNNNNNNNNNNNNNNNNNNNNNNNNNNNNNNNNNNNNNNNNNNNNNNNNNNNNNNNNNNNNNNNNNNNNNNNNNNNNNNNNNNNNNNNNNNNNNNNNNNNNNNNNNNNNNNNNNNNNNNNNNNNNNNNNNNNNNNNNNNNNNNNNNNNNNNNNNNNNNNNNNNNNNNNNNNNNNNNNNNNNNNNNNNNNNNNNNNNNNNNNNNNNNNNNNNNNNNNNNNNNNNNNNNNNNNNNNNNNNNNNNNNNNNNNNNNNNNNNNNNNNNNNNNNNNNNNNNNNNNNNNNNNNNNNNNNNNNNNNNNNNNNNNNNNNNNNNNNNNNNNNNNNNNNNNNNNNNNNNNNNNNNNNNNNNNNNNNNNNNNNNNNNNNNNNNNNNNNNNNNNNNNNNNNNNNNNNNNNNNNNNNNNNNNNNNNNNNNNNNNNNNNNNNNNNNNNNNNNNNNNNNNNNNNNNNNNNNNNNNNNNNNNNNNNNNNNNNNNNNNNNNNNNNNNNNNNNNNNNNNNNNNNNNNNNNNNNNNNNNNNNNNNNNNNNNNNNNNNNNNNNNNNNNNNNNNNNNNNNNNNNNNNNNNNNNNNNNNNNNNNNNNNNNNNNNNNNNNNNNNNNNNNNNNNNNNNNNNNNNNNNNNNNNNNNNNNNNNNNNNNNNNNNNNNNNNNNNNNNNNNNNNNNNNNNNNNNNNNNNNNNNNNNNNNNNNNNNNNNNNNNNNNNNNNNNNNNNNNNNNNNNNNNNNNNNNNNNNNNNNNNNNNNNNNNNNNNNNNNNNNNNNNNNNNNNNNNNNNNNNNNNNNNNNNNNNNNNNNNNNNNNNNNNNNNNNNNNNNNNNNNNNNNNNNNNNNNNNNNNNNNNNNNNNNNNNNNNNNNNNNNNNNNNNNNNNNNNNNNNNNNNNNNNNNNNNNNNNNNNNNNNNNNNNNNNNNNNNNNNNNNNNNNNNNNNNNNNNNNNNNNNNNNNNNNNNNNNNNNNNNNNNNNNNNNNNNNNNNNNNNNNNNNNNNNNNNNNNNNNNNNNNNNNNNNNNNNNNNNNNNNNNNNNNNNNNNNNNNNNNNNNNNNNNNNNNNNNNNNNNNNNNNNNNNNNNNNNNNNNNNNNNNNNNNNNNNNNNNNNNNNNNNNNNNNNNNNNNNNNNNNNNNNNNNNNNNNNNNNNNNNNNNNNNNNNNNNNNNNNNNNNNNNNNNNNNNNNNNAAAAAUUAUUCACGUAUAACUCUAUAAAUAUUGUUUUAUAAGAAAAUAGAAUAUUUUACUUAAUAUUUCUUUUAUUUUCUUAUUAUAUUCAAAUAACCGUAAUUUCGUUUUAAAUGAAGAUUUUAGACUUUUAAACUCAUUUUGAAUAUGAAUUAUGUGUUUUGUACUUGUAUAUUACGUUUUAGUCAGUUUUGAAAAUUUUGAGAAAAAAAUGAUCAAAAUACCCAUGUGAGACAAAAAUUAAUAUUUUAUUUAUUUUUAGUUGAAAACAGUUUAAAAUCUUUUAGAACAUGAUAUUUGACAAUGGUUGCUCAUAAAGGAAAUGAGAAACUGAUAGUAAAGCCUUACGGGGUUUCGGGUUGACAUUUCGGGCAAUGAGUGUCUACCGGGACACCGCGGAGGUUGUCACGGGCUCGAGGGGAGUACCGGGUUGUGACAUAGUGACUCCUUUAGCUCGGAGGAAAAGAAAAAAAAGAUAGAAGAAAAAGCCAAUUUUCGCUUAAUGGCAAAGAUGAAGAACCUGAGGCAACAUCUACCUUAUGUGACAUUUCAUAUGAUGAAUUUCAAGAUGAGUAUGAUUUGUAUGCUGAAUUUGAAAAACUUGCUUUGAAAUACAAAGUUUUGAGAAACAAAGCAAUAUGUUUAGAUAAUGAACUAGAGAAAAUCAAACAUGAAUUCAAAAAUGUUUUUGAACAAAGAAAUAUUUUCAAAUUGAACUUGAGCAUUCCAAUACAGAUUUUGAAUCAUUGAAGUUGGCACUAGAGAGCAAAAAUGGAGCCUUACAAAAGGCCUUGGAUGAAAAUGUUGCUUUUAAAACUUCAAUGGAAGAAAUUUCAAAUUUGAAAUUGGAAAAAGAAAAAAAAAACCAAAAAGAAAUGCCAAUUUUAGAAAGAAAAAGAAUGCAUUUUCAUCUUAGUGUUAUAUGCGUGGCAAAAAAGGUUAUUGCUAUCAUAAAGGAAGUAACCUCCAUAAAAGCAAAUCGAUUUGGGUGCCUAAAGGUUCAUUUGCUCCCACUAACCUCCAAGGACCCAUCAAAGUAUGGGUACUUUUAAAGAAGAACUGAAAAUUUGUUUUGUAGUUUAAGCAAAGACAAAAAAAAAAUAAUAAUGUUUGAAAGCUCAACCAAAGGAGAGACAUCCUUGGUACAUGGACAUUGGUUGCUCAAGACAUAUGAUCAAGAAGGAAAGAUUAUUUGUCAAGCUUGAUAGAAAGAAAAGUGGAAGUGUCUUUUUUGGUGAUAACUCUAAAGCUAUUAUCUAAGGAAUUAGAACCAUUGGUAACACUUCUUAAACUCAAAUUAAGCAUGUUUUAUUUGUUAAAGGGUUAAAGUACAAAUUGUUAGGCAUUAGUCAGCUUUGUAAUAAAGGAUUAAAGUUUUCUUUGAUUCCUAUGGAUGUCAAAUAAUUAAUAUUAAUACUAACAAAGUAAUAUUCAUUGGCAAAAGAAUUAAGAAUAUGUAUGUGAUCUUUCUUGAUGAGAUUGUGCUUCAAAAUGAAUCUUUUCCCAUGGCCAAUGAUGUUUGUGAUAGUUGGUUGUGGCAUAGAAGAUUGUGACAUGUUAAUAUGCACAUUAUUUCAAAACUUUUAAGAAAGGACUUAGUUAUUGGACUUCUAAAGAUCUUUUUUGAAAAUGAUAAAAUCUGUUAUGCAUGUCAAUUUGGAAAACAAGUAAGAAGUUCUUUUAAAUCAAAGAAAGUAAGUUCAACUUCUAGAUCACUUGAAACAUUGCACAUAGAGUUGUUUAGACCAAUUUAUGUUGUUAGUUUGGGAGGCAAGUCAUAUGGCUUUGUUGUUGUUGAUGAUUACUCUAGAUAUACAUGGGCAUAUUUUCUUGCUCACAAAGAUAAUGCAUUGCCUUCUCUUAUUAAUCAUUGUAAAAAUGUUCAAAAUGAAAAAUGACUUUCCAUUUUUAGCAUUAGAAGUGACCAUGGUAGAGAAUUUGAAGGUGAUAAUUUUGAAACCUUUGUAAUGAAAAUAGUUUUGAUCACAAUUUUUCAACCUUUUGAACUCCACAACAAAAUGGAGUUAUUGAGAGAAAGAAUAGGACUUUAAAAGAAAUGGCAAUGUGAAAGAAACAAGGUUUGGACCUUAAUUCCAAGGCCAACCAACCAUCCAAUCAUAGGUACUAAGUGGGUAUUUAGGAACAAAAUGGAUGAGUUGGUUAAUAUGGUAAGGAAGAAGGAAAGGAUGGUUGCUCAAUGCUGCAAUAAAAAAAAAGGUAUUAAUUACGAUGAACUUUUUGUUCCCGUAGUUGGAUUAGAAACAAUUAGACUAUUGCUUGCAUUUACAUGUUAUAUGAAUUUCAAAUUGUUCCAAAUGGAUGUUAAAAGUGCAUUGCUAAAUGGUUUUAUUUAAAAAGAAGUUUAUGUUGAACAACCCCCUAGUUUUGAAGAUUUUGAAAAGAUUGAUCAUGUUUAUAAAUUGUAUAAAGCUUUAUAUGGAUUAAAGCAAGCUCCUAGAGCUUAGUAUGAAAGACUUUCAAAAUUUUUUUAUAGAAAAAUGAUUUUCUAAGGGUGGUAUAGAUAUACUACUUUUUGUUAGUAUAUGCUCUUGAGCCAAUUGGAUUGGUCAAAGAAUAUAGAUUAUUGUUGAUCAUGUUUAUAAAUUGCAUAAAACUUUAUAUGGAUUAAAGCAAGCUCCUAGAGCUUUGUAUGAAAGACUUUCAAAAUUUUUUAUAGAAAAAAGAUUUUCUAAGGGUAGUAUAAAUACUACUUUUUGUUAGUAUAUGCUCUUGAGCCAAUUGGAUUGGUCAAAAAAUAUAGAUUAUUAUUUAAUGCAUGCUUAAUCGCAUAACUAUAUGUGAUAGAGGUUUUCCUUCAUGUUAAUGUAAUAAUAAGGAGUUAUUAAGUAUUAAUUGGAUAAAACUCAUGAAGCAUAAAGGCUUUGCAAGAGAAUUGUAAAGUUGUUAGAAUUAUGAGAUCACUAUGCAUUAAAGCCAUGUUCCUAAAAUUAUUUUUGAUCAUUGUAUUGUCAAUAUAGGGCAAUGACAAUGCUUAAAGAUUGGUACAUGUUAAGCCUCUUUACUUGAAAAGUAAGCAAAUCAAUCUCAUAGAUUGAAGUAAAUGGGAUGCUUGAGGAUAACAUGUAGGUACUUGUUAAAGAACAAGUUCACUGAACAUGACCCUCUAUGAGAACUCUAUUUGGUAUUUCACUUAAGUGUCUAUAGAAUAUGUUCUCAUGUGAUAGUCAUGCAACUAGUCCUUAGACUUAAGACACCAGGUCAUCUUGUAUGGGAAUGACAUACUUUGAUUUCACCCUUACGGGUAUAGAGGUGAUCAAAUGCCUAAACAGGACAUUUUUGGGUAUGCCAUGAAGCAUGCGAAGGUGAAUAAGUAGUCAAGAGAGGAUUCAUCACCCCAAGUGAUAUAAGAGGAUGUAUCUCACUUGUUCUCAGUUUUUGAUUAACUUGUAUAAAGUCUUUGUCCAAAGCAUGAUGAAUUUGAGGAAAGUUAGUUUCCUAAAUUCAUAAAGUUAGUCAUGAAUUAUGAGAACUAAUAUAAAAUGUUAUAAGUAGACAUUGAGCCAUAUUUUAUAACAUAUCUAAGAUAUUUGAUGAGAAAACCAUAUUGCACUGAGAGGCUUAUUACUAAAGAGCUUUGUCAAAUUCUUUAAUUGACUCUUUAACAUUUAGGUGGUCAUAAUGUAUUGCUAGUUGCCGCUCAUGAUCUAUAAAUAUAAAUCAAUUAUUAAAUUGAUAUUUGAUUAGGAUUUAUAUUUAUUGUUAACAUGUUAAAAGCCUAAUGGGUCACACAUUAAGUGACAUGAUUGAUAUUAAAAAAAGAUAAUCAAUUAAGUUGGACUUUAUUGGAAUAUACUAAAAUAAAGUGAGAAAUUAAUUAAGUUCACAAGGACUUAAUUGAAUUAAAACACAACUGUUGUAUCUAGGGUUACAACUUAGUUUGGCUAUAUAAAUAUGUUCUGUUAUCAAACUAAAACUUCAAGCCUCUAGCCACUUCUCAACUAUUUCAUAAAAUAAGAAAAAGGAAAAAAAUAGCUUUAUUUAUUUGACAAAAAUAAGAUUCAGUAAAAAUUUUUGGUCUUUUUGUUUAGAUACAAAACUUGCUAGCACAAGUAAAAUCCUACACUUGAGAAUGUCUUAUUUGGUCACUAUGUGAAUUACUGUUAGAGGCCAAAACUUAGGUGGUUGAAGAUCUGACAUAUCCUAAAGUUGAAGAAGCAAAGAUUUCAGUUGCAGGAUUUUAUAUCGUCUUAUUCUUUUUUUAGUGUUUCUUGCUUCAUAACAAGCAUUUUUUGAUUUAAUUGGCUCUUGAUUGUGAUAUCUAGAACAAGUUAUUUAACUCUUAAACUUAUGAAUGUGCAUAAUUAAUUUAAAAAUUAUAUGAGAAAUACAAACAUUGAUUUUGUGAGAUUCGGCUAUUUCUCUGAUUAAAUGCUAGUUUACUUUUUCACUACAUUAUAUUUUUAAUUUCUUGAUUAAUUUCAUGUUUGAGCGAGAGGUCAAAUCCCAAUAAUGGUAUCAAAGCCUUUUUUUGAUGUUUUCGAAUAAUAUGCAUACUUGAUUCUUGGUGAUAAUCAAUAAGAUUGAUUUGUGUGUUGAUUUGGUGUAUAUUAGUUUUGAAGGCUAUCUUUAAAAUCUAUUUUUCUAUUUUAAUUCAAAUCUGAACAACAUGUAAUUAAUUCAUUAAAACGUGUUUGAAAAGGUUUAAAAUCAUGCUUAGUUGAAGAAUUAAUAAUUGGAUUAAAAGGCUUUCAAAGCCAAGUUAAAACCAAAUAGUUUUGAGGUGUUUCAAAGACUAAUGUGCCAAAUAUUUUUUACUAACAUUGGGUAAGUGUUAUGAGCAAUUUUUAAUUGUUAAAAAUUAGUUUUAUCAAAUUAAAUUACUGAAUGUUUCAGCCAAACUUGAUUUAGUAUCAAAAAGGUUCAUAACAAUCAUGUUUGAGCAGGAGGUCGAAUCCCAACAAUGGUAUCAAAGCCUUUGUUUGAUAUUUUUAUGUAAUAUGCAUGCUUGAUUCUUGUUAUUAAUCAAUAGCAUUGAUUUGUGUUUUGAUUUGGUGUAUAUCAGUUUUGAAGGCUGUCUUUAAAAUCUGUUUUUCUGUUUUAAUUCAAAUAUGAACAACAUGUAAUUAAUUAAUUAAACAUGUUUUAAAAAGUUAAAAUUAUGUUUAGUUGAAGAAUUAAUAAUUGGAUUAAAAGGCUUGCAAAGCCAAGUUAAAAUUGCAUAGUUUUGAAAUGUUUUGGAGACUAAUAUGUCGAUUAUUUUUUACUAACAUUGGGUAAAUGUUAUGAGUAGUUUUUAAUUGUUAAAAAUUAGUUUUAUCAAAUUAAAUUACUACAUGUUUCGACCAAACUUGAUUUAGUAUGAAAAAGGUUCAUAAAAAUCAUGUUUUCAAGUUCUAAAACAAUAAAGAUUCAAUGUAGAAAAUUUUAAGCAGCUAUGAUCUAUUUUGGUAGCUUAAUUCUUCAUGAAUUUUGUGUUUAAUUGUUAAACAUACUUGCUAAAAAUUUUCAGCAGCUUUUUCAUGAGUUUGACUCAUAAUUUAUGGAGUUUUAAGAGUACUUAAAUGCCAUCUAUUUUAAUUUUGGGUGAUUCAUAAAAAAUAAAAAAUUGUUUCCUACUUUCAAAGUAAUUCUUAAAAUUAAAGAUAGAAUUUUAUUUUUGGGUGAUUCAUAAAGAAUAGGAAAUUGUUUCCUACUUUAAAAGAUAUUCCUAAAAUUAAGGAUAGUAUUUUAAUUUGGGAAAUUCAUAGGGAAUAGUUUUCUACUUUAAAAUAAAUUUCUAAAGUUAUGUGAUAGCAUUGAACUUUCUUUAAAAUUUUGGUUUGACUAGAAGUUUUCAAAAUUUGUUAAGUCACCAUUUAGGUAACUUGAACAAUAUACAAUUUAGGAAACUAAUCCAUGUUCUAAAUGCUAGAAAUUAAAAUUUUGUCUUAGAUAUAUUUUAGGAAGUUUACCUAAAAUAAAGAGGUUUCCAAAAUUAAAAGGAGUUUUAAUUAUGGAAAGAAUUAAAAUGGAAAGUUUUAAAAAGAAAAUUUUUAUUUCAAUGAAUUUCUAAUAAGAAAUAAGAAGUAAAAGGUUUACUUUAAGUGUUUUGAAAAUGAAAAUUUCUUAAACAUUAAAUUGACAUAAAACAAUACCAAAUAUUUUGAGUCUAGCAUUUUAAGUGAAUUAAUUGAUACUUUUUUCAAAUAACACAUAAGAUCACCAAGUGACAUUGAGUUUGCAUUUAUUUCUAUGCUUUUGAUUGUGAUUAUAAAGUACGAGGAUAAUUAUGGACUUAGACCUUAGAAGAUUGGGUCAUGAAUGGUUAAAUUUAUUUCUCAUGUUAUUUAUUUUAAAAUAAGAUCUGUGCACCCUGCUUUAUCUUUAUUUUCUCUUGGUUGUAAAAUUCUUUUCUCACAUAACUCCCCUUCAAUGUACCUCAAGGUUUCUCUAUUAUAGAAUGUAAUUAGUUACAUCAAAGUGUAAAACUAGGGUUAGAUAAAAUAUUUUUGUAACUUGAAGAUGGAGAUCCAAAGGCACCAUGUAGAUUCAAGGAGAUUAGAAGCAAAGCUUGAAGACAACGUUUUUGUAAAUCUCCUAGUAAUUUGACCAACUAAUUUCCUUAAUGACUCGAGGAAAUUAGAAUUAGUAAUUCCAUAAUUAUCCUAAUAGUUGGCAUGAGAUAGAUUUAUUUUUCAGUAUGUAUAUAUGAUAUAUGUGAAAUGUGAUAAAUGCUAUGCAUGUCAACAACGUCAAAUCUAUCACGACCCAAUUUCCUGGGCCAUGACCGGCGCAUGAGCUCAAUGAGCAUAACUCACUAAGCCCAAGCAAGCCUAUCCAUUUACCUUUGCUUAACAAAUUUAUCAUAUCAUGCAUACACACACACCUUUUCCCGGGUGUGAACAUAGCCAAAACACAAUGGCAUUAUCGAUAAUAAUAUACAUGCACUAUACCAAUCAUGUAUUUAGCAAUUUACAUUGCAUACAUAUAUUCACAUUGUUAUAUUGUAUUCACAAUACAAAAGGACCCACGACUUCCAGCGGAGACAUUUACAAUAAAAGGGAUUACUAUCGAAUGCUAGACACAUACCCAGGAGAUGCACUAUGGGGACUCCUCGAUCUGGGGUCCAACAGUCACCUGAUCUGAAAACAUAAAUUUUUAUAAAACGUGAGUACAAUACUCAGUGAGUGAACAAGAUGUGAACAAGCAUACCAUAAGGAAUGUUUAUCAAAAUCAUGAUGCAUUCAUUUUCUCAAAACCUUGCAAUUGUUUUAGCUCCUUUAAACGCCUCAUGUAAACCCCACAUGAGUAAAUCACUUUACAAAAAUCCAUGCUCAACUAUGGUACCAAAGAAAUGGGAAAUAUGGCAAAAACCCACAAGUUAGCAAAAUGGACAGAAAAUUUUUCGCUGUAGCAAGAACUAGAACAUCAAGGAAAAAGUCUCCUUUUUCCCUUAAAACAAGUCAUCCUGCUAAAAUAACAAUAGCAACAUGUAACACAUGUAAACUUCCAAAUUUCAACAAAACAAAUGCUUACAUAUUUGCAUUUACAACCAUAUACCCAUCAUCAACAUGCACACCAUCCCAUCAUCAUCAUCAUGCACACCAUUCCAUCAUCAUCAUCUCAUAUGCAACGGCUUAUGCUAUUGUCACUAGGGGGUGGGAGAUCACGAAGCAUCCCCCCCUUCACUCGGUAAGAGGUGCACUUCACUCCGGAUCAUGAAGCAACGGAGCAGUCCCUUCCCUCCUCUUCCAAGCUCCUGGGCGGAGAGUUAUACUUCACCUCAAAUCAUACCUAUCCCUUCACUCGGCAAGAGGUGCACUUCACUCCGGAUCACGAAGCAACGGAGCAGUCCCUUCNNNNNNNNNNNNNNNNNNNNNNNNNNNNNNNNNNNNNNNNNNNNNNNNNNNNNNNNNNNNNNNNNNNNNNNNNNNNNNNNNNNNNNNNNNNNNNNNNNNNNNNNNNNNNNNNNNNNNNNNNNNNNNNNNNNNNNNNNNNNNNNNNNNNNNNNNNNNNNNNNNNNNNNNNNNNNNNNNNNNNNNNNNNNNNNNNNNNNNNNNNNNNNNNNNNNNNNNNNNNNNNNNNNNNNNNNNNNNNNNNNNNNNNNNNNNNNNNNNNNNNNNNNNNNNNNNNNNNNNNNNNNNNNNNNNNNNNNNNNNNNNNNNNNNNNNNNNNNNNNNNNNNNNNNNNNNNNNNNNNNNNNNNNNNNNNNNNNNNNNNNNNNNNNNNNNNNNNNNNNNNNNNNNNNNNNNNNNNNNNNNNNNNNNNNNNNNNNNNNNNNNNNNNNNNNNNNNNNNNNNNNNNNNNNNNNNNNNNNNNNNNNNNNNNNNNNNNNNNNNNNNNNNNNNNNNNNNNNNNNNNNNNNNNNNNNNNNNNNNNNNNNNNNNNNNNNNNNNNNNNNNNNNNNNNNNNNNNNNNNNNNNNNNNNNNNNNNNNNNNNNNNNNNNNNNNNNNNNNNNNNNNNNNNNNNNNNNNNNNNNNNNNNNNNNNNNNNNNNNNNNNNNNNNNNNNNNNNNNNNNNNNNNNNNNNNNNNNNNNNNNNNNNNNNNNNNNNNNNNNNNNNNNNNNNNNNNNNNNNNNNNNNNNNNNNNNNNNNNNNNNNNNNNNNNNNNNNNNNNNNNNNNNNNNNNNNNNNNNNNNNNNNNNNNNNNNNNNNNNNNNNNNNNNNNNNNNNNNNNNNNNNNNNNNNNNNNNNNNNNNNNNNNNNNNNNNNNNNNNNNNNNNNNNNNNNNNNNNNNNNNNNNNNNNNNNNNNNNNNNNNNNNNNNNNNNNNNNNNNNNNNNNNNNNNNNNNNNNNNNNNNNNNNNNNNNNNNNNNNNNNNNNNNNNNNNNNNNNNNNNNNNNNNNNNNNNNNNNNNNNNNNNNNNNNNNNNNNNNNNNNNNNNNNNNNNNNNNNNNNNNNNNNNNNNNNNNNNNNNNNNNNNNNNNNNNNNNNNNNNNNNNNNNNNNNNNNNNNNNNNNNNNNNNNNNNNNNNNNNNNNNNNNNNNNNNNNNNNNNNNNNNNNNNNNNNNNNNNNNNNNNNNNNNNNNNNNNNNNNNNNNNNNNNNNNNNNNNNNNNNNNNNNNNNNNNNNNNNNNNNNNNNNNNNNNNNNNNNNNNNNNNNNNNNNNNNNNNNNNNNNNNNNNNNNNNNNNNNNNNNNNNNNNNNNNNNNNNNNNNNNNNNNNNNNNNNNNNNNNNNNNNNNNNNNNNNNNNNNNNNNNNNNNNNNNNNNNNNNNNNNNNNNNNNNNNNNNNNNNNNNNNNNNNNNNNNNNNNNNNNNNNNNNNNNNNNNNNNNNNNNNNNNNNNNNNNNNNNNNNNNNNNNNNNNNNNNNNNNNNNNNNNNNNNNNNNNNNNNNNNNNNNNNNNNNNNNNNNNNNNNNNNNAAAAAAACUCAUUUUAUAAAAAUUCUCGUUUAGUCCUCUAGUGGUAAAAUUACCAUUUUGCCCUUGUGCUCCAAAAAUACCAAGAAUCAUAAUUUUUUUCACUGCUAAAUAUCAUUUUAUACUCCAAUAAUCAUAAUUAUAUUUCAUAUAAUUACUCUUGGUCAAAUGUGAUCAAAUCUUGGCUAAAAAUCUCCAUUUUAUCAUCAAAUGGUAAAAUGACCGUUUAUCCCUAAUCGGUCAAUUUUCCUGAUGGACUCCAAACUGGACCUUGAACUCUGAAUCACUAUUCUAAGCAAUUCUGUGGGUUUCAAAAUUUUCAAUUUUCUCUUAGAAUUUCUAUUUGAACUAGUUCAAGACUCGAUUUAACUUAGUUGUAGCACUCGGUACAAUACUGUCUUUUAAUCGAGCUUGACAAGGUCUCACAAAAUCAAUGAAACCUUAAUUAAUGAAUUAAUAAAUAAAAAUCCCUCAUUAAUAUAUAUUGAGUCCAAAAGUUACCUUGUAAAGCCUGACCUUAUAAAUACUUGUCAUGACAUACAUGAGAUGGAUAGCAUGUUUGCAUGCUAUGAGAGACCUGAAAAAUUCACAAAAGUAAGUAUUGUAUUUAGAGGUACAACAAAGUUGAUUUAAGUCUCGAACUAGAUCAAAUAGAGAUUUUAGGGUGAAAUUGAAGAUUUUACAAUCCAGGAAUGAUUUAAAAUGGUGAUUUGGGGUUCGAGGAUCAAUUUGGAGUCAAACCAAAAAUUUCACUAUUUAAGGGUAAAAUGGUAAUUUUGCCACUCGAGGAUAAAGUGAGAAUUUUUUUGAAAGAUUUUGAUCACAUUUGACUUAUUGGAGUAUGGUUUGAGAUUGAGAAGUGAAAAUUUGUAAUCCUGGUAUUUUUCAGAGCAUAGGGGUAAAAUGGUCAUUUUUUCACCCUAGGGGCAAAAUCAUAAUUUUUGACACCCAAUACUUAUCCAACAUAUGGAUUUUACCCAAUAUUAUUAUGAAUAAUUGAAAGAAUUUAUAUGGUGGAGAGAGAAAGCUUAAUAGUUAAGAAAUGACACAUGGACCAAUAAUAAGGUGACAUGUGUCAAGUUUAUAACCAUUAAUUAUUUAGCUUAAAAAUUAAAACAAAAUCAGCUCAUUUUCUCUUCAUAUGGCCGGCCAUAGUAAGAACAAAGAGAGGAAAGGAAGAACACAAAACCUAGGUGGGAAAAUUGAAGAAAAAGUGUGGGAUUUCAAGGAAUCAAGCAAUCAAAGGUAAAAUUUCUUGAUUUUGACUUGUGAUCUACCUUUCCCAUGCAUUUCUCCUUAUUUUCCAUGGUUAAAUUUCAUGUUUUCAUGGUGAAUUCAUGGCUGACUGAAUGGGUAUAGAGAGAGAAUGAAGUUGGAUUGAUUUGAUUCUAAGUUAUGUUAGUGUUUUUAAUUAGUUUAUCAUGCCUAGAAACAAAACAACAAGAAAAGAAUUCAUUUUCCCCAUCACCCAUCAAUGGUCAAAUUUUCUAGGGAGAAUAUUGUGGCUAAAUUUGAUGAUAUUUCAUGAUAUUUUGGUGAUAUUUGAUGUUUGGUGAGGCUAGAAAUUAAAUGGGAAAUUUUGGUGUGAAAAUCUGAAUUUUUGCUCAACGUAUAGACAUGUGUAAUUAUUGACUCAGGACUGAUAAAUUGAACCUCAUUCACAGUCACUGAGGUAAGUUAGGUAUAAUUGGAGUGUAGAAAGUGAGAAGAAUUGAUUUGGAGUUAAAUUAGAGAUUUUAGCUGAUUAGACCGUGUAAAGCCCGACCUUAUAAAAUACUAGUCAUGACAUACAUGUGAUGAUAGCAUGAUUACAUGCUAGGAGAGUCCUGAAAAAUUUACAAAAGUCGGUAUUGUACCUAGAGGUACAACAAAGUUGAUUUAAUCCUCGAACUAGAUCAAAUAGGAAUUUUAAGGUGAGAUUAAGAUCGUCACAAACCAAGGAUGACUCAAAAUGGUAAUUUGGAGUUUGACGAUCAAUUUGGAGUUGAAUCGGAAUUUUCACUAUCCAGGGGUAAAAUGGUCAUUUGCCAUAUGGGGACAAAAUGGUCAUUUUUAGAAAAGAUUUAUUUGGCCCCAUUUGACUUAUUGGAGUAUGAUUUGAGGUUUAGAAGUGAAAAAAUUUUGAUUUCAGUAUAAUUUGGAGUAUAGGGGUAAAAUGGUAAUUUUACCGUUCUAGGGGCAAAAUUGUAAUUUUCCACCACUAGGACAAUUUUCCAGCAUAUGGUCUUCCUUUAUCCUCAUUUUUGACCAUUGACUACUCAUGUGGUGGAGAUAAAAUGUUUAAAUUUUUAAAAUUUUAAAAAUGGACCAAUAAGAAAAUGCCAUGUGUCAAGCUUAGGAUAAUUUAUUAUUUAACUUAAAAAUCAGCAUAAAUCAGCCCAUUACUCUCCAAAUAUUCGGCCAAGCAAGGAAGAGAGGGAAAGAAAGGAAGAACAAACCCUAGGUGAGGAAUUUCAAGAGAAAAAGUGUGGAAAAUCAAGGAAAACAAGUGAAAAAGGUAGGAUUUUUCAACUUAAGCUUGAAAUCUAUUUUCCUUAAGCAUUUCUCCUUAUUUUCCAUGCUUAAAUUACAUGUUUUCAUGAUGAAUUGUUGGCUGAUCAAAAUGGGUUAGGAGAGAGAAAGUUGUUGGAUUGAUUUGAUUUUAAGUUAUGUUAGUGUUUUUAGUUAGUUUAGCAUAUUUAGAAACAAACCAACAAGAAAAGAAUUUAUUUUCUCCCACAACCAUUAAUGGCUGAAUUUACCAUGUAUUCAGUGAGGAUGAGUUUGAUUUUUAUUCUAGGUGAAUUGGUUAAGAAAUGAUGAAUUAUGGUGUAGAAAAGUAGUAGGAAAAAUCAUGGUGUUAAUGCACCAUUAUUGGUCGAAAAUUUUAAGAAGAAAAGUGAAGAUAGUUUUGCCAAAUUUUAGGUUAUUUGAUUUGAAUUUGGUGAAUUAAGAUAUUGGAAAAGAAUUGGAACAAUUUGGAGUAAUUUGGGAUUAAAUUGGACGCGUUAGUAAUUUAAUCGGGUGAUAAGAUGAAUUAGGCCAAUACCGGGUUUAGAUAGUUACUAGUGCAUUUGUGCAUUCCAUAUCAUGCAUUAGUAGUCUAAAUUAGUUUAAUUUCAAUUUAGUACCAAUGUAGUGAGUUUCUCGAUUUUGUACUACGUCAAGGUGGUGAGUCCUCCGAUAAAGGUAAGGGAAUUGCAUCCGAGGACCAGUAGUCUGAGUAUUUCGAGAAUCGGCACUCUAGAUAGUGUGAGUAAACUUACUGUCAUUUUAAUUAUCUAGGGUGAUUUUUAGAUGAUUUCAUUAAUUUUAUGGAAAAAUGGAUUUAAAAAGGUAAAUUUUCAUGUUUUAUGAAUAAAGGUGUUCCAAUGAAAUUAAAUUAUAAAUUGUUUUGAAAUUAAUAGUGAUUUUGAAAAAUAGAGUACACGGAGACUGUUAAUUGUGGCAAUUUGAUUGUUUAAAUUGAUUGGCUUAUGAUAAAUCGGGCAUGAUUAGCUAAUUGGCAAUUGUAUUGAAAUACGAAUUGUUUGGUUGCCUUGAAAGACUGCGAAUUACAAAAUUACCAUAUCAUGUUAUUGACUUUUAUUAUAUGGUGGAUUAUAUAUAUUAAUUAAUCACUACAGUAGGGGGUUUUUGUGGACCAGGCUUUUAGAGGGGCACGGUAAACCCCAUUAUAUUCUUACCUUGAACGGAGAGGCGCGUAGGGUAUCUCCUAGGGUAAAGCUUAGGGUUCACUUCACGCCAAACCACCACGUGAGGGGGAAUUCAGCCAACGUCAAGGAAUGGCUAUGUUUUCAAAACAAAAACAUGAUUUAUGUGAAAUGUGAAUUUUAAUAGCCUUGGCGGUCUAGGUGGGAUGCCUCGGCCAAGAUGUCCCUGAAAAUGGAUUUAUGGCAUAAGCCUAGUUUUUAUGAGAUUCAUAAGCCUCUUUACUUAUUUUGAACAAAAUGUGUUCUAAUGCUAUAACCCAGUUUAUGAUGAUUUACUUUAUUGUCUCCAUGUACUCAACUCUAGAUGUUUAUGAUGAUGUCUGUUUACUCAUUGGGAUUUUAUAAUCUCACCACCCUCCUUUCCAUCCAUUUCAAGUUCAGUAUAGACUGUAGAUAGCUGAUCUCAUCGAGGACUACCGUUGGAUCUGCAUUUUUCCAAACCGUAGGUUCACAAUCCUCUUUACUUUUGUUUAUUCGGGGGCCCUCUUGUUAUUGUAAAUUAAAUUAAAUAUUUUGGCUUAUUGUAUUAUAGUAUGUAUAAAUUUAUUUAGCUUUUACGCUAUAAAAAUUAUUCAUGUAUAACUCUAUAAAUAUUGUUUUAUAAGAAAAUAGAAUAUUUUACUUAAUAUUUCUUUUAUUUUCUUAUUAUAUUCAAAUAACCAUAAUUUCAUUUUAAAUGAAGAUUUUAGACUUUUAAACUCAUUUUGAAUAUGAAUUAUGUGUUUUGUACUUGUAUAUUAUAUUUUAGCCAAUUUCAAAAUUUUUGAGAAAAAUGACCAAAAUACCCCUGUGAGACAAAAAAAUUAAUAUUUUUUUUGUUUUAAGUUGGAAAUAGCUUAAAAUCUUUUAGAACACGAUAUUUGACAAUGGUUGCUCACAAGGGAAAUGAUAAACUGAUAGUAAAGCUUUGCGGGGUUUCGGGUUGACAUUUCGGGCAAUGAGUGUUACCGGGACACUGCGACGGUUGUCACGAGCUUGAGGGGAGUAUCGGUUCAUGACAGACCGAGUAUAGUGUGACUUAGGUUGAAUAUUACAUUUAAGCGAUUAAUCGGACAUUUUGCACUCCAUAUCAUGCAUUAGUAGUCUAAAUUAGUUUAAUUUUAAUUUAGUAUAAUAUGGUCAAUUUCUCGAUUUUGUACUGUGUCAAGGUGGUGAGUCCUCCGAUAAAGGCAAGGAAAUUGCAUCCGAGGACCAGUAGACAGAGUACUUCGAAAGUCUGCAUUCUAGACAUUGUGAGUAAACUUAUUGUCAUUUUAAUUGUCUAGGGUGGUUUUUAGAUGAUUUCAUGAAUUCUAUGGAAAAAGGGAUUUAAAAAGGAAAAUUUUCAUGUUUUAUGAAUAAAUGUGUUUUAAUGAAAUUAAUUUAUAAAUUGUUUUGAAAUUAAUAAUGACUUUGAAAAAUAGAGUACAUGGAGACUGUUAUUUGUUGCAAUUUGAUUGUUUUAAUUGAUUGGCUUAUGAUAAAUUGGCAUGAUUGGCUGGUUGGCAAUUGUAUUGAAAUACGAAUUGUUUGGUUGCCUUGAAAGGCUGCGGAUUACAAAAAUUGCCAUAUAAUGUUAUUGAAUUUUAUUGUAUGGUGGAUUAUAUAUAUAUUAAUUAAUCAUUGCAAUAGAGGGUUUCCAUGGACCAACCUUUUAGAGAGGCACGGUAAACCCCAUUAUAUUCUUACCUCGAACGGAGAGGUGCGUAGGGUAUUUCCUGGGGUAAAGUUUAGGGUUCACUUCACGCUAAACCACCACGUGAAGGAGAACUCAGCCAACGCCAAGGAACGGCUGUAAUUUCUAACAAAAAAUGUGUUUUAUGCAAAAUGUGAAUUUUUAACAGCCUUCGCGGUCUCAGUAGGAUGCCUCGGCCAAGGUGUCCCCAAGGAUGGAUUUACGGCAUAAGCCUAGUUUUUAUGAGAUUCAUAAGCCUUGUUACGUAUUUUGAAUGAAAUGUGUUCUAAUACUGUGACCUAGUUUACGAUGAUUUAUUUUAUUGUCUCCAUGUACUCAACUCUAGAUGUUUAUGAUGAUGUCUGUUUAGUCACUGGGAUUUUAUAAUCUCACCACCCUCUUUUCCUUUCAUUUCAGGCUCAAAAUAGACUGUAGAUAGCUGAUCUCAUCGAGGACUACCGUUGGAUUUGCAUUUUCCAAACUGUAGGUUCAUAGUCCUCUUUACUUUUGUUUAUUCGAGGGCCCACUUGUUAUUGUAAAUUAAAUUUCGUACUCUAGUUAUAUGUACUAUUGUAUAUCGAAAUUUAUUUAACUUUUAUGCUACAAAAAUUAUUUACGUAUAACUCUAAAAAUAUUGUUUUAUAAGAAAAUAGAAUAUUUUACUUAAUAUUUCUUUUAUUUUCUUAUUAUAUCAAAAUAAUCGCAAUUUCGUUUUAAAUGAAGAUUUUAGACUUUAAAACUAAUUUUGAUUAUGAAUUAUGUGUUUUGUACUUAUAUAUUACAUUUUAGCCGGUUUCGAACUUUUUAGGGAAAAAAUGACUAAAAUACCCAUGUGAGACAAAAAUUAUUAUUUUAUUUGUUUUGAGUUGGAAACAGCUUAAAUCUUUUAGAACAUGAUUUUCGGCAAUGGUUACUCACGAGGGAAAUGAGAUACUGAUAUUAAGCCUUGCGGGGUCCUGGUCGGCAUUUCGGGUAAUGAAUGUUUAUCGGGAUACCACGACGGUUGUCACGAGCUCGAGGAGAGUACCGGGUCAUGACAUACCUUCCACCAUAUAACAAGAUAACCAGGUUGCUCUUUUAAUUGGAGGCUUGUUGAGUCACUCAAGGCCAAACUUUUACACAAGUACGUUUGAGUUAUUGGUGUGUCUCACAAAACUAGUAAAAUGUUGUUCGAAUGUGUCACACUUUACCGCAUAGUAUUAGAGGCAUAGUUAGAGAAAAUAUAUAUGAUACAUUUAGACAAGGACUUGUCACCUAACUGAUCUAGGAGUUGUAUAAGAUACAAUUCGUAAGCUAAGUUAUUUGCCUAAUUAAUGUCAUCAUGGCUUGUUGAGUCACUCAAGGUCAUGGCGGGAUGAAAAGGGUCCUAACUCAAUAAGAAGUGUAACACCUCGUGACCUCGUUUAGCAGUCAAUUUGACCCUGUUGACAAGACGAAGGGUCACUUGAUGUAAAUUUAAGUGUCAAAAAGCGAUUAUAGGUGCGAAGAAUAUUUUAGAAUAAAAUAUUAUUUUAUGAAUAAAAUAUAUUAAAAUAUUAAUAUUUUAUUAAUUAAGGGAAUCGGUUUGAAGAAGGAUUAUAUGAUCAAUUUAAGUGGGGGAGAAGAAGAAUGAAUGAAUUUUGGAGAUAAAUGAUGUAAGUGAGACCUGCGUGUUUUAUUAAAUCGAGCUAGUACGGGUAAAUAAAUAUUUAAAUAUUAUAAUAAUACCGCGUUGAAAUGUAAUUUUGAUAUUUUGGUUGUUUACGUGUAAAGGAGGAAAGAUAGAAGGAAAUUAGAAUUUUCAAACUUGUCGGAAGGAUCAAAUUUUAAAAAUAUGAAAGUUAGAGGGUUGUGUAGUCAAUAAAAUGAAGUUGAGGAUUUACAUGUAAAUUUCAAUAUUUGGAAAGAAUAAAAUAAAUAAUAAAAUAAUAAAGAAAUAAAAAGAAUUUAGAGGUGGCGGAUGGGAAUGAAGAAAAGACAAGUCAAGUGAGAAGUAAAAUGAGAUAAGGAUGAGAGAAGAAAGGACAAGCAAGGAGAAAAAAAAAUUAUGUGGUAAAAGGUGAUGAAUUGGGCAGCCGCCCAUGUGGGGAAAAUAAGGGAGACAAAUUUUGUUUAAGAUAAAGAUAGAGAGGCUGACUGCGUGGAGAAACAAAAGAGAAAUAAAAGAAAAAAAAUGGAGAAUUGACAAACAAGCUUGUCAUUGUCGGCCCCACUAGCAACCCACAUCAAACAAAAUUUUAUCAAUUUCUUUUGGUUACCAACCGGUUAUGGAGACAAAAGAAAGUCAAAGCUAUUAUUAUUAUUAUUUUAAAUCAUGUGUGAAAGUAAAGGGGAGUCGGCCAUUGAAAUGAAAGGCCAUAUAAAAGAGAGAAAUAAAGAGAAGGUGUAGUCAGUUUUGUAAGAGAGAGAGAGAAAAACAAAAUAAAAAGGAGAUAAAGGAGGUUGGUUCGGCUAGAAAGAAAAAGAGAGAAGGAAAUUCGACUAAAAUCGAGAAGAAAAGAAAGAACAAAAGAGGAAGUGCUGCUGAUUUUAAGGGGAAAGAAGAGCUAGUUUUGCUGUCAAUUUUAAGGGAGAGAAAGAGCUGAUUUUUUAGGAAGAAAUAAGUAGCUUUGACAAUCAAUUUUUUAGAGAGAAAAGAGCAGCUUGGGUGCUAACUUUUGAGAAAGAAAAGAGUAGCUUUGGCUGCCGAUUUUGAGGGAGAAAAAGAAGAAACUUAUUGCUGGUGGUGAGAGGAAGAAAAAAAUGAACAAGCUAUUGGUGUGGAGAGGAAGAUAUGGUGGAGUUGCUGCUAGUGUAAAGGAGGAAGAAAAAAAAAGAGAAAGAAAUGAAAUGAAAUAAGAAAAAAAAAUGGGCAUAGCCCAAUAAAAAAAUAGGCAUGGCCCAAUAGAAAGAAAUGGGAAGAGCCCAUGGAAAGGGCCCAAUGGCAAUAAGAAAAGAAAAGUCCAAAAGAGAAAAGGAAUGUCAAGCCCGACCUUAUAAAAUACUUGCCAUGUCAUUCAUGUGAUUGGCAAUAUGCUUGCAUACUUGGGUACCUUGGAAAUCGUUAAAGGACGAUAAUGUACCAAAUGGUAUAAUUAAGUUGAAUUAAGCCUCGAACUAGUCCAAAUAGAGAUUUUAAGAUGAAAUUGAGAAUUUUAAAUUCCCAGAAUGACUUAAAAUGGUGAUUCGGAGUUCAAAGACCGAUUUGGAGUCAAAUUGGAAUUUUCAUGAUCUAGGGGUAAAAUGGUCAUUUUGUCACUUGAGGUUAAGACGUGAGUGUUGGAUGAAAUUUUUGACUAAGAUUGAUCAUUUGGAGUAUAAUUUUAGUUUGAGAACUGAAAAAUUUUAAUUUUGGCAUUUUUUGAGCAUAAAGGGUAAAAUAGUCAUUUUACCACACCAAGGGCAAAAUUGUAAUUUUGCACCACCCAACACUUGUCCAGCACAUGGAUUUUACCCAAUAUUAUCAUGGAUAAUUGAGAAAAUUUAAGUGGUAGAAAGAGAUUACUUAAUGGUUGAGUAUGACACAUGGACCAAUGAACGGUGACAUUUGUCAAAUUCUUAUCCAUUUAUUAUUUAGCUUAAAAAUCAGCACAAAAUCAACCCAUUUCUCAUUCAUAUGGCCGGCCAUAGCAAGAACAAAGGGAGAAAAGAAAGAACAAGAACCCUAGGGUGAAAAUUCAAGAGAAAAAUUGAUGGAUUUCAAGUAAUCAAGCAAUCAAAGGUAAAAUUUCUUGAUUUUGACUUGUGAUCUACCUUUCCCAUGCAUUCUUUUGCAUUUUUCAUGGUUGAGAAUCAAGUUUUCAUGAUGAAUCCCUUGUUGUCUGAACACCUAGGAGAGAGAAUUUGAUGAUGAUUUGGUUAGAUUUUAAUGUAUUUUGGUGUUUUUAGUUAGUUAGUGAUGUGUAGCAUGAAAAGCCAACAAGAAAAAUUCAUUUUCUCUCAUUACCCAUCAUUGGCCGAAUUUUCCUCGUAGAGUGUGGAUGGUAGAUUUGAUUUUAUUUCAAGUGAAUUGGUUAGGAAAUGAUGAAUUAUGGUGAGAAAAUCAAGUAGAAAAAAUCAUGGUGUUGAUUCACCCACCAUGGCCGAAAUUCUCAAGAGAAAACGUGGAGAUGAUUUUGCUAAAUUUUAUGCUAUUUGACUUGUGUUUGAGGAUUUGGAGAAUUGGAAGAAAAAUGGAGUUAAUUGGUGUUGAAUUGGACAUAUUGGCCAAUUAAUCGAGUGAUAGAUCGAAUUAGGCCAAUACCGUAUUAUUUAGGUACACAAUUAAAUUUGUGUAGAACACUGUGUGUAGACAAUAAUCCGAACAAUUUGCAUCCCAUUUCAUACAUUAGUAUAAAGCCUGAAUUGGUUUUAUAACAAUUUAGCACAAUGUAUUAAAUGGCUUAUUGUGCAUUAUGUCUAGGUGGUGAGCAUUCUGGCAAAAGUAAAGAGAUAGUACCGGAGGAUCAAGAAUCGGAGUACAUGGAAUUCGACUCUCGAAAUAGUGAGUAACCUUACUAUCGUCUUAAUUAUCUAAAGUGGUUUUUAUCCGAUUUUGUGAUUUUAUGGAAAAUGAGUUUAAAUGGUAAAUUUUUAUGUUUUAUAAACAAAAUGUGUUUAAACGAAAUGAUUUUAUAAAUUGUCUUGAAAUUGAAUGAUGGCUUUGAAAAUAGAGUAAUUGGAGACCAUUUGAUGUAUUGUGAAUUUAUGUUUCUAAUUGAUUGGCUUAUGAUAAUAUUGGCAUGAAUGGUUGAAUUGGAAAAUGUGUUGAAAAUGUAUGAAUUGUUGAUGUGCCUUGAAAGGCUAUAAAAUAAAAUAAUUGUCAUAUCAUGUUAUUAAAUUUUAUUGAUUGGUGGGAUAAUUAUUAGCUUACUGCAGUAGACAAGUUCUGUGGACCAACCUAUUAGAAGGGCACGGAAUCUCGUUAUAUUUUACCUCGGUUGGAGAGGUGAGUAGAGUAACUCCCAAGGUAUAACUUUUAGAGUUCACUUCACGCCAAACCACCACGUGAGGGGGAACUCAGCCAACGCCAAGGAACGGCUAUGUUUUCAAAAUAAAAACAUGAUUUAUGCGUAAGUAACUUUUUAAUAGCCUUGGCGGACUCGGUUGGGAUAGCCCACGAUCAAGGCAUCCCUAAUAAUUGGGUAUGAGAAUGAUUUUGGCACGAGCCAAAGUUUUAAGAAAUUCGUAAGCCAUGUUGAUUACUCAAUUUAUAUGAAUUGAUUUUAUUUGGUUGAAAUGAGUUGAAAGGUUAUAAAUUACAAUAUGAUGAUUUAUUUUAUCUGUUUCCAUUUACUCGACUUUAGAUAUUUUAGAUGGUAUUUGUUUACUCACUGGGAUUAUAUAAUCUCACCACCCUCCUUUCCACCCCUUUCAGGCUCAAGAUAGUCGGUAGAUAGCUCAUUUCGUUGAGGGCUACAAUUGGACUUGCAUUCUCAAAAAUUAUAGGUUCACAGUCUUUCUUACUUUUGGUUAUUUGUGGGCCCACAUGUCACUGUAAAUUAAAUUAUAUUUUGGUUAUCUGUAUUACAAUAUGUAUGAAUUUAUUUAGUUUUUACGCUACAAAAAUUAUUUACCAGUAACUCUUUAAAUAUUGUUUGAUAAGAAAUAGAAUGUUUUAUUGAAUAUUUUUAUUAUAUUCAAAUUGUCAUAAUUUCAUUUUUAAAUGAAGGUUUCAGACGUUUAAACUUAUUUUGAUUAUGAAUUAUGUGUUUUAUACUCGCAUACUACAAUUUUAGUUGAUUUCGAGAUUUUUGAGGAAAAAUGACCAAAAUGCCCUUGUGAGAAAAAAAUUAUUUUUCUAUUGUUUUGAUUUGGAAAUAGCUUGAAAUCUUUUAGAAUAUGAAAUUUGGCAACGGUUACUCAUAGGGGAAAUGAGAAACUGAUAUUAAAGCUUUGAAGGGUUCCGGUUGAUAUUCCGAGUAUUGAGUGUUGAUCGGGACACUACGACGGUUGUCACGGGCUCAAGGUGUGAGACCUUGUCAAGCUCGAUUAAAAGACGGUGUUGUACUGAGUGGUACAACUAAGUUAAAUCGAUCCUUAAACUAGUUCAAAUAGAAAUUCUAAGAGAAAUUUGAAAAUUCUAAAACCCACAAAAUGGCUUAGAAUAGUGAUUCGGAGUUCAAGGUCUAGUUUGGAGUCCAUCAGGAAAAUUGACCGAUUAGGGAUAAAAUGGUCAUUUUACCAUUUGAUGAUAAAAUGGAGAUUUUUAGCCAAGAUUUGAUCACAUUUGACCAAGAAUAAUUAUAUGAAAUAUAAUUAUGAUUAUUGGAGUAUAAAAUGAUGUUUAGCAGUGAAAAAUUGUGAUUCUCGGUAUUUUUAAAGCACAAGGGCAAAAUGAUAAUUUUGCCAUUAGAAGACUAAACGAGAAUUUUUAUAAAACAAUUUUUAUCCCCAUUUGGUUAAUAUUGAUCAAUAUUAGUGUUAUUUGAGUUUGAAAAGUAGAAAUAAUGUGAUUUCGGUACAUUUCGGAGUAUAGGGGCAAAAUCGUAAUUUUUUCGCUUCAAGGGCAAAUCGGUAAAUUUUUUGCCCCAGCACUUGUAAAGACCAAAGGAUUUUAAUUGUGGUAGGAUUGGAUAAAUACCAGAAUAUUUGUGGUGAAAAAUUAAGAAGAAAAAGUUAAAAAGUUAAAAAAUUGGGCCAAUAAGCAUAUGACACAUGGCAUGCUUGAUUAUUUUAUUAUUUUCUAUAGAAAUCAGCCCAUUUAAUCCCCAAUUCUCUCACCAUAUUCGGCCUAGGCAACCAGCAACAAGAAUAAAGGAAGAACAAAGGAAAAAACAAGAAAACCUAGGUGGAAAUGCAAAGAAAAAGUGAAAAAAUCAAGGAAACAAGCUAGGUAAGUUAGAAUUUCUUUAAUUCUCCUUGAUACCUAGCUUACCCAUGCUUUUGUUCUUGAUUUCCAUGGUUGAAUAUUGAGUUAUCAUGAUGAAUUCAAUUCUGAAAAAUGGGUAUAGAAGAGAAAUUGUUGUUGGAAUAAUUUGAUUUUAGACUAUGUUAGUGUUUAGGGAUAGUUAAGCAUAGUUAUGAACAAAAACACAAAAGAAAUAUUCAAUUUCUCUAGGGUUCCUUGUUGGUCGAAUCAUGAGGGCUGAAUAUCAAUGGAGGAUUGUUUUUAUUUCAAGGAAAAUGGCUUGAAAAAUGAUGAAUUAAGGUGAAACGGUUAUGUANNNNNNNNNNNNNNNNNNNNNNNNNNNNNNNNNNNNNNNNNNNNNNNNNNNNNNNNNNNNNNNNNNNNNNNNNNNNNNNNNNNNNNNNNNNNNNNNNNNNNNNNNNNNNNNNNNNNNNNNNNNNNNNNNNNNNNNNNNNNNNNNNNNNNNNNNNNNNNNNNNNNNNNNNNNNNNNNNNNNNNNNNNNNNNNNNNNNNNNNNNNNNNNNNNNNNNNNNNNNNNNNNNNNNNNNNNNNNNNNNNNNNNNNNNNNNNNNNNNNNNNNNNNNNNNNNNNNNNNNNNNNNNNNNNNNNNNNNNNNNNNNNNNNNNNNNNNNNNNNNNNNNNNNNNNNNNNNNNNNNNNNNNNNNNNNNNNNNNNNNNNNNNNNNNNNNNNNNNNNNNNNNNNNNNNNNNNNNNNNNNNNNNNNNNNNNNNNNNNNNNNNNNNNNNNNNNNNNNNNNNNNNNNNNNNNNNNNNNNNNNNNNNNNNNNNNNNNNNNNNNNNNNNNNNNNNNNNNNNNNNNNNNNNNNNNNNNNNNNNNNNNNNNNNNNNNNNNNNNNNNNNNNNNNNNNNNNNNNNNNNNNNNNNNNNNNNNNNNNNNNNNNNNNNNNNNNNNNNNNNNNNNNNNNNNNNNNNNNNNNNNNNNNNNNNNNNNNNNNNNNNNNNNNNNNNNNNNNNNNNNNNNNNNNNNNNNNNNNNNNNNNNNNNNNNNNNNNNNNNNNNNNNNNNNNNNNNNNNNNNNNNNNNNNNNNNNNNNNNNNNNNNNNNNNNNNNNNNNNNNNNNNNNNNNNNNNNNNNNNNNNNNNNNNNNNNNNNNNNNNNNNNNNNNNNNNNNNNNNNNNNNNNNNNNNNNNNNNNNNNNNNNNNNNNNNNNNNNNNNNNNNNNNNNNNNNNNNNNNNNNNNNNNNNNNNNNNNNNNNNNNNNNNNNNNNNNNNNNNNNNNNNNNNNNNNNNNNNNNNNNNNNNNNNNNNNNNNNNNNNNNNNNNNNNNNNNNNNNNNNNNNNNNNNNNNNNNNNNNNNNNNNNNNNNNNNNNNNNNNNNNNNNNNNNNNNNNNNNNNNNNNNNNNNNNNNNNNNNNNNNNNNNNNNNNNNNNNNNNNNNNNNNNNNNNNNNNNNNNNNNNNNNNNNNNNNNNNNNNNNNNNNNNNNNNNNNNNNNNNNNNNNNNNNNNNNNNNNNNNNNNNNNNNNNNNNNNNNNNNNNNNNNNNNNNNNNNNNNNNNNNNNNNNNNNNNNNNNNNNNNNNNNNNNNNNNNNNNNNNNNNNNNNNNNNNNNNNNNNNNNNNNNNNNNNNNNNNNNNNNNNNNNNNNNNNNNNNNNNNNNNNNNNNNNNNNNNNNNNNNNNNNNNNNNNNNNNNNNNNNNNNNNNNNNNNNNNNNNNNNNNNNNNNNNNNNNNNNNNNNNNNNNNNNNNNNNNNNNNNNNNNNNNNNNNNNNNNNNNNNNNNNNNNNNNNNNNNNNNNNNNNNNNNNNNNNNNNNNNNNNNNNNNNNNNNNNNNNNNNNNNNNNNNNNNNNNNNNNNNNNNNNNNNNNNNNNNNNNNNNNNNNNNNNNNNNNNNNNNNNNNNNNNNNNNNNNNNNNNNNNNNNNNNNNNNNNNNNNNNNNNNNNNNNNNNNNNNNNNNNNNNNNNNNNNNNNNNNNNNNNNNNNNNNNNNNNNNNNNNNNNNNNNNNNNNNNNNNNNNNNNNNNNNNNNNNNNNNNNNNNNNNNNNNNNNNNNNNNNNNNNNNNNNNNNNNNNNNNNNNNNNNNNNNNNNNNNNNNNNNNNNNNNNNNNNNNNNNNNNNNNNNNNNNNNNNNNNNNNNNNNNNNNNNNNNNNNNNNNNNNNNNNNNNNNNNNNNNNNNNNNNNNNNNNNNNNNNNNNNNNNNNNNNNNNNNNNNNNNNNNNNNNNNNNNNNNNNNNNNNNNNNNNNNNNNNNNNNNNNNNNNNNNNNNNNNNNNNNNNNNNNNNNNNNNNNNNNNNNNNNNNNNNNNNNNNNNNNNNNNNNNNNNNNNNNNNNNNNNNNNNNNNNNNNNNNNNNNNNNNNNNNNNNNNNNNNNNNNNNNNNNNNNNNNNNNNNNNNNNNNNNNNNNNNNNNNNNNNNNNNNNNNNNNNNNNNNNNNNNNNNNNNNNNNNNNNNNNNNNNNNNNNNNNNNNNNNNNNNNNNNNNNNNNNNNNNNNNNNNNNNNNNNNNNNNNNNNNNNNNNNNNNNNNNNNNNNNNNNNNNNNNNNNNNNNNNNNNNNNNNNNNNNNNNNNNNNNNNNNNNNNNNNNNNNNNNNNNNNNNNNNNNNNNNNNNNNNNNNNNNNNNNNNNNNNNNNNNNNNNNNNNNNNNNNNNNNNNNNNNNNNNNNNNNNNNNNNNNNNNNNNNNNNNNNNNNNNNNNNNNNNNNNNNNNNNNNNNNNNNNNNNNNNNNNNNNNNNNNNNNNNNNNNNNNNNNNNNNNNNNNNNNNNNNNNNNNNNNNNNNNNNNNNNNNNNNNNNNNNNNNNNNNNNNNNNNNNNNNNNNNNNNNNNNNNNNNNNNNNNNNNNNNNNNNNNNNNNNNNNNNNNNNNNNNNNNNNNNNNNNNNNNNNNNNNNNNNNNNNNNNNNNNNNNNNNNNNNNNNNNNNNNNNNNNNNNNNNNNNNNNNNNNNNNNNNNNNNNNNNNNNNNNNNNNNNNNNNNNNNNNNNNNNNNNNNNNNNNNNNNNNNNNNNNNNNNNNNNNNNNNNNNNNNNNNNNNNNNNNNNNNNNNNNNNNNNNNNNNNNNNNNNNNNNNNNNNNNNNNNNNNNNNNNNNNNNNNNNNNNNNNNNNNNNNNNNNNNNNNNNNNNNNNNNNNNNNNNNNNNNNNNNNNNNNNNNNNNNNNNNNNNNNNNNNNNNNNNNNNNNNNNNNNNNNNNNNNNNNNNNNNNNNNNNNNNNNNNNNNNNNNNNNNNNNUUUUUUCUCAUUUCCAUGCAAAAUUAGAAAGUGGGUAUGGACACCCAUGCUGGCCAAACCUCCAUGGAUGAGUUUUGAACUUGAUUUUUGGUUGAUUUUAAUUGAAUUAAGUGAUUUUAGUUAGGUUAUAUUGAAAUAUAGCAAAAAUAAGCUAGAGAAAUAAUUUUCUCCCAUUGAAACCCAUUAUGCCGAAUUUUCUAGGGGAAUAUUGGCUACUGAUCUUGAUGUUUAUUUAAGGAAUUAUGAUGAAUAAUGAUGAAUUAUGAGCCUAGAAAAAUAAUGAGAAUUUUCGGAACAAAAAUACGAAUUUUUACCCACUAGGGGUAUUUUCGUAAUUUACUAUCGAGAUCGAUAAUUUGCACCACACUGAGCAACAUUAAGUCAAUUUGGGUGCAAUUGAGGUACAAAAAUUGAAAAAAAUUAAUUUGGAGUUUAAACGGACGCGCAUAUCGAUUUAUCGGGUAAAAGACCGAAAUAGGCUAACAUCUCGUUUAGGCAAAAUUUAGACAUUUUGCACUUCAUAUCAUGCAUUAAUAGUAUAAAUUAGUUUAUUUUGGUUUAGUACCAAAGUAGUAAACCUCUUAAUUAUGCAAUUUGUCAAGGUGGCGAAUCCUUUGGCAAGGGCAAAGGAAUCGCACUCGAGGAGUAAUAGUUAGAGUACCCGAAUUUAGUUUUCAGAAAUUGUGAGUAAACUUAUUAUCGUCUUAAUUAUCUAGAGUAGUUUUAUACAAUUGUGUGAUUUUAUGGAAAAUGGGUUUAAAUGGUAAAUUGCUAUGUUUUAAGAGAAAUUGUGAUUUUAUAGAAUGAUUUUAUAAAUUUUCUGGAAAAUCGAAUACUGGUUUUUAAAAUAGAGUAAUUGGAGACUACCUGCUUGUGUUGUAAAUUUAUGGUUUUAAAUUGAAUGGCUUAUGACAAUAAAUGAGCAUGAAUGGCUAAACUGAUUUUGGUGUUAGAAUUAUUUGUAUUGUGUAUUUAGCCUUGAGAGGCAAGGUUGCAAUAAAUUGCCAUGUCAUGCAGAAAAAGAUUUUAUAAAUCAGGUGGUAGAUAAAAGAUUAGCUACUGCAGUGGUGGGGGGUUCCGUGGGCCAGCCUAUAAGAGGGGCACGGUAAACUCUUUUAUAUUCUCACCUCGAUCGUAGAGGCGCGUAGGGUAUCUCCUGAGGUGGGCUUUUUGAGUGCACUUCACGUGGACCACCGCGUGAGAGUGAGACUCAGCCAACGCCAAGGAACGACUAUGUUUUAAAAUAAAAAUAUGAUUUAUGCGAAAUAUGAAUUUUUAACAGCCUUGGCGGACUCGGUUAGAUACCCAUGGUCCAGGUGUCACCGAGUACAGGAUUUGGCAUAAGCCAAGUUUUGAGUAAUUCACGAGCCAUAUUGAUUAUUUGGUUGAAAUGAAUAUUCGUGAUGUGAAAAAGUUGCUGAAGUUAAUUAUUUUUUAAUUGUCUCCAUUUACUCACCUUUAGAUAGUUUUGAUGGUGUCUGUUUACUCACUGGGAUUUUAUAAUCUCACCACCCUCAAUUCCCCACAUUUCAAGUUUGAGAUAGUCGGUAGAUAGCCGAUUGCAUCAAGGACUUCAGUUAGUCUUGCAUUGUUAAAAUUAUAGGUUCACAAACUCGAAUCUUAUUGGUUAGUUGAGGGCCCACGUGUCAUUGUAAAAGUAAUUUUAUACUUUAGUUAUCUGAUUUAAAAUAUGUAUGAACAUAUUUAGCUUUUACACCAUGUUUUUGGGGAGUUUCGGUAUUAUCGAAGAAAAAUGACGAAAAUGCCCUUGUGAGCCAAAAAAUAAUAUUUUAUUAUUUUGAUUUGGAAACGACUUAUGAUUUCUUGAAAUGCAAGAUUUAAUAACUGUCGCUCACCGAGGAGAUGCGAAAGCUGAUGCUAAGCCUUACGAGGUUCCGAUCGGCAUUCGGGGUAAUGAGUGCCUAUUGGGACGUUGCGGCGGUUGUCACGGGCCUGAUGGGAGUUUCGGGUCGUGACAAUUGGACCCUUGCGCCGGUCAUAGCUUAAAAUUUGGGUCGUGACACAAGGGAAGUACUGAGUCGUGACAAUUAGAUUGGUAUCAGAACUUUUGGUUUUAAAGAUUAGAGCUUUUGGGUUUAAAGUUGUUUUAAAGUUAUUUUCAAAACUAUAGUGUCAGUGUGGGUCAAGUUAAGUUAAGUUAAGUUAGGUUUAAUAGAAUAGAAUACGUGCAUCUGCAUAUAGAAUUGGGACUUGUUUAGACUCGUUCUGUUUCUUCUUAUAGAUCUUAUGGGAGCAUAAGUCAUAGACAGGGAGCUAUAUGAACUCCUGUUCCCAGUAAUCCAUUUCCUUGUUAAUGUCAUGUAAAGGUCAUAAGUAGAGCCGUUGUUCGGGUUUAAGAGGCCACCCGUGACACGAGCCAGUGUUAGAGAGAUCUUCAAACGAAUGCUCCUAAUGAAAGAUUAAUGAAAUGAUAUAUCUCUCUGAUUAAGGAUGGAGAAAUUUGGAGUUAGACUAAUAGGCCGUGAUAAUUUAUUCAUUUGGUGGGGUUAUAAUUGAACUCAUGGUUGUCAAUUGGAAAAAGAUUUGGGGACUAUGGAUUGUAUUAGGGUUAAUAUAAAGGAGCACGUGUGAUAAUGGUAAUAAGGGGUGCACUUUGAUUAGAAUGAAUAGUGAUGGUUGUAAUUCACUUGGAGGGUAUAAAUUAAGCAUUGAGGUAAGAGUAAACCCAUAUUUAUGUGCAUGAAGAUAAGAACACUAUGUAAAUUGAGCUUGUUAUGCCCAUAUAAAAGUGGUGUUGGGAUUUUGAAAUAUGUUAUACGUGAAUAUGUGUUGAAUAGGUAGAGCAGCUUAGAGGGAACGAGUGUUGAUUUCAAUUAAGCGAUUGUGAGAUUUCAAGAAUUGAUUGGACCUAUUAUAGUUCAUGGAUAUAAGCAUGUGAAUUAACUCGAGAAUGAGUAUCAAUGAUUACUAUAAUUGAUGUGUGGUCAUGAAGUAAGAAGUUAGUAAACAUAUCUGCUUUAAGGAUGAGCUUGAACUUUGCUACUCAUAGCAAGGGGGAGCUAAAGGAUGGAAGGACUAGAUGUGGAAUUGGCAGCUUGAGGUUAAAUGACUUGGAAAUUUUGAAUCUAGUCUAAGUGCCAUAUGAAGUUCUAUAAUUGAGACUGAUAUACAAAUUACUUGAAAGAUCAAUUAAAAAGUUUAUUCGGUUCAAAGUGUGGCCUAGGAUACGAAUGAUCAGUCUUGAAGGUGAUUUCUCCAGAGUAAGGAAUUUAGAGAAUGUUGAUGUUUGGAUAUAAUCUAAGAGAGAGAAUUUCUGCAUCCUAAGUUUAGGACGACUUUGAUCUUAUGAUUGCAAAGGCAAGGUGUAAUAACUAAGUAAAUUAUUCACUUAAUAAAUAUGAUUGGUUAUUGAUGAAUAAAGUUAAGAUCUUAACAUUUAGUGGUGUACAAUUUGAUAAUUAUGUAUUUAAGAGUUGUUUGGAGACAAUUCCUUCAUCAAAUUUGCACUAAAUGCUAUGGUAAAGGCAUAUCAAUGUUAAUAUGGAAAUGUAUCCAGGAAUGAUCUUAACCUAUCACCAAAAGAGAAUUAAACAUGUUGAAAUUAAUGUUCUAAUAGUGUGCAUAUGAUAGAAAGCUAGUUUGUAAGUUGUAGUUUUCAUGAUCAUGAAAUACAUAAAGAUUGUCAAUAUAUGGACAUACACUUGGAGUUGUAAUUUACAAGUUUGGAGUAUUUAAGAUAUGAUUAAAUGGAAUUAGCAUUAGUUAAGGUACGUAAAUCUUUUAAUUAAAUUCUGUGGAGUAUGCAUGAUAGUAGAAUGGAGGAACAUAGUGCCGUGAUACUAUAUGGUGAAGUUACUAUACAAUAUGGAAAGAGUAUUCUAAAGUGGGAUUUAUUGAUUGUUGACAAGUGUUAUAGGAUGAGAUGAAUUUGAAAAUAUCGACUUUACCUAUUAUAUGCGAUAAGCACAAGAGGAUAUAAAUGGUUAUAGAAAUUAUGACGUAAGCUUGGAGGGAAACUAAACGGUUGAGAAUGAUUAGUGUUGUAACCUUAAGUAUAGAUGAAUAACAUUGAUUAAGUAAACUCCAACAGCCACCGUGCCGCGGUGCUAAGAACACUUCAUGUUUAGGACGCAUGAAUAAAAUGAGACAGAUGUGAAGUUGAAUUUACGAGUUGACCUAAAGUCAUUGAACUUGAUUCUAAGUUUUGUUGAUUGGAGUUUUAAGGUUUUGGAAGGUAUCGAUAUGAAUGAGUUAAAGCUGAAAUGGUUAAAGGCGUUCCCUUCGAGAAGAGCAAAAAGUCUGGGGUUCGAAACUUGACGAGAAAAUCCUGCAAGGCCUAUCGUGUCACCCUUAGGCUCAACGGAAGCGAGUAAGUCAAGUGAUGGGAAUCCAGACAUAACAAUACCUUGGAGUGGGCCCUAAAGAGGAUGCCACAUAAAUGGCUAAGUUACGAGUUAAGUGAUCAUAUGUUGUGAGACAUAAGUUUAAGAUAGAUAUCCCCAAGGAAAUACUCAAGAGAAGUUAUGCCGUGGAUUUUGUGAAAGAAAGCACUAAGUUAUGUGGUUAUAAAAAGGAAGCUAUAAGCUGAGAGUGAUAUUAGUAUUAAUAUUGAAAGGUACUUGAGGAGAAUCUAGUUUCAAGUUUUACAAUUUCAAGUGCAAUUUAUAAAUUGAUUAAGGGAGAAUAAUGUUAUAUUCGUAUGAAAGAGUGGAACAAAAGAUGAUUGAAGUUAACCUCGAUAAUGAAGUCGGAUAAUGAAACUUUCCUAAUAUAUUAUGGAAAUUGGAAUUCGAAAAUGCUUGAGGCAUACAUGAUUCAAAUGAGUCUGAGUUUUAAGUGACAAAUCAAUAUCGAAAUGCAAGAAGGAUACAAGGUAAUGUAGAGGCAUGAAAUAUAAUCGAGGAAUAAGGAUGAGUUUUAGGAAUUAUGGUAUUGCAUAAGAUGCAAUGAUCAAGCUAAGAUAAAUCUUUGAGGCAUCAAUGGGAUUAUAAAGCAUACGCGCAUAAUAAAUUAUAAUUCAAUGGAGAUGACAUUGUGAUGCAAUGAUAUAUAGUAUAAGGAAACUUAAACAUAUAAUUGGAAAUGAUAAAAAAAGAGUAUAAGUAUGUAAAUGAUGUGGAACUAUGCACAGGCAUGAUGAGAAUUUGUAUGAAUUAUGAAGAUUAUUUUAUUGAAUCAUGGUUAUGGAUGGGAAUGAACAAAGAGAAAUUAGUCUGAAGGCAAUUGAAAACAGAGACCCAUAUACAUAAUGAGGAAUAUGGACAUUUGAAUGUACAUGUAUAAGUAUGUGUGGAGUUAGUGAUGUACCCAAUUAAAAUGAAGAAUGGUUUUAGUGGUUCGAGAUUUGAACUCAAUAUGUUUGAUGUCAAGCCCAACCUUAUAAAAUAUUUGUCAUGACAUACAUGUGAUGGAUAGCAUGUUUGUAUGCUAGGAGAGUCCCAAAAAAUUUACAAAAGUAGGUAUUGUAACUAGAGGUACAACAAAGUUGAUUUAAGCCUCGAACUAGAUCAAAUAGAAAUUUUAAAGUGAAAUUAAGAGCUUCAUAGUCCAAGGAUGACUCAAAAUGGUAAUUCGGAGUUUGAGGAUUAAUUUGGAGUCAAAUCAAAAUUUUUGCUAUAUAGGGGUAAAAUGGUCAUUUGCCACUUAGGGACAAAAUAGAAAUUUUUAGAAAAGAUUUUUGACCCCAUUUGACUUAUUGGAGUAUGAUUUGAGGUUUACAAGUGAAAAAUUUUAAUUUUUGGUAUAAUUUGGAGUAUAGGGGUAAAAUGGUAAUUUUGCCACCCCAGGGGCAAAAUUGUAAUUUUUCACCAUUAGGACAUUUGUCCAGCACAUGGUCUUCCCUUAUCCGUAUUUUUGACCUUUGACUAAUCAUGUGGUGGAGAUAAAAGGUUUAAAAUUUUUAAAGUUUUAAAAAUAGACCAAUAAGAAAAUGACAAGUGUCAAGCUUAGGAUAUUUUAUUGUUUAACUUAAAAAUCAGCAUAAAUCAGCCCAUUACUCUCCAAAUAUUCGGCCAAGCAAGGAAGAGAGGGAAAGAAAGGAAGAACAAACCCUAGGUGAGGAAUUUCAAGAGAAAAGGUGUGGAAAAUCAAGGAAAACAAGUGAAAAAGGUAAGAUUUUUCAACUUAAGCUUGAAAUCUAUUUUCCUUAAGCAUUUCUCCUUAUUUUCCAUGCUUAAAUUACAUGUUUUCAUGAUGAAUUGAUGGCUGAUCAAAAUAGGUAUGGAGAGAGAAAGUUGUUGGAUUGAUUUAAUUUUAAGUUAUGUUAUUGUUUUUAGUUAGUUUAGCAUAUUUAGGAACAAAACAAAAAGAAAAGAAUUUAUUUUCUCCAACAACCAUCAAUGGCCGAAUUUACCAUGUGUUGAGUGAGGAUGAAUUUGAUUUUUAUUUUAGGAGAAUUGGUUCGAAAAUGAUGAAUUAUGGUGUGGAAAAGUAGUAGGAAAAAUCACGGUGUUAAUGCACCAUUAUUGGCUGAAAAUUUUAAGAAGAAAAGUGAAGAUAGUUUUGCCAAAUUUUAGGUUAUUUGAUUUGAGCUUGGUGAAUUAAGAUAUUGGAAAAGAAUUGGAACAAUUUGGAGUAAUUUGGGAUUAAAUUGGACGCGUUAGUAAUUUAAUCUGGUGAUGAGAUGAAUUAGGCCAAUAUCGGGUUUAGAUAGUUACUAGUGCAUUUUUGCAUUCUAUGUCAUGCAUUAGUAGUCUAAAUUAGUUUAAUUUCAAUUUAGUACCAAUGUGGUGAAUUUCUCAAUUUUGUACUAUGUCAAGGUGUUGAGUCCUCCGAUAAAGGUAAGAGAAUUGCACCCGAGGACCAGUAGUCUGAGUAUUUCGAGAAUCUGCACUCUAGACAUUGUGAGUAAACUUACUAUCAUUUUAAUUAUCUAGGGUGGUUUUUAGAUUAUUUCAUGAAUUCUAUGGAAAAAUGGAUUUAAAAAGGUAAAUUUUCAUGUUUUAUGAAUAAAUGUGUGUUAAUGAAAUUAAUUUAUAAAUUGUUUUGAAAUUAAUAAUGAUUUUGAAAAAUAGAGUACAUGGAGACUAUUAAUUGUUGUAAUUCGAUUGUUUAAAUUGAUUGGCUUAUGAUAAAUCGGGCAUGAUUGGCUAGUUGGCAAUUGUAUUGAAAUACGAAUUGUUUGGUUGCCUUGAAAGACUGUAAAUUACAAAAAUUGCCAUAUCAUGUUAUUGAGUUUUAUUGUAUGGUGGAUUAUAUAUUAAUUAAUCACUACAGUAAGGGGUUUCUAUGGACUAGCCUUUUAGAAGGGCACAGUAAACCCUAUUAUAUUCUUACCUCAAACGGAGAGGCGCGCAAGGUAUCUCCUGAGGUAAAGCUUAGGGUUCAUUUCACGCCACACCGCCACGUGAGGGGGAACUCAGCCAACGUCAAGGAACGGCUAUGUUUUUAAAAUAAAAACAUGAUUUAUGCGAAAUGUGAAUUUUUAACAGCCUUGGCGGUCUCGGUAGGAUGCCUUAGCCAAGGUGUCCCUGAUGAUGGAUUUAUGGUACAAGCCUAGUUUUUAUGAGAUUCAUAACCCUCUUUACGUAUUUUGAAUGAAAUGUAUUCUAAUGAUGUGAUCCAAUUUAUGAUAAUUUACUUUAUUGUCUCCAUGUACUCAACUCUAGAUGUUUAUGAUGAUGUCUGUUUACUCACUGAGAUUUUAUAAUCUCACCACCCUCUUUUCCACCCAUUUCAGGCUCAGUGUAGGUUGUAGAUAGCUGAUAGCGUCGAAGGCUACAGUUGACUUGACUACUUCAAAAAUCGUAGGUUCAUAGCCUUCUUUCACUUUUGUCAUUUGGGGGCCCAAGUGUCGUUGUAAAUUAAAUUUCAUAGUUUAGUUAUCUGUACUAUUGUAUGUAAGAAAUUAUUUUGUUUUUACUCUGAUAAAAAAAUUAAUUACACAGUUUUCUAAAACUAUUAUUUUAAAUUGGAAAUGAGAUACCGAUAUUAAGCCUUGCGGGGUCCCGAUUAGCAUUUCGGGAAAUGAGUGUCUAUCGGGGUACUGCGGUGAUUGUCAUGGGCUCGAGGGGAGUACCUGGUCGUGACGAUUCGAUUGGUAUCAGAGCUUUUGGUUUUAAAGAUAAGAGUUUUUGGUUUUAAAGUUGUUUUAAAAAUUUACAGUAUCAUGCGGCCUCGGAUUAAGUUAGGUUAGGUCGAAUAGAAUGCAUGCAUCUGCAUAUAGAGCCUAAGGUUCCCUAAACUUGCUCGUUUUCUCUUAUAGAUUAUUAUGCCUUAUUUUCUCGAACGCCCACCUCUCACUAGAUCGGUUAGGAGGGGAAGAGGACGUUCCCAACGUCAUCAGUUAGAUGCAGUAGGGGAAGAAUUGGCUGUAUCUACCAUUCCGGCAGCACCUGCUGCUGAACAGGCCGAUAGUCGUCCACAUCCUCCAUCUCCUCAACCACCUACUAGUAUUCCUGCCAUGCCUACUGAGGCAGCACAUGCAUUGGCAACUUUCUUUACCGCAAUGGCUAGUCAAGCUCAGACUAGUCAAGUUCCACCUGUAGUGCCUCCAGCUACUCCUUUAGUUUCGCCAGUACAGGAUGUAUCCAUUUCUAAGAAGCUGAAGGAGGCUAGGCAAUUAGGUUGUGUGUCUUUCACGGGUGAGUUGGAUGCCACUAUGGCAAAGGACUAGAUUAAUCAGGUUUUAGAGACUCUCUUUGAUAUAAGAUUAGACGACGACAUGAAGCUGAUGGUGGCUACGAGAUUAUUAGAGAAGAGGGCUCGUACCUGGUGGAAUUCGGUGAAGUCCUGUUCCAUUACUCCUCAGACAUGGCCUGACUUCCUCAGAGAAUUUGAUGGUUAGUAUUUCACUUACUUUCUUCAGAAAGAAAAGAAAAGAGAAUUUUUGAGCUUGAAACAAGGAAAUCUAACUGUAGAGGAGUACGAACUCGUUUUAACGAGUUAAUGUUAUAUGUGUCGGAUCUGGUGAAAUCUAAGCAGGAUCAGGCCAGUUAUUUUGAGGAAGGGCUCCGUAAUGAGAUUAGAGAGCGAAUGACAGUGACUGGUAAGGAGCCACAUAAGGAGGUGGUACAGAUGGCUUUACGGGCUGAGAAGCUCGUGAUUGAGAAUAGGAGGAUUCAGACCGAGUUUGCAAAAAGAAAGAAUCUUGGUGUAUCUUCUAGUCAACCACCAAAGAGAGGCAAGGACUCAGCAACUUUAGGGAGCACUACUUUUGUUUCAGUGACAUCUCCUCGACCUCUAUUUCCACCAUCACAGCAGAGACCUUUGAGGUUUAGCAGAUCUGCCAUGACUGGUUUUGGGAAGAGUUUCAGAGGUUUGGAUAAAUGCAGAAUUGUGGAAAUUAUCAUGUUGGGCUGUGUAGAGGGCCCGCACUAUGUUUUCAUUGUGGUCAGUCGGGUCAUAUUAGGAGUAGUUGCCCACGGUUAAGACGAGCCACUGUAGUUGCAUCAUCUCCACCAGCUCGCACUGAUAUGCAGAGGAGAGAUUCUUCUGGGUUACCAUCGAGACAAGGAGUAGCCAUACAGUCUGGUGUAGAGAGUAAUACCCCGGCACAUCCACCUUCGAGACCACAGACUCGUACUUCGACAAGAGUUUUCGCAGUGACGGAAGAUAAGGCACGAGUCUGACCUGGAGCAGUGAUAGGUACUAUGUCUUUAUUUGAUAAAGAUGCUUAUGUUUUGAUAGAUUCUGGCUCAUAUAGAUCUUAUGUGAGUACGACAUUUGCAUCAAUUGCUUAUAGAAACCUGUCACCAUUAGAGGGAAAAAUUGUAGUGCAUACCCUUCUAGGAGAACAAUUGAUUAGAAAUACUUGUUAAAGAGACUGUGGGGUAAGAGUAGGUGAGAAAGAAUUUAGGGGUGGCUUAAUUCCUUUAGAGAUCUUGGAUUUUGAUCUAAUAUUGGGUAUGAAUUGGUUAACUGCACAUCGGGCGAACAUAGAUUGUUUUCGAAAAGAAGUUGUUCUUCGAAAUUCGGAGGGAGUAGAGAUUGUAUUUGCAGGGGAACGUCGAGUAUUACCGUCUUGUGUAAUCUCGACCAUCAAAGCUUUGAAACUAGUGCAGAAAGGGUAUCCAGUUUAUUUGGCUCACAUGAUCGAUACUUCAAAGGAAGAACCUAAGUUAGAGGAUAUCCUAAUAGUAAGUGAGUUUUCUGAUGUAUUUCUUAAUGAGUUACCGAGACUACCUCCUAAUCGAGAGCUUGAGUUCCUUAUUGACGUACUUCCAGGUAUUACACCUAUUUUUAUCCCUCCAUAUAGAAUGGCUCCGGUAGAGUUGAAGGAACUGAAGGUCCAACUGCAAGAUUUGGUGGAUAAAGGUUUCAUUCGCCUUAGUAUUUCUCCUUGGGGAGCACCAGUCCUAUUUGUAAAAAAGAAAGAUGGCACUCUUCGGUUAUGUAUUGAUUAUCGUCAGUUGAACCGAGUGACCAUCAAGAAUAAAUAUUCUUUACCUCGGAUUGAUGAUCUUUUUGAUCAAUUACGAGGUGCUAUGGUGUUCUCUAAGAUUGAUUUGAGGUCUGGGUAUUAUCAGUUAAAGAUUAAGGAGCAUGAUGUACCCAAGACUACUUUCAAGAUGCGUUAUGGGCAUUAUGAGUUUCUGGUGAUGCCGUUUGGUUUGACUAAUACCCCGACAAUUUUUAUGGAUCUUAUGAACAGGGUGUUUCAUCCAUACUUAGAUAAGUUUGUGAUAGUGUUCAUAGAUGACAUGCUGGUUUAUUCAAAGAAUGAUGAUGAACAUGCUGCCCAUUUGCGCAUUGUGUUGCAAACUUUGCGCGAGAGACAACUCUAUGCCAAGUUCUCUAAAUGUGAGUUCUGGUUAAAGGAAGUGGUUUUCUUGGGACAUGUGGUGUCCGGAGUUAGAAUUUAUGUCGAUCCCAAGAAGAUUGAGGCAAUUUUAUAAUGGUGAGCGUUGUCGAAUUUUUACUGAUCACAAGAGUUUGAAAUAUUUGCUCACCCAGAAAAAGCUUAACUUGAGACAAAGACGAUGGUUAGAGUUGAUUAAGGAUUAUGACUUGGUGAUUGAUUAUCACCCUGGAAAGGCAAAUGUUGUAGCAGAUGCCUUAAGUCGUAAAUCCUCGUCGUCGUUAGCAACACUUCGGAGUUCUUAUUUUUCGAUAUUACUUGAGAUGAAAUCUCUAGGGAUCUAAUUGAAUAAUGGUGAGGAUGGAACCUUACUUGCUAGUUUCGUUGUGAGACCUUCAUUGUUGAAUCAAAUAAGAGAAUUACAGAAAUCCGAUGAUUGGUUCAAGCAGGAAGUUCAAACGCUGCAAGAUGGAGAAACUAGUGAGUUUAGACUCAACGAUGAUGGUACUUUGAUGCUUAGUGUCACAACCCGGAACUCCCAUCGAGCCCGUGACAACCGUCGCGAAGCCUCGACAGACAUUCUUCCCCCGAAUGCCUUUCGAGACCUCGCAAGGCUUUUGUACCAAUUUUUCUAUUCUUAUCUCUUUUCUCUUUUUUUUUUGAAUAAUAAAAUAAAAUAAAAAUAUUAAUUAAAAUAAUCUAUUUUGAUGUAAAACAAUAUAUAUAUAUUUUUAAAACAUCAAAAAUUAGUUUUCUGCACAUAAAAACAAAAUAAAUUUAUACAUACUGUAAUAUAGAAAAUUGGAGUAUACAAUUUAAAUUACAAUGACACGUGGGCCCCCAAAUAACUAAGAAGGCUUAAGUCUAUAACCUUGCUUUCUAGGAUGCAACUCCGAAAUUUACUUAUCGAUGCAAUUGACAGUUUAUUGCCUAUUCUGAGCCUGAAAAAUGUAUAGGAAGAAGGGGUGAGAUUAUAAAAUCCCAGUGAGUAGACAGACAUCAUCAAAAUAAUCUAAAGUCGAGUAAUAGGAAACAAUUAAAAUAAUUCAUCCCAACCCAUAUAAAUAAUUAGAUUUCAUUCAAUUACUCAACAUGGUUUAUGCACUUUUCAAAAACUUGGCCCUUGCCAAAAAUCCAUUCUAGGGGAUACCCCACGAAAGCAACUUACCCAGACCGCCAAGGCUAUUUAUUGUCACACACACAAACACAUUUCACCUCUGACAACACAGCAGUUCCUUGGCGUUGGCUGAGUCCCAGUUUCACGUGGUGGCCAGCGUGAAGUGUACUCAAAUCCUACCUCGGGAGUUAUCCUACGCGCCUCUCUAAUCGAGGUAAGCUCAAUAAUUGAGAACCGUGCCCCUCUAAUUAGGCUGACUCACGGAACCCCCGUCACUGUAGUGCCCACUUUAUAAUCCACCAACCAAUAAAAUCACAAUAGUAUGACAUGGCUCACUUAACACAUUCAAGGCAAAUCAAAGCAGUUCACAUAUUCUUUAAAUCAUAAAAAUAACCAGUCAUACCCACAUUUAUCAUAAGCCAUUUAAUGUAAAAUCAUGAAUAAACAACACAAUCAUAGUAUAGGUCUCCAAUUACUUUAUUUUUGAAAUCAUUAUUAAAUUUUCAAAAAUAUUAUAAAAUUAUUUUAUAAAAUCCCAUUUUCCCAUAAAACACAAUAAUUUUCCAAUUAAACCAUUUUUCCAUAAAAUCACACAAUUAAAUAAAUCUACUCUAGAUAAUUAAGACGAUAGUAAGUUUACUCACUAUACUAGGAGUAGAUAUACUCCUAUUCUCGAUCCUCGGGUGUAGUCUUUUACCCGUAUCAGAUAGCUCACCACCUAUCCACAAUACAUGACACAAAAAAUUCAAUAAUUUGUGUCAAAUUAAUAUAUAUUAUUUCAGGCUCUUAUCCAUGCGUAUGCACUAGAUAGGGUGUGAAAUGUUUGGACAAUAGCUUAAUCACAGUGUCCGACCUAACUCGCCUAUACACGGUGUAAAUUUCUAAAAUCUCCAAUUCAACUCCAAUUCCAUCCAUUUCAAUUUCAAUAAUCCAAUUAUAUCCACAAUACCUCAAUGACUGUGAAUGUGGUCCAAUUUAUCAGUUUGGACCACAAAUUAUGCUUUUACCCCUAAUGGGUAAAAAUUUCAAUUUUUUUGCACAAAAAAUUCCCAUUUAAUUUCCAACCUCAUAAUUCAUCAUUUUUCCAUCUAAUUCUCUUAAAAUAAAGUCAACCUCAUCCUCACACACCAUUGGCUAGAUUCGACCUAUAGAAAUUCAUGGAGAAAAUGAAUAUUUUUCUUGUUGUUUUACUCAUAAACAUGCUAAACUAACACUAAACACUAACAUAGUUCAAAAUCAAAUUAAUCUAACAACUUUCUCUCUCUAAACCCAUAUGAUCAGAUUUGAAUCCAUCAUCAAAACACAUAAUUUAACCAUGGAAAAUAAGGAGAAAUGCAUGGAAAUGAUAAAUCUUAAGCUAAGCUUGAAAAAUCAUACCUUUAAACACUUGAUUCCUUGAAAAAUCACACUUUUUCUUUGAAUUUUCUCACUCUAGGGUUUGUUCUUAUUUCUCUCUCUCUCCUGCUGGUUUUGGCUGACCNNNNNNNNNNNNNNNNNNNNNNNNNNNNNNNNNNNNNNNNNNNNNNNNNNNNNNNNNNNNNNNNNNNNNNNNNNNNNNNNNNNNNNNNNNNNNNNNNNNNNNNNNNNNNNNNNNNNNNNNNNNNNNNNNNNNNNNNNNNNNNNNNNNNNNNNNNNNNNNNNNNNNNNNNNNNNNNNNNNNNNNNNNNNNNNNNNNNNNNNNNNNNNNNNNNNNNNNNNNNNNNNNNNNNNNNNNNNNNNNNNNNNNNNNNNNNNNNNNNNNNNNNNNNNNNNNNNNNNNNNNNNNNNNNNNNNNNNNNNNNNNNNNNNNNNNNNNNNNNNNNNNNNNNNNNNNNNNNNNNNNNNNNNNNNNNNNNNNNNNNNNNNNNNNNNNNNNNNNNNNNNNNNNNNNNNNNNNNNNNNNNNNNNNNNNNNNNNNNNNNNNNNNNNNNNNNNNNNNNNNNNNNNNNNNNNNNNNNNNNNNNNNNNNNNNNNNNNNNNNNNNNNNNNNNNNNNNNNNNNNNNNNNNNNNNNNNNNNNNCAUUUUGUCCUCAUAUUGCAAAAUAACCAUUUUACCCCAUAACCGGUCAAAUUUCCUGAUUGAUUCCAAAUUGAUCCUCGAACUCUGAAUCACCAUUUCAAGUAGAUUUUGGGGUAUCAUAACUCUCAAAUCCCUUUUAAAUUUUUCAUUUGAACUAGCUUGAGGUAUAAAUCAACUUCACAGCACCUCUAGGGGCAAUAUUAUCUUUUGUCUAUUUCUCGGGCUUCCUCAAUAUACAAACAUUCUAUCGAGCAUGUGAAUAACAUCAUAAUUAUUUUACAAAGCAGGGUUUGACACUUAGAGACUGAAUUUGUGUCCUUAAGGAUGAUCAGUUGAGAUGAGUUAUUUUGGAGGAAGCUUAUUCUUUCGCCUACGCUUUACAUCCCGGAAGCACCAAGAUGUAUCGAAUUAUUAAGAAAAGUUAUUGGUGGCCGGGUAUGAAAUGAGACAUAGCAGAGUUUGUAGCAAAAUGUCUCACAUGCCAACAAAUCAAGGCGGAGCAUAAAAAAUCAUCAAGUACUCUUCAGCCUUUACCGAUUCCUGAAUGGAAGUGGGAACACGUGACUAUGGACUUUGUAUUGGGUUUACCGGGAACACAAAGUGGGAAGGAUGCUAUUUGAGUGAUUGUGGAUAGACUGACUAAGUCCGCACAUUUCUUGGCUAUCCAUAGCACGUAUUCUAUUGAGAAACUGACGAAACUUUAUAUAGAUGAGAUUGUGAGAUUACACGGAGUUCCAAUUUCUAUUGUGUUAGAUCGAGACCCUCGGUUUACUUCUCGAUUUUGGCCGAAAUUUCAGGAAGCUCUCGGAACUAAAUUGAGAUUUAGUACUGCCUUUCAUCCGCAGAUUGAUGGUCAAUCUGAGAGAACUAUUCAGACCUUGGAGGAUAUGUUACGGGCUUGUGUCAUUGACUUUAUUGGGAGUUGGGACAGACACUUGCCAUUGGUGGAGUUCGCGUAUAAUAAUAGUUUUCAGUCUAGUAUUGGGAUGGCACCAUACGAGGCAUUGUAUGGAAGGAAGUGCCGAACUCCACUUUGUUGGGAUGAAGUAGGUGAGAGGAAAUUGGUGAAUGUGGAAUUGAUUGAUAUGACAAAUGACAAAAUCAAGGUUAUCAGAGAGCGGUUAAAGACAGCUCAAGAUAGGCAAAAGAUUUAUUCUGAUAAGCGAAGGAAAGAUUUGGAAUUUGAAGUCGACGAUAAAGUUUUUCUUAAGGUUUCUCCUUGGAAAGGUAAUAAUUUGAAAAUUCCAAGUAUUAAAUCUUAUUUGAUUAUACUAUUGUGAUAAUUUGUGGUAUUUAUUGGAUAAUGAAAGGUGUGAUUCGAUUCGCGAAGCGGGGAAAGCUCAAUCUGAGAUACAUUGGACCCUUUCGUAUCAUUGAAAGGAUUGGGCCAGUGGCUUACAGACUUGAAUUACCCCUGGAGUUAGAUCGUAUUCAUAAUGUCUUCCACGUCUCAAUGUUGAAAAAGUAUGUCCCCGAUCCCUCCCACAUCUUAGAGACACCAUCGAUUGAGUUGCAUGAAGAUUUGAAGUUCGAGGUGUAGCCUGUACGUAUUCUAGAUCGAAAAGAUCGAGUGCUAAGGAACAAGAGCAUUCCAAUGGUGAAAGUAUUGUGGAAGAAUGCUCGAAUGGAGGAGAUGACGUGGGAAGUCGAGGGCUAGAUGAGAAACCAAUAUCCACAUCUUUUCUUCAAAUCCGAUAAGUGAAAUUUUGAGGUCAAAAUUUUAUUUUAAGGGGGUAGUGCUGUCAAGCCCGACCUUAUAAAAUAUUUGUCAUGACAUACAUGUCAAGCCCGACCUUAUACAUGUUUGCAUGCUAGGAGAGUCCCAAAAAAUUUACAAAAGUAGGUAUUGUACCUAGAGGUACAACAAAGUUGAUUUGAGCCUCGACCUAGCUCAAAUAGAAAUUUUAAGGUGAAAUUAAGAGCUUCAUAGUCCAAGGAUGACUCAAAAUGGUAAUUCGGAGUUUGAGGAUUAAUUUGGAGUCAAACCAAAAUUUUCGCUAUCUAGGGGCAAAAUGGUCAUUUGCCACCUGGGGACAAAAUGAGAAAUUUUAGAAAAGAUUUUUGUGGCCCCAUUUGACUUAUUGGAGUAUGAUUUGAGGUUUAGAAGUGAAAAAUUUUAAUUUUUGGUAUAAUUUAGAGUAUAGGGGUAAAAUGGUAAUUUUGCCACCUUAGGGGCAAAAUUGUAAUUUUCCACCAUCAGAAUAUUUGUCCAGCACAUGGUCUUCCCUUAUCCUCAUUUUUGACCUUUGACUAAUCAUGUGGUGGAGAUAAAAGGUUUAAAAUUUUUAAAGUUUUAAAAAUGGAGCAAUAAGAAAAUGACAAGUGUCAAGCUUAGGAUAUUUUAUUAUUUAACUUAAAAAUCAGUAUAAAUCAGCCCAUUACUCUCCAAAUAUUCGGCCAAGUAAGGAAGAGAGGGAAAGAAAGGAAGAACAAACCCUAGGUGAGGAAUUUCAAGAGAAAAAGUGUUGAAAAUCAAGGAAAACAAGUGAAAAAGGUAAGAUUUUUCAACUUAAGCUUGAAAUCGAUUUUCCUUAAGCAUUUCUCCUUAUUUUCCAUGCUUAAAUUACAUGUUUUCAUGAUAAAUUGAUGGCUGAUCAAAAUGGGUAUGGAGAGAGAAAGUUGUUGGAUUGAUUUGAUUUUAAGUUAUGUUAGUGUUUUUAGUUAGUUUAGCAUAUUUAGAAACAAAACAACAAGAAAAGAAUUUAUUUUCUCCAACAACCAUCAAUGGCCGAAUUUACCAUGUGUUGAGUGAGGAUGAAUUUGAUUUUUAUUCUAGGAGAAUUGGUUAGAAAAUGAUGAAUUAUGGUGUGGAAAAGUAGUAGGAAAAAUCACGGUGUUAAUGCACCAUUAUUGGCCAAAAAUUUUAAGAAGAAAAGUGAAGAUAGUUUUGCCAAAUUUUAGGUUAUUUGAUUUGAGUUUGGUGAAUUAAGAUAUUGGAAAAGAAUUGGAACAAUUUGGAGUAAUUUGGGAUUAAAUUGGACGUGUUAGUAAUUUAAUCGGGUGAUAAAACGAAUUAGGCCAAUACCGGGUUUAGAUAGUUACCAGUGCAUUUUUGCAUUCCAUAUCAUGCAUUAGUAGUUUAAAUUAAUUUAAUUUCAAUUUAGUACCAAUGUGGUGAAUUUCUCGAUUUUGUACUAUGUCAAGGUGGUAAGUCCUCCGAUAAAGGCAAGGGAAUUGCACCCGAGGACCAGUAGUCUGAGUAUUUCAAGAAUCUGCACUCUAGACAUUGUGAGUAAACUUACUGUCAUUUUAAUUAUCUAGGGUGGUUUUUAGAUGAUUUCAUGAAUUCUAUGGAAAAAUGGAUUUAAAAAGGUAAAUUUUCAUGUUUUAUGAAUAAA